RNAcentral lists this long non-coding RNA (373537 nucleotides) under Ananas comosus (pineapple). RNAcentral describes it as "long non-coding RNA (ACOM_LNC022076)". The record is from RNAcentral. Lineage: Eukaryota; Viridiplantae; Streptophyta; Magnoliopsida; Poales; Bromeliaceae.
AAUUGUCAAUUUUCAAUGGCUAUUAUGACGAGUUUGGAGUUUAACGGUGUAGAAGAAUCUAAAUUUCUUCAAAUUUUGAUAGAAAAUACUUUAAACUAUAUAGAUUAAGGUUAACAUUCUUGAUUUUGAAUUUAAAAGUCCUAUGCUCAAAUUUUAAAGAUUAUUCAAUUUUCACCGUCCAUUUUGAUAUAAUUUAUUUACUAAGUAAACGGUAUCGAAAAAAACUAAAAUUUUAUACCUAAGAAAUUCAUAUACCCUAGAUCAUAUUUAACGGUGUGGAUCGUUGAUUUGAAUGCCCUAAGAUCGAAAAUAAACACUAUAGUACCGGAGCUCGGUACUAUAGAUAGUAUAGUAGCCUAAUUCUAUAUAUAUAUAUAUAUAUAUAUAUAGAGUGAGGUUACUAUGCUUCUGAAAAUACGGAGCCUUCUGUGCUUCCAGAUCGUUUUUCAUGUUGCGACUUUCGAAUCGUCGAUCGGCUCCGUUAAACUUGAUCUAGAAUAUUUGAAAUACCUAGAAAAUAAAUUUUGCACUUUUUCGAUAUCAUUUGCCUAGUGAACUAAGGGGCUCAAAAUCAACGGCUGAAAAUAAAAAUCUUACAAAACGUGAUAAUAUGACAUUAAAAUUUUCGAUCAAAGAUAUUGAUCUUGUUUUAUAUUGUAUAAAGAAUUUUCUAUCAAAAUUUUAUGUGAUUUGGAUAUUUCUACACCGUUAAACUUGCAAACGGCUCACCACGGCCAUUAAAUUAUAAAAUUAUUCUUAUCCCCGAGAACAAUCCAAUUUUCAUCCAAAUACUAUUUUUCUUAUCUCCAUAUUUGUACUUAUUCCUGUAAUAAUUAGUUUUUGCUUAUAUCCGAACCAAACGGUACCGGGUUUUGCCGGAGAAAGCUCAAACAGAAUUCGCUGUUCAAAGGUUUGAUAUCGUUUUUGAAUUUUGGCGAGACUAAUCUGUGUCGUUUAUAUUGGAUGGCUCGAAUUAGGUAUGCGAAAAAUCGGCCAGUAAAUGAGCUUCUCGUGUGGAAAUUGUUACGCACAGUAUCAUUGGAAAUUUGCAUGGGGAUUCAUUUUGACAAAUCUCUACCUGCCCCCUGUUUGAAAAUGACACAAAAAUAGAUGUGAACUUUUGAACCUCCUUUGAUUAUUCUCAUUCUCAUGCUUUGUUACAGUUAUACAACAAGCUCUUUUAAAUCCUUUUUCUACUAGCCGUCCCUAGCGCAAGUGACAAAAGAUUAGCUAAGUUUAUUUUUAAAUGAAAUAAACAAAGCGGAUAACAUGCUACCUAUCUCUUUUUUUUAAAAAAAAAGUACUUUUUCCCUUGAUGUCUAUAUUUAUGGUAACUAUCAUUAUUUGUUCCCCCAUGCACCUAUUUAGGAAUUAGGAUCUGAUAAAUACUAAAGUAUUAGGUGAAAAGGAGUUAGAGAAAGAAAGAAAAAAUUAUAUAUAUAUAUAUAUAUAUAUAUAUAUAUAUAUAUAUAUAUAUAUAUAUAUAUAUAUAUACGUCCCGACUACUAUACUAUCGCUCCGUGCUACAAAAGUUGUUUUCGAUGAGCGGCUUCAAAUCGACAAUUGGCUCCUUAGACUUGAUCUACACUAUUGAAAAUAUUUAAACUAAAUUUCAAAUUUUUUUCGACAUCAUUUGACUGUGAUCAAAGAUAUCAAAAUUGACAUUUUUAUGGCCGAUGUGAUAUGUUUGUGAGUUUAACGUGUAAAACAAUCAAUCCGAUGAAAUUUUUAUAGAAAUUUUUUUCACUAUUAGAGUAAGAUCGGUAUAUCUGAUCUUGAAUUUAAAUCUUUUAUCAUCAUUUUUUGUGAGAUUUUAUUUUCACCGUUCAAUUUUAGACCACUUGUUUGAUAAUAAUGAUAUCGAACAAUUAUAAAUUUAGUUUCUAAAUACUUAAAAUAGUGAGAUAACAUCUAACGGCAGCAGAUCCGUCGAUUGGAAGGCCGAUUAUCGAAAAACAACUUGUAAGCACGGAGCCCCCGUGCUACCGAUAGUAUAAGUAGUGCCUAGUUCUAUAUAAAUAUAUAUGAUAAGAGGAGAAGAGAGAGAGAGACGGAGAGAGAGAGAGAAGGAGUUUGAGCUGAACUCACCCAAGCAAGCAACAAGAGGUUGGGCUUUUGAUUUUAAUUCCUUGGAUGGAGAAGUGUAAGGUUGGAUGAUGGUGUAGGGUGGUUUAGUGAAUAAUUUUGAUCAAUAGGAUUAUUAGUAGCCAAGAAUAUACUUCAAGGGCUAGAAACCUAGAAGCACAAGGGUCGUAUGUUUUAAAAAGUAUUAUAGCUCAAUUAUAUAUAUAUAUAUAUAUAUAUAUAUAUAUAUAUAUAUAUAUAUAUAUAUGAGCUAGGCUCCUAUGCUGAUUUCAUAAAUUUUUGACUUCGUUUAUCUAGUAAACGAGUUGUCUCAAAAUAAACGGCUGAAAAUAAAAAUCUCAUAAAAAACAGAGAUAAAGAACUCAAAUUUCAAAUCGGAAAUAUUGGUCUUGCUACUGUUGUUAAGUUGAAUUUUCUAUUAAAUUUUUAUCUAAUUUGGAUACUUCUACACCGUUGAACUUAAAAAUGUGCCACAUCGGCCGUUAAAAUAGUCAUUUUGGAGACAUUUUGAUCGCUUGGUAAAUAAUGUCAAAAAAUUAUAAAAUUUGGUUUCUAAAUAGUUCCAAUAGGGUAGAUUAUACUUAACGGAGCCGAUCGUCGAAUCGGAUUUCCUAUCAUCGAAAAUAACUUAGAAGUACGGAGGUCUCCGUACUUUCAAAAGUACAGGAGGCUUACUCAUAUAUAUAUAAAAUUGAGCUCCUAUGCUUUUAAAAGUACCAAGUUAUUUGUGCUUGUAAGCUUUUAGCCCUUGGAUUAAUAAAUGUGCGGUUAGGAUGAUGUGGGCCCCCUUGGGUUGAGUGGAUGGUUGGUUGAAUAAUAUAAUCUAACGGGUGAAAAUGAUCAAAGGCGUAGAUUUAACGGUAAAAAAUUCACAAGCACCAAGUGUUUGGUACUUUUACAAGCACCAUAGCCGGACUCACAUAUAUAUAUAUAUAUAUAUAUAUAUAUAGUAGGGUUGCUGUGCUCUCCUGAGCCAUUUUCGAUGAUGAAAUUUUCGAAUCGACGAUCGGCUCCAUUACACUUGAUCUAGCGCAUUUGAAGUUUCUAGAAAAUAACUUUUGCGCUUUUUUGAUAUCAUUUACCUAGUGCUCGAAAGGAUUCAAAAUCCAUAAUUUUUAAUGGUUGAUAUCUGCCGUUUUUAAGUUUAACGGUGUAGAAGUAUUCAAAUCAGAUGAAAUUUUGAUAUAAAAUUUUUUAUACUAUCUACAACAAGAUUAAUAUUUCUGAUCGAAAAUUUUAGUGCUAUAUCACCACUUUUUAUAGGAUUUUUAUUUUCAGCCGUUAAAAAGUGGUGAUAUAGCACUAAAAUUUUUGAUCAGAAAUAUUGAUNCAAGUUUUAGUUAUUAAAAAUUACCAACUAUAGACGGCAAAAGUUCAAAUUGCCACAUCUUCAUAAGUUUCCUUUCGAUCAUUAGGUAAAUGAUAUAAAAAAAUCAUAAAAAUUAUUUUCUAGAAACUUCAAAUACGCUAGAUCAAAUCUAACGGAACUGAUCGUCGAUUCGAAAAUUCUAUCAUCGAAAACAGCUCAGGAGCACGAAGACCUUCAUGCUCCUAAAAGCAUAGCAGUCCUGCUCUCUCUCUCUCUCUCUCUAUAUAUAUAUAUAGAGAGAGAGAGAGAGAACUAAGCUAAUAUACUAUUAAUGGUACUAAGUCAUUGGUGUUACCAAGUUUUUGGCCAUUCGAUUAAGAGAUGUGCUGUCCCAAUAAAAGUGUACAAUUUAUAUUUUAGUCCUCAAAAAUAAUAUUUAAAAAAAGAAUAAUGGAUGAAAUUUUUGACGGAUUAUUUACCCAAAGGGCAUGUGUAAGUAUUUUUUAUCUUUAGAGAGAGUAUUGAUAAUAUUUUUAACUUUAGAAGAACAUAUACGAAACAAAUGGCCUCCUAGGGAGGUACGGGUGGAAUUAUUCAUUUUUUAAAAUACUUAGAGACUAAAAGUAUAAUAUAAUAUACAUGAAAGUUUCAAAACUAAAUUAUUUUAAUUAGAAUUACAAAUAACUUAGUCCUCAUGGACAGUGCUGGGCCUGGCAAUCUAAGAACUCUCUUGUGUCAUACUUGCCGUGCUAUUCAAAUUUCGAGUAAUUUUUCCAAAAUGUUACCUACAAACUGCUUAAAACUUGUUUAAUCAAUAAAUAAUAAUAACUAUAUAUACUUUACAAAAACAAAUAUUUAAAAAAUAUAAUUUAAAAUUUAAAAUGAAGGAGAUUUCAAAUAAAAAAAAUUGAGCCACCCCUCGGCCUAGCACUUAAGGCCUGGCCCAGACUUGUUCGGCCGAUGUGGCCCAGUUAAAUUGAGAAACCCAAUUCCUAAAUUCUUAAGCAUUAAUCAAAUUUGCUGAGCGGUUAGGGUGAGAGAGACAAAAAAUUGGGGUCGAAGAAAAGAAAAAAUUGAGAAACCCAAUUUCUCUUCAAUUUCUUUUCUCUCCUAUUCUAACCACCGAUUAAAAUUGAUGAAUAGUUAGAAACUUAGGAGCACACGGAUUGUUGUGCUUUUAGCUCUGCUCUAUUGGUUGUACAUAAAGUGAUUUAACAUUUCUGGUGUUGCAUGUAGUACAGUUUUAUAUUUAGUUGUUAAUUAUUUUUUUUACUAUUUUCGUUGUGGUUGAUCUUGCUAUGGUUGAUUGUAUUGAUUGAUUGUUGUACUUUGGUUUCUACGCUGUGUAUGUACAUAAAAGAGUCUAUCCUUUUGUACAUGGGAGGUUUUGUCGAUGUGCCGGGUCUAAGCAUGCUUCGGGUUAGAGAUUCUGUCUGUUUGUAUAGGUAAGAUUAUGUCUAUGGGUUAGGUCUAGACAUGCUUCGGGAUGGUCUUUGGUAUUUUUUUCAAAAAAAUUUUAUAUGUUUUUUGCUGUUUUCUAGUAAAAGAUUUUACAAAAGGGCUUAGGACUUGACAUAUUCUUCCGAACCCAUUUAUACAAUAUCUAUAUAAUAACAUUAAAGGGCGAACCCUUAACAAUUUUGCAUCAUUCUCCUAAUUUCAGAUGUUGGUCCUGCAUCAACUAUUUUUUCUCUCCUAUUUUCCUCACCCUCUAUACACAGCUCUUUCUCUCUCUUCCCUCUAUUUUCAGGGAAACCACCCUUUCUGCCGCCCACCCUCUUUCUCGCACGCGUGAUAGGAUCCCUAAAAUUUGGGUAUCCUCUGGGCUUCUUCGUCGAUCCAUCAUGAUCCGCGCCACUGCCCGUCCUUCAAAUCCCAUGAAAUUCGUUGUAGAUCCUGCGCCGCUCCCAUCAAAUCUCGCCGAUCUCACAAUAUUGGAGGAUCCCUGUUAGCAUCCACGAAUCUUGCUUCUCUUUGCUCUCUACUAUUCUCUCUAGGAUUUUCCAUUAUAUUUUCUAAUCCCCUAUCAUUCUCUUUGCAGGAAAAAAGAAAGAGACUUAAAUGAUAGAGAAGAGUGAUGAGUGUAGUAUCCCUGGGGUUUAGCGGUCAGAGUGACUGUAGUAUCUAUGGCUUGUCGACACACCUGUAGAGUGUCGGGACGAGUUUGAGUCGUUUGGCGCGAAAUGGACGCAAAACGAACUCGGCGCAAUGCGAGAUUGGAGCUCUGACACUGAAUUUUGUAAAUUGUAGGUUUUGAGUGUUGAGUAUCGGUACCUGAGGGGAGUACCGGUACUAGGACUAGGUACAGAUACUGCAUCGGAUUAGUACUGGUACACAGCGUUUGGAUUGCUGGCUGAGUGCAGGGUACCAGUACCCAAAUUGAGUACCGGUACUCAGGCGGCAGAUUUGAGUUGGUAAGAGGUCUUUUGGUCAUUUUCGCUGUUGGGUUUAUCCCCGACCGACCCCAGCUAUAUUUAUGUGUUGAGCUUGGAGAAACAGGGUAGCAGCUCCUCUUUCUCUCUCUCUAGUUAUUUGAGGUUCGAUCUCAUUUCUUUUCUUCUCUCUAGAGGAUUGCUCUUACAGCUUGGUUGAUUUCGUUGAGGCUGUUCCGGCGCAGGGCUUCUUCGAUCUACUUCUAGCCGGUUUUGCAUGAGCAUUUGAGGUGGGUUAAUAUUGACCAAACACUUCGGAAUUCCUCCUAAGUUUUAGAAAGUGUCAGCAUGUUUCUAUGGAUAUUAUAGUCCCUUGUUAGUAGCUCGAAUUCAUGGAUUUGCUUGUUUUUAUAUGAAACCUGAAUUUGGAGCAUAAUUUAAUGAUUCUAGAUAAAUUAUUAUCUGCUGAACUGGAAUUUGACUUAGGAGAAAACUUAUUAAACCUAUACCUGACACUUUUCAAAAAGUUACCAGAUUUAGCUUCAGGAGCUGAUUUCUUUUUGUAUCACCGUUGUUAGAGUGUCGUGGAUACUUAGAUUAGUGUAGGUUGAGAUUACGCUCGUGCUGAGGAGCCGAGCUCGUUUCUACAGAAGAGUUAGACUGUUUUGUACUAUCGGGUGCCAUCGGGGCUGACGGAACCCAGAUUCCUACAUCUUGCAUCAGAUUGUGCCGAAGGCACGUCAGCCUUGGUUGUUAGACCAGUUUGACCUAUUUGUGUUGACUAUAGCCUGUGGAAGCCUGAUUGAGCUCGAUAAAGACACGUUUGCAUACUCGGUUGGGUCGCACCCACGAGUGCCGCUCCGGAGUGAGGCUUUUCUUGCAUUUACAUUGCAGUAGUCCCGUUUGGAUAGUUUUCUUGGACCGACCACCUCCGUGGGUGGUGUGCGGUGUAGUUUGGGCACAGGCUGGACUAGCCAAUUGGCGGUCCCUUGAAAUUGGAUCAAGGUAGUUGAGUUGUAGCAAGUGAUACAUUUUUAUGUCUACAGAGAGCAUUGGUUGGAUAGCUGUAGUAUAGUGGCAUAUAGCUGUAGAAUUUUUCCAGCUUAAUUUACUAUUCUCUAUCUAUCAGUUUCAUACUUAUACUGUAGACUUAGUGGGCAGGCCGUUGGGGUCGGUGACGGCACCCACUGAGGACUACUCUGUUUUGCAGUAGUUAUCACACCCAUUUGUUGCCACCUUUUUGCAGAGCUUUCGUCUGUUACUGCUAUUGCUGAUUCUGAUCGAGGUAAGAGAGUCACGAGCUAGAUCCCUAUCUACCCGGUCACCAUACUAGAGGAGCCCUAUUAGAGGUAGUUUUGGUUGUGCCAUGUACAUACAGUGGGUGUUUGGUUUUCGAUCUGAGAGAUGAUAGUAUUUUGGAGCAUGUAUGUACAGUGGGACCUUAUAUUUUAUAUAUAUAUGUUUUAGUUUUAGUAGCUCGAUAUUUUUAUUGUAGCUCCUAUCUGUUUGCAGGUACAGCUAUCGCUUCGUAUAUACGAAAAAUUUCUAUGUGUAUGGCGGAUCUGUUGGUGAGUCCGGAAAACGUAGUAAUCCGGGGCAGGACAAUGAGGAACGAAGGCGCCCUCACCUGAAGAACCCUAAUCAGUUUGUGCCUCUCAUGAGCUUGAAAAUAAAGUCUUUUGGUCAUUGAAAUUUAAAGGCGACAGUUUAUGAUAUCUUUACUUAACUGUGCUUUUAAUUCUUUCUUAGAAUAAAAAUAAUUAAGUUGGCUGCCUAUACAAUCUUUCCUCUUCUUAUCCUCAUUAGGUUGGUUGCCCUCUUCUUCGAUUUCUUUUUAAAAAAUUUUCCUCUGAUUCAUUUUAAUUUGUGCAGUUUGUAUUGUUUAAUAAUAUGCCUGAUUCGUUGGUUCAUUAUCUUAUGCCCAUAGUUUAAGGGUUUGGAUUUUGGUCCUUGAUCUAGGGAUCUCCCCUAUUCAAUUCGAAACUAGAAAUAAAGAAAAAAAGAAAGAGAAAAAUCCUGGGGUUCAUACAAAUGUAGAUGAAAAUAAGUAUCAGAAUUAAUUUGUUUGGGCAAAAAAAUCACUAAUAGGACGAUCUCCACUUUGUUUUUUUAAUUUUUUUCUUACUUUAUUCUGCUUUAAUUAGUUGCUUGAUAAUCUACAAAGGGUUAAUUAAUGCAAUUAGAAGUAAGUUCAUGCCACAAAAGCUGUGAAUUUUACAAAAACUAAAUUUCAAUUGUAUUGACAGUUUUGUGAACUUUUGUUUUCACUGUCCAUAUGAUAUUAGUUCUAAUUCUUUCAAAUUUUGCAAUUGAGUCUCUAAUUGAGGGGAUAUAAACAUAUACUUAAUGUGUAUAAUAUAAAAAUAAAAUAAAACUAAAAAUUUAAAUCGCAUGGGCAAAUUAAUUAAUGUCAACUGAUCUGACAACAUUUUCCAUCACUUUUGAUGAACUAUAAUCAUAUAUAACUUUCUUUGAUUGGGUCUACGAAGCUGUUGGACUAGCCAGCUGGCGGUUCUUUGAGAUUGGAUCAAGGUAGUUGAGUUGUAGCAAGUGAUGCAUUUUUAUGUCUACAGAGAGCAUUGGUUGGAUAGCGGUAGUAUAGUGACAUAUAGCUGUAGAAUUUUUCCAGCUUAAUUUACUAUUCUCUACCUAUCAGUUUCAUACUUGUACUGUAGACUUAGUGGACAGGCCGUUGGGGUCGGUGACGGCACCCACUGAGAACUACUCUGUUUUGCAGUAAUUGUCACACCUAUUUGUUUCCACCUUUUUGCAGAUUCUUUGUCUGAUGCUGCUAUUGCUGAUUCUGAUCGAGGUAAGGGAGUCACGAGCUAGAUCCCUAUCUACCCGGUCACCAUACUAGAGGAGCCCUAUCAGAGAUAGUUUUGGCUGUGCCAUGUACAUACAGUGGGUGUUUGAUUAUCGAUCUGAGAGAUGGUAGUAUUUUGGGGCAUGUUUGUACAGUGGGACCUUAUAUAUGUUUAAGUUUUAGCAGCUCUGUACUUUUAUUGUAGCUCCUAUCUGUUUGCAGGUACAGCUAUCGCUUCGUAUAUACGAAAAAUUUUUAUGUGUACGGCGGAUCUGUUGGUGAGCCCGAAGAACGUAGUAAUCCGGGGCGUGACAAUGAGGAACGAAGGCGCCCUCACCUGAAGAAUCCUAAUCAGUUUGUGCCUUUCAUGAGCUUGAAAAUAAAUUUUUUUGGUCAUUGAAAUUUAAAGGUGACAGUUUAUGAUAUCUUUACUUAAGUGUGCUUUUAAUUCUUUCUAAGAAUAAAAAUAAUUAAGUUGGCUGCCUAUACAAUCUUUCCUCUUCUUAUCCUCAUUAGGUUGGUUGCCCUCUUCUUCGAUUUCUUUUUAAAAAAAUUUCCUCUGAUUCAUUUUAAUUUGUGCAGUUUGUAUUGUUUAAUAAUAUGCCUGAUUCGUUGGUUCAUUAUCUUAUGCCCAUAGUUUAAGGGUUUGGAUUUUGGUCCUUGAUCUAGGGAUCUCCCCUAUUCAAUUCGAAACUAGAAAUAAAGAAAAAAAGAAAGAGAAAAAUCCUGGGGUUCAUACAAAUGUAGAUGAAAAUAAGUAUCAGAAUUAAUUUGUUUGGGCAAAAAAAUCACUAAUAGGACGAUCUCCACUUUGUUUUUUUAAUUUUUUUCUUACUUUAUUCUGCUUUAAUUAGUUGCUUGAUAAUCUACAAAGGGUUAAUUAAUGCAAUUAGAAGUAAGUUCAUGCCACAAAAGCUGUGAAUUUUACAAAAACUAAAUUUCANUCUCACUUUUGUUUUCAAGUGUUUUGACAGUUACCAUAUGAUAUUAGUUCUACUUCUUUCAAAUUUUGCAAUUGAGUCUCUAAUUGAGGGGACAUAAACGUAUACUUAACAGUGUAUAAUAUAAAAAUAAAAUAAAACUAAAAAUUUAAAUCAUAUGGGCAAAUUAAUUAAUAUCAGUUGAUUAGACAACAUUUUCCAUCACUUUCGAUGAACUAUAAUUAUAUAUAACUUUCUUUGAUUGGGUCUACGGAGCUGUUGGAAACUAAUUACAUGUUUAAAAAUAUCUUAUUCCCCCUAACUGCGGCAAAUAAAAUAACGAAAGAAGUAGGUAACUGUCUUUUUCCCCUGCGACCUUUCUUCCCUGCAUUAUUUCUCUCUCCCUCCCCUGAAUUGUAUAAUCCAUUUGUUCAUUUCCUACCCUUGAAUUGUAUUCUUAUCUAUUUGUUCAUUUUUCUUUGCUUUUGUUUUUUCCUAACCUUUUUCACACCGUUUAAUGUAUUUUCUGUGGUUUCUUUUUUACUAGUGAAGGCCCGCGCUACGCGGCAAAAAAUUUAUAUAAAUUCUAAAAUAUUUUAAAUUAUAUAGUAAAUAAAAGACAUAAGUAGUACAUUAAUUUAUACAUUCAACUAUACUUUAAAAAAAAAAUAAUAGCUGUUAUGAGAGGUUCAAUAUUUGUCUUCACAGUCUUCAUCAACAUCACCUAAACUGUAAAGUUAGUAAUAUAAGAUUACCAUUUGUAAAAUAUCAACUAAUAAAUUUUAAUUUUAAUAAAAAAAGUUAGAAAAGGAAAAAAAGAAGAAAAAAGAUUGUUGGUCCCACAAGAAAAAGGGCAAAAAAAAAAUCCGUACCGCGCCGGCUCGCGCCCGCUCCCUCCCGCCCACAAUCCAUCGAAAUAAGGAGAUAUUCGAUGUAAAUUUAAAUUUCAAUUUAAAAUUAAAUUUUAAAUUUUAAAUAUAUAUAUAUAUAUAUAGAGAGAGAGAGUAUGGCUAGAAUACUUUUACAAGUAUCACCCAAGUGAUACUUGUGUGUUUUUAGUAUUUGGAUGGAGAGAUGUGAGAUUAAGAUGAUGGGGGUAGGUGGUGGUAGGUGGAAUAGUGUUUGAUCCAAGAGCUAUUUGUAAUCAAAAAGUAGAUCCAAUGGCUAAAAAGGUGAUAGCAACAUGGGAAUGAUAUUUGUAAAAGUAUCCUGGAUCAACUCUAUAUAUAUAUAUAUAUAUAUACAACACAAUAGACAUAUAUCAACAGUGGGCCCCCUCUAAUCCAACGCACAAGGGUUGAUUCUUCUCAAACACGACAAAAGAAUCGUAAUCCGUGCCGUGACGUCAUCGCCCACUCCGCUUCGUCCUCGUCGUCGUCGUCGUCCUCCUCCUCCUCCUCCUCCUCCUCCUUUCGAGCCCUUAAAGCCUUCUUUUUCCCCAUAUCUUCCUCACUAUCCUUCUCCUCUCACGAAAACCUAAUCCUAGAAGCCGCGAUCCUCUUGUUUCUCCCCGAUCGAUCCAUUUCUCCGAUCCCUUGCCAUGGCGACCGACUCUUCGAAUCGAGGUGAGCGUCCCGUUUCCAUCUCCUUCUGCUUGCUCUCCGAUUCGAUUCGAUUCGAAUGCGUUGAUUUCAUCUCGGAUCGGUGGUAGAACCAAUUUUUUGAUGAAAUUGAGAUGAGCUUUUGAUUUGUUUGAUAUCGGAAUUGGAAUAGGAAGUGCUUUAAUUCCCCUUUUAUUGCGUGUUUAAUGCUUCUGCAGGUAUCGGAUUGCCGCCGCUGGAUAUCUCCGCUGCUUUUCCUCAGGCAACACCUGCUUCGAUCUUUCCCCCUUCAGGUUCGAUAUUUAAAAUUUUACUGAUAAUUUUUAUAUGUGUAUAUAUACAUAUAUAGAGUGCGGCUAGUAUACUUAUGGAAGCACGGAGGCCUCCGUGCUUCCAAGUUGUUUUCGAUAUUCGGACUUUCGAAUCGACGAUCGGCUCCGUUAGAGUUGAUCUAGAGUAUUUGAAGAACCUAGAAAAUAAAUUUUGCGAUUUUUCAAUAUCAUUUGCCUAGUGAUCGAAGGGGCUCAAAAUCAACGGCUGAAAAUAAAAAUCUCACAAAAUGUGAUGAUAUGACAUUAAAAAUUUAGAUCAAAUAUAUUGAUCUUAUUUUAUAUAGUAUAAAGAAUUUUCUAUCAAAAUUUUACAUGAUUUGAAUAUUUCUACACCGUUAAACUUGCAACCAGCUCACCUCGGCCAUUAAAAUUAUUAAUUUUGAGCCCCUUUGAUCACUAGGUAAAUGAUAUCGAAAAAUCAUAAAAUUUAUUUUCUAGGUACUUCAAAUACUCUAGAUCAACUCUAACGGAACCGAUCGUCGAUUCGAAAGUCCGAACAUCGAAAACAACUUGGAAGCACGGAGGCCUCUGUGCUUCCAUAAGCAUACCAGCACAACUCUACACACACACACACACACACACACACACACAUAUAUAUAUAUAUAUAUAUAUGUAGAUGUACGGGGAAAAAUGUCAAAACGCGCCUCGAACUUUAGAGCUUUGUCAAAUGAACUCCCAAACUUUAAAAUUUGGCUACUAGACCCCCUAAACUUAAUAGUUUGAUCAGUCCUUUCCGUUAAGUGAAGUUACUGAUUGAACAACCGUCGCAGUGGCAUGUCUCUCAGAGAAUUUUGUAAAGCUUCAAAAUACAGGAAAGAAAAAAAGAAAAAACUACUACUUUUCUCAGGGAUGGAACUAAAGAAUCGUAAUUGAAGAAGAGGGCAGCUCCCUUUUCAACUUCUACUCCUUUUGUUCAAGCAUUACAGUAGAAAAAAAUAGGCUUUGUUCUAUUUAAUUGAAAGCUUCAGAAGAUCAUAUGAAAGGCAUUUGUUAGGACCGGCUACUUAAUUGUUAUCUUUGCUUGAGAAGAAGGGCCCCUAUUGAACUAUUUGAUGAAGUUUAGGGGGUCGUGUUGCCAAAAUUAAAAGUUCAAGGGACUAUUUGCCAAACUAUGAAGUUUAGGGUUUAGGGGUCGUGUUGCUUGGCGGACAGAGAAAUAUGGAGCUUUUGCUUUGGCGGGAAGUAGAAAUGUUAUUGUGAGGCCCAAAGCUCUCGAGCAAGUCUUUCUUUACUGACACUUAAUCUGUUGAACUCACAGUUUCAGACUAUUAUCAAUUUGAUGAUCUGUUGAAUGAUGAAGAAAAGGCCUUACGGAAAAAAGUUCAAGCGUUUAUGGAGAAAGAAGUUGCUCCCAUAAUGACAGGGGUAUGUCUCUACUUCCCUGUCCAUUUUUCUAGAACUUCUAAGCUGUGUAGGAAGUAAACUAAUCUGUAAUUCACUAAGUUGCAGAUGCCAACAUGGAACUUCUUGUGUAAUGUUUUUUUUUUUUUUCCAAUGCAAUUCUUAUGUAGGUGCAUUUCUAUUUUUCUCUGUAUGUCUAUAACCCAUAUUAAAUCUUGCAUAUUUUAAGUUGCUAUAGCUACUGUUUGGUCUGACAAAAUGUUGUGAUUGGUGGUGCUCUACAAGUGGGAUUGUAGUAAACUUGCGAAAUUGGGACUGUAGAAGGUAAAAUAAAUGCAGGUUGUUAACGGUAAUUGGUCCUUUGUAUGGACGGGUAAGCUGGUCAAGUUUCACUGGUUUUUGUCUAAAUGCAUCAAUUUGAUUUAUGUUUAACUGAAUCAACUUAGCUUGACAUCAUAUGAGAUUCUUAGUCCAUUGAAAUCAAGGAGUAUUGGUCAAAUCAUUUGUUCUGUAAUUUGUUGAGCUGUCUCCUUUUGACAGUAUAUUUCAACUUGCCCAACCUAAAUAUAACUUCAUUGAUGAUUUAAAAUGCCUAAGCAUGUCCUUGAAAACACGGUUAGGUUUAGACAUAGUGAAAACUAUUUCUAUAGGUUAGAAUUGCAUGUCAUGUUAUUGAGAGAAGCUACUACGGGCUUAUAAUUUUACCAUGUAUUAAAUUCAAAAACAAUAUUUUCAAUAGUGUUGCAUUUUAUCUCUUUAGCUUUCGCUUCUUGCUUCAUUAAACGUUAUGGGAGUUUGACUACUGGGAAAAUACAGAGUAGAUCUAAUAUCUUGUACUUGGGCUUAUUAGUUGCCGUAUUAGUAUUUUUUGGUAAAAACCUAUGUAACUUACCUCAAUUAUUGCACAUUUUAAUAUAGGUGCCUCAACAUUAAAGAUUGUGAUUUUAGUUCCUGAUUUUUUUUGUACACCUGGUUUAAGUACCUUUCCCAGAACUUAGUGUACUUGUACAUGCUUUGACAGAAUAUUUUGUUAACUGGAAUAUUCUAUAAAACUGUUUUGAUAGACUCUGUCAAAACUUGACGGGAUUUUCUGAAAUUUAAAGUGCUGAAAGGUUAGAUAGUAAAAUUAAAAUUUCUAAAUAUCAGGCAGCUAUUUCAACAAUUAUAUGAUAGAAUUCAGGUAAGGACUAUGUUUUUACUAUAUUUUUCAUACAGUUUUUGUCCCAUUAUUGAUGCUUUCUAUUUUGAUGCAUCUUUUCUGGUGUUAAUUCUUCCAUAGAUAUGACUACAGCUUUCUUUUUGCAGUACUGGGAGAAGGCUGAAUUUCCUUUUCAUGUUAUUCCCAAACUUGCUGAACUUGGAAUUGCUGGAGGAACUGUUAAGGUACGUAUCAGUUUAUCCUUGGCUAAGUUCUACUAGUAGCAAUACUACCAAGAAUGUACCCUAGAAUGUACUUGACAAGUCAAUGCUGCGCAUGGCCAUUUGUGAUUUGUAAAGUUAUUCAUUUUUUAGGCAUGACAUUCAACAUGGACAUCAAGUUUUAAAGCUAAAGAAUUACUAUUUGUCAUGCAUACGAUGUUGAUUCAUCAACAAAUAUUUUGUGGUACAUUCUAAGAUAUGUGUAGAAUACUCUUCUUCUAGUGUGCUCAAAGAUAUUUUGGACAUCUUUUUCUAGGGUUAUGGCUGUCCAGGGCUUUCCAUUACUGGAAGUGCUGUUGCCCUGGCUGAAAUGGCUCGGGUUGAUGCUAGCUGCUCCACUUUUAUUUUGGUGCAUUCUUCUUUGGCAAUGCUUACAAUUGGUAAGCAUUUCUAAGUUGGCUUUAAGUAAAUCUAACCUGUCGAUCUAGUCCUGUAAGAAUGUUAAUUUGCAGAUUUUUAACCGCUGAUUUUUCUUUUUUAUGUUUUGAUCUGUUUCAACGAGAGCAGCACUAUGUGGAUCGGAAGAACAAAAGCAGAAAUACUUACCUUCAUUGGCCAAACUUCAAACUGUUGCUUGCUGGGUAAGUUUAUUCAUGAAGUUGAUAGGGGCUUUUGAAUAUAUAUCCCUGCAAAAUUGUUUAUUUACAUAUGUACACUUGUAAAAUCCUAAUUUUCAUUCAUACCCUUCGAAAGUGCAAUUUUUUUAAAAAUACCCUUCAUCUUAUGGGGGAGUCGCUAAUUGCUGGGGAAGUCGGUUUUGUAUUAUAGAAAAAUUGUUAGAGAGUGGCAGUUCUGUAAAUAUCACGGUACUUGGGGUAUCUAUGCAACAACACUAAGUUAUUAAAGGUCAUCGAUGAGAUAAUUCAAUUUGAAGUGGGUGUGUAUAUGUUAACACCAUAAUUUCAUAUGUUCAGUGAGAUGCAAUAUGAGUUUAUCAAUGAAUUACAUGCUGCAGGCUUUGACUGAGCCAGAUUACGGAAGUGAUGCGAGUUCUUUGAGAACCACAGCAACUAAGGUAUGAUUCUCAAGUAUUUAGAUUGAGUGGUAAUUAAAGCCACUUAUAUUGUAAAAUCAUUGAUACUUAAUACAUGGCUUGCUAAUUGCUCUUUUUUGUUUUAUGUCAAAAUUCUAGAACUUCCUGCUAACAAAUUUAUGUUUAUUCUUCUGAUAGAACAGGUCUCAGGAGGUUGGCUUAUAGAUGGCCAAAAGCGAUGGAUAGGUAACAGUACAUUUGCAGAUAUUCUUGUUGUUUUUGCUCGGAAUACAAAUACGAACCAAAUUAAUGGGUAAAUCCUCUUAAUUUCUGAUCCUGAGAGCUUGUUCUUACAUUUUCUACCCUGGUUGGAGCUUCUUUAAAAAAGCAUGCGAGUUUUCGAAAAAGUGCUUACACCUUUUCGUUGGUACCCCCUCAAACAGCUUUCCUUUGUAGCACAAGCAGAAAUGUCAAAUUGGUUGUUCUGCCUUUGGGGUUCAGAAUCAUAUUUCAGCUUCCAACCACAAAAGCUCCAGUCCAUUUGCUGGCCAAUCACAUAGCUAUUGCUUUUUGGAAUAGAGAAGCUAUUCAAAAAGCCAGGCCAAAAAGUACAAUAAAUCUAGAAUAGAGCAAACACAAUGCCUUGUAAUAAAAUCAGUUUUGUUUCUUUACAGAUUUAUUGUGAAGAACGGCAGUGCAGGAUUAGAAGCCACUAAAAUAGAGAACAAAAUUGGUCUUAGGAUGGUUCAGAAUGGUGAUAUUCUUUUUAAUAGAGUAUUUGUCCCUGAUGAAGAUAUGUUACCUGGCAUCAAAUCGUUUCAGGAUACAAGCAAGGUAUUGUGAAUUUCUUCAAUAUGAUGAGAACAAGGUUUUUAUUGCCCAUAGGCAUGGGCCGUGCCUACCGUAUCAUACUGUGCCAAGAGAAUAUUGGCACGAUAUGAUCCUCGUGCUACAUUGCAUGACUCAACAUUAUCUUUUUGUUGAAAUUAGUUAUUGUCUUAAUAAAGUGUAAAAGAUUUGAUGAGAUAUACAGCAAGCAAUUAGAAUAUUGUGCUCAUGGGAAAAUAAAUAUUUCAUGCUAUAGUGUGUCGGCACACAUGCGUUUUUGUGACCGGCACACAUCGGCAUGGCACGACAUGCAUUGUGCCAUACCAUGCCAGCAAGUUCUCAACACGACCUUGCGCCAUGGCAUUUAAAUCCUUGGAUGAGAAUCGAGAACCAGCUGCUUAUUAUAGGUAUGUUAGUUUUGUUGUUCUAUAAAUUUAGAUUUUCGAAUUCUCUUAACUUUAUGACCCAGAGGGACAUUCUUGACUUAGCGAAUGGACAUUUUAGUGUAACAAGAAAUUAGGCCUCACUUGGUAUUGUUGCCAUUUUUUUGUUUUUUAAAAUACAAUUUCUACAUAAAAUAGUGUAGGAGGUGAUGAUAGAUUGCCUGUAAUUCUUACAUCUAAGGUGUUUGUUUGGCAACAAAAAAUAAAAAACUUGGAAGCAAUUUUUUUUUACUUCCAAAAUUUUUGAACAAGUUGUCAUCCAUCACUUUACCGAAGCGUAUCACAAGCUAACCAAUAAUGACAAAAGGAAGAAAUCCUUUUAGCUGGUAUGUCAAAUUAUAUAAAAUUAGUAUCUUAAAUAAACAAAAAGAUGGCAGUGGUGCCAAACAAGACCUAAAAAAUUCCUUCUUGAUGAAUAAUAUAGCAAGGAAAAGAAAUUUUGUCAUCCAGAUUUCCUUCUUGAUGCACUAGUAUUUUCCGUUUUCAGUAGGAAAAAACCAUUGAGGAACAAGAGGAGGAGAAUCAAGGCAAAACAAUGCUGCGUAGCAGCCAAAAAAAGAAUGUAGAAAGCAGGACAAUUUGGAAACCAGCCGAUUAAGAUGGUAUCAGUCUUUCAGCUCCUGUGGCACAAAAUAUAGCAGCUCAUGCACCAUUAGGAAGGGCUAGGGAGAAAGUUCCAUGUUAUCAGCCUGUGGAAAAGAAUAUCCAUCACUGGAUAUGUAACAACUUAGUCCACUAGCGCUAAUAACUUAUUAAACCAAACCCACCAGCCCAAAUGCUUAGUCCAAUUAUUAGUAUUAGAGCCCUUGGUCCUUUAAUUCAGCAGGAUAAAAGUGAGGCGAGACAACGAACAUUGUCCAAGAACGAGCCCUUAGAAAAUAAAUGGGAACAAGGCUUAAUCUACAACCUGCAUCAGAAUUUAAUUAAUUUCUCCUAUGACUUACUUUUUUGAUACAGCAAACCAGUAGUUAUGGAGAGACUUUGCUAAAUGAUGAAAAGUUAUGCAGUUUGUGUUCAAUGCAAGUUAUUGUUGAAACCUGUGUGAAGCCUGUGUUUCAAAAUAGCAGUUUGAAGAUUGUUUUGUAAAUUUUAAUGAGUCCAUAGUUAUACACUUUUCCCCUGUAUUAAAAUCUCACUUUUAUGGGCUCCUUUUAUAUUGGGAUUAAUCAAUUUGAUACUGGGAAUUCUAGUCGUCAAAAAUUCUUUUUUUUUUUUAUUUUAUAUUAAUGCAGCAACUAUUUUCUGUAUAUAACUAAUAUUUUGUCAAAUCGGAAUAUGUCAAAGCCAGUUUGGGUUAACUAAAAUGCCCUUUUGACCUAUCAAACCCGUUUCAUCGAGUAUAUUGACAUAGUACUGGAAUGAAAAAAAUUGCUUGUUUUUAAAUCUAUAUUCAGUUUAUCAGAAUGCCAAAUGACCAAGCUGAUUAUAGCCAUCUUUACACGAAAUCAGAUUUUAAUUUCUCAUUUUAAUUGGACUGAACGAUUUGUCUGCUUGGAUUAUGGACUUGGACUAUGGACUUCUUAAUGUAAACCAAGGAUUAAAUCACGAAGGUGAAGUUAGGCAAUUAGAAUUAUCAUGUCCUUGCUUAAAAUGAUUCUGAAAAAUGAUUCUGCCCGUGGCAUAAUUACUGCUAUGAUGGUAUGAUCUAUUUUGUGCGCUUCUCUAUGUUUUAACAUUCUCAUCCUUUUCUUUCUCUAUUUAUAUUUUUCCAUUACUAUUUCCUUCAAUACAAUUUGAUCAGGAUUUCUCUCACUCGGGAUCACUAAAGAAAAUUUUCAUUGGUUGCAACAGGUUCUUGCUGUUUCACGUGUAAUGGUUACAUGGCAACCUAUUGGCAUAUCGAUGGGAGUGUUUGACAUAUGUCACAGGUAUCAAAGUAUUUGAAAAAUAUUUAGAGUGUGCAGCCUUCAAAUUAUGUAUUUACAUAUGUACUUAAAUAUCCUAGUGAAAUCUGAAUAUUCAUUUAUGCCCUGCAAAAACUUAAUAUGUUGCAUGGAUAUAUACAUGUGAAAGCCCCAAGACCAUUCUAUCAUUUUCACCUAUUUUAUUUCAAUAGUAUGAUGAAAACUGAAAUAGGUAUCUAAAAGAGAGGAAGCAAUUUGGAGCUCCAUUAGCAGCAUUUCAGCUUAACCAAGAAAAGCUUGUUCGGAUGCUUGGCAACAUUCAAGCUAUGCUUCUUGUUGGCUGGCGCCUUUGCAAGUUGUAUGAAUCUGGGAAAAUGACUCCAGGUCACGCUAGCUUGGGGAAGGUUGGUAUACUAUUUUUGGGAAAAUAAUUCCUAAUAAUUUGCUUUCAAUAGUCUCUGAUGAUUAUUGUUAAGCUGUUUUUUCCCCUUAAAUGUGACUAAGUAAUCUUAUUCACAGGCAUGGACUUCGUUGAAGGCGAGAGAGACAGUUUCGCUCGGCCGAGAAUUGCUAGGCGGCAAUGGAAUUUUGGCCGAUUUUCUAGUUGCGAAGGUUGAAAUUUUCUCCUUGGACGUCGAUCACUCUCUUUCAAUUGCUUUUUCUUUUGUCUAUUAUUUGCUUAUUUUAAAUUGCUUUACCUAUUCAAGGAAUUUAAGUCCGCAUUAAGACUCUUUAGCUAAAACAAGAAAUCUCGAGUGCCUUCUACAUCUUCAUGCCUUUUGCAAAAGUAAUCUAUUCACAUAUGCAUCCGAGUAGAAUCUUCAUUGCCAAUAUGUACCCCUUGAAGUACAGUUUAUCUAAAAAUACCUUUGCUUAAGUUGGGGAGUUGUUGAAUACAUUGGCGGCCUGGUUUCAGAGGGUAGUUUUUUAAUAGUGCAAGGGUCUAUUUGUAAGAAAUUUAGUUUUAGAAAGGCAUAUAUGUAGAUAAUUUUAAAAAAGGGCAUGUAUGAAAAAUUCAGAUUUUGCAGUGAUAUUUAUGGCAUAAUAUGGGUACUCGUUCUGGGGUGUAUAUGUAGACACCCUUGAUUCGAAGUACAUUUAAGUUUUUAGUUACUACAGCACUUUUGUAAAAUGUAAGUUGAUUUAGUAAUAAAUAUUUUGGCCAAAAUUUAAUCAUAAUAAUAAUUAACUUGUUUUAUUCUUGGUCACCGCAGGCAUUCUGUGAUCUCGAGCCAAUCUAUUCAUACGAGGGCACCUACGACAUCAACAGCCUGGUGACGGCGAGAGAGAUCACUGGGAUCGCAAGCUUCAAACCUGCAAUGCUGGGAAAAUCAACACGAAGCCGUCUUUAAUCUUAACUGGAUAAUUCAUGCCUUAUUCUUGUUAGAGAAAUCGUUAUAUCCGGUAUACAAAACUAGUUUCAACCGUGUUGUCUCCAAGGGAGCAGAUGAAAGAAUGUAGCACACAGCAGAGUAGGGCAUGGAUUAUACAUGUGUGUUUGAUGUAGCAUCAGAUCAACUUCUUUAAAUUUUAUGUAAGAUCAACUUGUUUAAAUUUAUACAAGCACCACAAAAUAUCUUUGCGGUGGUCGUGGCCAAUAUUAUUUAUCAAACCAGAAUGGAGAGAAUGCGAGAUGAUCUGUUUAUUGGCGUGGCUUAUGUAUUUUUCUUACAUUGCUUAGGGGGGUGGUGGGGGGCGGGGUGCACGGAAAAUCAUGAACAAUAGGUGUGCAUGAAAAUGAAAUUUUUUUAAAUGAUUUUUUUUUAAUGUUUUGUAAUGUUUGGUUUGAAAAAAAAAGUUUUUUCAUUAAAAUUUUUAUGGUUGAAUAAAAGAAAUUAUAUUUGUUUUGUUUUAUAAAGAAAAUGAAUGAAAAAAAUUUUACGCAAUUUAAGUUUUUGUUUUUUAUAAAAAAUCGGCGGAAAAUGAAAUUCCUUAAAUUUAUAAAAUUAGUUUUUCAAAAAAAAAUUUACAACUAAUCAAAGGCACGAAUAUUAAUUUUUUAAAUCAAAAAAAUAAAUUUUGAUAUACUUUACGACCAAUUAAACACAUCUUAAAUCAAAUGUAAAGGCACUGUUUAUCCCGUCACACCGUCGUAACUAGGAAGAAUAAUUUUAUCAAAUUCUUACCGUGAUAUUGAAAGCUCAUCUCUCUCCACUCACUCCGUAAUUCUUACCCAUUUGUCCAAAUUGAAAUAAAAGACUUUCAAUAUUUAACGAAUAAAGAUAAUACUUAAAAUAGAAGAAUCAAUUGUUAAAAAAAUAAUAGAAUCAACUGUUAGAUGAGUAGUCCUUAUCAUUUCGUCUACUCUCAUAAUUCUAAUCCAAUUGUUCAUCAAAAGAAAAAAUAAAAUCAAAAUUUAAGUGGUGGAGAUUUAAUUUGGAAAAUAAAAAAAAAAUUCCGAAAAGGACAGGGUGCACGGCUGACGUGGUGCGCACGGUUCAGGCAAUAAUCUCUUCUCGCACACUCGGGGCGCACACGCCCUACGCGGAGAGUGGGGAGAGCGAGAAAACCCUAAAUAAGGGCACCCAUCGGAGCCCUUAAAAUGGUAGUGGUAGUAGCAUCUCCCUCCCCUCUCUCCCUCCUCCCUUCCUCCUACUCCCUCUCCUUCCCCUUCCCCGCCGCCUUCGUCCUCCUCGGCCGCCGCCGCCUCCGCUGCCGCCCCUUCGACUCCGCAGCCGCCUCCGGUGAGCCUCCGGUGACGCCUCCUCCCUUCCCCUCUCCUUACUUGGUUCGUUGUCUGGAGAGAUUACAGAGCCCUACAUAUGCGCGUUUGUGUUGCUUCGAGGGAGUUGGUUUUGGAGUAGGUGAUUUGGAUGCUUCUGUUGAUUAGAUUUUCAUAUUGUGGCUCGGUUAGAUGGUUGGUGAUUCAUUGGAUUGAUUGGGAGGGUAUAGAAGGGGAGGAUUUUAGGGUUUUUUCGUGUGUCAACUCAAUUUUUCGUGGAAUCGGAUGGGAAAAGUUGGAACUUGAUUCAAUUCGUGGGGUUGUAUCCACCACGUGUUUGUCGAUUGUUCUCACUGAGUAAAUUGGUAGUAUCUUUUAGAGCACUUUGAGAUUUUCUUUUCUUUAUUUCCUCCCCCCCCCCUCCUUCUUCUGAGAAACUCGAUGGCCUUGUGUUUGAGUGUGCUGCUUUUUUUGCGAAAAUGGCGUUCUCAAGUUUAUCAUGAGUUUCCUUGCAUGCACUGUUUUUGUAAGAUUUUAUUAUGGGGCAAAAUUGCAGUCCUGGAAAAUUUGUAUGCUUGGAAAUAAUUGUAGUAGUCUUGUUUGGCUGCAAUGAACCUAGACAGGUCACCUUGGAGCAAUUUCAAGAAGAUUAGUUUCGAUUACAAAGAAUCCAAGCCUUCGCGCCAUGGGAGAUGAGGUAGCUUCGACAUCAGCUCCUCCACUAGAGGAAGCACCAAAUACUGUGAGUUAGCAGCUUAUUCUUAUUAUCUUUCUGCUAGUUAUUGCUCUAAAUGCUGUUGGUAGCUUUUAUUUACCAAAUCUUCAGCCUAACAAUUUGUUUUUUCAAUGUAGUGUAUAAGAUAUAGAUAUGUGUUACUGAAAUUUCAAACUGGACACUAACAAACUCUGUGAACUUGGCUAAUUUGUUAUGAUUCUCGAGUUAUGCUAUGAAUGAUACCCAUGAACAAUAUUUAUAUGGUUGCGCUGGUCAGUCAUUUUUGGCCUCCAAAAUGGAAUUAAAUGUUUUCUAGUCACAGACUGAGCCUAACUAGCUUGUCUACUUACAUUAAAGUUAAAAAAAAAAUCACCUUCUUCAGUAGGUUCUAUUAUGAAAGACAUCUUUUCCUUUUUUGUUGUGUAUUUCCCUUUCCGAGGACUUCUGUAUGACAGUCUUUUUUGUUUAUCUCCAUUGGUGAAUUUAUUGCCUUUGAUUACGGAAUUUACCUUAUCUUCAUACGCAUUUUUGGUCAAGCGGAAUUUACCUUAUUGUCAUACACAUUUUUGGUCAAGUCAGUAGUUGGAUCAACCACCAACCUUCUAUCAUUCCUCUCCAUUUUAUUUUGGUUUUGAAUUUUUAUGCUUUUUCAUGAAUUCUUCUUUCUUCUGAAGUGCUGUUAGAUGUUUGGUAAUCUGGAACUUGCUUCCAAGAUCAUAUAAAUAGUUGAUCUUUCCUACGUUCUUUUCAUUAUUUUUUAAAUUUUGCCUUGAUUUCAUUCUUCUGCUAUGUGUUCCUCUUAAUUUUUUCAUGUGGACGGCAUCUAGAUGGCUUUGUAUUCCUGUUACUUGAGGGUUCUGUUAAAUUUUUUAUUCCAGUAUAGUUGAAAUUGAUCCAAUAUAUGGCAGGAGGGAGAUAAAACUGGAAGCGUGAAGCAACUUCUGUCAAAAUUAGUCAAAUCAUCUCUUCGAGCAACAUUCCCCGAUUUGUUGGAUAUAGAGCCACUUGUUGCAGCCUCAGUAAAAUUUGGUGACUAUCAAUGGUAUAUGUCUUGGCUUGUCUUGCAUGAUAUUUAAUACUUAUCUAUCUAUUAAAGUUUUUACUUUUGAUUAAGACAUGAAUUAUUAAAAAAAAAAUGCUUCUUUAGUACUAAGUUGAUAUUUAUAGUAUUUUUUUUUUGGUCCUUUUGUAAUGACAAUUGUUGAAGUGUAAUGACAAUUGUUGAGGUAUCUUGAUGCAGCAACAAUGCCAUGAGUCUGUGGUCAAGAAUAAAAGGGUCGGGCACAAAUUUCAAGAACCCCAAUUCUAUAGGGCAGGUUUGAUUUGUUUAUGCUUGUAUAAAUUUAGCAUGUAGCUAGUUUAUCUACAGUCUUGUGGAGAUCUUCUUCCAUAUUUGCAAAUUCAUUCUUUCUAGUUUCUUUUUCUGAUAAAGUGAAAAUAUUACUUUCCAUUCUGACACUGCAUUAUUUCAUUGCCCCCAGGCCGUUGCAAGAAAUCUUCCUCCUUCCGACAUCAUUGAAUCCACUUCUGUUGCAGGACCUGGAUUUGUGAAUAUAAUUUUGUCCAACAGAUGGGUUUCGGAGGUAAGAAACAUAUAUCUUGCUUGUUAAUUGUUGGGACUUUUAUAAAUAUAUCCCACAAGAUAAUAUAUCUACUUCGAUGCUGCUGUAUAAGCUGACUUUUUUAUAUACCCUUGAAAAUUUUAGUUUCAAAGAAAAUUACCAUUAUCUUAAGUUGGGGGGAGAUUUAAUUCAUGGGGGAAGUUUAUUUUAUGUUAUUUAUAGAGUUUCAUUUUAAAGAGGGCUAUAUGAAUUAUGAAGGCAUAUGAAAUACAAAAGAAGUUAAGUAUUUGAGGAGUAUAUCAGCAUAUGCAGUACAAAAGAUUAAGUAUUUGAAGAGUAUAUAAGCAUAAGAGGUACAAAAGAGAUCAGUAUUUGAAGAGUGUAUGUGAAAAGUCAGAUUUUGCAGGGGUAGUAAUUUUUUUUUUUUAAUAUUAGUUGCACUUACUAUUCGAAAUGCUAACCUUGGUUAAUUGAUCUGUGUUAUUGUAGAGAAUCCAUGACAUGUUAAUAAAUGGCAUUAAAAAUUGGGCACCGGCGCUUCCUGUCAAGAGGGCUGUGAUUGAUUUUUCGUCACCUAAUAUUGCAAAGGAAAUGCAUGUCGGCCAUUUAAGGUCCACGAUAAUUGGAGAUACUCUAGCACGCAUGUUUGAGUUCUCCAAUGUUGAAGUUCUCCGACGAAAUCAUGUUGGCGACUGGGGCACCCAGGUAACUAUUUUCAGGUUUCAAUUUUCAAUCCUGGCUGGCCGGCGCUAGCAGUUGUUUUGGUUCCUGUUGUUUUCAUACUUGUUUUGCCUGGAUUUUUGAGCCUAGAAGCUGAAGUAGUGAAGUUUGACGUGUGGGAAGUACUAUAUUAAAUUUUAAUUGUGGCAGAACAUUGAAAUAUGCUUCUAGGCCACAAAAGCAUAAGAUAUGAUUGCAGCUCUGCUUUUCUGGAGUAGGAAGUUGUUUAUAAUUAUUUUCAUGAAAGAAAAACUAUUAAGGCUUCUUUUAACAGCUUAAGCAAACAGCAGAUUUGCAGAAGCUUUACUCAGGCCAAACUAACAGUCUUUAGAUGUUCUAUUAUUGGUCUAUUGUACUGAAACAUCUGGAGUGGUCAUUGUUUUCAAAAUUGAUUGUUUUUUUUUUGUUUAACUUUGAUAUUCUUUUAGGUAUAUGGGGUAAUAGAAGUUUUCCUUGUAAUUGUGCAUUUUAUUCCGGUGGAUUAUAUAACAUCUCUUACUUGACCCAAUUAUUCUUGUAAUGUGUACAGUUGCUAAUUUAUUAGCUAAAGGUAAUGUCUGUUGAAGUUCCUGUUUACUGUAACUCGUUAUUGUUCUAUAAAAUUUUGAGACUUGUUCAGAAUUUAUGUAAUUAAUUGUUGAAGCUUCCGGAGGAUGGAUUUUUUGGUAUUAAUAUCAGUUAUUUGCAGUUAAUCAAAUACUGGGUUGACACUCUUGUUCUUUUCUUUACGACAAAAAGGAGGUGCUUAGAUAGUUAAUAUGGGAGAAUAUUAAUAUAUUGUACUUGCGGACAUUGUAAGAUCGUUUUUUUUUUCGGAGCCAUAUUUUUGAGGAUUGAGUGGGUUAAUAAGACAAUUGUAUUCAUUUCCAGAAUAUGUCAUUGUUAGCAUUUGGCUUGUUGUAUUUUAUGUUUAGAUAUCUGUAAAAUUUACUUUCCGGGCAUAGUAAAAUAUGUAAUUUUACAUAUUUUAAUCAUUUUAUGGUUGAUUUACAUAAUAGUGACAAAGAAUCUCUUAUUUGGUUUUGAACUUUUUUUUUUUCCUGUUCCUUUGCAGUUUGGAAUGUUGAUAGAGUACUUAUUUGAGAAGUUCCCUAAUUGGGAGGAUGUUGGGACUCAAGCCAUUGGAGAUCUUCAGGCGAGCACAAUAUAAUGUUUAUAAUUUAGCAUAAUAGUGAACUUCAGCUUCAUUACAUGUAAAAUGAUGCGGGUAUUUACAUAAUUUGAGCUAUAUGACAGUUUAUAAGAUAAAUAACAAUAAUAAUUGUCCAUGUUGCUUAAUGGUUUCCAAUUAUACUCACUGACUAAAUUGAGUUCUUAGACUGUUCCAUUAUGUUUUCUGUCCCAUACAUACCCUUUUUAUAGCUUCAAGUUCUUGAAUGAAAAGAUUCGACCUUUUACUGUAGAUUGACAUUGAAUAUUAUUGUGCGAAUGUUCUUCAGCAUAGAAGCUUUGAAGAUGCAUGUCUUUACAUUAUUGUGUGUGCUAUUAUUGAAGUUUGGAUAAUGCUUUUCAUUUUUCACUUUGCAUGAUACUAAUUGCUUCUCUAUGUUGAUCAUGAAAAAUGUAAAAUUGGAAAUUAUGUCUAUUUUUUAAAUCUUUUUAAUUAUUUGGCAAUCCAAGCUAGGAGUAUUUGCAUCAGAAUUUUAGUAUUCUUGGCCAUGUCUGCGGUUGUAAUUUCUAGUGUGUUGGCUUUUUAAAUCUAUUUAUUUCUUUCUCACUAGGCCUCCCUGUCUUUAAUAGUGUUCUAAUAUGAAUGUUCUCCUUCAGGAAUUCUACAAGGCAUCUAAAAAAAGAUUUGAUGAUGAUCCGGCCUUUAUGGAACGGGCUCAGCAGGCAGUAGUUAAGUUGCAGGUAUGUAUCUUUUGUGAUGCAGAUUGUUACACACCGUUGGCUUUUGUUUUCUGUAUACAGUCCACUUAUUUCAUCUUAUAUUCUAUAUUUGCAACUUAAUUAUGAAUUUAUGAAUUAAGGAGUGCUUUGGCUUAUGAAAUGGUAUUUCGAACCAAAGUUAUAUUGAAAAAAGUAAAUCUAAACAGCAAAAUAAAAAGGUGGUCUGUUUUUGCAGCAUGGCCAGAUUUGGAUAAAAGGAAAAAAAGGAUCACCGAUACCAUCAUUAAAUGUAUUUUUGGACGCAGAGAUUGCAAGUUGCAACAUAUUCUUGGAGUUGUGGAAUUUCUACUUAAUUUAGACAAUCAUCAUUUCUCUUAUAUUUACAUGUUUAUUUUUUUUUAUCUUUUCUCUUAUAUUUACAUGUUUAGUUUUUUUAUAGGGAGGAGAAGCUAAAUACCGUGAUGCCUGGAAAAAAAUCUGUGAAAUCAGCAGGAAUGAGUUUGACCAAGUCUAUCAGCGGCUUAAUGUUGUUUUGGAAGAAAAGGUAUAGCUAGUAUACCAGUUAUGCUACUAUUGAUCUCUUAAAAUCUAGCUUACUAGUUACUAGAUUGUUUCAAGAAAGACUGCCAGCUUAAUGUCCAACACUCCAACAUGAAGGUCAUUCUAACUUUGGGUAAUGAAUGGUUGUUCACUUACCACUUGUUUUUGCUGACUGCACAUCACUUAAUGGCUAAACUACCAUUUAAGAUGCAGGCUGUGGUGUAUGCGGUACUUGGAUUCGCUAAUUUAUCUUUCACUGCUUUCUUUUCUUCAAGAAGUGUAAAUGUUGAAACUUUUUUAGUUUUUCUUGAAACAUCACUGUCAGAGCAUGAGGCCCAGCUUUUGGAGAAGCUCUCUUAGGCUAGAGCUGUUCAAAGAAUCUAUGGCAGCUUUUUUGUUAAGAUCUCCUCAGCAGAUUGCCACUAUAGUGGAAGCAAAAGUUUCAAUAUGAAGUUUAUAAUUUUCGGACCUAAAAGCUUGUUUUGACUUUCUCCGACUGCAAAACCUCUGGAAUAUUUGUUUCCCAAACACCAUGUCUGUCUAGAAGCAUGGACUUGUAAAUCUUGUCGACUUUGAAUUGCUAAUCUUUUCUCUGUUCCCUUUUUUAUCUUUUCAGGGGGAAAGCUUUUACAAUCCUUAUAUUCCAAGUGUUUUAGAGGAGUUAACUAGCAAAGGGUUGGUUAAGGAAAGUGAUGGUGCUCGUGUGAUAUUCAUUGAAGGGCAAACUAUCCCUUUGAUUGUUGUGAAGAGAGAUGGAGGAUACAAUUACGCCUCAACUGACUUAGCUGCUCUUUGGUUAGCUUUCUUGAUUUCAAACCAAAUUCUUUCUGUAGCUCCUCUUGAUCAAUUAGUUUUGCCUCAUUUUGAUUUACUUUUUACAGGACAAUGUAAUUGAGAUUUUAUAUAGCAUGCACUUUUUUUACCCUGCUAACAUGAACCGUUUCUGCCACAAGUUGUCUUACAUUGGUAUAGAUUUUGAUUAUUCACACCUUCCUUUUCAUCCUAAAGGUAUCGGCUUAAUGUGGAGAAAGCAGAGUGGAUAAUAUACGUGACAGAUGUUGGGCAGCAACAGCAUUUUGAUAUGUUUUUCAGUGUAGGUAUCACGUUCCAUAUUCUUUUCUUUUUAUUUCUUUAUUUUUCCUCCUUAAGAAGAUUUAUUGUGUACUUUGUGCAGCCAAUUGUAGUACUUUAUAUUUAUGCAAGAAAACUUGUUGUUCUGUUUCAUUUCAGUCGAGUUAUAUAAGUGGCCAACAAUGACGACUUGUGAAUUUUAGUGGUGGACUUUAAGUAGUUUUCUGGCUGAAUGCGUACAUAUGUACUGUUGCUAAAUUAUGCAUUUAAUUAAUGUAUGCAUCUAGAAACUCUCAAUAUAUUCCCUUCAACUUAAUCUCUUGCAUUUAUAUUCUUGUACUUUCAAAAUGCCCCUGUCGAGAGAAUCUUUUGUAAAAUAAAUCUGAUUGGAUGGUUGCCCAAUCUAAGAUGAAGGUGUUUCCUUUUUUAAGAAACUGCACUUUCAAGGGGUAGAUAUGAAAUUCAGAUUUUACCAGAUUAUAUGUGUGUAAAUUUUCCUAUCCAAUCCCUGUGACAUGCAUUCUAUAUUUGGUGGGACUUGAACUUCCUCGCUUCCAUUUCAGGCUGCUAGAAUGGCUGGUUGGCUCCCAGACCCUGGGGAAAAGAUGUUUCCUAAAACAAGUCAUGUUGGAUUUGGGCUUGUUCUUGGAUCAGAUGGAAAGCGCUUCCGAACUCGAAGCUCAGAAGUUGUUCGAUUGGGAGAGUUGCUUGAUGAAGCUAAAGCUCGGAGUAAAGCUGAACUCGUACAACGUCUCAAUGAAAAUGGUAAAGUUAUAGUUUCUUGCUUGCUAAUAUCUGUUCUUUGUUUUCUUCAUCUAAGCUUUUCAUUUGUAGGUAAUUUUUUAGAUGGAGGUUUUCCACUUAUGUACCAUUGCAAAAUUUUCAUGUAUGCUCCUGAAAGUGCAGUUUCUUACAGAGUGUGUUAUAACUUACCUAUGAUGCACGGAUACUUCAAAUUUCAUGCCGUACCUGUAUCGGAUACGUAUCGGAUAUCGAUACGCGCCCGAUACGUGCCCGAUACGUGUCCGAUACGAGAAUGAAGUAUCCGGCAUUUUAAAAAUAAAAGAAAUAUCGGAUACGGCUUGGAUACGGGGGGAUACGGGAGGGAUACGGCCAGAUUCUUUUUUGGCCUAAAAUGAUCGGAAUUUUAAAAAAUUUUUAAAAGCCAAUAUCGAAACCUAUUGGAAAGAAGGACGAGUGAGAAAAACACCAAUCUCUAUUUAAUUUGUCAUUUCUUCUAUCUUUUUGCUCUUGAAUAGUAGAAAGCGCUCCUACUCAUUCUAUCUCCACACAGUAUUAAGCCAUAAUUUAGUUCUUCACUGCUCUUUUACUCUUUUUCAUCUAAUUUGUCAACCUAGUAUUAAGCAACAAAGGCUAUAGAGAAUAUGAUUUUUUUUUCUUUUUUAUUAAAUUGCUAGCAUAUUUUCUUUUAUUACUGUUUUAAUAAUAGAACUAAUAAAACAAACAUAUAUGUUGAAUGGUUAAUUAUCUAGUUUGUGUGACUACAUAUUUAUUGUUAUCAUUUGAUCAAAUUGGAGAAUAAUUGGAUGAUUAUUCCAUAUGAACAGAUGUAGGAUAAUUAUACAAGUUAAUGUAUAUUAGAAUAUAUUUCUUAAUAUAAUCCAGAUAUCCUACUUGUUAUCAAUAUAUCAUUUACAUAUAAUCAAUAUAUAUUUAAGUAUAUUUAAAUAAUAUUUUAUACAAAUAUACCCUGCGUAUCGUAUCCUGAAAGUUUUAAAAAGUACCGUAUCACCUUAUCCGUAUCGUGUCAUAUCGAUAUCCCCGUAUCCGUAUCUGUACAACAUAGUAGCUUACAUUCUGUUUCUUGAAAAGUUCUAGUCUCUUUCAAAUAUGCUAUAACUAACAUUCUGUUUUCUGGAUCAGGUAAGAUUGGUGAGUGGACAGAUGAAGAGCUUGAGAAAACUUCUGAGGCAGUCGGCUAUGGUGCAGUCAAGUGAGAUAUUUUUUUCUACUUAAAUUUACUGAAGAAUAGCCAUGUUGAUUUGAUCUCUUCCAGCUUUCAGAUGUAUUUAAAGUGAUAUUUGAAUGCACUAGUAGGAUUUUUCAACUUUGUUGGUGAGGUUAUUGCAAGACUGUCUUUUUACGAACUGCAAUAAUGAAUUUCAAUCAUCUUAAAGGACAUUUGCAUUGUACCCCUGCAAAAUUAUGUUUUUACAAAUAUAUCCCUGCAAAACAUGAGUUUUCAUAUAUACCCCACAAAUGCUUUCUUCCUUGCAUCAAUAGCUUUAUACUUAACAAAAAGUGCCUUCCUCAUAAAAAAGAAAAAAAAAACUUUUCUCAGAAAACCAAUGCCCCUUAUGCCAUGAAUUGGCUGACUCUCCAAUUUAAUGCAUUUACGAGGAGUGUACAGCAAAAUUAAUCUUUUACAGGAUAUAUCAUAGAUGGAUGAUAUCACAGGGGAUGAAUAUACUAGUUCUUUAUACAAAUUGAACAAAAGUUCAAUUUCUUUUGAUUGUCUAUAGACACAAAAACUUUCUUUGGAAUCCAUAUUUCUCUUUCUUUUAGUUGUGAUAUGAAUACGCUAGUUGGAGGGACAUAUAUGUUAAACCACCAACAUGCUGUCUUUUAAUAAUAUUAUACAUGCUUUUUUCAGAUACUGGUGUUUACACCCUGACACUUCUGUAUUGAUUUGAAACAGAUACGCAGAUUUGAAGAACAAUCGAUUGACUAACUACACAUUCAGUUUUGAUCAAAUGCUAAACGAUAAGGUAAUCUUGUAUUCUCCAGUAUUUAAUUAUUUCUGCAACCCUCUACUAUAAUGGCCUACAGAAAUUGAUUCUGCAGAUUUGAUGCUUAAUAAUUAACUGUCGCUGUUUGAAACCUACAUGUUGGAUGCCCAUUAUGCUACCGUGUUUUUGGAAAAAUGGGAUAUGUUUUAUAUAGUUAAUUUUGUAAGUAAGUGCGCAAUGUUAGGUUUUUGAUGAUUCCUUUUUAUGGAUUUCCAAACAACAAAUAGAACGUACAUCUGAAUUUUUGUAUAUACACCCUCGAAAGUCGUUUUUUUACAAAAAUACUUUUAUCUUAAGUUGUUAGUGAUCCAAUUUCACAUGGUAAAUAUCAGAGAAGUUUUAUCUUGAGAGGAGCACUUUUAUAAGUGGAACUUGAUAUGUAAAAUAUUAAAAUUGUAAGGGGCAUAUAUGAAAACUUAGAUUUUUACAGGGAACAUUGCUUGGUGCUUGCUGCUUUUUCUGCUUAUGUAUAUAUGGUGUUUCUGCUGUUAUUUAUCCUUGCUGCAAAUUUCUCUAAAGACCUUUGUAUACUAGUCUAGCAGUUUACUUAUCAGUUAUUAUCUAUCCUUUACUCAUUGUAACUAGUAAGAAGUGUCGACCUCUCAUAGUAACUGCUAUUCUUGUUUUUUAACAGGGAAACACUGCUGUUUAUCUGCUGUAUGCGCAUGCUCGAAUAUGUUCCAUUAUUAGGAAAUCUAAUAAAGACAUAGAAGAGCUAAAGACGGUAAUUUUUUCUGUUUGACUUUGAUAGAAACUAUUGGUAUCGUUGCAUUUUUAUUCUUAAUUAUGCUGUAAUUUUUGGAAUUUCUGAAAUCCUGCUUUUUUAUUUUUUGCGCAGAUUGGGUCGAUUUCUCUUAAUCAUCCUGAUGAACGUGUUUUAGGGCUCCAUCUUAUCCGGUUUGCAGAGGUAUAUCUUGAGAUAUACGUGUGUCAUCAUUUAUUUUAAUCAGGAUUAAUCUUUUGUCUCCACAUUAAUCGUUUGGCUCCACCAAUUGUGGUUUUGAUAAUUAUGUCAUGCAUCUUCUUUACACAUUGAGCAUUUAAUAAGAAUUUUUAUUUUUUCUAUUCUUUUUCCUAUUUGACAUGUAUAGAGUUAUCUCAUGUUAUCAUUUAUGGUAAUUAGCAUCACAUCAUUGCAUGCUUAAGAGAGGUCUGACAUGUAGAGUUGUAUCGUCUAUGAUACAUUUCGUUACCUUUUCAAUCUUUGUGAUAAUUUUGUCUAGCAAAGCAAACAUAUACUCACCAUUCAUCGGUUUACUGUGGCACAAUGAUUUUGAGCAUCUUGACUAGUUCUGUGAUCAUAAUAUUAGCAUGUUUUCCUGUUAUUGUAUUUCAGAUUGUUGAGGAGGCUUGCACGAAUCUCCUUCCAAAUGUUCUAUGUGAAUAUCUGUACAACUUAUCAGAAAUUUUCACUAGAUUUUAUACCAGUUGCCAGGUUUGUUUGUCUCUUUUAUGCUUCUCUAUUCUAGUUAUUGUUGGUUUGUUUGCAAACUUAUUUUUUCUGAAAACCCAAAUAAGUGAAAAAAGGUUUACUACUAAACAUUGGAUUUUAUUGCCAAAUGAACCGUUUAUGUGUAGAGAUCACAAAAAAAUCGCAUUCAAUCACAAAGUUUUUGAGUUAAAAAUUGAAAUAAGUGUUACUAAACGAGACCUUACUCUCGAGUACUUGAUAAAUGAUUCCAUAUCCUGAAUUUUUAGCUUAAGAAUACAAUGAUAAGGCAAAACUACUGUAAUAAUUCCAUUUGAAAGAACCUUCGUUAUCCAAUUAAAAAAAACCAUAUUAUAGAUAAUGCAUUUGGGUUUAAGAUAAAACUCUCUCUCUCUCUCAUCAUUUAUAAUAGCUAACAUGUUGUGGAAUUUGGCAGGUGGUUGGAUCACCUGAAGAGACCAGCAGGUUGCUAUUAUGCCAAGCUACUGCGGUCGUCAUGAGGAAAUGCUUCCACCUUCUCGGAAUCACUCCCGUCUACAAGCUAUAAAUUAUACUUCCUAUAGCACUUAAAUUUUAUGUCCAAUUUUUGAAUCAUGCAAAGUUUGCUAUCUCUUCGGGUGUAAUCUAACCAUUGUUAGUGAGAAAAUUAAGAGAUUAUUUUGAGGGAGGAAAAGCUUGGAAGUUGUGAAAAAGAUUAGAUUCAGUUUCUCAAUUUGAAUAGAAGGGGCUCGUACUCAACAUCGAAUUUUACGGUUGUUGCGAUUGAAUGGUUCGUGAUGUUUUAGUUUAUGUGGGUUAAACGGUUUGAUUUUGCGGGUGUUUUAAAUGUCUAAAUGUGCAUGGAUUCUCAAAUUGAAAUUUCAGUGGAACUAUUGGUCUGAGAGAUUCUCAAAUUUAGAAAACCAAAAUGUUCGACUUGGACUGUUAUUAAGGAAAAAAAAAAAGAAAAAAGAAAAAUCAUGAGUGAGGAUAAUUUCUGGUGAGUUCCUGCAAACUGAACCAUUCAUUUCAUAUUAAAUUGGGUGGUUUGAACCAGUACAUACUGGGUAAUUUGCACAGUUGGUACUCAAAUUAUAAGGCUGGUGAUAUUUUGGUCUUUAAACUUGAGAAACAUAUUUUUAAAACUUUUAAUAGUAUUAUAGAUUAGAGAUGUCAACGGGUCGGAUUCGGGGCGGAUUUUUAAAAAUCCGAAUCCGAACCCGACUCCAAACCCAAGACCCGAACCCGAAUCUGAACCCGACGGAUUUUAAAAAUCUAUAUCCAAACCCGAACCCGACCAAAAAUCCGAAACCCGAACCCGAACCCGAACCCGAAAAUUUAAACCCAAAACAAUUACUUCUUUUUUCAAUAUUUCAAAAUAUAUUAUAUUAAACCUAAAUUUUUAAAAUACAAAUUCAAAUAUAACAUCAAAUUUUUAUAUAUAUAUUAUAUAUAAUACAAAAUAAAUUCGGGUUUGGAUCGGGUUCGGGUCGGGUUCGGGUUCGGGUCGGAUACAAUCAAAAUUCAUAUCCGAAUCCAUAUCCGUCGGGUUUCCAUUUUUGAUAUCCAUAUCCGAAUCCAUAUCCAUAUUUAUCGGAUAUAUCCGUUUCAUUCGGGUUCGGGUUCGGAUAAAAUUUUGGAUAUCCAUACCCAUUGACAUCCCUAUUAUAGAUAGACAGAUAGAUAUAGAUGAUGGUGAAUUUUUUAAUUUUUGUUUCAUGCAUGGGAAACGGGCUUUUUUUUAAUUUAAAAAAAUUAUUUUCAAAAUUUGGCGUAUUUGCGCUACAUAGAUACCACCUGAGAUUGUUCCGGAUGGAAGGCAUCGAAGAAAGCGGUAAAGUAUUAUGCUUACUUGAAAUGAUAAACGGUUCAGUGCUUUUAUUUUAAAAAAUUUAUAAAGCUCCUAAACACGACGAAUAGUUUUCAUCUUUGAAAGGUGUGAAUCACUCAUCGCAUUCUUCGUGACCAUCUCAUACUCUCUAAGCACUAAGCCUCUCGCUGAUAGUAAAAUUGAUAAGCAGUGAAUAGUUUACCGCCUUCUAAAAACGAUAAGUCAUAUAAAAGCUAGAAGAUAGAAAAUCAUUAGUUGGAAAAUGAUGCAACCUUGUGUAUGAUGUUAGGGGUCUAUUUUUAUGCAAAUAGUGUUAGUACUGGGCCAAUUUAUUUAGAAGUUGACUAAGUCAUGUAAAUAGCAAAAUAUUGGCUUAAUUUGGGCAAGUAAUGUGUUUAUGCUGCGGAGUUCGUUCAUGCUAAUUAGUUUUUAGGAGGACAUAUAUAGUGGAUGUAGUAGAUAACAUGUUGAAUUGGAUUUCCUUUAACCUUAAGUAUCUUUUUAUUUAAAUCCUUUAUUUGCACCAAAUUUUUAAAUGAAAAUUUUUGUUUCUUCCACUUUAUUACUCUAUCAAAUUUUAUUAGUGAGCAUUAAUUUAUUUUAGAAUGCAUUUUCUAUCUAUAAUUGGUAUUAAAGUUCUGUUAUGAUCAAAGUUGUGCACAUAAUAUGAUACGUGGAACUUUUCUAGCCAAAUUUUUAUUUGCAAAAGACCUAGCAAAAGACCUACUUUGAGGCUCUAGUAUUGAAUAGUUUCGGUCACCAUUCAUAUGACUCUUAGUGUCUAUCUGAAACGCUUUGACAUUCGCCUCUACUUUUUUUCGUCUUGUUUUCCAUCCAUACAGCUUUAAACUGUUGCAGCUAGUAUUCACGCUACUUUGAAAUUCAUAUUAUUCAUGAUGUUCAACUAAUGUUGGACUGUUUCAGUCAUCAUUCAUAUUAUUUUAAGAUUUGCCUAUACUAUCUAAUAUUGGACUGUUUUACUUAACAUUCACCAUAUGAUGUGGUAUCUCUAUGAGAUCUACAACAUCAGAGAUUCAAAACUUACAACAUAUACUUUCAGCCACAGCAAUAUCAAGAUAGACCUCAAAUGCUUAUGUAAUACCAUAACAUCACAACAUGAAGAUUAAAAAUGCUUUAAAUUUUUUUAAGAACCUUUCAAAACUAAUAAUAAAAGCAUAUGUUUUUAGCCACACCAUAAUACCAAAGUAAACAUUCCAAACUCACAAGCAUAUGCUUGGUUAGCCACCAUAAUACCAAACUAGAUUUAUAAAUACUUACUAGACCUAUAAAUAAGCAGAUAUUAUUUUGAAUUUAUUCUUGGUUACCGACCAUCCCUAAAGCACGUGACAAAGAGUUUGGUGGUUAGUACUCGAGACCCAAGUUCGAAUUCUAGUUGAUUCAUAUUUCCAGCUAAGUUUAUUUCUAAAUAAAAUAAACGAAGCGGAUAGCAUGCUACCUAUCUCUCAAAAAAAAAAGAAAAAGAAAAAAGAAUUUAUUCUUGAUUCCGCAUGAGCUGAACACAGAGGCCGGUGAAGGCAUAGUAGAGUUUGCGGUCCCUGGCGCCGGUGCUGUGGCAGCCGUUGCGGCGGCAGAAGUAGGCGAGGAUCUUCAUGUUGAGGCAGCCGAGGGUGCCGUCAAGCAGCAUGAACAGCCAGUUGAUGUCCCGCUUCCUCUGCGCCACCACCGGCCGCAUCCCCCUCUGCAGCCCGCAUGACGGGCAGUCCCUGUACUUCGGGUUUAGCAGACUGUCCGACGCGCGGUCACUCUCGUACUCCUGCACCCGCCGGUACAGCGGCUUCACAUCCUCCUCGAACUUGGACAGCAGGUCGUAGGUCACCACCUUUAUUUUGUUUCGUUAAUAAAUACUUAGGAUUUUAAUUAAAACAACUACAAUUUCAUCAUGAAAAGAAUAAGCACAAAUUAAUAACUAAAACAAUGAGUUUCUGCACUUUAAAAAGUACCGAAAUAUCUGUACUUGUAAUUUUUUAAUCAUCGGAUCGUCUUAAGAUCGUACAGCACUCUUAAUGAUAUAUCCUGUUAAGCCCACUUUACUAGUUCUGCGUAGUUCUUGAAACGAUUCAAUAACUAAAAAAAUUAUAAAUACAAAUAUUUUUGUACUUAUAAAAGUAUGGAAAACAAUUCUUGAACUAAGAAAGGAUUGAGCACACAUUGUAUUAGACAAAAAAAAAAAAAAAGAAAAGAAAAGGAAUAUAGAGUUUUCAUCAUUGUAAUUUUAAAAGCAAAAAUUAACAACCAUAAAACGAAAAAAAAAGAAGAAUUGUAAUAGAUUUCAAAUAAAAGUAAAGAAAGUAGACAAACUAUAGACUUCAAAUAAUUAUAAGAAUUUUUCCUUUUCUUUUGCAAUUUUUUUUAUAAACACAUACAAAUAUUUUCGACUUUUAAGAUAUUCUCGGAGCAUGCAAAAUUAGUAAACCAACUGCACUAAGUAGUAAUUAUUAUUCUAUAACGAACCGACCUCGUGGGCGUCGCAACUUCGGCAGCAGAGUUCGCCCUUGAUCUGGGUGAUGCCGCUGGCAGAGAGCUCUGCAAGGGGCCGCACGGUGGCGCGGUGAUCUCCAGCCCAGGGGAAUGGAGGAGGAAUCCUGUCAGACGUGCUCGGCCGCACCGGCCUACGUCUCCUCCUUGACUGCUGCAGUUCCGACGGAAUAGGCAGCGGCGACUGCAGUGACUGCGGUGGCGGUGGUUUCAUCAUGAACAAUUGCAAUUUUAGCAUUUUAAAGUUCUAGCUAGAAGAUCUCUAAAACAUUUGCAAUUUCAUCAUGAACUAAAAAUAAUUAAACUAAUUAAGCGUGGAACUCCUUCACUUUUAAAAGCACAAACAUCUGUGCUUAUGAUUCUUUGGAUGACCUUAAAAUUCAUGCAGCACUAUUAACAGUAUAUUCCGUUGAAUCUUAAGAUGAUGCCAUGGCUAAACUUAGAUGCACAAAUGUUCAUUUCUUUUAAAAUGCACAGAUGUUCACAGAAGCUCCACUCUACCACCUCAGUUUAUUACUAAUUUGUUUUCGAUGUUAAAACUUUUAAAUCGAUGAUCGGCAUCAUUUUAUAUUACUUAGACCAUUUAACCUAUCUAGAAAUCAAACUUUAUGAUUUUUUGAUCGCUAGCCGAAUGAUCAAAGGAUCACAAAAUCUGUAACUCUAAUGACCAAUAUGAUGUGUUUGCUUGCCAAAUUAACUAAAUUUUUGUUAGAAAAUUUGUUAAAACUAUUCAAAAUAAGAUUUAGCUAGGGCCUGUUUAAGAAACCCAUAAUACCGGAGUAAUAAGCCAACUUACUUUGUAUUUUAGAAAAUUCUGUUUAUUUUUUACUUGCUAUGUUUGGAUAGUCUAACAAAAGAAAAAAUUUACAGAGUAAAAUAAGCAUUCCGGUGUAAUUAAUAUUGGAGUAGGUAAAGGUGUUGGCUGUGCUUUCCCCGUUACGCCUCCUGAAGGAGGAUAUGUCAUGUAAAAUAAAACUCUUGAUUUAAUUUUAGAUAAUUGCCUAACAGACCCUUAGAUUGUAAAUCUUAAAUAUGAAAAUUAUAUUAUUAUUUUAAAAAAAAUACUUAUUUUUAGUUAUUUAUUUUUUGUUUACUUGAUGAAUAAAAGAACAAUAUCAAAAAAGCGUGAAAAUUUGAUUUUUAGAUAGUUUAAAUAGUUUACACCAUAUUUAACGGUACCAUUAAUAUGAAAGUUUUAUCAUUGAAAAAAAAAUUGAUAGCAGAGUGAGUACUUAUCACCGAUAGUAUAAUCUAGCAAAACUCUUUCUCUCUCUUUCUAUAUAUAUAUAUAUAAUGUAUAAUGCUUCCGACUUUUAGCUUUUAGAUCAAAAAUUCUAUAUUUGGAAUGAUAGUCGUCACCCCCUACGAAUGAGUGGUCCCUCAAGGAUAAUAAUAUUAAUCCGAGAAUAAAAAAUGAUCAAAAAACUUGAUCCAACGAUUAAAAAAUAAAAAGCAGUCCCAUUAUACUUUUCAUAGUAUAGUAGCAAUAUAUAUAUAUAUAUAUAUAUAUCAUAAUUGUAAUUUUAAAAAUUAAUAAUUAACAACCAUAAAAUUAAUUUAGAGAAAAUAAAAAAAAAAGAAAGAUUUGAAGAAUGUAUCUAGAAAACUAGAUGAAUUUUAAUAGAUUCAAAAUACAGAUUUCAAAUAAUUAUAAGAAUUUUUUAUUUUUAGUUUUUUUUUUUCAUAAACACUCAUAAAUAUUUCUGACUACUAAGAUUCUAAAGGGCAUCCAAAAUAUGCAAAAUUAGUUAAACUCCAGUAGAUAGUGAUUAUUAAUCUACAACGAACCGACCUGGCAGGUGUCGGCGCUUUGACCGCAGAGUUCGCCGUCGGUCCGGGUGAUGCCGCUGGCGACAGGCUCCGCGAGGGGCCGCCUGGUAGCACGACGGACUUCGGCCCCGGGGAACGGCGAAGCGAUUGGCUCCGACCCGGGCGGCGGCGGCAGCAGCGGCGAUGGCGGCGGCGGCGGCGGCGUUGGUGAUGGCGGCGGCGGUGGAGGUGGCGGCUGUAGGGGUGUUGGCGGUGGUGGUGGAGGUGGAGGCGGAGGCGGCAGCGGCGUUGGUGGCUGCGGUUCACGUGAACCAGGACACGACAAAGAGAGCUCCAGAUCCAUCUAAACUAUUAUUAUUCUUCUUCUUAUUACUUAUACUUACUUUUAAUUGUAAUUCUAAGAAUAAUAAAGCAAUACUAAGAAUAAUAAUAAUAAUAAUAAUAAUAAUUGUAGUGGUAGUAAUAAUAGUUAUUAAAGAUGUAAUAUAGAUGCAAUAAAUAGGAAACUUUGGCGAGAACAUCUUGCCAAUGUACGUUGUAUAUACAGAUAUGUAUACUAUUGUAGGUAGUUUGGAGUUCUUAUCAGGUUGUUACGUAUAUAUAAGUAAUAUUGCGAUGAGAGAGAGAUUAGGGGGGGAGAAAAACAAAAAAUAAAAAAAAGCAAAAAAAAGUGCGCGGGUCCCGAAGCGGCGCGCGCUCCCGCCACGGUUUUAAAUUCGGGUACAAAUCCGACGUUGACCGCGGGGUAAAUUUUAUACCUUCCCCAUUUCCGAAGGGAUGUGAUUUAUUCAAAAAUAAAUAUAUUUUGCCAUAAUUUAAACUUUUUUGGUCUGGAGAUAGGAAAUUGAAUAUUCAAAAUUUUAUCUGAUUUAAAUCUUAACAGAAUAAAUUUAUGGGAUGCUAAUUUUUGGCAAUUGCUAUUUCAUUGAAUAUAACAAUUGUUGUUAUUACCUCGUUUUCAUAAAAUUUUGUAUCUAAAUUUAACGACCAUAAAAAAUAUUUAGUUCUAUUUGAAAUGGAUAGUUAAGCCUAAAGCAAAAUUGCAUAUAAAUUUUAUAGAAGUUCCUAACUUUGUUGGCUGAAAGGACCAGCAUUCUAUUUCGCGACGAGAGAUCAGGUUGGGUUGAAUUAUAUUCAAAAUAACUAUAGGUCGGGACAGAGUUACAGUAGAGACUCACAGGCUCUCUAUCAAGCUUUUGGAAUAAGUGGUGGCUAGCACCAACUAGACCUGGCAAUCCCUAUCCCUACCCGCAGGUUACCCGUAAAUUUGUGGGUUUGGAUACUAGUUUUUCUUACCCAAAAAAUUAUGAAUAAAACGGAUGGAUACCCGUUAAGUAAUGACUAUUUUGAACAACUCGGGUACCAACGGUACCCGUAUAUAUAUUUGUUUAAUUAAAAAAUAUAUAAUCUCUAUGAUAUUGACUCUAUAAUGAUAAAAAUUUUAUUAAUUUUGUAUCAUGAAAAUUUGAAAUUGACAAAAUAUUUUUAUAUUAUAUAAUUUUAUGUGCUUUAAUAUUUAUAUUAUUUAUUGUAUGUUAUGAUAUUUCUAGCAAAACGUUACGUUAUGAUUUUAAAAAUUUUAUAUAUGUGUUUUGUAUUUGAAAAGUAUAGGAGUAAAAAAGAAAAAAAAAUCUUGCAAGUAACCUGCGUGCCGACCCGCCAGCUUGUGGGCGGAUAUGAGUAAAAAUAUUGACUAUCCAAAAAUUUAUAAAUAAAUUUUACUGAUAUCUAUAUAUUUAUCACAAAUUUGAUAGAGCUAAAGUAAAGUUUAGAGGAUGAAAAUUAAUUUAUCCAAAUAUGGACAAGAAUUUAAGUAAACCAUCUCUUAUAAGGGCUCGGUGGUUGGUAACCGAGAUCCCAAAUUCGAAUUUUAGUUGAUUUAUAUUUUCAGCUGAGUUUAUUUGUAAUUUAUAUUUUUAGUUAAAUUUAUUUGUAAAUAAAUAAACGAAGCGGGUAGUUGAGAGUGAAGAUUUUUCUCUAGUUAAAGUGAGUAUUUUAAACGUUAUAGAAUAUUAUAUUCAAUAAAUUAGAUUCUAAUGUUGCAUUCUUUUAAUUACAAAAUUUAGCAGGACGAUAUAUACCUAUAAUAAAUUGUACAUAUAUCAUGUGUUAGUGAUCAUGCUGCAGCAUGAUCGCCGAAACAGUAUGCGCGUGGUGAAGCGUGCUAGCAUACCGUGUCGUGCCGUGCAGUAUCGUGUCGAUGGCGCUCACUCUUUGUACCGGUGACAUGACAAAUUUUGAUUUAUAGACCUGGUGCAGGCAACAAGUCUCUGCGUCGGCAACAAACACGUGGUGACGGAGAGAGAGAGAGAGAGAGAGAGAGAGAGAGAGAGAGAGAUUUGAAUGCGAAGUGAGAGGGAGCGCGAUUUGACUGCGAAGACAACAACAGAUCACUACCUCCAUCCCCGUCCGUCUCCAGCACGGCCCGCCAAUGGCCACCACCACCACCACCACCACCACUACCCUCCCUCCUCGAAACCCUAACCCUAACCCUAACUCCCCUGCUCCCUCCGAUCAUCCCCUCCUCUCCUCUUCCUCCGCCUCCGACGACGAUGACGACGCCUCUGACGACGUCUCCAAUGGCGAUGCCGACCCUUCCUCCGCUGCCCUCGAGCGCUCCAUCUUCGCCUCCUACCUCCGCACCUCCCCCGACGACGACGACGCCAUUGACGACGACCUCUCCAAGCUCCGCUCCUUCCUCUCCUCCUCCUCCCUCCUCCGCCGCCGCCUCCCUUCCUGCCUCAUCUGCCUCGACCCCCUCCGCCCCUCCCACCCCGUCUGGUCCUGCUCCGCCUCCUGCCACGCCCUCUUCCACCUCCCCUGCAUCCAAUCCUGGGCCCGCCAAUCCCUCCACCUCCGCUCCCCCGACUGGCCUUGCCCUAAGUGCCGAUCCCCCUACCCCAAAACCCUAAUCCCCAAAUCCUACUUCUGCUUCUGCGGCAAGGUCCAAGAUCCCCCCUUGGACCCCUGGAUCCUCCCCCACUCCUGCGGCGAGAUCUGCGGCCGCCCCCUCGCCGGGGAGUGCGGCCACACCUGCUUGCUUCUGUGCCACCCCGGCCCCUGCCCCCCCUGCCCCGUCCUCGCCUCCUCCCAAUGCUUCUGCGGCCGCCGCGCCGACGUCCGCCGCUGCGCCCGCAGGCGCUUCUCCUGUGGCGAGCCCUGUAACAAGCCCCUCCCCUGCGGCUCCCACCGCUGCCCGACGACGUGCCACGAUGGCCCGUGCCUGCCGUGCCGCGUGCGCGGGACCUACAAAUGCGCCUGCGGCGCGGAAGAGCAAGAGCGGAUUUGUGCCGAGCGCGAGUUCCGGUGCGACCGGCCGUGUGGCGGGACGCUCGCAUGCGGGAGGCACGAGUGCGGGCGCGGUUGCCACGCUGGUGCCUGCGGGGCGUGCCCGCUUCAGGGGCGCCGGACGUGCCCGUGCGGGAAGAAGGAGCACCUUGGGCUCAGCUGUGACGCUCAAGUGCCCACGUGUGGGUCCACGUGUGGGAAGAUGCUUGGCUGCGGGAUGCAUAGGUGCCCGGAGAGGUGCCACCGCGGGGCGUGUGUGGAGAAUUGUAGGAUUGUUGUUCUCAAGUCAUGCCGAUGCGGGAGCAUGAAGAAGGAGGUGAGCCCAUAAACAUCAUUAGAUGUGUUAGUUUCCUUCGUCUACAUAAACUGUAUCUAAAAUCUUCAAUUUGGUUGUUCUUUUGUGAAUUAGUGACAGCGAUUUUUGUUCCUUUAUAAUUUGAAUGCAUAAGCUUAGUGUGUGGCUAUCAGCUUCUGCCGAGUAUAAAUGAUUCGAAUGCCAGUGUCUAGCAGUUUAAGAAGAGAAAAAUGGCUUUUCACAGUUUCCAAUGUUCUUAACCUUGGUAUGCAGGAAAAUAUCUCUUUGUUGUUAUGUAUCCAUUCCUUCCAACAAAGCUGAUAAUUUUGUUAGUCGUUGUGAUUAUGGCUUCAAUACUAAACAAGAAGCAGAAGAACACAUUGGUCGCAUUGUCAUAGAAAACAAAAAGAAGAGCAAGCUUUAAGCCUCUAGUUCAACAAUGUGGCUUUUCUUUUGUGGACUCUACGACUCCAUGAAUGAUAAUUUCGGUGUAUUCUAUAGUGUUGUGAUUUGUUUGUAACUCCUUUAAUAUGACUAACCAUCUUAUUCACAUUGUACAAGUAUCAUCAUGCUUAGAAGUCAGUAUAAAUAGGUAGUGGAAACUUAAUUAUUAAGGUUCUGCUGUUUAAAGCCGCAGACUCACAGUUGAAACAAUGUACCUAGAAAUUUUUUUUUUCCUGGAAUGCACAAAGUUUGACCAUGCAUAUAUUAACUGAAGGUGCAAAAUUGAACUGUAAUCUAAUAUAGGUUCCUUGCUAUCAAGAUUUGACUUGUGAAAGGAUUUGACCAUGCAUAUAUUAACUGAAGGUGCAAAAUUGAACUGUAAUCUAAUAUAGGUUCCUUGCUAUCAAGAUUUGACUUGUGAAAGGAAGUGUCAGCGAGUACGAGAUUGUGGUCGCCAUGCUUGUAGACGCCGUUGCUGUGGAGGGGAUUGCCCACCUUGUCCAGAGGUCUGUGCAGUAAUUUCUUGUUUACCAUUGAUCUGUAACAUGAUUACAAAAGAAUUAAAAGUUCAAUAUUCAGAUUUGUGACAGGAAGCUUAGAUGCAACAACCAUAAAUGUCCUUCCCCAUGUCACAGGUAUAUAAUCCCAUUACAGAUGUCUUCUUACAUUCUAUGCUUGCAAGGAUUUGCCAUCUGCUUUAUAUUGUUCCCGUUUAACAUGUCUAUAUUGACCCUUUGUUGUGCUAAUUAUGCUGCAAAGAGAACUUGUACUGAAAUGUACGUGAUGACUCAAAUCAUUUGUCCAUAUAUGUCAUUGUUUUCCUUUUGAAUCUGAACCUAAGAGAAACUAGUUGUAUGUCGCUUUUAUCCUUAUCGGAUUAGUAAACUGAAAAUGAACCAUAGCUACAAACUUUAGUCCAGUAAUUGCUAAUUAUGUUAAUUCUUAAUAUAUCUUGAGAGUUCAAAGUUCAUUGAGAUUUCAAAGUUCAUUUCGGUCAUCACGAGUGUGUGAACCUAAAAUUUCAUUGAGAGUUAAAACUUCAUUUUGGUCAUCACGAGUGUGUGAACGUAAAAUGUCCAGUAAUUACCCUUUUUUUUUCCCCCUAUUACAUGAUUGGAACACAGUUCUGAAUAGCAGUUGAUGCAGCUGUCUAAGCAGUGAUGUCUAUAUUGUUUUCCUUUUUGAACCCCAAAACUCUCUUCAUUAUUAAACCAAUGGCAAACUUUGAACCUGCACAAUUUCAUCAUGUAGCGAAUUAUUGCGAAGUUGACGGAUAUGUAUGACUAUAAAAUUAAAAUAGGAAUGUAGCAUGCCAUAUUAAUGUAUAAGACAGUUUGAUUUAUAUAAUAAUUAUUAAUUUGGGAACAGGAGCUUUGACAAAUGAACAAUAUAUUCACACUUGUUAUGAUUAUUCUUGUGACAUGAAAUUUUGUUACUGAUACCAGUAUGCAAUUUUCUAUUCAGAGGUGCUUGUUCUCCUUGUCCAUUGAUGGUGUCCAUUUCAUGCUAUUGUGGGGAGACACGCUUUGAGGUAAAUUCUGAUGGAUUCUCAUGGUUAUUCUUAUCACUGGAUUGUCUGUAACUUGGCAAUAGCUAAUAUGGUUGUUAUUUUGUUGCACAACUGAACCUUUUUCGCUGCUCUAUAUAAUAGCUUAUAAUAGUCUAUGUCAGACAUGGUGUCUUUGAUUGAGAAUUUGAUGGCUCUGGAGAUUUACUGUUGUCCGUCUAUUUUUCCUAUGUCUCUGUUGUCUGUGUGUGAGAGAGAGACAGAGAGAAAUCCCUUUUUUUUGGUUUAUGGAGUCGGGGGUUGGGGCCUUGGGGGGGGGGGGGGGGGGGAGGGGAGGGGAGUUGGCUGUGGUUGGUUUAUGCAAAAUCAUGAUUUACCCAUACAUAGAUCCUUUUGUUAGAUUUCAUCACUGUUAGCGAAUGCACAUGCAUAAGAAUUUGUAGAUUUGGUGUGCCCAUUACAAAUAUAUUUACAUCUGCACACACUAAUUAGAUUCUAUAUUAUUAUAUUUAGAUCCUACUUAAUGAAAGGAUUUUUGAAAAUUUCUUCAUUUUUAAUUGUGAAAAUGGCACUUCACUCAAAUUUUAGUCUUUACCUUUUAAGUUUGACAUUUGAGACCCUAAACUUCCACUUGUAUUUCAUUUUAAUCCUUAAACUUUCAUUAAUGUUCGCGAAAAUUGUUGCUUGCACCUAGUUCGUAUGUAUAUCGAACUAUCUGUACAUCAUGAAUCUAUACCCUUCAUCCAUCUCAAACUUUUAAUUUAGCGACCCAAUUUCUAAAUAGGAAAAAUUGUUACUCAAUGGAUGGUUGGUUUGAAAUAUGAGAUUAGAAAAAGGUUGAUAAAUAUAUGAUACAUAAAUGUACAGCUAAAUGACACUUUUGGUCCCAAACUAUGAGGCGCGUGCCACUUUAGCCCAUAAACUUCAAUUUGGUGCAAUUUCUUUCUCCAACAUUGUAAAUUGUUGCAAUUAAGUUACACAAUCCAAUUUAUUUGACUAAAUGUUGACGUGUCACUAAAGUGGGAGUUAUGUAACAUCUUAAUUAUUGUAGCGUUAGCAAUCAUAACAUUGCCACUUUUCACUAGUGACACAUCAAUAUUUUUAGAUGACUAAAUUGGGUUGUGGGACUUGAUUGCGACAAUUUAAAAAGUGUAAGCUAGUAAUUGCAACAAAUUAAAGUUUGAGGACCAACUUAUCACGCACCUCAUAGUUUGAGGGCGAAAAGUGUAACUUAGCCUAAAUGUAUAGAUGCACUAGGUGUUGGCAAGAUGAAACUUUUUUAAGAGUUUACAUCAUCUGACCUCUAACUUGAAAGCUUGAGGACUAAAGUGAAACUUGGUUGAAAGUUCAGGAAAUGUGGUGCAAUAUAUACUUUUUUAAUGGCUAAAAUAUAGAAAACCCCCAUAUAAAUAUUCACUUUUCUAUUUUCUCCUUGUCUUUUUUGAAAACCUCUAUUUUGCCCCCUUAAAGUUAGAGUUAUAGCACUUAACUCAGCACUGCUACAAUUUUGUCACUAUUUCGUAUAUAAAUUGUAUGAUAUAGUCGAGAAACCUACUGAUAUCCAUUAUAUCUUUAAAAAUGGUGGGAAUGUAUAGGAAUCUUAUAUUUUCUUUCAAAUUAGGUAACUUCAUAAAAGAGAACCCUGACUAUUUAGUAAGUAACUUUUUGUUUUUUUUGUCAUUUCUUAGGGCUAAAUGAGUAUAUUAACCUUUUGUGUUUUUGUCAUUUCUUAGGGCUAAAUGAGUAUAUUAGUAAUUAUCAAGUUGUACCACACAAUUAUGCAUGAAAGAAUGAUGAAAAACAUUAAAUUCUAAGGGGGUAAAAUAGAGUUUCUUAAAAGCCGGGAGGGUAAAGUGUGAAAUUAGAUAUUUAUAGGGGUCGUUUUUUGUAUUUCAGCCCUUUUUAAUCAUGUCAUCGGAACAAUUGGCAAUUUGGCAUGUGUGAACUUAGAGAAGUAAUGUUUCUAUUAAGUAUUAACCCACGUCCAAGUCAUGCAUUCGAAGAUAUUAGGAUUUGCUAACUAACUAACUAACGAAUUUUGGUUUGUUGAUUUUGAAAAAUAUGGUACAAGAAUGCUGUAUUCAACAUAUUCUUUUGCCAAUUAGGUUGCUUGUCUUCUUGCUGAUGAUUUAAUUUGGCUUUAUUACUGUUCUUUGAAUAUUGAACUGAAGUUGUCUAGGUCUGCUUUGCCAUUUUGAAAAUUUUCAUGCCUAAUUAUGAGCACUAUCUUGAAAUAAUGUUUCCUGCCUUAUUAUUACCAGGUUCCAUGUGGGACUGAGAAGAAUCAGAAGCCUCCGAAAUGUUCAAAACGGUGCUUUAUAUCUCGCCUCUGUAGACAUAAGUCUGAAUGCCGGGUAAAUAUUACCUUUUUUCCCCCUGAUUCAUUAAUGUCUCCUAUGAUACUUCCGACGCACUUUGUCAAAAUUCUUUAAUUGUUCUUUCCAGCAUUAUUUUCAGUUUGGUUGUUCACUUUUUUUUAGAGAUUGAUACUAUUUUCUUUUGUUGCCUUAGUAUCUAGUUUGUUAAUAGAGAUUGCUUUCAUGCCCUACUUUGAUACUUUUUGUAGAACUAUUCUAGCGAUGUUGAUUUAGUUGUAUGUGUAAUAGCAACAGGGAAAUGAUCUUAUAUGGACUGUUAAUAUAUGUUUUAGCUUUCUUUAUAAGUUGCCUCGUGUCGCCGAAUUAUUCAAUCGUGCCUGUUCGUCUGUCUAGUCACUUGUUUCUUUAAUUAUAUGGAAAACAUGGAUGCCAAGAUUAAAUCAAACUUUUGCCCAUUCACCAAGUACUCUCAGUAGAGAUGAAAAAUAGAAAUUAUAUAUUAACUUUUCAGUAUGUAAAUUCUCUAGCAGAGUGUUUGCGCUGUCAUUGAUCUGAUGAGCUGGAGAGAAGUUUCCAUGUUGAAUAUCAAAUUUUUGUUCCAGAGAGAAGUAUUAUUAAAGCUAAUGCCAUCAGAAAUGUUUUUCAUUUAAUAGCAACAGUGAUUAAAAUAUCAGACUCUUGCUAGAAGCUGUGUAUUGGCCCCAUAGAGAAAUUGAUGUAGGCAUUCUAAUUGAAUUUCUAUCAAAAUGGAUAUGGUACUAACUGCAAGUGCAUUCAGUUAUCUUGGAUGUAUAUUGGACGUUCAGAUAGUUGGAUAUUGUCAUAAUAUAGCAAUUGUAUGACGAAUGUUCUUUUUUUCGUUCUUCUUUUGGUUCUUUUUGAGAAAUAUUCAUAUGGCCCGAAUUGAACUAGUUAAUUUACUUAUAUACAUCCUUAUUUUUCAUUUAUGUCCUUCAAAACUUAGUACCGCACAUAGAUGGCCUUCUACUUACAAAAGUGCACCUUUUAUGAAAUUGCACUUUCUAGGGGUAUUGUAUGAGAAUAUCUAAAAUAUAUGAUCUUACAGGGAUAUGUAUGUAGAAGCUCUUUUUGUUACUUAUGUCCUCAUGGUUUUACAUGUGAUAAGGGUUACCUUUUAUGGUUUAUGUGAACAUCUGAGAUCACUUGGCUCUUUGAGGAACUGAUUCAAUUUUGCCUCACGACAUCUCCAUUUUCUUUUUCCAGCCCCACAAAUGCCACUAUGGUGCUUGCCCACCUUGCCGAAUGACCUGUGGGGAGGAGCUUCCUUGUGGUCACAAGUGUAGAGAAAGGUAUGGAGUUUCAAGCCUGAAUUUUUAUACGUAAAUAAAGUUGGCAUGUCCAAUUUAAUAUGUUUUGAAGUCCUUUUAAUUCUCUUGCUUCACUUUAUUUAUAUAAUGUAGGUGCCAUGGUCCUAUACCUCCUCCUAACCCAGAGUUCACAUUGAAACCAAAGAAAAAGAGAAUAGGAAGGUCCAUUGAAUGUACACCUGGAUCACCAUGUCCACCUUGUCGAGAAAUUGUUCUAGUGUCAUGCUUUGGCCAGCAUAUUGGCGAAGAGCGUCCAGUUAGUUACAAUCUCUCCCUUCCUCCCUCCCUUCCUCUAAUAAGCACACAAGUUGAUAUUGCAUUGCUCUGACGGUAUUUGCUGUUAAUUUUCAGUUGGUGUGCUCCACUAAGAAGCCGUUUCCAUGUCAGAACUUAUGUGGCAACCUUCUUCCCUGUGGCAAUCAUUACUGCACAAAAUCAUGCCAUGUUUUGAAGAGUCAGUUGUUUGUUUUAGACCAUAAUGAAAAGCAUGAAAAUUCUCAUCAACAAGAAUCGAUCAUCUUGCCAUUCAAUGCUCAGAGUCCACUUGCUGAGCCCUGUGAAGAAUGCUACCUCCCUUGUCAAAAGGUUUAAUUUUCUUUGUUGACAUAUUUGCUUCUAUACCCUUACAAAUAUUAUCUUAUAUAUAUGAUGCUCUAAAAUGUGAGCAUUCAUAUAUGCAUUUCAAAAAUUUGAAAAAUUUGCUGCUUGUUUUGUUCACUUUUGCUUCUGCUAUCAGCUUUAGCUGCUGUAGCGAUAUUUGAUCAAGCAUUUGGCAACUACAAAGUUUGGGUCUGUUGCUAAUGGAAUGCUGAAAUAAGAUUUCAAGAUCCAAAACCAAGAGAUCAAAUUUGGAAUUUCUGCUCCUGCCAGGAAAAGCUGUUAGAAUGAUAAUGCUUUUCCAAAUAGCACAACUUAGACAGUACUGCCCAAGAGCUGGUGCAUAGUCUCUUACUUUUAUUCCAUUGUUCUUACUAAAAGUGCCCCUCUAAAAAUUGUUUACUACUGCAGCCAAGUUUCCCCAUUAAUUGGACCAGACGACUUCCAAAAUCAAAAUAAGGGAACUUCUGUAAAAACUCUAAUUUAUAUUUAAAAAUUUUGAUUUUACAGGGUUAUGUAUGUAAAAAGAUGACUAUACAACUAUACAAGGAUAAAUAUGUUAUUGACUCUCUUUUUUUGAGAAAACCCUAGUUUAAUGAAAGAACUAGAGGUUAUUCUUGCUUUCUGUGGCAUAUCAAAUUGCUGAGUUUGAUUCCAACUGCUUUCAGGACAGGGAGCCCUCUUGCUCGCAUCCUUGCCCUCUUCGAUGCCAUUCGGAUAACUGCCCUCCUUGCAAAGUCCUUGUAAAAAGAGCAUGCCAUUGUGGUGCCAUGGUGCAUGUUUUCGAGUGUUUGUAUUACAAUAGCAUGAGUGAUGAGGAGCAACAGAGAGUACGAACGUGUAGCGGCCCAUGCCACAGGUAAAUUGUACUCUUUUUUUUCCCCUCAUUCGUAGCUAGUUCUUGUAGCUAUUUUCUAGUUGCAAUUUUGAUUGUACAUUGUAUAUUGUUCAGCUGAUUCUGUUUUUUUAUUUUUCUUUUUUAUUAUUUAUUUAUUUAUUUAUUUUUUUGGCAUAUACUUCACACUACUGUGUGUUCGGUUGCUACCGUAUUUCUUGCUUCUUUAUUAGUUUGGACCAAAGUAUCAGAGCAAAAAAAAAAAAGUCUUUUGCGAAGUUUUGCUUUUGCUUCAUUUCUAUGUAGUGGCAUUUAGUGUUUUCCAAUCCUUCCUUAGCUCAUGUUUCAAAAUUUUCACUUUGUUUAUAGUAGAAACAAAAUGAAGAAAAAUAAGAGGGGGAAAUCAGAAGAGUAAUUUACUCACUGAAAGGAAAUAACUAUGCUAAAUGAGUCUACAAGAAAUGUUGAGAUGCAUAGUGUAAAGUAAAUGCUGGGUGAAAUAUCAUAACAGCUUAAAACUUUUUGUUAAAUGUGCGGCAUUCAUCUUGCAAUUUCAUGUCUCCUGUGUUAUCCACUUUUUCAUUUUGGAGAGAAAUAUACCUAUUGAGAAAGGUCAUUUUCUUUCUGUUUUUAUUCCUUUUCUCCUUUUAAGUUUCAACCCAAAUGAGAGAAAUGAUUCUCUCCUGUCUAUCCCUAUGGGGGUGGCAAAAAUUCAGGUAUAGAUCAAAACUCAGUUGGACAACUGUUAAGAAGAGUGAAUAUUCAAUGUGUUCGGACCUGACCUGGACCCGAAUUUUGGACCACAUAUUGUGUCUAGAUUUGAACCUAGUUUAAUACCGGGUGUCCGUAUGGUCAAGCCCGGCUUUAAGCCAAAUUCGAAAAAAUAAAAAAAUAUAGUGAAUAAAAAUUUAAAUUCGAAAUUUGUGGAUUUAAAAUGAAAAUAUAGUAAUUAGGGGUGGCAAAAUAUGACUCAAACCAGUUGAUCGGCUCUAGCGACCCGAAAAUUAACCGGAUCCGAACAAAGAAUUCUGUUUGGAAACCUGGGUCAAAACAAAUUAUUUUUUGUCUGGAUUAAAAUUGGGAACCAGUCUGGACAUGAAAAUUCGGGCAAAGCGGGCUAGCGACCCGACUUCACACAUUGUCUAAAUGGUAAAUGCUAGUGUUAAAUUAUAUUAAGUUAUUUUUUAUUUUUAAAUAGUUUACUGUAAAAAGUAAUAUGAAAAGUCUCCACAAUUACUAUAUUUUUAUUUUGAAAUACACAAUUUAAAUUUCAUACAUAUUUUUUAUUCUUUUUUUUUUGAAUUUUAGCUUAAAAUUGGGUCAAACCAGUUCAGAUUCGAACACUUGAUUUUAAAUUGGGUUCAAGUUCGGACAGAAUCUGUUGCUGAAAAUUUGUGUCUUGGGUCCGGACACGGUGUACAUUUAUUAUCCUUGAUAGUUGUCUAACCCUACUUGAUAUUUGACCCGGACCCUAAUUUUUGCUACCCCUAGUUGGAGUUGUAAAAACAUUUCAUAUAUACUGGUAAGAGUCUGGCUAGGGUGCUUUUAGAAGCACCAAGGUAUUGGUGCUAUAGCCUUUUUGGCUAUUGGCCAAAACCUAGCGGCUCUUGGAUCAUGCACAAUGGCGGGCCCCACAAGUAACCACCAUUGUUGACAUUUGAUCCAAUGGUUAAAAGGGUAGAUCCAAGGGUUCAAAAAUUAUUAGCACCAAGGCCUUGAUACUUUUAGAAGCAUUCCAGCUCAAUUCUAUUUUUAAAAUAAACUAUUUAAAUUAAAAAAUAACAUACUGUAAUAUCACUUUAUUUUUUAAAUUAUUUGUGUAAAACUAGGUUGUUGACCUAGUUUGUCCAAAUUUUCUUGUUUGUACUCGACCGGGUGUUUAACGAUCCGUGCAAAUUAUUUUGUCUGGACCCAAUUUUCCGGAUGGGAUUCUUUGUGCAAAUCAGGUUAUUUUCGGGUUAGACCAGGUCGGUCAACUGCAGGGGGAGUUGCACCUUGCACCCCAAUUUCUCUUCUUUUCUCUCCAUCCAAAUGGAGUUAGAGAGUGAUAUUGCUGCAAUAAUUGCUAUGAGGAAGUUGGGUUCUGUUUUCUGCCCACAAUAAGGCAGUAUAUGAUAGCUUUUGCAGAAAAACUUCAAUUGUCUAAAUGUUUGGAGAGAAUAAUUGCCCAAUGGAAUUAGAGGAAACCAGAGAAUAUGCGAUACAUCCAACAGCAUUGGAGCUUUUUUUUUUUUUCCUUUUUUCUUUCCCGUUCUGUUUGGAGAAUAUGAGAUUAUUCUAAAGCACUUCAAUUUAUUGAGGCUUUGACACUUCUACCUAUAAAAUGAUAGAUAAAAAAUCCAAUUUUCCUUUUUAUUUAAACUGGAGCCGUGAGAUGGUAUCUUUUUGUUAUGGAUGUCUACGGACAGUUAACAUGUUUGCUGUGUAUGGCUUCUUUUAUUGCAAGUCAACUUAACAUGAUGAGAAUGUUCAUCUUAUUCAUGAUUGAGUACUUCACUAUGAGACUACGCCUCUAUAAUAGAAUUACAUGUAAACCAUUUUAUGGGAUGAAGUUCUCAAACCUGAAAUUCUGGUGCAGGAAAUUGCCCAACUGCCCACACCUAUGUUCUGAAAUUUGUCAUCCUGGUCAGUGCCCAUCAUCUGAUCGGUGUUUGAAAAAGGUAGAUGUCUGGUAUUUUCUUUUUUGUACAAUGCCACCAAAAUUUAUGAAGCUUUUUUUUUUUGUUCUUCCGUAUUUAAUUUUUGUCUAAAUAGCAAGUUUGUUGACUUUUGUUUAUAUGCAAGUUAGUUUGUCUUGCUAAUUUGAGUAGUUGAUAAGUAAAUGCAGUUGAAGAACCUUCUCUUUUAAAUUCCAAAUAUUCUUUAAUCUCCAACCUACUUAUUCCACUAUAUUAUUUUAAUGGAUCAGUUUAUUGGACAAAUUUAUGUCACUAUUCCAAGUAGCUAAAGAACCAUCUCUUUAUCACUGUGCAAUGAUGCUCAUAUUUGACAUAUAAAAUGGCUGCAUUGGAAUGUCGAUACUGAUCAUGUUCAGCAACCAUCGUCAGUGAAUGACUAAUAAUUCUCUUUAAAGACGACCUUCCUGCUCUAUGUUGUCCACAAAAUCAUACAAAGAUGAGUUUCACCCUGCAGCUUGCAAACCAAGACGAUGUUCACUUUGUGCCAGAGAUUAACUCUUUUGAUGUUAAUUGUAUACAGAUGCCGAAAGGACUCUGCUUAUUUUCAUCUUCUUUCUUGAUUUAAACAGGUUGAUCAUAUUGAGAUAAUAGUGGCGACGUCCACCUAUUAAAGAUAGUUUCUUUUGUUUCUACAUUUUCAGGAACUUGUAAAUGUAGAACAUCAGAUCUUAUUGCCAAGUUUAUGCAGAUGCCUUGAACUGCAAAAUGUGCUUGUGAAAUAAAAUAUCAUAUUAGAACUUCUCUUUAAACUCUCUUGUAGAGCUUUUCGCUGCAAUAGAUUCAGACGCUUCACAUUUUGGGCCCAAAGGCUCGGUUUAGUUAUUGCUAUGGUAGAAAGCUCCAAACAAUUUGUUUCCCAAGCACUUGUGUUUUUGAAGGUCUUUGCAUUCUGAAGUAGAGGAUCUGCUCUAAAAGCCAAGCCAAGCUGAAAAUUUUUAAUUUGUAUUAUGAAAAAAAAUCAAGCGGUCCUGUUUCAUUCAGUUAUUCAUUUUCUCUAUUUAUUUGAUACUAUUUUGUAAGGUCAAUGUCCGAUGUGCAUGUAAUACUGUGAAAAGGGAGUGGUUAUGCCAAGAUGUCGUUAAAGCAUAUCGAAAUGCUGGUCGCGAUCCAAAGGAUGUAUCUAAGACCCAGUUCGGAGUUGGUCUGCUUCCCUGUGGUGUAGAUUGCAAAAGAAAAGUCAAGGUUGUUGACUCAGAAUUGCAUCUUCGCAAAGCUAAUGAGAUCAAGGUAUAAAAUAUAUUUGCUUCUAAGUUAUAUUUUUUGUUAUUGACUAUGAUUUAUACAUGACAUAAUAUGUUGCAUUAAAAUAUAAUUUUAUAUUUAUUAAAUGUAAAGAGUUGUAUUAGAAGAACCUGAAAUGUAGUAAGUUAUAAAAGAGAACCAAAGAGGUGAAACUAAAUGAGAAUUUGUAUUCCUUGUAUUCCAGAUUUAAUUAAUCAACCAGCAAUAUCCAAGCUGACAACAACUUUCCUACAUAAAUGCAAUGUCCAGGCUCAAUAUGCGCCUGCUUUUGCAACUGGAAAGUUUAUUUUCCUUCCUGUUCGGCAUGUGAUUUGUUUGCUUUGCUGUAAUUUGUGCAUAUUGCAAAUCUAUGAGUGCUUAAAAUCUGUAGAUAAAUAAGUAAGAUGGAAUAAAUUCUGUGAGAACUUGGUAAUAAAACAUAAAUCAGGUUAUUUGUUCAAUCAUCUCUGCCUAAUUCUCAGAGGUGGACCUAGGGUUGGGAUUAUAUCUGCUAGAAAAACAAACUAGAACGAUUUUUCUUGAUAAGAAAAGUAGCUUGUUUAAGGAUACUGAAUUGACCAUUUUAUUUAUGGCCUGUUUGGCCUGGCAGGAGUUAUCGGAGAAGUGUUGUUUGAGUAGAGCGUUCGACAGACACUGAUAGCCUUUUCCUGGAAGUCUCCCCAACAGAUAGAUCCCCACUGCAUGAAGCUUAAAAUUUAAGCAUUUACUUUUGGGUCCGAUAGAUUUAUUUCGGCAUCUUGCCACAGCUAAAGCUCCAGACUUUUAAUUUACCAAAUGGUUUCUAGUUGUUCUUCGAAGUAGAAAAGCUGUUCAAAAAGUCGAACCGAACAAGCAUGAAUGUUUACGCCUGAUUAGAAUGUCAUCUUAAAUUUGAACAUUUUGUGCCCUCUGUAGGUAUAAACUUAUUUACAAAAAUUUCCCGAAAGUACUUGCGUUCCCCUUUCCUGAGAAGAAAAGUUCAUUCUAAUUUUGAAUAUACAAACAAUUUCUCUCUUACGUAUAUGAAGUAUAUUGAUGAUACUGUUUCCUGUGGGCUGACUACUUGUUCUUUUCCAUAGAGCCCCGUCGUAGAAGCUGCAGACGUGCCGAAACGGAGGAAGAGACGUGAGCGGGUGCAAGAAACAAAGCAGAUUUCAAAGUUUCAGGUUAGUGACAUAAAAAUUUCUGCGAUCAAAAUGUCAGUAUUUUUCUGAACUGCAUAACGAAAUUAAGCAUUUGUUUCGCAGGAAAUCAAGAAAACCAUCUGGAGAUGUCUCUUAGUAAUGCUGUUGUUUAUUGUUGUGGUUUUGAUCGCAUAUUUUGGCUAUAAAGGAAUCUUCUGGCUCUCUGAUCGGAUGAAUGAAAUCGAAGAACAGAGGAUGAGGAAACGAUUGCCGAGAAUUUAAGCGCUGAAUGGCUUGAAAAGAUUAUUUAUUAUUUUCGGGGGUAAAUAGGAAAAAAGUAUUACUUUGUUCGCCAAAGUUUGCUCAUCUCUGGGGAAUCAUAGGAAAAAAAGAAAAAGAAAAAAAAGAGAGAACCUUGUUAGGGUUUCAUUGUUUGUCGUGUGAGUGGAAAAUAUACUGAAUGUUUGAUAUUGGAUAUUUGCAUGGGAUAAUUUCUUGACAAUAAUUAUUGCUAAUUUUUUGUAUCAGUAUGAUAGAAUUCAAAAGAUCGAGAGAAGUGUAGUAAUUGAUGGUUGGACUUAUUUUCAAUGAUUUAAAACUCGAGUCAGACCAACCGGUUCAACCGGUCUCAUCAUUAUCUAGUCUAUAAAGCUAUUUAGUUCAACUUCUUGAAUGAAAUAAGUGUAUUUUGAACCGUGGGUUGAAUCAUUUGAAUCGACGGUUCAACUAUAAAACUGUUGAACUGGUUCGAUUCAGUUUUAAUUAAACUGACCGAUGCCAAUUUGCAUAAAAAAUUUACAAAUUUUGAGCGUUUGUAAAAUUGGGCCAUAUUUUUUAAUUUUGCAGAUUCGGAUCGAAUUUUUCGCCAUCGAACGAAAAUAUCCUUAUUCCUUUUCUUUUCCUCUUUUCUUUUUUUUUUUUUUACCUCUCUCUUCUUUUUUUUUUGUUUUUUUUUUCCCUUCUUCUUCUUUUUUUUUCCAAGUAUGCGAAAUUGAUUAUGUCGAGGCUAUUAUGACAAUGACGAUGCCUAUUCUUUUUCUUCCGCCACCCGCCGUUGCGCCCUCUGCUGCACCCCCGCCGCCGCGCUUGCGUUCGCUUACCUCUACUACCAACCCCGCCUCCCCUCCUUCCUCCUCCUCUCAGUCCGACCCCACCGCGCUCCCCCUGAUCCUUCCACCCGCGCCGCUGCUGCCACCCACGCCGUUGCCGCUGCCACAUCCCACUUUCUCCGCUCCGCUGCGCCACGCUCUGCUACCGCUGCCACCAGGGGCCCGCAUCCCACAUGAUGCCGCGGCCGCUACCCUCGCCGCUGUCGCCACCCGCGCUGUUGCUGCUGCCGCAUCCUACCUUCUCUGCUCCGUCGCGCCACACUUCGCUGCCUUUGCCACCCGGGGCCCGCGUCCCACCUUCUUCGUAGGGCUUCAGGGAGGAGAAGGAGAAAGAAGGACGAAGAAGAUGAAGAAAAAAAAUUGUGUAAAUUGGAGGAAGAAGAAGAAAAAAAAAAAUGUAAAUUUCACUUAAAUGGUGUAAAAUUGGGCAAAACGGUGCAAAUUUGGGCAAAAAAUUAGGCCAAUUUUGAUGAGAAUUGCACAAUUUUGCCCAAUUUUGCACCAUUUCGUCCAAAAUUGUACAAUUUUUUCUUUUCCUCCUCUUCCUCUUCCUUCUUCCUUUUUUUACUAUUUUUUACAUCUUAAAAAAUUAUAUUUUUUGGACGCUCUCAUCUCCCUCGCCGGAGAGUAAGACUCGGACGGCGAUCUUGAGGUGGGCGAGGGAAGCUCCUUCAGCCGGUCGCGCUCCCGCUGGUCCUCCAACAAAAACAGCGCCGCCAGCCCAGAUAGGAACCCGCGUUCGGCGUGCUUGCGGAGGGAGGCCUGGUCCGCCCCCAACAUCGACGCCGACAGGAUGUUGUAGGCGAUGAGGUGUGGCCACAGCGGCGCGAGGGACGCGACGGGGAGUCGUCGUCGAGGAGGAGGUAUUCUGGAGGAGGGGGGUGGCGGCAGCAGGGGAGGCGGGCAGCGGGAGGGGGCAGAAGAGGUUGGCGGACAAUAUAGCGAAGAGCGGGCGAAGGAUUCCGAGGGGGAGUGGGCGCCGGGCGGAGCGGAUGGAGGAGGAAAAAAAUGGCGAAGGAAAAAAAAAAAAGAAAGAGAGAAAGAAAAGGAAUAAGGGUAUUUUCGUUCAAUAAAAAAAAAAUCGGUCAGAAUUUGCAAAAUUGAAAAAUGUGACCCAGUUUUGCUAAAACUCAAAACUUGUGGAUUUUUUAUGCAAAUUGGCAAUAACUUAUAGUAAUAAUUAUCAUAUUACAUAUACUAGUAUUAUAAUUUAUAUUUAUAAACAAAUAUAUAUUAUAAUUAUCAUAAAAAUUAUUAGUACUAGCAACUAACCCGUGCAAUGCACGGAUUUUAAAUUUAUCUUUUAAUUAUAUUUUUUAUAUAAUAUAUAUUAAUUUUUACAUAUUAAGUUUUUCUAAUAUAUUUUUAUUACAAUUUUUAUAUAAUAUAUAUUAAUUUUUACAUAUUAAGCUUUUAUUAGAAAAAUUAUUGAAUCAAAUUAAAAUAAAUACUAUCAUGAUAUACUAAUAGAUUGUAAGUAAAUAAUUUAAAAUGAAAAGAUUUUAAAAUGAAAAAGUUAAAAAGGUUCAAAUCCAUUAAAAAUUUAACAUAAUUAUUAUUUAUCUAUUUUUUAAUACACAAUAUUGAAAUGACGAAGAAAAUUAAUUUUAUUUCAAAUUUUUAAUGACUAAUUCUAUAAAGUUAUUUUUUGAAGGAUUUAAAGUGACUAAAUUUGAAAAAUAAAUUUUUAGAAUUUGUGAAGCAUGAUACAUAUUAUGAUUUUUUUAAACUAAAAAAUAAUUAUUAUUGUGAAUAAUUAGUCAUGUAAUGUAUAUCGAUUAUUUUAAACAAAUCAAUCAAAAAUUUAAAUAUAAAUAUCAAACAUACCUCCCAAAAGUAAUUAUUGAGCAUUUCUUGCGAUAGGGGCAAAUAUUUAUGCGCUCUGAAAUUUUCAAUACUAUGACGAAGUCCAAAACUACUGGUAUGUAUCCUGAAAAAAAAAAAAGAUAAUAUAUACAUUACAAACAGACCAAAUCAUUAAGCGUAAUUAUUUUCGAAUUUUGAAAUAAACUUACAUUUUGUAGAAAGAUUGUGCAUAAAGAUGAAAAAUAAACUUAUAUUUUCUAGAAAGAUUGUGCAUAAAGAUAGAAAAUAAGUCUUGCCUCCACCUAUCAUACAUAUGGAUAAUAAUAUUGAAACGGAAGGUGGUGAGAUGAUAUCUUGAGCAGUUACGUAUCUAGGACCCCUUACGCAAAUCAACGCGUCAAGGAAAAAGGGUAUCAUCAAGAUUUUGGGCCUAAAAAGAUGAUUUUCUUAUAAUAAAUCAAUAAAUUAUAAUUUUAAGAUAAAAAAUUUGUAACUUAACUAUACAAGUUGAAUAGCCCCCAAUCAAAAAAAGAAAGGAACAAAAAUAAGAAAAAAAAUAACUAUUGUGCAGUUAAGGAAAAAAAAAUUAUUACUUUUAUUAUUUUAAUAUUUAAAAAUAAGUAAAGCUAUUAUAUAUAAAAAAAAUAUAUAAAAAAGAAGACCAAAUUUUACAAUAUCAAAAUAAUUUGGUAUGUAUGGUUAUGAUUUCUUCUAAUUAUUUAAAUAUUUGUAUAAUAAUUUAAUUAAAAUAGUUGUAUAUAUAUAUAUAUAUAUAUAUAAAUAUAUUAAUAUAUAUAUAUAUAUAUAUAUAAAAUCCAAAAUAUUAAAUAAAAUUAAAACAAACAAAUGCGAUUUUCAACGCCGCCUCCGCCUCUUUCCUAUGACGCACCCCGCUCGCAUCAUCCUGCAAUGGGUAAAAGUAAAACCGCCGAGAGAUCGUUAGAACCUAAACCUAAAGAGAAAUGAGAGAGAGAAUUAUAACAGUUGAAUAGGCUUCAUCAAAGAAGGGAAAAAAAAAAAUAACUGUUGUUCAGUUAAGAAAAAAAAUACUGGUUGUGUAGUUUAAGAAAAAAUAACUAUUGUGCAAUUAAGGAAAAAAAAUAUUACUUAUUAUUAUUAAUAUUUAAAAAUAAGUAAGCUUUAAUAUAAAAAAUAUAUAUAAAGAGAAGACAAAUUUAACAAAUAUUAAAAUAAUUUGGUAUGUAUGGUUAUUAUUUCUUCUAAUUAUUUUAAAUAUUUGUAUAUAAUUUAAUUAAAAUAGUUAUAUAUUAAUUGUUGUGAUGUUAUCUAUUUCCUCUAAUUACUUAAAUAUUUGUAUAAUAAUUUAAUUAAAAUAGUUGGUUAUGAUUUCUCUAAUUACGUAAAUAUUUGUAUAAUAUUAAUUAAAAUAGUUGGUUAUAAUAUAUAUAUUAUAUAAUAUAUAUAUAUAUAUAUAUAUAUAUAUAUAAUAUAUAUAUAAAUAUAUAUAUAUAUAUGCCACGUCGUACAUUGAAAUUUCUUUGUAAGUGCGCCACUGGCAUUAUAUGGUUCAAUUGGAACAAUGCUUCCAAAUUAUAUAUAUUAUAUAUAUAUAUAUAUAUAUUAUAAAUAUAUAUAUAUAUAUAUAUAUAAUAUAUAUAUAUAUGAUUAUAAGAUAUUAUAUAUUAUUAUUAAGAUAUAUAUUAUUAUUAUCAUUAUUAUUAUUAUAACUUAUAUUUUCAUUAAUUACAUUAAAAUUAUAUAAUAAUACUUAAAAGUAUGUAAUAUAAUUAUAAUAUAUUAAUGUAUGCAUAUAAUAUUAUAUAAUAAAAAUAUAAAAUAUGUAUAUAUAAUUUUCAUCUAUAUAUAUAUUAUAUAUAAUAGCUAUAUUACCUAUUAGAAGUUGGACUGAGCUACUAUUAGUAGUAAAAUCCCAUUGCAGUUACCAAUUUUUUAACCUUUGGAUCAACUCUUUUCAUCAUUUCUAACCAUUGGAUUAAAUACUAUAACCCAGUGGGGACUACUCAACCCUAGGGGGACCACUCAACUCUAACUGACUAAUAUCAUCCUAACCCUACAAUUUUUUAUCCAAGGGUUAAAAACUUAAUAGCAAAAAGAAAAUUUUACUAUUAAUAGUAUUCCAGUCUAAGUAUGAGAGAGAGGGAGUGGUUCACAUUGGACCACUCAUGCGAUCCACGAGAACUAGAAAAUCUCGUAAACCGCGUUUUUUUGAGCAGCCUGUGAGCUACGAUUUUUGGAGAAAAUUUGCAGCGGAAAACAAAAACUUCAUUUUUUCCGGAUAAUCUAUAAAAAAAUAUUUCCAACAAAAUUUUUUACAAGCAACCAAACAACGAAAACCACUUUUCAACCGAAAAUUUUUUUUCGAAGUAGUUUUAUGGGCAACCAAACAGAUCCUUAGUUAAGGGGGUGUUUGGUUAGUUAUAAAACUACAGAAAAUAAUUUUUCAUGACAAAGUAUUAUUGAUGGAAAAAUAAUCUUAUAGCUUUUAAUGUUUGAUUUGUAGUUAAAAAAAAAAAACCUUUCCUGACUUAUUUAUUUGGUCCGUAGGGAAAAUAAAUGGAAAAGAUAUUGUAUAUUUUUUUUCCUAUUAUUUAGUUAUUUAAAAAUUUUAAAUUUACACAUUAUUACAAUAUUAUAAUUUAUAAAUUAUAUGUCACUAAGAAAUAUAUUAAAUUUUUAUGCAAUAUAUUUUACUAUUAUUAUAUAUUAGAAUAUAUAAUCUACAUUCAGUAUUUUAUUAAAUUAUAUAAAUAUGUAUAACAGCGGUGUAGGCCUUUGGCAACUCGCACGGUCCAUCAGCGAGCGUGCUCACUUGUGGACCGCGUGAAAAUUCUGAGCUGAAAACGAGGCACAUUUUUCGAUAAUCUGUAAAGUUAUUUUACAGAAAAUUAUUUUACAUCAAACGAAACUGAUGAAAAAUUAGUUUUUAAACUGAAUAACAUUUCAGGCUAUCUCUAUAUUGGCAGUUAUUUUGGAUAGAAUAUCAACAGAUCGGAUUCGAGACGGAUAUUCAAAAAUCUGAAUCCGAACCUGACCCCAAGGCCAAAACUAGAACCAUGUAAGGACUGAAAUUUUGACAGUGCAACUAAACUCUCUAUUGACGAUGUUUAUAUGUGUAAUUUAAUUACAUAAGCACUCGUCAAGUUUCAGGAGAAAAUGAGCUAAAAUGGAGAAGUUACGCGAUUAUUAGUUUUCACUUAAGUGAAUAGUAACUCCGGUUUUCCGGAGAAGCCACGGAGUAGAGAUGGCUUUCGGCGCGUAUCGGACUCCGUUCAUAGCGAUCCAAUAGCUCGUUUCAAACGGUUCAGCUAUUCUGGAACCAAUGGCACUGACGGAUUUCAGAUCCGAUGCACGGUUUUCGAGAAAAAGGAGUUUUAAGAAAAGAGGGUUUCCGCUCUUUGCUAGUCGUGCAUUUUAAAACUCCUCGUGCUCUGUGCUUGUGACCUGGGGUUAGGUGAGAGUUGUUUCUGGUACCUACUAGUGGUAGGGAAUUCAAAUACGGGUUUGAAUUAUAGGUUUUUGGGUUUUCACAUAAGUCUAGGUGUGACUUAUGGAUUAAUUAGAGAGCGGAGGGAUUCCGUCGCGAAUCUGUGACCAAAUCUGACGAAACAAGAUUGUAGUUUUAUUACCCUCGUCAUGCUGAAUGCGAUGGUGCCGUCGGAUCGAAAAUCCGACAGACGGAUCUCCGGGAAUUGCGAGAUGUCCGCUAAGGGGUCGAAUUUUGGCAAAACGGAUAAUCCGCGAAAAGCGCGGCAUUUUAUGUACCGAAUCGCGAGAGAUCGGACGUGGAGGUAUGUACGCGCAAGUUGCAUGCCCUGGCAGGGGCUGAACCUUAAAUAUUUUGUGUUGGAGGGGUUUUCUGCAAAAGUCCACUUGUAUAUAUAUUGGUAGUUAGGGUUUUUGGGCACGAAACCCUAGAUCGAGUCACCUUCCUCCCCCAGCAAACCCUAGAUGACUUCAACCCAUCCCUGCCCUCGUCGUGCUCGCGCCCCAGUCGCCGGCAAGCGACCCCGGCCGUGGGAAAAGCCAAGGUUCCCCUCUCCUUUCCCCUCGGCCAGCCCUCCUCCCUACAGAGGUGACCUGGAAAGCUGUCGUUAACCCUCCUGGAGGUUUCCCUCGGCAGAGACCGCUCUCCGGCGUCGACCUCGGCCGUCCCUGCCAUCAGCACGCACCGCCGGCCGCUGCUCCUGCUGUUGCGGCCAGCCCGAGCAAGAUCUGGCCGUGGGUGGCCAGAUCUCUCUCCCUUGCGCCGCCGUCCCGUGGGAUGGGCUGCGCCGCCCUUCCAGGCCUCCGACGAUCCCUCACCGACGGUAGCCGACGUCCUUGCGCGCCGCCGGCGCCGUUGGGACCUUCUGCGGCGAUCUGCUGCAGCUCGGGCCGAGUUCGAGUGAGCUCGUGGCCGCGAGCUGCAGCCGCCUCGAGGCGGGCCGCCCCGCCUCCCGCUGCCGUCGGCGACCUCCCGCUUAUGUUUCCCGACGUCCCCGACCACCGCCGGCCGCCGCCCGAAGCUCCUGCAGCCGCCCAGACUUGGUGCCGGCCGAGGCUAGGCUUCCCUCCAAUCCGCGCGUCGCCGCCGCCCACAGCGGGGAGCACCACCCUCCCCACGGCCUCCGGUGAUGGAUCGCCGUCGCCCCGACCUCCUCCGGCCGCCGCCGCGCCGCCGGGAACACAUGGAACCCGAGAGCAAGCCGCGGCUUGAUCUCCUCCGCCACGCCACUGGCCGCCUCCCGCCGCCGGCCAGCAGGUUCCCCGGACCCCUCGGACCAGCUGCUCCCAUCUCCGGCCGAAGCGCUCGCCGUCCGACAGCCGCCGGCCGUGCCCUAGCUCCACCCUGUCCGGUAAGCUAUUUUCAGCCUGUCUGCGCACUAGUUCCUUGUUUAGAUCACUGUUUCUGCGACCCGGGGCUGUUCCGAUGCCCCCAGAGGUGAGCACGGUGAUCUUCAGUCAGUCCUGAUCACAAUGCUCACCUCAUUUAGGGUCAGCGAGCUCCGGAUGAAUUAAUUAGAUGCGUUUUAGUUUCAGUGCGCGCUGUUUAGUUGAAUUUCGUGUCGCUCGUGCGCGUCCCACAGUGGCCGGAUUUGCUCCGAAAGGUGAGCACGGCUUCCGGCACGCCGAGACCUGUUAGCGGGUGUCUCAGCUUCGCUGAUUCACUUCUGGUUUGUGCAGACGGACCAUAAAAGCGCCGAAAUCGCAUGAAAUAAUGCGAUUUCGGGUAUUCGGACGGGCUUUUAUGCAUUUUGGUUCGUCGUAGCUAUUGUUGGCAGCAAGUGCUGGUUGAGGAUAACCUCUGGACUGAUUGUCCAAGGCCCCAGACCCUUGCGAAAAUCGAAAAUGCAUUUCCGGUGCGUUUUUCGGCGAAAUCCGCCGACGGAACGCGGGUUCGGUUCGGAAUUAUUCCGACAGUGCUUCGUGAGCUUUUGCGUAGUCGCUGAGCCUUGUUGGCUGGUCACUUGCGUCAUUUCGAGAGUUCGGAAAUGACGGGUGAGCGACGGUGGGUUCCGGUGUCGAAUUAGACACUUCCGGAAACCCGAAUCGAAACGAUUAUCCGACGAUAAUUGUUUCGACACGAGGAGUUGUGUUCGCUGUCAUUAUGCAUGAUUAUUUAUGUUUAGUGGCAGCAGGUGACUCGUAGCUCGAGUCGAUAUGUUCCGGGACAGUUCGUGGGUCUCGACGGAGUCCCGGUGCGAUUUCGGGACUUCCGUCGAGUUACAAUAGUUGGUUUUAGGAAACCGAUCAUCGUGGGUUUGUUUGUGAGGUUGUGAGAGCUAGUGGUUUGUUGUUUGUGUGUUAGACACUAACCCAGGGGACCCUCCUUAGGUCCUGUUGACGUUCUUUUGCAGUCAGGAGACAGACGCGACAGUUGUACAGGUGGGUACUUCGAUCCGACGUUGGUACAGUGGUUCACGCUCGGUGAUGGCUUCUUACCCUUGCUCUUUUGUUAUUCUCCAUGCUUAUGUUAUAUGUUGAGCCUUGCACCUCUAUUGUUUGCAUUACACCCACGUUGUUUGAUUAUACUCUACUCAGAUGUUUCCAUGCUUAGUAUCAUGUGUAGGAGUAUAGUCUAUCUGUAUGUGAUACCAUGUUUCCUUGUUGCUCUACUUAGCUAUUCUGCAUACCCUGUUUCAUAUUUAUAGUAGAGCGAUUCUGUGAUUAUCUGUGAGAUUAGCGAUCUAGUCGGUCGAUUCUAGUAUUCAGUAUUUGUGACCUAUUCGGUGAGUUCCUCGACCUUUGUUGUCUGAUGACCGUUGAGGUCGGUAUACCCUGAGGGGUGGGAUUGUCGGUUAGUUGCCGACGGAUGAUUAUACUUUACUCAUAUCCUAUACUUGUGACAUGAUUGGUCGAGUUUCAUAUCCUAUACUUGUGACGUGAUUGGUCGAGUUUCAUAUCCUAUACUUGUGACAUGAUUGGUCGAGUUUCAUAUCCUGUACUUGUGACGUGAUUGGUCGAGUUUCAUAUCCUAGUUGAUCUGAGUGGUCAGUCCUUGUGGUUCAUUGAGCAGUAUUUGCAUAUGUUUGAGAGGAUGUCGAUGUUGUCCCAUCCUAGUUGACCUGAGUGGUCGGUUCUUGUGCUUCUUUACAGUUGAUGACCUAUGCGGUCGAUAGGCCCUGGGGGGCAGGAUUGUCGGCUGGUUGCCGACGGUUGAUCAUUGACCAUAUUGCAUUGAUCGCCCGAUACUCGUCGCAUUUCACGAACACUGGCGGUCUGAUCCACCGCAAGGAGUGUUCUUUUCCGGAAAAGUGGUUGAAUGGUGACAACCCGUGAGCCCUAUAGGGGUUAUAUGCAUAUUAGAGCGGCAGUGGUACUGUCGGGAGGUGUUGCGGUGCGGACCUCCAGGGCAUUGGCUUGAGGUCUGCGGUGCUGACCAAGAGAGCAUUGGUUUCAGAUUGGGUACUUUUGGACUGAUUGUUCCAUUGACGCAUAUGUUUAUAGUAGCAGUCGUUGCAUGCAUACUUACAGAUCUUACUUUAUAAUUGUCUUGCUACUAUAAUAGAUAUUCAUGUAUGCUUUCUGUUCCAGUUACAGUAGUGGUAGCCAUUAUUCAGUCUAGCUCCUGCUCUCUUUCAGUUUAUUGCUACUGUAUCUAGUAUAUCUGCUCAUUACCUUAUACAUCUCUUACGUUUACUACUGUUCCUACUACAUUUUCACUGACCCUUGUUGUUACUUAGCUCUCCCUGAUCCGGUGAGUACUCCUCGCCUUCAUCGGCUUGCGGUACCCACUGGGAGGGGAGACAUGUUUUACAUGUUCUCACCUCCCCCACCAUUUUUUUCAGGUAUCGCGGGCGUUGAGUAGUGGGACGAGACGUGAGGUACGUGUAUAGCGGUCGAUAGAGCUUCCGACCCAGGUUAUUUCGAUUUAGCUAUUACUCUUUUAUUUCUGUGGAUAUAUAUAGCUUAGUCGGUUUACAUGGUUCAGUUUUGUUUUAUUAUUUGAAUAUCUAAGUUUUCAGUUGGUUUUGGAAUUGUGUUUUCUUGAAAUAAAAGGUUUUCUACCCCUCGUUGUAGCGUUUCUUAAAGAAUAAAGGUUUUCGUGUAGGGAACAGUUUUCAAAAGAAUUUUCGUGAAUUUCUAUUUAAACACUGAAUGUAAAUCUGUGAUGUGAAUGGUGAAUGUAUGAAUGUAUAAUUAUCUUCAUAUUCAUUUGGUUGUGGUUGUUUCCUGGCUAUGGUCUUGUACUUGUGCGACGCCGUGCAAAUACAGGGGAGACUCUGUCCGUGUGAAUAGUGGAUUUCCUGUAUUUGUGGCGGAUCUGGCAUACCCUGGGGUCAGGUUUGCAAAAAAAAAAAAAAAAAAAAAAAUUUCAGACGCUUUUCCGCUACCUUUUUAACCUGAAGGGACCCCGGGGCGUGACAAACCCGAACUUGAGUCCGACGGAUUUUAAAAUCCAUAUUCAAAUACGAACCCGACCAAAACUUCGAAACUCAAAUCCGAUUCCGAAACAAUUCUUUCUUCUUUCAAUAUUUUAAAAAAUAUUACUUAGAUCUAAAAUUUUAAAAUAUAGCUUCAAAUAUAAUAUCAAAUGUUUACAUACAUGUAUACAUGACCUAAAAUAAAUUUAGGUUUGGAUCAGGUUCCGGUUUGAGUCAGGUACAAUAAAAAUCCAUACCCGAAUCCAUAUCCGUUGGGUUUCUAUUUUCGAUAUCCAUAUCCGAAUCCAUAUUGAUUGGGUUUUUGUUUUUAUUAUUCAUAUCUUAAAAUACAUUCAUUUAGUAUCAAAUAAAUCUAUUUUGUUUGGUUUUGGAUUCGGAUAAAAUUUCAGAUAUCUAUAUCCAUGGGCGGAGAUUUGAUUCGUUUUGGAAUAGAAAUUCGGAAUAUUGAUCCCUCAAAUUAUACGGAAAUAAUGAAAAAUGAUUCAUUCUGUUUCCACUCCAAACCUCAAAUCCUUCCUCACCAACCAAUCGUAAUUCUGGAUGAAACCCAAAAAAAAAAACUUCAUAUAUAAUAAAAAACUAUUAAAUAAUUAAGUAGCUAAAAGCAUAUCAGAUUUAAAAAUAAAAUUGUUCAACAAUAUCUACAAAAUCAACAAAUAUUUAAAUUUAAGUAAUAGACUAAAAUUUUUUAAAAAUUUUGAGUUUGAUUCAUAAAUUUAAAUAUAAAUUUACAUUUAAAUUUUGGAAUCAAUUCAAUUUUUUAUAUUUGGGUACAUCUUUAAAUAGUACCUAAAUCUUUUUAUUUUAUAUGUCCAUUCUAUUAUAUACUAGUAUAGAGCCUGCACUGUGUCACAAGUAGUUAAUAUUUCAAAUAAUUAAUUAUUAAAAUUUUAAGAUUGAAAAAUUAUAAUUAAACAAAUAGAAAAAGGAAAAAAAACUUAAAUUAACUUUCUAUCAGUAUUUCCUUAACUUUAGGUAGCAUUUGGUUCGGGUAUAAGUAAGAAGUAGUUAUUACAGGGAUAGGUACAAGUAUGGGGGUAUAAAUAAGAACUAGUUAUUACAAUGAUAGGUACAAGUAUGGGGAUAAGAAAAAUAGCAUUUGGAUAAAAAUUGGGUUGUUUCCGAAGAGAUAAGAAAAAUAGCGUUUAGAUAGAUAAUAUGGAAUAAGAAAAAUAGUGGACAGUUAUAUAUAGAAAAUGGAGGUGUUGGUGGGGAUAGUUAUACCAGAUUAUUUUAGAUAACCGAGUACUACUAUUCUCGGGUAAAAAUUUUGCGUUUGGGUAUAAAGGGGAUAAGGGGUUAUCCCUCCCCUUAGUAUAGAGGCUGCGAGGUAGUAUUUCAAAUAAUUAAUUAUUAAAAUUUUAAUAUUAACAAAAUUAUAACUAAAGAAAUAGAAAAAAAGCUAAAAAGUAGUCUUAUGAACAUUAUGAAGAAUAAUUUUUUAUGAAUAUUUUGUAACUUUCAGUAUUUUCAAUUUUAAAUUAUACUUAUAAUUUUAUUUAAAAUUUAAUCAAAUUCUUAGUUUUGAUAGUUAUUCAAUAAUAAUUUUUUAAAAUAAAAAGUUAAAAUUGAAAAAUUUAUUUAAAAUUAAAGAAUAGGUGAAGAUGUCUUCAGCUUGUUAAAAUUGACGAAAGAGAAAAAAUAUUGGAUAUGCCUUGUGUAUAUUAAUAGUUAGUAUACUACAAUUUAUAUUAGAUGAUUAAUAUUUUAACAUCAAAAUUGAAUUAAAUAUAUAUUAUCUAAAAAAUCUAAUAAUUUAAAUUAUAUUUGACAACUUAAUUUUAAAAUUUCUAUUAAAAGAUUUUAGAUAUGCAGUGUAUAUACAAAUAUAUACUUGAUGUAGAGAAAAUUUAAAGAAAUACAUUAAUAAUUUCACUAAAAAUGAGGAAUCUUUGUUUGCAUCCCGUGCAUACCAAUUCUCCCUACACUAUACAAAAUAUUAGAUAAUUAAUAAAAUAUUUAAUAAUAAAUAUCAUAUAAUAUAAUAUAAUAUAAUUAAUAUAAAAUAUUUAAAUUAUUUAUUGUAUUACUAGAAUUUAUUAUUGAUGCAUAUUUUAAGUAGCUAGGGGCAAUUGUGCGCCUAUAUGCCCCUGAAAAAUUUUCGAUUUUUUUAUUUAUCCCUCUUAGAAGGCUAAUACUGAAAAUACUCUUCUUAUGUUCCAAGUUCUUUCUAAUAUACCCCUGGAGUUAAGUUCGUUAGUGAGCUGUUAACAGUUGCCGUUAUCUUUGAAAAAUUACCAUUUUGCCAAUUCCAAUAUACUAGUCUUGUAUCAUAACUAACUUUUCUUAUAUACCCUUCAUAUAGCAAAUACUUUUCUUAUUUGCCCUUCAAAUAUUAAUUAAUUAAUUAAGCACAUUGGGAGCGAACAGAUAAACGGAUGAGAUCGAUCGCAGCUAAACCAACUUUGGUGACUGGAGGCAUAGUUAGUUAACUCGGAUUCGGCAAAAAUUCGGUACGGAUAUAAUUCAGAUAAAAUCCGUCUUUUAAUUUUUAAAUUCAUUGAAAAAUACGGCUAAAAAACGAAUUUGGCAAUUAUUCGGAUAUGUGAUUUAUACGGGUAUUAUACGUUCACUAAUUAAAAAUUUGGGAUAAAAAAUUCGGAUAUAUAAUAAAUAUAUAAUAAUUAACAUACUAUAAAUAUUAUUAUAUAAUUUUUAUAUAUAGAAUAAAUAUAUUUAAAAAUAUAAUAAACAUAUAUUAAUAAUAUAUAAGAGUUAUAUAUUUAAAAAUAUUAAUAAAUAAUUACAAAUUUAUAAAUAAAAUAUUAUAUAAUAAUAUUUCUAUAUAUAAAUAAAAUACUAUAUGAAUAUAUAUUUAUAAAUAAAAUUAUAUAUAUAUAUAUNAUAUAUAUAUAUAAUGAGAGGGAGGUCCAGACCUCCCUCUCUCCGGUCUAAUUGGCCUCGUGGACCGCGCACACCUGCUGCUCCUAUCCGCGCGCAACACCGCACCAUUUCUUCCCUCUGCGCGCAACACCGCGCCCUCUUGCUCCCGGCACGCGGACGGCGUCGGGCGAGACGGGAUCGGCUGCGACCCUCUUGCUCCCAGCGCCGGCCAAGGCGGCGGAGGAGGAGGACGACGACGAUGAGAGCGGCGGAGGAGGAGGACGACGAGAGCGGCGAGAGGGGUGGUGUUGGAGGUGGAGGUGUGGGAGGUGGUGGUGGUCUGUAAGGAGAUGAGGCGAGGUAGAGGCGGAGGAGCCGGUGACUAAGCUGGGAGAGAAAGAUGAUAACUUAAGGGAUUGGUAUAAUAAGGUAGGAAAAAAAUAGAUAUUUUAUUUAGGUUUUAACUCUAGUAUAUAUUUAACUCAUAUUUAACCCGAGUUAAGCAAACAGGGGAUUGCGGGGGUAAUUUCGAAUAACGAUGAAACAUAUGAGGAGUAUUUUGGAAAAAAAGAGAGUAGGGGUAGAUCGAAUAUUUCCAAACAUACGAGAAGUAUAUAGACAAUUAUCCCUUUUAAGUAUUACUAGAAAAUUUGUGCAUUUUGUGGAUAUGUGGCAAACUCUUAUUGGAGUUUUAGCUCAAUUGGCAACAUGGCUCUUUCUUGAUGUGAAAUAAUACUAGUUAAAGAUCCCAUGUGAUACGGCGGGUAGAUAUUUUUAAAUUUAGAGGUAUGUUUGAAAGAAUUUGAAACUUUAGAAAGAUAUUUUAAUGUUAACCUUCUAAUUGGGGUAAAUAUGAAAGUUAGGAACCUUUUAUGAGUAUAUAAGUAAUCGUCCCUUAAUUUUACCUAUAAUUUCAAGGCAUCGUGGUUUUGAGUUUGGUACUCAAAAUAAAAAAAAAUAAUAAUAAUAGGCUUUUCCGACUUCUUAAGCAUGCUUAUUCUGUUGGCUUAAAUGGGCUACUAUUUUGCCAUAUGGUGUGAGAUCAUAUUGAGCGAAGUUAUAUUUGAAAUGGUGUGAGGCUAGAUUGUGUGCAACUAUUCUGCCAUAUGGUGUGAGGUCAUAUUGAGCUAAGUUAUAUUUGAAAUGGUGUGAGGCUAGGUUGUGUCUAGUCAUGUUCGAAAUGAUAUAAGACUGAUUUGAACGAAUCACAAUCGUGAUCUGUGAACGCUGUUUAUAUGUUUUAAGUUAAUUAGUUGCAUAUUGCUAACAACUCAGAUUUUUGAAAAUAAUAAUUGAUGUCAGCGAUUUGACUAGUGGUCACGUAUCAAAGUCAGAGAUACGGGUUCGAUUCCCGUGACCUAAAAGCUUUAUUUUAAUUUUCUAUACAGUAAAAUUUCAAAAAAUGAAAACGAAAAAAAGUUAUAGACCACUCAAAUUAAAGUGACUGUAGUUAGAAAACAGAAAUUAAAUCAUUCUUUGAUACCUUCUCUGUUCCAGGAAGUGCACAAAAUAGUACGCUUAGCAAAAUAGUUAAACCUAUAAUAGAUAUCGAAUAUUGAAAUUGUAAUAUUCCGGACGAUCCGCAACCACCGAUGAUGAAAUUGCUCCGAGGUCGGAUGGCAGUGAGGAUGAUGGGUGCUCCCGGCAGCGGCUCCGCUGUAACCGAGGUAAGCAAAGAGGUAAGAGGUAGAGAGAGUGACAGAGAAAGUAUUGGGGAUAGAGAGAGAGAAGAGAGGGAAUAGAGAUAAGAUAGAGAUAGAGGAUUGGGGUUAGAAGUAGAGAAGAGAAGAGGAGAAUUGGGAGGAGAAGUAGUAGAGAAGAAGAAGGGUUUGGAGAAGAACUUUUGCGGAAGAAAAUAGACUAGUUUAUUUCAUUCAUGAUAUUUGACUCUGCACAGCUAUUACUUAUACUCCCCUUUACAUAUACUGAAAUGCAAAAAUUAUAGAAAUAGUGAACUAAGUUGCAAAAGUUAAUAAAAUGGGCCAAUUUUGAUGGGGAUGUGGGGCUCGAGUUGGGCUUCACUGGUCCAUGAACUCCUUGUAACCGGUAAGUGGAUAUCGGGUCGCCUUCUCUGCACUAUCCUCCACCCGGCAGGUAGCGGGCCCGCCUUUUACACCCGAUCUAGGAAUCGAAUCAUCCGCUCUGCUAGUAACCCGGGUAAGGGGGUUGUCGGUGGAUAUUGGGUCCGCCUUUUGCAUCCGCUCCGGUUUUCUGGAGUUCCGAUCCGCUAACCUCUGCAGUAUAGCCACUUCUCUCAAAUCGCUAGGUUUGGUCGGAGCUACCCUCCUCCGCCGGAGUUCCACCCGAGCGACCUCACGCCGCCGGAGCUCCACCCGAGCUCGCGCCUUUCUCAACCUGCUGCGGCCCUUAUUUCUGCUCUUGCUAUGCGAAGUUAACAUUUUUACUUUCUCUCUUCUACUGACUACUCUACUUCUACCAUUUAUUCUUCAGGGUCGUUACAGAAAUAUUAUUUUUUUAGAAGAUUAAUUAAGUUGCAAGAAAUACAUUUUUUUAGAAGCUUAAUUAAGUUGCAAGAAAUAAUAUUUUAUAUAAUAUUUUAUGAGGAAAAGAGUAUAAUAUGAACUUUACCCAAACUGCUAUAUAUUCACCCUUUAAAACCUAGCUUGGAAAAAUAAUUUCGUUGGAAUGCGCCAGAAAAAUUCUUAUUUGGUAAUUAAUUUGGACAAAUAUUUGUUAGCUGCGAGAUCAUACACGUACGUACGAAUUUCAGCUCGUCAAUUUAUACUCUUGGCUCGAUUAGUAGUUAAUUUUCUUAACUUACAUCUUGUUGAUUUCAUGAGAUAGAGCGAAUUGAAAUAAAAUUGUUAUUCAGAUGAUAGUUAAGAGCAGAUCCUGUUUAGAUGCAUAAAUAUAUCUUAUUCCAGAUAUACCUUUUAUUUACUCAAAAAAUUAUAGUUUUAGUAGAUAAUUUAUAAUAUUUGGUAGAUGAGAAAUAUGAUUAAACAUACUAAUCAUUAAUUUACAAAAACUCGAGCUAUUAGAAAGAUGCAAUCAAUUUACUUAAAGCAUACAAAUAUAUACAAUGCUUAUAGAUUUCAAUUGUGACUCAACCCAAUUAGCUAUCAUCACUUCGAACAUGACUCGGCCCAAUUUGACCUCCUACCACAUGGCAGGAUACUUACAUAUUUAAGCCAACAGUCCCCCGCCCGCCCCCCCCAACCGAGCCUCCCGGAAUCACAGGACAGGAUGCUGCUAUAUUUAAGCCAGCAAUCUUCGGCCAACAAGAUAUGAUCUAACUUAAUUUCUGCUGUAUUCUACAGAAAAUUAGCAAAUUUGUGAAGAUUUUGACUACCACAUAAGUUUAUGCAGUGAAUCACUGUUUUUUCAAUUCAUAUAUCCAUUUUAUAUAAAAUGUGCUAUAAUUAGAUAAGAUUUAUAGAUGUUUUCCAGUAAUUUAAGGUUUUAAAGAAAAGUUAUUAUUUGGCAUGCAUGAUAUCAGAACGGGAGAUUUAGUUUGGUUUCCGCCGGGUUCGGUUCUCUCAUGCAUAAUUUAACCCUAUGUUUUGGACCUAUUUAAUAUAUAACAAUCUUGAGCACGAUCGACAAAAAAUGUUAAACAUAAAAUAAUAAUUUUUUUAAUUUUUUUAAUAAUGGAAUUAACUUUUUAUAGAAAAACAAUUAUUUCACAAUCUAAAUCCCCUCCUGCAUAAGCUUCUGCAGUUCUAAGCUAGCUCCUGCUUCAACUUUCUAUUACCUCUGCUUCAUCAGUAUUAAGCUAGCUUUUUAAACAAUUUUAUUUGAAGUAAUUAUAUCUAAAUGGUGCUUUUGUUCUCAAGCAGCAAUUCUCUCCAUGCAUAGCCGCAGCGAAAUGUUAAUGAUAUGCCUUCUUUUUUAUUGGUUUGGUCCAUGCACCGGGUCUACGGAAUAUAUUAAUUCUUAAAGUUGAUUCACGUUGGUGUAAGAGAUGAGGCUGAAUCUAAUUAAUAUUGGGAUUGCAUGCAUCAAAACCAUAUUUGGUUUAUACUUCUCAAACCGACUCCAAUUAACAUUGGUUGACUUUUGACCGGGUUAAUUAGCACUAUAUAUUCAUGCUGGGGUGAACCGUACGAUGCGUCAUGUGGUAGAAAUUUAAUUAGCAUCGGGCUAAUUAAUUCACAGCUUCCUAUAGCCGUACGGUAGCAAGAAAAAGAGAUGCGCGGUAGCACGCAUGCGACGGAUUGACGUUGGCGGCGGAGCGGCGGUUCUCAACCAAUUGCCUGAGCGGUUCGGAUUCUUCGAAGCAACGGCAUAAAGGAAUUUGGUUAGAGUUUCUAUACUUCUCUAAUUUGGUCUUCUCGGUUUUACGAAAAGCUUUUUUUCGGUAUUUUUCUUGGAGUUUUCGUUGGAACAAGAAAGGUGGGAUUCACCAUAAGGUUCUUGGUUUUUUAUCCGGAGAAGACAUAAGGUGUAAGCUUGUACUUCUAUUUCUUCAUAUAGUGGAAUACAUCUCUCUCGCUCUCCCCGUGGACGUAGGCAAUUGCCGAACCACGUAAAUCUUGGUUUCUUCUUUCUGCAUUUAUUCUUUUACCGUUCGGUCGAUUUUCUCUAUUUUUCGUGCAUCUUUGUUGGUAGCACAUGACGGACGAUCCAUCCGGUUCCCAACAAGUGGUAUCAGAGCAUAAGGUUCGUGCUACAUCAGAGAUGUCGAAAGUCUCGUCUUCUAAGUUUGAGGUGGAGAAAUUUGACGGUAAAGGAAACUUCGGUCUCUGGCAGAGAAGAGUGAAAGCCCUUCUGGUUCAACAGGGCCUUCAUAAGGCGUUACUCGGAAAAUCGAAAAAGCCGACAUCGAUGAGCGACGAAGAUUGGGAGGAUAUUGAUCUGCGAGCGGUGAAUACAAUUAUAUUGUGUCUAGCAGAUGAGGUGAUGUAUAACGUAAUGGAUGAAGAAACUACAGUCGGCAUGUGGAACAAGCUAGAGAAGCUGUACAUGACCAAAAGCCUCUCGAACGUGCUGUACCUAAAGCAAAAAUUAUAUGGGCUACGCAUGAAGGAAGGUACGGCAAUAACGGAACACUUGAACACCUUUAAUAAAAUUAUUGCGGAUUUGCUCAGCAUUAAUGUCAAGGUUGACGAGGACGAUAAGGCGUUGAUUUUUCUUACAUCACUUCCGUCGUCCUACAAUCACUUGGUGACCACCAUACUGUACGGGAAGCAAACUCUAAAGAUGGAAGAUGUUACAUCGACACUUUUAUUUGAAGAGAUCAGGUUGCAGGCGAGAACCGAAGAAAGCAGUGCAGGUUUGGUCGUAAAUGAUACAAGUGGAGGAAGGGGACGAUCAAGAGAACGUGAUGCGGGUAAAGGAAGAUCCCGUUCCAAGUCAAAAUCGAAAAAGGUGAAGUGUUACUUCUGUAAGAAAGAGGGCCACAUGAAAAAGAACUGCGAAAAGAGGAAGGCUUGGCUGCGAAAUCAGAAUUCCUCUGCAGAUACGGCGAGCAUAGCCAGUGAUUCCGGUCAGGACGUCUUGACGGUUACAACAGAUUCUGACUCUCACGGUGACUGGAUAUUAGAUUCUGGUUGUUCUUAUCACAUGUCUCCAGACAGGUCUUUAUUUGAUACUUAUAAGUCUUGCGAAGGCAGUAAUGUUAUGAUGGGUAAUCGCACUAGCUGCAAGAUGGUCGGUAUCGGAACGGUAAAAAUAAAGAUGUUUGAUGGUGUGGUGAGGACGUUAACGGAUGUGAGACACAUUCCGGAUCUCAGGUUAAAUCUUAUAUCACUUGGUACUCUUGACUCUACUGGCUGUUCUAUUAGCAUUUCAGGUGGAGUCGUCAAGGUUAAAAAGGGUGCCAUGGUCGUCAUGAAGGGAGAGAAGAAAGGGAAUCUGUACAGACUGAUCGGCGAGUCGGUGAUUGGAGGCGUUGCGGUAACAUCCUCAGAAGAUCAUGAUGCUGAUGAUACGGAGCUCUGGCACAUGAGACUAGCCCACAUGAGUGAAAGAGGGAUGUUGGAACUGCAUAAAAGGGGAGUACUCAAAGGUAUUAAAUCCUGUAAACUUAAUUUCUGCAAAUAUUGUUUAUUUGGAAAACGGAAAAGGUUGAGUUUCAGGACCUCCAGUCAUAAAAGCAAAAGUAUACUUGAGUACAUCCAUUCAGACGUGUGGGGACCGGCUCCGGUGACUUCGAAAGGUGGUGCGCGAUAUUUUAUUACAUUUAUCGAUGAUUUCUCCCGUAAGGUUUGGGUAUUCUUCAUGAAGGAAAAGUCUGAGGCAUUUAUAAAGUUCAGACAUUGGAAGAAUGAGGUGGAGAAACAAACUGGGAAGCAGGUCAAGGUUCUUCGAACGGACAAUGGUGGAGAGUUCACUUCUCGGGAGUUUAAGAAAUUCUGCAAGGAUGAAGGUAUUGUACGUCAUUACACGGUUUCAGGUACUGCAUAGCAGAAUGGAGUAGCAGAAAGGAUGAACCGGACAUUGCUAGAACGUGCCAGUUCUAUGAGGUUAUGUGCAGAUUUGCCAAAGGAGUUCUCGGCUGAAGCAGUAGAUAUGGCGUGCUAUAUUAUUAAUCGAUCUCCCGCCACAGCAAUCGAACUCAAAACACCGGAGGAAGUAUGGACAAGUAAACUUGCAGAUUAUUCCUCCUUACGGGUCUUUGGUUGUCCUGCUUAUGUCCAUAUCCAGGAAAAUCAGCGCACAAAAUUAGAUUCGAAGUCAAAACCCUGCAUAUUUCUUGGAUACGAUAUGGGUGUUAAAGGAUACAAGCUGUGGGACCCUAUCGCCAAGAAGAAGGUGAUUAGCAGGGACGUAGUUUUUGACGAAAAAGCUAUGCCGCGUAAGGAUCAUCAGGAAGCUCAACGUGAAGAACAGUCAAAAACUACGCAGAUCCAGGUGGAGCGGCAAUAGGGUGUAGAUGAUCAGGUGGAGCAGCCCCACUAUCAGGAUGAUCAUGGUACACAAAGCGAUCCGAUUGAAAGCACUUCGGAAGAGCCCUACUCUAUCGCUAAAGGAAGGGAAAGGAGACAGAUUCGUCCACCUUUACGGUACAGGUUGGAGGAUAUAGUAUCUUAUGCCUUAUUAAUUACAUCAGAUGAUCCCACUUCCUAUCAGGAGGCGAUGCAGGACAGAGAUAGUGGCAGAUGGAUGGCGGCUAUGACAGAAGAGAUGGAGUCUCUACAGAAAAAUCAGACAUGGGAUCUGAUUCCAUUACCGGAAGGGAAGAGAUCUAUCGGUUGCAAGUGGAUCUACAAAAAGAAGCAGGGUGCAGAUGGAGAACCAGAAAAAUUCAAGGCGCGGUUAGUAGCCAAGGGCUAUGCGCAAGUAAAGGGAGUUGAUUUCAAUGAGAUUUUCUCACCGGUGGUGAAACACGCGUCAAUUAGGAUGCUUCUAGCUAUGGUGGCUAUGUUUGAUUUAGAGCUUCAGCAGCUUGACGUUCGAACCGCAUUUCUUCAUGGGGAUCUAGUAGAAGAAAUUUAUAUGGAACAACCUCAAGGUUUUGUUCAGCCGGGGAAGGAGAAUCUGGUGUGCAAACUGAAAAGAUCUCUCUACGGGUUGAAGCAGGCACCGAGGCAGUGGUAUAAGCGGUUUGACGGGUUUAUGAUCGAGCAUGGUUAUAGCAGAAGUUUAUAUGACAGUUGUGUCUACUAUCGGAGGCUUGAAGAUGGUUCGUUUAUUCUGCUUAUGCUAUAUGUAGACGAUAUGCUUAUAGCAGCUAAGAAUCCGAAUGAAGUGCAACAAUUAAAGGAUCAGUUGAGCCGAGAAUUUGACAUGAAGGACCUAGGAGGUGCUAGGAAAAUCCUAGGUAUGGAGAUCAGACGCGACCGCAUACAGGGUAAGUUAUGGUUAUCGCAGAAGACAUAUAUACGAGCUAUUAUAAAGCAAUUUAAUAUGUCAGAGGCGAAGGCGGUCAAGACUCCAUUAGCCCAACACUUCAAACUUUCUGAGGAGAUGUGUCCCAAGACGGAUGAGGAGAUUACUUCUAUGUCAAAGAUACCAUAUGCUAGUGCAGUCGGUUGCCUGAUGUAUGCUAUGAUCUGCACUAGGCCUGAUCUUUCACAUGCAGUUAGUGUUGUCAGUCGGUAUAUGUCGAAUCCAGGAAAACAACACUGGGAGGCCGUGAAGUGGAUUUUGCGGUAUCUGAAGGGCACAUCAGAUAAAGGUAUUCUCUACUCGAAAGAUUCUGGUAAUGAUGAAGUGAAGGGGUUUGUAGAUUCCGACUAUGCGGGUGAUUUGGACAAGCGUAGGUCUAUUACAGGUUACGUCUUUCUGCUGGGCGGCGGACCUAUCAGUUGGAAAUCUACGUUGCAGCGCACUGUAGCCUUGUCAACUACAGAAGCGGAGUAUAUGGCGGCAAUUGAAGCAGCUAAGGAAGCAGUCUGGCUUAGAGGCUUGGUUGGUGAACUCGGGAUCAUGCAGGAAAAAAUGAUUAUCGGUUGUGAUAGUCAGAGUGCUAUAUGUCUCGCCAGGAAUCCAGUUUACCAUGGGAGGACAAAGCACAUAGAAAUCAAGUAUCACAAAUUACGGGAGCUCACUAAUGAGGAUGAUGGAGAAAUUCAGCUUAUAAAGGUUUCCACAAAGGAUAAUGUAGCUGACAUCAUGACAAAGCCGGUAACAGCGGAUAAGUUUAGACACUGUCUAAACUUGGCUAAUUUGCAUGACUGCUAAUGACUGAAUGCCUCAGGGAGAGGGGGCGAUAAGAUGAGAGAGAGUAAUGAAGUAAAAAAGAAGUCAAGGUGGAGAAUGUUAAAGAUAUGCCUUCUUUUUUAUUGGUUUUGUCCAUGCACCGGGUCUACGGAAUAUAUUAAUUCUUAAAGUUGAUUCACGUUGGUGUAAGAGAUGAGGCUGAAUCUAAUUAAUAUUGGGAUUGCAUGCAUCAAAACCAUAUUCGGUUUAUACUUCUCAAACCGACUCCAAUUAACAUUGGUUGACUUUUGACCGGGUUAAUUAGCACUAUAUAUUCAUGCUGGGGUGAACCGUACGAUGCGUCAUGUGGUAGAAAUUUAAUUAGCAUCGGGCUAAUUAAUUCACAGCUUCCUAUAGCCGUACGGUAGCAAGAAAAAGAGAUGCGCGGUAGCACGCAUGCGACGGAUUGACGUUGGCGGCGGAGCGGCGGUUCUCAACCAAUUGCCUGAGCGGUUCGGAUUCUUCGAAGCAACGGCAUAAAGGAAUUUGGUUAGAGUUUCUAUACUUCUCUAAUUUGGUCUUCUCGGUUUUACGAAAAGCUUUUUUUCGGUAUUUUUCUUGGAGUUUUCGUUGGAACAAGAAAGGUGGGAUUCACCAUAAGGUUCUUGGUUUUUUAUCCGGAGAAGACAUAAGGUGUAAGCUUGUACUUCUAUUUCUUCAUAUAGUGGAAUACAUCUCUCUCGCUCUCCCCGUGGACGCAGGCAAUUGCCGAACCACGUAAAUCUUGGUUUCUUCUUUCUGCAUUUAUUUUUUUACCGUUCGGUCGAUUUUCUCUAUUUUUCGUGCAUCUUUGUUGGUAGCACAUGACGGACGAUCCAUCCGGUUCCCAACACGAAAGCCACACAAAAUAAUAUUAAUUCCUAUAUCAAGAUCCUAAACUCUAUCUUUAUUUUCUUGGAACCAUAUUACAGCAAUUAAUUAAGAUGAAUCAACAAUACAAAAAUCGGAUGAAUCAAUAUUGAAAACAUAAUUACCCAAAAAAAAAAACAAAAAAUAGAAAAAAAAAAUCAUACCCACAAGAUAUAUCCAAACACCACCUUCAUCGAAACACAGGAACAUAACAUAUAUUUUAACUGUAAUGCUUAACCACUCAUCAUAUAUGCACCAUAUAUAUAAUCACUACUCAAAGACUCCACCAAAUCGAAGCCACAGAAACAACAGCAAAAACCAGAAUAUGAUUAUCCCGACUGACGCCCAUGGCGAGAGAGCCGCUCGUCGAAUCCGCAGGAGUGGUCGAGGCCGGCCCUUCGGCCGCAGAUGCCGACUUCUUCUUCUUCUGCUGCUCCGACGGCGAGGGGGCGGGCGGGACGGACGGCCUGAACACGCCCAACGGCAGCAGGACCUGAUCAACUUGGUAGACAGCAAGCUGGCCAUCAGUGUAAACAGUGUUAUCCACCGUGGUGUUCACCAGCCCUGUGGAGAUAUUCACUUGAUUCCCCACUGCAGUGACGUUUAGAGGGUACUGGCCAUCGCUGGAAUCCCCGGCUUGAGUUCUGAGGGGGUUGCUGACAGUUUGGAACUGCGAGGCCGAGAGGAAGUAGGGGAGGAUGUGGUACUGGAUGAGGGAGUCCUUCUGCUGGUCGGUGAGGGAGUUGAGGGUGCCGGAGGGGAGGGAGGAGAAGGCAUUGUCGGUCGGGGCGAAGAUCGUCAGGCCGUUCUGCGUGUUGUUGAGCUCGUUGUUGAUCUGGUUGGCGACCUGCGUCGACUUGAGCAGGCGGAUGAAGGUCUGGUACUGCCCGGCCUUCUCGAGGAUCCCGGUGAUGUUGGUCGGCCCCGGGGGCGCGGGCGCGGCCGCGGCCGCGGGCUGGGCUAGGGCUAGGGUUUUGGUGGUGGUGCAAUAAUAUUGGAAGAGGAGGAGGAGAGAGAGGGUGUGAGUGAGGAAGUUUCUCAUGGCUUUGGUGCUAGCUAGGGUUAAUUUGCUAUUCUUAAUUAGUUUCUAGCUUCCUCUCAAUUAUUAAUUAAUGUGGAGAGAUAGAGAGGGUUGUGGGGAUUUUAUGGUGGUGAGGAGGAGAGAGAGAGAGAGAGAGAGAGAGAGAGAGAGAGAGAGAGAAGAGGUGGUGGGUGGUGGGGGAGUGUCUAGCACCAAACUUCAACAUGAUGGUCCAACUAGUAUGCUUGCUUAAUAUGUGAGCAAAAACAGUGAGAUUGUGAGGUUAACAGCCAUGCAUGCAAUGCUUCUCUCUCUGUCUCUCUCUCUCUCUCUCUAAAAAGCAUCAGUACAAUGAUGGAGAGGAGCUUUUGAGGUGGAGGAAAGGACUGCAUUAUUGUACCUGCAAUUUUGAGCUCAAUUCUAAUUAGAGUAGUUCUUCACGCAUAGUUUCGUGCAUCUUUAUGCUAUUCAUGGUAGUUCCUUAUUAUAUUAUGGGUUAUUUAAUUAAUUGGUGUUUGUUUGUAGGAGUUGAAGUGUAAACUAAUGACUUGUGGGGCGUUCAGUAGUAGUACUUCAUAUAUUAUAAUACAAGUAAUACUGUUGGUACGCUUCAAAAUAGAAUAUAUAUUUUAAAUCCACUCUGUUAAUUCAAGAGUCAUUAAUUCUAUAUUUGUUAUAUCAUUUUUUUAAUUUUUACUAAAAAUUAUUUAAAUUUUUGUGAAUUUUAGGAUGAAGGAUUUAAUUAAGAUCUGCACUCCAACUUUGAGGUGUACAAGUAAAAUUUCUCACAGGGCAUAAUGUAUAGGUAAUCCUCGUAUAAUCCCUAUAUUAAUUGCCACUUAGUUCUAAACUUUCCACUUAAAUAUAUACUAUAUACUUUUUAAGCUUCAGUUGGAAUUACGGGGAGAGCAUUUAAUAAGCAGGAGGAAAGAUCACAAUAAACUAAAUUAUAUUUUAUUCAUAAUAUAUAUGAUUAUACUUAAUAUAUAUAUAUAUAUAUAUAUAUAUAUAUUAUAUUAUAUAUAUAUAUAUAUACUAUAGUUCCAUCUACUAUUCUAUUAAUAGGAUUAAGGACAUUGUCCUAUCAAGCCGAUUGAAUGAUCGAAAAUUCAAAUUGAUAAUCGGCACCGUUGAAUUGAUCUACACAAUUAAAAAUGUUUAGAAACCAAAUUUUGUAAUAUUUAAAAAUCAUUAUCCAAGUUCACUUAAAGAGUCUAAAAAAUUUGAACGGUCAUAAAUGAAAUACCUUCUUAAAAAUAGAGGUUAGACUUUCUCAAUCAUUAAUAGAGUUAUCAAACAUUAUCUUUAAAUAGAUAAAAGAAUUUUCUAUCAAAAUAUUCAAGUAAUUUGAUUACUCUAUCUACGUUAAACAAGCAUACACACCCAUACUGCCAUUCAAAAUUGUCAGUUUAGACACUUUGCAUACAUUAAUAAUUUUUACAAUUAGCAGUAUUUGAUAUUUCAAAUACUCUAGAUCAACUUCAACGGUCCGAUAUCGAUUUGGACAUCUCUAUCAUCAAGACACAAUUUAUAGACAAGUGCUGUACUAUCCUCUUAUUAUUUAAUAAUAUAUACUAUAUAUAAUAUUAUAUAUAUAUAUAUAUAUAUAGUUGAGCUAGGAAUACUAUCGGUAGCAACGGGGCUCCGUUGCCACCAUUUGUUUUCAUGAUGAGCCUCCAAUCGACGAUCGGCCACGUUGAACAUGAUCUAUUACCACUUGAAGUUAUUUAGAAUCAAGUUUGAUACGUUUUCAUAUUAUUCUCGGUAUCAUUGAUGGACACAAAAGAUGAACGGUUGAAAAUGAUAUAGUUCUUUAAAAACAUAAUGAUAGGACGUCUUGUAGAUUCAAGAUCAAAUUAUAGAUCUUGUUUUAAUAGUUUAAAAAUUUUCUAACAAAAAUUCAAUUAUUGAUUAUCGUUACACGUUAACGAGAAAACCAUCAUAUCGACCAUUAAAAUUAUAAAUUUCUCUUCCUUGAUCAUUAGGCAAAUGGUGUGAAAAAUAUUUGAAAUUUGAUUUCUAAAUUCUUCAGAGUGCUGUAUAGAUCUUGUUAACGUGGCCGAUCGUCGAUUGAGGCUCUAUCAUCGAAAAAAAAUGUAGUGGCAACGAAGCCGUUUGCUAUCGAUAGUAUUCUAGCCUCAACAUAUUAUAUAUAUAUAUUAUAUAUAUAUAUAUAUAUAUAUAUAUAUAUAUAUAUAUAUAUAUAAUAUAUAUAUAACGUAUAGGAAUUCGACAUGACAGACGGAAUCCAAAACGAAUAAAAUAAUAUUUCCUACGAAUGAUUGAUGAGUAAAUUGUUAAAAAAUAUCUCAAAUAAAUAACGGCUAUAAUCAUUCUAUUAAAUAUAAAAUAAUAUUUCCUACGAAUGUAUGAUUAAUUUGUUAAAAAUAUGUUAAAUAAAACGAACGGCUCGAUCAAUCUAUUAAAUUUCUACUAUAUAAUAAAAAUCUAUUCUCUAUAAAUGGUUAUGAUCAAUUUGUUAAAAAAUAUCUCAAAUAAGAACAGUUAUAAUCAAUCUAUUAAAAAAUAGAAUUCACAUCAUCUAUAAAUUCAAUCUUUGAUGACGAUUAUAAACAAUUUGUUAAAAAAUAUCUCAAAUUAAAACAACGGUUAUGAUCAAUUCUUAAAAAAUAGAUUUUUAUUAAUCAUUUUAUUAUUAAAAAAAUUUGAGUUUAAAUAUAAAUUAAAACUUAAUUUUUAACUAUCAAAUUUGAAUUAUAAUUAAUUUUAUUACAGCCGGAUCAAAAUAAAUUUUAAAUUUUAAAUUUUAAAUUAAAUGUGAAUUAAAUUUGAUGCUUUUGUUAAAAAACACAUAUUUAAAUUUGAUUCAUCAAAAAUUAAAAAUUAUAUAAAAAUGUUCGACGGUAUAUAAAUAAAGAACACCGUAGGAUUUUAAAAUAUUUUCUAAUAAAAUUAAACACAUUAAUUUAUAGAUAAAUUUUUAUUGUAAAAUUUUGGAUAUAUAUAAUGUAUAAAUUAUAUUGAUUUGAAAUAAAUUAUAAUAAUUGUACGUGCAUUUGCACGUACAUUCAACUAGUGCGUAUAUUUAAUAUAUAUAUAUAUAUAUAUAUAUAUAUAAAACUAGGUUGGAAUACUAUUAAUAGCACCAAUGACUUGGUGUUAUUAAGUUUUCCGUCAUUGGAUUAAAAGAUAUGCUGUUAGAAUGAUGUGGGCCGCCUAGGGUUGAGUGGGUGGUUGGUUGAAUAGUAUAAUCGAACGGAUGAAAAUGAUAAAAGAGGUAAAUCUAACGACAGAAAACUUGAUAGCAUUAAAUGCUUCGUGCUAUCAAUAGUAUCCCAGCCGGACUUAUAUAUAUAUAUAUAUAUAUGCUACUGUACUAUCAAUAGUACCAACUUCAACUAAUGACUUGUGGAGCACUCACCUCUAUAUAGUUCUUCACAUAUUAUAAUACAAGUAAUACUGCUGGUACACUUCAAAAUAGGACACAUAUUUUAAAUCCACUUUAUUCAAGAAUCAUUAAUUCUUUACUUGUUAUAUCACAAUUUUUUAUUUUUACCAAAAAUUAUUUAAAUUUUUGUGAAUUCUAGAAUAAAGGAUGUAAGAUCUACACUCCCAUUUUGGAGUAUACAAGUAAAAAAAUCCCAAUACACGUUGUCACUUUCAGACUUUCUCUCUCACACAAUACAUUUAAAUCUCAACCCGAGUUAACGUGCCAGCAUGAACAACCCAAAUAAAAUACCGGUUGUUAUUACUGGGUUUAAUUUAAUUUCGGAUAUAUAUUAAUUUUAUGUAAUAUAUAUAUAUAUAUAUAUAUAUAUAAGCUCGAAAAGCUCGAAAAGCUCGGAUUAAGCUUGCUCGGCUCAUUAUGAGUUCGAGCCGAACUUUACUUAAAGCUCGGAAAAUAAAAUAAGUUCGAGCCGAGUAAAUUAAAGCUCAGCUCGAGCUCGCUCGGCUUAUAGCUCGGCUUGUGCUCAGCUUGCGCUCGGCCGAGCGAGCAAACGGUCGGGAUCACUUCUCUCUUCUUUUCUACCAUUAAUUAAAAAGAAAAAAAAAAGAAAAGACAAACAUUAGCCCGGUUUACCUGACCCACACCACCCAACUCAUCUCAUUAGAAAAUAAAAAAAAACCUAACCCGAAAUAUAAAUCCGUAAUCAUCUACACAAAAAUUCAAAAUCGUAUUUACCCUGUGAAUGAGUUUUCACAGGCUUUGUACACAGGGAUAUUAGAUUAAGACAACAUCACGGGCAUUAAGGUUUACUACGAAUUUUUCAUAUAUUAUAUAUAAAUUCACCUUUCAAAUCUUGAUUCACCGUUUCAUCUCUAAGAUGUUCCUGAUGGAUAUGUAAUACGCGACACUCUUUANNNNNNNNNNNNNNNNNNNNNNNNNNNNNNNNNNNNNNNNNNNNNNNNNNNNNNNNNNNNNNNNNNNNNNNNNNNNNNNNNNNNNNNNNNNNNNNNNNNNNNNNNCAUCCAUGUACAGUUUUUUUACAAAGAUCGAUUUUAAUGGCUGUGAAAAUUUUUCACAACGAUAUACACCCCAGCGAUCCAUAUAUCACUGUCAAUUUCUCACAGCGAUAUUGGAUUUUCUCACAACGAUUAAAUGGUUAUGAAUAAAUUCGUAAAUCGUUGGCGGCUUUGAGAUAGAGCAACCGACGCCACCGCCUCCUCCUGCUGUCAUUUCUGAGAAGCAGAUCUUAAAGUCACCUAACUCACUUCUCAUCCCCACCUUUGCUCGGCUCGAGCUCGCUCGAAUACAUUCGAGUUUAAGCCGAACUUUAAUUAAAGCUCGGAUUUAGAUCCGAGUUCGAGCCGAACUUUAAUUAAGCUCGGCUCGAGCUCGCUCGGAUUAAAGCUCAGCUCGGCUCGAGCUCGAGAUUUGCUCGGCUAACUUUAAGAGCUGUAAUAUAUUAGUUAUCAAAUUAAAAAUAUCUUGUAAUGGAUGUUAAACUACGUUGUACAGGUUAUCAAGUUUUAUGUUUAUUUAAAUGUGUCGCUAUAGACUGUUUUUGUUGUAGUGGGGAAGAGCAUUUUAUAAACGGAGAGAAAGUAUAAUAAAAAAAUAUUCUAAAUUUUUUCAUUAUAUAUAUAUAUAUAUAGAGAGAGAGAGAGAGAGAGAGAGAGAGAGAGAGAGAGAGAGAGAGAGAGAGUCUGGCUACUAUAUUCUUAUGAGUACGAUCGCCUUCGUACUCAUAAGUUAUUUUCGAUAAUAGAGUUUCUGAAUCAACGAUCUAUACCGUUAAACAUCAUCUAGAGCAUUAAAAAUUUCUAGGAAUCAAAUUUUAUAAUUUUUCGAUAUCAUUUACCUUACGAUAAAAAACUCAUAAAAUUGACAAUUUAAUAGCUGGUAUGAAAUAUUUGCUAGCUUAAUUAACGGUGUAAAAGAAUCAUAAUAUAUUGAAUUUUUGAUAGAAAAUUCUAUCACUAGCUAAAUAAAGAUCAAUAACUCUAAUCUUAAAUUGAAGGAUCCGAUCAUCCAUUUUUAGGAUGUUGUUUGAUUUUGACCGUUCAUUUUAUACCCGCUUGAUGGACUUUAUAAUGACUUCGAAAAAUUAUGAAAUUUAUUUUCUAAAAGUUUCAAAUACUCUAGAUUAUGUUUAACGAUGUGGUUCGUCAAUUCGAAAGCCCCAACAUUAAAAACAAUUUAUGAGUACGAAGGGCUCUAUACUCAUAAAAGUAUAGUAACCCUACUCUCUCUCUCUAUAUAUAUAUAACAUUAUGUAGAUUGUUAUGAUUUGAUUGUCAUAUAAUGUUUGUUGUUCCCACUGAAAAAGAAAAAAGCAGAUUUUAAUUCUACAUGCCUUUUUUCCCUGCUCCUAGCUUAAUCCAAUAAUAAUGUUAAACAGCUCAAUACUAAAUAGGCCUUUAUUCUUCCUUGCUGACAAGAAAACCAUUCCUUAUUAGAAUUAACUUCCAACCAUAAUUUAGACACAUUCCUACAAAAAAAAGUCAUUUUAUAAGAAAGGGCAACAAUGACUGUAUAUAGAAAAAAGUUAGAUCUUGUCUAAUUUUUGGAUAAACUUGUAAUACAUAAAAAAAAAAGAGCUAGGUCACUAUAAUAUCAGUAGUAUGGAGGCCUCUAUGCUAUUAAGUUUUUUUUAAUAAUGCGGUUUUUCAAUAAAUGAUCGAUUCUGUUAGACUUGAUCUAUACUAUUGCAAGUAUUUGAAAACUAAAUUUCAUGAUUUUUCGACAUUAUUUAGCUAGUAAUCAUAUGGUCUCAAAGUUGACAAUUUUAAUGUUUGAUAUAAUGCGUCUGUGAAUUUAACGGCGUAAAACUAUUUAAAUCUAACGAAAUUUUUAUGAAUUUUUUUUUUUACUAUUUAGAGUGAGAUCAGUAUUUCUGAUUUUAAAUUUAAGUCUUUUAUCAUUAUUUUUUAGGAGAUUUUUAUUUUCAGCUGUUCAUUUUUAGACAGUCGUUCGAUAGGUGAAUGAUGUCGAAAAAUUAUAAAAUUUAGUCUCCAAAUACUUACAAUAGUGUAAAUCAAGUCUAAUGGGACCAAUCGUUGAUUUGAAAACCGUAUCAUUAAAAACAAUUUGAUAGUACAGAGAUCUCCAUGGUACCGAUAGUAUAGCGGACGGGCUCUAAAAAAAAGUUCAAAGAUUUAAAUGUUUAAGAGAAAAUUUCAUGAACUGUGUCACAAUGUUGUCAUAGCAUGCAUAAGGAAUAUCCAUAUAUUUUUCUCCCUUCUAUGUAUUUGGUGAAAAUGACUAGAGACCCCUUCAACUACAGCCCAAUGUGAAGAAGACUCGCCAACGCACUCUAUUUGAUUUCUUUUUUUUUUUUUUAAAUGCCUCUUUAACUUCUAUUUUUUCUUAUUUAAGUUAUUCUAGUUCUUUAAGUUAAAAAUGUUAUUAAAUUUAAUAGCUCGAUUUCCUACUGUCAACUAAUUUGUCCAAUUUUAUUUACUACGAAGAGAUUAAAACCGCUAAAUUUGAUAAAAUUUUCAAAACAAAAGUAAUAUAAUCUUCAAUUUUAGCCAAAAUUACGUGAUUUUGAAAAGCAAAAGUUAAUUUAUGGGGUUCUCACCCCCCUCCCCUAUAUUUCAAGUAAUACUACUGAUACAUCCAAAUAAGAGUGUAAAUUUUAUAUUCUCUUAAUUUGUCCAAGGACAAAAAGUUUUUUCUUUGUUUGGUCUUUUUUUUUUUUUUUUUCUAAAUUCUUAAAUAAAGGAGUGUAAAUCAUAUUAUCAUUUUUCGGAGUUUACAUACAAAUAUCAAUUUUCAUAAUUUGGAGUUGCAGGGGGGGCAAUCUUUUCCUUAAAAUUGCAGCUAAAGAAAAGGGAUCCCAAUUACGAAGUGUCACCUUUCCAUGCUACUACAAUGGCAAUUAUUAUGCCUUGCUAGAAUAUGUUUGAGAAAGAUCUGUUGCAGCACAAAUUGAUGGUCCAGCUUUUAACAAUUUAAGAAUUAGGACAUGACACUUCAACUUAAAAAACAAAUAUAUAUAUAUAGAGCUAGACUGGUAUACUAUAGGUAGCACGGAGGCCUCCGUGCUACCAAGUUGUUUUCAAUGAUGCGGCUUCUAAAUCGACGAUUGGCUCCGUUAGACUUGAUUACCACUAUUAAAAGUAUUUGGAAACUAAAAUUUCAUAAUUUUUCGGCAUUAUUUACCUAUCAAACGAGUAGUCUAAAAAUGAACGGCUGAAAAUGAAAAUCUCAUAAAAAACAGUGAUAAAGAAUUCAAAAUUCAAAUCGGAAGUAUUGGUCUUGCUAUUGAUGUUAAGUAGAAUUUUCUAUUAAAUUUUCAUCUAAUUUGGAUACUUCUACACGAUUGACUUAAAAAACGCAUCAUAUCUACCAUUAAAAUUGUUUAAUUUUGGAACCUUUGAUCACUAGCCAAAUGAUGUCGAAAAAUUAUGAAAUUUAGUUUCCAAAUUCUUUUAAUAGUGUAGAUCAAGGCUACGGAGGCGCAUCGUGAUUUGAAAGUUGCAUCAUUGAAACAGCUUGGUAGCACGGAGGCCUCCGUGCUACCGAUAGUAUAUCAGCCUAGCUCUCUCUCUCUCUCUCUCUCUCUCUCUCUCUCUCUAUAUAUAUAUAUAUAUAUAAUUGAGCUAGAAUACUCUCAAAAGUACCAACCCCUUGGUGCUUUUGAGUUUCUAGCCCUUGGAUCUACUCCUUGAUUACUAAUAGCAUUUGGAUCAAACACUAUUCCACGUACCACCACUUACCACCAUCAUCUCAACCCUACAUCUCUCCAUCCAAUGGCUAAAAUCUCAAAAGCACCAACCCCUUGGUGCUUUUGAGAGUAUUCUAGCUCAACUCUCUCUCUCUCUCUAUAUAUAUAUAUAGUGUAGAGCUACUAUACUAUCGGAAGCAUAGAGGAUCUGAUGCUUCUAACUUUUUGACCUUUGGAUCAAAAAUUGUACGGUUGGGAUGAUUGCGGCCCUAGGGUUGAGUGGUCCCGAUAGGCUAAUAGCUAGUAUUAAUUCAAAGGUUAGAAAUGAUUAAAGAAGUUGAUCUAAGGGCCAAAAAAUCGGAAGCACCAGAUCCUCUAUGCUUCCGAUAGCAUAGUAGCUCUACUCUCUCUCUCUCUAUAUAUAUAUAUAUAGAGUAGGGUCACUAUACUCUUAUGAGUAUAAAGCCCUUCGUAUUCAUAAGUUGUUUUCGAUAUUGAGAUUUUUGAAUCGAUGAUCUACACCGUUAAAUAUGAUGUAGAGUAUUUGAAACUUCUAGAAAAUAAUUUCGUAAUUUUUCGAAAUCAUUAUAAAGUUCAUCAAGUAGGUAUAAAAUGAAUGGUUAAAAUCGAACGACAUCCUAAAAAUGGAUGAUUAGAUCAUUCAAUUUAAGAUCGGAGUUAUUGAACUUUAUUUAGAGUUAUUGAACUUUAUUUAGGUAGUGAAUAGAAUUUUCUAUCAAAAAUUCAAUCUAUUCCGAUUCUUUUGCACCGUUAAACUAGCAAAUAUCUCAUAUCGGCCGUUAAAAAUUUUUAAUUUUGUGAGCUUUUGAUCGUAAAUGAUGUCGAAAAAUUAUAAAAUUUUGAUUUCUAGAUGUUUUAAAUGCUCUAGAAAAUGUUAACGGUAUGGAUCGCCGAUUCUGAAACUCUAUCAUCGAAAACGACUUAUGAGCACGAAGGCGAUCGUACUCAUAAGAGUACAGUAGCCGGACUCUAUAUAUAUAUAUAGAGUCCGGCUACUGUACUCUUAUGAGUACGAUCGCCUUCGUGCUCAUAAGUCGUUUUCGAUGAUAGAGUUUCAGAAUCGGCGAUCCAUACCGUUAACAUUUUCUAGAGCAUUUAAAACAUCUAGAAAUCAAAAUUUUAUAAUUUUUCGACAUCAUUUACGAUCAAAAGCUCACAAAAUUAAAAAUUUUUAACGGCCGAUAUGAGAUAUUUGCUAGUUUAACGGUGCAAAAGAAUCGGAAUAGAUUGAAUUUUUGAUAGAAAAUUCUAUUCACUANNNNNNNNNNNNNNNNNNNNNNNNNNNNNNNNNNNNNNNNNNNNNNNNNNNNNNNNNNNNNNNNNNNNNNNNNNNNNNNNNNNNNNNNNNNNNNNNNNNNNNNNNNNNNNNNNNNNNNNNNNNNNNNNNNNNNNNNNNNNNNNNNNNNNNNNNNNNNNNNNNNNNNNNNNNNNNNNNNNNNNNNNNNNNNNNNNNNNNNNNNNNNNNNNNNNNNNNNNNNNNNNNNNNNNNNNNNNNNNNNNNNNNNNNNNNNNNNNNNNNNNNNNNNNNNNNNNNNNNNNNNNNNNNNNNNNNNNNNNNNNNNNNNNNNNNNNNNNNNNNNNNNNNNNNNNNNNNNNNNNNNNNNNNNNNNNNNNNNNNNNNNNNNNNNNNNNNNNNNNNNNNNNNNNNNNNNNNNNNNNNNNNNNNNNNNNNNNNNNNNNNNNNNNNNNNNNNNNNNNNNNNNNNNNNNNNNNNNNNNNNNNNNNNNNNNNNNNNNNNNNNNNNNNNNNNNNNNNNNNNNNNNNNNNNNNNNNNNNNNNNNNNNNNNNNNNNNNNNNNNNNNNNNNNNNNNNNNNNNNNNNNNNNNNNNNNNNNNNNNNNNNNNNNNNNNNNNNNNNNNNNNNNNNNNNNNNNNNNNNNNNNNNNNNNNNNNNNNNNNNNNNNNNNNNNNNNNNNNNNNNNNNNNNNNNNNNNNNNNNNNNNNNNNNNNNNNNNNNNNNNNNNNNNNNNNNNNNNNNNNNNNNNNNNNNNNNNNNNNNNNNNNNNNNNNNNNNNNNNNNNNNNNNNNNNNNNNNNNNNNNNNNNNNNNNNNNNNNNNNNNNNNNNNNNNNNNNNNNNNNNNNNNNNNNNNNNNNNNNNNNNNNNNNNNNNNNNNNNNNNNNNNNNNNNNNNNNNNNNNNNNNNNNNNNNNNNNNNNNNNNNNNNNNNNNNNNNNNNNNNNNNNNNNNNNNNNNNNNNNNNNNNNNNNNNNNNNNNNNNNNNNNNNNNNNNNNNNNNNNNNNNNNNNNNNNNNNNNNNNNNNNNNNNNNNNNNNNNNNNNNNNNNNNNNNNNNNNNNNNNNNNNNNNNNNNNNNNNNNNNNNNNNNNNNNNNNNNNNNNNNNNNNNNNNNNNNNNNNNNNNNNNNNNNNNNNNNNNNNNNNNNNNNNNNNNNNNNNNNNNNNNNNNNNNNNNNNNNNNNNNNNNNNNNNNNNNNNNNNNNNNNNNNNNNNNNNNNNNNNNNNNNNNNNNNNNNNNNNNNNNNNNNNNNNNNNNNNNNNNNNNNNNNNNNNNNNNNNNNNNNNNNNNNNNNNNNNNNNNNNNNNNNNNNNNNNNNNNNNNNNNNNNNNNNNNNNNNNNNNNNNNNNNNNNNNNNNNNNNNNNNNNNNNNNNNNNNNNNNNNNNNNNNNNNNNNNNNNNNNNNNNNNNNNNNNNNNNNNNNNNNNNNNNNNNNNNNNNNNNNNNNNNNNNNNNNNNNNNNNNNNNNNNNNNNNNNNNNNNNNNNNNNNNNNNNNNNNNNNNNNNNNNNNNNNNNNNNNNNNNNNNNNNNNNNNNNNNNNNNNNNNNNNNNNNNNNNNNNNNNNNNNNNNNNNNNNNNNNNNNNNNNNNNNNNNNNNNNNNNNNNNNNNNNNNNNNNNNNNNNNNNNNNNNNNNNNNNNNNNNNNNNNNNNNNNNNNNNNNNNNNNNNNNNNNNNNNNNNNNNNNNNNNNNNNNNNNNNNNNNNNNNNNNNNNNNNNNNNNNNNNNNNNNNNNNNNNNNNNNNNNNNNNNNNNNNNNNNNNNNNNNNNNNNNNNNNNNNNNNNNNNNNNNNNNNNNNNNNNNNNNNNNNNNNNNNNNNNNNNNNNNNNNNNNNNNNNNNNNNNNNNNNNNNNNNNNNNNNNNNNNNNNNNNNNNNNNNNNNNNNNNNNNNNNNNNNNNNNNNNNNNNNNNNNNNNNNNNNNNNNNNNNNNNNNNNNNNNNNNNNNNNNNNNNNNNNNNNNNNNNNNNNNNNNNNNNNNNNNNNNNNNNNNNNNNNNNNNNNNNNNNNNNNNNNNNNNNNNNNNNNNNNNNNNNNNNNNNNNNNNNNNNNNNNNNNNNNNNNNNNNNNNNNNNNNNNNNNNNNNNNNNNNNNNNNNNNNNNNNNNNNNNNNNNNNNNNNNNNNNNNNNNNNNNNNNNNNNNNNNNNNNNNNNNNNNNNNNNNNNNNNNNNNNNNNNNNNNNNNNNNNNNNNNNNNNNNNNNNNNNNNNNNNNNNNNNNNNNNNNNNNNNNNNNNNNNNNNNNNNNNNNNNNNNNNNNNNNNNNNNNNNNNNNNNNNNNNNNNNNNNNNNNNNNNNNNNNNNNNNNNNNNNNNNNNNNNNNNNNNNNNNNNNNNNNNNNNNNNNNNNNNNNNNNNNNNNNNNNNNNNNNNNNNNNNNNNNNNNNNNNNNNNNNNNNNNNNNNNNNNNNNNNNNNNNNNNNNNNNNNNNNNNNNNNNNNNNNNNNNNNNNNNNNNNNNNNNNNNNNNNNNNNNNNNNNNNNNNNNNNNNNNNNNNNNNNNNNNNNNNNNNNNNNNNNNNNNNNNNNNNNNNNNNNNNNNNNNNNNNNNNNNNNNNNNNNNNNNNNNNNNNNNNNNNNNNNNNNNNNNNNNNNNNNNNNNNNNNNNNNNNNNNNNNNNNNNNNNNNNNNNNNNNNNNNNNNNNNNNNNNNNNNNNNNNNNNNNNNNNNNNNNNNNNNNNNNNNNNNNNNNNNNNNNNNNNNNNNNNNNNNNNNNNNNNNNNNNNNNNNNNNNNNNNNNNNNNNNNNNNNNNNNNNNNNNNNNNNNNNNNNNNNNNNNNNNNNNNNNNNNNNNNNNNNNNNNNNNNNNNNNNNNNNNNNNNNNNNNNNNNNNNNNNNNNNNNNNNNNNNNNNNNNNNNNNNNNNNNNNNNNNNNNNNNNNNNNNNNNNNNNNNNNNNNNNNNNNNNNNNNNNNNNNNNNNNNNNNNNNNNNNNNNNNNNNNNNNNNNNNNNNNNNNNNNNNNNNNNNNNNNNNNNNNNNNNNNNNNNNNNNNNNNNNNNNNNNNNNNNNNNNNNNNNNNNNNNNNNNNNNNNNNNNNNNNNNNNNNNNNNNNNNNNNNNNNNNNNNNNNNNNNNNNNNNNNNNNNNNNNNNNNNNNNNNNNNNNNNNNNNNNNNNNNNNNNNNNNNNNNNNNNNNNNNNNNNNNNNNNNNNNNNNNNNNNNNNNNNNNNNNNNNNNNNNNNNNNNNNNNNNNNNNNNNNNNNNNNNNNNNNNNNNNNNNNNNNNNNNNNNNNNNNNNNNNNNNNNNNNNNNNNNNNNNNNNNNNNNNNNNNNNNNNNNNNNNNNNNNNNNNNNNNNNNNNNNNNNNNNNNNNNNNNNNNNNNNNNNNNNNNNNNNNNNNNNNNNNNNNNNNNNNNNNNNNNNNNNNNNNNNNNNNNNNNNNNNNNNNNNNNNNNNNNNNNNNNNNNNNNNNNNNNNNNNNNNNNNNNNNNNNNNNNNNNNNNNNNNNNNNNNNNNNNNNNNNNNNNNNNNNNNNNNNNNNNNNNNNNNNNNNNNNNNNNNNNNNNNNNNNNNNNNNNNNNNNNNNNNNNNNNNNNNNNNNNNNNNNNNNNNNNNNNNNNNNNNNNNNNNNNNNNNNNNNNNNNNNNNNNNNNNNNNNNNNNNNNNNNNNNNNNNNNNNNNNNNNNNNNNNNNNNNNNNNNNNNNNNNNNNNNNNNNNNNNNNNNNNNNNNNNNNNNNNNNNNNNNNNNNNNNNNNNNNNNNNNNNNNNNNNNNNNNNNNNNNNNNNNNNNNNNNNNNNNNNNNNNNNNNNNNNNNNNNNNNNNNNNNNNNNNNNNNNNNNNNNNNNNNNNNNNNNNNNNNNNNNNNNNNNNNNNNNNNNNNNNNNNNNNNNNNNNNNNNNNNNNNNNNNNNNNNNNNNNNNNNNNNNNNNNNNNNNNNNNNNNNNNNNNNNNNNNNNNNNNNNNNNNNNNNNNNNNNNNNNNNNNNNNNNNNNNNNNNNNNNNNNNNNNNNNNNNNNNNNNNNNNNNNNNNNNNNNNNNNNNNNNNNNNNNNNNNNNNNNNNNNNNNNNNNNNNNNNNNNNNNNNNNNNNNNNNNNNNNNNNNNNNNNNNNNNNNNNNNNNNNNNNNNNNNNNNNNNNNNNNNNNNNNNNNNNNNNNNNNNNNNNNNNNNNNNNNNNNNNNNNNNNNNNNNNNNNNNNNNNNNNNNNNNNNNNNNNNNNNNNNNNNNNNNNNNNNNNNNNNNNNNNNNNNNNNNNNNNNNNNNNNNNNNNNNNNNNNNNNNNNNNNNNNNNNNNNNNNNNNNNNNNNNNNNNNNNNNNNNNNNNNNNNNNNNNNNNNNNNNNNNNNNNNNNNNNNNNNNNNNNNNNNNNNNNNNNNNNNNNNNNNNNNNNNNNNNNNNNNNNNNNNNNNNNNNNNNNNNNNNNNNNNNNNNNNNNNNNNNNNNNNNNNNNNNNNNNNNNNNNNNNNNNNNNNNNNNNNNNNNNNNNNNNNNNNNNNNNNNNNNNNNNNNNNNNNNNNNNNNNNNNNNNNNNNNNNNNNNNNNNNNNNNNNNNNNNNNNNNNNNNNNNNNNNNNNNNNNNNNNNNNNNNNNNNNNNNNNNNNNNNNNNNNNNNNNNNNNNNNNNNNNNNNNNNNNNNNNNNNNNNNNNNNNNNNNNNNNNNNNNNNNNNNNNNNNNNNNNNNNNNNNNNNNNNNNNNNNNNNNNNNNNNNNNNNNNNNNNNNNNNNNNNNNNNNNNNNNNNNNNNNNNNNNNNNNNNNNNNNNNNNNNNNNNNNNNNNNNNNNNNNNNNNNNNNNNNNNNNNNNNNNNNNNNNNNNNNNNNNNNNNNNNNNNNNNNNNNNNNNNNNNNNNNNNNNNNNNNNNNNNNNNNNNNNNNNNNNNNNNNNNNNNNNNNNNNNNNNNNNNNNNNNNNNNNNNNNNNNNNNNNNNNNNNNNNNNNNNNNNNNNNNNNNNNNNNNNNNNNNNNNNNNNNNNNNNNNNNNNNNNNNNNNNNNNNNNNNNNNNNNNNNNNNNNNNNNNNNNNNNNNNNNNNNNNNNNNNNNNNNNNNNNNNNNNNNNNNNNNNNNNNNNNNNNNNNNNNNNNNNNNNNNNNNNNNNNNNNNNNNNNNNNNNNNNNNNNNNNNNNNNNNNNNNNNNNNNNNNNNNNNNNNNNNNNNNNNNNNNNNNNNNNNNNNNNNNNNNNNNNNNNNNNNNNNNNNNNNNNNNNNNNNNNNNNNNNNNNNNNNNNNNNNNNNNNNNNNNNNNNNNNNNNNNNNNNNNNNNNNNNNNNNNNNNNNNNNNNNNNNNNNNNNNNNNNNNNNNNNNNNNNNNNNNNNNNNNNNNNNNNNNNNNNNNNNNNNNNNNNNNNNNNNNNNNNNNNNNNNNNNNNNNNNNNNNNNNNNNNNNNNNNNNNNNNNNNNNNNNNNNNNNNNNNNNNNNNNNNNNNNNNNNNNNNNNNNNNNNNNNNNNNNNNNNNNNNNNNNNNNNNNNNNNNNNNNNNNNNNNNNNNNNNNNNNNNNNNNNNNNNNNNNNNNNNNNNNNNNNNNNNNNNNNNNNNNNNNNNNNNNNNNNNNNNNNNNNNNNNNNNNNNNNNNNNNNNNNNNNNNNNNNNNNNNNNNNNNNNNNNNNNNNNNNNNNNNNNNNNNNNNNNNNNNNNNNNNNNNNNNNNNNNNNNNNNNNNNNNNNNNNNNNNNNNNNNNNNNNNNNNNNNNNNNNNNNNNNNNNNNNNNNNNNNNNNNNNNNNNNNNNNNNNNNNNNNNNNNNNNNNNNNNNNNNNNNNNNNNNNNNNNNNNNNNNNNNNNNNNNNNNNNNNNNNNNNNNNNNNNNNNNNNNNNNNNNNNNNNNNNNNNNNNNNNNNNNNNNNNNNNNNNNNNNNNNNNNNNNNNNNNNNNNNNNNNNNNNNNNNNNNNNNNNNNNNNNNNNNNNNNNNNNNNNNNNNNNNNNNNNNNNNNNNNNNNNNNNNNNNNNNNNNNNNNNNNNNNNNNNNNNNNNNNNNNNNNNNNNNNNNNNNNNNNNNNNNNNNNNNNNNNNNNNNNNNNNNNNNNNNNNNNNNNNNNNNNNNNNNNNNNNNNNNNNNNNNNNNNNNNNNNNNNNNNNNNNNNNNNNNNNNNNNNNNNNNNNNNNNNNNNNNNNNNNNNNNNNNNNNNNNNNNNNNNNNNNNNNNNNNNNNNNNNNNNNNNNNNNNNNNNNNNNNNNNNNNNNNNNNNNNNNNNNNNNNNNNNNNNNNNNNNNNNNNNNNNNNNNNNNNNNNNNNNNNNNNNNNNNNNNNNNNNNNNNNNNNNNNNNNNNNNNNNGUUCCAGAACAGCUGAACCGGUCGAAACGAGCUAUUGGACUGAUAUGAACGGAGUCCGAUACGCACCAGAAGCCAACUCUACUUCGUGGCUUCUCCGGUAAACCGGAGUUACUAUUCACUUAAGUGAAAACUAAAAAAUCGUGUAUCUUUUCCAUUUUAGCUCAGUUUCUCCUGAAACUUGACGAGUGCUUAUGUAAUUAAAUUACACACAUAAACAUCAUCAACAGAGAGUUUAGUUGCACUGUCAAAAAUCUCAGUCCUUACAAUCGAGCUACUAAACAUGCUAUACAAAGCGAAAAUACAUAUCGACAACAAACUAGACUUAGGAGAAAAUCCGUAGAAUCCUGUAAGCAUAUCAUUAACUCACCUCAAAAGCUACUCCAACAAUGGCGAGAAGUCGAAAGAAGCGGAACCACGCGCUCGCUCGGACUCCCAACGAAGCAACUGCGACGUCCACGCACUUGAACGGCUCCUCGGCGCGACGUCGGCAUCGAUCCGAACUCCACCCGAAGUCUCCUCCUUGUGUACGGUCAAGGGCUAGAGAGAGAGAGAAGAACCAGCCAAAACCCUCUAUCUCUGCCUCCCUACAUGUAUAUAGAGGGAGUUGGUAAGGGUGAAAACAACGAGGCAGCCAAAAGACCAAACAGCCCCUCACCUACCCUGGAGUACCGGUACAAGGUAGAUGCCGUACCGGUAACCCGCAGCAGAAUAUGCAACCCGAGUGCAGCAGUCGGAAAAUCUAUACUGUGGUACCGGUGCUCCCCUGUGUGGUACCGGUACGCAUUGCUGAAAACCUGCAAUUUGCAGAUUUUAAUGCUAAAAACCUGCUCUCGGGUGGCAACGAAUCUGUCUUGCGUCUAUUUCGCGCCAACGUGACUCGGACUUGUCUCGGCACUCUCCAGAUGUGUCAACAAGCCUCAAAUGCUGUAAUUCCAUAGCUGCUGGCCACCAGGGAUACUAUAGUUCAAUUUUAAUAGCUCAUUUUAUGCCCGCUUGAUGGAUAUUAUUAUGAUUUCGAAAAAUACGAAAUUUAUUUUCUAGAAGUUUCAAAUACUCUAGAUCAUAUUUAACAGUGUGGAUCGUCGAUUUGAAAACCCCAACAUCGAAAACAGCUUAUGAGUACGAAUGACUCUAUACUCAUAAGAGUAUAGUAACCCUACUAUAUACAACUCGUUGGGCCUAAACCACCGGCCCAAAAUGCUUAAGCCCAAUUAUUAUUAUUAGCGUGUAGGCCUUAUAUAAACUGAUCGGAAUCAGUAUCCCAUUCGAUGUGGGACUAUUGGGGCGUUACAAACUCCCCCUAUUUAGACCCUGACGUCCUCGUCGGGUCCAAACCAGAUCACAGAUAGACAGACAGACAGACCAGAACCAGAAUUACCAGGCGAUGUGAAAUUCUAGAGGUGGCUCAUACGGGUUCAAGAGGUGGCUCUCACGAAACCCAUUGAUGUAGCACUUUGUCCCGCAUAGCACUUAGCUCUCACAUUUUCGGCUGGUAUUCGGCUCUAAUACCAAUUGCAACGACCCGACUCGCUAGCAACAAUAACUCGUUGGCCCAAACCACCGGCCCAAAAUGCUUAAACCCAGUUAUUAUUAUUAGCGUGUAGGCCUCAUAUAAACUGAUCGGAACCAGUAUCCCAUCUGAUGUGGGACUAUUCGUACUCAUAAGUUGUUUUCGAUGUUGGGGUUUUCGAAUCGACGAUCCACACCGUUAAAUAUGAUCUAGAGUAUUUGAAACUUUUAGAAAAUAAAUUUUAUAAUUUUUCAAAAUCAUUAUAAAGUCUAUCAAGAUGGCAUAAAAUGAACGGUUAAAAUCGAACGACAUCCUAAAAAUGGAUGAUCGGAGUUAUUGAUCUUUAUUUAGGUAAUGAAUAGAAUUUUCUAUCAAAAAUUCAACCUAUUCUGAUUCUUUUUCACCGUAAACUAGCAAAUAUCUCAUACCGACUAUUAAAAAUUGUCAAUUUUGUGAGAUUUUGAUCGUAAGGUAAAUGAUGUAAAAAAAUUAUGAAAUUUGAUUUCUAAAAGUUUUAAAUGCUCUAGAUAAUGUUUAACGGUAUGCAUCGUCGACUCGAAAGCUCUAUCAUCGAAAACAACUUAUGAGUACGAAGACGAUUGUACUCAUAAGAGUAUAGUAGACGGACUAUAUAUAUAUAUAUAUAUAUAUAGAGAGAGAGAGAGAGAGAGAGAGAGAGAGAGAGAGAGAGAGAGAGAGAGAGAGUGUGUGUCCAGCUGGGAUACUAUCGAUAGCACAAAGUGCUUGGUACUAUCGAGUUUUUUGCCGUUAGAUUUAACCCUUUACUAUUUUUUUCGUUAGACUAUAUCAUUUAAUCAAUAACUCACUCAAUCCUAAAGGGCCUAUAUCAUUGUAACCGUACACUUUUUCACGCAAGGGCUGAAAACCUAAUAGCAUAAAUAGUUUGGUGCUAUUGAUAGUAUUCCGGCCUAUAUAUAUAUAUAUAUAUAUAUAUAUAUAUAUAUAUAUAUAUAUAUAUAUAGUUGAGCUAGAAUACUAUCGAUAGCAAACGGGCUCCGUUGUCAUCCAUUUGUUUUCGAUGAUGGAGCCUCUAAAUCGACAAUCGGCACCGUUGAACAUAAUUUAUAUCACUUGAAGUGUUUAGAAAUCAAAUUUCAUACAUUUUCGAUAUUGUUCUCUUAUCCAUCAAGUGGACACAAAAAUAAAAGGCUGAAAAUGAAUAUUUUUUAAAAAAUGAUGAUAGGAGUCUUGUAAUCAAGAUCAAGAGUAUAGAUCUUGUUUUAAAUAGUUUAAAAAGUUUUCUAACAAAAAUUUAAUUGAUUUGGAUAUCUUUACGCCGUUAAACGAGAAAAUGCCUCAUAUCGACCAUUAAAAUUAUAAAUUUUGAAACUCUUUGAUCAUUAGGUAAAUGAUGUCGAAAGAUUUGAAAUUUGGUUUCUAAACACUUCAAGUGGUAUAGAUCAUGUUCAACGGUGCCAAUCGUCGAUUUGGAGGCUCCAUCAUCGAAAACAAAUGGGUGGUAACGGAGCCCGUUUGUUAUCGAUAGUAUUCUAGCUCAACUAUAUAUAUAUAUAUAGCUAGGCUCCUAUGCUUUCAAAAGUACGAAAGCCUCCGUACUUGUAAGUUAUUUUCAAUAAUGGGACAUCUGAUUCGGAGAUCGGUUCCGUUAGACAUGAUCUAUGUUAUUAGAACUACCUAGAAACCAAAUUUCAUAAUUUUUUGGCUUCGUUUGUCUAGUAAACAAGUCGCCUCAAAAUGAACGGCUGAAAAUAAAAAUCUCAUAAAAACCAGUGAUAAAAGACUCAAAUUUCAAAUCGAAAGUAUUGGUCUUGCUAUUGAUGUUAAGUAGAAUUUUCUAUUAAAUUUUUAUCUAAUUUGGAUACUUCUACACCGUUGAACUUAAAAACGUGCCAAAUUGGCCGUUAAAAUAGUCAUUUUUGAGAUCUUUUGAUCGCUUGGUAAAUAAUGUCAAAAAAUUAUAAAAUUUGGUUUCUAAAUAGUUCCAAUAUAGUAGAUUAUACUUAACGGAACCGAUCGUCGAAUCGGAUUUCCUAUCAUCGAAAACAACUUACAAGCACGGAGGUCUCCGUACUUUCGAAAGUACAGGAGACUUACUAUAUAUAUAUAUAUAUAUAUAUAUAUAUUAUAUAUAUAUAUGUAUAUAUUAUAUAUAUUUUAGAGUCCGGCUACUAUACUAUUGAUAGUACCAAGCCCUUGGUACUAUUAAGUUUUCUACCGUUAGAUCUAUCCUUGAUCAUUUCACCCGUUAGAUUAUACUAUUAAAUCAACCACCCACUCAACCCUAGGGACCACUAUCAAUUUAACGGGAACCACUAUUAUCCUAACCGCAUAUUCUUUCAUCCAACGGCAAAAAACUCAAUAGUACCAAGGGCUUGGUACUAUUGAUAGUAUAGUACUAAGUCAUUGGUGCUUGUAAGUUUUCGGCCCUUAGAUUAAGGGAUGUGCGCUUAGGAUGAUGUGGGCCCCCUAGGGUUGAGUGGGUGGUUGGUGAAUAGUAUAAUCUAACGGUGUGAAAAUGAUUAAAGACGUAGAUCUAAUGGUAAAAAAUUUGUAAGCACCAAGUGCUUGGUGCUUUUACAAGUACCAUAGCGGGACUCUUCUCUUCUCUCUCUCUCUCUCUCCUCUCUCUCUCUCUCUUCUCUCUCUCUCUAUAUAUAUAUAUUAAAUAUAUAUAUAUAUAUAUAAUAUAUAUAUAUAUAGAACUAGGCUGGAAUACUAUUAAUAGCACCAAUGACUUGGUGCUGAUUAAGUUUUUCGCCUUUGGAUUAAAAGAUGUGGGGUUAAGAUAAUGUGGGCCCCCUAGGGUUGAGUGGGUGGUUGGUUGAAUAGUAUAAUUAACGAGUAAAAAUAAUCGAAGGGGUUAAUCUAACGGCAGAAAACUUGAUAGCACCAAGUGUUUGGUGCUAUCGAUAGCAUACCAGCCGGACUCUCUCUCUCUCUCUCUCUCUCUCUCUCUCUCUCUCUCUCUCUCUCUCUCUCUAUAUAUAUAUAUAUAUAUAUAUAUAUAUAUAUAUAGUCCGACUACUAUACCCUUAUAAGUACAAUCACCUUCGUAUUCAUAAGUCAUUUUUUAUGAUAGAGCUUGCGAAUCAACGAUGCAUACCAUUAAACAUUAUGUAGAGCAUUUAAGGCUUCUAAAUAUUAAAUUUUAUAAUUUUUCGACAUCAUUAACUUUACAAUCAAAAGUUUACAAAAUUGACAAUUUUUAACAGUCGGUAUAGGAUACUUACUAGUUUAAUAGUGUAAAAGAAUCGGAAUGGGUUGAAUUUUUGAUAAAAAAUUCUAUUCACUACCUAAAUAAAUAUCAAUAAUUCCGAUCUAAAAUUGAAGAAUCCGAUCAUCCAUUUUUAGGACGUUGUUCGAUUUUGACUGUUCAUUUUAUGCACGCUUGAUGAAUUUUAUUAUGAUUUUGAAAAAUUAAGAAAUUUAUUUUCUAGAAGUUUCAAAUACCCUAUAUCAUAUUCAUCGGAGUGGAUCGUCGAUUCGGAAGCUCCAUCAUCAAAAACAAUUUAUGAGUAUGAAGGUCUCUAUACUUAUAAAAGUAUAGUAGCCCUACUCUCUCUCUCUAUAUAUAUAUAUAUAGAAUCCAGCUAGGAUACUAUCGAUAGCACCAAGGGUUUGGUGCUAUCGAGUUUUCCACCGUUAGAUUUAAUCUUUUAAUCAUUUUACCCGUUAGAUUAUACUAUUCAACCAACCACCCACUCAACCCUAAGGGGCCCACAUCAUCCUAAUCGCACAAUUCUCAAUCCAAGGGCUAAAAACUAAAUAGCACCAAUAGUUUGAUGCUAUUGAUAGUAUUUCAGCUAGCCUAGUUAUAUAUAUAUAUAUAUAUAUAUAUAUAUAUUGUGGCAUUUAUUUUGAAGAUCCAUUUUUUGAGUCAUUAUCUAUAUUAUGUAAGCAUCCAUGGCCCUCUUUGAGAAAAGAGAAAAAGGAGAAGCAAGAAUACUAUACAGUGCAUUUAGGAGGAUUUAAAUAAAAUAAUUGUUGGCAUUUGUUGAUAAUUGCUCUAUAAGAAAAGGCACUUUUGUGGAACAUCCUGUGACAAGUUGAGGGCUAUGUAAAGCUAUUAGGCAAAAAGGUUGCGACAUAUUUUCUAUAGCAACUAAAAUAGAAAAUUUUCUCCAUCUUGUGCCAUAGUUUUUUUUUUUAUAGAAUGUGAUAUUCGUUAAUGGAAAUAAGCUAAAUAUUUUUUGUAAUAUUUUUGGCUUUUUUGCAUAUAAAAAAAUUCACUGGUUCUGUUCGGAUUUGGCAAAAAUUCGGUACAGAUAUAAUACGCAUAAAUUUUAUUUUCUAAUUUUUAAAUUCGUUGAGAAAUACGGCUUAAAAAACAGAUUUGGUAUAAAAUAUAAAAUAUAAGAUAUAAAAUAUAAGAUAAUCUAUAUUUAAACAUAAAAAUUAUAAGUAUGUUAUUCAGAUUUUCAAUAAUUCGGGAAUAAUUCGCAAAUUAUUCGCGAAUUAUUUGACUAGCGCAAAAAUUCACGAAUAAUUUCGUUUCUUUGGAAAAAAUUCAUAAACGGAACGUUUAAUUCGGAUUUUCAAUAAUUCGCAAAUAAUUUGAGAAUUAACUAACAAAGGUCUAGAAUACUACCGGUAGUACGGAAGUCUUUAUGUUUCCAAGUUGUUUCGAUGACGGGACAUUCAAAUUGACAAUUGUCUCCGUUAAACGUGACCUACAAUAUUAAAAGUAUCUAGAAAUAAAUUUUUAUGAUAUUUCAACAUCAUUUAUCUUUAAAAUGUUGAACAAUUGAAAAUAAAAAUAUCAUAAACAUAAUUAUAAAAAAUUUAAAUUUCAUAUCAGAGUUAUUGAUUUUCUUCUAAGUAGUGAAAAAAAACUAUCAAAAUUUUAGUAGAUUUGAAUUUUCUACACUGAAACUUACAAAUAUAUCAUUUCGACAAUUUAAAUUGUCAAUUUAAGACAUUUCGAUCACUAGUUAAAUGGUAUAAAAAAAUAUGAAAUUUAAUUUCUAAGUAUUUUCAAUAGCAUAGGUUGUUUAACAGAACUGAUUAUCAAUUUGGAUAUUCUAUCAUCGAAAAUAACUCGACAGCAAAGAGGUUUCCAUGCUAUCUGAUCAUAAAGUAUUCGACCCAUUUAACAACGGAUACCGAAUAUUUAUGAGAUCCCUUCUCGGAACCCAUACGUGUUUCCGCGAACUCAAGCUCAGAUUGAUGUUUUGUUCGAAAAGGCCUAGAAUCCAGAUUUGAUUCUUGUGUUAUAAUAUAAGAAACAAAAAAUGGGGGAGAAGAAGAAAUAUUUUUUUAAAAUAGGAUCACUCUACUCCAUUUCAUAGAUCAAGAACAGUCGAAAAAGAAAGUAAGAAAAGGAUGGUAUCUGUUAAAAUAAACAAGUUGGGCGCUCUCUCUCUCUCUCUCUCUCUAUAUAUAUAUAUAAUUGUGAACCUUUUAGAAUCCUCAAUUUGUUUUAAAGGAGUUUAAUGUUCAAUUGUGAUGGAAUAUUAGAGGCCACGUCUCAAAACUGAGAAGCUCUUUUAUAUAUAAUUGUGACGCAAGUUUAAUUUGUCUUAAGAGAGUUUUAUAUUCAAUUGUGAUGGAGUUAGCGGUCAUAUCUCAAAGAUAAGAAGAAGCUUUUUAGGAUCCUUAAUUGUUUAUUCAAUGAGAUAGAAUCCUUAUAACUUUUUGUACUAUUGUAAGAUAAAUUCCCUUAUUGUGGGUCAGAGCUAUUUAGAUGAGUAUCUUUUGGGAACUCGUAAUUUGAUAUUUUUUUAAAGUCCUGAUUUGGAGUAUCCUUUUGGUUUUUCUUCCCAACAUUUAUCUGCUAUUACCGACCGUCCCUAAUGCAAAUUGAUACUUGACACACGAUGUCUCAAGUUUAAAACCUAAUUGUUUCAUAUUUUUAACUAAAUUUAUUUUUAAAAUAAAUAAACGAAGCAAAUAGCAUGUUACAUUUUCUUCCAGAAAAAAUAUUUAUCUGCUACCAACAAUAUGAAAUUUUGGAUGUUUUGUUCUUUUUUUCAACAGCUUGCCUCUCACUUGAUUUUCUUGGCUGCAUUCUCUUGUCCUCCUUCAAGCCUUCUAGUUCCAAAAGUAGCAUUUUGUUGUUAUUAAAGCUUCUUUAAUUAGCCAAACUGUACUUUUGCCUUAUCAUCUAAUGCUCUGCCAUUUUUUUUAUUGUUUUUAAGUACUAAUUCUAAGAUAAGUAUAUUUUUCUAGCUCCAAGGUUAAAUAGUACAUAAUAUCUUCUUCAUUAGUCUCUACUGCUUUAGAGAUAAUAUCCAGCAAAUUCUAGAUAUCCCCAAAAGCAAAACUAUCUUAGACUAAACACAUUUUUACACUUAUAACGGUUUAUUCCGAAAUAUCUAAUUAAUUAUCCCUAAACAUAAAAAAGAAUGUUAUACUUGAGGAAAUUAUCCCCAAACGAGACAUAGCCUAAGCUAGCGUUGGUUACAUAUGUAUAUAAGCACUCUGUUUUGCCUCAAGAAUUUAUAUGAACUUAAUCUAUUAACUAACUACAUUUCUUUUUGAGUAAAUCACAAGGAUAAGAUGUUAAGAAAUUUAGAAAGCAUGCACUAAUAUAGUAUGAGAAAUAUUUUUGGAAGAGAACUUUUGUUUUAUUUGUGACUUUGGUUGCUUGAGAUGUUCAAUCAUUUAAUUUUAGAUAAAGUAUAUUAUAUAUCUUUUGACUGCUUUUUUACUUCGUUGGUUUAGUGUUCAAUACAGAGAGAAAGCAACAGGAGUUUUGAAUUUGUUGAUAUUCCUAGAUAUAUAUACUUUCUCUUACAAGAGAUUGCACUAAAGCAAGGAAUGUUUUUAAUAGUCUAUUUCUUCUGGACUUCAUGCUUUUUCUACUUUAUCUUGUUUAGGAAGAAUGUAGAGGUAGUUGGUUAAUUUUGUUAGAUUCAUACUACUAAAAUAAAAUCCUCCAGCUUCUUAGUUGAAUUUAAAUUCAAAUUUGUUCGCUACCUUAUACUUUGAACGGUCUGCUACAUGUAGCCUAAUAUUAAAAAGAAAAUAAAAUUAAUAAUCUAUAUCUAUAUCUAUAUCUAUGUCUAUACCUAUACAUUAUUUCUCAUAAACUUUGCCAUAUGGCAAAGCCUUCUUUAUCCUUGCCUCUUUCCCCCAUCCUUGUUUUCUUCCUUAUUCCUAAUGAUCGAAUUUAUUAUCUUUUAUCUCCGCAUGAUGUUUCGUCUUCUCACGUAUCUAUUUCUUAAUUAAUAUGUUUAUAUUUAUUGUCAUAUAAAAAAAUUAAUUCUAUAAAAGAAAUAAAUAAAAUAAGAUAUGUAUUGUUGUGAUUAAAGAGAGCUCGACGCUAACAAUAGUGGCGAAUAAGAAGUGGGGAUCAGGAUUCGCCUUCCCAAUAUCGACAGCACAAUCAAGGUGCAUAUAGAGUAGUGUUCUAUUGCUGUUUUUUUUUUAUUAUUAUUACGUGUAAUUUAUUUGCUAAAAUUAUAAAUUUUGUUAUAUCUGUUUCAUAUCUUUUAUUUGUAUUAAUUGAUUUCUCAUGACAAGUGAAAAAAGUUUAAAAUAUUUUACUUUGUUAAUUUUCUAUCUCUUACAGUAUCAGCCCGCCGUAAUGUACGGGUAACUUCACUAGAGAAUAUACUAUGUUGCUAUAAAAUUUUCUAACCAGCUUUUAUUACAAUAAUUUAUAGAAGACAUAUUGACAUGAUCAGAGCUAUGAAUUGUUGAAUGCACCAAAGGAAAGUUAAUCAUAUUCACCGUGACACAUUUCAUACAUGAUUUAAAGACAAUAUAAGUUAACAUGUUGAUAAGUAUACGUUAUUUAAAACGUAUUUAUAGUGACAUUAAUGUUGUACUAACCAUCGAUAUGAUAUUGAAUUAAUGCAUGUGCGGAUUUUCAGAUUAGUUGAGUCAUCGAGUGAGCUUGUUUCACAAGAAAUUAUUGCACAAGCGUGAGGUCCUAAUAGGGCCACAGAGAUAUCUAAAGGUUAUUUAUUUAAUGAUUUUAGGUUUCACACUAGAAGUGAAUAGAAAAAUAAAAAAUAAUAGAGUUGUUGUUAUAGCUAGUACAUUAAGUUAUGGUAGUGUAAAAUAUCAAAAUUCAAUUAUUGGAAAUGUUACAUAUCUCACUAAUAUUAUUGAGCUAAACUACUUUGAGAACUUUUAAAGUGGCAAUGUUCAGAUGUAAUUGGAUAAAUAUUCAUUAUAAUAAUAAGGGAGUGAGAAAAGAUGAUUAUGGGUUCAUACUUGUAAAUUUCAGGCAACUAUUAUUUGCUAGCGAUUAAUUGUCAAAUUAACUAUUCAUACUAGCGUAUCAAGCAAAAUAAGUGUUUUACAUAUAAGACCCCUUCGAGAAAGAUUAGAAGGAUGAAUAUACAAAGUUAAGAGACUUUUUUGAUAUGCAACCAAAACUUCCAGCUUCAUUUAAAAGAUACCAUACUUGAUACCACUGCAAAAUGAACCAGAAAAAAGAAUUUAGAUGGAAUAUGAAUGAUGUGUCUGAGCUUACAAUUGAUACUCCUAUAAUAAAUAUUUAUAAGUUGAAAACAAAUAUUUUUGACAAUACAGAGCUUGAUUUUCCUACCCCCAAAGGUAAAGUAAGCCCCGAGUUUUUUUUGUAAAUUUUUUUAUAGAAAACAACAAAAACAAAAAAUGUUUACAUUUUAAAAAAAAUUCAAAGACUGCACAAACCUGCCAUAUUGAUAAAAUUUUUUGUACAAAUAGAUAGUCUUUACUACACAUGCACGAUGUAAGAAUUUAGAGUAUAACAUCAACCAACACAUCAACAACAACAGGAAUAAUUACAACAACAUGUCACGCCCUGGGGUUCCUUUGAAGUUUAAGAAUCGAUGCGGAAGUGCCCAAAUAUAUAUAUAUUUUUUAAAGCCUUGACCCUAGGGGAUGUCAGAUCCGUCACAAAUACAGAAAAUUUACUGUUCACACGAACAGUGUCUCCCCUGUAUUUGCACGGCGUCGCACAAGUACAAGAUACAACCAUAGUAUAUAUACAACCAUAUACAUUCACCACAUCACAUAAUGCGAUGCACAUUCAGUCAAUCACAAGAUUACAAUAUUUUAUUCAUAAAUUCACAUCUAUUAUUUUAAAAUGUUUCACACCAGGAAACUCAUUUUGAACUACUAAAAAUCAUGAAAAGCAAAAAACCCUUUUUAAAACCGUUUUCCACACGAAAAUCUUUUUCUUUAAAAAUAAGCUACCACGAGGGGUAGAAAAUUAUUUUCAUAAUUUUAUAUGAAAACCACAAGUACUUUAUUUAACUUUACAAAACCAUAUAUAUAUAUCCAACAGAAAUGAAACCAAUUGAACCAUAACAUAUCUAAGUUACUUUAUUCAUGGAAAGAAGGUAGAGUCUAGACCGAAUGUCAUCGGGUCGGAACUCUAUUGACCGCUAACAACGCGCCUCAUGCCUCGUCCCGACUUGGGCCAGCAACGUCAUCUGAAAAAUGGUGGGGGGUGAGAACAUAUACAUAUGUUUCCCCUCCCAAUGGGUACCGCAAGCCGACGAGGGUAAGGAGUACUCACCAGUAAAGGAAGGGAUAACUAAAGGUGUAUACGACGAUAAUACAUUAGCAAUAACAAAUAAAGAAAACAAGAUAUACAUAUGCCACUACCGCUAUUGUAUGCAUGCAUCAACCGGACGAUCAGUCCAAGAUAUACCCAAUCCAGAAACCUGCCAUGUCCGCAGACCUCAGGCCUGUGCCACUACCACUCUAUUCUGUAUAUGAUCCUAGUAUAAGCCCCUGGGUCUAAAGGUAUAUGACCCUAACAUAAGCUCCUGGGUCUGAAAGCAUAUAACCCUAGCAUAAGCUACUGGGCUUAUGGGCUGGCACUCCGAACCACUUUUUCAAAAAAGUACACCGUUGCGGUGGCCAAACCGCCAGUAUACGUGAAAUACGUACGAGCAGUGGCGAUCGAUACUGAUAUACUCAAUAGCCAACCGUCGGCAAUUAGUCGACAAUCCUACCCCUCAGGGUAUGGUCACCGUAUAGGUCAUCAAGUACAAGAGUAUAGAAUCGACCGAAUAGGUCACCACAGAUAACCACUCUACUUCUAAAUCAUGAUGAUGAAUAUAGAAAAUGCCAAGUAGAGUAAUAAACACGAAGUCAAGGUGCUAGACUCAUAAACAAGUAAGUAGAGUAAUGAAGCGAGUAGAGAGAACGUCACCGAGCGUGCACCACUGUACCGACUUCGGAUCGAAGUACCUACCUAUACGAUUGUCGUGCUUAUCUUUCGAAAGUAGAAGAUCGUCAACCGGACCUAUAGAGGGUCCACUGGGUUAGAAUCCAACUCACAUAUAUGAAAUAAUAAGCUCACAACCCCUACGACCAAAUCCACGAGAAUUGAUUUUCGAAAAUGAUUACCGUAAUUCACCGGAAGUCCCGAAAAUCGCAACAGGACUCCGCCGGGACCCACGAAGUGUCCCGGGACUCACCGACUCGUGCCAUGAGUCACCCGCUGCCACAAAACACUGAAAAAAAGGUGUCUUGGUAGCAAACACAAAGUCUCUCAUUAAAACGAUUAUCGUCGGAUAACCGUUUUAAUCCGGGUUUCCGAAAGUGUCAAUUUCGACACCGAAACCCACCAUCGCUUACCUGUCAUUCAAACCCUCGAAACGACGUAAGUAACCAGCCAAUAAGGCUCAGCGACAAAGUAUAUUAUACUAAGGUAUCAUCGAAAGAAAUCCUAACCGAAACCGCAUUCCGUCGGCAAUUUCGCCGAAAAGCGCACCGGAAAUCGAUAUUCGAUUUCCGCGAAAGCAUUGGACCUUGGACAAUUAGUCCAAAGGUCACUCGCAGUCUGCACAUACAGCCUGCGACACCUAUAAAGUGUAAAAUUUCAUAAAAGCCCCCACAGUUCCAUCACAUUAUUUUAUGUUAUUCAUCGAAUUUUAUGGUUUGUUAUAGCAAACCGAGGGCUUUCGAGGUCGGCCGUGACAUGCACUGACAGGUCUUGACAUGUCGAAGGCCGUGCUCACGAUCCGAAGCACAGCCGUCCACUAUAGAAAGCGUGGUAGCGACUCGAAAAUCUGCGAACUGCGUGUACUGUGCAAAAUUUGCACUUAUCUCGCAACCAGGGGCUUACUGACCCCAAAAAAGGUGAUCACGAUGAUCAGCACUAAUCCAGGAUCAUCGUGCUCACAUCCAAAAGCAUCGGGGUAACCUCGGGUUGCCGGAAUAGUGACCCGAACCGGAAAUAAUGCACAAAACGACUAAAUAAAGCUUACCGGGCCAAGGAGGGGCUCGGGUUGGCCGGCGGCGGCCGAGAAGCAGACAUGCCGGCGGAAAGUGGGUGCGGCCAGUGUGGGGAGGUCGGCGCUCGCGUCGGCCGGCGGCGAGAGGCAACCGGAGGGGUGGCGGAGCAGAUCGAUCCCGCACAGCUCGGGCUCGGGUUCAGGGAGCUGCGGCGGCCACAGCGACCGAAGGGGGCGCUGAGGGGCGACCGCGACAGGUCGCUGGAGGCCGGAGGGAGGCGGCGUGGCUGGCCCUAGGCGGUGGCACCACACGGAAGAUGAGAUGACUCAAACUCGGCCUGAGCUUGCUCCAGGUAGCCGCAAGCUGCUAGGGCGACAGGGACGGCGCGCGGGGACGGCGGCGACCAGCGGGGGGGGUCGCCGGAGGUUGCAGCGGCUGUCAGAGGAGGGCCCAAGGGUGUGGGACCUCCCUGGUGGUCCACGGGCAGAGGAGGAGAGAGGUUGGAGGUGGAGAAGAUGGAGAAGAGAGAGGAACAACCUAUUCCGGCAGCCGGCAGCUUACGCAGGCGGCCGGGGCGGCACGUCUAGGGCAGGGGGAAGAGAGGGAGGUGGCUGGAGUCAACUGGAGCUAGGGCUAGGGCUUUCUUCCAUAAAAAUCCUAGUUAGCUCAUAUAUACUAGGUGGUAGAGUUGUAGUUAUGCCCACCAAAGUUUGAUAUUUUCAGCCGAGACUUUCAUAGCGCGAGUAAAUCGCGCGGAUACCUCUACGUUCGAAAUCAUGCAAAAUGAUACAUAAAAUAUAGGGGGUUUUGCAAAUUCUUCGUUUUGCCAAUUUCUACCCCCUUUGCGAACUUUAUGCAAUUCCCGGAGAUCUGUCUGUCGGAUUUGCGAACGGACUGCGCCAGCGUGUGUAGCACAACCGGGGCAUCAAAACUACUAUUUUGUUUCGUCCGAUAUGAUCGCCGAUUUGUAAUGAAACCCAUCCUCUCUGGAUAACCAUAUAUAUGUACCUAUAUAUAUGUAAGAUUUGAACUUCAAAAAAUUUCAAUUCAAUUUGAAUUCCUUUUAUUAAGUUCUCAGAUAUUACACAACAACAACAAUAGAUAGGUAAACAACAAAAAUAGAUAAGUAAACAACUAAACAAAUAAAUAGAUUAACAAUAAUUUGGGAUAUACUAGUAAGUUUCCUACGGUCAAAUUUAACCCUUUGACCAAUUCCAUUCUUUAGAUUAUGCUAGUCCAAAAACCACCCACUACGGGUGAAAACGGAUCGAAUACGGUCGGAUAUUGGACAAAACCAUAUCCACAUCCAUAUAUAUAUAUAUAUAUAUAUAUAUAUAUAUAAUAUAUAUAUAGAGUGGGCUGGUAUGCUUAUAAAGCACGGAGCCCUCCGUGCUUCCAAGUUGUUUUCGAUGUUCGGACUUUCGAAUCGACGAUCGGCUCCGUUAGAGUUGAUCUAGAGUAUUUGAAGUACCUAGAAAAUAAAUUUUGUGAUUUUUCGAUAUCAUUUGCCAGUGAUCGAAGGGGCUCAAAAAUCAUAAUUUUAAUGACGUGGUGAGCGGUUGCAAGUUUAACGUGUUAGAAAUAUCCAAAUCACAUGAAUUUUGAUAGAAAAUCUUUAUACCAUAUAAAACAAGAUCAAUAACUUUGAUCUAAAAUUUAAUGUCAAAUCAUCAUAUUUUGAAUAUUUUUAUUUUUAGCCGUUGAUUUUGAGCCACUUCGAUUACUAGGCAAAUGAUAUCGAAAAAUCGCAAAAUUUAUUUCUAGAUACUUCAAAUACUCUAGAUCAAGUCUAACGGAGCCGAUCGUUCGAUUCGAAAGUCCGAACAUCGAAAACAAAGUGAAGCACGGAGCCCUCCAUGCUUCCAUAAGCAUCCUAGCGCACUAUAUUAUAUAUAUUAUAUAUAUAUAAUAUAUAUAUAUAUAUAUAUAUAUAUUAUAAAUAUAUAUAGAGUAGGCUACUGUGCUAUUAGACAGCAGCAGCCCUUGUGCUCCUAGGUUCUUAACCACCCAUCAAAUUUGAUGAGUGGUUAGGGUAAAGGAGAAGAAAAAUUGGAGAGAAUUCAAAAGAAGAGAAAUUGGAAACCCAAUUCUCUCUAAUUACUCUUCUCCUUUUCACCCUAACCACCCAUCAAAUUUGAUGGGCGGUUAAGAACUUAGGAGGCACAAGAGUUGCUGUGCUCCUAAUAGCACAGUAGCCCCACUCUCUCUCUCUCUUCUUUCUCUCGUCUCUCUCUCUCUAUCUCGUCUCUCCUCGCACCUCUCUCUCUAUAUAUAUAUAUAUAUAUAUACUAGUGUAGUUAUCCGCACGAUGCAGCGGAUAGAUAUUAUCGAAGCGAUUUUUUAUCAUUGUUGAUCACCGAUGAUAGUCUGAAAUUGUAUAUAUAUCAAAAAAAAAUACGGUGAGGAGAUGCAGAAAGAAAAAAAGAGAAAGAAAUAGAGGCGUAAAAUGAAGGAAUGACAAAAUAAUUUAAAUAAAAUUAUUAGCCAGAUUAAUAAUUCAAUUAAUUUAAAUAAAAAUAAUUUAAAUAAAAUUAGCUCAAGUUGCUAUAAAAUUUUCAUAUAUAAACUUUAAUAUGAUUUAAAUUGUAUUUGUUGAAUUAGAUUUUAAUUGUAUAAUAGUAAAUUUUUUAAGAUUAUUCAGUGUAUAUAUAAAAUUGUAAAUUAGGGUAAGCAAUUAUUUAUAACAUACAUACAAAUCCUUUAAAAGAACAUCUAAUUCUAGAAACAAAUCCUAUAAAAAAAAUAUAUUUUCUAUCAGCUUAUUGUUUAACAAUUUUACAUACAUCUAAAUAACUAUACAAGAAAUUGAAAAAAGCUAAUAGAUAGGGUAGUUAAAAAAAAAAGACAUUAAAGAAAAAACAAAAUACAAAAAUUUCUGAUCACUUAAUUAUCACCAUAUAUACUAUCAGUAAGAAGUUGAUUAUAUAUCCAUACACUCUCUUCCGCUUCUGUCGUCACUGCCGCCGCUGCCGCAUCCAAGAUCUUCAUCUUCUACCACCACUGCCAUCCCCACCAAAUACACGACGGGAUCGCGUCAGUGAUGAAAGCGAGCGACUUUUACGGGAGAGGGAGAGGGUGAAAGAGAUUUAGCAAAAGUAGAAGAACGAGAAGAUUAAUGAAGACGUAGGGAGAAAAAAAAUAAUUAUUAAUUAAUUACAAUAAUAAAUAGAGAGAAGGUAGGGUUAUUGGAAGGUAAAGAGGCGGACGUUAAAAAAGAGGAGAAGAGUUAGAACUAUUGGAAGGUGAGGAGGUUUACGGUGAAGAAAAUGAGAAAAAAAUAAUUAAAAAAUAAAAUAAAGUAAUUUAAAAAAUAUAAAAAAAUGAGAGCUUGCCAUGUCAUCAUUUGAUAUUGGGAAUUCAUAUAAGAGUAUAGAAGUAUAGAUAUAUAUAUAUAUAUGAUUCCGGAUAUGGAGAUGUGUCGGAUGUUAAAUUUUCGUUAUCAUAUCUGCUAAAAACAUAUUCGGAUAUGAUCGGGUAUUUUCUGGAUUCGAAUAUUGUGACACCCUAAUAAUCCCACAUCGGGUAAUUAUGGCUAGAUGUACGGGAGGAGUAUGUGACACUCCAAUAAUCCCAUAUCGGAUAAUUAUGGCUGGAUAUUGGAGUAUAUAAACUUGACUAGGCUAGACAUAAUAACUGGACUUAAGCAUCUUGGAUUGGUGGUGUGGGCCCAACGAGUUAUUAUUGUUAGUGGGUCGAAUUGUUACAUUUGGUAUCAGAGCCAUUUCACCAGCCGAAAGUAUAAGAUGAGCCUUGGCUAAGCUAGGGUCCCCCAAUAAUCCCAUAUUGGGUAAUUAUGGCUAGAUGUAUGGGGGGAAUAUGUGAUACCCCAAUAAUCCCAUAUUGGGGGGAAUAUGUGACACCCAAUAAUCCCAUAUCGGGGGGAAUAUGUGACACCCCAAUAAUCCCCCGCAUGGCUAGAUGUACGGGGAGAAUAUGUGACACCCCAAUAAUCCCACAUCGGGGGGAGUAUGUGACAUCGUACUUUUUUACCACACGUAACACAAUCUCCCCGCAAUUCCAAAUGAAGCCUUAAUUAGGGAUGUCAAUGGGUAUGAAUAUCUGAAAUUUUAUCCGAAUCCGAACCCGAAUGAAACGGAUAUAUCCGAUGGUUAUGGAUAUGGAUUCGGAUAUGAAUAUCAAAAAUAGAAACCCGACGGAUAUGGAUUCGGAUAUGGAUUUUGAUUGUACCUGACCCGAACCCGAACCCGACCCGAACCCGAAUUUAUUUUGUAUUAUAUAUAAUAUAUAUAUAAAAAUUUGAUGUUAUAUUUGAAUUUGUGUUUUAAAAAUUUAGAUUUAAUAUAAUAUAUUUUGAAAUAUUGAAAAAAGAAAUAAUUGUUUCGGGUUCAAAUUUCGGGUUCGGGUUCGGGUUCGGGUUUCGAAUUUUUGGUCGGGUUCGGGUUUGGAUAUGGAUUUUUAAAAUCCGUCGGGUUCGGGUUCGGGUUCGGGUCUCGGGUUUGGAGUCGGGUUCGGGUUCGGGUUUUUAAAAAUCCGCCCCGAAUCCGACCCGUUGACAUCUCUAGCCUUAAUAGCCUUGCUAGUAAUUUUUAGGAUAAAUUACAACUUUGGUCCUCAAACUAUAGAGCAUGUGGUAUUUUAGUCCUCAUACUUUAAUUUAUUAUAAUUUUAGACUCAAACUUUCUAAUUUAUUAUAAUCACGUCUCAAAACCCUUUCUUUGGUUAAGUUUUGAUGGAUUAUUAAUAGAGGAGUGAUGAAGCAUCUUAAUUAUUAUUGAAUCAUCAAUUCUAAUAUUAUUACAUCACUUAUAUAUUAGUAGUUUAUCAAUAUUUAGACACAAAAAUUGAAUGGUGGGACUUAAUUGUCAUAAUUUAGAAAGUUGGACCCAAAAAUUAUAGCGAAUUAAAGUUUGAGGACUAAAGUGCUAUGUUUUCAUAGUUUGAGGAUCAAUGUAAUUUAUCUUAAAUUUUAAUGAAAGUUUUCAAUACUAAGAAUAAAGAGUAAAUUGCACUGUUACCAGCUGAAUAUUUGGAGGAGUUUUAUUUUACCCUCCAAACUUCUUAAGUGGAUAUCUAGCAACCUAAGCUUUAAUAUAUCAUUCAUAUUAUCUUUUUUGUCAGUUUUCCGUCAAAUUUUAUUAACCAAAAAUAAGAAUAAAUUUAAUGAAAUCAAUUGUAAAUUUGCACAAAAGCGGCUUAGGUCAUUAAAUUUAAUGAAAUCAAUUGUAAAUUUAACAAAAUUCUAAUUUAAUUGCAUUGAAUAAUUCAAAUCAAAAUAAUAAAUUGAAAACUGAGAAGUGCCAACAAAAAAGUAAUUAAUCUGUGUCUGUUUCAGAAUUUAACCGAAACUCAAUACUUCCAAAAAUUACGAAUUUUACAUAAAAAAUUUAAAUUCUAAAAUCUUUUAAGAAAAUGUUAGUAAAAAUUUAAAAAUCGUGUUUUAUAUUAUGUAAUCAUUUAUGCAUUUUACACUUUCAAAUAUAAUUUAAAUUAGAAAAAAAAUGACCCCCUGAACUUUAGUUUUUUAUGCAAAUAGGCAAUCAGCUUUUAAUUCGUCAAUUAGAUUCCUUGAACUUUAAAAAAUAGCUCAAAAGGUCCCUAAAUUAUUAAUUACACAAUUAUUUUAAUCGCAUAUUGUGCACAUAAUUUUAUAAGACUUUAAAAAUGUAAACAUUUAAGCUAGAAAAAUUAAUUUUCUCUUUGAACUUUCUUUUGAUUAUUUUUUUCUCUCUUCAUCCAAACAGAUUCUCAAAAAAUUAACGACAUAAAAAUAGGUAUUUUUUGCGCAUACAAAGAAAAAAAAACUUCAAGUACCAACCCCUGUGGUUUCGUACUUUCUCACUUUAGUACCAUGUGGUUUAAAGUGUAUCAAGUUAGUAUCCUAUGAUUUUAUUUUUUUCUUUUCGUCAGCUCCUCCGUUAAUAUUUCGUUAAAUUAUAUACAAAAAAUUUCAGAAACCCCUCCUAGGUUUAUCGAAUAUUCACUUUAGUAUCUCUUAAUUUUAACUUUGUCACUGAUUUAACAAAAAAAUAUUAGUGGAAUGAAUAAUAAAAAGAGAAAAAUAAAAUAAAAAAGAUACUAAAUUGAUAUACCUUAAACUGUAAGCUACUAAAAUAAGAAAGUAUGAAACCGCAGGGUUGUAUUUGAAGUUUUCUCAAAAAAAAAAAAAAAACUGUAAAAGAUUAUAAUUUUUAACAUGUGGACCGAGCAGUUACAUAUUAUCAUGUCCAAGUCCAAUGUAUGUGGUGGAGAUGGAUCAUAGUGGACCGGGUCCAGGAUCGCGGGCCGAAAUCCGGUCUAGAAUUGCCCGUUAAAUUGAACCCAUAGCCCAUCAAACCCUAAUUUUCGCUCCUCAACUCAACUCUCUCUCUCUCUCUCUUUCUCUCUCUCUCUCUCUCAAUCUCAAACCCUAGCCGCGCCUUAAACCCGCUCUGCUCUACCUCCCCUCUCUCUCUCCAUCUCCGCUCGUCUCCUCCCCCUCCACCGGACGCCGCCACCGGACGCCGACGCCGAAGCCGACGCCACCUCCAAGCUAGGGUUUGGAGAUGCGGCUCCGACGAGUAAUGGCGAUCUAGGUUUCCCAUGAUCGGCUCCAAGAAGCGGAGCAUAGAGUGAUGGCGUUAUCUAGGGUUUUGAGGAGUAUUGCUCGACCUUUGGCUGCUACUCUCUCUCCACCUCCCUCCCUCUCACUCUUGAGUAAGGCUUCGUCUACCCCUCUUCCUCCAUUUGAUCUGGCAAGAGGAGGAUUUGCCCCGACAAUUGGGAAGGUUUUGAAUACGGCGAGGUUUUGUUCUACGGCAACGAUCGGAAGCUCCUUUGGUAGCUUAACUGAUACUAGGUUCCCGAAGAGAAGGCCCGGGACGAAGCCUCGGAGGAAGAGGGCGAGCCUCAGACCUCCAGGUUUCGAUCUAUUCAACUAAUCUUUGUUAUGAAUCUUCCUUUUAUGCAUGCUGUUGAUGUGAAUGAUAAGUGUAGGUUUUGCAGACUAAUUUUGCUUUGACAAGGAAUUUGGCUAUGAGUCUAUCCGGCUUUGAUGUUAGAUUUAUCUGUAAAGAUGCUUCAUUUUGAGAAGAUAUUGAAGAAUUAGCAAAAAAGAUAAAUAAAGAGGUUUUUCGGGUCACAUUUGGUUGGAAAGGGUGAAUUGUGGGUUGGAUUGGAGUGGCAAACAGUUCCAGCUGACAUGUAUAUUUUGUUAAUAAUGUGUGCGGAUAUAUAAUGUUUGGAAUAACACUUUUGGUGACAUGCCAUGGUCAAAUGCAAAUGAAGAAAAAAAAGAUAGGUUUUGGACUUUGUGUAAUUUUCUAUAAUCGUCUAUGCUGAUGAUUUUUUAGUGACAUAACAAAUGAAAAAAAUUUGAUGAAUUAUUAAACACUUUGUGUAAUUUCUAUAAUCGUAUAUGCUGAUGAUUUUAAAGUGAUUUUAUAAUUGAAAUUUUUGAUGAAUUAUUAAGCAUUUGAACUAUGGCCCCUCGUUUUCACCUUGCUUAGCACCGGCAGUGCUGCUGGUUCUUGCUAUACCUUUACUGUGUAUGAUCCUACUUUUAUUUUAUUUUCUGUUUUGAUUUGUACUAUUUUUAUGGUGUUGACGGCUUGAAACAUGAGGUGGUCAGCAUUGGUUGUUGUUUUAGCUUGAUACGUCGAUGCCUAUGGACAUGUGGCAAAAUGACUUCUCAGUUCAAAAAUGUUAUUUGAGUGCUUCAGUAUUUUUUAAUCAUUAAUUUUAGGUAAAAAUGUGUAGAAUAUACCUCAACUAUAAAAAUGUAUAGGACAUACCUCAACUAUCAGCCAUUUUGAUCUAAUUACCUAACCUUUAAAAAUUUUUAUUUUGUUGAUUUGAGUCAAUUAAUGACUCUUUAACUUCAAAAUUUGAAGGCGUUGUUUAUCUUUACAGGUCUAAUUAGUAUAUUUUGUGCAAAUUUAUGCAACAAUAAAUUUAUUAAAAUAAGUAAUUAGCUUAAAUUAAAUUUUGUAUUAGAAGAGCCAUCAAAUGGCUUUAAUCAAACAAAUUCAAAGGUUGGAUACUAAAAUCAAAAUUUUAAAAGGUUAGGUAGUCAAAUCAAAAUGGUCUAUAGUUCAGAUAAGUUCUACACAUUUUUACCUUAAUUUUUAUAAUAUUCUCUUGAACCAUCCUAGUACUUUAUCAGCAUUGCUUUUAGUUUAGGUAUAUACAAUGUAGUCCAUUUUAUUUGUUUAGGCAUUAUAUCCAUUCUAUAAUCAAAUAUUUUAGAUUUAACCUAAUUUUUUACUGCUUAUUUCAUUAUAUUCAUAUUUAUUAUGGAUUUCCACUGUACUUUUUGUUUAUCUUUUUCCCCCUUUUUUUGUGUAUCUGCUUCUAGGUGUUAGAGUUUUCGUUGAUGAGUUAAUAUUUUAUUAGCUCUAGCUCUAUUCAUGUUAUUCUUCCUGGUUUGAUCGUCAAUUCUACACUUUGGAUCUUAGAUCCAAAAAUUGACAUUUCUUUCGGCAGAUUGAUUUUAUAUGCAUUGUUUUCCUCAUAUAAAUAGGUCCUUACGCAUGGGUCCAGUAUGUGCCUGGAGAAGAAAUACCUAGAAGUCGGCCUAACGAAGGAAGUAUCAAGGCCAGGGGAAGGAAGAGAAAGAAGCGCAUCAUGCAGAGGAAAGCAUUUAUACUGGUAUGGUUGCUUGUCAAAUAUUGUCAUUUCAAAUAUCAAUUUCUUUCUUUUUGUUCCCCCCAGGAUGGAAAGUUUUAGUUUGUACUGUUAUAGUAUUGCUCUUAUAGAUCCUUUUACCUAUUUCUGAUUUCUUGUUUGGCUAAUUCUUUCAGCAUUAUUUCAUAUACGAUUUGUCAAAAAAGAUCUUUUAGUAUUUUGGAACUCUGAUUAUUCAAGUUGUUCGCUUUUAUGUGUUAACCUCAAUUCGUUUUUUUAUGAAGUUAAACAUGAUGGUUUUGGACUUUUCUUUCAGAUUUCCAGAUUGCUGUGCUAUGAACUGUUAGGAUGAUGUUAAAAUCAUGUCUUGUGCGAGUUACAUCUUGAAAAGCUAAUUAGAAGACUGCAAUUUCUUUUUGUUGGAUAACUCAAAUUAAUAUAAUCUGUACUGAAAGCUAAUUUUGGUCUGGUAGCAUUGUAGGCAUAUUUUGAUUCAAAAUUUCCUCUUGUUUCUUCUCAGAGGACUAUUUUUGAUUUCAAGUACUACUCUGCCACUUUACGGAGAUAGGAUUGAAGAGUAGUGUUUUAUACCUUUUGUUGUUUUUGGUUUAUUAGUUGUCUGCAUAGAUCUAAACUAAAGUGCUCUGUCAAGAUGGUGAAACGUCUGGUUUAAUGUAGAAAAUUGAUACUUCUGACAUAAUUAUUCAGUUCCAUGCUAGAGACUGCAACGGCUUUACGUUUCAAGAUAGUUGUUUUAAUUUGUAAAUACCUUUUCUGCCUGGUAUUAUUCAGUUGUUUUGAUUUCAAUUCUCACGAACAGGCGCAUGUUGACUUCAUUUCUAGUUCUGAAAGAACUUGAGAUUAUGUCUAUCGGUCUUUCUAAUUUCAAUCCUUAUGACAGCUUGAAUGCUGAUGAUAAGAUGGAAUCAGAAAAGUAGAGACAUAAUUUGUAAAUAAGGAUUCCUGCAUUAUUCUUAAUUUGUUUACAGUUUAGAUCAUGUCCCAUUAAAAGGCAACAAUUAAGAAAAGAGAAGAUAUUCUAUGAGUUUUGUGGUGACAGUUCAUAUCACUUCCUUGGAUAAAUUUUGAUUCAUUGCUUUGAUAAAUCUGUAGUUCUGUAUAUUUAUUUCUUUUGUCUUUGGGUUUAGUUUCUUAAGCUAUAGUUCUCUUUGAAGUAUCAGUAGUACCUUUAUUCAGUAAUAUGAGUUAAGAUGUGACUAUGUGAGUGCCAUGUACUUUGUCUUUAGUAGCCUUGGAACAGAAAGAAUUAUCCAUUAUUUGAACUUUUGUGUCGUCAUUAGGUAAUAAUUGCAGUGCUGUUAGGAAUGCUCCUUUCCUUGAUUAGAGCUGAAACUUUUCUCCAGUUUGAUAAUUCAGGUUGUCGCAGAAAAUUUAAAAUUCGGAUUCCUUCUUGUAUAUUACAAUCUCUAUCACUGAUGGAAUAGUUAAGUCUAAAUCACCUGAUUUUGGUUUCCUUUUUAACCAAUCUAAUGAUCUCCUUAUCACCUGAUUUUGUGUAUCAAUAGUCUGAGAAGAAGAAACGCAAAGCUCAAUUAGCGGAGGCUCGAAAGAGAAAGGAAAUGAAGAGGAUAGAGAGGAAGAUGGCUGCAGUGGCAAGAGAAAAAGCUUGGGCAGAAAGGUUGAUAGAACUGCAACAGCUUGAGGAGGCAAAGAAGGCGGCAAUGUCUUAGCUUUAAUGUUAUGGAUGGUAUUGAGACCAACAGUUUUGAAAUCCUACUAUUAUCAUCAUAUCUUGGUUUACAACAAAUGAAUCUGUCAUUAUUAUGGUACUGCAUUUCCACUUAAACCUUUGGUGUGUGUAUGUGUGGCAUAAACGAUAGUAGAGUUGAGCUAGACUCUUCUUCUUCUUCUUCUUCUUCUUCACCGCAUUCCUCCAACCCUACCCUGCACAAACCAACCCCGCAACACCCGUCUCUUCCUCUUUUCUUUCCUGUUUUUACUUGGGGAUAAAACUAGCUAAUCAAGCUAGAUAGCUUUUGGAAGCACUUUUUUUUUCCCCUUGUUUUUCUCUUUCUUUCCCUUUGGGCUGGGGGGAAGGCGGGGUGCUUUCACUCUUUCAAGCUACAGAUGUGUCUCAAGAUCCUUCAUGUUAUUCACAUGGUCGCACAUAUUAACGGCAACUCUCAUCUGCUUUCAAAGGCAUUCCCAAUUCUCUGUGUGCGCGCGCGCCUGGGUGCGUGCACGCGUGCGUGUGUGUGGCAUUGAAUGGAAAUUUUCAUCGCUUUCAAGCUUCAGAUGUCUUGCUUAUGUAAUUGACAUGGUUCAUUGCAAGAAUGUGGCUUUACAAACUUGCCUGUAUUUGACAGCAAACACAACUUUGUUUGGGUGCUCCUCUUUUCAUAUAUAAAAGGCAUCGAAUGUCAGGGGAGUUGCAUUGCAGAUCAUGUGAAACAUUGAUGGGUUUUUCUUUUCAACUAUAAUAGGUUCAGCUUUCCUAUAUCCCUCCAUUGAAAUAUUCCCAAUAUUUAGCUGCAUCUAUUUUUCAAGUUAUCCGACUUGAAUUAGUUAACUAGGAACCGGUCUUUUUGUUUGUUGUUUUGAAGAGAGAUUGGCUCAUCUCACUUAAUCUCAACUUCUGUAACAAUUUACUUUUUUCACCUUGUUGCUGAAUACUUAACUAGCUCUCUUAUGAUGUUUCUGCAGCUCAGACAGAGCUUUUCGAUGCUGUUUCUGUAGCCUUGACGAAGCUCUCGGAUGUAGAUGUCAAGAACUGAAAUGCGGUGGCACAAAUUUCCUGGUCACGAUACUUGGAUUCAUGCUGCAGAGUGCAUGUUUGUGUUUCAGAAUAAUGAGAGAGAUUUUUUUCAAACUCUUUUGUUGUGUGUUCCAGUCAAAAAUCUGAUGUUUCUUCAAAUGUAAUCUGUAAGGUUCUAAUAUUCAAAAUCUCUCUGGAAAAAUAUAGCUGCAAAUGGAAUGUCUUCUUUAUUUUCUUCAAUGAUUAAAUAUCGGAGUAACAAUAUGAUAAGAUAGACAAAUGUGGACAACCUCACCAAUGUUCAGUUCUUCUACUUGGGUUAGCAUUCUUUUUGUCCAAUGAAUUUUGAUAUUAUGUUUCAGCUAUGUUUUCCAAGGGCAGAACAAUUUUCACAGCAAUAAAUGGUUUUUGAUUUUUUGAUAAAAAAGACACCGAAUUGCUGAAUUAAAAUUAAUUCAGAGACCAAAAUGCUUUUCUUGCCAUGGUGUUUGUGUGACUUUGGAUGCGAAAUCUGGAACAACCUUGCUUUGCACCAAUUUUUGCAGCAAUACUGUUUCAGUAAAGCUAACUUAAAGAAGCUUUUCCAUCAGAAGGAAUCUGAUCACUUUUGUUGCCCAAGCAGAAGCUUCUUAUUCAAACUCUUGCUUUUGAAGGUCAGAAGCUUCUUUUAGCUUCUCGCAACAACAGAAACUUUAGACCAGCUUUUUUAUUUUCAUAUUUGAUGCUGCUGUUGCUGUUCCAGAAGUUAAGAUUAAAGAAGCACUAAACAGGCUUUUAAUAAAGAAGUUUUAUAGAAUUCUUAAUAAUCAAAAUAGUCUGUUCCAAACCAAUCAUCAGAUCAUUCUCAGAUAACUCUUAUUAGUGCCUAAUGAGCUUCAGUAUCAUGGAUUAGACCUAACUUAGAAGAGAAAAUUAAAUUCAUUAAAUUCCAUCUAAUUCUCGAACUUCUUUAAAGCUAAUUAGAUCUAUUUAAAUAAUUAAGUGCUAUUUAGUUUAUUCUAAUCUAGCAUACUGAAGCGUAUCAAACAAUAUGUCACAUUUACAAUAAAAAUACAAUCAGCAGCAUUUAAUCUGCAACCUGCAUUUUAUUAACACUGUUUUAGCCUUUCACAGGCUUCUUUCAGAAAUAAUGGCAGUCCACUAAUAAUUGUGCCUAGCAAUUUACUUGUUGCAUGGCUCAAUGCACAAAUUACAAAUUUUCAUUUCACCUCCUCUAAAUUUUUUUUUUUUUUUUUUGGUUUUCAUUUUUUUGUUGCUCUGUUUCCUUGGAUGAUAUAGUGUGUUGUUAUAUAGCUGAUUGAUUGAGAGAAGGCAUGGGAUUAUUGUGCAAGAAAUGCAUGAACAGAAUUAGGGCUUGCCGCGGUCGGUGGAGGGGAACUUCAUGCCCUGCUCCUAGGACUGUCACAUAUGUGAGCCCUUUGUAGACUUGGCUCCAUCCACCCACCUAGCAGGGCACACUUUAUGUGUUAGAUGGAUAAGUCGAUAGAUCCAUUAGUAGCUGCCUUAUUUGGAAGAUCUAUCUGAUAGAAAAUAAUUUGCAUUCCGCAACUGAUAUAGCUGGUAGAAUAGAAUAGAUUUGAGACGAUCAUAUAAACCGGCAUUUAGGACUUGCGUACUAUUAUGUAAUCCAAAAGAUGGAUCAAACAAGAAAUAGUUCAGAAGUAUUCUUAAUAGUUUGAUGACAAAAUUAGAGAGAGAGAGAGAGAGAGAGAGAGGGAAAGGAUUAAUUUUGGACUCACAUUUUCAUUGUCAUACCAAGGAUACCAGCUGAUGAGAGUUGAAAGAUUCAGAGCAUCAAGUGAGUAUCUGGUAGCUGUUAGAGGGACUACUGAAUCUGUGUCUCCACUGCAAAACCAAAGAGUGUUCACCGCAGUUAAAGUAACAAGCACAGCUCUUUGUAGCAUGAGCUAUAGAAUUCGAAAAAAAAAAAUCGGUAGGAACAAGGAUCCUUCUUAACAUGUAUAUUUGUCUCAUGAAAUUUAAAAAUAUGUUAGUUGCGGAACGAUCGCAAUCCAAUGCAAUUCAUUCCAUUCCAUUCGAGCCAAUUCGGAAUUUCCAUACAUGCUUUUCCUUCCUGGCAAACAAAAGUGUUACUGACAGAAUAGCAAGUAUUCGGCAGGACAGAAGGAUUCUGAUCCUUCAAUUUUUCUAUCUCUGCAAUGACCCAGCCACACACAGUUCUAUUGAUAAAUAUCUAAUAACCAAGUUUCUGCUGCGCGGAAUCAUUCGUACCGAUAAAGUUAGACAAAGAUUUCUGAAAUUCGAAACAUAGGAUAACGGAAUGGACGAAAGGGAAAUACGAAGAUUCCGGACUAAAUGGUUUUAUGGAAACUAAGAGAUUUGUUUCAUAUUUGUCAGGUAAAACGGUCCAAUCUAUAGAUGGUGUUGCGUCGCUCUCAAGUAGCUAUCUGUUGACAUCAUGCAAAUUUAUGACAUUUUCAGUGAAUUUUUUGUAAUAGCAUGCUCAAGAUGCACUCAAAUGAGAAUUAUACUUUCUGCCGAGUGAAAAUGACCCUCCAACUUUCGGACCACCUCCAACAAAUACACCAGAAAGAGAAGCAUACCCGAAAACUCCUAUAUAUGGCAAAGAAAACAGAAAAAGAAAGAAAGCAUAACUUCAUACCUGAAAACCCAUACCCUCAGUCCAGCUGCAAUAAGUUCUCGGUAGAUAGGAAGCAUUGAUCUUGGCGAAUCCGCCCAGUACGUACCGACAAUGUCGCUGCAACAAUAAUAAUGAUGCGACAAAUCGGUAAGUUUCAGAUUACUGAUGUAACUAACACAUUGCGCAAAAAGAAACAUCUGUACAUUCAUAAUUUUUCGAUCGAGAAAUUUAGGAGCCAUAGGUGUAACCUGCAGGUGUCCCAACGGUAAGGUAUCCCAGUGAGAUUUGCAUGGAGAGCUUUCUGAACAUCCGGAUGGUUGUAGUACAUUCUGGAGUAUUUUUCAGUGCAGGGAUCAUAACCUCUGGUCAUCCAAGGCUGAAUUUGGAUGAAAUGUUUAUAAGACAGAGAUAAAAAGUGUACAGAAAGUGACCUCUAAGAUUAUGUUCAUUUUCACAACUUAAAAUUAUCAAGCCAAUAUAUCGAGAUCGAAAUCGGAUAUCGGCAUAUGCAUUAAAGGAGGAAAAAAAAAACACUUGUGCACGCAUUUUAGCGCAUCUUGACCUGGCUGUUGGUUAUAUACUUGAUAAGGUGGUGACUUUCAGAAGCCCGGCUUUGCUUUGAACAAACAAAUUGACGCUUUUGCUGUAGCAGAAUUCUGGACUGCACUUUUCAAAAGCAAAAAGCUCCAAAUUAAAACUUCUGCUUUUGCUACAACAAACAGCUGCGCCAAACCAAACAAAAGCCCUUAAUGUGUUGAUCUGCCUACACAUCUCGCUUUUACCACAACUUUACGAUAGUUUUGACUUGAAUAACCCCUUUUAAUUUUAGAUUCACUUUGAAGGAUACAAAGAAAGACAAAAUUUCUAGCUAAGGAGCUCAUACUGUUCUUCAAAUAUCAGCUUCACUAAUCUCCUCGAGUUUACCAUGUAAAUACCAACCUGCAGGCUUAAUGUAUCUAUCUGUUAAUAAUAAUGGUAAAGAGAGCUCACAUAGCGGCCCCUUAAAUUGCGCUUGAGAGUGGUGGUAUCAUUGCAAGGUCGGGUGUAGAUGCUGUAAGCAUCAAUGUUGCCUUGCUCUACAUAGGCAAUGUUAAGCCAAUUGACGCAUGCUUCUGAAGGGUGCUCCGAUGAAUCAAAGUCGCAGACCACCUGCAGAUUAUGAUAAGUCUCGUCGGAGAUCAGCCCGUGCGUCCACCAGUACUCGAACGUGCCAACGUAGUCGUGAUAGUCGUCGGUCACGCCGUUCCCGACCUGCACAUACAAUAUGAUGUUGAAAUGGAUGUUAAUAGUGAUUCAACUCAAGCCGUAGUCACCGCUGUAAAUGGUCCUGCAUUUUAAGAUGUCAGGAAAAUACUGCUCAUGUACUAGCAUUACUAAUUUGAGUUAAAUAAGCUUUUAAGUUACUAAAAUUAGUUACUUCUUACUUAUGAUGUAAAAGGCUUGUACAAACUGACAUAUAUGUAUAUCCAAUAUGACACAAUGUGUACCACUAAUUUGUACUGAAAAGAUCUAUUUUAUCGAGUUAUUAAUACUGAUGGGCCAGAUUGCGCCGUAUAUAAGCACAUGACAAAAGAAAAAAAGAAAAGAAAAGAAAUAAUUAGAGGAUAUAUUUGGUUCUCCCAAUUAAAAGGGAAAAAAAAACACACACAACAGAAAGGUAAAUAAGUAAUAACAAAGUAUUUACCAAGAAACCUUUGAGAUUAAUAAUGGGCUUCUCAACGCCUUUAUUUUGCUGAUACACAAUCUGUGAUAGCUGAGGAACAUAGUGCCCUGAAAUGCAAUAAAUUGAUCGAAUUAAACAAAAAAAAUGGGAUUACUUUAGAGAGUAAAAAAAUGACAAGUAUAAACUAGAAAGAGAUUGAUCUAAACCAAAAAAAAAAAAAAGAAAAAAAAAAGAGGAAGUACAAUUAUUGAAGCUUAGGGUUCAUAAUUUACCAGCAUAGCUCUCUCCAGUGAUGUAGAAAUCGCGGUAUUUAUACUGAGGAAACCUCUCAAACCAAUUCACUAGAAAAGUAUAUGCAUCCCAUGCUACAAAAUUUAAUUCAAAACAUAAGAUAAAAAAUAAGAAUUCUCUUCUCUUUUCUUUUUUCAUUGUAGAGAAAUUUAAAUAAUUGCCUAAAAUGGUCUAAAAUGAAAAAAAAAAAAAAAAAAAAAAAAAAAACCUGUUCUAUUGUCUCCAGCAGUAUACAAAUCCGAAGUCCUGUUCGAGUACGAGAAUCCGACCCCCGCCGGCGACUCCAAGAAGAGCACAUUAGCCACUACACCAAAAUUCCCACAAAAUCAAUUGAAAAAUAGAAAAAAAACAUGAUUAAAGUGUUCAAUAUACUUCAAAAAUAUCGUUCUCCAAAAGUUAAGUUUUUGAAAAAUGAUGGUUGUUUUUUAUUUUUUAAGAUGGUAUCAGAGCAGAGAGUCCGAAUUCGAAUUCACCUUUGUUCCAAGCGUACUUGUUCAAGAAGAGAGUCUUUCCGUCGGGCCUGAUGCGGAAGGCGCCGAGCUCUUCCGACGCCCCGUAGCCAACCGAAGAGCACCCGGGGCCGCCGUUGAGCCAGAGAACGAGCGGCGCCGCGGCCGCGCGCCCAGCGGGGGCCUCUUGGAACCAAUAGAACAGUGCCCGGCCGGCCUGCCGGUUCACGGUGACGUACCCCGAAUAUUGGGAGAAGUUCACGGCCGGCUGGCCCGGCAGGAGGGCGAUGCGGUCGGCCUCCUGAUCGGCGAAUGCCGAACGGGAGGACGGCUGCAGGAGGCAUAGUAAAAAAGACAAGCAGAACGGCAGGGAGAGUAACGAGUGAGGCGUGAAAUAAAAGAAGAAAGAGGGGGCAGAAGGGGAGGACAAAGAGGAGGCUCCCAUUGGCCCUUCCUUUUUGGAGCUUCAAUGAUUGGGGGGUUAGAUAGUAGGGAGAGAUGAUGGGUUAGUUAAUAAGAGAAAAGAGAGGGGGAAGGGUCGGUAUAUAAAUAUAGAGUCCUAAAAUAUAAUGUGUGUGUAAUGUGCGCGUGUGUGUGAGAAUGCUAAAUAAAAUAAGAGAGAGAGAAAGGUGGGUCAUGAAGAAGACCGUUGACAUUCUAAAUAGAAAGCAACUGCAUCCAAGAUCCAUGACUGGUGUUACCUACUUUUUAUCUUGGUAAAUAUGUGAACUGUAGAUCAUUUUAAACUUACUGUCUCUGUAUUUAAAAUUUUGAUUUUACUAUCUAGUUUUUAAUUUGUUUGUUUUAAGUUAGUAGCAAUAUUUUGACUUCAAAAUUUUGAACUAAUUACUUAUUUUAACGAAUUUAUAUGUGAGAAUUGUAUAAAGUUUAAAUUUGUAAAGAUAAACGAUUCAUUCAAAUUUUGGCAUCAAAAUACUGUUGACGGACUCAAAUCAAGCAAAUUCAAAGGUUGGAUAAGAAAAUUAACUUUUGAAACUUUAGAUAGCCAACUUAAAAUAGUCCAUAGUUUAGAUUUUCAUUUUAAAACUUUUGUAAUCUAAUUUUAGCUUGUGUAAAACGUAUGUAAAUUAAAAUUAAAUGUGUAAUUUAAACCCUAUAGUUUUAUACGUGUGUGUGUAUAUAUAGUUAUGUAUAUGCAUACAUCACAAAUAUAUUUAGUACAAAGCUACAAACUUAAUACAUCAAAUUAAUCCCAAAGAUCAUCGUAACAAAUUAAAAAUAUAACAAAUAACCAACAAGAUGUAGAAACUGUGUUUAAAAGUUUAUGUGUUUGAACAGGCAAACCAAAUUAAAAUCAAAUUAAUUUUUUUUAGUUUAAUUCAAAUUUAAUUUUUUACACCAUUGAUUUGAUUUUGAUUUUCUCAAAUUGAAUGAUAUUGGUUCGGUUUCAAUUAAUCUUGUAACCCGAACAUUAAUGUCCACUUCUAAGAUAUAUAUAUUGAGAGAGAGAGAGAUUUUUUUAAAAAAAUUUAUUAGUUAUUAUAUAUUUAGUAUUACAAUGAUUGGGUUAGUUAAUGGAAGUGGUGGAGAAACAAAAAUGAGAAUGAAAAAUGCGGGGAUGGUAAAGGGUUAAUUAUUGUAUGAUUUUGAUCUAUUAAACUAGUCUAUAUAAUCAGGUUUUGACAAAUACUAAAAUUUAAAUAAUAUCAAACUUAGAAAAUUUUUCUUUCUUAUUGUAAUUUGAUCUAACUUUGUAAAGAAAAAAAAAGCUUUUUAUUAUAAUUUGGCACAUGUAAUUUAAUUUAAGGGCAACUCCAUUAUAUGCAUGUGUAAUUUGCAUAAUAAUUUAAACUAUAUGUAGAUUCAAAUAUGACGUUUGAUUUGAUAAAUUUGAAUUUAGCUACUACUGUUGAAACAACAAAAGGAGGCAUAACUGUAGAAAUUGAAAAUGUUAAGAGUUAACUUCUGAAUAGUUCCGCAUCAUAUAAUUAUCAGAGAGUAAAAAGCUCGAUAUAUACUAGUGGGCUUAGACCUAAUUGGCUAAAGCUUUUAGGUUGAUAGAGUUUUAUUAGAUAAAUCUCAUCUUUGGACUUAUGUAUGUCUGAGAUGGGUCGAUAACUCUUUAAUAAGUAAUACCGGACUGAACUACUCAUCAAAAAUGGUAUGAUGCAUCGAGUUAGUGGCUCUUCCGAAUAUGUAGAUGAGUUAUAAUAACGUGAUACAAAGAUUUUGUGUAGAUAAGGUGCAUAGGCUCAGAUGGUUAGCGCAUUUAAACAGUUGGACUCUAGAGGCAUAGGUCAAGUGCACGGACUCUGUGUGAAUUCUUGAGCGGCGCCGUUAAAAGCGCAUGAUUUCCAUGAAUGGAUUUCUGGUGGCUCAUAAAAAGAACUUACAAAGCACGUCAUGGAGAACAGCUAAAAAAGUAACUUGGUAUAAUGCUUAGAGAGUAAUAAAUAGAGAACAUAUGUGAGUAGCUCCAAAUUGGAUAAUUGUAAGAGAUCGUAAAAGAGUUGAUAUAACUAGUAGGCUCAAUCCUAAUGAACUUAUUAAAGUUUUAGGUUGAAUGAGUUCUCCCUUAUAUAUUCAAAUUUUGGAACUCAUGUGUGCUUGAGUUAGCUAUGUAACACUUUUUGAGUUGUGUAAUUUUAUGAACUAAUCUAUCUAAUUACGUUUUGAUUAUAUAUAUAUACAUAUACAUAUAUUCUACAUUGAGUAACUCUAAGUAACUAAAUAAAUUAUUUAUAAUUACAAUUCUUUCCGCUGUAUUUAACGAAAUAAAAUUAACGAAGUUAUAACUAUUGCAUUUUUUACCGAAUGUAUCUUCAUGUGCACCGGCUGUACAAUUAUUUCCAACCAAACAAUUCCUUGGUGUAGAAAUUAAGUUCAAGUACUAUUUCGUCCAUUUUAUCGCCAUAUUGAAUUUUGCAGGACAAUUGUUGAUUUGCACUCUUUUUCUUUUUCUUUUUUUGUUGCACCAAAUCAAUUUUUCUUCGCCAAAUUCCAGCGAAAAGAAGAAAAGUUGGUGGGCCAAAUUGCAAUUCGGAAAAUAAGUGAUGAAUUGAUGUAAAUUUGACCCAAUUAAAUAGGUAAUGAUGAUAGAUUUGGACACAAUUAUAUGAUAAUAUCCUCUUAUUCAUGCUUUUUAUCUUAUAAUCUCCCUCGCCUAAUAAAUCCCUAAUUUUGAUUUUAAAAGAUAUUCUGUAGACUAUGUUUGGUUUAAAAAAAAAAGUUGUUCUUGCUGAUUCCUAUAAUCAGAAAUGAGUUCAAUUUAUAUUUAGCUAAGAAUCAAAUUAUUUUCGGGAAUAAAAAAAAAUAAUACUCUAAUAAUUUAAACUAGAAUAAUUAGGAUGAGUAAUUAUAAUUUUAAAAUACAAAUAUUAUACUUAAGGGAAAACUUCAAAAACCCCCCUUGUGGUUUCAAUUUUUUUCACUUUAAUACCCUGUGGUUUAAAAUAUAUCAAGUUAGUACCCCGUGGUUUCUCACUUUAUCACUUAAGUACCCUGUGGUUUAAAGUGUAUCAAGUUAGUACCCUGUGGUUUUGCACUUUAUCACUUUAGUACCCUGUGGUUUUAAUUUUGUAUCAAGUUAGUACCCUAUAGUUUUUUAAAUCACAAGGUACUAAAGUGAUAAAGUGUGAAACCACAGGGUACUAAAGUGAUAAAGUGAGAAACCACAUGGUACUAACUUGAUACACUUCAAACCACAGGGUACUAAAAUGAAAAAGUGUGAAACCACAGGGAGGGUUUUUGAAGUUUUCCCUAUACUUAAUUAACAAUAUCAAAAUAUUAAUGAAAUACUAAUUUAAUUAAUUAAUUAAUAUUGUAAAUACCCUUUUUACAUUCCAACCUAUUUCAAAUAUACCCCUAAAGUUAAAUUCUGUUAAUGAACUGUUGACAAUAUCUGUUAUUUGUAUAAAAUUACUAUUUUGCUUUUUCAAAUAUACACUUCCACCAUCACUGACUUUUCUUAUUUGCCGCUAAGUUAGGGCUACAAAAAGUAUUUUAAUUUUGAUCUUUUCAAAUAUACCCUUCUACUAUUACCAAUAUUUUUUAUUUACCCUUAAAUUAAGGGCAAAAGAGGUAUUUUGAUUUUUGUUAGCUCUAGUAGAUAUUUAACUCACGUUUAAUUUAAGUUAACUUAACGAAUGAUAACUACAGUGAUAUUUUGAAAUAACGGAGAAACAUAUGAUGGGUAUAUUGGAAAGAAAAAAACAGAAGGGUAAAUAAAAUAUUUUUAAAGUUUUGAAGGGUUUAUAGAUAAUUAUCCUUUUUUAAUUGUUUUUUAUGUGGAUUUUUUUUUUAACUUUUAGUAGAGAAUUUGUGGGCUGGUCCAAGUGGGCCCCUCAUACUUUGUCCAAUCUCAUGUUUACUAGGUACGUAGCAGUUAUAUCAUAUCAUCUAUAUCUUCUUUUUUUUCUAUUUUUUUUUUAUUUUUUUUGUUUUGUGUUGAGGGUGGUGUCGCCGUCAGUGGAAAGAAGAACGUGCAAGUUUGGCAUGCUUUUGAAAUAUUACAAUAUUAAUAACUGCUUGGUGGAUGAAUAUUUCAGAUCUUUUCUGUGAUGAGAAGCUGGAAAAAAUUUUUGAGACUUUUAAGUAAAAACUUCAAUAUAAAACUUUUGACUUCGAUACCUGAACAAGAAGUCGUACAAAACUAUCAAUACCUCUUCAAAUAAUCUCCAAUGAGAAGUAUUUUAGUUUUUAUUUAUUACUUUUAUUUUAGAGCUGCUAUAUAUUGUGCCAAAAAAUUGAAUAAAUAUUUACACUUCGAAAGAAAAAAAAAAUCCAAUAUGGAGCUUCUAAUUGAUUGGACAAACUGUGGUCUCCGUACUCUGGUCUCAAAUUAUAUUUAAGUUAGGGAAAACUUCAAAAACCCUCCAUGGGGUUUCAUACUUUAUCAUUUUAGUACCCUGUGGUUUAAAGUGUAUCAAGUUAGUACCCUAUGAUUUCUCACUUUUUCACUUUAGUACCUUAUGGUUUAAAGUGUAUCAAGUUAGUACCCGGUGGUUUUGCACUUUAUCACUUUAAAACCACAUGGUACUAAAGUGAUAAAGUGCGAAACCACAUGGUACUAAAGUGAUAAAGUGUAAAACAACAGGGUACUAACUUGAUACAGUUUAAACUAUAUGGUACUAAAAUGAUAAAGUGAUAAACCACAGGGUACUAACUUGAUACACUUUAAAUCACAGGGUACUAAAGUAAAAAAAAGUGAAACCACAAUAGGGGUUUUUGAAGUUUUCCCUUUAAGUUAUAACACGAAAAAACUAAUAUUUUAAAAUAGUAGUAAAAGGAAAAUAAGUAAAUGCUUCUUUUCUGAAAUUACUAAUAUUUCUUUUAAAAGUAGAUGCCAUUUUUGCAGAAGCUCUGGUAAAACUAAACAUGAAGUAGAUCAACUCGGCUUAUAGAACAAAUAGUAUAGACUUGGUCUACGAAGUAUAGAAAUAAAUGUAUAUCUUAAAGGUGUAUUUAUUAUAGCGUAAAAUGUUUUAUACAAAUAUUUAUUUAAACUUUAAAGAUACGUAUAAAUAAUUUGCAUGCGCACAUGGAGAUGACCAUUUUUUUUAAUAUAUUUUUCUAGUUUAAGAACAUUUUUUUCUAUAUGUUCUAUUUUGCCUUGAAGGCAAAAUAAUUGAGCGAUUGCAACUUUCUUGAUACUGAAUUUUAUAAUUUUUUAGCAUUAUUUAUUUCGUGAUUAAGCAAUUUAAAAAAUACUUUAAUAACUUAUGUGGGAUGUUUCCUCGUUUAAUGGUGUAGCAAAUUAAUCAUUUGGAUUUUUUAUUUUAUUUUAUCUUAACUAUCUGCGACAAGAUUUACAACUUCAACCUUGAUUUAAAAAUCCUAUCCCUUAUUUUCAGAAUGAAGUUCAAUUUUGAACGGAGAGCUAGCUAAUUAAUGAUCUAAAAAGCCAUUUUCAAAAUUAAUAAGUUUGGUUUCUAAUUUAUACAAAUAUCCUAUAUCGUACAUAUUCAACGAUCGAUAUCGAUCACCAAAUUAUAUAGGUGCUUUAUGAUAAAUAAAGAGUCUAUAGUAGUAGCAACAAGAAAUUAACCUUAUUAGAAAUCUAUAUUUGGUGACCAUGAUGAUGGUGGUGGUACUUAAUAGACUUGAUAUGUAGAUAUUUAGUUGUAUUCAAAAUUGGCAACUAGUGUGGUUCUUUAAGUACAUGCUACUUAUUAAUUAGGUGUCAUUCUCAAGUACUCGUGCAAUAAUAAUAAAUAAAUUUAGCAUUUCUUUAGCUUCUAAAGUCUAUAUAUAUAGUUGAUCUGCUUUAAGUGUGACCUAAGACUUUGAAUAUAAUUAAGGAAAUAAAUAUUUGGGGGGUUGUCUUUAAUUUAUGAUGACAGCAUAUAUAUAUCAGGAGGAAAUAAUGGAACUGGAAGACACUGAAGAGAGAAAAUUUUCAUAGAAAUAAAUUAGGGUAAAUUGCCUUACUAGUCCCUAAGCUUUUAGGCGAGUUUUAUUUGGUCCUUAAACUUUUUAAGUUUGAAAUGUGCAUCGAGGUGUGAUCGAUGACGAGUACUGCGGUGUCAAUUGCACGUCAGUACUACGCCGCGUGCUGGUAGUACGACAAUCCGUGGUUGCAUCUGCCUCGAUCGUCUGUCUGUGCAUCAGUACAUGAUUAUUAUCAGCUUUGAACUGUAAAUUAGAUAAAAUGUUAGGACUUAGUCGAUGGUGGGAAUGAAAUAUGAGAUUGAAUCAAAGUCGAUGGAUAAAUCAAUGGCUUAUGACAACACAAACACAUUGGGUGCAAGUUAUACUCUUUUUUGUUUUUUUUCCCCCUCUCAUUAGUGAAUACACACAAGGACCAAGAUGAAAUAAUUUUAGAAGUUCGGAGUUUUAAAUUCGAAAGUUCGAAGUUUGAAAACCAAAGAUAAACCUAACCAUAUUUUCAUUUUUAUCCAAAUAAAAUAUGUGGCUUGAGUGUGCAUGCAACAGAAUGUGUUGAGAUUAGUCUAAGUUUGACCGAGAUAUUUUUGCUUUGCUAAUUGGAUUUAAGUGGAAUAUUAUCACCCACUCCAUUUGAGUGGGCGGUGAACAAACUUUGUUGUCGCUCCAAGUAAUGAAUUGACUAAUGAGUUCUUCGCAAAAUUCGAAUAAAGGUAUCUGCUAAAAAUAAUAGCCUCAUAUAUUAGAUUCUAAAAAAAUAAUAGUAGAGCGUGUAUCAGAUGUGCAACCAUAUCUCAAAAGUGAACAAAUACAACGUCUAUGUCUAGGCCCUCAGUUUCCCAGGACCAGCACGUGGCUAAUGGCAACAUGCAGAAAUCGACCCCCUGAUUUGCUCUGAUGCUAUUUGUCGGAUCGUUAGCACUAACUGUAAUUCAAAAAGCACAAACAAAUAAGAAAAGAAUAACCAAUUAAUUUAAAAGGUAUAGACAUCCUUUCCUAGUAUUUAGCAUUGAAACCUCAUAGAAAACGGUCUGAAAAUUAUCCAUGCUUAGAUGUUAAAAUCGUACGCAAAUUUCAAUAAUCCUCAUUUCAAUACCACAUAUUAGAGGAUCUAUAAUCAAAAUGGUAAAAUUAAGAUCUUAUUUUCUUUAAUUGUUGUUUUAAGCUCUUUAAAGAGAAUUAGAAAAUUAGAAUUUGACAAGAGGAAAGAUUCUUUAUCAUCUCUCUAACUUGAUUUAAUUUUUCUUCGUAGAAAUGAACUAAACUAAAAUGUGAUGGCCCACGAUAUAUAAAACCAACUCUAUCUACAUAUGAAUUAUUUUUGGUGGUACUUGAAUAAUUUGCAUGUAAUUGUGACCUUCUUUUUGGCUCGCAUGGCGUGUUUUACUUGAAGCACAAAUGGGGACAAGUGCAUCACUAUCUUGCAAUGUUCCCGCGUAGUCCGUAGACCAAACCAAACUUAAACUCUAACUUAGCCAUUAGAAUUAAUUAGCUACAUGCGUGUCUCAUUCGUUGUCCUAUGAAGAUAUUUUAUCGGUACAUGACAACGAGUUAGGCCCGAAUAUUCUAAGAAUGAAUGGAGAAGUUAAGGCGAUGGAAAAAACAAACGAAUCGACUUACGCCAGAGUAUUCUAAAAACCAACGGUAAAGUUAAGGCGCUGAAAAAUUCGAAUCGAUGAUCAGCAUCAGUAAACACGAUUUAAGUUAUUUCAAUUUUUUUAAAAUUAAAUUUAAGUGGUCUCAAAUGAAAAUUAUUACUUCGGAGACUAUUUGAAUAUUAAGUAUUGAUAUCGUAAAAUCAUGAAAUUUCAAAAGUGAGAUAUUCAAAUAACCUGAAUCAAAUUUAACGGUAUGAAUCUUAGAUUAGGAUAAUCUUUCAGUGGAAGCGACGCCUAAGUAAUUAAAUGCUUCCAUUUACUUCGAAAGUAUUCUAUAUUGAAAAUUAUUUUUCCUGCUUAAAACAAUCUAGGACCAUAAAUAUACUUCUAAGAAUGACAAUUUUGGACACAAGUCUCAUAAUUUGACACAAUCCGAUACGACACGUUUUCAUUUUAUUAAAUAGCUUAUGAAACUUACUUGGUUUGGCCCAAAGAAUAGCGAUUAUAUAUGCUUUGAAUUGUUGGAUGCAUUUAACAAGUAAGUUUGAUAAUAUUUAUGUACUUGAUAUGAAACCUAACAUCAAAGAUACGUAUGUUAGAUGAUCACCUGUUUAAUUAGUAGGGGCGUUACUAUAGUAUUGAUGAAGGUUAUUCAAUCGUUGAUUCGUGGAAUGUACGUAAUUGAGACUCAUUCAAAUUGAGAGAAAAUAGAUCCACUUCACACCGACAAUCAAAAAUGAAAAAAUUACUCGUAAUAGCGUCCCGGUUAUCAUUCGAUUGAAAAGACACGGCGAUCGAGUAAAAUAAAAAACCUUGUUUGUAAUUUUGUCGCAACCGACGAAAAGAAAGCUAUAAAUAUGUGUCGUUGUUCUAACAAAUUGUAAAAAAAUAGAUUCAAAAAAAAAUAUUAAUGCAAGAAAAGAAAAAAAAAAAAAAAAAAGAUAACAUCAACUUUUACGUGAUUUGACUAUGAAUUUAUUUUUACAGGCGAAAAUGGAAUAAAAUUUUUUAUUAAUAAUGUCAAAAAAUUAUGUCCAGAAAAAAAGCCAAAUCCUAAAAUGCACUAUUUAAUGUCUGAAGUACGGCCCAAAAUGGCCAAGUUAGUACCGACUGCAACCCGCUCGGCCUCUCCCUAAUACGCACGGUUGCGGCAGUCUGCCACAAUGCGUCCCAUUUUGCCAUAUCGUGUACGGACCGCCGACAGCUCUCGGCCACACUCCGAAUGACAUGCACUGGCUUUACAUUGGCUUAGAGAUAUGUUCGGUUGUAUGUAAAAGUGCAAACAAAAAAAAAAAAAAAAAUUUGCGAAAGAAAUUUAGGUAGAAAAAAAAGUAUAACAUUUUUGUAAUAUUUAGUAUGUAAAAAAUAAAAAUAAAAAUAAUUUUUGAUCAAUAUUUAUUUGACUGUGUUGGCGCUAUAAAAAUGACGCUAUAUAGAACACGUGGAUGAAAUAAAAGAACUAUAUAUAAAGAAAGCCACACGUGCGUGGCACACUUGAAGUUGAGAUAAGUACACCUGAAACGAGAAAAUAGUUUUAGAUGAAACCGAAGACGAGAAAAUAGUUUUUCACUUUUAUCUUUUUUUAAGAGUAGUCUAUUGUGAUAAAUUUUCUUAUUAGUCGCAGUAGAUUUUAUUGUGUUUCCUAUAGUCAAGGACUUAGUAAAUUAGCGGUAGGGCUUAUCUUCCUGUAUUUCAAAUUUUUUUUAAAGUAUACUGAAGUCACUCGGCUCAUUCAGCCGAGUCAGUAAUAUAUUUGAGUGUUCGGACUCGGCUGAGCAAAUCCCUACUCAGCUGAUUGCUUUAUUCUGUUUGGGGCGCGUUCGAGGGUCAUCAUCAGGAGCCGACCAAUCCCCCAACUCGCUUCCCGACUCGCAUAGGUAGAAAGUAAAAAAAAAUCCACAUUUGUUAAUUUUGGUAGAAAAAUAAGUAAAAAAAAAUUUACACAGUUUGAGUUUUUAUUUUUCGUUGAAAAUCGACUGAAAACGAAAAGACUUUAUUUUUCUCAAAUUUGUAAAAACAAAUUUUGCGAAAACUUUCUCUAUGGCUAAACAAAGCAUAUGAAAAAUAUUUUUCAAACCAAAAAAUAAUUUUCGGCAUAUUUUACCGCCAACCAAACACACCUUUUGUUAAUUAAUUGAAAACUUCCUCAAUCAAUGUGGCCAUAACAUGCUCUAUACAGGUAUAUGGCUCGAAACAUAUAUCUAAUUCUAACUCAAGUUAAAUUAGUCACAUAUUUAUACUCAGCAUAGCCCAAAUUAAAUCUCAUCUAAUCCUAAUUAAAUUAGAAUUUGACUUGAAUUUGGAUAACUAUAAAAUUAAACAAAAAUCUAACAAUCUCUAUUUUGAUUUGAUUUAUAGUCACAAAUUCCAUCUUGACUUAAAUUCUCUUCAAUAUUUCUUCACGCUUCUUAAUGCUCCGUCUUCUCAAAUGCUGCUAACGAUCACCAAGUUCAAAUAAUAUUUGAAGUUAGCAAUAGUAAAAGACUUAUAAGCAUGUCCGCCAGAUUGUCCUUAAUCUCAAUUUUCUUAAAAAUUAUCAUGCGUUUUCCAAUCACUCCUAGAACAAAGUAAAACUUUACAACAAUAUUCUUUGUGCUUUCAUUAAACAUUUGAUCUUUAAAUAAAUGAAUAGUACUUUGACUGUCCGAAUAAACAACCAUUGGGUCACAAUAAGAGGUAAGCUCUCUAAAUAAACCUCGUAGCUGUAUAGCUUCCUUCAUACCGUCUAUCAUAGGAAUGUACUCUAUCUCGAUCGUGGAUAAGGCGAUAAUUAGUUGUAAUAAAGCUUUCCAACUAAUUGCACAUCUACCGACGGAGAAUACAUAAUCCAAAAGUGAACUCCUCUUAUUCAAAUCAUCUACAAAUUCGAAUAUAUAUAUAUAUAUAUAUAUAUAUAUAUAUAUAUAUAUAUAAUAUAUUAUAUAUUAACUAGGCUGGAGUACUAUUAAUAGCACCAACGACUUGGUGCUAUUAAUUUUCUACCCUUAGAUUGGAAGAUGUGUGGUUAGGAUGAUGCGGGCCCCCUGGGCUUGAGUGGGUGGUUAGUUGAAUAGUAUAACCGAACGGUUAAAAAUAAUAAAAGAGGUAAAUCUAACGACAGAAAACUUGAUAGCACCAAAUACCUCAUGCUAUCGAUAGUAUCCCAGCCGGACUCUAUAUAUAUAUAUAUAUAUAUAUAUAUAUAUAUAGAGAGAGAGAGAGAGAGAGAGAGAGAGAGAGAGAGAGUUGAGCUAGAAUAUUAUCGAUAGCAAAUGGGCUCCGUUGCCACCCAUUUGUUUUUGUUGAUAGAGCCUCAAAAUCGACGAUCGACACCGUUGAACAUGAUCUAUACCACUUGAAGUGUUUACAAAUCAAAUUUCAAAUCUUUUCGACAUCAUUUGCCUAAUGAUCAAAGGGUUUCAAAUUUUGUAAUUUUAAUGGUCGAUAUGAGGCGUUUUCUCGUUUAACGGCGUAAAGAUAUCCAAAUCAAUUGAAAUUUUGUUAAAAAUUUUUUUAAACUAUUUGGAACAAGAUCUAUACUCUCGAUCUUGAUUACAAGACUCCUAUCAUCAUUUUUUAAAGAAUAUUUAUUUUCAGCCGUUCAUUUUUGUGUCCACUCGAUGGAUAAGAGAACAAUAUCGAAAAUGUAUGAAAUUUGAUUUCUAAACACUUCAAAUGGUAUAGAUCAUGUUAAACGGUGCCGAUCAUCAAUUCAGAGGCUCCAUCAUCGAAAACAAAUGGGUGGCAACGGAGCCCGUUUGCUAUCGAUAGCAUUCUAGCUCAACUCCUAUAUAUAUAUAUAUAUAUAUAUAUAUAUAUAUAUAUAGUUGGCCGGUAAACUUGUAAACUUGUAUACUAAGUAAAGGCUGUUUUAGUUAACGACGUGUUAAAUAAUCAAAGUUUCAAAAAUGAGUCAGCGACCGCUUCUCUACAUUGGGCCUACAUGCUCGACUGUAUUCUCAGUCUCAUCGCCCGAGAACUUGUCGAACUUCGGCAUUUUCCAGUUCGCCGGAUACGGAUGCUCCGCGUCGAUGUUCGCGGGAUAUGAGGAUCUAAAUACAGGCCGCACUGCCGACCUCGCCCCGACACCAAAUGUGUUCUGAAUCGCCUCUUCUAUUUGAACAUAUAACUCAUUAUUUCUUGCCGCCGAAGUAGAAACCGGGGUCGGAACCACAUUUGGCCCUGAAGGCGGUCCGUAAUUUUGCAUUACAGAAUUGAGUUCCUACAACCUGUUGGGCCCUUACCCCCCAGCCCUUACGCCCACGUUUUGGGGCUAGUAAGCUGGUAAAGGAGGUAAACCCGAUGCAAUCUCCGAUUGCAGGCCGGCGUUUAUAUUUGCCGGCCUAUAAGCAGGCUGGAAAGGUGCCAUUUGCGGUUGUGCCUGUGAGACCGCCGGCGUAACGGAAUUUUGUUGCACCGGCACAUUUAGGGCCCCCUGUUGGCCCCCGUAAGGUUGCUCGUUUCGGGUAAAUAACCGUCUGAUUCGAACAAUAUUUUCAUUGGAGGUCGUGAUAGCGGCCAGCACCGUGUCUAGUUGAGCGUUAUUUUGAUGGAUAUUUUGAUCUACAGUUUGCAGGACUCAGGUCAUCUGGCCGAGUGCCUGAGUUAGACUCGGCUCUUGAUGAACCGACUGUUUACUAGUCUCUCCUCCAACAAGUAGUACGGCCUGAUUCUCAUUCGCAUUUUCGGCGCUACUAGCUUGGUCAUUACCUGAAGGUCUGGAAAUGGCUCUAUUUCGGAGGUUCAUAGCAUUAUCGUCAGCCAUAGGACAAAGUCGAGAUUGGGAAAACCUGAAUGUGUCCCACCGGGGGUGCUAAAAAUUGCUAGGAGCCGAAUUCCCUGAUCCUUGACCUGGUCAAAGAUUUUCCUCGAUAAGCGUGUAGGGAUAUGGAACGACUAUGAAUAGUGACCCUCGAAGUUUGCGCCCUUCGACUGGAUCUAGCGAUUUGGCUGAUGAGGGAUCGGAUCAGCCGAGUUCGAAUACCUUUAUUGUAGACUCGGUUCAGUUGAAUGAGCCGAAGAGGAUGGAAUGCACAGUGAUUGGUCGGCUGAAAGAGCCGAAUUUCUUUAUAUAUUAGAUUGGAAUCAGAAGCUCACAUAAACAAGAGUGUGCCCGUAAGGCAUACAGACUCUGAAAAUCUAAAUUAAAGACUACUCCUAAGAAAAAUAGUAAAUGCGGAAAAAGAAAAGAUUACAAGUAAAACUACUUCUAGAAAAAAGAUAAAUGCAGAAAGUAAAAGUAUUGAAGGCUUCGAAAAUACUAUUUAUAGUAAUAUCAGCCUACAUUAUUGGUCGAUUUUUUUUAGUAGUGAGGGAAGUGGUGUAACCAUGAUCGUGGAAGUUACGCCCACUUCUCAACCGUUCCCACCUAAAGGCUCUCGACCUUGAGGCGCCUUAUUACCGACUCCUGAUUACCACGUGCUCUUAUUUCUUUGGCUCAUACGUGUAAGUUACGAGAAGCCCUAGGAUCUUUUAUCUAGAUACUAUCAAACACCUAGAGGGGGGGUGAAUAAGUGUAUAACCCAAAAACCACAAAUCUCAUUGCGAUAAAAAAUUAAAUGCGAAAAAUAAAAAACACACUGAGAUUUACGUAGGAAACUCCACUUUGGAGAAAAACCCACGGGACCAACACACGAAAAAAAUAAUUCAUUAAGAGAAAAGAUUAUAAGGUGAUUACCGACUCCACGGACUCGACCUCUCUUAAUCUCCUAUGAAUCUCGCGCAAUCCUCCGGGUUGUCCACGCCCUCACGUCCGAAUCCACGAACGCCUCGUACAUGUCCGAAUCCAGGAACGCCACUCGAAUCCACGAGCUCACGAUCCGAAUCCUCGAACCGCCUUCGAUCACGCCGAAUCCACGUUCAUGAAGAAUAUCAUAAUUAUGGUGAUCCUUCGCUUAGAGUAUUGAUGAAGAACCAGAGAAGAAUCUCUAAGCGAAGCAUAAAUCAAUUCGACAUAUAGAUAUCAAAUUUCAAUACCUCGAAUUGACCUAAAAGAGGCUAAUUUGUGGAAAAUAGGUUUAGAACGAAACCCUAGCCUCUAGGAUUUCUCAAUCAUAUAUUCUCGUGAUAUUCUAUUAAUUAAAGAACCCCAAUAACUUAUUUAUAGACUUUAGAAUCAAUUAAAGUCGGAUUAGAAUCAAUAUAAGAAAUUUUACACUGCGUACCGGUAGUGAGUAAGUUGGUACCGGUACCUUAUGACGGAACAGAAAAUUCCUCAGGCUGAGUACCGGUACCAGGCCGAUGCAGUACCAGUACCCGGCCAAUGCAGUACCAGUACUCAAUGCAAUUUCCAGAAUUGCAUCACUCGAACCACUUCUAAUCCUUUAAUCUUUGAUUUAUAUGAUUCUAAUGUCUAUAACUAAGUGUGAAUCACCAUAACAUGAAUUAAAACCUUACGUAAGCAUCAUGAUUCAUGCCAUGAGAUGUUUCUGAGUUCUCGGAAUCUUGGAUUCUUCGAUCUUCGACAAUUUCGCACCGAACCCUUCAAGACUCCGACUCAAAUCACGAAACUUGCCAACACAAAAUACUUAACAAUAUACAUGGGUUAGGUCAGUGCGUUAAUUUUUUGGCAUCAACAGAUCCAAAUUAAAUUCAAAGGGAUCUCGAACUAAAUUAUAAGGGUUCGAUAUAAACCAAGUCUCAACGAGUCCUGAAUCAAGGCAUAAUGGUCAACCCAAACCAGACUCGAAAUGGAUGAACCAAGUGAGAACCUAAAGCGGCUCAACCCAAAUCAAAUAUAAAAGGUUCAAGCCAACCCAAAACCAAAGUCCAUAAAUAAAACCCAAAGAUCCAAAGUCCACAAAUUAAACCCAAAACCCAAAGUCUACAAAUAAAAUCCAAAACCCAAAGUCCACAAAUAAAUCCAAACGACCGUAAAGUCGUUAAACUACACCCAAAUUCAAACGACCGUAAAGUCAUUAAACUAAAUCCAAAAUCAAACGACUGCAAAGUCGCUAAACUAAACAACCAAAUCCAAACGACCGUAAAGUCGUUAAACUAAACCCAAAUUCAAACGACCGCGAAGUCGUUAAACUAAACAAUCAAAUUCAAAUGACCAUCAAGUCGUUAAACUGAAUUCAAAUUCAAAUUACCAUCAAGUCGUUAAACUGAACAUUUGACCGUCAAGUCGUUAAACUGAAUUCAAAUUCAAAUUGACCCUCAAGCAGUUAAACUGAACAAAUGACCAUCAAGUCGUUAAACUGAAUAUUUGACCAUCAAGUCAUUAAACUGAAUAUUUGACUGUCAAGUCGUUAAACUGAAUACUUAACCAUCAAGUCGUUAAACUGAACAUCUGACCGUCAAGUCAUUAAAUUGAGUUCAAAUUCAAAUUGAUUUGUCCCCAAGUCACUAAACUGAGCAAUCAAAUUAAACUCAAAUUGACCGCCAAGUCGUUAAACUGAGCGAACUGAAUUCAAAUUCAAAUGACCAUCAAGUCUUUAAACUGAAUUCAAAUUCAAACCGACCGCCAUGUCGUUAAACUAAGUAACUUAACUUCAAGUUGACCGCCAAGUCGUUAAACUAAGCGAACUGAAUUCAAAUGACUAUCAAGUCGUUAAACUGAAUUCAAAUUCAAGCCGACCACCAUGUCGUUAAACUGAGCAACUUAACUCAAAUCAACCGCCAUGUCCUUAAACUGAAUACCUCAAUUCCAAGCCGACCGCCAUGUCGUUAAACUGAGCGACUCAAUUCAAGCUGACCGCCACGUUGUUAAACUAAGCGACUCAACUCAAGCCGACCGCCACGUCGUUAAACUGAGCGACUCAACUCAAGCCGACCGCCAUGUCGUUAAACUGAGCGACUCAAACCAAGCCGACCGCCACGUCAUUAAACUGAGUAACUCAACUUCAGACCGACCGCUAUGUCGCUAAACUGAGCACCUCAACUUCACGCCGACCGCCAUGUCGCUAAACUGAGCACCUCAACUUCACGCCGACCGCCAUGUCGCUACAUUGAGCAUCUCAACUUCACGCCAACCGCCAUGUCAUUAAACUGAGCGAACCAAUUGCAAACUCCUCUCGACCGCCAAGCCAUUAAACUGAGCAAAUCAUUUCAAAUUCAAUAUGAUCAUCAAGUCGUUAAACUGAGUAUUUCAUCAAUGUACAGUGGGGGUAUGAUCCUGCUUAAGCUAUGUACUUGAACAUUAUAUCAAUUCAAGUUCAUCUUUAUACUACAGUCUCUUUCUAUCAUCAGCAUUAUAUUUGGUCUCUUAAUCGAGAGUUCCUUAACACUGAAAGUAUGGGUUAAUUAACAGCAGAUUCUUGAGUCUGUUGGAAGCCAUGAACCUAUAAUCCUGAUUCCAAAAAAAAAAAACUUAAACAAAUCUAAUCUCUACCAUGAAUGACUACUCGCCUUAAAAAUACCUACGGCGAAACCGGUUCGUUCGCGGUAGACAAGGACAUAGGAAAGCGCCUUCUGCAGUCCCUGAAAGGGUUAGUGCUUUCUGCGGUCGGUGCUCCGCAGCAAAGCAAGGAAUUGGGCUUUCCAUAACAAGUAGUUGUCCCGAUGAGUUUAAGAGGAAGAAAGUGCAUUGUAUUGGAUACGGAAGGAAUACGGAGGGAGCAGUGAAGCAGGACAAGGAAGUCGGGACAACAACUAUAGGGAUUGAGUGUUGUAGAGCUUAGACUCCGAUACCAUGUAAGGUAAUAAUAACAAAGAUAAAUAAUAAAAUUAUUGUAGCUUAUGUGCUAUAUCUUUCUCUAUUGUAUAAUAUGUUAAUACAUUCAAAUAUGUGUAAGUUACAAUGAUAAAGAUAAGUUCUUAAUUAUAAGUUACAAUAGAAAAACAAUAAAGAUAAGUCAUUGUGCUAUCUUAUUGGAGAGAUUUGUGCCAAGCAAAUUCAUGAAGUUGUGAUUGUUAUCCACUGUUGAUCCGGUCAGCACACUCCAUUAACAACUAGAGAUAAAUAAAAUAUUUUUAAAAUUUUAAAGUAUAUAUUAGGUAUUAUACCAAAAUAAAAAUAAGCAAUAAGAAAAACUCUACAAUAGACAACUUGCUGCUUUAGCUUUAGUUCUCAUAGUGAUAUUAUACCAUGAUAGGCCUUUGGCUCAGGCGAUAAUCAUCGUCCUCGUCCUUGUUUGAGUGUGUGAUGCUCUGCUCGGAUCAUUUCUAUCGUUGAUGAAAACAACAAAAAGACAUCUAGUUGAGUAUCUUCAUCGAGUCUUUUCUCAGCAUAGUUUCAGGCUCGAAAAGUUCAGCCCAGCACUACUAGCCGCUCAGCGUCUAGCGAUUUAUUAAAGCUGAAAAUUGAAAGUCUCGAGAUUAAGAAUCCAAAUCACAUUUUGCCUUCUCUAACUCACUUGAUUCUAGGGAUUUAGUCUUGUAUCCGCACUUUUUUAAAAAAUCUAUUGGGCUUUUUUUAAAAGAGAAAGUUGGUGAGGUACUUGUUUUAUUCAUUAAGAAAAAUGAACUAAGCUAUAUGGGGGAGACAGCUAGUGCCUCCAGUGGAGACACAAGGUAAAAAUUGUUGGAGGUUAUGGAUUUUUGGGUGCUUAAAGUAUUACACCAAGAGACAUCAAAAUUUUGGAAUGCUCAACAGUGUUACUUCCAGCUUAGGGAAACCCUAGGAUUAAUAAGCUAUUGGGCUCCAGUUAAUAUGUGCCUUAAUACGCUUUUACCUAUUGGGCUUGUAUGUGAACAUAUUAUUUGAAUUAUAUAUAACAAUAUAUCCAACAAUCACCUCCUAUGUUCACCAUACAGCACAAUCCAUUACGGUGGUCAGUGUAAUGUGCAAACAAAUAUGAAUCAUCCACAUUCAGUACAAGACAAUCAACUCAGAUUAAAAUUUAAUCAUCAAUUGCAAUCCAAAUGAGUAAAUCAUCCUUACCAUGAAUCUGUUCUGAGAUCGGCAUAUCCAAAAUAAUUCUCAAAAUCAGUUCACAACCAACAUAUGCAUAACAGUCAGAUAUAAGUAGGCAAGUCAAAAUAAUCCAAGGCCGGACAAAUGCAAGAAAAAGGCAUAAUAAAAUUCACAAAAUAGAGAUAGCAAAAAGCAAGUCUUAAGUAAAUAGAUUCCAUCAAAAUAGGUAAUAGUAGGUGAACUGUCAAGUCCUCGUACACUCUAAAUGAUAUAUAUAUUCAUUCAUCAAAUAGAUCAUCCUGAUCAGAAUCCCACUUAUUAAGCUCUCCUCCAUCCCUGCCAUCCUCUGUAGAAUAUCAAAUAUAAAUUUCAUAUUAUCAUGAAUUUAAUUAUUUGAAUAAUCCACUAAAAAUAUCUAGUUCUACUAAAAGAACUUAGCAUCAUAACAUCAGGCAUAGAAGAACAUAUAUUAAUGUCAUAAAGCAUCAUAAUAUCAUGUUCAUAAGCAUCAAGCCAGUUUCAUAAAUUAUGAACAAAGCCUAAAUAGUUUGAUUUACAAAGAGCCAUCAACUUAAGUUUAUUUGUAAGAGAAUAAUCAUUGUCUAGUUUCGAACAACACGACCAAUAGUCAAGUCACUUACAAUAAACUAGUCAUAUAAUAUCAAGUUUUAAUAUGGGCCUUAAUACGCUUUCACCUAUUGUGCUGUAUGGUGAACAUAGGAGGAGAUUGUUGGAUAUAUUGUUAUAUAUAAUUCAAAUAAUAUAUUCACAUACAAGCCCAAUAGGUGAAAGCGUGUUAAGGUCCAUAUUAACUAGAGCCCAAUAGCUUAUUAAUCCUAGGGUUUCCCUAAGCUGGAGGUAACAAUAUUGAGCAUUCCAAAAUUUUGAUGUCUCUUGGUGUAAUACUUUAAGCACCCAAAAACCCAUAACCUUCAACAAAAAUUACAUGCAGAAAAGAAAAGAAAGCUUUGUAUACCAAUAAGACUUCAGAUAGAUUCGUAUACUAAGUCUAAAAAUGAAUAUAAAUCAAAUAGCCAAUGUUGUAGUGAGAUCCCUUUCUUUUCUUGCGGUUGUCGCUUUGUCCGACUGGCCUCCCCCAGUACUCUCGCACUUUAUUUGUCCAUCGAGCUGUGGGUAGGCCGUCGUCCGAACAUGUGAGCAAAUAUUGGAGAAAGAUAAUCUAACGAUUAGAUGGUCGCAUGUCUCAAGUUUGCUAGCAUAGAGGAUGAUGAGUUGCUCGUCCGUACGACCUCGUUCAAGGAGGUUGUCAGCAAUAAGUUUGUUCCGAGAAUAGCUAAAUGCUGGGCGGAGAUCUGGGAGGAGCUUCGGACGAGCGGGGGAAUGUUGGGCAGAGAUCUCGAUCGCAACACUCGCUGCAUCAACCUCAGCGACCUCCACCAGGGAAGAAGAAGGCGUUCGCUCUGUCUCCGAAGGGCAGGGAGAAGCUGUCUUCGAAGGGCAAGGAGAAGGAAUUCGCUCUGGAGUACACUUUGCCUUCGAAAGGCAAGGAGAAGCUGAGCAUCGGACAAACAAAGGGCAAGGAGAAAGUUAGCAUCGAACAAAAGCCGGCAGGGACAGCGUAUUCCCUCCGACCAGGCGCUCCUUCAAGCUUUCUAAUAAGCAGAUCUCGUUCAGCCCCGCGGUCACCGACUCUUCAGCCCAUAUGCUUCUCCAGCAAAGACAAAGAUGACUGCACCAGCAAAGACAAAGAUGGCUGCACUUCGACGAACCGCCCUCUUUCCAAAAAAAUCAGUUGGGCGGAUGAAGUAGGAGCUGCAUUAACUCACACCACCUACCUCAUACAUGCGGCUGCUAAUCAUACCUCAGGAUCUUUAACUCCCUCCAGAUCUUUAUCUCCCUCCAAAUCCUGCUCUGCUAACUCGCCGCGAUCUUCUGACAAGCCUCCGCCUGAAGCCUUUAAGAAGACCUUCAAAGAGUCCCUCCUUACCCCUUCUGCCACCUCCUCUACCCGACCUUAUUCUCACUCCUCUGCUCCGAGAUCUUGCACUCGUUCUCGCUCCCCUACGCCGAGAUUUAGCACCUUCUCCUUCAAGGGGAAGUGCUUCAGGUGUCUGGGCAGGGAUUACCGGGCAUCCCACUGUCGUGAACCCCUCCGUUGCGCCAGGUGCUUUAAGUUUGGUCAUUUUUCGAGAGCCUGCAUGAAUCGCCUCCCUAUGGCCGUCUACCGGGCCAUGCGUGCGCGCCCCACCUACCUAAGUGCCUUCGUUCCACUUUCCGACGACUUCUCUGCCCGUCAAAAUAGCCGCCGCAACACCAUCCUUGUAGACGUCAUCCCGCCUUCGAACCUGGGCCAUUUUCCAUAGGAGACUUUAGCCAACGGUCUUGCAAGUCGCUUUGGCGGAUACCCCUCUGACUUCCACGUCGCAAAGUACAGGGAACGAGACUAUGCCGUCUUCCUCCCGGAAUGGGUGCCGGGUGACCAACUCAUUCGCAGGGAGAUCCUCUCCAUCGGGGACAUCCGGCUGCGUUGCUUCCCCUGGGACCCAUACCGCAACGCUCCCCGCCCCCCCUGACCUACAGAGCUUGGAUACGGCUUGUAAGUCUCCCAUAUAAGUGCUGGUCAUCUCGUACUGUGCCGGCGCUUUUCAUUCGAGCUGACGAAUUUACCUCCUGCAUGGUUGACUUGUCCGGCUACCGGUGCCUUGUAGCCGUCAACCACCUCCAUGACAUCCCAGAAAAUCUCGAAAUUAGCUUCGGAGACGUGUCACUCUCCGUCCUCAUCCAGUUGGAAAGAUGGGGUCGUGCCGACGAUAUCGGACGUAACGCCCCACGCAAUGAGCGUACUGAUCAACAUGAUCCCAUCAACCGGAGCCGCUUGGGAGGCCACCUAAUGUCAACCUUCGCAAUUCAGGGAGCAACAGAGGGAGAAACUCAUCCACUGGUGGAUCCUCCAACUCCAACACUUCCUGGAACUCGUCGGAGAUCCGAGAUAGACGGCGCCCGCCGUGCUUCGACAUCCCUGCCACACCAGCCCUUCCCGUAGCUGCCCCCCCUCCGGCUGGAGCCACCCCUCCGGCUGGAGCCACCUCUUCGGCCGGGGCCGCCCUCGAGGCUUCGCCUUCCUCGCCUCGUCGGGCGCCGCUUGUAGCCUCAGCUCCGGCAGCCUUGAUCCCCGAGCCUUCCUCUUUUUCAAAUUCAAAGCAGCUUCCGGGGGCUCCUUCCUCUUUCGUGCUACCUGUCAUUCCCCUCAGUGGCUGUGCCAGACCGUCAAUUCUCCCACCCAUUCUGUCGUCUCCCUCUGUACCCCCACCCCUCCCACCCCCCCCCCCCCCCCGCCGCGCCAUCAUUGCACCCCACCGCGCCGCCAUCAAUGCACCCUGUCGCGCCUUCAUUGCUCCUCUUUCCGUUCUUGGAAACCACCCGACCAUGAGGCAGGUAGUUUUCUCUUUCGGCUGACUUGGGCAAAUCCUGUACGAUCUUCUAUUCUUUGGGGGAACGAGGGAGUCCUCUCUUCGGAUUCUAUCAAGCUUCCUCGAUGCUCGCACCGAAGGCCCUCCUCCUAUCCUUCUCGGUCCCCUUUAGUCUCGGUCUCAGGCCCAUAACCACCCCACCCUUCCUGGUUAACCCCCUCCUCGCCAGGAUUGGAGUGCAGCCCAACUCUUGCCCGAACCAAGUCCCCCUUUGGUCCAACUCAGCCACUUUCGGACUGUCGCCCUCUCUCGGGCCAGUCCAAGAUGGCCUGGGCCCGGACUUCCUUGGGCUUCACUCGACUCGUCUACCUGGACACUACUCUUUUGGGCAGCUUGAGCUAGGGCUCGGCCUUUCAGCUCCUGUCGGACUCGCUAGAGGAGGCCCGUGCUCCGACUCCCUAGGCCUCCAUCCGGUUGGGCUCAGCCCGAGUUUGGUCCCCCUUGGGCUUGGCUCGGACACAGUGCCCCUUGGGCUUGGCUCGAGCGCGGUUCUUGGCUCUGGCGCGGUUCAAACGGGUUCUCUCUGCUAGGCGCCUGGCCCUCUGAGGAUCUAGGCCUCGCCACCGGGCUAGGCUUGGCUGCGGUCCCACCUGGCGGUGGCGCACAGCCGAGCCCCUCCCAUCCUGGAAGCCCGAUUUUCUCUCUGCUAGGCGGUAGGCCCCCUGUGGAUCUGGGCCUCGCCACCGGGCCUGACUUGUCUGCGGUUCGACCCGACGGUGGCGCCCAGUCGUGCCCCCCGCUCCCUGGAAGCACGACUGCACUCGGCCUCGGCUCUCCACUGCUGGACGAUGGGUUCUCUCUGCUAGGCGGUAAGUCCUCUCAAGAUCUGGCCCCCGCCACCGGCUUCGCCACCUAUCCGGAAGUGCCGGAUUUGCCCGACGCCGCUCCUGCCACCCAUCUGGAUGCUUUUGGACUCGACGCCGCUCAUGACACUCCUCCUUAUGAUUUCGGAUGCACGGACGGAAAUCAGGGGCCUAUUGCUGAAGGCACGAGAUCAAGUGCUCGACUACUUAACCGGACAUCGGAUUCUGUUUUAGGCAGAGCAAUUCGCAGGAAAGCUCACCUACUUGAGGGUGAGACUGAAACACUUGAAUCCGCGCUGCGCAACUGGAACAACAGGAAAAUCAAGAUGAAGACCGCUCUCUGUGGGGUCAUCCUCUCUGAUGCUGAAGCUGCGGGCCUCCGCAACUUCAUCCGAGCAGACGUCUAGGUUGCGUCUGUCUCAGCGCCUUCGUGUUUUGGGGUCUAGUCUGUCCUUAUGUUCAAUAUUUUGUCUUGGAAUGUUCGAGGUCUGAACGACCUCGUGAAGCGUCGAUGUAUUAGGUCGGUUGUUUCUGCUUAUUCCCGCUCGGUUGUCUGUUUCCAAGAGUCCAAAAUCGAUACCGUGUCACGGUCCUUUCUUCGCUCAUGUUGUGGCUCUUCUAUCGACAGAUGUCAUUUUGUUCCAGCUAUCGGUGCGUCUGGUGGCAUUAUCACGUGCUGGAAUUCUAAAGUCCUCUCAUGCUCCGAAGCUCUAAUCAGACAACACUCACUUACUCUCCUCCUUACUCACCUAGGAAGUGGGAAAAGCUUCUACCUAACCAAUGUUUACGGACCACCUUCCUGGACUGGGAAGGAUGCAUUUUGCUCUGAGCUCACCGACCUGAAUCACAUUUGUUCCUCCAAUUGGAUUAUCUGUGGCAACUUCAACUUCACCAAAAACCAAUCAGAGAGAAAAGGCAAUCGUUGGAGCUAUAAGGCCAUGACCAUGUUCGCUGAUCUCAUCAACCAUCUUGUGAUGAUUGAUUUACCGCUUUCCAACCAAAGCUUCACCUGGUCGAACAUGCAACAUCAGCCCUCCAUGGCUAAGCUUGACAGAUUUCUCGUCUCUAUUCAAUGGGAUAGAUCCUAUCCCCACUGCAAGGUCAAGGCCCUCCCCAAGAUAACCUCUGACCACUGCCCAAUCCUUCUAUCUACCGCCAUCCUUAGCGCACCGCGAAGGUUCCGGUUCGAGAAAGUCUGGCUCACUAGAGACGAUUUUCACUCCAACAUGACCCUCUGGUGGAAUAAAGUCCCGCCUAAGAACUCGGCCAUCCUCACUUUCACCGCAAAGCUCAGACACUGCAGAACCAGGAUCAAAGAAUGGUGCAAGACAAACUUUCACAACAUCUCAAACACUAAGAGAGCAAUUCAGGACGAACUUCAGCAGAUCGACCUGCUCGAGGAGCAACUCAACUUGCCACAGUCCAAAUUAGACCUACGAGCACACCUUAAGUCCAAACUCCUCUCAAUCCUUUAGGAGGAGGAAAUCCUCUGGAAGACUAGAGCGAAACAAACCUGGCUUAAGGAGGGCGAUGGAAACACCAAAUUUUUUCAUGCAGUGGCUAACUGCCGGAAAAGAAAUAACACCAUUCUAGAGGUCGAAGACGACGACGGCCGGUUACUCGCGAACGAGACGUAGAAGAGAGCAUACUUCUUCCACACCUUUAAACGCCAGUUCGGACAGUUAGAUGAUAAUCUUCCGCUCCUGGGAGACUAGAGCGGCCUCUAUCGUUUUAACAGGCUACUUAACCCUGACUCCCUGACGACGAACUUCACGAUCGACGAAAUCAAGACCGCCACCUUUCAACUAGCCGCUGACAAGGCCCCAGGUCCAGAUGGGUUUUCCCUAACCUUCUUCCAAACUUUCUGGGAAACAAUCAAAGAGGAUAUCUACAAUGUUUUCAUCGACCUACAAAAUGAUAGACUUUUCUCUAGCCCUAUUGAUUUCUCCUUCGUGUGUCUCUUCCCCAAAAAAAAAGGAACGCGCAGAGCAACCGACUUCCAACCGAUUAGCCUCAUCAAUGGACUGCAGAAAAUUAUCUCCAAAAUUCUAGCCAAUAGACUAGCACUUACCCUGCCGUUCAUUAUAACCUCUACGCAAUCAGCCUUCCUAAAGGAUCGGUUGCUCACCGACUCUUUCACCAUUGCCAGCGAACUAGUCAACUGGUGCUCGACCUCGAGUAACGAUUGCGCACGUCUCAAAGCAGACUUCCAAAAGGCCUUUGACAAUGUCAGUUGGUCUUUCCUCGAACGUGUCUUGCGAUGGCUAGGAUUCAACGAAAAGUGGUGGACCUGGAUUAAACAAUGUGUCUGUAACGCCAAAAUUGCCAUUCUGGUAAACGAUACCCCUACCCCUUGGUUCAAAGCACAGAAAGGGCUCAGACAGGGCGAACCUCUCCCCGCGUACCUAUUUCUGUUGGUCGUUGACUGCCUGGCCAGGCUCACCGAAGCUGCUAGGGACAACAACCUGCUCCAAGGCAUAGGCCCGUCGGCCGACACUAAGACGGUGCUAAUUCAAUAUGCAGAUGACACUCUCUUCUUAUGCGAGCCAAGCAAAAAAAUACUUGAAAAACCUACUGUUUAUCCUGAAAAUCUUCGAAUGGGCAUCUGGCCUCAAAAUCAACAACUCCAAAUCGGAGUUGUACUACUUGGGUCAGCAUCCUCUAAAAGCAAACAGACUCGCCAACAUCAUUGGAUGCAAAGUAGGCUUCUUCCGUUCUGCUAUCUAAGCUUACCUCUCCAUACCAAACGACUUCGCAAAAAUGACCGGGACCUGAUUAUCAACCGCGUAUACACCAGAAUCGAUGGAUGGAAAGCUAAAUUGCUGUCCUAUGGCGGAAGACUAACCAUUGUCAACUCGGUCCUUACCAACCUAACUUUAUUCUACCUAUCCGUCUUUAAAGCUCCCAAAUGGGUUCUACUAAGGAUUGAAGCCCUACAUAGAGCAUUCUUCUGGAAAGGGUGUUCUAAAAUAUCUAGAGGAGCAUGUCUCGUCAACUGGAAAUCCAUCUGCAAAAGCAAAAGGGACGGGGGACUUGGAAUUUUAGAUCUGGAAUCCAUGAAUGCAGCACUGCUCAGCAAAUGGUGGUGGCGUUUCUUCACUGAACCACAACUGUCGUGGUGCAAUCUAGUUAAAACCCUCUACUACACGAGACGUAGCCCGUUACAUGAAGGUACAGGUUUUGUACCGCACUCACAGUGGUGGAAAGGAGUACUACGAUAUCGGGAUGUCUUCAGAUGCAGUAUAACUCACGACCUGGGUGACGGGAGGAACAUCAGACUCUGGACUGAUAUUUGGAUUGGAGAAGCGCCCCUUAGCACCGUGUUCCCAAACCUGUUCGCCCAGACCAGGAACAAGAAUGUCAAAGUCUCACAAUCCUGGAGCGCUCGUGGAUGGAGAUGGCGCUUCCUUUGUAGGGGCUUCUCGGACUCAACCUCCAGUGUUAGUGGCAGACAAUUAGCCCAAUUCAAAGACCACCUCAUACACAACAGCCCACAAAACUCACCUGACAAACUAAAAUGGAGGUGGACCGCGAAUCAACAAUUUACCGUAAAAUCGGUCUACAACUUCAUCACAGACUUAGGCCACAGAGACCCCGCUAAUAUCUAUAUCUGGCGGCUGAAAAUCCCACCCAAAAUCAAAAUCUUCACCUGGCUGUUGCUACGCAAAAGAUUACCCACUGCUGACAGGCUGCUGAUUUGCGGAUUGAUAGUGGACGAACAUUGUGUAUUCUGCGCCUCUUCCACGGAAAACUGCGACCACCUUUUCUCCAAUUGUGUCUUCAUCCGUUUCCUUUUACUUUCCUCAGCUGCCGGGGUCAUCCAGUCUUACACCAGCGGGGACGUCCGUGAUCUCUGAACCGAAACCGCCAAAAUCACCGACGCAGCGUCGCGAACUAAAGGACUAACCUGCCUAGCAGGAACCUGGUGGGUCGUUUGGACGAAAAGGAACCACAUCAUUUUUCGGGAAAAGUUACACAAUGCUAUACAGUCUUCAGUAAGGCUAUAGCUCUUGUUACGUGACUGGUGCAAGCACCUCUGAUUCGCCUGGGUUCUAUGUCUCCACGCCUGUCUCUCACGUCUUCUCUUCUAAUGUUCUAGUUUUCUUUCUCUUUCUCGUUCCCCUUGUUGUCAUUCUUUUUUCCUUCUUUCUUCGGAAGCCCCAGCUGCUUCCAUCUUGUACCGUUUAGUUCAUAUCUUUAAUGAAUAAAGCAGAUAGCUUGCUACCUAAUUCUCAAAAAAAAAAAAAAAAAAAAAAAAUCUUUUUUUCUAAGCAUCAACAAAACGAAGAACUUUACUUUCUUGGAAAAUUUCAGCCUUGAAAUUUAUGGGCUCAAAUAGUCCUUGAUCCCUGCAGUCGAGAUGAAAGGUGGAAAGUGAUUUGACGGUGAAAUAUUUAUUAGUCGUUCAUCUCUGACGUAUUGAAACAGGAUUAUUGGUCACUCUUACGACUUGACUAGAGGAAAAUUGAACUUUUCGCUUUCUGUUUUUCGACGAAAAAAUGAAAACUAAAGAUGUGUAAAAAAAAUUUCAGUCAUUUAUUUUCACCGAACUAAACAAAUGUAUUUUUUUUUUUUCUUUUCAACCAAACAAAUAUUGAUAAAAAAUAACUUUUUUUUUUCUUACACACCAAACACUACAAAACAUAAAAAGAAAAAUUCUACCAAAAAUUUUUUUUCAUGAAAAAUUUUUUUUCACGAUAACCAAACGGACUUAAGCUUAUUGUUUCCGUUUCCUUGAUUCAUUCCUAACCCCCUUCAUUUUGCUCUUACAAAUAUUUUUCCAGUUCACAUGGCAGGCCUCCAAGUGUCGUGAACAAGUAGUAUUUGAACAUGGUAAAUCACAGCUUGUCAUUACAACAAAAACGGGAUAUAGCGACACUUUUAAAUGUCGAUAUAGGUCAAAAAAAGUGCUGCUCACUAAAUUACCGACACUUUUUAAAAGUAUUGCUAUAUGUAGGGUCGCUAUGUAUAUAGUGACAAUUAAAGAGUGUCGGUAUAACAUAAAAAGAAUGCUGCUAAUUUAUCAACACUUAUUUAAGUAUUUAGCAAUCGCCGAAACUCUACCUCGUUGGUUGAGGUGGCGGAGGAGGAGGAGAGGGAAGGCCUCUUCGUUUAGGAUUUCAGUAGAUUGAGUAAGGGGAGAAGGGGAGAUGGUAAUCGAUUUUUCUUUUUUUUUUUCUUUUCUGUUUGUAAUCGAGCCGAAUGGGCUAGGUGGGAAAGGUUGAGUAGAAUAAACUUUUAUUUUUAGUUGGAUUCGGCUUUAUAUUUAUACAUUAGUAGAUUUUUUUUUAAUUUUUGGCAUAAAUAAAAUAUUUACAAAAAGGGUCCCAAACAUGUGUUCCUAUAAUCUAAUCUGUUGUAGUGUAUUGUGUUCACCUAAUAGUAUUUGAGCUCAGUAAAUCAACUGUCAUGUUCAAGUAAGAUAUUAUGCUGCAUAUGAUAAAGUUCUGAAGAGCACGGUAAAUUAUUUAUCGUAUUUAUGUAAAAGAUUCUCUUGGCCUUUUGAUUGUCAAGCGCCGUUUCCAUGUGAAAAGCAUAGGAUUAUUUCUGCAAUUUAACUUUAUUUAAGAUCAAUUAUGAAAUAAAAAAUUUAAGUAUAUAGGUUGAAUGCAAGAAAAAAUAAAAAAACAAAAUAGUAAAAGUUAAAAAGAUAUAAUAAAUAAUUGGAUGAUAUUCACCAAAUUUUCGAAAAAGUCGAAAAGUUUUGUUACUAUCUUGCCAAGAAAAAGUGUUGUGGAAAAUAGAUGGAAAAGAAUCCACUCCACGUUGGAAAAAACACAUUUUUCUCCAAAUUCGGAGCACCUAGCGUUACUUUCGAAUUUUUUAAUAAAAUAACUCACUAAAAUUUUGUAAUUUACUAAAUAACCUUGCCAAAUUUAUAUUUGACAAAUUAAUCCUUUCUUCACCACUUAGGAGAUUAGAAGUUAUAUUUGAUUGUUAGGAUUAUAUGGAUAAAUUAUUAGGAUUUUCAGAUUGUUAAGAUUAUAUGUGAUUUGUUGAAAUUUUUAUGUGGUUGUUAGGAUUAUAUAUAGAAUAUGAAAAAAGACAAUAAAUAAGCAAACAAUAGUGAAUGAUUCAUCGCUUUUGUGGACGGCGGUAAGAGAAAAUUCCAACUAUAUGACAAAAGAAGGAUUAGUUUGCCAAAUAAAAAUUUAUAGGAUUAGUUACCCAAUUAAAAAAUUUUAUAGGACCAUUUUGAAAAAAGUCCUUACUUUUUCUGUAAAUUAUUCGCCGUCUUUAAGAGAAAAUUCCAACAUGGCUCCUAUAUGACAAAAGAAAGAUUAGUUUGUCAAAAGAGAUUUUAUAAGUUUAGUUACCCAAUUAGAAAAUUUUAUAGCAUCGUUUUGGAAAAAAGUCCUUACCUUCUCACAUUCUUCACGAGUAUCACAUCACCUGUAAUAAGAAAUUAAUAAAAGAGAAAUAUUAUUUGUACAUCAAAAAAUAAGGUGUAAAUCUUAAGAAUUUACCGACUGUUUCUCACGCAAGUGGCAAAGAGCUUGCUGAUCGGUAUCUAAAGUCUCAAAUUCGAAGCCUAAUUGCUUUACAUUUAAAGCUGAGUUUAUUUUUAAAAAAUAAAUAAAACGGAUAGCAUAUUACUUUUUUUUUUCUAAAAAAAAAGUCUCAAGAAUUCGUUUAGUUCUUGUUUUCUCAAAAGGUUUACACUAGAAAUAACCAAAAACAGUUUAUGUCCAAAUCAAUCCAAAUCAAACGGUACCUUACUACACACUUUCUAUAGGAUGGGUCGCGAAAAGAACGGUUCCAAAUCACGAUUGAUUCCUUAUUCAAAUGAUAAAAUUCUCGAUUUUCUGUUUUUAAAAACAGAAAUUGCUCAAUUCUAAAAAAAAAAUUUAAAGUUGAAUUAAAGUUGAGAGGAGAGGAAUCAAGAAAAUUCCUAAGUUGAGGAGGCCGUUUCAAAUAGCCUAUACUUGAUGGGAUAUCCAUGCGUCGGCUAGUUUUUUCUGCACUUUUUGCACACGUAGUCAUUAAACUAGUCAUCAAGAAACGUAAAUUCAUCUCCACUGUGGCGUCGUUUAGUUAGAUAUAAUUAUAAAUGCAAUGUAAUUAACGAUGCAUGCAGUUGAAAAUACAGCAAUUACAAUUAUAUGAAUUCUGUUCGGUUGAAUGUGAUAGAAAGCGUUGUAAGUGUAAAUAAUUUGUUUGGUUGUAUGCAGUUGAGAAAUAAUUUUAAAAAUUUUAUCAUUUUAUAUAAAUGACGGUUAGAUUACCUCCAAUGUGAAAAAAAAAAAUAAUUUUUAUUUAAAAAAUGUUGAGGAGGUAAACAUACUUUUUAUUUAAAAUUACUCUCUCCAACUGCUACAGUUGGAACUACAGCCAAUUUAGAUGUAAUUCGAACUGCUUCAGUUGGGCCUUCUCCUGCAGUUUCUACUGCAGCAGUUGAAGUUAAAUAUAUCAAACCAAACACUAAUUUGUAUUUAUAUAAUGUUACAACUGCAGUGUAGUUGCCACUAUAUGCAACCAAACCAAACGGGCUUUAAUAGAUAUAUCUUGUCAGAUAUGCUUUCACUUUUUCUCGUGUUUCGUGGCCGAUGUAUAUCGCCGUGAGAGGCAACCCUUGAUCAUCAUCAUCAUAUGAAGGCACAAAUCCUGAAGCUUAUCAUUUCUAAUUAAAUUUCGAUAUACCUACGUCAUACCUAUCUAGUACUAACGAAAGCAUUUUUAUUUCAGGACUUCUUAAAACUAUAUAUCAAUAUUACAGUGCUUCUAAUUUUUUGCGCGUCGAAUCCAUGCCGCAUGUUUUAAGAUCCACCUCAACGUGACAAACAUAAUAAUGUUUCCCUCUCGCUCCAAGAGGAACAUACGUACAUAUAUACAUACAUACAUACAUACAUAAAUUCUGAUCCCGCAAAAAAAUAGAAGCACAAAAUAAAUGAAUGCUUUGGAAAACAUUUUUUUUCUCUCUCUUUACUUUUUAUCUAUUCGUAUAUUUUUUUGAGAGAGAUAAGUAGCACGCUACCCGCUUCGUUUAUUUCAUUUAGAAAUAAACUUAGCUAGAAACGUGAAUCAAUUAGAAUUCGAACUUGGAACCUCGAGUACCAACCAUCAAAUCCUUUUGCCACUUACGCUAGGGACGGUCGGUUUUAUCUAUUCAUAUAUUAUUCAGCAAAAAAAAACAAAAACUAUUUGAAAUGAGACAAAAUAGAUGACACCAGCGUGCUCAUGUCACCGCCAGCAUUGGAGCGCCGGCGGCUUUCUGGUCAAAGAAAGAGGACUGACUAAUCAUUCACAUCACCAAAAGCUUUGCUUUCAAAGUAAUAAAUAAGUGAUGCAUCUAAUGUGUGCUCUUUAUCCCCAUACAGAGAAUCUACAAAGGCUAUUCAUCGCCACCACAUACCAAAUCUGGCCACGUAGAGAAGAGGUUUCCUUCGCAGGAGAGAUGAUGCCGUCGCCGAUGCCGAUGCCGAUGCCGACGGCGACGGUUAUCCUAAGGAUACGGCAUCGUCUCUCCGGCGACGGUAACCUCGCCUACGAGAACAAUUAUGUUAACUUCAACUCUCCACAUGAGUUCCAGCCUUCCAGGUACCAGUUUUCAUACCAUGCUUCUUUUUGUCUGGUUCUUGGAAGUAUUUUGCAGUACUUGACAUAUACUGGUAUUCACAUACAUCUAAAUAUCCGAAAUAAAUAAAAAAAUAUGUUUAUGAACUUUAUAACCCUCAAAAAUAAAACAUAUUAUUACAUAUUCAGUCCAAAAACUCAAAUAACUUUGAGCUCAUUUGUCCAGAUCAACUCUCUGUUUUAUUUUUAGGUGAUAACUUAUGGAGCUUACCCAAAUUUUGUAUCAUUUGGAAAUGAAUAUCCAACUUUUAAAAAUUUUUGAAUUCACUAGUUUGACAAUUCAAAUAGCUUGAUUUGCUUUCUUAGAAGUAAUUAUCUGCACCUGAUAUCAAAAUAUAUGUAUGCUAUACCUUAAUUUUUUUUUUUAAAAAAAAAAUGCAUCUCCUGUUGUAUAUUCAAAUGGUCAAUUUUUAACUUGAAAAGAAUAAAAAAAACAAAACAAAACAAAAAAAAAAACCAACGACUCAUUGGAUGAUAAAGAUCAAACAAAUAAAUGAAAUUAAUAACCACUAAAGAUGCGGUGUACGAGUGUACAAAUGCACAGGUGCAUGCAAUAAUUUUUCAAAACUAAUAAACAACUAAAAUCAAAUAAAAAUAAAAAGUAGUAAAAUCAAUAUUUUUAAAGAUUAACUAGUUGUUUCCGAACGACCUGAAGUUCCGCUUAGCUGCAAACAUUUUCACCUUAUUUUUAUUAUUCCAUGUGGGACUGUUCUCACAUAUAAAUUCCUAGCAUUCAUCUAUACAUCUAUAUAUACUUAGUAGGGGUAAACUAAAAAACUUAAUAGGUGGGAAAAAUCUUUCAAAUGGGAUUGAUGCUACGAUAUACGUAGCCCAGCAGAAUCAUCUAUCUUCUAACUGUUUCUUACAGAAACAUCAUUAUCUUAGGUGUGGAUAUUAAUCCACUUGGUAGUUUUAGUGUUCAAACUUAAACAGAAAUAACCCACCAUCUUGAGCAGGAAGGGUGGGUGACUCGUCGCCUACAAGUUAAAACCAUUUAAGAAAAUUCUCAUACAUGUCAAAGAUUUACACUGAAUGUAUUUCUCCUAUUUCAUACAUUCAAGACAUGGUGAAUGGCUCAUCAUACAUGCAAAGUAUCAGAACUAAUUUAUGGAAACAUAUUAGUUUUAAUCAAAAGCAGCUGCAAUGUAACUAACACGAGUGAAUGAUAUACCUCUUGCAACCAUUUGAGUACCUUUAAUGUGAAAAUUUAAGGUUGGUGACUACUCGAGCCCAUAGUCCUCGCCAAAGUAUUUGUCCACCAAAGUGUUGGCCAUAUUCCGCAUCUCUUCAUUCUCAUGAAAUUGAAACCUUUCCAUCGCUUCGAUCCCGUCCUCCCUCUCGACAAGCUUUGGGCCUUCUCCGUUGGGUAAUCCCCUCAUCACCUACAAUAAAAUGCAUCCAAAAAAUUAAGACCAAGAUGUCUUACUGUUUGAGUUUUGGCUAAGCUAAGUUCAAGAAAAAAUUUUCUUUUUUCCUUUUUUUGGGGGGGGAGUUAACAGAAUUUAUCUGCUCCUUUUAAUAGAAAGUUAUAAACAGUUAAUUUAUAAUUAUACAAUAGCUAUAGCUCCCCAAGACCUUGUUAGAUUUUAUUACCAUUUUUCUGCUUUUACAAACAAAAAUUUUAUAGGAAAAUGCUAGCUGUACACCCCAAAAAAGGGUGUAUGAUUUAUACCCCUUCAUCCUAGGAUUCACAAAGCCCUCUGAGUUUUUAAUAUUUAAAAAAGAAAAGUUGACAAGACAAGCCAAAAGUUGGCCCCUGGAUGAAGGGAUGUAAGAUUUACACCUUUUAGGAUGUACAAGUAGCAGGAUGUGUUGAAGGUACACUUCCGUACUCUUAUCAAUUAUCAUUGAUCACCAAACUUGCAAUGCAAGAUGGCCGGAUGCCAAAAGGCAUUUACUUUUGCCAGGAGCCAAAAAAGCAUUUUCUUUAGAAACCUAAGUAAGAAGUUGUUAUUGUUACAGUUGGAGGGCCCCAAUACUCUCUUUUUUACACCGUUUUUUUUAAAUCUCGGAUGUGAUUUCAUGCUGAUAAACUGUCUUUCUGAGGAAUGUCAAUAUCUAGAUUCCAAAUAACAUAUACAGGUCUUGAGUCUCUUGACCUUUUUGUAAGAGCUACUAUAUAACACAAGAUUAAAUUACCAAGUAAUUCAAAUUCUAGGCUAUUGCUUUUAGUUAUAAUAUCACUAGGAGACAAUAGUAAAGCAAAACCAAUAAAAAACGAUAUGUUGUUCCAGAAAAUUAGAAAAUCAUAGAGGACGAGAAAACGAGACAUAAAUAGACUCACCAGUUCCAGGAAUUGAAGGCCGAGUCUUGCACUCUCUAUAUCAGCAGAUCUAAUCAAAUUUAAAAAGCCAGGAAGGCACCCACUGUCGAUGAGUGAAACCAAGUGGACGACAAUUAUCCCGGGCUGUUCAUUGUUCUUUGGCGGAGCAACACAAAGAUUACCCAGAGUAAAUGCUGCUUCCUUUCUUAUGUCAAAUGGGGCACUUGAAAGGAAAUUUAUCAGCAAAGGAGUGGCUUCGCUCGAGUAUAUUAAUCUCUUGUGUUCAAGUGAACCAGCUGCUAUGUUAGAUAAUACCCAUGAAGCCUCCUAUAUCAUGAUUUCUGAAAUUUUGUUAGGAAAAAAAAAAAUCGAAAUAUAGAAUCAUCUAUCUACAUGUAUACCCUGUAAAACCUACAUUUUCAUAUAUAUAUAUAUAUACAACCCCAAAAUGUAAUUUCUUACAAUAACACCCUUAAGCCCUAUUUGGAUGUUAGAAUAAGUUAUCCGGUGAUAUCCAUUUGGGGAUUAUUUUUUAUUGUGGUUGGAAGCUAGGAGCAUGAUCAAAUAUCCUGAAUGGAAUAGAAUAUUGGGCCAUCAAGUCAUUUUUUUAAAAAUAAGAUAAAUCACCUCUUAGGUAAAAUAUGCAAUCGAACCAAAUCUUGGAUAUCAAGACAAUUCAAGAAGCAAAAAUCAAACUCCUCUCUUACAAUCAUACUAGAAAAUCCUCAUAACAAAUAAGUUAACAUCGAAUAACUUAUUCCGACAUCCAAUAAGUGCCUUAUCUAAGUUUGGAGGUCAUCCAAUUCAGGGUGGAAUGUAAAGUUGGUUUUGUAUUACAGUAACCUUUUUUGCAUUUUCCCAAGAGGGGUGUUCUUGAAAGUAUAAGGGCAUUUAUGCGAGAGAAAAAUUUUAUGAAAGGCAUUAUUGAAAUUCAGAUUUCAAACGGUUGUAUAUAUAAUUAGAUUAUUUUGCACGGAUAUUUGUGUAAAUAUUUCUCUUUAAAGGAAUCUUUACAUGCAAAUCGUCUAUUUACCUAUAUACCAUGUAAAUAUCUGAUUUUCAUAUAUAGCUCUGAAAUGUGCAGUUUCUUACAAAAUGCCCUUAUCUUCAGAUGGGGUGAUCCCAUUAAUAUGUGAAUUCUUGUAUUAGAAGAUUCUCUUCUAACAAGGGAACCUUUUUGUAAAUACAAGAAUACAUACGAAAUAAAUAAAGUUUUUUAAGUGCAUAAAUGAAAUUUUCAAAUUCUGGAGGGGUAAAAAUAUAAAUAUCUCAAAAUUAAAAAGUUAGUACCUUUUUCAGCACUCUGUGCUCGCUUUUCAGACACUUUAUAAGACCUGAUAAGAGUUCGUCUGGGAGCUAUUCUGUUAGUUCUUUCAGUUAAGCAUCAGAAAUAUGGAUGGUACACAUUUCCAAGGCUGAAAAGGUUGUUAAUGCUAACCUGUGAUAGUAUGUCCGACAAUCAGGACCACAUCAAUCAUAUAGCUGUCGCUAGCUACAAGGUUACCGAGACUUCGAAGUACCUAAGUUACACAGCAUACCAAUCAGUACAUAGUUUUGAUAAAUGCUCAUAGAUAGAGACAACUCGGACAAAAAUGCAAGUUUGUGAUAAAUAAUUAGGAUUUACAAAUUAUGAAGGGCAGUUUAGUCCCUAAGAUCACCUGACAUCAUUAAUUAUAUCCAGAUUUGGGAUAUGAUAGAAUGUAGAUGAUUCGACAAAUUGUCCAAUUAAGAUGCAAUUAAGAACAAGGAUUUAAAUGCCGUGGCACGGGGUCGUGCCGGAAACUUGCCGGCACGAUAUGGCACGGUGCGUGCCGAGCCGUGCCGAUGCAUGCCGUUCAAAAAAAUUCUUGUGUGCCGACACAUAAUAGCAUGAAAUAUUUAUUUUCUUUAGCAACAAAAUAUUCUAACUAUUUAUUGUCUUUUUAUCACAUCUUUUGAACUUUAUUGAGGAAAUUAUUUAUUAAUUUAAAGAAUAGAGGGUUUUGAGCUAUGCCAUUGGCAUGAGAUCUAUAUCGUGCCGGUAUCUUGUUGGCACGGUAUGGCACGGUGGAUACGGCCCGUGCCGACGGGCACUUAAAACCUUGAUUAAGAAUACAUAAUCUUGAAAUUAUAUAUCCAUUUACCAAACAAACUAGAGUUUUUCUCUCGCAUAUAUGUUAUAUAUGUAAGUGUUCAUACGAAAAGUCAUGCGGUGAUAGAUGCAAUAACAUAUCCGCUUCAACUCUGUAAUUCUAAUUUCCUUUCAAAAACUCCCUUAGCAAUACAUGAUUUCGAUCAGCCUACUUCAGUUUUUUAAAAUUUACUCCCAUAUUCAUGACAUUUUUUGACACUUGAUAUGCUCGCCAAAUACCAAUUGUACUUCUCAGUCACACUAGUGGGAGAGUGCAUAUAAAUGAACUUAUACACACGUAUAGGAAGAGGCAUAAAAAUUGUGUAGUUAAACUUCAGCUAAAUUGUAUGAAAAAUAUGCAGAUUCGAAUCCAUACAGUUAAUGAUACUCUGAAGUAACUUGGAAAGAUCUUGUAAGCAUACUAUAAUAUUCACCACUGAUGAAAAAUAAAUCAAAUUUUAGCUAUCGUCUUCACCAAUAACUGAUGGGUUUUAAGUUCUAGAAUGGCAUGAUGGGUUUAAACUAUGUCCACUGCGAUAAAACCAGCUCAUAAUUCUGCUUCUAAAGUGUAAGUAGAAAGUCACAUUGAGAACUAACCCACAUAUUUACCUCAGAACUUUAACAUUGAUGAUGGUGUUUUCAAGAUUUAGAUGGAACACUAAGAUUAUUAUCCAGCAUAGAGACUGAAGUAGAAAUCAGAAACUCAAGCAAAACAAGCAUAGAGAAUGAAAUUAAAUAAUUUUACAUAGAAAAUUCAGUUUAGGAAGAAAAGAAAUUACCGGAAUGAGCAUCUGCAAACUCUCUGAUGCUACCAACCGUCCAACCAGAAGUCGAACAACAUCACUUUUGACCAACAAACUAGUAGCCUUUUCAGAAAGCGCUGAAAGAUACACAAUUACCCAUGCCACUUCUGUCGCCAGCUCAUCAUCCCUAAAAAAGAGGGAGCCCCAAACUAUUCAAUUCUUCAUUAUCAUACUAAAUAUCAUAUUGUAAAAAUAUAAUAAAUAUCAUAAAUUCUUAGUUAGGUGUUGGAGGGAAAGGAAGAAUUCAUAUUGUAAAAAUAUCAUAAAUAUCAUGGACUGUCAUGUUAAAUGCCCCCCAUACUGUUCAGAGUAAUGUAGUAGCAAGGGGUGAAGUAUGCCACAUGGCUGCUUCAGAAGGAUUAUAAUAUGAUGUCUCAAGAAAUGCCAUUUCAAUUCUUCCAUAUGUUAUGGUGGAACCUAUUCACCAAACUAGCUAGAGUUAAUGGCAAGGAAUUUAAGUGCCGUGGCACAGAAUCGUGUCAAGCAGUUACCAGCACAGUACCGUAUGGCACAUGUCAUGCCAUGUCGUACUGAUGUGUGUUGUUCUCAAAAAUACCUGUAUGACGACACACUAUGGCUUAAAAUAUUUAUUUUCUUUGAUGAAACUCUUGCCAAUUUUUUUAAAGAAAAUAGAGUUUUGAAUUGUACCAUCGGCACAAAGGUAGCAUCAUGCCUAUAUCUUAUCGGCUUGAUACGGCACAGUGGGCACAGCAUGUGUCAAUGGACACUAAAACUCUUGGUAAAUAGUUUAAAUGACAUAUAGAACUGAUACUAAGUUACUAACUUGCUAAUAAAUUAUGAUAAGCAUAUAAUGGCUUUAUUGAUCUAUUUUACGGUGCAAUUUUUCUGCACAUUGAGCUAAUAUAAGAAAGGAUAUCAUCUAAUUGAAUCUCAAAGGGGCCAAUCACAAACUUAUAUGCGUCCUCCUAAAAGUAGUUGCACCAGAAGCUGGCACAAUUCAUUCAUGCAUGCUUAGUGUAAAUGGUAACUAAAUCUGCCCCACAGGCAGUAGAAAUAAAGAUCAUGAUGACUUACACUUAGUUUUGGGGUAAAAAAAACAAUUAGAACAAGGUAACUUUUUGAUGAUCUUGCAUAAAAAUGACGUAGUGCAGGAAAGAAGCAAAAGAGACGAUGUUUAUUAACCAACCAAAUACGUACGCCUUUUUCAAGUGCCAAACGAUUGCAUCUAAUAGCCCAUCAACCCUUAUCAAUUCAUUCGCAGCCUUGGGAUCAGGUCCCUGAACACAUAUAAAGAAAGAUAAAAUGCAUUAUAUAAACAACUUUAUGGCAGUUGCCAUCAUAAUUUAACCACUGAGUGCAUAUAAAAAAAAAGAAAGAAAAUAAAUGGACUAGAGAAUCAUGCUUGGAGGAUAGCGCUGAAGUCUAGUUUGCCUCCUCCCACUAGGUUUACUUGAGAGAAACUUAUACUAUAAAAUUUAUAAUCCUACAGUUAACUUGCCAAUGGAAGCACUAACAACUAAGAAUCUGAAGAAUGAACUGCUAGAAACACUACUCUAAGAAGCCAAAUGAGAAAUAAUACAUAAGAAAUCAAAGAGUUUGGGUACUACAAAAUAUUAAAUCAAGUUAAGAAUAUGAAAAAUUUGUAGGUUGACAGUUCAUUGUUUGAUAGAUGCCCGGUAAUAGCUUGUAGCAGCUUCAAUCCAAAGCACUAGUACUUCAUUAAUAGCACUACAAUUCAAAAUGAAAUGUUGUGGCUCUCUAAUGAUCGCAAAAGUUGCUUAAGAGACUCAUAGAAAAAGAUACUUGCAUAGCAUAUAUGCCGAGCAAAAUGGAAUUAUUAUAUACCCUUCAGUCACUUAUUAUAUAUAUAUAUAGAACCACGCUGGAAUGCUUCUAAAAGCACCAAAGCCUUGGUGCUAUAAUUUUUUAUCCCUUAGAUCUACCUUUUUCGUCAUUGGAUCAAAAGUCAACAAUAAUAGUUACUUGUGGAGCCCACUAUUGUGCAUGAUUCAAGAGCCGUUAGGGUUAAUCUAAUAGCCAAAAACACCUUGGCGCUUCUAAAAGCACCCAAGCGGACUCUCAUCUCUCUCCCUCUCUCGUGCUUGUGGGUUUUGGCCCUUGGAUGAAAGAUUGUGGGGUUAGAAUGAUAGUGGUUCCCAUUGGAUUUAGUGGUGGUUGGUGGAAUAGCCUGACCCAAGAGGUAGAAAUGGUCAAAGGGAUAGAUUUAAUGGUGAAAGUUGGUAGCACCGAAUGCUUGAUGCUAUCAACAGCAUCUCAGCAUAUCCAAUAUAUAUAUAUAUAUAUAUAUAUAUAUAGAGAGAGAGAGAGAGAGAGAGAGAGAGAGAGCUAGGCUGGAAUACUAUUAAUAGCACCAAUGACUUGGUGCUAUUAAGUUUGCUGCCCUUAGAUUUAACAUUUUAAUUAUUUUUACCCGUUAGAUUAUACUAUUCAACCAACCACUCACUCAACCCUAGGGGGCCCACAUCAUCCUAACCACCCAUUUCUCAAUCCAAGGGCUAAAAAAUCAAUAGCACCAAUAGCUUGGUGCUAUUGAUAGUAUUCCAGCCUAGUUCUAUAUAUAUAUAUAUAUAUAUAGAGAGAGAGAGAGAGAGAGAGAGAGCUAGGCUGGUAUACUAUCGGUAGCAUGGAGGCCUCCGUGCUAUCAAGUUGUUUUCAAUGAUGCGGCUUCCAAAUCAAAGAACAGCUUCGUUAGACUUAAUCUAUAAUAUUUAAAAUAUUUGGAACUAAAUUUCAUAAUUUUUCGAUAUUAUUUGACUAGUGAUCAAAAGGUCUCAAAAUUGAUAAUUUUAAUGGUUGAUGUGACGCGUUUGUGAAUUUAACGGUAUAAAACAAUCCAAAUCUGAUGAAAUUUUUAUAGAAAAUUCUUUUCAAUAUUUAGAGUAAGAUCAGUACCUUUGAUCUUAAAUUCAAGUCUUUUAUUAUUAUUUUUUAUGAGAUUUUUAUUUCUAACUGUUCAUUUUUAGACUACUCGUUUGAUAGGUAAAUGAUGUCAAAAAAUUAUGAAAUUUAGUUUCCAAAUACUUUCAAUAUUGAAGAUUAAGUCUAACGGAACCGAUCGUCGAUUUGGAAACCGCAUCAUUGAAAACAACUUGGUAGUACCAAGGCUUCCGUGCUACUGAUAGUAUAGCAGCCGGACUCUCUAUAUUAAUAUAUAUAUAUAUAUAUAUAGAGCCCGACUACUAUACUAUUAUGAGAACGAUUGUCCUUGUACUCAUAAGUCAUUUUCGAUAAUAGAGCCUUUGAAUCGACGAUCCAUACCAUUAAAUAUGAUUUUAGAGCAUUUAAACAUUCUAGAAAACGAAUUUCAUGAUUUUUUGACAUCACAUACCUUACGAUCAAAGUACCUCAAAAUUGACUUUUUUAACAAACAGUAUGCGGUGUCUUCUAGUUAACAGUGUAGAAGAAUUGGAAUCAUUUGAAUUUUUAAUAGAAAAUUCUAUUCACUAUAUAGAUCAAGAUCAAUAACACCGAUCUUCAAUUCAAGAUCCCUAUCCCUUAUUUUUAGGAGAUUGUUCAAUUUUAACCGUUUAUUUUCUACCCACUUGAUGGACUUUAUUAUGAAUUCGAAAUAUUUCGAAAUUCGGUUUCUAGAUAUUUCAAAUGCUCAAGAUCAUAUUUAACAGUAUGGAUCUUCAAUUUGAAAGUUCUAUCACCGAAAACAACUUAUAAAUACAAAAGUCUUUGUACUCAUAAGAGUACAGCAGCUCUACUCUAAGCACAAACAUACACUUUCAUACUUAACAAAUUGCACUCUUUAUAAAAAAGUUCUAAUACAGAUGCAACUUAGCCCCAUGAAUUAGAUGACUCGGGUUCUUUCUUAAGAAACUGCACCUUCCAAGGGUAUAUAAUGAAAAUUUAGUUAUUACAAAAUAUAUGUAAAUAGAUGGUUUGAUGGGGAUAGAAAUAUAAAAGCCCCUAUAGAAAUUUACUGAGAAGUUGGCUACUUCCCGCUGAGAGAUAUCACAAACCUUAAUGAGAUUUGACAAUGCCCAAGAAGAUGUUCUUGAUGUAGAACCCUUAUUUGACAUCAUUAAACGUGCAAGAGGAAAUAAUGCUCCCUGUGCUAGUAAAAUGUUUCUCAACUCUUCUCCUUCACCAGCAACAUUACCCACGGCCCAUGCACACUGCUCAGCAACGGGAGUAGAACUCUUCUCUAUCCAAUAUAGACAAGCAAAAUACACAUUUACAGCAAAAAUUAAAGGAAUCUCAUUCAAAUAAGACAAUUAUAAAUAUUUGUGUUUUCAAUUGACAGGCUAAUUUAAGAGUAGCACAAGAAAAUAUAUUAGUACAGAUUAAAUAUUUGAAUUCCAUCAAUACCUAACACUUUAAAGUGGGGUAGGCAAUGCUGUAACAAUUUUCAGAGGGGCAAGUGAUGUGGGGAUAUAUAACAUACAAUCAUAAUAUUUCUACUUUGAUUACAGUUUUCAACAUGUGGCCAACUUCAGUGGGUGCACAUUCACUUCCGUGGGUGCACAUUCACUUUCUGAUUGCAAUGUUCCUUUAGCUUUUUGCCUAAUCCCAACGACGGUAGAUUUAUGGAGUAGAUAAGUGAUACAAGGAUUAUGUCAUACAAAGUUUAGAAUUAAGCAUAUAUAAGAGGGCCUCCUCAUCCACUUUGUUAUCUCUAUGCCAUCAAACUGUAUGUGUUUGAACAACAUUAUACAUUACAUUUUUUUUUCCGUAUUACUUGCAUGUGCAAGGUAAUAUGAAGUUUAACUGUUUAAGCAUCUGCUUUCUUUGCAUAAUACAUACUUAAGCUAUCUGACUACCUAGUUUUUAGCAAUCGCUAAUAAGUAAUUCAUAGGUUUCUCAUAAUAGUACCAAAAUCCAACAUAAAUUUUAAAUGGCAUAAGUUAGAGAUAGAAGGCCCAUUGGUGCAUGCAUUUAACCCUUCAAGGUUGAAUUACUAACUUAAGAAAAGGGUCACUGAAGGUAAGUCAAGACAUAUGUUGCGUUAAAGAUCAAAAUAUUAUCCUCACAUGUGACAAUGCAUGAGAGGGAAGUCUCCUUGUCCUAAUAUUAUCAAUAUUAGAUGUUAGAAAUCUAAUGGUAGCUCCAGAUUAAUGAUCUGCUGAAGAACAAUACUGUGUUAACAUGGGCAACAGAAUUUCCUCAUAUAUCAUUGGGAUUGUAGUUCAAACAUAGCUUUCUAUCUUUUCCAUAGUAAUGUAAGAACCAGUGAAUUCAAUAAACAGAACAGAAAACCAAUCGAACCUCCAAGGUGAGCAAUAAGCAUUGGAAGAGAAGGAAGUAAUGACUUUGUAUGUUCAGGUUCCCCAGCAGCUAUGUUAGUAAGGCACCAAGCUGCCUCAAGCAACUGCAAGAACAAUGAAGAUGUAUGGAGGGAUUCAGGAAACGUAAAAUGAAAAUGCUGAAACCAUAUAUGAUGGAAGUGGGAAUUCAUAUUUGGCUGAAAUGAAUGCACAACUCUCCACCAGUAGGUGAAACAGAACUGAUCCCUGAAUAAUGAUUUUUUCUGACAGAUGUGUUCCCAAAUCACCCUUAAUUGGGGGUUGUCUGUAAAUUCAUAUCAGGUUCUUUAGUUGUUUCUAUUACUUCAUUUUGAUAUACAACAAAUAGUGUAGGAGAACCUGCUCAUCUGAGGAUCCAAAAGAAAGGCAUUGCACUAGGAGAGGGACAGCUCCAGCUUGGAGUGCUGCUUCAAUUGGAGGUACUUCAGACUGUGAUAACAAGCGCCUCAAUACACGAAGUAUCUCUACCUUCUUCUGUGUUGCACCUUUUCCUCUAAAAAUUACAAACACCAAAAGUAAGCACUAAGCAGGCCAAACUAUACAGCAUAUUUUAACUGGGUACCUAAAAUUCCAAUUAUUUAUUUUAUUUUCUUCAUCAUAUAGCGAAGAAGUUAAAAGUGUAGUUAAGUUCAUAUGAUGAUGCACUUAAAUGAAGCAUGUGUAUUACGUAGUAAAAUCAAAAUUUCCAGAGUUGGGAGGCCAAUUUCAAAAUGCGCUAAAAAACAGCUAGGAUCCCAUUAUUUCCUUGAAAUUAUGAAGUGAAUGCAUAUGCAGUCAUAAUUGUAUAUGAAGCUUACUAUAUAAGAGAGAGAGAGAGAAAGAGAGAGAGAGAGAGAGAGAGUACUGGAAUGCAAUAGCAGAUUUUAGCUCCAGCACUGUUUGAGAUGUUUUGGAAUCUAAUGCUUCUUUUUCUUCAUCAAUGAUCAUAUCCCCUUCAAAUGGACUUUCACUACCAUCAAUAACUGUAUCCCGGCAUAGGCGCUUUGCUCGUAUUAAAGAUUCUCUUCUUUCCUUUCCCACUGCUAUGGCUUGUUGCCGUCUCCGAUGUGCAGCAGUGUUGUGCACUGAUAAAAAGGAUGCUAAUGUUAUCUACAUAAAAGUCAUUGAAAUAGUAAAAAACGAUAAUAAUGAUAAAACAUCUAAAAAGGCAUCCAAUUUCAUAAUUUCUCUUUGAAAUUAUCAAGAAAUAUAACUCCUAGAGACUUCAAAUACCCUACAUCUUAUUUAACGGCAUCGUCAAAUCAGAUGCCUGAUUAUCAAAAAUGGGUAUAUAACAUGAAGGCCUUGGUACUUUAUUAGCAUUACAGCCUAGCACUAUCAAAAGAUUCAACUUAAACUCGAGGAGUCGCUUCAAACUCAGAUAAAUUGGGGGAAAAUAAUAAUAACCAUAAGAUUGAAUAAAAAGCUUUCGACUUACAAAAUCUAGCUAAACUAGGAAACAAUGAUCUAAAGAAUAUUAAACAAAUUUGCAUUGCAGAAAUGAACCUUUCACAUAGUUAUGUUACUUGCUUCUUCGAAGAAGAAAGCAUUAAACAAGAGCGCUAAACUUGGCCAUUCGGUCAAAGAUUUAAACUAUGCCCGAGACAGAAAUCCUUGAAUUUAGCACUACAGGACUAUACAAAUACAUCACUUCAGAGUUAAGGUCCCGUAAAAUUGCUUGCCUUAACAGAACAAAAUGAACCAAUUAACCAUUAUGCAUUGCCUCAAUGUUACUCAUAUUUAACCAUUAUGCAUUGCCUCAAUGUUACUCAUAAAUCUCUGUAGAAGCAGAUGUUAUCAGAGAACAGCGGGCUGAUUGCGAAAAUCAAUGGAAUACAUUUUGGAAGAUUUUUGUUCAAGGUUUCGUUUAUGCUUAAUCCAUAUCAAAUAGACCUUGUCUUUGUGAGAGAAUUUUAUUCAUGAGUAGGAGGGAUGGACAUAUGUCACCACGAAUAGAGGCUAAAGCAAGAGCUGGAUUUAAUGGUGGUAUAAAAAUUUAGUCUCGUACAAUUAAAUGAGCUUCCUGUAUUUUAUAGAAAUUUGGGGCAAUACAGUCCUUACAUAAGGCGCAGCCUGUCCAACUUUCAAGCAUUAAGAUACAUCUAAAGCAGGGACAGUUAUAAUAAAAGAACUGGUCGUGAUCAAUCAGAUGAAGUAUUGUGUCCUUAUUUUACUGGUAGUACAUACAAAAUAAACAAAAUUAAUUUAUUAUUCGAAUGGCAACAUACGUACUUCACAUAACUACCUUGACUGAUUACUUUCCAGAAAGCCACCUUUUAGUUCUAACUUUCUUUGCAUAUCCUCUAUCACUGGUAGUACAUACAAAAUAAACAAAAUUAAUUUAUUAUUCGAAUGGCAACAUACGUACUUCACAUAACUACCUUGACUGAUUACUUUCCAGAAAGCCACCUUUUAGUUCUAACUUUCUUUGCAUAUCCUCUAUCUCUAAUUGUUCGAAUGGCAACAUACGUACUUCACAUAACUACCUUGACUGAUUACUUUCCAGAAAGCCACCUUUUAGUUCUAACUUUCUUUGCAUAUCCUCUAUCACUAAUUGAAAGCAAUCUAUUUCAUUAUCAUUCAAAUUGCAGGCAUCUGUUCUGAUAUGCAUUUCACAAUAAUGAAGGAAUCAUUUAAUCAAGUCUAAUCAGUUAACUAUCUAGAAAAUUGCACCAAACAUCAAUUGGUUGAGAAAAAAUAGAGUUUAGACUGAUUUUUUGUCACUGUAAGGCUUAAUGUAAUCUAAUCAGAAAGACAAGGAGCUAUUACCAAUCACAUAUCCUUAUAUCCACUGUUUUCUAGUACUUGUAAUGCAUGAUUACGAUCAGGAGCAGCUGAACCAAGCCUUAAAGUUGACCCCCAGGGAGAGAGUUUGUGUAAGCGAGAGGAGGAACUGAUAGGUCGAGAUACCUCCACAUUAUAUACAAGUGAAGGUUGCAUUUUGUAUCCAAACAUCCAAUAUAGGACAAUUUUUCGUAACAAGAAUCCCGUUGACAGGUGUCAGGUGCUACUAGCGCGUGGUUAAGAUCCAAUGCUACUAAUACAUGACACAAAACCAAUCUCACAUGCUAGGCACGACUAGCAUACGGCACAAACAACUUCACAAGCUAGACACAACUAGCAUGUGGCCGCUGGGCUGGCCAGAAACUAGGGAAUGUGAACUAUAACACUGCUACCAUGUUAAAAGGGCUCGAACCCAACCCACAAGAUCAAGCUGAUAGAUGGAGAUAUCCUCCGCAUUAUAUAUAGGCCAAGGUUCCAUUUUGUAUCCAAUUUGGGACUAUAACUCUCAGCAUCUGGGAAAUUUCACCCACACAUCAAUUUUCUGUGAAAUAUAUAGGGUUUUAACCCGAAUUUCGUCGCAAGAAAAGCCUAAUCUAAUCUAAUCUAAUCUAACCCAAUCAGAAGAAACAAGUGUCAUCAUCACCCACAAGUCCCUAAAUCCACUGUCUCUAAGGAGAAGUAGCUGAAUCAAACCCUAGAAUUGAACCCUUGAGAGAGGAGGGGGGUAGGGGGAACCUGAGGAUUUUAUGGGGUCGCGUCGGUGGGAGAGAGGAGGGGAGAGAGCGGCCUCUUCGUCCGCCAUUUUUCCUCGAUCGAAAGCUUCCUCUACUCUACUCUCUCUCUCUCUCUCUCUCUCUCUCUCUCUCCAAUGGUGGUGUAGUGGAGCUCGAAGAAGAAAGAGGAAGAAGACGACCAAGGGCUCGAAAUGCAAAGAAUCAAUUGCAACUGUGACCCUACACAGCAAUAAAAUUCCAUAUUUAUCGCUGCAAAAAUAUCUUUCCCAGUAAAUUAUAAAUUAUAAAUCUAAAAACAAUUAAAAUUAUUUUUUUUCUAUGAACUUACAAAGCUGUUUGGCAAAAAAAUAAAUUAAUAUUUGCAUAUAAUAAUAUUUUUACCAAAUUUUAUUUUAAAAAUAAUUUAAAAGUUGAAUUAAAAUUUAAAUCUUAAUAUUUAAUUUAAAAAAUAAAUUUGAAAUUUGUAAAUUUAAAAUUUACAAUUUGAAUUUUAAAGCUAAAUUAAAUUUUUAAUUUCAAAUUUAAAAUCUAAAUUUAAAUUUUACAUUUAAAAUUUAAUAUUUAAUAUUUAAAAUUUUCAAAUUUCAAAUUUGAAUUUUAAAAACUUGAAAUUUGUAAUUUAAAAUUUUUGAAGUUUAUAAUUUGAAAAAUUAAAACAUAAUUUUUAAUUUUUGAUUAAAUUUUAAACUCUAAAAUUUCAAAUUUUAAAUUCUAAAAUUUCAAAUUUUAAAUUUUUUUUUAAAUUUGAUAUUUCGUAUCUAAAUUUUAAAUUUUAAAAGUUGAAAUUUAAAAAUUCAAAAAUAAAUUUAAAAAUUAAAAUUUUAAAUUAAUUUUUAAUUUAAACUUUGAAUUGAAAAUUAAAAUAAAAGUUUGAAGUUUGAGUCCAAAAUCAUAAUCGGAUUUCAAGAAGAAGGUUUUAGCUGCUUCUGAUUUUGUUCCUCGAAAAUCAGAAAACUGAUUUUAAAAUUAAAAUUAGAUUUUGAAAAUAACGUUGUCAAACACUCUAUUGAGCCGAAAAUCACUUUUGAGUGUAAAAUCACUUUUCAAAAAUUAGUCGGAACACUCCCAACAUUUUAUUGUAACGUCUAAUCAAGAUGUUAAAUUAAUUUAUAUGUAUGAAAACUAUAUUAGAAGUAGGAGAUCCUAACACCUUCUCUCCUCCAAUACUAUGAAACUGUAAUAAAAAGUAAAAAAUAUUUAAAAUACUGAAAUUUUUAAACUUUUCAAAAUAUGAAAAUAACUGCUUUUAGCCACCGCAAAUAUCAAACUAAUAAGUCUUAGAAGCUACGUUUGGAAAAAUAGUGGAGAUUCGAAGUAUUUUCAAUCGGCCAUAAUUAGUAAUCGCUUGACACCCUCAUCCUUAAAUAUUAGAUUCCAAAUUCGAAGCCUAUUGCGAGGCAGAAGAUAAUGCAUUUGUGUAGUACUCGCAUCAACAAAAAUAUUCUUCGUUUCUCACAUAUUUCUAUUUCAUAUAUCCUAAGCUCAAAAUGUAACAUUAUAUAAUUAUUUAAUUAUUCAUGCGAAACUGCUAUUAGAAAUACAAAAAAAAAUAAAUCACAUUUAAUAUUUUAAAAAUAUAUAAGAAGGACAAUAAUGUUUCUAAUAAAGUAUGAUUGAUACUUACAUAAUUUUACCGGUACACAAAAAAAAACAAAAGAAAAAUCUCCCCGACAUUGUAAUAGGAAUUCUCAUAUGACAAUAAGCUGUUGCACUUAAAAUAAAAAAUAUGAUAAUGAAAAAUUGAACCUUUAUUAUAAAAAAAAAAUUGAUAAUUUUUUAAAAUAAAACGGUAAAAAUAUAUGCAAUUAGCUUAAACUUUAGAUCAUUUGGAAAUAACCAUUUAAUCUUUAAUUUUACUUACCCUCCUUUCAUUUUAUUUGAUUUUAAAUAUUCAUUAGUCUUAAAAAACUAUUGCGUGCACCAAGUGUAUUUAUAUAUUCGUACAUUGCAUUUUAUUGAUCAAUCAUCAUUCCAUAUAAUAAUUGCUGGAUCUCUACGACUAGUAAAUUGUAAUUUUUUAGUUAAGAAUUAAAUAAUUAAAUUAAUAACAUAAAAUGGAUGAACAAAAAAUAUAAAAUAUGAUGUACAAAUAUUUGAAUGCACCACAUGCACGCACCAAUUUCUAAGAAGAUAAAUCAAACAAACUAAAAGAUUCUCGAAUAAAAUCGAAAUUUUUUAAAAUUGAAUAGUUAUUCUUAAAUGACCGAGAGUUUAAGUAAGCUCUUAAAAUUCACUCUAAAAAAAAAAUCAAAUCAACCAAUACGACAUAAAAUCAAGCGAUAAUGAAAAAUUUUUAUACCUUCUUUGAUAUUGUUAUUUUAGUUUUAAAAUUAAAUUUUUAUAUAAAAUAUAAGGUGUAUAAAAAAUUCACAAGUUUUGAGCUUUUGUAAAACUAGGCCGCUAUUGAGCCAAUUAGGCGCGGACAGGUGUAUGCUGGUAUUCCCUUCAAAGGCAUUAAUCCGGUCGUGCACCAGGAGCACCGGAAAAGUUUUAUAGAAAACCAUCGCGCCAAGUCAAGAGAAGUUAUAGCAACCGCAAGCAGUUGAAAGCGGUUCUGAUCGGCUGAAGGUGGUCCGAAUAAUAGGGAUAGUGGCAGAUCGUUGAAAUAGAAUAACUGAUCAGUAGGGGGCGACCUAUAAAUAGGGCAACAAUACCCUAAAAAGGGGUCUUUUUCCCUAUAAACAAAAGACCACCCUUAUUUCCUCACAAUUUCCUGCAUUUUCUAGGAAUAGUCUAUCUGUAAUUUUACUGCUUUUCUCUAGGAGUAGUUCGCUAAAGUAGAAUCCUAGAAUCUGUCUGCCCCACGGAUAUCACUCUAUUGUAAACUACAUAUCUGUCCUUAUACUUCCCAUCAGUCAAUCAAUAGAAAGUCAUUUCGGCUCUUCAAGCCGACCAAAGUUCGCUUUGCUUUAGCCAUUCAGUUCUUCUUCCGGUUUCGUUUCCGACCUGCUCUGUACAUUCGGCUCAUUCCAGCCGAACCGAACGGAUAGUAGUGGUUUUCGAACCCGGCUGGCUUGAUCCCUCGUCAGCCGAAUCGCUUGAUCUGUCGAAGGGCGCAAACUUCAAGGGUCACUAUCCGCAGCCGUUCCUCACUCCGAUGCGCUUCCCGAGGAGGAUCUUUGACCGGAUCAAGGGUCGAUAAUUUGGCUACCAACAGGCGCAUUUUUCAAUUUUGCAGAUUCGAUCCGAAUUUUUAAUAAAUUGGCUAAAAUACUUUUAUACCUUUUUCUCUCUUAUUUUUUUUUCUGGCGUUCUUUUUUUUUCUCGCCAAAGAAGGUGAUGGAGGUGAUAGCGGAAACGGCCCCCCUCGCCUUUGCCUCUCAGACCCUCACCCUCGCUCGCGCAACCCCCGCCCUCCUCACCUCCGACCCCACGGAGGCCGUACUGCGACCCUCUUUUUUUUCUUUCUCUCCGACCCUCCUCCAUUGCCUCCGCGGCCCUCCGCAACAAUAGUGAGGACGAUACCGCGUCCUCUCGAUUUGCCUUCGCCCUCCACCUCCACUACAACAAAUUUCGCACUCGCCAACCCACUUCUGGGUAUCUGCAUACCUACCGCCGUCGCUGCCGAUAAAGAGAAAGUAUUUCUCAACGCCGAGAGGCUCGCCGACGAGGAAGGGAGCACGCGGCCCACCCGCCUACCCUAGAGGGCGGCAGCGAGUGCGGCCUCGACAAUGUCGAAGGCGAGGAGAGCAAGAAAUGCACGAGAACAUUUUUGGAUUAGCACUUUUAUUUGUUUAAAAUAAAAAAAAAUAACUAAAAGGCUAAAAACUAGAGAAAAAUAAAGAAAACUGGAAAAGAAGGAAAAAGAAGAUAAAUUUGCACUGUUAAGAUUAAAUUGCACUGUUUUAAAAGAACAUUGCACUGCUAUGGACGUAAGUUGCACUCUUUGAAAUAUAAACUGCACCAUUUAAGAUAAAAGUUACACUUUUUAAACUAAAGUUGCAUUUUUUGAGAGAUAUUUACACUGUUUCUCUUCUUGUUACACUCUUUGAUGUGUAAACUGCACCUUUAAAAUAAAAGUUACAGUCUUUAAAUAAAAUUUACACUCUUUGAGAGAUAUUUAGACCAUUCUUAAAGGAUGAGAGAGUGUAACUUUCGUUUAAAGAGUGUAACUUUCAUUUUAAAUGUGCAGUUUACACAUCAAAGAGUGCAAUAAGAAAAGAAAUAGUGUAAAUAUCUUUCAAAGAGUGCAACUUUUGUUUAAAGAGUGUAACUUUCAUCUUAAAUGGUACAAUUUAUAUCUCAAAGAGUGCAACUUUCGUUUAAAAAGUAUAAUUUUUAUCUUAAAGUGUGCAGUUUACAUUUCAAAUAGUACAACUUACGUCUAUAAUAGUACAACGUUCAUUUAAAAAUAGUGCAAUUUAAUCUUAACAGUACAACUUCAUCUUCUUCUUCCUUAUUCUCUGGUUUUCCUUAUUAUUCUCUAGUUUUUUACCUUUCAGUUUUUUUUUUUAUUUUAAACAAACAAAAGUACUAAUCUAGAGAUGCUCCCGUGCAUUUUUCGCCCUCUUCGCCUCUGACACCGUCGAGAUCGCGCUCGCCGCCGCCCUUUGGAUUAAGCGAGUGGGCCGCAUGCCCCCUCUCUCGCCGACGAGCUUCUCGGCGCCGAGAAGUACUUUCUCUUUAUCAUCGACGGAGGUGGUGGGGAUGGGGGUUCCCAAAAGUGGGUUUGGUGGAUGCAAAAUUCGCUCUCGCCGGAAUGUAACUAUUUUUCUCAUUCUCCUUCGCUGGCGUGCUUCUCGACCCCGAGAAGCACUUCCUUUUCAUCGCUAGCGGCAGCAGUAGAGACGGCGGGUUUAUUUGGCGGGUAGAAUAUCCACUGCAGUGGAGGUGGAGGGCGAAGGCGGAGGAAGAGGACGCGUUACCAUUCUCGUUAUCGUCGUGGAGAGCUGCGGAGGCGGUGGAGGAUGGUCGGAGGGAGAAAAAAAAAAGCGGCGGGGUUGGAGGCGAGUAGGGCGAGGGGUGCGCGGGCGAGGGUGAGGGUGUGAAGGGUAGAAGCGAUAGAGUGUCACGCCCCAAAUUACCAUGUUUCCUCGGGCAUGCCAACAGACCCGCCGUAUAUAUAGAAAUUUUUCGUGUAUACGAAUCGAUAGCUGUAUCUAUAAGUAAGUCAUAGCUACAACCAAGAGUAUAGAAUUGCUAGACAUGUAUAUAUAAAACAGAAAGGAGUUCACCGUACAUACAAAAGGCUACAAAACCACCUCGCUCUAGCAAGUACCACAACUACAUAACAGUAUGUACAUAAAAUCCAAAACUACCUCUGAUAGGUGCUCCUCUAGCAAACGACCAGGGAAGGGACGACUCUAGCUCGCUACUCCGUUGCCUCAGUCGAAAUCAGCAACAACAACAGCCGUAGACAAAGGCUCUGCAAAAAGGUGGCAACAAUAGGGUGUGAGAACUACUGCAAAACAUAGUAGUCCUCGGUGGGUACCGUCACUGACCUCAAUGGCCCACCCACUAAAUCUACAGUAAGAUAAGCAGAGAAUAGUAAGGAAAGUUGGAAAGAACUCUACUGCUAUAUGCCACUAUACUAUCACUAACCAACACCAACUAUCUGUAGACAUAAACAUGCAUCACUAGUUAUCACUGACCCAAUCUCACACGGACUGCCCAAACAGACCCACCCUGCCUGUAACCAAGCUACACCGUACACCGCCGACGGGGGUGGCCGGUCCACGUAAACUGUCCAAACUGAACUGCUGCGACAUCAACGCAAGUCAAAGUCUCACUCCGGAGCGGCACUUAUGGGCGCGACACAACCGAGUAUGAAAGCGUGUCUCUAUCGCGCUCAAACAGGCUCUUACAGGCUAUAGUCAAUGCAAAUGGGUCAAACUGGUCUAACAACCAAAGCUCACGUGCUCGUGGCACAAUCUAAUGCAAGAUACAAAAAUUUGGGUCCACUGUCGGUCCCGACAGUACCCGGCGGUCCAACACAGACUAACUCAACUAUAAAAACUCACUCGGCUCCUCAGCGCGAGCGUAAACUCAACCUACACUAAUAUGAGUAUUAACUACGCACUAACAGCGGUUAUACAAAAGAACAGCAGCUUCUGAAGCUAAAUCUUAUAACUUUUGGAAAAAAUGACAAUAUAGGUUUAACGAGUUUUCUCCUAAGUCAAUUCCAGGUUCAGCAUAUAAAUUUGUCUAAAUUACUACAUCAUGCUCCAAAACUCAGAUUUCAUAAAAUAUGUAUUUUCUAAAUUUAAGCUACUAACAUGAAAACCAAAACAAGAACCACAUGCUGACAACUCUACGACUUAAGAGGAAAUCCGAUGAUUGUAAACAUCAACCCACCUCGAACGCUCAUCCAACGUCGACAAGAAGUCGAAAGGAGAAACUCCUCACGCCCGCUUGACCUCCGAUAGCCUCAACCGGACACAACCAUGACGCGCGCGCAAUCCUCCAAGACGACGAGAGGGGAAAUAAUCAGCUCGUUCCUUAUAAUCACAACGAAAAUGAGCAAAGCUAGAGAGAGAGAGAGGGAGGAGAACUACCUGUGUUCUCCAAGCUUAAGACACAAAGAGAGAAGGCUGGGGGGUCGGUUGGACUUAUCGACAAUCAGAAAGACCAAAUUAUCCCUUACCAAUUCAAUUUGCCUUUUGGAGUACCGGUACUCAACUUGAAUACCGGUACUCGACUCUCUUUUCUCAAACACACGCACUGGGUACAGGUACUAGCCCGAUCCAGUAUUGGUACUGAACAACAGGUACCGGUACUCAGCAUCAAGUUGCGCAAACCUGAGAGCAUCCAUUUCAAAAAUCCCUCUGGGGUACCGGUACUCCUCUUAGGUACCGGUACUCAACACUAAAAUCUUGCACUUUGCAGAUUUCAGUGUCAGCUUUCCACUCUUGCACUGCGCCGAGUCCGUUUUGCGUCCAAUUCGUGCCAAAACGACUCCGAUUUGUCUCGACACCCACCAUACGUGUCGACAAGCCACAAAUACUGAAGUCACACAGGCAGCCAAAUAUCAGGGACACUACAUUGGGGUUGUUUCCGUAUUCGCCUUUGUCGCCUUCUUUGGCGAAAAAAAAAGAACGCGAGGAAAAAAAAAGAGAGAGAAAAAAGUAUCAGAAUAUUUUUGUCAGUUUACUAAAAAUUCGGAUCGAAUCUGUAUAAUCGAAAAAAGCGGCUCAAUUUUGCAAAAGCUCAAAACUUAUAAAUUUUUUAUACAAAUCAGCCUAUAAAAUAACAUUGAAGGGAACAAUGAUACAUUAUUUACAAUUCUUUAGAAACAAGAUAUUUUUAUUUGGUUGCAAAAAAAAAAAAAAAAAAAAAAAAAAAAAACACACACACACAAAAAAAAAAAAAAAAAAAAAAAAAAAACACUUUUUUUUUUACUUCUAAAUUUAUUUUAAAUAAGCUCCCAUCCAAAUUUUGUCGAUCACCAUAAUAAAAGAAAUUUUUUCCUGCCAGUAAAUGAAAUUAUACUUAGAAAAACAAAAGAAAAACGAAAAAAAUAAAAAGGCAACAAUGCCUACGAUGCCCCUCCAAUUUCUUGAUAAUAACAUUUGAUUCUUUAAAAAUGAAUAAUAUAAUUAAGUAAAAUUUUAAAAACUUGGAGAGGGAAAUUAAAAAAAAAAUGAGGGAUUAAGUACAAAAGAAGAAACAUAUAAAUUGACCCACAAUAUAUACAAAAUAUGCCUCGUAGAGCAAGUUGUUGCUUCAUGAUAUUGCCCGAAAUUACACAGCUUUAUGAAUCUUUUAAUAUAUAAAUAUAUAUCACAUUACUGAAAUUCGUUGCAAGGCUCCAAAUCACUGGUACGAAAAUACAAACAACAUACACAAAUUACAUACACACACACAUAAAACACCAGUAUUUCAGGUUCACCCAAGCAUACUAAAUCACCACACAAACAACUAUACGCCAACAGAAACACCGAGUGUUCUUUCUUUCCGCAAAAAUAAUCGACCGUUUUCUUGUUUUACAACUUCGAUCCAAUUUUUAUCUAUUUCGACAAAAGCCAAAAAUACAAAGGGUUUUCUCGCAUAGAUAUAUAUAACUCUGGUACUUGCACUGUGCGAAAACGAAAUUUUGCAUAUGUAUCCCUUUUGGGGCAUGAAUGCAAACAAAUAUGGUUUUCAGAGACAUAGGUGCAGCUACCAACUUCGCAGGGUAACUUAUACGAGAUUCCAAAAAUAUUCAGGCAGAUACUUGCAAAAAAGACUACGAUGCAAAGAGUGGAUCAAAAUUGUAAAAUGAGGAAAAUACAGUAGAUUAUUACGCGAAAAGGCCACACCGAGAGAUAGAGAGAGAGAGAUUUAGGCGCUGCGACCCAUGGUCUGUUCCAUGGGAGGCAUCAUAACAAGGACAGAUCGCGCGUUGAAUCCAGGAUGGGGCAAACGGCGGCGCAGCUCCCGGGCCUCCUGGCAGAGAGCGCAAGGGUGGCACAUGUAGUGGGUCAGGAAAUCACAUGCCAUUUCAACCUGCUCGCGCUUUGCUUCGUCCCCGACCAUGCUUUGGCAGCAGCAGCCGCACGAUCGAGUGAACGCCUCAAAGCUACCCUGAAGCAAGAGAAAGCAUAUUGAGGGAUUCAACGUUUCCUAUCUGCUCCAACUCGGAAACUUAAAAGUGAAAUAUUUAUCAUGAAGCUUUUCUCUCAGUACCUAAAUAUUCAUGAUAGGCCCAUUAGUGCUCAACCACUAAAUGGCAUGCAAACAUAUAAAGAAAACUGACCUACAAAACGUAAGGGAAAUUCGAUGAACUAAAAGCAAACGCCACUGGACAAGCAAAAUGUGAUAUAAGUCAAGAGAUGAGAAGAAAGUUUUCCAUUUGAAAAGCUGCAGUAAAAUAGCAAUUAUUAUCCUGAAACAGUUACAUGGUGCAAUUCGACCCAUAAUGGAUAUCAACUAUGCAAUGAUCCACUCAUCCACCAAAUAAAUGAGGGUUAUUCUAUUGCUAUGCUGACCAGCACCUAUUUUGUCCUUUGGAAGGUCCCAAAAUUUCAAAGCGCUUCCAAUCUUGCCUCCUUUAUGCUAUAUAAUAGCGGUGGCAACAGCCGCUGGAGAAACUUGUGCUUACAUUACCAAACUAAGCCUCAGAAACAAUGUCCAAAAGAACGAAAGCAAGUACGAAAAUGUUAUUUGAAAGGUAGACAGAAAGAACCAUGAUAGGAAAUACGGAUUUAAGUAAUCAACGAAGAAUCCAUUCUUGCUGGGCUAUAAAAAGCUUACUUCGAGAUUGAAUUUAUGGCGAAUAGCCGUGCGGGCAGGAUACGCGAACCAUGGUGCUAUGCAAUUCCACCCAAAGAGAGAGUUUCCAAGACAAUAGAGGCCAGUGUAUGGCAAGCAAUUAUUUGCAAAAGAACCCUGCCCAGAUGAAAGCCUCUCAACAUUGCUGCCGUACAGCACACAAGGAGCAAAACUUCCAAGAAGGCCUGAAACCCAGCAAAAUGCAAUCUUUCAUAUCAUGGCAAAGAUAAAAGGUUAAGAGUAACCAUUGAAACAAAAUAUGCAUGAGGUCUAUUUCCAUUAGUAUGUUUACAUAUGACAAUUAAGGUGAAACGUGUAUAUAAAACGCAAACAAAACCAAUUCACACAUAAGAGCAAACACUUAGGGGGCGUUUGGAUUGACAAAUCUGUAGAUCCAACGUAAUUCAAGUGCAGUGGUAUUUGAGUUUCCCUGAAGUGUGAUUAUUUUUUUGUUGUUUGUUUUGACGUAACUCGUACAGUCUGAAAGUUAAAUUCAAUUACAUCUUCUGUUUAUUUUGAUGUAACUUGGCGCUAAUGAAAUUAGUUUUUUGAGUUCUAUUGUUUGUUUUGAUGUAAGUAAGCGGAUCCCGUUAUCUCCUAAAUAUAGUAGUAAACUUACCGCUAUAAAAUUUAACCUAUUAUAUAAUUAAAAUUUUCAUUAUUAUUUAAAGGUAAUCCUAAUUUAUUGUAAAUAAGGUAAUUCUAACCCAUUAUAAAGGAAAUAGAGUUUAGAUAUUACUAUUUAAUAAAUUUUUUAGAGGAGGUUGAGUGUGGCGGAAGUCAAGUUCGGCACUUUAGAGGAGGAAGUCGAGAGUAGGUGAAGUGAAGGUUUAACGUAACUUGAGUUACAUUAUAUUUUUGACUUACACCAAAACAAAUAACGAAAGUGAAGGAACUUGAGUUCCAUCCCUCCACUUACACCAAAACAAACGGACCCUUAGCGAGUCAAUCCCAAUUCCAUUUAACAAAAAGCUUCUAUCAUACUGAAAAAGAAGCCUGAUCUAAAUUGAAACAAAAGGAGAGAUGCAUCAUACAGGCUCUGAGAUAGUCUCUAAUUGCCAGAUUUGAUGCAUGAAUCAAUUACAAAAAGGAAGAAAUGAUAAAAGAAAAUCCUACUUAAAUAUUAGCAAAUGGAUGUAAACAGCACAAGAGGAAGAUAGUGCAUAAUAGCACAAUUGGGACAGUUCAUCUCACAGUUGAAAAACCCUGUUUUAAAAUCCUACUUUAACCUGUUUUAAAUCCGAUUUACCCUAAGGUACUUCUAGCUCUUCUCAAGUACAACAGCAAUAGGAGAGGCUUUUAUAGACAACCAUAUCCUUCUAUUUGUUCUGAGGUUAAUACAACCCUUAAAAUGUGAAAAAAGAUUGGUCCUAAAAUAAUUGAUAAGAUUCUAAUCAGGAAAUGGAUAUGGCCAUCAACAGGAGGAUUGAUUAAUUAUAUUACAGUUCAAGUUAUCGCAGAUGAAGCUUCCACAGAUGUCCUAUCAAACUCAAGCAUUCAAAGAAGCAGAAUCACACAAAAUGGAGCUUUCGCUUUUGGGGCCUGGAACUUGAAACUCAUUUUGGCAUCCCAUAGCAUCCUGAAUCACCAGAUUUUUUUCUUUUUGCACACCGCCUGGAUUCUGCUUUUCUGUUCCAGAAACCACAUUGUUCGCCAAAUUCAGGAUCUCUAAACUCGCAAUCCUACGUAAAACUAUUUGAUAAAAAUGUAUGAGCCCACCCUCCUUCAAUUAUAGGCCAUUCUAAAAGAGCACUCUGAACAUUAUUUUUCGACAGCUCCUCAAUUUUGAUUUGUCCUUGUUUGAAUUAUUUCAGUCGAUUCAAUAGAUCAAAUUUCACAUCUCUAACUGCUCUUCACCUAAAGAAAGUGUUGCUUCCAUUAUUCAGUAGUCAAUAGCUAACGGAGCCAUUAAUUUUAAUGAAAUCCCCAAACAAAAUGACCAAAAUAACUCAAAUCAAAAAAAUUUAGAGCACACAAAAGUUGACGCGUGUCAAUACAGAAAGAAUAAAAUGCAAGGGCCUACAUCAAAAUGGCCUAUAAUUGAGGGGUCUCCAUAUAUUUUACCUAAUUCUUCAAAUGACGAAUUUAUAUUCCGACCUAGUUUCUACAAUUUUACCACAGAUUUACGGAUCUAAUUCUCAUGAUCAUUCAGAAUCGCUUCUAAAUCGCCAAUCUCAUCAAAAAAACACCCUUCCUAAUUAAAAACCAAAAAAAAAACCAAAAAAAAAAAAAAAAAAAAAAAAAAAAAAAAAAAAAAAAAAAACCAAAAAAAAAAAAAAAAAAAAAAAUUGCUCCCAUUAUGGAAACUUUCCCAGAUCAACCCUAAUAACACCAACAACAAACAAUAAUUUCCCAGAUCAACCCUAAAAACCCUAAAUUUUCACGAGCUAACGAGAUCAAACAAUGCAUUACCAACAACAACAACAACAAUACCACCACCAACAACAAAUUAAAGUGAGAAAGAUCGGCCAUUCAAGAUAAGUGAGAGAGGUCGAGAUCGGGAGACGAUAUGGAGGAGAUCGAGAUCGAAAACUUACACACUUCGAGAUCGCUGCUGCAGAACUCGUCGUUGCGGCCGAGGCACGAGAAGAGGCCCGAGUCCCACCGGUUCCGCGCCACGGGCUCGCCGACGACGCUCACAUGGCCCAUCGGGACCCCGUCCGCAGUCCACUCCGCCGCGCAGCCCUUGGCCGGAGGCGGCGGCGCCGCCGAAGAGGGCUUCGCUGGAGCCGGGGCGGGGGCCAGGGCGGAAGCGACCUUGUCGUCGCCGUCCAUUUGGCUCAGAAGAGGGCUCGAUUCCUCCGGAUUCGCCAUGGGAGGAGCUCUCAAACCCUAGCGGAUAGAGAGAGAACGAGAGAGAGAGAGGCUUCUUCUAGGGGAAGAAAACAAAACGCGUGGAGAAACGAACGGAGCACCAAAAGACAAGUUCCGUUGCCGCGUUGGAAAGGCCCAAAAAAAAAGUGGCUUUUUUUGUGCAUUUGACUAGUGAAAAAAAAUUUAUUUUAAAAAUAGGCUAAAUUACAAAAAAAGGUCAAUUUGCAUAAAAAAUUCACUUAUUUUGGGCUUUUGCAAAAUCCGGCCACCUUUUUUAUUUUUGCAGAUUCGGUCCACUUUUUCAGCAAACUGACCAAAAUACCCUUUUUAUUUUUUCUCUUUCCUCUUUCUCUCUCCUCUUCGUUUCUCUCAUUCUUUUUUUUUCUCGCCGGCAGAGCGGAGGCGGAAACGGUCCGUCUCGCCUCUCACCCUUAUUGUCUAGCCCUCGUCCUCGCCCUCGCCCUUGCCCUCGUCCACGCACCCCCAACCUUCCUCACCUCCAACCCCGCCAAGGCCGCGCCACGACUUUUUUUUUUUUGCUUUUUUUUUUUCUUUUUUUCUCCGACUCUUCUCCACCGUCUCCGACGACGAUGCCUCUCUCGUCCUUCUCGUUCUUCCCCGCCCUUCUCAUCUCUCCCUCUCCCUCAUUCUCUGCCGCCUCCGACGACGAUGCAUCUUCGCCGGCGCCGACGUCGACACCGUGGAGGUCACUGCGGCGCUACAGGCUCGGAGCGGGGGUCCUUAGCGGUGUCGUCGCCGGCACCGUGGCUGUUGGCAGAGAAGGUGACAAAAAAAAAAUUAUAGAAAAAACAGAAAAAAAAAAUAAAGAUAAAAAAUUAUAUAAAAAGAAGGAUGAACAUCAAAUUGUAUCGUUAACGGUAAAAAAAAUUAUAAGUUGCACUAUUUAAGAUGUAAAACUGCAGCUUUAAAAUGAAAACUACACUCUUUAAACGAAAAUUACACUCUUUGAUAAAUAUUUACACUGUUUUCCUUCUUAUUACACUUUUUCAGAUGUAAACUGCAUCAAUUAAUAUGAAAGUUACACUUUUUAAACAAAAGUUGCACUGUUUCUCCUCUUGUUGCACCAUUUCUCCUCUUAUUACACUGUUUUUUAUCUUAAACUGCACCAUUUUAAGAGAUAUUUAUACUGUUUCUCCUCUUGUUGCACUAUUUCUGUGUAAAUAAGAGGAGAAAUAGUGCAACAAGAGGAGAAACAGUGCAAGAAGAGAAGAAACUGCACUGUUUUAAGAGAUAUAUAUACUGUUUCUCCUCUUGUUGCACCAUUUCUGUGUAAAUAAGAGGGCAAAUAGUGCAACAAGAGGAGAAACUGCACUGUUUUAAGAGAUAUAUCUACUGUUUUUUCUCUUGUUGCACUGUUUCUCCUCUUGUUGCACCAUUUCUGUGUAAACAAUAGAAGAAAUAGUGCAACAAGAGGAGAAACAAUGCAAUAAGAGGAAAAACUGCACCCUUUUAAGAGAUAUUUAUACUGUUUCUCCUCUUGUUGCACCAUUUCUGUGUAAAUAAGAGGAGAAAUAGUGCAACAACAGGAGAAACAGUGCAACAAGAGGAGAAACAGUAUAAAUAUCACUUAAAAGGAUGCAGUUUAAGAUAAAAAAUAGUAUAAUUUUCGUUCAAAGAGUAUAAUUUUUAUCUUAAACCAGCAGUUUACAUCUUAAAUAGUGUAACUUAUAAUUUUUUUUGUAAUUAACGAUAUAAUUUCAUCUUCAUCCUUCUUUUUAUAUAAUUUUUUAUCUUUAUUUUUUUUCUGUUUUUUCUAUAAUUUUUUUGUCACCUUCUCUGCCAACAGCUACGGCGCCGGUGACGGCGCCGGUGACGACGCCAGUGACGACGCCGCUAAGGACCCCCCGCUCCGAGGCUGUAGCGCCGCAGUGACCUCUACGGUGUCGACGUCGGCGCCGGCGAAGAUAAAUCGUCGUCGGAGGCGGCAGAAAAUGAGGGAGAGGGAGAGAUGAGAAGAGCGGGGAAGGGCGAGAGGCGUCGUCGUCGGAGACGGUGGAGAAGAGUCGGAGAAGAAAAGAAAAGAAAAAAGCAAAAAAAAAAAAGUCGCGGCGCGGCCUUAACGGGGUCGGAGGCGAGAAAGGUGGGGGUGCAUGGACGAGGGCAAGGGCGAGGGCGAGGGCGAGGGCGAGAGCAUGAGGGUGAGAGGCGAGACGGACCGUUUCUGCCUCCGCUCCGCCUCCGCUCUACCGGCGAGAAAAAAAAAAGAACGAGAGAAACGAAGAAGAGAGAGAAAGAGGAAAGAGAAAAAGUAAUAAGGGUAUUUUGGUCAGUUUACUGAAAAAACGGACCGAAUCUGCAAAAACGAAAAAAGUGAUCCGAUUUUACAAAAGCCCAAAAUAAGUGAAUUUUUUAUGCAAAAAGGCCAAAAAAAUUUGCCUAUAAUUUUUUUUUUUUCCCUCAAAAAGAACUCAAAGAAAAAUUCCCCGGGAAAAAAGAAAAAGAAAAAAAAAAAAAAAAAAAGAACAAUCCGGUAUCCGGAUAAGACGGAGAAGGCAACGGCACACUCUACCAGCCUGCUACUAGCGUCGUUUUUGGCGGAGAGAGCAUCGCACUGCGCCGCUAUCCGCUCCAUGGCCUCUCUCACUAUCAGUACUAGUUGCGGUCUGCUGCUCCUCCGCCCCAAACUCAACCGCCCUUCCUCUCCUCCCCUCUCCUCCGCCACCAAAUGCCGCCGGCGGUGCUCUUCGCCUCGCGGCGCCUUCGACCUCACACUCGCUCCGGUCAGUCCUCGCCCUCUUCUUCUUCAUCUUCCUGCUCCUGUGCUCUUGGUUGUCCAGUCAGUCUCCACUCCCCAACGAGUCCCGUGUUAUGAUUUUGGGUAGGGAAAGGAGGAGAAGACUGCUACANAGAGAGAGAAAGAGGAAAGAGAAAAAGUAAUAAGGGUAUUUUGGUCAGUUUGCUGAAAAAGCAGACCGAAUCUGCAAAAAUGAAAAAGGUGGCCCGAUUUUACAAAAGCCCAAAAUAAGUGGAUUUUUUAUGCAAAUUGGCCUACAAAAAAUUCUCAUGUAAUAACCUAUUUUUUUACUUUUCUUUUCUGAUAUUUAAAAACCUACCCUUUGCCCCCUUAUAAAAUAAAAAAUGUUCACAAAGAGAUUACGGUGUGUAAAAUGACCAUUUUGCCCCUCGCCAUUUUCGUCUUCUUCCUCAUCUUCCUCAGCCGCUCCUUCGAUCGGCCGCGAUUCCCACCUCAAUCGGCCGCGAUUUCUCUCCAUUUCCUUCUCCACCUGCUCCCCUUCUCCUCCUGCACCCUCGCCGCCCCUCGAUUUUGACGAUAGUAGGGAGAAAAUCGAGGUGGGUGUUGAUGGAGAGGUAAGCAAUGGCAACGAGGGCGAAGGGGAGGCGGCGGAGGAGGGCAAAGGGAAUGGGGACGAGGGCGAGGCAGUGGAGGAAGGCGAGGCGGCAAGGCGGCGGGCCGGAGGGAGGCGAAGCAACAAGGAAGAGGGCGGAGGGGUAUUUUCGGCAUAAAAAUAUAUUUUAUAACGGAACCCUAACGGUAGGGGGUGAAGUGCACAUUUUUCAUUUCAUAAGGGGGCAAAGUGUAGAUUUUUAAAUGUCAGGGGGGAAAGUGAAAAAGCAGAUUAUUACAGGGGGGUUUUCUAUAAUUUAGCCUUAAAAAUACUCUCAGUAAAUUUAUAUUUAUAAAAAUAGUUUUAAUUCUGCCACGCAAGUGCCACGUCAGCGCCACGCGAGCAGAACUAGGAUCAGAGUGUUAAGUUGAACACGAUAAACCAUUCACCGUAUCUAAACACGGUGAAUGGUUCAUCAUGUCCAAACACGGUAAACCAUUCACAGUGUCCAAACACGAUGAAUGGUUCACCGUGUCUGGACACGGUGAAUGUCUGGACAGACAUUGUGAACCAUUCACCGUGUUCUCUUUGUAUUACUAUCCUGCCCGAGCUCCCACCCUCCUCUCUCGCUCUUUUUCUUUCUGUGGCCCGCGCCGGCACCUCUCUCUCUCUAUCUCUCUCUCUCUCUCUCUAUAUGGCCCACCUCGCUGCCGCCGCCGCCGUCACCGCCCUUUCUCGCCCGACCAAUUUCCCCACCCUCAUGCUCUAUUGAUAUUCUGUUGGAUUUAUUGUUGUGUUGGAUUUGUUGUUGUGUUAUUGAUAUUGAAUUUCUUUUAUUGUUGUAUUAAAUUUAUUGUUGUGUUGUUGAUGUUGAAUUUGUUACUUCCAUUGAUGAUUUUUUCAGAAUUUGCUAUGUUUAUCUUUUGCAUUCUAAAAAUAAAAUGCUUGAAAAUUUUCAAAUAUUUAAAUUUGAGAUAGAGGUGACAUGUGAAAAACUAAUGAAAUGCCCAAGAUCGAAUAGAAAAGGAACAUAUUAUAAUCCUCUAUUUUUUGAGUCCAAUAUAAUUGUUUAUGAAACUUUUAUACCUUACACUCCACAAUAAAAUAGUGUUAUCAAAAAAAAAGAAAAAGAAAAAAAAAAGACUUCAAUGGAAAUAGUCAUACUUUACUUUCUAACUCAAAAUUAGGGCAUAAAUUUUGUAGUGAAGCCUUAUUACUGACUUAUCAUUUAUAAACAGAAUCCCAACAAAAAAGUAAUAAAAUUGUUUACGAAUUAUUCAAUGGCAGAAAGCUCAAUUUAAAUUAUUUGAAAGCUUAGGAAUGACGAGCUAUUGCGAUGUUUCAUUAACAAGAAAGAAUUAGGAGAAAGAGAAAUUGAGUGUAUAUUUAUUGGAUAUGCACAACAUAGCAAGGUAAAUAGAUUCUACGUUAUUAAUCCUAAUGCCUUUAUUGGAGUCAAUUCAAUAAUUGAAUCUAGGGAUGCCAUAUUUGAUGAAAACCAAUUUAUUACAAUUCUUAAAACCAAAAAAUUAUUACUCAUAAGGAACUCUUAAGUAAGGAAAAUUAUAUUGAAGUGGAAAUCCCUAAACUUAGAAGAAGCAAAAGAGUUAGAACAACUAAAAUAUUUCGACUAAAUUUCCUUAUUUUCUCAGUAACGAACAAGAGAAAAUAUUGAAAAUAAACUCCAAAUUUAUUUUAAUAUUGAGCCAGAACUCUCAACACUUGAGAAAAUUAUGAAAUUUUUUUGCGCUACUUCUUAGACAAAGAGACUAUUAAGUGAUGAAAUGGACUCAAUAAUGGGCAACAAUACUUGGAAGCUAGUUGACCUCUCUCCCGAUUGUAAACCAAUUGAGUGUAAAUAGAUGUUCAAAAAAAAAAAAAAAAAAUAGUAGAUAGUGCAAUUGAUAAAUUUAAAGCUAAACUUGUUUCCAAAGGGUUACAAUAAAAAACAAAGCAUUGACUGUUUUAAUGUAUUUGCAUUUGUUACUAGAAAUGUCAUAAUCAGAAUUUUAAUUGUACUUCUAUUUAUAAAUUUGUUAUUCAUCAAAUAUAUGUAAAAUCUGUUUUUCUAAAUAGUGAUGAAUUAGUUGAAGAGCUUUAUAUAGAGCAACCUGAAGGUUUUGUUAUUCCUGGACGAGUUCAAAGUGUGCAACUUGUUAAAGCUUUAUAUGGACUCAAACAAGUUCCAAAACAAUAGCAUCAAAUUUGAUGAAAUUGUUGUUGCAAUGUCAUGAAAUUAACCAAUUUGAUAAAUGUAUCUAUAACAGAUUUUCUAACGAUAAAGGUGUUAUAAUUUAUUUUUAUGUUGAUGACAUGUUAAUUUUUUGCAUUGAUCUUGAAUACAAAAAAGUUUUUAUCUAAUAAUUUUGACAUGAAAGAUGUAGGACUUACUAAUGUUAUUUUGGGAAUCGUAUUAUUUGAGAUAAUAAUGGUAUAAUUUUGAUGCAAUUUUGUUAGAUAGAAAAGAUUGCUAGAAAAUUUGAUAAUUUUGAUUGUACUCCAGCUUCUACCUUAUAUGAACAAAUUUGAAAUUGGUUUGUAAUACUGGCAGGUCAUUUAAACAAGGGUUAAUUUCAUAUAGAUCCCUGCAAAUAUAAUGAAUGACAAAUAUAUUCCUAACUUUCAUAUGUUGUCCCUACAAAAAUCCUAAUAUUUUAAAAUAUAUCCCUACAGUUUGAAUUUGUUAGAAAAAUUUAGAUAACCAUAGGUUAAAUACUUAACUUUGGUUAGUUUUUGACAUUUUUACCCUCUUAUAUUAUACUGUUAUGAUUUUUUAGAGAUAUAUUUGUGAUGGCAAAAUUGAAAAUAUAAACGGUUCUCUAACGAUUCUUUAAGGGUAACAAACCAGAGGGACAUAUUUGAAGAAUAUUAGAACUUUUGUAGGGACAAUAUACAAAAGUUGAACUUUGUAGGAAUAUAUUUGUCAUUCACUAUGUUUGCAGAAACCUAUAUGAAAUUAACCCUUUAAACAAUUACAAUAUACAAAACUAAUUAGUAGUUUAAUAUAUGUAAUGUCCUGUUUUAAAUGAUAUAUCAAGAAUUUUGAAAUAUUUGAAAAAGACAAUAUACUAUGGUAUACUCUCCAAUGGGUAGCCAACUAUAUUAGAAGGCUAUACAAUUGCAAGUUGGAUAGCAGAUCGAAAAAAUCAUAUAUUUACAAGUGGAUGAAUAUUUGCCUAGAGUGAUAGUACAAUUUCUUAGGGAUCCAAGAAACAAAUGUGCAUAGCGGAUUCUACUAUGACUGCAGAAUUCAUAGCAUUAGUAUCUUCUAGUAAAAAGACAGAAUGAUUAAGAAAUUUAUUUUUGAAGUUUUCUCUUUGGCCAAAACCAAUGCCGUCGGGAUCACCACAUUGUGAUUGUGAGGUUACUCUUUCAAGAGCAUACGAUCAUAUAUACUAGUGAAAAACCCGCAUUUCUCUGCGGAUAAAUAGAUAAAUAUAGUAUUAAAUGUAGUCUUUUAUAUGGUAAGUAGAUUGGGAUCAAUCUGCAUAAACGCAUAGUACAAUCACAGAGAGAAAUGCAAUAUUAAAUGUCAGGUAAAUUUAUUUUAAAAGAUGACAAUUGAAACUUAUAAUAUAACUUGAAAAUUAAACGCAAUCCUUCAUAUCUUGUCUUUAUUUGUAGAGGGAGCUUCAUGGAACCUGAAAACAAAAGUAACCAAUUUAGUUUAAUCUAAUCCUAUAUAUAAUAUAUAAACGCUAAAUAUUUGAGGUAACAAAUUAACGAUAUUAGAUCUUACGUAAGUCAGUUAUUUUUUCGCAGGCUGAAUUUCAUUUAAAUUAUCAGCUAGUCCUGGAGAGCUGUAUAUUGUUAAAAGGUGUGAGUGCGUGUGUGUGUGUGUGUAUAUAUAUAGGGUCCGGCUACUAUACUAUUAUGAGUAUGAUCGCCCUCGUACUCAUAAGUUGUUUUCAAUGAUAGAGCUUCCGAAUCGACGAUCCACAUCGUUAAACGUCAUUUACAGCAUUUAAAACUUCUAGAAAUCAAAUUUUAUAAUUUUUUGACGUCAUUUACCUUACGAUCAAGAGGUCACAAAUUUGUCAAUUUUUAACGGGCGGUAUGGGAUACUUGCUAGUUUAACGGUGUAAAAGAAUCGAAAUUUGUUGAAUUUUUGAUAAAAAAGUCGUAUUCACUACAUAGAUAAAGAUCAAUAACUCCGAUCUUGAAUUGAAGGAUCUGAUCAUAUAUAUAUAUAUUAUAGGCCAUGGCUACUAUACUAUUACGAGUAUUGGAGCCUUCGUACUCAUAAGUUGUUUUUAAUGAUGGAGCUUCCGAAUCGACGAUCUACUCCGUUAAAUAUGAUCUAGAGUAUUUGAAACUUCUAGAAAAUAAAUUUCAUAAAUUUUCGAAAUCAUAAUAAAGUCCAUCAAGUUGGCAUAAAAUGAACGGUCAAAAUCGAACGACGUCCUUAAAAAGGAUGAUCGGAUCCUUCAAUCCAAGAUCGGAGUUAUUGAUCUUUAUAUAUGUAGUUAAUAGAAUUUUUUAUCAAAUAUAUAUUCAACAAAUUCUGAUUCUUUUACACCGUUAAACUAGCAAGUAUCUCAUACCGACUGCUAAAAUUGUCAAAUUUGUGAUCUCUUGAUCAUAAGGUAAAUGACGUCAAAAAAUUAUAAAAUUUAAUUUCUAGAAGUUUUAAAUGCUGUAAAUAACGUUUAACGGUAUGGAUCGUCAAUUCGGAAGCUUUAUCAUUGAAAACAACUUAUGAGUACGAGGACGAUCAUACUCAUAAUAGUAUAGUAGCCGGACCCAUAUAUAUAUACAUAUAUAUGUUUAAUAUAAUAUAAAAUAAAUAUUAGAAUAUUACUUGGACGAAAUAGCUGCACUUGGAGAUGCCUCGGCAAAUAAUUCAUUGUGAAUUUCUUUUUGAGAAGUAGGAGAAUGCGGUCCUUGUUCACAUUUGAUUAAUAAAUUUGCAGUUGUAUGGGUCUUCACCUUUGUAUCGAAUAGUACUUUGCUAAAAAUUUUAAGUACUUUAAAAGAAGAAGCAUUUGUUCUAAACCUGUGUACAUCAGGCACUAUUUGAAAAAUAUGCUCUUAUCCAAUAAUUACUUUAAUUAUAGAAGAAGAGUAAAUUUAUCCGAACCAGGGGAAGUAGCUAAAUUUUGAGCUGGAAUAUGAAUCAAAUCUUAUGCUAAUCUUCCGAGAAUGGUAAAAUUCAUAAAACCACUACCAUCUUCAACAAUAGUGUUUAAUUUGUACCUGUUCAACAACAAAUUGAAUUAAUUCUUUUUAGAUGAGACAGAAACAAGACAAUUAGUUUAUUUGGAAAGAACAGCAAAAACUAAUUUAAAAAUAGAAUACAUACCAUGGUUGCCUUUGAAUAGGCCAUCCGACGUGCAUAUUCAAAAUGAGUUUUGUUUACGAACCAUCAUGACAGCAGGCCGAGUCCUUCAUUUAAUCUACUGGUUGCCAUCAUCGCCUCGGAAAAAGCUAGUGAACAGCAACAAAACCCAAGCUGCAAGAAAUGACUAAGGAGAGGGGAGAGAAAAUUAAUUAGUCUCACAAUGCGAAGCUUAGAAGACCAAAAAACCAAAUAUGUCAAGCAAGCUGAGAACUAAGAGGGGAGCAAAGUUUUCACAAAUACAAAGAGCUGCACAGCAGGAAGCAAGCAGGCAAAGGUAAAAAAACUAUUCUUUCCAAACAAAAUAAUAGCAUACCAAAGCUGUAAAGAAAAAAAGGCAAGCCUCAAGCCUGCAUUACAAAAUUACCAAUGAUGGAAACACGACUUUCAUAGACCGAUGAUAAUUUUUUUUAUUAAAAUUUUUAAUACGGGGCAUUUUUGAUAUAGUUUACCUAUAUAAUUGUCAAGUUUGGCCACGUCUAGGAGCUAAAGGGCCUGGUCUAACAGCCUUCAUGAAAGAGGAUAUAAACACAAGAUUACUAAUGUGUCGACAAUAAAAUAGAGCGCUCAAUGCAUAAAAAUGUCGAGAUAUGUUUAGUUAGUCAAGAUUAAUUGUUGGUUUGGUUCAAAAACUUGUCACCAUUCAAUUAUGACUAUCUUUAAUGUGUCAUCACUAAGUGUAUGUCCAAUUAUUGUACACAUAUAUUUAUGCAUAAGAUUUACUAAACGUUGUCGAAUUAUUUUGAAAAUUUGCGAGGAAUUUUGAGAGAAUUUUUAAGAAAACUUAAUGUUGUCAACGUUUCUAUCUCAUUAAAUAACGUUAUGAAACUUAUUUGGUCUGACCUAAAGAAUAGCUACUAUUCUUUAAUGAGUGGUUGAAUCAUUUAGCAUGUCGGUUUGAUGGCAUUUAUAUACUUGAUAUGAAACCAAGCAUCAAAUAUGCAUUGGAUGCACCUAUUUAGUAGGGGCAUUAUAUGGAAUUGAUAGAGGCUAUUCAAUCGUUGGUUGGUGAAAUGUAAUAAUGUUGAGAGAAAAUCCAAUUCACACUAACAAAUUGUAUCAUAUCAGAAUUAUUACUCGUUAUUGUAUUGCAAUUAUUAUUUGAUUUGAAAAGACACGACGAGUGAAAUGAAUAACUCAGAUGUAAUUAAUUAUAUUGCAACCGACUGACUUAAAGCUAAAUGGUUUCCACCAAUGAUAAGAUCAAGAAAACCAAAUUAUUUUACGUUAAUUACCCUCUUACCAUUCCCUACUUCAUUAACUUGAUACAAUUGCUUUAGAAAUUGUACCGAGUUUCAUCGACAAUUUUGCUACUUUCUAAGCAUGAAUGCUCAAAGGAUUGUUCGUCUAUGCAAACGUAGUCCGUGAUUAUACUUCAUUGUGUCCUGAGAGACUGUUCGUUGAUUUAGUGCACACCAAUUUAAAUAUUUGGUGUGGAAGAAUUAAGUUUUUAAGGAAAGCGGUAUUACAACACGCCAGAAAGCGGUAUUACCUCACUUUCUCACUCGUAGCUCCAACGGGUAUUACGGCGAAUAGAAGCACUGUAGAGGUCCUUUUGGAAAGAGAGUAAGAGACUACUGUUGGGUUUCUUGUUUGGUAUAGUGGAAGUGUGUUUGUCGAGAGAAGAAAGGGGAAGUCUCUGUCAAGGAUGUCGCAACCAUGAAUGCUGCUCUGAUGAUCAAAUGGUGGUGCUGCUUUCUUAGAGAACCAGAAGAUCUAGAGUAGAAGAAGCUAACAAGAGGCCUAUAUUAUUACACUAGAUGGGAGCCGCUGGGAGAAAGGGCAUCUUUCAGGCCAUAUUAGCAGUGGACCAGUGGUGGAAAAAUGUCUUGAAAGUCGAAGACAUCUUCAAGUGUAGGUUUAGCUACAAGUUGGGUGAUAGCAAAAGCAUUGACAUGUAGUCGGACAUUUGGUGCGGAGAUAUUUCACUGGGUACCGACUUUCCAGAUAUCUUCUCCAAAAUAACCAAUAAGAAGAAGACAAUUAAAGGGUGCUUCUUAAAUAAAAUGUGGAGGUGGAAGUUCACUCUUCCAGGGGUCACAAACGAAAAUAGAAUGAUCGGGGCGCAGAAGAGGAUGCAAUCGACAAAGGUAAAGAAGAGGUUAAAGAAGAGGACGGAAAUUAAACCUACCUCGCCGCAAUUUGGUGGGAGAUUUGGAGAGCAAGGGACAGUGAUUUUUCCAAAUAAAAGUUACGACGUUUUGGACGUGCUGGACGGUAUUAGGAGGACAGCGGAAGAAUGGAGCGAGCAUUGCCGGCAGUUCUCAUCUUGGUCAGUAGUGUGGAUUGUUUUGUCUGUCCUUUCUUCUCUUUUUCUUUGUUUUUGCUGAUUUUCUUCCGGAAGGUCCUAUCGCCCCGAUUCAUUUCCCAGAUUGUGAAUGAAGUAGAUAGCUAACUACCUUUUCUCCCAACAAGAAAAGAGACAAGCAGCUUUCAUCUUCCUGACAUAAUGGCUUUUGCCUGUUUCACAAAAAGUUGUCUUUAUACACCAUUAAGAUAUGCUUCUAAUCAAUAAUGUGAUGCCAAAUAAAAUAGCGUAGGGUCUGAUGCAGAGCAAUAUGAUGAUUUUCUUGCGGUAAUGAUGUUUAAAAACCAAAUUUGCACUUCCUCGCAAUAUGCAAAAUUCUGAUUAGAUGUUCUCAUGCCACAGUGACAGCUGCAGUAAAGUAUGCCCUCACUAAAGACAAGCCAUACUCCAGUUAAAACAGCUGUUACUAAAACCUAAAAAGUGCAUUCUAUCUCCGAGCUACAGCUUAAAGUCCUAAAUUGUCAAGCAUCUGAUAAGCUUUUCCCAACAAAAGAAAUUGAUCAAAAAGCUAAACCUAGUCGGUACUGCAUUGGUCAACGAUAAGAGGCAUUCAAAGCAAUUAAAUUAGAUGCUGGCACAGUAGUAAAAACUUCGAAGCAGACAAUUGGCGCAUCAUUAAUAGUAAUAUCCUGUUUAGGGUGCCUAUCAAGCAUGCUACCACUUGCCAAGACAAAUCCACGGGUUAACAAACGAAAUAGGAACAAAACUCAAAAAAGAUAUGGGACUGAGCUCCGUACAUUGCAAAAAGUGAUAAACAGUAACGUUAGGGAGGAAAAAAACCAAAAAACCAAAAAAAAAAAAAAAAAAAGACACUCGAGAUCCACACAAGCAAGGCCCCUGGGUCAAUCACAAACCGUACCUAAAAGCAAUAAUUUUUUAGCAUAAAAAUAUUUACCACUAGUAAGAACAAAUGUUCAAAGGCGACGCACGUCCUCGCAGAACAAAGAAACCUGCAAAAUGAAAGUGAACCUGCAAAAUGAAAGUGAACGACCACAAAAAACAUAGUUAAACUCAUCGCUUGCUUCUUUAGAGAGUACUCCCGAAGUUCAAUUAACAAAUCAGAUUUCAGGUGCGACAUCCGAACUGCAAAUGAAGGUUCAAAAUAAGACCAGUUAAAAAAACUACUGUAUGUGUCGAUAACCAACUCACUAACUACAUAGUGAAAUACAUAAUUUGGUACGCAAAUGCCAGUAUAGCUGCACAGACAACAAAGAACAGUCAUCUUAAUAUAUUAUUAGAUGAAUAUCAAGCAGUUGAUGCAAACUUCUAGUUCAAGGGAAAAAAAAAAAGUCACGAACAAACCCUGUGAUUCAUGAAAUUUAUGCCAUCUUCACCAGGAUGAAUAAGCACCUAAAAUUUACAACCGAUCAAAAACCCUAAAUACAAAUUAUAUGAUACAACGGGCCUUCCCAUUCAUUUGGCUUACACAUCCUGGAAUGGCCUCAAAUUUCCCUCAUCUCCUAUAAAAAUUUACAGCUUUUUGCAGGCAAUUCAGGUAAGAGAAGAAAAAAGGGAAAAAAAAACUGUGACGACCUGUGGAUGAGAAUCAGCGACCUUCAAUGAUGGGCGCGCCAAAAGAAUGCAAGCAAUGUCUAGGGUAAGCUUCACUCAUGGCCCCGAAACUUUUAAUGUUAAAUUCAGUUUGGUCCCAACUGUGUCAGUUAAUUGUCACCAACUUCCCGACCUCUGCAUAUUGUCACAAUUUUAUCCAUUUUGUUUGGACGAAAAUAACCAUGUAAUCAUCAUCCAAAUGCCAGAGAAGCAACUGUGGACUUUGCACACGGAUUUACAUGGGCAUUUUCUUCGAAUUUAAUAGAGAACUCAAUGUAUAGGGCAGGGACACAAUUGUAACAAUUGGGUCAGGGGACCAAAUUGAAAACUUAACAUAAAAGGAUGGGCAUCUUAGUGCAACUCACCCUUAAAGUCCACUUAAAAGGUUAAGCUCACCAGUUACUUGACUGAGCCACAAUAUCAGGUGCUGCAAAAAAUUUCUCGUUUACAUCAAUAAAAUGGCUUAGAUUACCAACUUUCCAUGUAGAAUUGAAGUGGUGAAUAUGGCGAGCUUAAACAUGUUCACGAAAACAGUUUAUUCUUUUAUCUCAUGAUUUUCUGUGUUGUUUAAUCCGAAUCGGUGUCUAUUGAUAGAUAAUUUGAUAGAUGAAGUCGAGGGCGCACAGAUCGGGGCUGUGGAGGAUGAUGAGAGAACAAGUUAUUGUUCCUUGUACUAUUCAAAUUUGCUCUGUUGUUACCUCUGUCACCAUUCAUGCUCAGAAGGGCAGAAGCUGCAAAUGAAAAAAAGUAAAAAGAAAAGAAAAAACAAAGAAUUAAUAAGAUUUACCAUCAUAAUAGUCAUUGAGUUAAUAUAGACAAGCCACCAGUUGAACAGCUUUCAUUUCUCGAGUCAUGGCACGGAUUUUUUCCCCCAAAAACAGCGAUACAAAAACCCAUUUGACAGUAUUAAUUUCAGGAAAAAAAAACCGAAGCAGAAAUUUCUUGCAUUCCUAAUAAAAUUAAAUUGAAAUAAGAUGCUUGGUGACAUCUAUGCAAUGAUGAUAAACUUCGAAAAAAGAUGGAUCAUGGGAUACUUGGUAACAUCUAUGCAAUGUUGACAAUACACGUCUUUAUCCUUGAGCAAUGUUAUGAAGUUUAAACUGGUUAUACAAUAAGCAGGACAUUAAAAUCGCAAAAAGAGAUGAUAAGUUUUGUAAUCAGAUUCCAAAACAUGAAAUGAAAUUUUAAAAAAAAAAAUUGACGAAAACUGUACAAACCAGCAUCAUUUAUUGGCUCCACUCUAUUCUCCUUUGGCAGCUGCCCCUGCACCUGCUGCUGCUGCUGCUGCCGCCCCACAUUCAGCCCAUUACUAGGAGCAGACUCUUCAUAACCUCCGCCAGCAGCAAGAGUAAGCGAGAUCCAGUCAUCAGAACGGACCCCAUUCGCCACAUCACCACGCGCACCAAAAUCCGAUUCCAGAGGAACACUGGAUGGUCCACUUGGUAGGAAAAUUUGCAAGGAUGGAUCGUCAUUAUCAACAGCCAUGGGAUUAUCAAACAAACUCCCAUGCAUAUCCAAACCAUUAUGACAGUUCGAAAUGUCUUGAGCCCCAGACGUCUCCCCAAUAUUACCAUCUGGCCCCAGACCAAACCCAUUGUUUGGUGCAACGCCGAGGGAAUUAUGUGAAUCAACUAGGUUAUCCGGUACAUCAGCUUCGGACCCAAAGAAUUGAAAGCCCGGCCCUUGAGGACAAGUUUGAAUCUGCCACGGAUUUAGUCCAAAAUCAUCACCGUUGCUGUUAAACAAACCUAGGCCUGGGUCUUCGGGGUACCUUUCAGAGUACCUCUCUGAAAACCCUGUAUGAGUGGUAGGAAAAGGCAUAGUGUUCCCACCUAAUGCAAUGUUCUCUUCAUCAGAGUCACUAAGAACGAUGAAAUUUGGGCCACUUGACUGGGGAGGAGGAAUUCCUUCCUCAACAUUGUAUGCAGGAUCAAAAUUUGGAGAAAGAGAAUCAAACUCAUGCCCAUUAUUCAAUGAUAGAUCAAAGUGGACCCCUCCCUCUUGGUUUACACUAGGGUCUUCACCAUCUCUGUAGCUUCCAGUGGCACUGCUGCUCAUUGGAAUGUUCUGGAAGUGGUUUUCGGGUUUGUUAGGAACUUGAUUUCCAGAAAACCGCAGCUUCACUACAUCGGGUUUACUCACUUCCCAGAUUCCAUUGCUGUUCCUCUUGAUUCCUAUUCGCAAGCCUGUGUGGGGCCCUUCUAAAGUAUCUUCUUGUUUAAUUUGCUUUAUAUCCUCUAAGCGGGGCUUUAUGUCUUCCUCCUUUGGGGUACAAACAGAACCGUCAGGUAAAUGCCACUGAGAAAGCUCCCAAAUUACACCUUCACCCUUUGCACGCCAAGAACCAUCAGGCUUGACUUCAAUCUCAUUUACAUCUUCGCCACAGUUUCGCAGCUAUGUACAUUAUCAGAAUAAAAGGCUGAUCAAUAAUUUUAAAAUACAGUUGAAUUGACAGUAAAGCACAAUAUGAAACCUACCAACCUACCAAUGAAGUUAUUCGAUUAAAAUAGGGAUCAAUGAUCAUGUUUUCAAGAGUAUAGUUUUUUAAGCAUAUCGGACAUUGCCACUGCAUCAAAGAAAAAAAUGUUAUCAGAGAUAGGACCUGAGAGAAAAUUGAACAAGAAAUCCUAAGAGAAAAUUUAACCUUACGAGACCGCUGAUUAAGUUCCACAAAAGUUUCGAGAUCGAAGCAACCCAUGUGAAUGCAAGGCUUGAACCUGCCCGCAAUUUUAAUUCGCGAACCGCUAUUCUGUAAAUUACAAAGAGAUAAAUUUAAAGAUUAUGUCAAAGGGAUUGAUCAGAAUAAGAGAUAUUAAAAGAUCAAACAAGUUUUAAUUGGUGAAUCUAAUCUUAACAAAGUGUCAAUUGAGAUUCAUUGAAAGAAAUGGUUAAAUACAAACCUUAUAUAGUUUGUAAUGUUGUGUUAUUUGUAAAGGAAGAAUGUGUCGGUUGUUCGUAAUAUUCAUGAUUGAAUAUCAGUAUAUCCAUCCAGUUGGCCUUAUUCCAUUUCUCACAAUCCAUUCUCUCUCUAAUCUAAUCUGAUAUCCUAACCCAUUUCUCUUACCUCCUGUCAAGCUUUUAACCUCGUUCUCCUUAUCACCAAUUAUUUGUAUUGUAUAGGAGUUUUUACAUAUAUGUCCCAGUACCCAGCAUUGCAAAAUCGUUUAUUUACAUACGCACCCCUGUAAAAUCUGAAUUUCAAUAUUAUACCACGACGAGAGUGCAGUGUCUUACAAAAAUAUUUUAUCUCGAGUCAUCCGAUUCAUCGUAUAAAGUUGGUCUUGCAUUAAAACAAGUUCUCCUAAGAAGUGCAUUCCUCUGAGAACAAGCCAGUUUGUAUUGAAACAAGUUUUCUUUCUCUUUACCAGAGGGGUCUUUUUUGUAAGCAUAUAUAUAUAUUUAAGGUUUUUAAAGGCAUAUUAAAAUGAGAUUUGCCAAAGAGUAAAGAUAUAAAUAAUGAUUUUCAUAAGGCCAUGUCUGUAAAAUUUUUACAAGCAACAAUGAAUUAUGUCACAUCAGGAAACAAUCACAAAAAAAACAAAGUUUCGGAUAAAUGUAUCUUAAGUGAGAAGAACAAACAUUUCACUAGAUAUUAUACACCAAAACUUACAGGGCAUCGGAGGUUGACAGUUACAUUUUCUGUAACCACCUCCAAAUCACUGUCACUAUCCGCGUUCUCUACAGCAUUUCCGCCACCAACACAGCGACGAACCCGGGCAAGAGCAUCCUCGAAGCGCUCGCCAUCAGGUUCCUUGGGCACCAAAUUAAGGACCUAUAUUUUAAGGUAUAAGUUCAAAUAGUAGAAGAAAAGAAACAUAUUAUAAACUGUGGAAUGGGAAAAAAAAAAAAAAAAAAAAAAAAAAAAAAAAAAAAAAAAACUAGAAAGUUGAAACAGAAAUUAUAUACUUGAAGGCCCCAUUUGGUUUGGAGAAUAAGCGGGGAUAACGAAAGUUAUCCCCGCUAUUCCGCCAAACGGGGUGAAAUUUGGCCGGAAUAUUUUAUCCCGGUCAAACCUUGCUAUUUCCGGUUAUUCCGGAAUAGCAAGGAAUUUGCUAUUCCACCAUUUUGGUGGAAUAGGGCUAUUCCAAUGCUUAAUUUCAAACUUAAUUAAAAUUAUAAAUUGAAUUAAAACUAAAUUAUAUAAAUAUAAUAUGUUAUAUAAUAUAAUAUAUUAUUUUUGUUAUAAAAUUAUUAAUUGUACUAUAUUAAUACAUAUUAUUAUAUUUAAUAUUAUAAUAAAUGCUACUUAUUAAAUUUAAGUUUAAGUAUAAAUUUAAAAAAAUUUAAUAAAUUUAUUAUAAUAAAUUAUUUUUAUUAAAUUAUUCCCACCCCUAUUCUUAUUUUAAAAUUUUAAAAAUUAAAAAUUUAAAUUUUUAAAAUUAAUAAUUUAUAAUCUCAAAAUUAAAGUUUAUAAUUAUAAAUUAUAAAUUAUAAAUUAUAAAUUUAUAUUUUGAUAUUUUAAUUUUGUUAAAUUUUGAUAUUUUAUAUUUUUAAAAUUUAAAUUUAAUCUUAAAUUUAAAGUUUGAAAUUUAAAAAUUUAAAUUUAAAUAUAAUAAGAGGAUAAUAUGAUUAUUUUUUAUUUAUAAAAACCCACUAUCUUUCUUAUUCUAUCUUACCUAACCAAACGCUAUUUUUUUAUUUCUAGAAAUAACUCAAUUUUUAUCCAAACGCAAAAUUGAUCUAAUUACCGCUUAUACCUCAAUUAAUACCUAUCCCUGGAAUAGCCACUUUUUGCUUAUCCCCGAACCAAACGACACCGAAGAGUAUUAAUGAUGUCCAUAUGACAACUUUCAUUUUAAUGGCUUUGCCAACCAUCAGAAGCAUCACCAAUAAGAACAUUUACACCAAAGUGUACAGAUUUGAAUACAUGAAAUAUGCAAAAUGCCCCUGCAAAUUUGGAAUUUCCAACUGUAACUCUUAAAACCUUGUUUAUUUAAGAUUCUAACCCCACAUCAAGCAUAUCUAUACAAUAAUGGUUUUUCAUAUAUACUAUUUUUGCUAGAAACCCUGCCACAGGAUCAAUGCCAAUAAAUAGGAUAUUCACGAGCAUUUAUGCAAAUAACAAUUUUACAGGUGUUUACAUAAUUUAAUACAUUUGAAGGGGUAUGCAUGCCAAAACAUGACAGUAUAUUCAUAUAUUCAAAGCUUCACAUAGAAACAUCUUCCGUAGAAAAUGUUAGUUCAAUACUAAUGCAAUAUGAAUUUUAUUCUAGGAAGAAAAAGGAUACUAAACAUAAUGCCAAGAAUGAACGAACUACUUGAAAUUAGAGGUCGUAUGAUUAUUCUAAGAAUCAUGAAUUUGAAGAACGCAAGGAGAUCAGGCACAUUAGACAAGAGAAAGGCUGGGCCCAAUUUGGGAUGGGCUUGAUUUUUGAAAAGGUUAUUUUUGCCCAGCCUGGCCUAAACAUUUAUACUGAUCUUAAGCCAGAAUCAGAUCCCAAACCACCAGUUAACAUCAAAUAGGAUACAUGUAAGACCAGGAUGAGACAACAAAGAGAGGGACCUGGCGAGUUAGGAAGGGUCAGAUUUGCUCAGAUCUAUUAGUCCACAUGAAAGAAAUAACACUGUCUCCACUUUUCAUCAGAACGAGCUAGUACCUGCUGUAGCGUCCGCCUCUUUGCGAUUCUUAUGCCAAAGCAGAAAACGCGAGCAUCACACCUACUUAAACAAAUUUUAUUUACUCCUUCCCUGCUACAUGUGGUGAUCUGAGCAUAAAAUGAAUAACAAGUUACACACAGGUCCUCCAGAAAGAAACUGAUUUGUGAAGAAAACCACAAUAAAUGCAAAUGAAACAAUUGUCUGCAAUAUGUACACAGAUGCCUUUUUAUCACCAAUAAUUCUAAAUCAAGUUUCAACUAUCACUCAAAUUAGGUAUUAAAAUGUUUCAAUUACAAGAAAACCAUUUUACCACCACUGUAGUUAGCUGGAGCUUUUGCAAAAGUACUAUUUGAGUGAGAGCAAUCCGAAGAAGCACAAACAACUUUAUUGUUAUAAUCUCUUAAACCGCUUUGCUGUAAAGCAAAAGCAGAAGCUUCCAGUUGGAGCUCCCACUUUUCGGACCAAGAAGCUCAUCGCCAGCUCAAGCAUCUGGAAGAUGCUUCACGGACUAGAAAAACUGUUCCAGAAGCCGAGCAGGCACUUCAACUAAUUUCUCACAUGCAUUUAGAAAGUGCUUUUACGGCAUUUUACCAUAAUAACAAGAAAGCAUGAUUAAAGAAAUUAAAUCCGACAACAAAAGAAGUUAUUAGGUUGAAUAUAUGAACAUAUGGUCUUCUAAAGUUAACAAAAUUGAAAUUUUUUAAUGCAUGAAGAGACGAAGAAACUCACCACCGGACCAUCAUCCCGACCGUUGAUUCCUAAUAAUUGUGAGCACGGUCUAGUAACUACCCGAACUGGAAUACCUAUUAGAAAAUGAGAGAAUCAAAGAUAUAUAGCAGAACUAUGGACAUCCAAGUUAGAUAAAAGCUCUCACCCAUGACAAGAGGUAAAAUUUAUGUAAAAUGGGAAAUAUGCCCAUAAAUACCUUCUUAUGCUACAUAUAAUAUAUAGUCGCUCACAGAACAAAAGCUACUUGCCUGAUAACAUAACAUAUGUUAUACUUACUACAUACACCAAUAACCAAAAUCAUGAUACAAGUACGAGUAGCUAGUCAGGAAAAUCAUCAUAGAGGAUGCCCUUAAAGUACAUUAUGUAGCUUAUCAGAGAAUGGUGAAGCUGGAGAUAGCACACAUAAUAAGGCAGAUGGGAGGAGUAAAGAAAAAAAGUGUUAUAGCAAUUAAGAGAAAAUGAUUCAGAAUUUACUGUUUUAUUGUGAAAGAAUGCCGAUAUUUUGUAAGGGAAAACUUUAACCCCCCUCCCCCGGCCCAAAAAAAAUCACCCCCACAACCAAAAAAAAAAAACAGGUGUGGAUUACCGCUUUUCACGUUAGUACCAUAUGGUUUUAACUGUAUCACUUUUUAAGUAUCUUGUGAUUUUUAUUUUCACGUUUCUUGACACCCUCCGUUAAUUUCUCCAUUAAAACAGUCAUGUGUCGAGCAUGUGCAUCAUGGAUUGUCACCUUUUCGCCAUUUGGGACUGACCAAGAACAAUCAGAAUUAAGCCUCUAAGGGAUCCCAUGACUUUUUGAAGGGUCCCAUACUUUUCUUAUUGACCUUUGUGGGUUUAACGGAGAGUGAAACGGAAAAUGAAAUAGAAACCAUAGGGUACUUAAGUGACAUAAUUAAAACCACAGGAUAUUAAAAUAAAAUAAAAAAGCAGUAAACCGGGGUGGGUGUGAUGUGGGCGGUUUGUGCGGGGGAAGAGGUAGAUAUCUUAUUUUUCAUUUUCUUAACUGGGAGUAGGACGAUCUGAAGCUAAAAUAUAUCCCCCACACCCUCAACAAACAGCUAGAGGUAAUGUGGAAACAGGUCCCUGUACUUUAUAUUUUCGGAUUUGCUGGAGUUCAUUACAUCUAACAACAUCAGCGAACAAAUGAUCCAUUCAAUUAUUGAAUAUUCCAUUAAAAAUGAUAUAGAAGCAGUUUAAGUUCAAACAAAAACUGACUAAAAUUAAACAGCAAUAUAGAUGGUGGUUCAAAUCCAUAAAAUAUAUUUCAGGGAAUUUGUCCCCCAGGCUGUGCCCUCAUUUUAGCCAAUAUCUGAUGGCAAUUAAUCUUAAAUGAAUAUGUGCAUACCAUUUACUUGCAAAUCAGCAUACUGUGGCCACUGCAUCCUAAAUGGAACUUUAUCAUUGAGAAGCAUACACCAAACCUGCAAAGGCACCAUGGUAACCAGUGUGUUACAAGGUUAAGGAUUCUGGUUAAAGGGUUCAAUACCUAAAUGAGCAUAAAAGACUAGGCACCCAAAUAUGUGUAUAAACCAACUUAUAAACCAGAUCAAGAAGCCUAGAGAUAGUAAUUCUCACAAUGCGCGUUACAUUUCGAAAGAAACAGGACAAAAGAUUACUCAAGAAAUGUAAAUUUUCACAUCCAAGAUACAUUAUUCAUAAUCUUGCAUACAGCAGGCAAGGAAGAAAGGAAUUCUAAAGGGACCCACAUAUGAGUCGGACAACUUAACAUCUUUUAAGGGAAACAGAAAACUAUUAGUCGGAGAAAAAAUAACAGUACGAUGUAAACCAACCUGAAGAUCAUAUUCAGCCUUCUGCAGCAUUUCUCUAUCUGUUCUGGACAGUUGAAAUGUUUUCUCCACACUUUGUAGUGUAUUAUUUCUGGAAAUUCAUGCAAGCAACCAGUAAUGAGAAGCACAGGUUAAAGAAAUAAAUGUGGGAUUUACAUAUGACGAAGAAUAAAUGGACUCUAUAGCUACUCACAAAUAAGACACGUCUGUCAAAAGAACAUUUGGAAAACUUAGGGACAACCUCUCUGUGUCAUAUGCAAAGACAUAUUAUGACAACAAAAGUAUAAAAGCUUUGGACAAACGGUAUCAGUGACAAACAAAAGUAGUUAUAAAUUGAAGAUUCUACAAGUGAACCAACUUAAAACAAAAUACAAAAGAAAACACCAUCUACAUACAUUAUUGUCUUCCUAAUGUAUAUUGCAACUUUGAAAAUUUGGACUAACAGGCUGAACGACCAUUAACAUUGCCUACCAAAAAAUUAUGUAGUAAGAAGAUAUCCUGGAAAAAGUUGUUUUUGUUAUAUACAAAAUUUCCUAAUACCUAAACACAUACUGAUCACCACCAAAAUAUUCUCACAUUUAUUCGUUAAAGAAGUAUGCUCAAACUCCAAAUUUAUUAAAGGAAAGAUUGAUGGUCUUUUUCGUGAAUAACAUACGGCAGCAUAUGUCUCAGAACAAGUACUAAUCGACCCCACCAAGAAUUUAAAUGUCCAUAGGCACAAGUCGUGCCCAGCAUGUCCUACUUUGCUGACAACUUUCAGCAUGAUACGAUCCCUGUGCUAAUGGCAUGGCUCAAAACUUUACUGUCAUUGAAAUUACUAGUUACAUCAAUAAAGUGCCUAAGAUUUGCUAAAGAUAUUUAAUAAAUCUCGUCACUGAAAUUACUAGUUACAUCAAUAAAGCGUCAACAAUUUGAUAAAGAUAUUUAAUAAGCAAGUAGAAUAUAUCGGUGCCAAGGAAAAUAAAUAUCGAAUGCCAUCACGUGUCAUGCCAUACCAUGCCAGCAAGUCCUCAACACAAACCCGCACAACCACACUUAAAUCCUUGGACCCCACAACAAUGGACUAAACCUAUUACACAUUCCUUGAUCUUCAUGAGAUAAUACAUAAUUUAACAUGAGACCCAACGCCUAAAAGUCAAUGACAUUAUUUGUAUCAUGUCUGCAACCAAAAUUGGCUUUCGUAUCACUUUUAUUGAAAUGAAGUAUCGAAAGAUAAGGAAAUUGCAAUAUGUGCUUUCUUAGCUAUUUGUAUCACAUCAAGCCAUUGGAAAGUACCAAAAAAUCUUCUGCGAAUAGUGCAACACACCCUGCGACUACCAGUUAUAUAUUCAUCAGCUACUCACUUUUGGGCACAAGAGACACAGACUCAAUCAUGAAGGACAAUCUUUUAGUGGUCUUGGCCCAAAAAAUUAAAAAAAGAAAAAAUAGGAACUCAAACACGACGUAAGUGAUAGGCAUUAUCAAUAUAAGCUUCAGUAGAGUACAUUCGAACAAAUCAACAGUAUUCAAACACUUCAGAAAAUUAUUGGAUGCAGACAACAGAUUCUUUGAAAAGUGCCAACAAAUCUAGAUCAGUUUAUCAUGAACUCUCACCUCAAGUUCGACUAACACAGCACAAGAACAAAGCAAGUAACAAAAAUGUUGUCUUGGAAAAAUGCAAAGAAAAACUGUAUUCAGAAUAUAGCACUCACCCAUCUGAUGUGCCACCAGAAGAGUUCAACUUGACGGGAUGUAAUACAUGUGAAAAAGUAGUCCAGAAUCUGUGCGUAACAAAACUUUCAGGGAGAAACUAUUGAUGUUCUCAAUUCCAAUAGGAUAAAGGGAGAAAAAGGCAAUAAUAAAAAAAGAAAAAUAAAUAAUGAAAAAGAAAAGGCAAUACAAUGGAAAAUACGUAAAUUUUGCAGAACAUUAUAUUGGAGAAACAUCAGCAAACUGCUCCUUGUCAUAUCUAAAUAGUUCCAAAACUCUUAAUGAUCAAACAACAUAUCUAACCAUAACCCAGUCAAAUUCUUCCAGAAAUAUUAAUGAUCAAACGACUAACAAAUGGUGUAAAAAGAGCUAACCACAACGUUUCUCACCUCAUUCCUCAAGAAAAUUGUUUUUCUAUUCAAUCUUAACUCUUUUAGCAGCUCAUCAUACCUCCAACUUAUCAUCCAGUUAGAUGGUGUAAGAUUUACCACAAGUAAGCUCAAACAUUGUUGCUAUCAAAGAGUUUUACUUCCCGAAAUAAAUACCCAAUGCCCUACCCAAAAUAAAUCCCUGACUCACAGACGUGGCUACCACUCAGGAAAGUACAUCUCCAUGUUAAACUCUCAUUAUUAAGCCACAUCUUUCAAUGUCAUAGGCAAAUCUUGUUAGCUGGACUUUAUAUUUCCGACAACAUCUCAUAUAAGAACAGUUUUGUCCUGAGGUUUGGCUUGAUUUCAGUUUCAUCCUCAACUUUAGUAUUUAGACCGUCAUUGAGCAUGAGUUCAAUUUCCAUCCCCAAAGAUCCAAUUUUAAUGGAACAAAGUCUAACAAUUGUGCAAUUGCCUUUGCAAGUCAAUGGACUAGGGGAAGAUAACUUUCAAUGUAAACUUGAUGACUAAACUAUCGAAACUGAAAAUAUGAGAAUGAAAUGAAAUCAAGGUCAGACAAUAGGGAUUAGAUGAAUCAAGGGAAAACAAUAGGCAGUAGAUAUGUAAUUAACACCUAGUUAUUAUUAGAGCUUCUAAACUGAAUAAUGUAGAUGCCAAAAGGGAACAAAGCAAACCGAAGAAGAACAGCCAAUUCAGAGGAGGGAUGAGCGAAACGUACGGAUCAGCCUUACUGAGUCUGCAUAACUCGCAAUAAAAAUGAGAAGGAAUUUCUGGUUGUGCGCCUUCCACAGCCUUCUCUGGAAUAAGUACACAACUGAUGUGUUGCCAGACCCGACAUCGAGGAUCUUCACACUACAAUGGCCAGCUUAAAUCAGACUUUAGAGAAGAAGUCAGCCAUUGAUACAAACCCAUAGAAAACCCCAGAUAAUAUCACCAACCAAUGAAAGCAAGUAAUUCGGCUUUUACAUAAACAUUCCGGUGCAAAAUCAUCUAUUUACAUAUGAACUCUAACAAAAUUGCCCUUGCCCUUAUCUCAUGCUGAAGUAUAUCUCAAUUUGUGGCGGCGGCUAUUAAAGGAGGAUUUUUUUUUUUUGACGAGCAUUUCUCUGGAAGGGCAAGCAUGCAAUAAAUUGAGUUUUUAAAGAGCACACAUCAAAAUUCAGCUUCGCAAGGCUAUAUAUGUAAGCCGAUAAUUUUAUAGGUUACAUAUGGGAAUAUUCAAUUGAAUUUAGCAUUUUGAAAACUAACCAUGGAGCAUGUUAAAUUACAACUAGGAAUAAAAAUCAACAACUAAAUGCUAAAGAUAAAGAGAUGGCAUCAUGUUCACAACUUCACAUAUCUAAAGAAGAAAAAACCAACCUUCCCACUUCAAAGUAGAAAAGUCAGCUGACUUAUUUGUCAACCGUGCCACAAAAGAAGUUAAAAGCAUAAAAUUUCUACAUUAAAAAAUAUACAGCUCCAAUUGGUAAGCAAAUGAAAAAGAAAAAAAUUAUCGACACAUCAUAAUGAAAAGAUACUGUUAUGCGGUGCUUAAACUUCACCCACUAAAAACCACUACAUCCCAUGUAUGUUCACACUCAGUAUUAGUAUUGUAUUACUAUAGGUCCACAAGUUAUGGAUCUGAUUCAUCAGAAGGACCACCUCCACAAAGAACAGAUUAAAAAAAAAAUCUUCAAACAAAAGAAUGUUCUUAAAAAACAAUCUAUCUUUCUUAUAAAUUUGAUAACAUCUAAGGCUACACUACUAACGUAACUAAACACAGCAGAAACUAGUACAACCAGAGAGUUCCAAGUCCAUUUAGCACAACCACUGUAGGGUAUCAUACUAUUCAACGAAGUGCUGUCUGAGUAGUGCCAUUAUGAGAAGCGCUAUAUCAAAAUUCUCCCAACAGCUUCUCUCUGUGAAAAGAGCAGCAGCUCCAUAUUGGAGCUUAUACAUGUAAGAUUGAAACUCUCAUUUCAAAAUUCUGCGCAGCAGAAGCUGCAGAGUGAACCACUAUACUAAAACUCAACAGCUCCUCUCUACAGCAAAAACAGAAUUCCAAAUUGUGAAGCUCCAAGGGAUCCGUUUGAUAAUAUCACAACAUGCCAAAUACUGUAUACGGAAAACCAACAAAUGCUAGCAAUACCUGUAGUACUGAUUCAGUCAUUAUUGUGCCCCCACAGAGGCAGCGAACCUUUCCAUUCAACUGGUAAGAAUCAUCAAUUUCAUCUUUAGGCCUCAAUGGAUUAAAAUCUGAGCUACUGUGGCUCUUUGAUGCUAGGUCAGUCGCGCCAGGAACUUGCAUUUUCCUGCCAGAAUAUAUGCAUACUGCAUUAAAACUACAUAUUGAGAAAAGUAUACAAAAGUUUAAAGAAUCAGUUUGACUUGAAUAAUUGAGAAAAAAGAAUUAUAUGUUAAAUAAAGCAAAAAAAUUGAUCACCUGUAAGUAUCAUCAAUUAUUUUUGCCACACCUUCUUUUCCCACAGAGCCUCUCUUUCCCAACCCAUGCAACUUACAACCUGUUAAAACAAGAGGGCAAAGCUAUCACCGAAUAAUAAAAAACAAUUAAUAUAGUAUAUAAGGAUAUGCAUGUUACAUAAGCUCUGCAAAUGCUAUGAGUCAGUAUGUAUAAAAGAAAGAAAAACAGAACCAAGGACAGGAACUAUUUUAUGCCAACAGGACACAGACCUAAAAGGGAGAACACUAGGAAGACCUACGAUGUUGCACAGAAGAAAUCAUGAUUUAGGAGGAACAAGCAAGCAGCUAAUCACUAAUAACUGCAAGGUAAAGCUAGUUAUGAACAUGUGGCAGAGAAAAUACACGCUAAGAGUCAAAUGCUGAAAGCUGAUAAAACAUUGUUAUGCCAAAGAACGUAUACAAAAAACUUCAUUGAGUAAACAGCAAUUCCAAAAAUCAAAAUGCUGAACUAAAAACUAUCUUGAAAUAGGCCCUCAACAUUUGUAUUGUAGGUUAACACACCUAAAAUUGCUUCUAUUUUAGAGUUGAGGUCAUUUACAAUCUACAUCGCCUAUAGUUGCAGAAUGCAGUUUCUCAAUCUCUAUAUGUUUUUAUCAAUUUAUAAGUUGUAAACAGAGAUUUUAUUUGAAUAUUUGAUAAGAUGCAUUGAUAGGAAAAGCUUUAAAAUGUAAAUUCUGUUUGCUUUAAGUUAACCAAAAAUAAUACUUUAUUUUAAUUAUUUCAAAUUAUGAAUUCUAGAUCAUUACUUUAGUUAGUUUUGUUAGGAAGCAUUCAUAUACAUUUUUAAUACAUUUUUAAUAUAUUAAUAGCUAGAACGCAUAUGCGCCCGCAUACCGCAUAUGCGCUGUGCGAUGGAUAACAGCGUGGACACACUGUGACACCUUUUAGAACGUUGCAUCAGAAUACAUAUACAAUGCAAAACAUAAGGAUAAACAAUGAGCACAAAUUUCGCUGACAAGACUUGCAACUGAACCAAUAACACAACUAAAUAUAGAAAAUCAACAACUUCAAACUACUGCAACACCGCACGGACACCGCAUACUGCUUUUUGGAACGUUGCAUCAGAGUAAAUAUACCAUGCAAAACAUAAGGAACAACAAUGAGCACAAAAUUGGCUGACAAGACUUGCAACUGAACCAGUAACACAACUAAAUACAGAAAAUCAACAACUUCAAACUACUGCAAGCAAAUAACAAAUAGUAGUUCAAGUCUUGUACAGUUUUGAAACUAGAUGUUUGAACCUACAAAUUAACAGAAAGCACCAAUAAAAGAGGCCAGAGAAUGAAACCUCAUAUAUUUCAGCAGUACAAGACUUAAGAGAAGUAAAAAAAUAUGAAGAUUGUUAUAGUCUUGAAAUUUUGUUAUAGUUUGACAAUUAUAAUGAUCUGUUAAGUAGCACGUAAGUACCUUGUUCUUCCGAAAGGAAUGCUAAGAUCCUAUUUACAAGCUCCUGCAUUGCAUUAAUAAACAAUCAAAUGGCAGGUUAAGCCAAAUAAAAAAAUCAAAAGCAUCUACAAGGGUUAUUAAAGAUAAGAAAGCAAAACUUUAGAAAAAGCAAAUAUUGAAAUUACUCCUUCGUCUCCAUCUCUCUUUAUAUGAACACAAUGUAUAUGAGCGCACUAAUGCUGGUAUGUAUGCAUGAAUGAUAAGCAAUGCCAUAUGUAUGUACAUUCAAAUUAAACUGGUAAGAGUCCAACUACACAGUAACAAGGAUAUCUCACUCCAACUGUUUUUGAAUGAUAUUCUAUAGUCCCAGAUUUAAAAAGAAUUAACACUACACCCAAAUUCCCAAUGCACAAUUAUAUAAACCAAAAUAAAACUAAUAAGACAAUAAAAAUCAUCAUUAUAAUUAGCAAAAUAGGACAAACUAGAAUUCUAAAAUGCCUUUAUAACAGCUUAUUACCAUUCUCUUUUCCCAGUCACCAAAAUGAAAACUUUAUACUUAGAAAGUGUCAGCAUCUUAUAAUAAUAAAUAAUAAUUACCAAAACAAAACAGCUGUUGGGUUGCACCCUAGCCAAUUUCUAUCUAAGACAGGAAUACUACACAUGCCGCCCGUGCCAGCAGCACAACAAUCCUUAGUAAGACUGAAAAGAAUUACAACUGGAACAAAGAGGAGAAUAAUUUCAAACCUGCUUCUUUCCUUGCUUCGCCAGACCAAGUUGAGUUAAGACAUCUUUAAGCUCCUUGAUUCUAAAAUAUGCCAAUUUAUCCUGGUUUAAAAGAAACAAAUUAAAACGAAGAGUUUUGCCAAAUGCAUAGAGAGAACAAGUAUUCAAGGCUAAAAGUUGUAAUACAGGUGCUAUUUAUGUUGUAAAUUGCAAGCAUCAAAUUAUAUGUAUGAGCUGACAAAUUAUACUACUAAGGUAAUCAAAUGAUUUGAGAUACAAUUAGAAAUAUAAAAACAAUAAACCUACUAUUUAUGCAUAGCUUAUAUAAAAACAAUAAACGUACUAUUUAUGCAUAACUUACAACAAGAUAGUACUACACAUUCCUUCCAUCCAAACUGUAGAUUAGUAAACAACACUUAAGGUUAUGAUUACAACAUAACAUUUGCUUGCAAUGGCAACGAGAAUACGAUCAUCAAUAGCAGCUAGCAUUUCAUUUGAACUGCUACCCUGAAAUUCUAAGCUAAUAGUUGCAAGAAAAUUACGAAGUCCUCAAGUCUAAGGGAAAGCUAUUCAAUAGAAGAUAGAUGAAAGUAAUAGUUCAAUUGAAAUUUUUUAGUUAGAACUAGACUUCUGCUUCAGAAUCAUCUCAUUGGAUGCAACGAUUUCAUCAACUGUGUUAAUCUGAAUUUAUUUCAGGAAAGAAGAUGAUUAAAGGUAAGUACGGGGGAAAAAGAAGGAACUUGCAAUCUUCCUUGUGCUUAUUAGAACUGAAAAGUCAGGAGAAAGAUUAUGAAAUGAAUUAUUCCACUCUUGCCAUAACUUCCUUUAAUAGUAACAUUUCAGCACUCCAGUUAAAUUACUUUUGGUACACAGCAGACCUCCAAAAUUUUGGGACAAACACUUCACGAUCUUUUUCCAAGACCAUCAAUCAGCAGACUUCUGAAAUCAGCCUAACUUCCCACUACUAUCUCAAGAGAAAUGAAUAUACAUGAAGGACCACAAAAGUGUUGACUAGAAUUGAGGUUGGUUCAAACCCGUACAUCCAUUCAAACAUGUAAAUGUAAUUUAAUGAGUUCUCAAGCAAUAUCAUAACAAUUAAGGCCUAUCUGAUUCACAGUUUGUGAUUCAAGUAAUUCUCCAUAUUUUCUAUCGAAAUAUUCAAAUCAUUACCAUUCAACUCAAGUUGGAUAGUUGUAAAAUAUGUUAGUGAAGUAGUAGAAUCAUUGUAGAUUCCCCGCUGGUAGAAAUACUAGAUUAUCAUGGGUUAGAAAGUAUCCUCAUUUUCAUAUCCUCAUUUUCAUACUUAAUAGGGAUCAUGAUUAGUCCAUUAAUAAGAAUAUACUAGUUCCUAACAACCUCUCAACCCAAAUAGCUUGAUAAGUUGGUAACAAACUUGCCAUUCCCAAAAUGAAAUAUAAAACAUUUCGGGGAUAUUACGAACCUUGAACCAAAUGGCCCCUUAACGAUAUCCAUCAUAAUACCAGUAAACAUAAUGUUCCUCUAGCCAAGAGGUUGUUAUAAUGAGUACAAAUGUAAACAUUUCACAACGCACUAUUAAGCAUUAAGAUUCAGGAUGCAUCAACUUAAUCCUUACUUUUACAACUAAAUUAAGACUAAAAGGUAAACCACAAAGAACCCAAAUUCCGCCAACUUCCUGCACAAGCUCUAUCCACUAAUUAGAACUUCAGAACCCCCCAACCCACCACCGAAAACCAAAAAACACAAAAAAAAAAAAGAAACGAGAUAAAAGGAAAUCCUAGCACUUAAAACAACAUGUAGCAAGCAAAUUGAACUAAUUAAUUGGCAGAAAACAGCACAAACAAGUACCUUACAACUCGAAACCAAGUCCAUCGGUCCAAUUGCGGCGACUCCGUCACCGCAAACACAGCGAAUUGCGAAUCAGACACCCUCAAUCAACUAACGUCACCAUCCACGCCCCACCCUCCGCUCAAUCAGCUCGUGAAAUCGCCCGUGUCGGGCCCCAAAAUCCCCCAACUCCCCCAAUACCUCUCCCGAUUCCGACCGAAUCCGCGCCGAUCCAACGCGAAUUCGAUCCGAAUCCACCUCCCGCCGACAAAAAAAGGGGGGAAUAAGGAGAUCAACGAUUACCGCAAAUUGCGUGCUAGGGUUUGGUACCGCAGCACGGAGCUCGAUCGGAGAAACCUUAGACGAUGAUAGAGCGAGAGGCCCCGAUGGGAAACCCUAGAGAGAGAGAGAGAGAGGAGAGACGGGUGGGGUUGUUGUGUGUGGGCGCUCGGAGUGCGUCGUCGCAUUCGAGAGAGAUCCCGACACCUUCUUCGUUUCUCUCUCUAAAACUCUCUUUUUCUUUCUCUCUCCUCCCAAACCCAUUUGCCGAGGGGUAUUUCACUAUAACGCGACGACCACCGCGGCGGACGUGUCGUCGCGAAUCAAGUCCGGUUUGUAGCGCCCGCUCGCGUCCGCGCCGUGGACCGAUCUACGCGCACAUCGUCCUCCUGUACCCGGUGCAUCCGUGCUUCCUGCACCGAGCGUUCCCUACCGCCCGUUCCGCCUCGAGUGUCGAUCUCGACCGUCCGUUCUUUUUCUCAAAUUAUGCAUUAUUAUUUGAACACGAAAAAUGUAUGAAGAUUCCUGCACCGGGUGCAUACGUAUAUCCUGAGCCGAGCGCCCCCUAUCCGUCCGUUUCCAGUCGCCUUGCCAUCUCUACCGUCCAUUCCAAUUUCGUCCUUUCAGUGUGGGCGCUACUUAAAGGCCAAAAUGUAUGACAACCCCUUCAACUAUAUUCCAUUCUGAAAAGCACCCCUCAACUUUUCUGCAUCUCUGUUUUUUUUUUAAAAAAAAUUAGAUUUUAUAGUUAAUUAAAUUAAAAAAAAUUAUUCAUGUUAUAGCUCCAUAAGCUAUUUUGCAGUUAAUGAAUUCAGUUGUAUUCGCUAUAAAGUAAUUUAAACCAUUAAAUUUAAUAAAAUUAUCAAUCCAUUUGGUCUCACUCAAAUAACAUAAAGUUGAAGGGGCUAUUUUAGAAUUAACUACAGCUGAGGAGCUAUUUGUUACUUCAAUCACACUAUUAUAUACUUUGAAAUAAAAUAUUUAAAUUUCAAAAAUUUUAAUUUUAUAUUCUAACUUAUAUCACUCUAAAAAAUAAGAGUUUGAAACUUCAAAAUGUAGAAAGGGCCAAUGAGCGAGAGGUUCACCAGUGCAUGAAUGAACCGGGUGCAGGGAACAGUUUAACGCAAUGGUUCGUCGGUUCCUUCGUCCAUAUUUGUCCGAUCUGAGCUUUAAUAUUCGUGAGUGGUGAUAAAAUUGACGGCUGUGAUUAAGGGAGGGCAAUGCCAGUACACUGUAUAAUGAUCUUGUAACGGUUGGUCCGUGUACGGCGUAUCUGGACAUGUGGCUGCUUGACUAAGAAGCGCUUUUGAUCAUUUAAAAAAAAAUAUAUUAACUAAUAAAUUAUUAUUAAAAUAAUAAUAAUAAUAAUAACAAGAGUCAAAUGCAUACAGCUCCCUGCAAACAUAGCCAAUUGCGGAUAUAUCCCUGCAAAAUCGAAACUCCAUAAGUUGUCCCUGCAAAAGUCCCAAGUUAUGCAGAUAUGUCCCUGCAGUUAACAUCCGUUAGUGAGCUGUUUGUUUUUUAACAGCGAAGUCGUGAAAUGACCAUUUUACCCUCACAAAUAUAUCCCUCCAAAAGUUUUCCUCUUCCCCUUUUCUUUCUUUUCCUUUUCCGGCCGCCGGAGCGGAUGGCGGCAACGGCGCGGGUCGACCUCGCCGGCGACGAAGAAGAAGGAAGAGAAAGAAUGAGAGGAAGAAAAAAAGGGAAGAGGAAGAAGGAGAGAAAGAGGGAGAAGAAGAGAGAAGAGAAAGAUAAAGAGGGAAAAGGUUCGUCGCCGCGCGCCGCCGCCAGAUCUUCUCCCUUGCCGGCGACGAAGAAGAGGGAAGAAGAAGAGGAAGAGGGAAAGAAAGAGGGAGAGGAAGAAGAAGAGGGAGAGGGAGUGGGUUCGCCGCCGCCGUCGCAUCUUCUCCCUCGCCGGCGAUGAAGAAGAGAGAAGAGGAAGAGGGAGAGGAAGAAGAAGGGAGAAAAGGGAAGAGGGAGAGGAAGAAGGAGGAAAAGAAAGAGAGAGGGUUCGUCGUCGCCGCCGUCGUCGCCGCCGUCGCUGCCGCCGCCGCCCUCGCCGGCGACGAAGAAGAGGGAAGAAGAAGAUGAGGAAGAAGAAGAAGGGUAGGAUCGUAAAUUUACCUUAUAAUUAAUCAUGGUUAAGUACUUUAACCGUGGUUAACGAAAAUUUUCUAACAGUCCUUAACGGCAGGGACAUAUCUGCAUAACUUUAGACUUUUGCAGGGAUAACUUACGGAGUUUCCGUUUUGCAGGGAUAUUUCCGCAAUUGACUAUGUUUGCAGGGACCUGUAUGCAUUUAACCCUAAUAACAAAUAGUAAUAAUGAAACGAAUUUUUCUAAUUACUCACUGAUAUUUCAUAUAUUGCAUUGAGGUCCCUCAGAUGCUCUAGCCCAACACGAGAGGAAGCUCUAAUUUAAAAUAGAUUAAAAUAUAAAUAACUUUAUCUCAAUUAUUAUUCAUUUUGAUGUGAUUAUUUAAUCUUAAAAAAUUUUAAGUUUAGUAUAUAACUUUUUAAUUUAUUUAAUUUGAGCUAGUUAAUAAUUCUUUAACUUUAAAAUGAAUGCAUUAUUUAUCUUUACAAUCUUAAUUAGUACAUUUUAUUUAAUUUAUAUAAUAAUAAAUUUAUUUAAUUAAGCAAAUAGUUUAAAUUUUGUCUUGGAAGAAUCAUUUAAUGAAUUAAAUCAAAUAAACUAAAAGAUUAGUAACAAAAAUUAAACAUUGGAUAGUUUAGUUUAGAUAAACUCUAUAGCCUUUAAAAUAAUAAUAAUAGAACAAAACUCCUAAAAUUUUCUUUAUGGGGGUAUGAUUUGCUUUAUCUUGUUACGAAUGUGAGAGGGAAUAAGAUUGUAGCAUUUUAUUGGUACAGCUUUAGAAAAUUGUAUAGUAAUAUUAUAUUACGAAAGGGAUCAUCUAAUCUAAUUACGAUAAAAUGGAGGGUAAAUUAUAGAAUACUUUCUCAUAAAUACCCAGUUUCUUACUUUUUCUUUUAAACUUUUUAAAACUUUUUUUUUUUUAGAGAGAGAUAGAUAGCACACUACCCGCUUUGUUUAUUUCAUUUAGAAAUAAACUUAGCUGGAAAUGUGAAUCAACUAGGAUUCGAACUUGGAUCUCGGGUACCAACCACCAAGCACUUUGCCACUUGCUCUAGGGACAGUCGGUAAAAAAACUUAUAUUUUACUCCCUAAAUAUUUCAAGCUAUUACAUUUAUUCCCCAUUCCAUUAGAGUUCUAUUAUUAUUCCGUCUAUUUCUUAUAAUUUAUAUUGAAAAUGCCCUUCCAAAUGACUGUAAUAUAUUAAAAAAAAUUAUAAAAAAAGUAAGGGCAAUUUGAUCAUUUUACUCUCUCCAUUAACAUCAUAUCCGCCUGAAAAUAUUUUUGAAAUUUUAAGAAGGCAAAAUAUAGAUGUUUGAAAGGCAUAAAGAAAAAGUAAAAAAUGGAUAUUUAUAGUUGGAUUUUCUUUAAUUUAGCCUACAAGGAACAGGAAUAAAAGGGAUAAUCUAAUUACCUAAUGAAUGGGUAUUUUCCAGAUCAUAGGUAAUAUUGUUUAGGCUAAAUUACAUAUAACCUCCUUGUCAAAAUCUGAUUUUUUACUUCUCCCUUGUCAUUUAAAAACCUACAGUUUGUCCCAUUGUAAAAUAAAAAAUAUUCACAGGGGGGUACGGUGUGAACUGUGAUGACAAAAUGACCAUUUUGUCCCUCACCAUUUUCGUCUUCUCCCUCACCUUGCUCAUCCGCCGCCUCGAUUGGCCGCGGUUCGCGCCUCAAUCGGCUCGGUUCCUCUCAAUUUUCUUCUCCACCUGUUUCCUUUCUCCUCCUACACCCUCGUCACCCUUCCAUUUCGACGACAGUAGGGAGGAAAUCGAGGUGGGCGUGGAUGAAAAGGUGGGCAAGGGCUACGAGGGCGAAGGCGAGGCGGCGGAGGAAGACGAGGGGGUGAUUGUAGGCGCCGACAGAGAUAUGAGCGAGGGCGAGGCAGUGAAGGAGGGCGAGGCGACGAGGCGGCAAGAUGGUGGAGGGCGAAGCAACAGUAGAGAGGGCGGAGGGUAUUUUUGGUAUAAAAAAUAUUUUAUGACGGAACCCUAACGGAUUACUAACAAUAGGGGGUGAAGUGAAUAUUUUUCAUUUUACAAAGGGGCAAAGUGUAGGUUUUUAAAUGACAGAAAAAAAAAUGUAAAAAAUUGGGUUUUGACAGGGGGUUUUCUGUAAUUUAGCCUUCAAUUUAAUCAAAUUAACAUUGAUUUCGAGUCAAAUAUAUUAUUUGUUAUAAAAAAGGAAUAUAUCACUCUUUAUACAUACAUAAGAUUUUUCAAAAAAAAUCCAGUCGCCAUCUAUCUCCUGCUCUCCUCAAGUAAAGAUACUUUAGCAGAAAGUCAUUCUCUGAAAGGGAACUAGCACCUCGGUAAGGACAUCAAUCAGAUUAGCAAUCUUGUGUGGAUACCUGUAAAGGCCAGACGUGUGUGUGACUUGAAGAAAACCAAAUUCUACGAUCAUCAUAUUGUGGUGUAGAUCUACCUGUGUAAAGGUAAAGAUCAUAUCUUCCUUUUCUCUUUUUAAUCUUAAAUACAUGAAGAAUCAUUUUUGCAUGUAUUCGAAAUCGAAUCCUGAGUUUUAAAAUCAAGUUUUGUUUGAUUUUCUUCCGCUGUGUUUUUAUUAUACAUAAAAUCUAACAGAUAGGACGCAUAGUGUGGUUCAAGACCCUUCAUGCCAAAAUGGUUAUUUUGUCGAGUUUACGUGAAUAUCAAUAGAAAUUAGAAACCAGUAGUUGGAAUUAAUGUCCCGGUCACGUUGGUGGCAUUGUUGGUGACUCCAUGCCAUGUUUAUGCAAUGAGGUUGUAUUAGGGCCAAAUUUAGAGUUUCAACAAAUAUUGUGUGCAUGGUUCGACACCGAAACACUGUUUGAAAUACCAAAAUUGGGCCCUUUUGGCCUAACCGUAGGGGUGGAAGCAUGCGACCAUAUUUAUUGCUAGCCCGCUUUGUAGUGUCCCUGGUGUUUGGCUGCUUGUGUGACUUCAGCAUCUGUGGUUUGUCGACACGUCUGGUAGGUGUCGAGACAAGUCGGAAUCGUUUUGGCGUGAAUUGGACGCAAAACGGAAUCAGCGCGAUGCGAGAGUGAAGUUCCGACACUGAAAUCUGCAAAGUGCAGUAUUUCAGUGUUGAGUACCGGUGCCUGGGAGGAGUACCAGUACCCCGGUGAGAUUGCAGAACCGGAUGCUCUCGGGUUUGCGCAUGUCUGAUGCUAAGUAUCGGUACUUGUUGUUUAGUACCGGUACCGAGCUUGAGUACCGGUACUGCAUCAGGCUGAUAUCGAUACCCAGCACGCGAGAUUGUGUAGAGAUGGCUGAGUACCGGUAUUCAAGUUGAGUACCGGUACCCCAGAGGCAGAUUUGAGUUGGUAAGGAAUAUUUUGGUCAUUUUGGUUGUGUAUUGUAUCGCCACCUACCCCAACCUAUAUAGCAGCCUGAGAAGCUUGGAGAAACAGUAUGUUUCUCCUCUUCCUCUCUCUCUCUAGCUUGUUUACUUCGUUCGUUUGGAAGGUCAAGGUUCGAGCUGGUUUGGAUUCUUCGCUUCCUAGGAAGAUCGUUCGGAUUUCCUUCUAAGUCGAGUGUCAGCAUGUCUUGUAUUAUGUGUAGUAUCAUGGUUAAUAAAAUCAAAAUCCUCUAUAUAACUAACCAAACUCUCAUUCACAAAUUGAUAAAUCACAUUUCAAACCCUAAUUUUUUUAUAAUUUAUUUGACCCUAAUAAAUCUCCUUAAAUAACUCAGGUAUGCUCUCAAGUUUGAUUUGAAUAAUUAUUAAUAUUUCUAUUAGAUAAUAUAAAGUGUGAAUUACUAUAGUUUUUGCUGUUCAAACUUCUGAACUCUAAUAAGUUCUUAUAAAAUUAAAUAAAAUAACUGGAACAAUUAUUUUCUUUUCACCUGAAAGGUAUUUAGAGUAUUGGAUCCUUCUCUUAUGUUUUGGAUGUUACCGGUGCAAAAUUUCUAUUCAACAAUGAUUGAGAUUGAAUCUAAAACCACAAUAUUCAUCCAACAAAAGCAACACAUCAAUAUUUUUAUUAAAAUUAUAAGUUAAAUAAACAAUAUAAAACGAAUAUAUACCAUGACCAAUUACUUUCUUGUAGGUAAUGAUCAAAUAAUAAAAAAAAACCAACCAAUCUUCCAGGGAUGUCGCCAUUCCGUUCCAUGCCCUUCAACACCAUGUCCAACUCUCUCAUCUUGCCUAUCCAAGCCUCCUGAAGUAAAUCCCCGAAUAAUUUUUUUUUCAUUUUUUUUCUUUUAACAUCCUAAUAUUAUCUAUCGCAAUAAAUUGGUUCUUAUAUAAUACAAAAUGUUAGCAUUUGGGGAAAAAAAAAAGAAGGCCCGUAAUAUUAGAAAGUGAAAAGGAAAAUUGAACAAAAUCCCUUCUUUUUGUAAAUCCAUCAUUGAAUUACACCGAAAUCGGUAGGAAAGUACUCAUAUUUUCAAAGUAAAUAAUCCCAAUUGGCUUUUUAAUAUUACUACUCAACUCCAUCAUUGAAUUACACCGAAAUUGGUAGGAAAGUGCUCAUAUUUUUAGAGUAAAUAAUCCCAAUUGGCUUUUUAAUAUUACUACUCAACUCAUGAAUCAAAACAAAUUUAACAAUUAAUUCUAUAAAAAUAUCUUUAAAAAAUGCGAAAAAAAAAUACACAUAAAAAUACACCUAAAUGAGGAAUUCAUUCUCAAUUUUUUAUGGCCCUAGUUUUUAACAAAAAUUAAUUUUAAAAAAAAUCAAAUUCUAGCCCUAUUAUUAAAAAAAAGAAUAAAUAAAUAAAUACUCACAAAAUUCGUCACUUCCUCAACAAUACCAAUUCUAAUUAGUCAUGCCAAAUCGCUUAAAUUUAAUCCAUAUUGUAAUUAACGUCAAAAUAUCACUUAUACCAAAUCUUGCAAAUUGAACAAAAAAAAAACCGUAGUUAACAUCAAAAUGUCACCUAUUCAUGCCAAAUCGCUCAAAUUGAACCAAAAAAAUCCUAAUUAACCUCAAAAUAUUGCUAAUUCUUGCCAAAUCACUCAAAUCAAUAUAAAAAUAUUAUUAUAUUUAGAGAAAAAAUACUCACGGAUGGGAUCGGUUGCAUGGAGAUUGCAAAGACGAUAUGUGUAGAGGAGGAUCGGCGCAAGACCAUUCAAAUAGAAUUAAUCUUGUAACAAUUGAUACUAAGAGCAUAAAUUUAAAAUCUAAUUAUUUUACAUGAAAAUAUAUUUUAAAAUUUCAUAAAAAAAAUAAGCAAAAUGAAAGAAUGAAAUGAUGGCUACGAAAAGGCAAAGACGUAUUCAAAGUUGGUCUAGUAAUCAAUUAUGAUUAUAAUUACCAUUAAUUGAUGAAACGUUAAUGUAGAAUUAAUUGAUGAAAUGUUAUUGAGUCAUAUACUAUACGGCCAAGAACGUAUAGUUCGGGAUGAGAGGGGAGGGGAAAGGGUAGGGAUUACCAUUAAUUGAUGAAACGUUAAUGUAGAAUUAAUUAAUGAAACGUUAAUGAGUCAUAUAUUAUACGGCUAAGAACGUAUAGUUAGGGAGGAGAGGGGAGGGGAAGGGGUGGGGGAGAGAGUUAUUAUAAAAAAAUAAUAAUAAAACAAAGGAUGUUGCGCUACGUCAGCGAAAGUAUUGGGAAUUCAUAGGGGAGGGGAAAAGGUGGGGAUUACCAUUAAUUAAUGCAACGUUAAUGUAGAAUUAAUUAAUGAAAUGUUGAUGAGUCAUAUACUAUACGGCCAAGAACGUAUAGUUGGGAAGGAGAGUGGAGGGGAGUGUCACGCCCCGGAUUACCACGUUUCUCCAGGCACGCCAACAGAUCGGCCGGAUUACCACAUUUCCCUUGUAUACGAAGCGAUAGCUGUACCCGUAAACAAAACCAAGUUACAACCAUAAGGUAAAGAGCUGCUAAACUGAACAUAUAGAUAAAACAACAGGUUCACUAUACAUGCAAAGUCUCCGAGAUACAACCAACCCUCGCUCCAGCGAGUAAACCUACAUAAGUAUGUAUAUGAACCAAAACACCCCAAAACUACCUGCGGAGGGUCCUCCUCUAGUAUGCCGACACGCCUGAUAAGGAUCUAACUCGCAACUCCCUUCCCGCUGUCGUAAUCAGCAACAACAGCAGCCGCAGACGAAGGCUCUACAAAAAGGGGUCAACAAUUGGGUGUGAUAACUAUUGCAAAAUAGAGUAGUCCUCAGUGGAUACCGUCACCAACCUCAAUGGCUUACCAACUGAGUUUACAGAAAAGUGUACAAGAGAUAGUAAGGAAAGCUGAAAAUCCUACAGCUAUAUGCCACUAUACUAUCACUAACCAACACUAACUAUCUCUAGAUAAAAGAAAUGCUAUCUCUGACCCAAUCUCACUAGAGGCUGUGAAUACACCCGUCCCGCUUGUCGAAGCUACACCGAACACCACCCCAAGGGCUGUCGAUGGAGAGCAAGUCUAAACCAGACAACAACGACAUCAACGCAAAGCAAAAAAGCCAAACUCCGGAGCGGCACUCGUGGGCGUGACCCAACCAAGUAUGUAAGUGUAUCUCUGCCGAACUCAAUCAGGCUCUCACAGGCUGUAAUCAAUGCAAAUGGGUCUAACUGGUCUCACCACCAAAGCUCACGUGCCAUUGGCACAAUCUGGUGCAAAAUACAGAAAUCUGGGUCCACCAUCAACCACGAUGGCAUCCGACAAUCUGAAACAGUCUACACACUAUUGUAAACUAAGCUCGACAUCCCAGCAUGAGCGUAAACUCAUCCUAUACUAAUCUGGGUAUCCACCGCAUACGAACAGCGGCGAUACAAACGAACCACAACUCCUAAAGCUAAAUUUGGUAAUUUUCAGAAAAAUGACAGUAUAGGAUUUAAUAAUUUUCUCCUAAGUCAAUUCUAAGUCCAACAUGAAUAAUAUACUAGCUUAACUCCAAAUUCAGAUUCUAUAGCCUAAUCUAUAAUUUCCACAAAUUCGAGUACUAGAAAGAUAAACCAAUAAUCAAUAAACGCAUGUUGACGUUGAUAGGACUUAGACGGAAAUCCGGCGAUUUCGGUAAACUACAACCCACCUCAAAAAGCUCUUCCAACAACGGCGAGAAGUCGAAAUAAGGGAAUCCACACGCUCGCCCGGCCUCCCAAUGAUGCAACCGCGACGCCCGCGCGCUCGAACGGCCCUCCGGAUCGAGUCGACAAUCUCCUGAACUCGAGCCGCGACCUCUACUACGUACGAAUCCACCAGCUAGAAAGAGAGAGGGAAAGAAGAAGAAGAACCGACUCAGACUCUCUCUCUGUAAAUAAAUAGGCUGGGAAUAACAUUGGGCUAAUCGACACAUCAAGGGACCAAAAGGCCCCUCAACUCACAAAUCCAGCUGGAGUACCGGUACCCAACUUAGUUAUCGGUACUCGGCCUCUCAACCCGCAAACUCACACACAAAGGUACCGGUACCAACCCGAUGCAGUACCAGUACUCGGCAUCAGAUUGGCGCAACCCGAGAGCAUUGGUUCUAGAAUUCCACUGGGGUAUCGGUACUCCUCUCCCUGGUACCGGUACUCAACACUGAAAUUUUGCACUUUGCAGAUUCCAAUGUCAAAACUCUGCUCUCGUAUCGCACUGAGUCCGUUUUGCGUCCAAUUAACGACUCCGACUUGUCUCGACACUCUCCAGAUGUGUCAACAAGCCUCAGAUGCUGAAACCCACGGGCUGCAGAACACCAGGGACACUACAGAGAGGGGAGGGGAAGGGGUGGGGGAGAGAGAGUUAUUACAAAAAAAAAAAAAAUCUAAAACAAAAGAUGUCGCGCCACGUCAUCGAAAGUAUUGGGAAUUUAUAGAUACUAGUGCAGUUAUCCGUGCGAUGCGGCUAGCAGACGCUAUCGAAACAAUCAUUAUUUUUAUAAAAUAAAGAAUAUUAGUUUAAAUGGUCUGCAAAAAUUGGUGAAAAACUAUUAAAGAUGAUCUUUUUAUACUUAUUAACUCAACAAUCUGUAUAAUUAAACUUAAUAGUUCAGUCAAGAAAUUAAUAAGAUUAUAAGAAAGAAUAAAUAUAUACACUUCUAGAAAUAUCAAGUAUUUCUUUAAUUUUAGAGUUAGCAAUGCUGAAUGCAUGGGUAACACCAGCUAAUUAAUUUAUGAUUGUAAUCUUCUCUUCACAUUCCUUGUAAGAGUUGUAAAUUUUUACUCUCCUUCCAAGAAGUUUAAUCUCAAUAAAAUUUAAAGUGAUGCAAAAAUAAUUCUUGGCUAAAUUUAAAUAAGGCUAAAUUACAUAAAACCCCUCUGUCAAAACCCGAUUUUUCACUUCCCCCCCUGUCAUUUAAAAACAUACCUUUGCCCCCUUGUAAAAUGAAAAAUGUUUACAGGGGGUACGGUGUGUAUUGUGAUGAUAAAAUGACCAUUUUGCUCCUUACCAUUUUCGUCUUCUCCCUCAUCUUUCUCAACAGCAGCCUCAAUCGGCCGUGGUUCAUGCCUCGAUCGACCGCUGUUUUUCCGCGGUUCACACCUUAUUUUCCUCCUGCACCUUCGCCGCCCAUCGAUUUCAGCGACAGUAGGGUGGAAAUUGAGGUGGGGGUGGAUGGAGAGGUGGGUAACGACAACGAGGGCGAAGGCGAGGCGGCAGAGAAGGGCGAAGGGGUAUUUGUGGGCGUGGAUGGGGAUAUGGGCGAGGGCGAGGCAGUGGGCGAGGGUGAGGCGGCGAGGCGGAGGAAGGCGGAGAUAGGCGAAGCAACAGGAAAGAGGGCGGAGGGGUGUUUUGAGCAUAAAAAAUUAUUUUAUAACAGAACCCUGACGGAUCACUAACGGUAGGGGUGAAGUGCACAUUUUUUAUUUUACAAGGGGGCAAAGUGUAGGUUUUUAAAUAACAGGGAGGGAAAGUGAAAAAUCGCAUUUUGACAAGAGAGUUUUCUGUAAUUUAGCCUUUAAAUAAAUAUAAAUUUACUUGCAAAUUUUGUAAAUAUAUCAUGUAUCAUAACGGAGGAUAGCUUUGGUCAUCAAUCCUGCUGUAGAGGCUUUCUUAGUGUCCUAUACAACAUUCGAAAAUGAGUGAAGAUGAAUUUAAAAUAAUUUUUGAAUUAUAAUCCAACAUCUUUAAGAAGGAGAUUAUUUAUACAAAUCAUUGCUAAGUUUGAAAGAGUAUCAGACACAAAUAGAUUCUGCAGAAAUGAAUAACCUUUGAAAAUCUAAGUUAAUAUAACUAAUCAAUCACUUAAUGGCAUCAUUACUAAAAAAUCCAAAAUGCUAACUAUUCUUACAUAUGUUAGAAUUGUUUAACGCAAAAUCCCGUAAUAGCAAAAUUUCAUACCGAUGAAUGCAAACUAUUUGUCUUCUUAAUUGAUUGUCUACCGCCAACAAAAGUGGAAUAAAUUAGACAUUGCACACUUCUUUUGUUCCUACAAAUUGGUAGGAAAGUGCUCAUAUUUUCAGAGUAAAUAAUCCCAAUUGGCUUUUUAAUAUUACUACUCAACUCUUGAAUCAAAACAAACUUAACAAUUAAUUCUAUAAAAAUAUCUUAAAAAAUGUGAGAAAAAAAAACACAUAAAAAUACACCUAAAUGAGAAAUUCAUUCUCAAUUUUGUAUGGCCCUAGUUUUUAACAAAAGUUAAUUUAUAAAAAAAAAUAAAUUUUAGCCCUAUUUUAAAUAAAUAAAUAAAUACUCACAAAAUUCGUCACCUCCUCAACAAUACCGUUAUUCUCUUUAAGGGAAAAACAAAAAAAAAAAAACUAAUUAAUCCCAACACUAAAUGUCGCAAAUGUAUGCGAAAUAACUCAAAUUAAAUCCAAAAAAUGCUCUAAUUAGUCAUGCCAAAUCGCUUAAAUUUAAUCCAUACUUUAAUUAACGUCAAAAUAUCAUUUAUACCAAAUAUUGCAAAUUGAACCAAAAAAAAAAAACGUAGUUAACAUCAAAAUGUCGCCAAAUUGUUCAAAUUGAACCAAAAAAAUUCUAAUUAACCUCAAAAUGUUGCUAGUUCUCACCAACUCACUCAAAUCUAUAUAAAAAAAUUAUUAUAUUUGAAGAAAAAAUACUCACGGAUGGGAUCGGUGGCAUGGAGAUUGCAAAGGUGAUAUGUGUAGAGAAGGAUCGACGCGAGAACAUUCAAAUAAAAUUAAUCUUAUAAUGAUUGAUACUAAGAGCCUAAAUUUAAAAUCUAAUUAUUUUACAUAUAUAUUAGGUAAAUAUAUUUUAAAAUUUCAUAAAAAAAUUAGCAAAAUGAAAGAAUGAAACGGUGGCUACGAAAAAACAAAAGCGUAUUCAAAGUUGGUCUAGUAAUUAAUUAUGAUUAUAAUUAUCGUUAAUUGAUGAAACGUUAAUAUAGAAUUAAUUGAUGAAACAUUAAUGAAUCAUAUACUAUACGGCCAAAAACGUAUAGUUGGGGGAGGAGAGGGGAGGGGAAGGGGUCGGGGAGAGAGAGAGUUAUUACAAAAAAAAAAAAAAAAAUCUAAAAUAAAGGAUAUUGCGCCACAUCAGCGAAAAUAUUAGGAAUUCAUAGAUAGGUAUAGAUAGAUGUAUUGAUUAUUCUUGAGUUGUAGAGCUGCAAAUAUUUCAUUACUUGAUUACGUGAUAGUUAUUGACUUAGUCGGUCGGUGUUACAUAUUAUUCUUGCGGCAUUAUUUUGACCUUAUUGCAUAUGAAUUUUAAUUUAUACACUUUUUUUUUGAAUUUUGGUUUACAACUGAGUCCAACCAAGUUUGACUCUAAACACAAUAUGCUGUGCUGUUGAAAUCUAGCUUGGAUCAAUGGCAGGUCUGGACACAACGAGUAUCCAUUAUUGCUAAUGGUUGCCAGCCCGACCCAAUUUUUGAUAUUUGCCAUCCCUAAUUUUCAGUAAACUCAUACCCUUUUACCUUUUAAAUAAAACAAACAUGAAGACAAACAAACAAAUUUGUUUGCACUCAUACAGAGAUUAACAAUUACAUAUUGCUAAACAGACUAAAUCGUAAAUAUAACAAUAUAAUUCCUGUAUUCUGAGCUUGACACACUUCUAAUUAACUACUCUUUAAUAACUACAUCCACCCAAAUUCGUAACUGAUAUCGUAGAUCUAAACUAAAUUAAAUAACAUUUUGUUUUUCUCCUUGAGCAAUUAAAUUUGAUGAUGGUACAUCAUGUAAUUAAUUGCGGAAUUUAUGUGAUUCUACUCUAUUGAAUAUAUAUAUCAUCUUUUUGUAACAACUAAUUUCCAUGAAUUUUUUUGAAGGGAAAAUUUUGAAAAAUUUCUCAUCCAAAUGCAAUAAUUAUUGAAAAUUCUUAGUCUAUUUAUAAUAUUAGUUAUUGUUUCAUUUUCUACCUUGCAAGAUAUAAUAUAGAUGCAACUGCAUGCAACCAAGCUGAAAAAUAAUUUAUUUGGUGUGAGGAUUGAGAUUUUUGGCAGUAUAACAAAACUCUCUGUUGAUGAUAUUUUUGUGUGUAUUUUAAUUACAAAAGCAAUCGUCAAGAGCACUCGUCAAGUUCCGAAAGAAAACGAGUUAAAACGGAGAUUUUACGCGAUCUUUACUUUUCACUUAAAGUGAAUAGUAACCUGGGUUUCCGGAGAGGCCGAUGAGUAGAGUUGGCUUUUGGCGCGUAUCGGACUCCGUUCAUAGCGAUCCAAUUGCUCGUUUUCAAUGUUUCAGCUAUCCUGGAAGCAAUGGUGCUAAGGAUUUCAGGUUUGACGCACGGAUUUCAAAAAAACUAGAAAUACAUGUAUUUAAUGUAUUUGUGCGUGGUUUUUGCAUUUCGGAGAGAGAAUGGGUUUCGUCGCGAAUCCAUGACCAAACCAGGGGAAACAAAAUUGUGGAUUGGUUGUCUCUGUCGUGCUGAUCGCACUGGUGCGAUCCGUUCGCAAAUCUGACGGACGAAUCUCCUGAUAUCGCACGUUGAUCGAUAAGGGGUCAUUAGUGGGAAAACGGUAAUUUUGCGAAAAGCUCGACAUUUUCUGUACCGUUUUGCGUGAAAUCGAAUGUGCAUGUGUGAUCGCGCGUUUUACUCGCGCUGUGAGGGACUUAGAUUAAAAUACUGAGUUUUAGAGGGCUUUUGCGCAAUUGGAGCUCUAUGUAUAUAAAGUCCAUCUAGGGUUUGCACCAUGGAAGGCUUCGUUUGGUUUGGGUAUAAGCAAGAACUAGUUAUACCGGAGAUAGGUACAAGUAUGGGUUUUCGUAGGAACAAAGGUUAUUUUUUUGUUUGGAUGAAAUCGUGAGUAUACGUUGGAACUAGAAAAAUUGUGUUUGUAUGGUUUUUGAGAAUAAGAUGAAUAGUUGGUAGUUAUAAAUAGAAAAUAAUAAUAUAUUAUUCCUAUAAUUGAAUUUUAAACUUAUAAUUUUAAAAUUAAAAUUUUAACUUUUAAAUUUUAAAAUUAGAAAUUAAAAUUUUAAAUUUUAAUAUUCAAAAUUUUAAUUUUAAAUAUCAAAUUUUUAAUUUCAGACCAAAUUUAAAUUUGAAAGAUAUAAAAUAACAAAUUUAAAAUUUAAAAACUAAAAAUAUCAAAUUUAAAAUUUAAAAAUUUAAAAUAUCAAAUUUAAACUUUAAUAAAAUUUAAAAUUUUAAUUUAUUAAUUAUAAUUAUAAAAUUAUAAAUUUUAAGAAUUUAUAUUUAUAUUUAAAAUAAAAAUCUCUCUCUCUCUCUCAAGUGGGUUGGAACAAGCUUGGGAACCGGGUUGUAUCUGGUACAACCCGGUAUGGUGGGAACACUUGUUCCCACCAUCCCAAAUUUGGGUUUGGGUAUAAAGGGAUAUCCCCUUAUCCCCCGCCCCCUUAUACCCAUACCAAACGGAGUGUAACUAGCCCCAGCUAAACCCCCCAGCCGCCUCUCUUCCCUUCACUUCGUGCACUGCGCGCCUCCCAGUAGCCGCCGACCGAGCCUCGGCUCGCAGCCACCUUUUCCUCCCUCUCCAUCUCUCUCUCUCUUUCUCUCGAGUUGAGAGGAGGCCCAAGGCUGCAUUGCCUCCUCACUCUCUCUACCGACGUUGCCCCGAUUCCCGGCGACUGUCCCCGCCGGCCGUCACUGCUCUGCGCGCCGCCGCUGCCGCCCAGGUCGCUUGCUGCCAACUAGGGUCAGCAAUGAGGUGAGGAAGCUUCAGCUCCCUCCCCUCGCGCCGCCGCCGCCUGAGGACGCUCUCGCCGUCUCCCUCCGGCCUCCAAUGAACCAUCGUCGUCACCCCGGCCCCCAGUCGCCGUCGUGGCCGCCGCUGCCCUGUGAACCCAAGCCGUGCCCAUACGGGCUCGAGAGUCAGGAUGCUCCAGCACUGCUGCCGCCACCUUCCGCCACCGGCCGGCGUGAGCACCUGCUCCACCUGGUCAGCCGCACUCGUCUGCCGCCGGCUCCCCGCCGCCGGAGCUCCCUGUCGGCCGGACCUGGGCCGUGCUCUCAUCGGCUUGGUGCGGCUAGGGCAUCAUUGCUCGCUGCAACUGCCGCCUUCCGUUGCCGGCUGACGCGCUCCCCGGCCUCCCUCCAUCGCCCGCACCUGCCUGCCUCCCGGCCGCCGCCAGCCGUGCCUGAGCUCCCCAUGGUACGGUGAGUUCUAUUUCACUGUUUUGUGCAAAGUCUCCGGUUCGGAUCGUUGUUCUGGCAAUCCUAGGACACCCCGACACUCCUGGAAGUGAGCACGAUGAUCCCCGAUCUGUGCUGAACAUCAUGCUUACCUUCGUUGGGGACAGUAUAGCCCCGAUUUGCGUGCUAAGAGCGAUUUAGGCACUGUGCGCGCUAUUUCUCUGAACUUCGCGUCGCUUCUGCGCUUGUCAUAGUGGCCGGCCGUGCUCCAAAGUGUGAGCACGGCCUCUGGCACAUCGAGACCUGUUAGAGUGUGUCUCAACCAGGCUAGAUAGUUCUCGGUUUGCGCUGUCGGACCGUAAAACCCCGAAAAUCACAUAAAAUGAUGUGAUUUCAUGUUGUGUCACAGGGACUUUUAUGCAAUAGUAUGUUUCGUGGUUGCUGUUGGCAGCGUGUGCGGGCAACGGGUGACCUCUGGAUUAGUUGUCCAAGGCUCCAGGCCUUUUCGAAAAUCGAAUGUGGAUUUUCGGUGCAUUUUUCGGCGAAAUCCUCCGACGGAACGCGAUUUCGGUUCGAAAUUCUUCCGAUGGUGCCUCACUAUAUAUUGUGUAUUCGCUGAGCCUUGUUGGCUUGUCACUCGCGUCGUUUCGAGGGUUCGGAAAAGACGAGUGAGUGACGGUGGGUUCCGGUGUCGAAUUUGACACUUCUGGGAACUCGAAUCGGAAUGAUUAUUCGACGAUAAUCGUUUAUGUAAGGUUGUAUGUUUGCUGCCAAGUCGCACGAUUAAUUAUGUUUAGUGGCAGCGGGUGACUCGUAGCACGAGUCGGUGAGUUCAGGGACUGUUCGCGGGUCCUGGCGGAGUCCCGGUGCGAUUUUUGAAACUUUCGGCGGGUUACGGUAGUUGGUUUGGGAAACCGAUUCCCGUGGGUUUAAUUGUGGGGUUGUGUGUUUAGUAUUUCUUAUUUGUGGGUUAGAUACUAACCCGGUGGACCCUUCAUAGGUCCGCUUCACUUUCUUCCGCGGUCGGGAGAUCAGUGCUACGUAUGUAUAGGUAGGUACUUCGACCCGAAGUCGGUACAGUGGUGCACGCUCGGUGACAUUCCCUUCACUCUUUCCUUAAUGGUUAUCAUGCAUGAUAUAUAUUAAGCCGCACUCGUCUGCCGCCGGCUCCCCGCCGCCGGAGCUCCCUGUCGGCCGGACCUGGGCCGUGCUCUCAUCGGCUUGGUGCAACUGCCGCCUUCCGUUGCCGGCUGACGCGCUCCCCGGCCUCCCUCCAUCGCCCGCACCUGCCUGCCUCCCGGCCGCCGCCAGCCGUGCCUGAGCUCCCCAUGGUACGGUGAGUUCUAUUUCACUGUUUUGUGCAAAGUCUCCGGUUCGGAUCGUUGUUCUGGCAAUCCUAGGACACCCCGACACUCCUGGAAGUGAGCACGAUGAUCCCCGAUCUGUGCUGAACAUCAUGCUUACCUUCGUUGGGGACAGUAUAGCCCCGAUUUGCGUGCUAAGAGCGAUUUAGGCACUGUGCGCGCUAUUUCUCUGAACUUCGCGUCGCUUCUGCGCUUGUCAUAGUGGCCGGCCGUGCUCCAAAGUGUGAGCACGGCCUCUGGCACAUCGAGACCUGUUAGAGUGUGUCUCAACCAGGCUAGAUAGUUCUCGGUUUGCGCUGUCGGACCGUAAAACCCCGAAAAUCACAUAAAAUGAUGUGAUUUCAUGUUGUGUCACAGGGACUUUUAUGCAAUAGUAUGUUUCGUGGUUGCUGUUGGCAGCGUGUGCGGGCAACGGGUGACCUCUGGAUUAGUUGUCCAAGGCUCCAGGCCUUUUCGAAAAUCGAAUGUGGAUUUUCGGUGCAUUUUUCGGCGAAAUCCUCCGACGGAACGCGAUUUCGGUUCGAAAUUCUUCCGAUGGUGCCUCACUAUAUAUUGUGUAUUCGCUGAGCCUUGUUGGCUUGUCACUCGCGUCGUUUCGAGGGUUCGGAAAAGACGAGUGAGUGACGGUGGGUUCCGGUGUCGAAUUUGACACUUCUGGGAACUCGAAUCGGAAUGAUUAUUCGACGAUAAUCGUUUAUGUAAGGUUGUAUGUUUGCUGCCAAGUCGCACGAUUAAUUAUGUUUAGUGGCAGCGGGUGACUCGUAGCACGAGUCGGUGAGUUCAGGGACUGUUCGCGGGUCCUGGCGGAGUCCCGGUGCGAUUUUUGAAACUUUCGGCGGGUUACGGUAGUUGGUUUGGGAAACCGAUUCCCGUGGGUUUAAUUGUGGGGUUGUGUGUUUAGUAUUUCUUAUUUGUGGGUUAGAUACUAACCCGGUGGACCCUCCGUAGGUACGGUUGACGAUCUUCCAUAGUCGGAAGACAGGCACGCUAUUCUUACAGGUGGGUACUUCGAUCUGAAGUCAGUAUAGUGGUGCACGCUCGGUAACGUUCUCUCCACCCUCUCUUUAUUAUCUUGCAUAUCAUGUUAUGAGCUUAGAACCAUUUGACUUCUUACUUAUUGCUCUACUUGAUUACUGUCCAUAUUUAUCAUCAUGAUUUAGAAGUAGAGUGUACUAUCUGUGGUGACCUAUUCGGUCGGUUCUGCGACUCCUAUUGUUUGAUGACCUAUGAGGUCGGUAUAUCCUGAGGGAUAGGAUUGCCGGCUAGUUGCCGACGGGUGAUUAUAGAUUACAUUGAUCCAUGAUCUGACAUUCUUGUGACCUAGUCGGUCGGUUUCUUGUAUCUCGUAUUGUGACCUAUUUGUCGGUUUUUGUACAUAUAUGUUAGUUGACAUUGAGUGGUCGAUACUUGUAUACUUUUGGAAGGAUGUUGAGUUGUUCCAUCCUAGUUGACCCGAGUGGUCGGUACUUGUGUUCUUACGGUUUGAUGACCUAUUGGUCGGUGUGCCAUGAGGGGCGGUGAUUGUCGACUAAUUGCCGACGGUUGGCUAUUGAGCAUAUCAGUAUUGAUUGCCCGGGACUCGUUCGCACUUCACGAACACCAGCGGUCUGAUCCACCGCAAGAGGGUGUUCUUUUCCGAAAAAAUGGUUGGGCGUGCCAACACGUGAGCCCAACGGCCUAGGCUUGGUUAUAUGCAGGUAGAGUGGCAGUGGGCACACGCUUGAGGUCUGCGGACUGAUAUGGCAGGUUUCAGAUUGGAUACUUUGGGGACUGAUCGUCCGGUUGAUGCAUACUUGCAGUUUGUUCUGUUUUACAGUAGCGGCUAGUUAUACUCCUAUAUACCGUUGUUUACCCACGCAUCAUUGCUACUUUAGUUAUGAUAUCUAUGUAUGCAUUCUGUUCUAUUUUACAGUAGCGGUAGUUAUAUGUUCCAUUACUAUUACCUUCCUUCUGGCAUAUUAGCUACUGUAUUUGUGAUAUCUAUCUAUAACUUUGAUGAUCUCUUUCUGUCGGUGAGUACUCCUCGCCUUCGUCGGCUUGCGGUACCCACUGGGAGGGGAGACAUGUGUAUAUGUUCUCAACCCCACCCCCAUUUGAGGUGACAUUGCUGGUCCAAGUCGGGACGGUUCGUAAGACACGCGGUUAGUGGUCGUAGAUUGCUCUGAUCCAGUGGAUUUGGUUUAAUUUCUAACCUUACUUUCCAAAUAAAUAACUUAGACAUGUUAUGGUUCAGUUUGUUCUAUUUUAUUUGGAUUCACGUGGUUUUUUGUGAAAUGAAUAAAAUAAUUAUGAUUUUCUUAUGAGAUGAAAAUAGUUUUCUACCCCUUGUGUGGUAGCGUAUUUUAAAAGAAAAGGUUUCCAUGUGGGAAACGGUUUUAAAAAGAGUUUUUCUUGAUUUUCAUGAUUCAUAGUAUUUCAAAAUAUGUUUCCGAGUGGAAAACGUUUUAAACUAAUAGAUAUGGAUUUAUGAUAAACUGUAAUGGAAUGAAUGUGAUGUGGUCAGUGUAUGUGGAUUAUUAUACUAUGUGGUUGUAUCUUGUAUUUGUGCGACGCCGUGCAAAUAUAGGAAAGAUUCUGUCCGUGUGAACAGUGGAUUCCUGUAUUUGUGACGGAUCUGACAUCCACUGGGAUCAAAGCUUUUAAAAAAAAUAAAAUAAAAUAAAAUUUUGCGCACUUUUGCUUCGGUUUAAAACCAAAAAGGACCUCGGGGCGUGACAUUUGGUUUGCUACAGAUGUAGUUAAAUGUCACAUUUGGAUCUGCAAAUGAAGGUCCUACUCCUAACGUACACUCAAAUUAAACCUAUAGAAAUCACUUUCAAAGGAUAACCUAACGUACCGCCGAUCAUCUCUUAGAUAAAUUACUGGAGAUAAUCUCUAUAUUUUUCACAAAAAAAAUAAUUUGCAAAUUCAUAUUCCAACUAUAAGCAAUUAAAUAAAAUAUUUAUGGUUACAACACUCUCUACUGCGUGUUACUAAAUAAGUAAAUUAUAAAUAUUACUAAAAUAUUGAUAAUUAUAUGGAUCUCAUUAUAUUUAUAACUACCUUCAAAUAAAUGGACUUAAAGUAGAGAUUAAAAUUGAAAAUUGAGUUAUUAUCCUAUUAAUAGGAUAAAGCUCUUUGUCCUGUCAAACCGUUUUCGAUGAUUGAGAGUUUGAAUCAAUGAUUGACAUCGUUGAAUUUGAUCUAGAACAUUUUAAAUAUUUAAAAACUAAAUUUAGUGACUUUUAAAAGUCAUCCGCAUCAUGAUUGAAAAGCUUUAAAUUCAAUAAUCUUUGAAGGCCUAUUUGUACCGUUUGCUCAUUUAAUGAUGUAAAAUGAUUCACAUCGAUUAAAGUAUCGAUAGAAAGUUUUUUUUUUUCACUAUUUUGAUCAUAUUUGACAAACCCAAUCUUGUAUUGAGAAGCUCUGACCUCUAUUUUUACGUGGUGUUUGUUUUUAACUGUUCAUUGUGUGUUCUUUUGAUACAGAAGAAAAUAAUUUUUAAAAUUGUAAAAUUUGAUUGUUAAAUAAUUUAAAUGCUCUAGAUCACAUUUGAUAGUGCUGAUCGCCGAUUCAGACUCUUAAUCAUUGAAAACGACUUGAUAGGACAAAAGAUUUAAUUCUAUAAAUAGAAUAAAAGUUGAAUUCUUAAAAUUGAUAUACUAUAAUUAUUGGUCCCAUAAUUAUUUAUGCAAGCGGGGAGCUAAACUGCAAUGUAGUUAUUUGUAAUUUAACUUUAUUAUUUCGUUAUUUUUAGCAUGAUAAGAGCGCUACUAAAAUAGAGCUAACUUUUUUUUGUUUCUAGACAUGUUUCUAAUGCGCUAAGAACAUUAAAAUUCGUGCUCACCACAUAAUUUGCUAUAUGGUUAUCAUUUGUCAACACAAGUAAAGCUACUUUGGGCACCGCAAAUACACCCAAUUAAAAUUAACUAGUGAAGGACCGCGCUUCGCGGCGGGACAUUUAUGCAAAUUUUAAAAUAUUGUGAAUAAUUUUUUUUUAAUUUUAUAAUAUCUAAAUCUAAUUUUAAAUUUUUAAAUUUAAAAAUUUAAGAGAAAAAAAUUAAAAAAAUUAUUUAAAUAGAGAGGGAUAAAAAAGGCUGAAAUUUAAAACACGAUUUAUUAUAUAUAUUAUUAAUAAAUUAAUAAAUUAUAUAUUAUAUAACAUCAGUUAAAUUUUAAUUUUAAAUAUAAAAAUAUAAAAUUCAGAAAUUAAAAUUUUAAAAUCUCUCUCUCCUUCUCUCUCCCUUUCUCUCCCUCUCUGUCUUUCUCUACCUGACUCUCUCUCUCUCUGCUCUCUCUCCCUCUCUCUCUCUUUCUCUCUCCCAGCGUCUCUCUUUCUCUCUCUCUCUUCCCCUCUCUCCCUCAGCCCCUCUCCCCAACGCGCCCCACCCCCAACCCGGUGCUCGCCCAGAAUUGCGACCGCCACAGCGCCGCCGCCCACGCCCGCGCGCCUGCGCCGAACCCGCCCUCCCCUGACAACCCAUGAGUCACGCGCCCCUGCCGCGAGCCCCCAGCGAAAUACCCUGCGAACCCCGCCCCAAGUGCCCACCCUCCGGGCCCUCCCGACCCGCCGUCUGCCGUCCGAGCCGGCGUCCGCGGCCCCGCAGCCGAAAACCCGCAGGGAAGGCCCCCCCCCUCGCCGCGCCCCGGCUUCAGCGUCGAGCCCGCCACCACGAUCGAACCCUACGAGGGAUCGCCGCAAAGGCCCGCCGCGGUACCUCGAUCGCCGAGCCUGGGAGAGCGCGGAUAGGGACGAGAGACGGAGGUUAGGGAGAGGAAAAGAGGGGAGAGAGCCGGGGGAGCGGAGAGAAGGAGGAGACCCGGGGAGGGAGAAGAAAAGAGCAGAUCCCGAGGAAGAGACAGGGGGCGACCGCCGACAGCGCCACGCGCUCCAGCCGGCGCCGGUCGGCCAGUGUAAUGGCACGCGGGCGCCACUCCUCACAGCUCCGUGCGGGCGCGGGUCGCGCGUGCCAUCGGCGCCGGGGGGCGCCCGCACCGCCACCGGGCAGCGGGAUCGCAACAGCGUGGGGCGAGAAAGCGUGGACGUCCUAGAGCAGGAGUGAGAGUGAGAGAGACGUAGAGAGAGAGAGUGCCUGGGCGGUAUCGGGAGAUGAGAGGGUGCGGGAAGGAGCUAGAGCGACGGGAAGUAGAGACGAUCGAGAGAGAGGGGAAGAGAAAGAGAGAGAGAGCUGGGGAGUGAGAGGGGGAAAAAAAAUUCCCUGUGGACCCCACCGGGCCCCGAAACGCGGGGAAUUCUACACUGUCACACUUGCACCACGUCAUCAAUAAUAAGCCAAUCACGUUCCUUUUUUUCAAACAAAAGUACAAUAAAAAUACUUUUUUACAAUCAUGAUGGAACAUAUAUUCUUAAAAAAAUUAAUUUGAUUGGUUUGUUACGCCAUAUCACUAAUAUAACCGUUGCAUUUUAAAAUUUUUCCCGAAAGGCGGAGAGAACGCCGUAAUACUCUCGAUUCAAGAGUUAUAUAGAUAUGUUAGCUUUACAUAUAAUAAAGUAGUAAACAGUUACAUAAUUCCCAAUAUCGAUAUUAGAAGUCAUAUCUCAUAUAUAUUUAUAAUAUCAAAAAAUAAUUGAAUAGUACCUUCUAAAACUCUUAUAGUGCAACUUCAAAAAGAGAAAAAAUAAUCUAAUAUUUAGAAGGUGCUUAUCAAUUCAUGAUAUAAAUAUUUCAUAAGGAGAUUUGCAAAUUUGUGGUUCCCAACAAUUGUAUUAUUUUACAUAUAUUGUAAUUGACAUACGUGGGUAAAAUUUUCACUAGAGUUGAUACAAAAAAAUUACCAAAAAUUCUUAUUGAAUGUAAUUGCUUGGGAGACUACUAAUUCCUCCUUACCAUUAUUAAAAAAGCACAAAGUAAUUAAAUUAGUAAUUAGUAAAAAAAAGAAAAGGAAAAAGAAAAUUCUCUUUUCUUUUUUACAUAAACUUUUUUUUUUUUCUCUCUCCCUCCUUAUCCUUUGUUAUUAUUAUUAUUAUUUAUUAUCCUUUGCUUCUAUUCCUAAUUUGGGUUCUUGGGAUGUUGAGGUUCCACAGCAUGAUUUGGGAGCAACCAAGAGGAAUCCCCUUCAACUUAACAUCAUCUUCCGUGAUCAUCUUUUGGACGGACAUUAUUGAAUCCUGAGGUUAAUCACCACCAUCAAUGUUCAGAUAACAUUAAAAAGAAUAAAAAUGUGAAAUAAUAUGAAAUAUUUAUUGUCUUAAUUUGAAAACAUAAAACUUCUAGAAAAUAAAUUCUCUCCCUAACGUUUUGGCUCAAAUACUUCAAUAGUUCCAAAUAUAGACUUUGAAUUAAAUAAAAAUAAAUUAAUAACUAGUGAAGCGGCCCGCGCUUUGCAACGGAUAGAAACCGUAGUAGUAAUUAAUAAUAAAAAAAUAUUAAAUAUUCUCUUGUAUAUCUCACUUGGUACAUCCACCAAAGGUCACGGCGGAACGGAGAAGUGGGCUCGCAUUAGUGAGAGAGAGGGAAGGAGCGAGGGAAAAAGACGAUGGUGUAUAGCAAAAGAUGAGAGAUAGAGAAUUGAUGAAUAGAUUGGAGAUAAAGAAUUGAAAAUGGAAGGAAGGAAAAAGACCAUGAUUAAUAAUUGGAGAUAAAGAGGUUAGGAUUAUAGAUGGUAGUGGGAUCAUUUAAAUAUACUAAUUGAAAGUUUGAUAGUGGGACUGUUUGCAUUAGUUGAAAGUAUAGUGGAAUGAAGGGAAAAAAAUCAUGAUGUGUAAUUGUAGAUAGAAACGAUAGAAUUGUAGAUAGUAGUGGAACUAUUUAAAUGCACUAAUUAAAAGUUUGGUUAGUGGGACCGUUAAAAUGUAUAUUGAAAGUUUGGUGAAGGGAAGAAGAAGAGUUACAUGCUAGUGAAGGUGAAGGAGAACUUGUCACGUGGCAACAAAUAUUGAGAAUUCAUAUAGGUUAAUAGAUACUCUGAACUUGAUGGGACUCAAAUUGAAGAUCGUUUGCUAUAAUAUAAUAUUAUGUGAAAUAAUAUAAAACACCGUUUUGUUCAAAAGCUUAGGCUUUGUUUGGAAUUGCGGGGAGAUUGCGUUGCGUGUGGUGAGAAACGACAAUGGAAAAAUAUCCUGUUUGUUUCCGUACGUAAUAUUGCGUUCCGUAAAUCCCGAUGAGUCGGUUACGAUAUAUUUUCCGCGGUCCCAUCGGAGAACGCAGAAGCAUAUUCCUAUAUGCUUUUUUCCUCAACUCCAUUUUAUCUAAUUAGAUAGAUCUCAAUACGAAACUAAGCAUUAAUCUUUUAGAACUAUAUUUAUUUUAAUAUUAAAUAUUCAACAAAGGAAAACUGGAUAAUAACAUCCAAUGGAUUGGAUUGAAUCCCAAAUUUACUUUUCCUCAAUUCACUUAUUUUGAUACUCAUAAUUCAUAAUGAUUUAUUAUAAUGCUUACUUAUUUUGAUGGUUUCAUUAAAUGUAGAUAAAUAGGACAAUUUGACGUCUAAUUUAUCAUUUUUUUUUAAUUUUCUAUAUGACUAACACCAACGUAUUAAAAAUUAACGUUAAAAUUGGAUUCAAAUCAAAAUUAAGUCAAACUUUGUGUCUAUACACUUGAAUUUUUUUUGAAUUGUGAGCAAAUUAAAUUUUAUUAUAAUUAUAUACCAAAUGGAGUGUAUAGGCACAGAUACCUAACUUGUAUUGAUUCAUUAAACUAUUUUGUUGUAAUUCGUAACACGUGAUAAAUUAAUAUCCCAAUUUUGAUAGAUACAUUGAAGUAGCUAGCAUUUCACAUCCUAUGUAUCUAGCCUAUAAUAUUGGUUUCAUUAAUAUUCGGUUCCUAGAACAAACUAGUGUAUAUGAUUAUGUGAGGAGCCUGGUACGCCAUCAUUUGUUGUGUGUUAAUCCUCUCGGAGCACAUAAAGAACAUUUUAACUCUACUAAAAAGAUGAAUAAAUCUCAAACUUAUCUAAAUUUAUUAAAGUUAUAAUAAAUUAAGUCUGGUUAUUAUUACUAGCCUCCCCCUGUUUAGACCCCUUAGAUUCUCGCCGGGUCAGCAUUUUGCCCCGCAUAGCAUUUAGCUCUCAGACUUCCGGCUGGUAUUCGGCUCUGAUAUCGAUUAUAACAAUCCGACCCGCCAGUAACAAUAAUUCCUUGGAUUCAAACCACCGGCUCAAAAUGCUUAAGUUCAAUUAUUAUUAUUAUUAUUAUUAGCGUGUAGAUCUCAUAUAUUCUAAUUAGAUUUAGUUUUCUACCCGAUGUGUGAUUAUUGGGACGUUACAAUAACUAAAAUCAAAAGUUUUAAAUUGAAAACUUAUGCUUCUAAGGUCAUGAAAAUUAAUUAUAUUUCACUUUGCAGGUUAAAUUUUCAUUCUAUUUGAAAAAAAGAGUUUGAAGAGAAACCUGCAACACAUCCGGCUGAGAGUUUGGGCGGCCCCAUCUCUCCUGAUCCCACAAUAUCGAGCUGUUGAAUGCGAAAUCUGAGAUGUUAAUCUUGAGAGGCUUUGAACCUUUUGUGAUAUUCGUCAUUCCGCUACUUACAUCCUUCGAGAACCAUCCGACCACCUCCGAUGAUCGACAGAUUGGUCCUUCCACCACCACCCUCCGCCUACUUCCUGCCACCAUUGCCGCCGGCCAAGUGCCAAAAACUCUUUACAGAUAAAUGAAAUAGAAUAGUUUAGAUCGGAGGUGAGAAACCAUGCUAAGAGAUCGAAUCGCUCGCUGUUCGUGAGCUAGCUCGUGCUCGGCUAGAAACGAGCUUGAGAUCGAAUCGUUCGUUUAAUAAACGAGCAGAACACAAGCUGAAUUUAUCAGUUCGUUUAAUAAAUGAACUGAACACGAGCUAAGAUCAGCUUGCUCGUGUUCGGCUCAAUAACAGCUCAAAUACAUACGUUUUAGGGUUAAUUUCGUACAUAUCCUUGCAAACAAAAUGAAUAAAAAAUAUAUUCCUACAAAGUUCAACUUUUAUAUAUUAUUUCUAUAAAAAUUCUGAUAUUUUUAAAUAUGUCCAUGUCGUUAGAAUUUGUUAGAAAAUUUUAAUUAAUUAUAGGUUAAAUACUUAAUCUUGAUUAGUUUUUUACAUUUUUCUCCCUCUUAUAUUAUACUAUUAUGACUAUUAGACUGACAUAUAAGUGAUGACAAAAUUAAAAAUACAAAUAAUUCUCUAAUGGUUCUCUAAUAGAAACAAACCAGAAGGAAAUAUUUAAAAGUAUCAGGACUUUUGAAGGGGCAACAUAAGAAAGUUAAACUUUGUAGAGCUAUAUUUGUCAUUCACUAUGUUUGCAGGGAUAUGUAUGAAAUUAAUCCUAUAUUUUAUAUUUAUAUAUAUAUAAAUAAAUAAAUAAUUUUUAGCUUAAUCUAAAUAUAAAGUCCAACUCAAUUAUAAAAAGGUCAUUUAUAUAUAAAGUUUCGACUAUUAGAUCGAAGUCAAAUGGGUAAAAUCUUAUAAGUUUAUUUUCUAUACGCAUCCUUUAUAAUUCUUUUAACUUGUUAUUCAUGAGCUAACUCAUAUUCGGCUCGUGUACUCGAGCUGAAUUUUUCGGCUCGAUACUUUAACGAGUCAGCUCAUGCAUGUUUGGCUGGUUUAUGAAAUGAGCUGAACACGAGCCGGCCUCAGCUCGCUCUUGUUCGGCUGGUUGACACCUCUACUGGGAGAAAGAGAGAGCUAGAAGUGCCUCUAAAACUAAUUAAGAAAAUCUGAUAAAAUGAUCAAAAGAAACUAAUAAUGAAAUUCAUUAUCGCUGAUUAUUAAAAAAGCUAAUAAAAUUUGGGAUAAGGUGGCUACAUGGCAAGCUAUCCAUAUAUUCAAAUAUUUAGAGCCCUUAUUUAUACAAGUGUUUGAUUAAAUAUUUAGAAUUUAGUUGGUAUUUGUAAAAAAAACAAAUAAUGCAGGUUUUAAAAAUGUAAUAUUUUAUUAUUGACUCUCGUUAGACCCAAAUUAUCAAGUAUGGAGACAAGUCCUAAUCAGAGAAUUUGAAAUAUUUUACGAAUUGGGAAUUGGAAUCAGAGAGAAGAAUAUUCCCAAUAUUUUAUGUGCUUCUUACUCUCUGGAUACAAAAGUUUCUCUGCAAUAAUUAACGUGCAUCUAUAAAAAUAAUUUACAAAAUUUGAAAUUGUGUUUUUCCUAUAAGAAAUAAAAUAUCUAGUUAUUAAUGUAUAUACCCUCUAAAAUUCAAAACAGCAUAUAGUUGGUUCAAAAAAUACUCUUAUAUAAGUUAUCCAAUUCAUGGGAGCUAUAGUUAUUUUUGAAUUAGAAAAAUAUACAAUUAUUUCGGAAAGAUUAGCAAAAGUUUUUGCAAGAAUAUAUAUAUAUAUGAAAUAUAUAUAGCUUUUGGGCAGGGAAUAUUUAAAAAAAAAAGAAAAAGUCGAAAAAAAUUUUAAAUACCCUUCUCUCAAAAAAAAUAUUUUCUCACUUUAGUACCAUAUGGUUUAAACUCUAUCAUUUUAGUAUCCUAUGGUUUCUUUUUCUCUUUCCGUUAUUCUCUCUAUUAAUUUUUUCGUUAAAUCAGUGCGAGAGUUAAAACCACAGAGUAUUAAAGUAGAAACUUCAUAAACCACAUAGUACUAAAGUGAAUAUUCGAUAAACCAAACGGAGGUAUUUGAUUUUUUUUUUUUAUGUUUUAAUGAAGAAUUAACAAAGGUACCGAUGAAAAGAGAAAAAUAAAAAUGCAGGAUACUAAAGUAAUACAUUUUAAACCACAUGGUACUAAAAUAAGAAAACGCUAAACCACGGGGGGAUGUUUAAAAUUUUUCCAAAAAAUAUUUGCUUUCUAGGAGUUCUAUUUUAUACAUAAAAAGUCUUUAAAUGCUGUGCAUGAAAAUUUGAUGUUUGGUAUUGAAAUUGAACUUAAAAAUUUAGCAUUUAUUCUUGAAUGAGAGAACCAAGUAAAGAAUUUUCCAAAAGGCACAAAAGGAUCCGAUGGAAAUAGUGGAGGCAAGCUAACGUGUUAGUUGCACCAAACUUAGUAAUUAACAUAAAUUUAAGAAGUAGUAAUAAAAAAUCUAGAUAAGUGAGAGAUAAAAAUUAUAUGAAAUAACCAAUCGUCCGUAGCGCAAGUGGCAAAAAGCUUGCUGGUUCGUACUCGAGGUCCCAAGUUCGAAUCUUAGUUGAUUCACAUUUUCAGUUAAGUUUAUUUAUAAAUGAAAUAAACGAAGCGGGUAGUAUUCUGCUAUGUCUUAAAAAAAAAAUUAUACGAAAUACAAAAUUUAUAUUUGAAUAGAAGUACAUCACAUCGUAUAAUUAAUAAGAAAGUAAAUAAGUGAUAUAUAUUAAUAAAUUCAGAUAAAAUAAAUAUAAGGUUUCAGAUCAAAUGAGUUUCUUUUUUUUUUUAAAUUUCUUUUUCCCCCUAUUUCUUUAUUUUACUUCAUUGUUAAAGAGAUUCAAAUCAGGGAAUAUGGUAAAUUACAUUUUUGGUUACUGAAAUUCUUUUCUUUUGUAAAAUUUUAUUUGGUCACUAAACUUUAAAUUUUUCUCAAACAAAAUUAAGAUACUAAACUUAGUUUUAUUUUAAGUGUUACUAUUUGAAUUUUUGUUAAUUUUUCCGAUGAAGUAAUGAUGCGACAUGUAAUUUUUGCAUUUAGCCCUUUUAAAUAAUUUGACAUUAUAAAUGAUUUUAUUAAAAUUAUAUAUAGAAAUAGCUAUAGUGAUUCAUUCAAAGUAUUUAGAAUAUAGUAUAUGGAGAGGAAAAGACAAAUUCUAUUGUUAAAAAUAUCAUUAUGUUAUUUAACUAAACACAAUAAAUAUAUUACCGUGCUUUGAAUAUUGCGAAUGAACCACAUAUUCACUUAAAAUAUUUUGUAUAUUUCCUUUGUGUACAAUAUCGAGCCAUUUCUGCAUUUUAAUUUUGAUAGAAUUAUUUGCAAAUUAAAAAAUUUGAUGGAGUUAAAUGUUAAAAAAAGGCCAUAUAUAUAUAUAUAUAUAUAUAUAUAUAUAUAUAUAUAUAUAUAUAUAUAUAUAUAUAUUUUUUAAAGAAAGGUAGUACGCUAUCCGUUUUGUUUAUUUCAUAUAGAAAUAAACUUAACUGGAAUUAUGAAUACUUCAAUUUCUCGUUUAACUUAACUGGAAUUGUGAAUACUUCAAUUUCUCGUUUAUUUCAUUUAGAAAUAAACUUAAUUGAAAAUAUUAAUCAGCUAGGAUUCGAACUUGGGACUUCAGGUACUAACCACUAAUUCCUUUACCACUUGCUCUAGAGACGGUUAGUGCCCUAUAAAUAUUCAACAAAAUUCAAAAUGAUUUGUUUGAUUACCACAUCAUUUCUAUCGUUUGAUACUAUAUUAUUUCGGAAAGAUGAAUCGAGUUCGGAUCAUUUUAAAUGAUAAAUUAGUUCUCAUAUCAUCUUCAGAAUAAAACAUGAGAGCUAAAUUUUUUAUUACUUUAUUAUUUCAUUUGAAAAAUAUAAAAUAUUUAAUAAAAGUAUCAGAUUAAAAAAAAAAAAAAUUUUAAUGAGUCAAUUAAGGCCCAUCUAACUGAGGUUCAUCUAACAUUAAUAAAUAAAAUAGAACUGAUGCGAAAACAUAUAGAAAUAUAUUUUUAUGUGUUUUGAUGGGACUGUAGAAAACAUAUAGUAACUUGUUUAUACAAUAUGUGAAACACGAUAUUACGUACAGAUAUAAACAUAAUAUUUUUUGAUAGUACUUGUUUACUGUACGUAACACAAUAUUCCGACAAUUCCAAACGAAGUCAAGUCGAGAAAAAAAAUUUAUUAUGUUACAGUAAAAAGGUGUGUGGGGAAAAAUACUCGGGUUGUUUUUGUACUGUAUAUAUCAUAAUGAGUGAAUUAUUUAUAUGUUUUGACUAUUGUCCUAUUUUGUUGAAGGUAUUGUCUGAUUGGAUAUAUAUAGUUAGUUAGAAAUAAAGUAUGGUUGGAAAUACAAUAAUUACAAUCAUAUAUAUCUCGUUUUGGUAGGAUGCAGUAGAAAAUACUGUAACUAUAAUAAAUUUAUUUGAUUGUAUAUAAUUGAGAAAUGUAUUAAUAAAAUUUUAUCACUUUAUAUAUAUGAGGAAAAAUUACCUCCAUAGUAGGGAGAAUAAAUAUUUUUUAUUUAAAGAGUGGUUAGGGAGGUAUGCUAAUUUUUUUACAAAAAUAUUACUUUAUUCAACUGGUUUAUUUUUGAAAAUAUAAAAGAGUUGAUGUUUCUGACUUUUUAAAUUCUAGAAUCUACCUUUUUGAUUAUUUUCCGCUCUUGGAUAAUAUUAAUUUUCUAAGAGAACACGCCACUAAAUCUUUAUAUGGAAUUACUAUUAUUCCAAUAAAAUUUUUGAUCUGGAAAUUAAAAGUGAAAAAUAUUAAUUUUUUAUAGUUUCCAUAGUAGCUCUAUAAUUUUUCUAAUUAUUAUUACAGUUUUAAUUAUAAUUUUUUAUAAUUUUUCUAAUUAUUAUUAUUAUUAUUAUUAUUAUUAUUAAAGUAAUUGAAUUCAAACUCCUCAAUUAAACAGCUCCUUUUACUCUUUAAAGAGUGUAACGGAGGGCACGUACUGGAUCCGGCGAAGCUCGUCGAAGAAGCGGAGGUCGUAGACGUUGGCGGGGUCGGCGAAGUGGACGACCCCGUCGAGGCGGUGGCGCCCGACGUGCGCCACCGCGGCGGCGCGCUCCCGCUCCGCAGCGCUCCCCUUCCCCCCUUCCCCCGCCUCCACCGCCACGUGCCGCUGCAUCACCCCCAUUCGCCGCACCGCCGCCGCCGCCGCCGCCGCGCCGUCCCGCGGCCCCGCCACGAUCCACAGCAGCGGCGGCGGCACCAAUCUCAAGGUGUGCCCUAAUCGCGUCAGCGCCGCCGCGGAUCGGACGGCGGAGGCGGAGGCGGAGGCGGCGGUGACGAUGAUGAGGAGGGGCCGAGGAGGAGUAGGAGGUGAGAGGGGCUUCGGGGGAUCUGCGUCGACGUAGGCGUUGGCCUCCUCGGUUAGGGUUCGAUCGUGUUGGGGGAAUUUGGGGGUUUGGAUUGGGGAUUGGGGAAACUGGGGGGAAUUGUGGGUGGAGUUGUGGGCCAAGUAGCGGAGGAGGGAUUGGGAGGAGGAGGAAGAGGAGAAAGGGGCGAGGCCGGAGAAGAAGCCGGUGGCGAAGCAGAGGGAGAAGUGGAGCAGGGCCUUCUUCCAGAGGUUGGAGGAGGCGGCAACGGCGAUGGCGGGGGCGGGGGACUUCUUCUUCGCGCGAUCCGGUGAGUUCAUUUCCGAACCUCUUAUCUCUCUACAAUGUUUGUUUUUCUCUAGAUUUGUUUGUUAAUUAUGAUGUGUGUAUAUGCUGGUAGAGGAGGAGGAGGAGGAGGAGAAGAGGAAGGGGAAAAGAUGGAUAAAGUUAAUAAGUGGAAAGUUUAAUAUAUAUAUAUAUAUAUAUAUAUAUAUAUAUAUAUAUAUAUAUGUGAANUAUACAUUUAGUAUCAUAGGGUAUUAUAUUAUUCCCUUUUGCAAAAAGCACUUUAGAUUUUUUCUAUACUUAUGCCCAUACAGACCUCUAAUCAUACUCUUCAUCUCUUUAUUACUGCAUACUUCAAUCGUCUAAACACGUUUUUAAAUCUUGAGUGCUAUCCAAUCUUACUGUGGGAUAUAGUGUUAUUGGAUAAAGUAACAGUGCUAUUAGAUGAUGAAGUAUUAUCGAAAUAACUCACUCUUUUUCAGCAAUAGUAAAAUUUGUGAGAUUCAAAGUCUGAGCUCUAAUUUGGUAUUUGGACAUUUGCUAUAUAGCUUAUGUUCAAGUGAUUUUAAUACAAUAUUCCUUCCAAAAGAGUGAGUUAUUUCGAUAAUACUUCAUCAUCUAAUAGCACUGUUACUUUAUCCAAUAACACUAUAUCCCACAGUAAGAUUGGAUAGCACUCAAGAUUUAAAAACGUGUUUAGACGAUUGAAGUAUGCAGUAAUAAAGAGAUGAAGAGUAUGAUUAGAGGUCUGUAUGGGCAUAAGUAUAGAAAAAAUCUAAAGUGCUUUUUGCAAAAGGGAAUAAUAUAAUACCCUAUGAUACUAAAUGUAUACCCUAAAUUUUGAAUUUGACACUCAAGGGGUUUAACCGUUUGCGGAUUCAACUUAUUCAUCUGAAAGAAGUUGGGUCUCUGUUUCAUGUUCCGGAACGUGGCUCUGAAUGUCCCAAAACAUAAAAAGCAUAUUGUGUGGCUGGGGUUUCUAGUUCUUCAAGACUUGGCUGAAGGUUCCGGAACUGGGCCAUAUUCGGAAACAUGAGUAGCAGAACUGUACGUGCGUGGGUGUGGAGGGUAUGAUGCAAGUUGUUGGAAUAUGAGUGGUUUAGUUGCAUUUGUCCAUCCCCUUCUUCUAUAAAAGGAAAGGAUUCUUGUGAAAACCCAAACCUUUUUUUCCCCUCUCUCUCCCUCUUGCUCCUCUUGCUCCCCCUCCCUCACCAUCUUUGAAGAGAGGUGAGCCCUUCAUCUCCUCCUCAAGUUCCUUCACCGGAAAAUUGAGUCUUUGGAGCAUUGGUGUGGUGUUCUCGUUCAUAGGGUUUCUUUGUUGGAGAAACUCCAACAACAAGGUGAGUUGUUGUUUGAUCUUGGGUUUUAGCUUGUGUUAUUCUUGCUUUGUUAUGAGAUGGCACUAAGGGUCGAUUUGAUAAGGACUAGCCAAAUCCUAGAUUUUCUUCGAAGCCAUAUUGUGUAAUUUUCAAAGCUAGAUGAGCAUUGAGGCUCAUUUUUGGGGUACACUACCCUCUUUGACCAUUUUCAAUGACCAUUUGGGGUUUCCUUGUUUGCCGCACGACAAAAUGUCGAUUUCGGUAUAAGAAGGCUUGUUUCAUUAAAUUGAUCAUGGGUUCUUACUUUUUUUGUACUCCUUAUGCCUAGCUUUAGUGCAUUUGUAUCGCCCUCAAGUGAUUAGGGUUUGACUCUAGUUGAAUGAAGGUCUAGACUCCACGAAUUUCGCAAAGUUGGCAUCAGCUAGAGGUACAUUCUGGGGUUCGAUUUCGGAACCUGGCAUAUGGUUUCAGAACUAGCCAAUAGAAUAGUGCAAAAUGGCACUAGUUCUGCGGAACCUAGAAUGAGGUUCCAGAAUCUAAUGCCGUGUUUCGCAACCUCAACCCAGGUUCUGGCAUCUCAGAUCUAGAAACCUCAAGAUUUAGGUUUUUUUUUUAAUGAAAUUCUUCGAUCGUAAAGCGAGCUUUAGUGUAGUAUAUGAUCAGUUUAUACUCUCCUUAGGUUCUAGCUAGGAUUGGGAAGCCCAGAGCGCGCCAUCAUCACGGAGUUAACAACUUGAGGUGGAUGCUCAACCUGAUGUGGGUACAGCUAUGCCCCAGUGAGUUGGUUCUAUCCUACUCCCCUUUUCUCUUGAAUUACCAACAAUUUAUAGUGGGGGUUUUUUUGCAAAUAGCCCCCUGACAAUUUUUUUUUUUUAAAUUGGCCCUGUGUAAAAAUUAUUUGCAAAAAUGGCCCUGGCCCCGCCCCGUCAGCGCCACAUCAGCGCCACGCGGGCGGGGCUGGGCCAAGUGUUUAAAUUGAACACGGUGAACCAUUUACCGUGUUCAAUACAAAAUUUUUGUAUUGGACACGGUGAAUGAUUUACCGUGUUCAAUACAAAAUGGCUAAGUGGGAUAUAUUUGUAUUGGACACGGUGAAUCAUUCACCGUGUCCAAUACAAAUAAUUGGACACGGUGAAUGGUUCACCGUGUCCAAUACAAACACCCACAACUUAGCCAUUUUUGGCUAAGUCGGAUGUAUUUGUAUUGGACACGGUGAACCAUUCACCGUGUCCAAUACAAAAAUCUUGUAUUGAACACGGUGAAUGGUUCACCGUGUUCAACUUAUACAAUUGGCCCAGCCCCGCCCGCGUGGCGCUGACGUGGCGCUGACGGGGCGGGGCCAGGGCCAUUUUUGCAAAUAAUUUUUACACAGGGCUAUUUUCGAAAAUAAAAUUUUUUAGGGGGCUAUUUGCAAAAAAAGCCCUUUAUAGUGCCUUUUUUUUGUUUCAUACACUGUACGUGACUCGUUGACUUGCUCAUAAUGGAUACUUGUUAUGGCAUGCUUAGUUAUGACACAUGUACUGCUCAUUGAUUACCUGCUCAGGAUAGACUAGUUAAAGACCCGCACUUCCCGGUGGGUGAAAUAAUUUAUAGUAAACAUAUAAUAAUAAAUAAUAAAUAAUAAUAAUAAUUAUUUAGAAAAACAAAAAUAUUUUUAUAUUUUAGAGAUUACUUAAAAUCGGCACAAUAAAACAGUUUCAUUACUACGGGACGAAAUUUAGAAGAUACAUCAUUAGCACAUACAUCAAGAGUUAGGCUCCUAUACUUUCGAAAGUACGGAGGCCUCCGUACUUGUAAGUUGUUUUCGAUGAUGGAACAUCUGAUUCGGCGAUCGGUUCCAUUAGAUAUAAUCUACGCUAUUGGAACUAUCUAGAAACCAAAUUUUAUAAUUUUUUGACUUCGUUUGUCUAGUGAAUGAGUAGCCUCAAAAUGAAUGGCUGAAAAUGAAAAUCUCAUAAAAAAUAGUGAUAAAGGACUCAAAUUUCAAAUCGGAAGUAUUGAUCUUGCUAUUGAUGUGUAGUAGAAUUUUCUAUUAAAUUUUCAUGUAAUUUGAAUACUUCUACACCGUUGAACUUAAAAACGUACCACAUCGGCCGUUAAAGUAGUCAUCUUUUAGACCUUUUAAUCGCUUGGUAAAUGAUGUCAAAAAAUUAUAAAAUUUGGUUUCUAGAUAGUUCCAAUAGGGUAGAUUAUACCUAAUGGAACCGAUCGUUGAAUAGGAUGUCCUAUCAUCGAAAACAACUUAUAAACACGGAGGUCUCCGUACUUUCGAAAGUUCCGGAGACGUACUCCAUAUAUCAAUUAUUCAUAAGUUAAUCACAUCACUUCAACUCGAAAACUAAAAAGGGAUCCAUGAUUAAUAUAUAGAAUAGUUUAAAAAAGAAAACACUUGUGAGAUCUGAACCCUAUAUAAAUCAAAACAUGUAAAUUAAAUUGUACGCACUGUAUAAUUUGCUCAGCUUUACUCACUAACUCUUUCCCAACAAUACAUGAGAUUAAAAUAGUAUAUUUUCAAGCAAACCAUUGUGUCAUAGAUGAGCUUUUGGCAUGCACUUAAAAAUUUCACACAUACAAAAACAAAUAAUAUUAAUUCUCAGUGCAAAAAUCAAAUUACAGGGCACAACAUAAUAAUACAAUCAUAAUACACAUAUCUGAUGUUGUCAAGUCUUGAAAUAAAGCUUAUAACUAACUUUCGAGAAUGGAAAAAAAUUCUAAAAAGAUUCAAAUCUUGAACAUAAAUAAUGUUAGAAAAAGAUAAUAAAAUAACCAAAGAUGGAGUAAAAAAAAUCGGAUUUUUAGUCUCCCACUAUAGCACAAAAUCUACAUUGCAUAAAAACUAUAAUUCUAAAAAAAGUGCCAAUAGAACAGGCAUCAAAAGAUUAAUUAGAACAAAAUCCAUAUUAGAUCUCCCAAACUGCAAUAUAAAACUUAGAAACCCAACCCAUUUGGGGAGUGGGGACCCUCAAAAAUUGGACCAAAGACUAAAUUAAUGCCAAAAUUAGGGAGCAAUGCAUCGUCAACGAUCAAAAUCGGGUCUACAUAAAUAAAGAAAAAAAACACAAUAUAUAAUAUUGAUGUAAGAUCUUUUUGCCAGAGAUGGCAUUUGUCUUGACGGAUGAACAAUGACAACUUAUUCUCCUCGACCUGCUUCUCAUGUGCCAAUGGAUAACUUGCGACCGCAAGUAUGAAAGAGCAAAUUAUUUUGAAAGUGGAAUUUUAAACACCUUAUUAAACUAAAACCACAUUACUUCAAACCCAACAUGUCAAACGCACCAUCCCAACUGACAGCAGCAAGUACUAUGGUCUAAAUACAGCUGAUUAUCUAAUCACUCAUAGAGAAAACAAAUGAAAACAUAUCAAAGCAAGAGCGAACCAAUCAUCCAAAUAGUGAAAAUCUACUCAACCUCGCAUCAAUCCUAAUAUCAAAACAAAAACAAAACGAGAAUAACAUUCAAAAAGCAGAAUCAUAGCUAGAGAUGCUAAUUAGAAUGAUUCAUGAUUACUUAAUCUAGUCAACUCUUUUGAUCUCCGAGCAAAAUGAUUCUCACGCUUCAAUAUCGCACGCAUCAGUUUAUGGUUUAGGAUUGCUCAAUUUUUUUUUUUUUGAAUUCGAACCCAAAUAUCGUUUAUUGAUUGGCAAUUUUUCGGCGAAUAAUAGAUGCAAGAGUUGCCUUGAAGCUAUCAAGCUUUCUCUAUUUUUUGGAUAUGCUAUCACCAUUUCUCAUAUUUGCCGUGCUAGGAACCCUCCCUCCAAAUUUUACCUGCUUGAAGUUCAUUAUCUCCGCUUUGAGACUCUCCACCAUGAUGACGCUUGUGUUUCUUUUUCUUCUUCAACCCUUGAUGCUUGUGUUUUUUUUCAUCUUCAUCCCACCCAUCUUGACAUCUAAUGUUUUUCCUUUCAGCUGAAGCUUUCCGGGAACAAUACUUUCCGGGAACAAUAUUUUCAAACGAAGACAUCGAUAAUAUAUAAAAAGGAGGGGAAAAAAGAUCAAGCCCUCUAAUGAGUAUAGGAUAAAAUUUUCAAUAUGAAUAUCAAAUACUUUAAAACAACUAACGUAUUCAAAAUAUCAAAUACUUAAAAUAAUUGAAAUAUGCAAAAAUUUUGGGAAAAAAAAUCUAACCACCUUAUGUUUUCUAUACAAAUUCGAAUGAUGAACAAUCCGAAAAUUUACAUAAUCAUCAAUACAAUUGAAAUUUAGUUUUUGCAAAAUUCACAGCUUUUGCAGCAUAAACUUACUCCUAAGUGCAUUAAUUAACCCUUUGUAGAUUAUCAAUAAUAGCAACUAAUUAAAGCAGGAUAAAAUAAGAAAAAAAUAAAAAAAGAAAGCGGGGAUCAUCCAAUUAGUGAUUUUUUCACCCAAACAAAUCAGCGCAGUAUACACAAAUCAGUUCUGAUGCUCUUUUUUCAUCUACAAAAUUACGUAUGAACCCCAGGUUUUUUCCUUUUUUUUCCUAUUUCUUGUUUCGAAUUGAAUAGGGGAGAUCCCUAGCUCAAGGACGAAAAUCCAAACCCUAAAACUAUAGGCGUAAGGUAAGAAAGUGACGAAUCAGACGUAUAAUUAAACAUUACAAACUACACAACAUAAAAUGAGACAGAGGAAAAAAAUAAAAAUUCAAAGAAAAGGGCAACCAACCUGAUUAGGAUUCGGAGAGAAGAGGAGAGAUUGCGAGGCCGAGGGCAACCAACUUAAUUGUUUUUUACCAAAGCAAUUUUUAGAAAAAUCAAAACCAUGUUGAAGUAAAGAGAUCAUAAACUGUUACCUUCAAAUUUCAACAACCAAACAAUUUUAAAAUGUUACCUUCAAGCUUGGUGAGGGGAACAAACUGAUUAGGGUUCUUCUGUUGAGGGUGCCUUAGGUCCUCAUGAGAGGGUUGAUGGGGGAUUGGGAAAUAGGGAUGGAAAACCGUAGCAGAGGUCAGAAAGGUGGCCCACACGGAGCAGCGAGAUUUGUGGGUGCUAGUCGCGGGAUCUGUAGUGUCUCUGGGGCUUAGCUGUCUGACCGACUACAGCAUCAGUGGCUUGUCGACACAUCUGUAGAGUGUCGAAACGAGUCGGAGUUGUUUUGGCGCGAAAUAGAUGCGAAAACGGACUCGGAGCCGUGAGAGUUAGAGUUUGGACACUGAAAUCUGCAAAAGCGGGAUUUUGAGUGUUGUGUACCGGUACCUGAGAGUACUGGUACCCCAGAGGGAUUACAUGAAUGGGUGCUCUCUGGUUUGUGCAGCUUGGUGUUGCGUACCGGUACUUGUUGGUGAGUACCGGUACUGGGACUGAGUACCGGUACUGCAUCGGGUCAGUACCGGUACACCGCACUCGGGUUUGUUGGAGGAGUGUCGGGUACCGGUACCCAAGUUGAGUACCGGUACUCCAGGCGGCAAAGUGAGUUGGUAAGGGAUCUUUUGGUCAUUUUGCUGUCGCUAAAUCCUAACCGACCCCCCAGUUAGUCUCUUUGUGUUAGAAGCUUGGAGAAAACAGGUAGCUUCUCCUCUCUCUCUCUCUAGCUUCUCUUCUCAUUUUUCCUUUGUGAUUGUCAGGAUCGAUCUCAUUUUAUUCUCCUUGUCUUUGGAGGAUCGUUCGCGCACCCCGGUUGAUUUCGUUAGAGGUUGAUCUAGCGCGGGUUGCUUCUAUCAACUUCUUACCGGUGUUGGACGAGCGUUGGAGGUGGGUUAAUAUUUACCGAAAUUGUCGGAAUUCUCCCUAAGUUGUAGAGUUGUUAGCAUGCAGUUUUUGUUUUUGAUCAUCAUGUUUAGUAGCUCGAAUUCGUGGAUUUGCAUGUUUUAUAUGAAAUCUGAAUUUGGAGCAUAAUCUAUUGAUGUUAGAUAAAUUUUAUAUGUUAAACUGGGAUUUGACUUAGGAGAAAACUCGUUAAACCUACACCUGUCAUUUUACGAAAAGUUAACAGAUUUAGCUUCAGAAGCUGAUUUAUCUUUGUAUCACCGCUGUUAGUGUAUCGUGGAUACUUGGUUUAAUGUAGGUUGAGUUUACGCUCGUGCUGAGGGGCCGAGUUCAUUUUUAUAGCAGAGUUAGGCUGUGUUGUAUGGGUGGGUGCCGUCGGGGGUUGACAGUGGACCCAGAUUCCUCUAUCUUGUAUCAGAUUGUGCCGAGGGCACGUGAGCCUUGGUUGUUAGAUCAGUUGGACCCAUUUGCAUUGACUCUAGCCUGUGUGAGCCCGAUUGAGCUCGACAGAGACAUGCUUGCAUACUCAGUUGGGUCGCUUCCACGAGUGCCGCUCCGGAGUGAGGCUUUACUUGCAUUGAUAUCGCUGCAAUCCUGUUUGGACAAUGUUCUUGGACCGACUAUCCCCGUGGGUGGUGUGCGGUGUAAUUGGGUACAGGCUGGACUGGCUAGUUGGCGGUCCGUUGAGAUUGGGUCAGUGUGAUUAAGUUGUAGCUAGUGAUGCAUUUCUAUGUCUACAGAGAGUAUGGUUUGGAUAGUGGUAGUCUAGUGGCAUAUAGCUGUAGAGUUCUUCCAGCUUAUAUUACCAUCCUUUGCAUACAUUUACUGUAGACUUAGUGGGUAGGCCGUUAAGGUCGGUGACAGUACCCACCGAGGAGUACUAUGUUUUGCAGUAGUUCUCACACCCUAUUGUUGCCACCUUUUUGCAGAGCCAUCCUUUGCUGCUGCUGUUCAUUUCGAUCGAGAUAAGGGAGUCGCGAGCUAGACCCCUACCUUCCCUGGUCUUUUGCUAGAGGAGCACCCCUACAAAGGUAGUUUUGGAUGUUCCUAUGUACAUACAGUGGUUAUUUGCUGUACUCUCUGAGUUGUGGUUGUACUUAUGGAGCUUGUAUUUACAGUGGGCCCUUUAUGUAUACAUGAGAUUUUAGUUUUAGCAGCUUUAUACCUCUUGUUGUUGUUUAUAUAUGUUUGCAGGUUUUGAUUUCGCUUCGUAUACACGAAAAAUUUCUAUGUAUACGGCGGGUCUGCUAGCGUGCCCAGGGAAACGUAGUAAUCCGGGGCGUGACAGGAUCCUUCAGGAUUGCAAGGUCGGCGAGAUGUUCUGGGAGCGGCGCAAGAUCUAUGACGGAUUUCAUGGGAUUUGAAGAAAAGGCAGUGGCGCGGAUCACAGAUGGACAGAGAGGCCCAGAGGAUCCCUGAAUUGUAGGAAUUCUGUCGCAGCACGAGAAAAUGUGAAGGGGGCGAGGGGCGGCGGAAGGGUUGGUUCCCUAAAGACGGAGGGAAGAGAGAGAGAGAGAGAGAAAGAGACAGGUACGGAUUUCGAAAGAAGGGGGCGCAGGGGUAAGAAAAAUAGUCCGUGUGGGACCCAUGUCUCCGAAUUUGCGGAGAAGCCUUCUAACCGGUUUAUGGUUCACCCUUUAAUUUGUAUUGAUGUAUUGAUAUUGGUAGUAUCAUUCUUGGCUUGUUUACCUGUUGUAGUCUUUACUUGUCAUAGAGAGAGCAUGCUAGUAGAAUCUUGACACAUUCAUAAUGUUAUACGGAGUAAUAGUAGUAACACAAAUUGCAUUGGCCAGAGCGGCCGUGGUUGAUGAUCAUAGUGGUCGUAUUGGACUUCUCUUGUUGCCACAAGUAUUGUUGACUAUUGAGCAUAAGCCUCUUGGGUCUCUUUGGGACGGACGUUUGGGAUUGUCCGGAGUCUUUCCUUGGGGACAGGAGGGAGACCGCCCCGGUCUCUUAGAGACAGGCGUUGGGCAUCACCGGCGGUCAUGAGUUGUUUGGAUCCCUUAAACUCAUGUGUGUCUGGUUCUCUUAGAGAUAGACGUGUCGAACGGAAUGGUACGCGACACAGAGUGAGAUUAUGUGCAGGAUAGCUUCUCAUAGAUAGUUAUACAUCUUGUGCUCUUUUGGAAAUCAUUGACGUCGUAUUAUUUUGCAAAAUUGUAGUUAAACUUUGGCAUUGUGAUACUUCAGAUGCAUUGGUGAACAUGAUUAUUCUUUUGUAAACAGUUAAAUGACAUUUCACAAAUUGAAAUUCUUGGUUUAGUUAAUAUUUAUAACAAUUACAGAUGCUCAUAUAAGGUUUAAUGUGUGCUCCGUUGGCUUCCGUACUGGAGGGCGACAUUAAAAUUUAAAUUUUGCUAUCUAAUCUUUUGUUUGUUUGCGGAUUCUUCCACUUCAGAAUUUGAAUGCACCGUUUAUUUUAACGAACAUGGUUAGUGUAUUCUUUGUGAUUUACACUGCCAUACUUACUAUUGUGGCAAACGCCAUGCCCAAAUUUUCUAAAGAAUGAACCAUCAAAUAGCUCACAUCAAAAAAAUUAUACAAUUAGAAUUAAAAUUUUUACAGAUUAGACAGCAGAUCAAAAUAGACUAGAGUUCAAAUAAGUUUUAUAAACUUAAUCUUUCUGAAAUAAAGAUAAAUCACCUCAUAAAAUGCAUUAUUCUGAAAAAUCAUGACCAUUGAAAAUCUUACAAUGUAUAAAAAGUAAAAUAUACAUUGCGAUUGCACUAAAAAAUUAAAUCCCACAUCUAGUGCAUAUAUUAUAAUCGAAUAAUUUAUUCCAACAUCCAAACAUUGUGGCAAGUUUUAUGGGGAUAGCAAAUAGCAAUUCCAUAUGCCAUCUUCAUGAUUAAUUAGUCCUUUAUUUUUGUAAGUAAAGUAAUUUGUAGUAUUAUUGGCCAAACAAUGUGGAUGAUAAUAAUAAAUAAAUUCCUAUAUACUCAUAUUUGUUUUACUAUCCCUUGAAAAGAAAUGGAACGUUUGGUUUGUCGUUUUGAAAGCACAAAGGCUCGAUUGCUUCUAUUUUAUUUUUCAUAUAUAACAGUGUACGUAUCUGAAUCAUUCGAGGUGAACAAUCAUAAAUGUCAUGGACGGGCCGAUUUUAAAAGCGUUUUUAUAAUAAUGAAUACUAUUUUAGAAACUAGAGUUGCGGAAAAUAUAUCAUUUUUUUUUUUGAAUUUAAUCUGGUCCACGUGGUGGCGUACAGACCUGCCACAAAUACAAAAUUUCUCUACCCACACGGACAGAGUCUACUUUGUAUUUGCACGGUGUACCCAACGAUAACAAUAAUAGGAUCACAACUCACAACAUACAUUCACCAAUACACAAGCAAUUGAUGCGAUGCAAUUUUGUACAGUUAGCGAUUCUUAAAGAUGAUGUAGGUCUCUAAAUACUUCUUAGGCGCUGGAUAGUGCGAUGCACAUUACAACAAUCAUUCUAUUUAAAAUUGCUCUUCACUCGUAAGCUUUGUUUUUAAACUCUAUUUAUACAUUCAUGAAAACCAUUUGAAAACCUUUUAAAAUUGUUUUCCAAUUAGAAACUCUAUUUUUAAAAACCGACUAUUUCGAAGAGUAGAAAAUCAUAAUGCAUGAAUACAUAAAUCCAAAUACCAAAUACCAAAGGUUCAUAAAACUACGAUUACAUGCAUAAUAAAAAACACCACUCAAACAAGAUUGCAAUUAUUCAAGCAAUAACAAUGAUCAUCAUACUUUUGUGCAGGUACCCUAAUUGUCCCAUAUUGGACGGGAACAAGAUUGUGAUUGAGAAUACGAAGGAUCAUGUACGUUAAUAAUAAUAACUGGGUUUAAGUACUUUUGGCUAAUACUUUGGGCUCAAUAAGUUAUUAUUGCUAACAAGUCAGGUCGUUAUAUUUAGUGACAAAGCCGAUUCACCAGCCGAAAGUGUGAGGUAGGUUUCACCUUGUCUGAUACUUUUGGGCUAUACGUGCGACUAGGCUGACAAAGACGCCAAGGCCAAGGACUGACGAAAUCAUUAGGGCCUACAUGGUGGGGAGUGAGUUGGGCCGUUACAGUUUCUCUGAUCAAAUCAAGCAUCUGCAAUUUUAUAAAAAGAUUUUACUUUACAUGAUAUUAUUUGAUUGGGCUAGAAGUCUAGAACCAGUUCCACAUAAGAUUAUCCUUGCAACUCAAAUUUAUUUUCUCUUAACAAAUGCAAACCAUGUUUUUAAUUUGUUUGGAUUUCACACAUGACAAGCUUCCUACAAACUAGUGACACCAUAAAACAAAAUUCCGAACCUUUAUGUAAAAUGUGAUCACUCCAUAGUCCUAGCCUGCUAAGUAGAGCUAAUUGUACCCAAGAAAAAAACAUUCCCAAGGACCCUUCAUCUACGGACCUCUAGCUAGGGUUUAAUUUAUCCUUUUGUAUUUUUAUUUUUAUUUUUAUUUUUUAAAAAAAGUGAUAAGCUUUAUAUAUGUAGUAAACUUGGCAUUUUAAGAUAAACUUUAUUUUUUUGUACGACAAAAUUCAGCAUAGACGAACAUCGCCUCCGCUUGGAUGCAUCGCUUCCACGGGUGCUACAAAUAAAAUAGUAUCCGAGAUUAACAAAUAAUAAUUGCAUGCACCGGGUGUACGAGUACACACUACACUCUUUUAGAUAACUAUUAUAAAUGCUGCAACCUACAUUAAAUAUAGGGAUAAUUUCAUCAAUACCCUUCUAGGAGACAAGAAUUUCAUAAAUGCCCCUCUAAAUUACAAAAUAUAAGCAAUACCCCUCUAAAAAGCAAAAAUAUUCACAAGUACCCUUAAGAUUAACAUUUCAUUAAAAAGUCAUCUAAUAUUCUGUAAAUAUCCAUUUUACCCUUAUUACUAAUUUAACUAAGUGUAAUAAUUUAAGAUUAAUUACAUGAUCAGGAUCAAUUCUUAACCUUUCAAUCACAUAAUAAUUCAACAUUCUUUUUAAAAUUUUACAAUUAAAGAUCUAUAGUCUAUUAAGUGUAAUAAUUAAAUCUUGUUAUGAUUUUUCGCUUGUAAAUUAUAUAUAGUUGUAAUGCAAUUGUCCAUUGUAAUAUUCAAUAUUAAUUUCAAGAUUUAAUUUUUUUGAAUUUUAUUUAAAUAACUCACAUAAGUCAUACAAAAAAUAUUUUGAUAUAAAUUUUUUUUGAUAUUAGUGUUUUUUAUAUGACCCACUCAAGCAAUAGUUUUUUAAUUGAACAUUUAUUGUCAACAAAAAAAUAACACCAGGUGCAGCAAAUUUAAGACAAUCUCCGCGUUGAAUAUAGUAGAUUCAUUUUUUAUAUAAUAUAACUGAGUAUUAUAUAAUUAUAUAAUGAGUCAAUUUUAGAUAUAUCUUCUAUAAUUUUAUCAAAAAAUACAAAAACAUAUCCCUAUAUUAUUUUUUUACAAAAUUGGUCUUAACAUCAUACAGGUACUCAAUCAUUUGCAGCUUUUUUCAUAUUCAAUAUUCAAUUAUCAAAUAAGGAAGAAACAUACUCUCAGUAAAAUAAGCAAUUAGUUAUUAAGGAACAUCUAAAUAGUUAUACACAUUAGAUUGCUGGAGAUGAAUUAUAAGUGAAAAGAAUACAACCCAAAGAGGAAUUUUGGGUGCUCACAUUUGUUGUUGUGGCGAGGAGUUAUUACACGGUUCAUUAAAACAUAACUCAUGAAGAGCAUUUUCAGGUAUCAAAAUCCUGAAAACUGAGUAAUGGUGAUUCAAGCUUCUCUCUCCAUGUAGUCUGUGGACACUGGCCAAUGCGCCGCCAUUCGUAUUCGGGAAGGCGUAGAAGACGCGCCGGAUCCUUUGGUGAACAAGGGCCAUGGCACACCUUCAUUUCGACAAAUAUAAAUAUUAAAAAAAAAAAUACAAAUUGAGACAAAAUGCAAGUCGAAAAUGUGCAGCUACAAAUAGGGAUGCUGUUUAAGAGCAAGCAAAACAUUUGCAGAAAGAGAGAACAAAGCAAAACAUUUGCAGAAAGAGAGAACGAAGGAUGCCAAUUUUCUCACGCUCUUCAUCUUUUCUCAAAUUCUACAUCAAAAAUUGUAAGAGAUAUUCUCCAACUACUGCAUUUGUUUGUAACUAUGAAAAGUUUCAAAGUAGAAAAAAAAAACAAAAUAGAGACUAAACGGAACAUCAUGGACGUGCAUUGUGAAGACUAGGAGUUGUGCAUACAUAUUCAGAGAGAAACUAGGGAACUUACAUUGUACAUGGCUCCCAAACAAGGUAAAUAUCAAAGCCAGUGCAUAGAUAAGGCCGCAUUGCUUCAGAGGAAGAAUCACUGCUACAAGCUUCCUCUCCCAACCUGUCCCUAUCCUAAAAUGAAAUUGAAAUGAAGUAAAUAGAUGCCAUAUCCAUUUCAUAAAAUAAAAGGCAAUCAAAUUUAAUUAGAGUUCAGUUGAUGAUUACUAGAAUCAAUGCAUUACAUUUGUUUCGUAAAUAUCUGCUCCAGUUAUGAAUAAUGAAAUGAAUACAUUAUUAUGAAAGUGAAGUGGGCAAUCUUACUUCUAACUUGUCUGUCUUUAGUCGUUUUGCUGGACCAUUAUUAGAAUCAUUCUCCAAACCACCAUUUAAGUCUCUGUUACUCACCAAAGAACCUAAAUUAGGAAAUAGCUUCCUAUCCCUUGCUGCAGCAUUUUCAAUCGCAACUAGAGUAGCAUGUCUCAAGGGAUGCCACGAAAAGUUGCUCCCAUAGUUCACCAAUUUUUGAUCGUAUGGCCUCUGUUCAAUCCAACCUCGAGGAUUAAGACAAGCAACUCCCUUCAAUGAAUGAGUGCAAUGAGAAAGCCAGUUCCUUGGAGGGCAAAGCACUUCUUGUUUUGCUAAUCCAUUUUCCUCAGCCAUCGAACAAGCCGAAUGUGCUUCUCCGGCAACAGUUAGAUGAUUUGAGCAGAUUUUAAGCAAGGAUGUAGGAGGUACGCCAGUUUGAUCAGUAGCCUUGGCUAUAAUUUCACUACUCAAUGAGUCAACUAUAACAGCAGCAUUUACAACCUGAGACACCAAAAUAAAAAAAAAACCCAGCUGAACACACAACAGUAGUGAGUAUAUAUAUAUAUAUAUAUAUAUAUAUAUAUGCAUUCAUAUUUGAGGGCAUAAGGGAAGCUCAGUGUUGUCCUUCAAUUCAACAAACAUGUUCAAGUAUCAUUCAUGAAUGUGAGUGACAAUUCUCUCAUUCUUAGUAAUGGUUUUUGAUGGAAUGGGCUUCCAGUCAAAAGCAAAUAUUUUAAGGUUGAAAAGUGGACUCACCAAAGAGUUCCUGGACAAUUCAUUGCAAGGACUAUUGAUUGUAAUUUACCCAAAAAAAAUGCAUAAGAAAAUCAGCACUCUAAUGUUCGUACAGUUUGGAAAUAAAACAAGAAUCUGAUGACUGAUCGACAGUACUUAUAUUGGUGAGUGCAGAAGAAGUAAGAACCUUUACAUAAACAUGCCUUAUCACCAGGAUUGCUCAACCUUGUCAGUUGAAUAGCAAUCUUCAUGUAAUUGCAGAUAGAUUGUGACUCCUCCACACUAAAUCCAGAAACUCCAUCUAGACUGUUACAUGAGAGCAAAUCAAGGACCAUUAGACAAAUAUUAAAUGGCUGCUCAAAAUGUGAUGACAAUAACAAUGAAUUAGGGAAUUGAGCAUCAAACUUCUGUAAACAGAAAAGACAGAUUAACUAAUUUAGCAGCAAGAUGAAGGAUCUAUAAUACAUCAAAGCUGUUAUAUAUAAAUGGAGGAUUUGUAAUAGAUCAAAGCUUAUAUACAUAAAUGGUGAAGUCGUACUUGUUUGGUGGAUGGUAUGAUGUUGGCCAAAGCUUGCAUUGUUCUUCCCAUUCUUCUUUUGACAUAGCAGCAUACUUGGCAACCUGGAAGCAAUUUCCAGCAUGACAUAUUGUAAUAAUUUGCAAAUUUAAAUCCGAUUGACCUUGGAUAAAUGACUAAUAUAAACAAGAUUCACCUAUUACCAAAAACUGUAGUCAGAUCAUUGCAAUAAUAUGAUCUCUUCUGUCCUUCAGUAAGCAGGUGAGUAGUUCCAGAUGUCAGAUCUUUAAUAUACAUAGGUAUGUUAAAGGUGUUCUAUAUAUAUUUUAAUAGUUUUAGAUCAUGACCAAAGGUAUAGAUCCCUAAGUGCAAUCCUAGUUAUUGAUAGGAAUAAGGUUUCCUUACGUGCCGGUCCAGUUUAACUCCAAAAGAUUAUAUUAAAGGAAAAAACUAAAGAAAAGCUAAGAAGAAAGAAGGAUUGCUUACUUUCGCAAUGAAAGGUCUUAAUUGAUAGGUGUUUACAACCUCAAGUACUUCACUCGGUAUGACCUCCAAAACAUUUUCAUUUUCUCGGGAAAUACAUAAGAUAACCGAUAACUCAACUUUCCCUGUAAAAUGAGUCAACGAAUGCCAAAGAAUGAGUGGAGUACUUAAUUGACUAAAUUGCAUCCACAUUUGAUCCGUAAGAAGUAGAAGAUUCAUUGACUUUAUUAUUCCCAACAGCUAAUCACUAAAUAAGGUUAAACUAAAUUUGUACAUACAGAUAUGAUAUAUCAACAAGAUUGAGCCUAUAAAUUUGCAGCCUUAAUACCAUGACAAGAGCGAACCAGCCAUAUGAAUUUCUAAAAGAAGUUAGAUGCAUCAAAAAAAAUGAAUCCUCUUUCACCAGUCAAUCCUAUUUUGAACUAAGUGCUCUUCUAAAUAGCUUGCAGAUUGAUCCAUGCCAGCACCAUGGCCGAUGCUAUGGCAUGGAAAACUUCUAUAGAAGUUAUACCACUAAACUAGCAGAAAAAAGGUAACAAGAGUAUUUCCAAACAAAAAGCACUAAACAACUAUUAUACUUUCUCUAGAGUACCACACCUUCGGAGUUAAUCCUCCGCACUCGCUUCACAUGGCGAAGAUCCUCGAGCAGGCAUAUCUGAUUCAACUGCCUAAUUAACAAAAAGAAAAAAAAUAACUCAGUACCCAUCACAAAAGAACCCAUGAAAAGAAAAUGCCAUCAAUCAGUGCGCCCAACCACAACACAUUAGCAAAUUAAAAAGCAACAAAAGAAAUAGAAAGCAGGCUUUCACCUCACAAGUGUAUUGGCAAGUUUUGGCUCGAUUGUUGCAGCCACUACAUUGACUACAAAAAGUGACUUAAUCAAAUAAAACACCCUAAUAAAGAACUACCAUAAAGGAUCAAAAAAUUAGAGGAGGGAGAAGGAAAAAAAUACCUGUAGAGUGUUCGAGGGAGGAAGGAGGCUUCCCCGGUAUGUGAAGGAUCUCCCAAGACAUUACAUUUAUUUUGGUUAUGCUCUCAAACAAGGAACUUUUGUCUACUACAGUACAUUUCAAAAACAAAAUAUUGCAACUUCAGAAAUUCCCCAAAAAGAAUUUUAAUAACUAGAAAAAUAUUUAGGAGGUUGAACAAAAGAAACAAUAGAGCGCUUAUGGUUAGAGGAAGUGAGUCAUAAUAAGAGAGAGAUAUACAGAGAGUUAACCAAGGAAAGGAAAAAAGAAAGGAAAGCAUACAGAUCAUGACGAUCCACUUAGGACUUUUUUGGCCCAUCUUUUGCUUCUGGUUUCAGCUGCAACCACUUCUACUAAUCUUAUAAAGUGUUUGCCAAUCGAAAAAGUCGGGAACUUCUACUUAACGGAAAAGCAGAACUGAGCUUUAAAGGUCCAAAAGCAAAAGGCCUGGGAUUGUAAGGUUUAGUUUGGGAAUAUGGUGGCUACAAGUAUCAUUUUUAUACUACAGAAAGUUCAAAAAAAUCUAAAAGCGCUUACAAUAUUUCCUCCUCUAAUCCUUUAAAAUUAUGGUUGCAACCAUCACUAGAGAAGCAUGUAAACACAUGCUUAUGCUUCUCCAGUGUGCAAUUUUAAAGUAUAAAAAAGGAAAUAUAAUGUGCUUUUGAAAUGUUUAGUUCUUCUAUAAUAUAAAAAUAGUGAUUUUAACUAGGGAUGUCAAUGGGUAUGGAUACCCAAAAUUUUAUCCGAACCCGAACCCGAAUGAAACGGAUAUAUCCGAUGGAUAUGGAUAUGGAUUCGGAUAUGGAUAUCAAAAAUAGAAACCCGACGGAUAUGGAUUCGGAUAUGGAUUUUGAUUGUACUCGACCUGAACCCGAACCCGACCCGAACCCGAAUUUAUUUUGUAUUAUAUAUAAUAUAUAUAUAAAAAUUUGAUGUUAUAUUUGAAUUUGUAUUUUAAAAAUUUAGGUUUAAUAUAAUAUAUUUUGAAAUAUUGAAAAAAGAAAUAAUUGUUUCGGGUUUAAAUUUUCGGGUUCGGGUUCGGGUUUGGGUUCGGGUUUCGGAUUUUUGGUCGGGUUCGGGUUUGGAUAUGGAUUUUUAAAAUCCGUCGGGUUCGGGUUCGGGUUCGGGUUCGGGUCUCGGGUUUGGAGUCGGGUUCGGGUUCGGGUUUUUAAAAAUCCGCCCCGAAUCCGACCCGUUGACAUCUCUAAUUUUAACCACCACAUUACAAAAUUUAGCCUAAAUCUGCUAUACAGAGAAGCUGUUUAGCGGAACUAACUAAAGUGCGUCUCCUAAUAGCACUACCAAAACAACACCUCAUUAUUGUUUGGCCUUACCUUAUUUUUGAGCUACAAUCACCUCUAUGGAGCAUUUUGACAACAAAAAGUUACGAAAAGUAUGAAACUUCUGCUGUCACGGAAAUCAAAAAAUAUAUAUUUUUAAGCCCCACAGCAGAAGCUCUAAUUCCAAGCCUCUGAUUUUGCUAUGAAGAGAAGCUAUUGGGAGAUUUCGCUUCUCCUAACAGCACUACUCAAACACAACUCUUCAUCAAAAACAAGUCUAAGAUUUGUUGGAGAUUUAAACAAAAAAAGAUGGAGAGAUCUAAAUCCACGCAAUUCACCGCACACACUACAACAAAACUAAGCUAUAGCGACACUUUUAAGUGUCCCUAAAACCUAAAAAAAGUGCUGCUGGCAAAAAUACCGACACUAAAAUAGUGUCGCUAUAUGUGCAGUCCUUGGGAUAUAUAGCGAUACAUAUUAAAAUGUCGGUAUAUCCCAAAAUAAGUGCUGCUGUUUAGUGAUACUUUUUUGGUUUUAGUGACACACAUAAGUGUCCCUGUUUUUUUUAAAAAAAAUAAUUUUUUUUUUAUAUAGUGACACUUUAUAAGUGUCCCAUUGUCAUUCAAAAUAUAAAUUUUAUUUAUUUAAACAUCUAGUCUAGUAUUAUACUUUAGUUAAACUAAUCUCAUAUACAUCAAAUCGAUGAGACUAAAAAAAAAAACAAUCAACAAAAUUUCUUAAAAUCUUGUUAAAAAGAUAAAACUAAAUUCAAAUAUCCAUACGUCACAACAAUAAUAUCUACUCAUAUGUUGUAGUAAUUAUAAUAAAUCAAACUCUCUAACUGAAAGAAAUAUAAAAAUUCAAAAAAUUGUAUGAUAACAAAAUCAAAAAGUGCAUAAACGAAUUCUGAUCGGCUCCAUGAAUAUAUACUUGAACCUGCACAUUGAAUAACAUUUGAAUGGAUAAAGUACUUGAUAAACGAAAUUUAAACCCUAAGUCUACAAUGAUGGGAUAUAGAAAGAUGAUAAUUGAAUAAGGAAAUGGAUUUCUAUAUUGUGUGGGAGAGAAAUGGAAUACUUCCAACGAGAGGAAAGCUAUAUGUGGUGCAUCACAAGAAGAAAAAUGGAGAACCUGUUACAAAAUUAGCAAGAAAAAGAAUUGUAUGUUUUAUUUGACUAUGUAAUUAAAUUAAUCACAUUUGUUAACUAAUUUUAUUACAAUUGUUUUCUACUUUCUGUACUAUAGGAAAAGCUAGAGCCACUCAUCCAAAAAGAGUUAGAUGCCUCACAAACUGCUAGCUUAGGUGGAAGCUUAAUGUGGCCAGCUACUGAUGCUUUUGCCGAAGUGAUAGGCAAAGAACAACAUGGCCGUGUUCGUGGUGUAGGCUUCGGUCCAACUCCUUCUAUGUUUGGUGCCUCAUCAGUCAACACAUCUCAAUGGCUAAGGAUGGUUCCAGAAGAAGAAAUUUUAAGGGAUAAAGAGGAAAUACGUGAUCUUAAAGACAGAUUAAAAUUCAUAGAGGCGAAAGUGGCAUUCCUUUUAUCCCAACAAUCAGAUACUUGUUCUUCACAAGUUACGAAUCGUUAAUGUGUUAUUUUGUUAGCUUUUAAGUUUUUGAAUAAAAGUUUUCUUUUCUUUUUAUUAUAGGUUAAAGAGAUUGCUGGUGACAUAAUUUUGAAGAGAUCAAGUACAUCAGGUAUUGUCAACUUGUCAAUUUGAGAUUAUAAUUUAGUUGAUUUGUUUGUGAUUGAUUCAUAUUGAGGUGUUAGUUAAUAAUAAUAAUCAAAUUUGUAUUGCAGAUAAUAGUAGAGAUGGCAAAGGUGCAAGUGCAUCGGAGCAGCAAGGAUUUCAAGCUACUGAGACUGCCCAACCUCGCAAGCGACGCCGCCUUCGUAUGAGUUUUAUUAGUUAUAUUCAUUGCUAUCUUUGUUUUAAUCUAUUUCUCAUGUUGAUUAAACAUAAUAUAUUUUUUUUCAUUGUAUAGGAAAAAGUUUUGGACAGACUAAAUGUGGGGAUGAAACUCAUCUAAAAUAAUCAUAGACGGUAUGUUAUUUUACUGCAAGAGUUAUCAUUAUAAUGCAUUAAAUUUUUUAUAAUUUUAAAUAUAAGCAAAUCAAAUAAUUUUUUUGGAUCAAAAUGGGUCAAAUACAUGCUCUGCCUUUGUUAAACCUAUGCUUUUUAGUUGAUUUGUUAAACCUGUGCUUUUUAAAUUAAAUGUUCACUUAGAAACAAACAGUGCGUGUGUUGAUGACCCUAAAUAGUUGAAAAGGCUUUUGUUUAUCCCUCCAUCAUUAAUCUUUUGUUAAACAAAAAUAUUGCAAGUCGGAGCAGUCAAAUGCUUCAUAUUUGUGACCAACGAGAAGAAGCUGAUAUUUUUAAUUUAAGUAAAUUCUUGAUAGACUAUUACAUAUUACUGCCUUAAUAGGCCAAUCCUGGGAGGUAAAUACAAAUUGGCAUUGAAUGUAUUGUAGAAAUAUGUAAUCUAGUUCUUUAUUUUUUAGAAUUGAAACCAUCAACUGUCCAUGUAUCGAUAUAGAGAUAUGCUUGUGCUCAGCAUGCUGUGUCGUAUAAUAAGUUUAUUUAUUUUAUCAUGUAAUCUGGUUCUUACUAUUGUCUGAUAGUUUGGCAUUUUCAUUAAUUCCCUAGGUAACUUUUGUAUUACUAAGUUUGUUUUUCAUUAGCUUCGCAGAUAAAUUUUGCAUUUUUGGAGUCUAGCACUUGAGAACUAUUCCUGCUGAUUUAAUAUUUUAUAAUACUAUCCAGUACUACUGAAUAUUUCGCCCCUUUAUAGCUCAUGCGGCCACAAAAGGUGGUUCUUAUAUAUCCAUACAUUUACUUCUAGAACUAGUCUGUUUUAUUUAGUUAGAUUCCUAAAUUCUUCUAUAGUAGCAAGCUUGUUGAGUACCAGGUCCUUUAAUAGAUGAAAUUCAAUUUUCGAUGCUUCCAUUUUUUGCUAUAUGUUACUUACGAUGGAGCUUAUAUUUUUCGAUGUUUGUAUAGCUUAUAUGUUUCAAUUUCUUUUGUUUCAAAUUGAAGCAACAAGGGGACUUGAUGUUUUGCAUUUCAAGAACGUUCGCUUGGAUAGCUUUCUAACAUUUCGAGUUCAAAUAAAUUUUUUUUGCAUUGAUUUCUAUUAGAACAUACAAAAUUGUUUGUUGCAUUUUGUCAUUGCUACAGAUCAUGAUUUUACUAUCUUAUAGUCUUGUUACAAACAAUUUUACUAUUUUCUUAUAGACUUCUCUAUUGCAAUUUAGUAAUAUAACUCUCAUUUUUUUGGAUAUUGCAAAUAGUGAAUUUUCCAGCAAAUAUCAAAUGAAAAAGACCUAUUGUAAUUUGUUGAUAUUAGUAUUUUUUUUUUUCAUAUUAGUUUUUAAAUUGCCAACGGUCAAAAACUGUCACUAUAUAUACUUUACGCCAGUGGUUUUUUUGUAGAAGUACCGACGGUUUAUAAAAUGUUGCUAGAGAUUAUCUUCUCCAAUGGUUAAUAAAAGUGCUGGGAAAGGGUAUUACCAGCAAGGAUAUAGUAACAGUCAUUUAUACUUUUACCAGCACUUUUAGAACUGCUGGAGCAAAUAUUACCAUCGAUUUUUAUAAUCUUUUCCAACAGUUUUGGCUGCUGGUGUACACCUAUAUUGUUGUAGUGAGAAAAUUUAAUCACGUAUAGAAUGAAAAUCAAAAGAAAGAAAAAUAAAUGAUUUAUAGAUGAUGACCAAAUAAGAUCCCAAUCAUCUACCAUAAAUUGCAAAAGUUGUAACCAAGCUAGAACUUUAUAUAAAUCACUAAAGUAUUAAAAAGUGAGCAUUCAUAGAGAAAGAGAGAGAGAGAGAGAGUUAAAUUUGAUUAUCUCUUCCUAAUAUUAUCUCUGAACUAUUAUCUUCCUUACUCCAUCACAUUCCUUUUGUCAUCAACUAAACCUAUAUACACUGGAGAGUUAAAUUUGAUUUUAAUAUGAGUACUAGUUCAGCUUAUGAUGAUAGAAGAAAUAUGAAUUGGUAAAACAACAAGGAGAAAAUGUAAUUUGAAGUUUAACAGAAUCAUCUAAAUUAGAGAUUUGCUAGCAAUUGAUUGCUAAUAGUUAAUGGCACCUGCAAAUCCAUUUUGCUAGCACAAAAGCCAUUUUAAUUUAACAGAAUCAUUGAUAAAGUUAACAACAUCCAAAAUAAUAUAACUAAUCAAAAAAUCUUAAAUCAAAGAGAUUAAAGCUGGAAACAUGUCAAAAUAAAGUAAAAGGGUCCAAUUUUACCUAAAUAUUUGCUUUUUAUUAGAAAUUUGGAAUUUACAAGAAAGAUGCUAUAUAAACCUACAGUUUCAUUCGCCCGCUGGUAAACUGCAGUUUACUCAAAUUUCAUUCGCAAGCUGAUAAACUGCAGUUUUGAGUAAACUGCUACAUACUACUGCAAUUUGAUAAUUAGUAGACCCAAAUCAUGUAAUCACAUAUAAUAAAACUAUCAAAUGGACGUGUGAAAUAGCAUACUAAUACUAAAUUCUUCGGUUCUACUCUAUUAAAACCCAAAUUAAUGUACGAGUUUAAGGUACUAGCUAGCGAGCCUAAUGAUAUAUUUAAUCAAAGAGAUCAAAUUCGAUUCAUGCACAAACAAGCAAGCGAUUCACACACAAAGCGAUUCGCAUAAGAGAUUACAGCCUAAAUCCUCAAGAUAAGAAACCCUUGUAUCGAUCGAGCUUACCUUCUCCUUCUCCUUCUCCUCGUUCUGCACCUUCAACGCGCCGCGAGUACAGCCAGAAAGCAGUCGCCGGACUCCUCCCCCAACCCUAAUAUUUUGGGCAAUAUUAGCAAACCCUUGGAAUUAAUUACCAUAAUUAAUUAAAAACUGGAACAAACACAGAGGUAUAUGAGCUGUAAAAGAACGAUAAAAUGCAGAAAUUCUUUUACUAUCUGACAAUAAAUAACAAUAUCCAGUAAUAAUUGAUCAGGUCUAAGCAAAAUAUCUUUAACUUACCAUCUAAUCUUACAUAUUAAAAAAUUCUAAAAAUAUUUCAUCAAAUUCUGGCAGAAUUUAACAAUUCUCAUCAAAAACUGUAGAAAGUAUUACAUCAAAUAGCGAAAUAUUCUAACAGAUUAUAGAAAUAAUUGUUUAAAGAAAUGAAAAUACUAUCAACUUGUGAUCAAGACGUACUAAAUCAAACAUACUAUAAGAUUAGGCACGGAGAUUCAAAGUUUUCAAGUUUAGAAACAUGUUUCAAAAAGAAGCAUAGAUCAGGAAAGAUCUACACAUUUCUACCCAAAAUAAAUCAAGCAAUGCGCAAUGUACCUAACAAAAACGGAUGAUUACAGCACUCAGGAAAGAUAUUUCAUAUAAUUCACAUUAGCUUUUCUUAUUAAGCGCUACGUUUAACUAAUUCUAAUUGUAGACAAAAAAAAAAAAAAAAACCAUUUCACCAUCAUACAAUUUUUAUUAUCAUCUUAUUACUCUAUUUUACAGUAGAUCUUUAUGUAAAGUUUAAACAAAAUUUAUAACAUAGCAAAAUGCUACACUUUAAUCAAAAUGAGUUGAAGUGGAUAAUUAUGAAACAUUUACACUCUAAUCUCGAUAAUUUUUGUUUUGGUCACACUUGGUUCCANAUAUAUAUAUAUAUAUAUAUAUAUCCAUGCACACGAGAGUACUUGCAUGUUAAGACCCACACUUUAAUAAUCAUCACCAAAAAUUACACAAACUCGGUUUCAUUAGAGAGUUUAAGCCUAAAUUUCUUUCCAAUGUUAAACCCACUGAUAAUUGCAAUAAUUGCCAUAGGGCAACAUUAAUAACAGUAAUAGAUGAUUAUAAUAAGUUUUGCUAUACUUAUACACACUUACGGAUAAAAUUAUGAUGUUUAUGUGAUUCAACGGUGAAAUUCACGCGGAUAAAAAUGAAUAGUGCAGGUCCCAACGCUGAUUUAACCAAUAAUAAUAUAAGAAUGAAUUAUACAUGACUCAUCUUUAAUAACUAAUAACAGUAGAUAAUGAAAUAUUAAUAUACAUUUUCAUAUUACGUAAAAUUACACUAUUCAUGUGAUUCGAUAGGUUGUUAUGAGAUUCAUGCGAAUAAAAAUGAAUAGGAUGUGACCGACCGUUCCUGGCGUCAGCGGUAAAGGACUUUGAUGAUUUGUUUUCCAAUUUUCAAAUUCUAAAAAAAAUGAACAAUCUUUAUGUAUAUGUACAAUUUGGAAGGCAUAGUAAAACUUAUUAACAAUACAACAACAUUAGUAAUAUCAUUUCUCACUCUCUCUCUCUCUCUCUUUUAGAGAGAUAGUUAAGAAGAUUUUAAGAACAAACUUAAAGUAGAUAACAUUAGUAUAUAAUAUACACAUAGCUUACCAAAUUUAACAACAUUAACUAUUAGAACAUAUAUAACAAGAACAAUAAUAAAUUAUUAUUAUGCCUCACUAAUUCAAAUCAGCGUUUUUGAAUUAAGGUUCUUAUUCAAAUCGUCUUAAUUAAAGCAGUGAUGAAAAGCAAAUCUGAUGUUUGAGAUGAUAAUCCCUAUAAUUUUUUUUAAAAUUUUCAAGUAGUAAGUAUAUAAAUAUGAUUAACUUUACUAAUUAUAUGAUACAUGAUUUUAUGUAACACUUACAUAACUGCUCCCAAAUAUCAUCUAAAAUUUCUUAGAAAACACAACAAACGCUAGUAGCGAAGUUGCACUAAUUAUUUGUUAUUUAAUUAUGUAAACAGCCUCGAUUUAUUCCCACAAUUUAUACAUUUCUAAUUACACCCAAACCCUAAUUACAUGCGCCUAUACACAGCCUAAAUUAGGAACUAUUUACAGGGGAAUAAAAAGAAAGAGAGAGGGAGGAAAAAAAACCCUAGCGAGAUGAUCGAUUGCUCACCUCUUGCGAAUCCGCGUACGGAUCCUCCGCUUCUCCCGGAGCGGCGGAGACGCCGCGUAGAGAUCGGCGACGAGGCGGUAGCGCUUCCUCAGCCGCCGCGGGGCGGCGGCGCCGCCGAUGAUCUCCUCGUCGUCGUCGUCGUCCUCCUCCUCCUCUGCCGCGAGCAGCGACGGAGGGGGGCGGGUGUUGACGGAUCGGGGGGAGGAGGCGGCGGAGGAUGCGGCGGCGGCGGCGGUGGAGGAGGCGGAGGAGGCGGAGGAGCUCUCGCUCAGCUGGACGAGGAGCUCCGCCGCGGCUCUUCGAGUGCUACGUCGGAGGAGGAGGACAGCGAGGGCCUCUAGGGUUUCGGGGGGUCGGAUGAAGGGAGAAGAGGGAUACGACCCCCUUUUGUUUCUUUCUUUUUCUUUUUUUUUUUUUUAUUGUAAUUGAGGUUUUUAUUUGGGCUUUUUUAGUCCAACAAUCCCCUCCCAUAAUUUUAUUCUAAAAAAAAGACCAAUUAAAUUUUUAUUUAUAAUUAUAGUCCUAUUAAAAUGGUGAAUGGUUCACCAUAUUUAAAAGCGGUGAAACAUUCACCGCUUUCUUUCUUUUUCUCACUUUUUUUUAUAUUUUAAUGAUAGUAAAAGCGGUGAAUGGUUCACCGCUUUUAUUUUUUUUUAUUUCUAAUAAAAAGUUAUGAAUGUGGUGAAUGAUUUACCGCAUUUAGAAGCCUAUUUUUAUAAUUAUUUUUAAAAAAAUUAUUUGUAUAAUUAUAAAAAUUAAUAAGAUUAUUCUUUAUUGAUUUUUCUCUCUUACCGUAUAUUCAACCAUUAUGUUGUAUUUCUAUAAUAUCUCUUUAAAUCCGUCAUAUUUAUAAAAUCCAUCAAANUAUUUUUAUAAUUAUUUUUAAAAAAAUUAUUUGUAUAAUUAUAAAAAUUAAUAAGAUUAUUUUUUUUUAAUUUUUUUUUUUUUAUUUGGACCUUUGUUAAAUUUUUUUUGCUAAUUAAUUUUAAGAAUUUUUGAAUAUAUUGUGGGACACUUAUACUAAAAUGUCACAAAAAAAUGUCUCUACAAUUUAGUUUUGUUGUAGUGUAAUACUAAAAAAAAUUACAUAUGAAACUGAUAUAUAUAAUUAUAUGGCCUAAAAUGCUUAAUAAAUUAUUAUGAAUUUACUUAAACCUAUAUCUCUACUCCUUUAUUGAUUUUUCUCUCUUACCGUAUAUUCAACCAUUAUGUUGUAUUUCUAUAAUAUCUCUUUAAAUCCGUCAUAUUUAUAAAAUCCAUCAAAUCAAUUAUGUCACACUAUAUAUUUUAAAAGAUAACCAAGACAUUUAAUCAUGUAGGUUGGAUUAAAUAGCACAAAUCAAUCUUUCACUCUAAUUAUUUCUUUAUAUAAAAAAAUUUUAAAAAAAUAGAAUAAUUUGGGGUAAACUUCAAAUACUCCAUAUGUGAUUUCACAUUUUCUCACUUUAGUAUUCUGUGGUUUAAAGUGUAUCAAGUUAGUCCAUUUGGUUUAGAACUUUCUCACUCUAGUACUCUGUGGUUUAAAGUGUAUCAAGUUAAUUAGUAUCCUGUGAUUUUAUUUUUCUCUUUUUAUUAUACAUUUCACUAGUUUUUUUUCGUUAAAUCAGUGACAAAGUUAACGGAAUAUUAGCGGAGGAAAAAAAAUCAGUGACAAAAUUAAAACUAAAGGGUGAUAAAGUAAAUAUUCGAUAAAGCUAGAUAGGGUAUCUUAAGUUUUUGGUAUAUAAUUUAACGAAAUAUUAACGGAGGAAAAAAAAUUAGUGACAAAGUUAAAACUAAAGGUGCUAAAGUAAAUAUUCGAUAAAGCUAGGUAGGAUAUCUGAAGUUUUUUGUAUAUAAUUUAACGAAAUAUCAACAGAGGAGCCGACGAAAAGAGAAAAAUGAAACCACAUAGUACUAAAUUGAUACACUUUAAACCACAGGGUACUAAAGUGAAAAAGUGUGAAAUCGCAGGGUACUAAAUUGAUACACUUUAAACCACAGAAUACUAAAGUGAAAAAAAAUGAGACCACAGGGUGGUAUUUGAAGCUUUUUCUAUAAUUUAUAUAAAUAAGAAUAAUUAAAAUUUAGAGGACAUAUUUAAAAUGACCUUUAGUUCAGGUGGUUUAUAUGUAUCGGUAAUUAUAUGUAUUAAUAUAUGUUAGUACAUUUAUAUGCAUAUAAAAAAAUAUAAAAAUUCAAAAUCAAAAUUUUGAAAAAAUAAAAUCCUACUUUCUUACUUUUAUAUGAUGUUAGACAGUACUCUAAAAAGCUCAAUUAUUAUAAUCUUUUAUCUUUUUCAUGGACAUGGUAUAAAAAAGUGUUAUUUAUAUAUACACUCUUUCUCUGGUAUAAAAUGAACAUUUUUUUAAGUAAAUCGUACUCUAUCUAUUUUAUAUAGUAUUAAUUCCUAUCUAAUUAAGUGCCUAAUUUUAUAUUACUUAGGUACACGCUCAGACCAAUCUCCAUCAUACUAUUGAAAACUUAAAAAAGUUGUUGAUUAACUCUGCAAUAUAUUAUUAUUAUAAUCAUAUAAUAUAGUAUGUUUUGAGUACGUGAGCAUCGGGGUUUUUUUUGCAAAUAGCUCCCUGAGCAAUUUUUAUUUUAAAAAUAGUCCUAUCAAAAUUAAAAUUAUAAAAAUAGCCCUGACCCUGCCACACAGGCGUUACGUUAGCGCCACGCAGGCAGGGCUGGGGCUAGAGUAUUAAGUUGAACACGUUGAACAGUUCACCGUGUUCAAACACGGUGAAUUAUUCACCGUGUCUAAACACGGUAAAUUGUUCACCAUAUUUAGUACAUAUUUUUUGUAUAUUGAAAAGUGAAAUAAGGAGUAGGGAUGUCAAUAGAUAUAGAUAUUCGAAAUAUUAUCAGAAUCCAAACCCGAAUAAAUUUUAUAUAUAUAUAUAUAUAUAUAUAUAUAUAUAUAUAUAUAUAUAUAUAGUUUAUUCGGGUUUGGAUUCGGAUAAUAUUUUGGAUAUCCAUACCUAUUGACAUUUCUAUUCUUUAUUCUUCUUCUCAAUAUAUAAAAAAUACGUACUAAAAACGGUGAACCAUUCACCGUGUUUGAACUUAACACACGGACCCGACCCUGCCUGCGUGGCGCUGACGUGGCGCCAGCGUGGCAAGGCCAGGACCAUGUUUACAAAUUAAAUUUUAACAGGACUAUUUUUAAAAUAAAAAUUUGUUAGGGGUCUAAAUGCAAAAAAAGCCUCGUAUAUCACUUAUACACGUGUACACCACAUCAUCACUAAGUUUGUGAUUGGAUGAUGGACACUAUAUAUAUGUUGGUUACUUCACUCCAGAGUGAGAUUUAUUUGAUUUAUCGUGUCUAAUUAUCGAUGGUUUCUUAGUUUAGCAUUUUUUUUUUUUAAAUGUGUGGAAAAAUGUGGGUGAAAAUGUGUGCUUUAUGUAUAUCCCAAUCAAAAGGGCUUUUGCUAUUUUUUUAAAAUGUGGGUAAAAAUGUGUGGAGGUACCCUCAACAAUAGGUUAUUUUGAAAUAGGUCCCUUCAACUUUAUGUCGCCAAUAAAAAUCUAUCAACUUAAGCGCAAACCAAAUAAAAUCAAAUUCAUAAACGUUGAUGCAUAAAAUAAAAAAAAUCUUGGCAAAUUUUCACAAUUAAGUUUAUACCAUAACACCUCAAUAAUUCCACGUCAGAUAGAAAAAUAAUUUUUAUUAGAAUAUAUGAAGUCUACAUGCUAGUAAGUAAUAUAUAAAAAUUGAUCUUAAACAUUUUUGGCCGAUAGUUUGGGCCGAAUAAGUUAUUAUUGCUGGUGGGUCAGGUUGUUACAAUUGGUAUUAGAACCAAAAAUCAGUUGGAAUGGAUUUGGUGGGAGCCAUCUUAUGAACCCGUAGAAACCACCUCUAUAAUUCUGAUUUGAUUUGGACCCGAUGAGGACAUCAGGGUCUAAAUAGGAGAAUCUCAUAAUUCUGGUCUUCUGGUUUGAUUUGGUUUAGACCCUAUGAGGAAUAGGGUUUUCUGGUUUGAUCUGGUUUAGACCCGAUGAGGAAUAGGGAGAGUUUUGUAACGCCCCAAUUAAUGGUUUGGCCCAAUAAUCUCAUGGUGGUUUGGGUUCAACGAACUAUUAUUGCCAGCGGGUCGAAUCGUUACACAUCCACAAUCAAAAUUUAAAUUUAGUUUAAGAAAAUAUGACGUAAUUAAACAUUGCCAUAACUAAUUUUCUUAACAAUAAAAUAAGGUCUCCUGUGCCUUCUGUUGUACAGUAGGGAUAGAUUUUUUUGCCCCAUAAUCUUAAAGAGAAGAGAUGUCAAUAGACAUCAUUCAUUAGGGAAGAGAAAAUGUUGUUAAUGGAGGAGGCAAGAAUGGAAGCCAAGUAUAUUUUCGGGUCUUUUCUAAUGCAGAAGUUUCGUCUAAUCCGGUUUUGAGUUUUAGGUCUAGCCGCACAUUAUGCAUUAAAUUGACACAAUACAGACCCAAACUUUUAUUCCACAUAAUUUUUUUGGGACAAAAGUAUGGCCAAUUUCAAAGAAAGCGAGACAAUGCCCCCAAAAAUGAGUUGGGAUGGAAGCAUGUUGAGAUUUUUUUUUUUUUUUUUUUUUUUUUUGGAGAGAUAGGUAGCAUGCAGCACGCGACCCACUUCGUUUAUUUCAUUUAAAAAUAAACUUAACUAUAAAUGUGAAUCAAUUAAGAUUCAAACUUGAGUCUCGAGUACCAACCACCAAGUCCUUUGCCACUUUCUCUGAGGACGGUCGGUAUGUUGAGAUAUUUUUUGAUUCUCGGUGGCAAUCUCAAGUAAGGCAUGCUAUGCAAUCUCAAGUAGAGACUAAUAAAUGAUGGCAAUGAACUAGCUAGGUUUGGUUUUGAGUUGAAUCAAAUCUCCCAUAGUAGGACUAUACGGUUCUAAUUAGAAUUGAACCUAAGCCACCAGCUUAUGCAGGAAGAGUGUUUCCGUGAGCACCCAAAUCUUAAGGAGUUGGAUUGAUCUAAUCCACUAUAGAAAGUAAAAAAUCAAUAAACUUAAACAAAAUCCAAGGGUGCACAAAAAAAAAAAGGUUAGAUUGAAAGGUUUGUUACAAAUAGUGGAUAGAGAAGAGAAUAAAGGGUGGAAGAAGCUUGAACUUGUCCUUUUGGCUGCUUGAAUUUUCAAUUUCAAGCAUUUUCGUUUGAGAAUAAAGAACUAAUAUUAAUAUGGUAGAAGAUUCAAACUUAUUUAUCAAGCGAUCUACUAAAGAUGACUAUAGCAUAAACCAAAAGCAAAUUUAUGUAUAGGAAUCAGAGACGGUUAGUCUAGAAAGCUUGUUUGUGCAUCAUUUAACUUAAAAUAGAAUGGAUACUACAUCAUAAUGCUCAGUAAAAUAUUGAUAUUACAAAUAGAGAUGCAAACGGGAUAGCAAAUUUGUAAUAUUGAUAUUACAAAUAGAAAUGCAAACGGAAUAGAUGUAGGAUGGAUUGACUUUUAUUCUACUUUUGCCCCCAUUUAUCGUUUCAUUCAGUUCAAGUUGGGUAGAAACAAAUUUUUGACGCAAUAGAGAUGAAUACAGCGAAGGGACAUCCUCUCCUCCCACUCUAUUUCCUUGAUGGAUUUGGGAAGAUUGGAAGUGGAUUAUUUGAUUUGAUUUUUUCUUAUUUUUAGUCCUAACUUGCCCGCUUAACACUAGGGAUGUGAAUGAGCCGAAUACCAGCAAGCUGGAGCCGACUCGUUAAAAUAUCAAGCUGAAAAAUUCAACCCGUGUUCAAACUGUUUGUUAAUAUGCUAAACACAAACGGGUUCAUUAACAACAAUUUAAAAAAAUUUAUAAAGGACAAAUAAAAAUUAAUUUAUGAGAUCUUAUCCAUGAGAUCUUAUCCACCCCUACUUAUCGCCUCAUUCGAAGCAGAUCAGAGCGGGAGCUCUAUCAAUCUGGAUCCAUUUGCAUCUCUACUUAACAAAUAUCAGUACAAGCUUAACUAAACUUCAUGAACUGCAAAAACCACAAAAAAAAAUCGCAUUUCCAGGAUGAUUAAUCAAAUGCAUAGAACUAACACCAAAAAAUCAACACCAAGGUGUGAAAGAAAAGGGAAAUAUUUCCAUUUCUAUUAACUCAUGUACAAAACAAACGUCUAGGGACACAAAUAUCACCCAGAAAAAAAAAGAAGAAAAACUAAAGCAAUUAAACCUGGUGGACUAUGUCUAUAAAAGAAAAUUAUCUAGUAACACUAUGUCAUAUGAUGAUUUGAAAGAAUCGGAUCUCCCAGUAUAUAACUCCUUUUCCCUGCAUAAAUAUCUUGUAUCUACAGCGUGUUGCUUCCGAAACUAGAAACAAUGGAGGUUAGGUUCUAUCUUCAGCUAAAAAUUGGCUCGCCACUUUGCUAUACCAUAUGUACAAAACCUUCGCGGACUGUCUUGCAAUUUGACUUUGUCAUGAUAAGAGGAGAGCUCCGACUCCUUCCGUCAUAGCGUAUAAGAGCUUCUCCCUCAUUUUCUCCUGCAUUAAAAUUUUUUAAAAAAAGGUAAAUAAAAGAUAACAGAAAAUGUUUCAAUUAAUAUGAAGUGUAAAGACAUAAGAAGUUUGAAGUUAAUAUUGGUCUAUUUAUUACCUUUGUAGUGUAAGGGGGAAGCUUUAGAAAAUGGUGGCAGAUGUUCACGCUUGGUAAUUCCAAAUUGGCAUCACCAUCACACUGCUGCUAAAAAGGAUGCAUAUGCGAAAUUAUGGAUACGUUAAAAGGUGAAAUUGUAAUAUUGUUAAAUGGUUUUCAGUUGGCCAUUUUGCAUAAAAAGUACAACCAUUUUAAAUUUUGCGACUUCGGCUCAUCUUUUAGUUAUGUUAGUGCGAUUCUAGAAUUAAAAGAAUAUCCUUGUAUGGUGUAGAAUGCCCCCUGGCAGGAACACUAGUGCACAUGUUUAUCAUAACAUAGGCCAGGCACACUUCGGCCAGCGGAAGAAGAAGAUUUAGCCUGAAGUUGUGAAAUUAAGAAAUGUGGACCAAAGUUGCAAAAAUCAUAUAUAUAUAUAUAUAUAUAUAUAGCCUUAAAACACUUCAAGACUCCAAUUUACCGUAAAGUGGGAAAAGAAAAAAAGACGAAUACUGUUGGCAAAACUUAUAGAGUGAAACAAUUAGUUAGAUGUUUAGAAAAGAAGUACAAACCUUUUGGACAACGGUGAGCUUUGGAUUGAGUGACGAAAAACCUCCCAGAGGAACCCGAGGGGCCCCAGUCACAAACUGUAAGAAGGCUCUUUGCUCAUCCCUAGAGAAUUCUCGCAUUAUCUCUAAUAACUGCAUGGAGAAUCAAAUUUCGCACUUGUGAGAAUUUUCAUGAAAUAAAAGAAGGGUAAAAAACAUAAACAAACUACCUGAACUACAAUGCAUUUAAUAUGGGUACCAGAACUUUAACAUUACUUUUGAUUUCAGUAAAAUUCAAAGUUCUGAUAAAAGUGUUUUCUGUCAAAGUAGUUAUGUGAUAGUCUUUCUACAGGAUCAAAGCUACCAUUUUAAGUUGAAACUUGAGGUACUUAAAUCAAAUUACUAUAACGCUCAGUAAUAAGAUCAAAUUUUCAAAAUUUGGGCGCCUAUUUCAAAGUGCGCUAUUAUUCAGAUAGGAUCUGCAUAAUUUUACCAGAAAAAAAUGUAGUUCGCUUCGAAAUUAAACUAAAAAGAGAUUAUUUUUACAAAUGUACUUACAUUGAUUGCAGCAGGACUAACAGCUGUAUAGCCAUGAUCAAAUUGAAUGUGCUCAACAAGGUUGCAGGACUGGCAAACAAUUAUAUGGGAUGUUAGAAUCAUAUUCCAAGUCAAGAAAAAAAAAAUUGGUCAAAAAUAUUAUAAGGUUAGCCUUGACACAUACAGCCCAAGCAUCUUGUUCCCCGCAAAGUAUUCGUUCAAGCUCUUCUUCAGUGAAAAUUUUAAGUGUCUUUAUGGGGAAAACCUACAAAAUAUAUUAAAAGAGAAAGUUAUGAACAUGUGAGAAAACCAUCUCGUAGAUCACUAUUUUUAAUGAGGCUGAGGACUAAGAGGAACAAGUUAGUAAGCUGCAUUGAUCAAACCUUGUUUAUUCCAGACUUAAAGGCUUCGAGCUGCCUUGACACUCCGCUUCCAGUUGUUGCAUCAACAACUAAUGAGACAUAUUCCUCCAAGUUGUCGAGAUUAACCUGAUUUAAAAAAAAAAAAUCAUAAAAAAGAAAAGAUAGAAGAUUAGAAAGACUAUAUUACAGCCCAAAACUAAGCAUACAGAUGCAACAAAAGAUGAUGAAAAUUACCAUUUUAGAGCUGCCUCCAGGUUUCAGAUCAUAAUCGCAAUAACCAGGGAGAGUAAAUUGGAGACAAAGGUCUUCUAUUGCUAAAUUCCGGUACGAUAAAUCGAACACAUGUGGAGAAUUCUCCACUGAAUUGGUUUCCAAAUACUUUUUCCUCUUAACAAGAGCUUGAAAUUCGAUCAUUAUCUUCCCCAGCUCAGGAUCAAAUGAUUCAAUAUCAUACAUGUCAAUUUCCUAAAAGGCACAAUUAAAAAUAUCAGACUAAGAACUUAGCCUUAUUCAUCGUAGUGUAUUACAUAUAGACCCUCCUAUAUAGUGAUAUGCAUCAAAUAAAACAGUGUUUGAGGCACAUGGAGGGACAUUAAAGUAGUUGUUCAUAUUUGUAGGUACAUAUAUAAGAAAAAUACAACCCAAUGGAAAGGGCCAUAUUUAAAGUUUCAUAUAAAGGUAGAAGUUGUACCUGAUCAAGCAUAGCUUUAUAGAAUGGUUUAGAGAGAGGGAGGUCCAAGAUCCUUCCAUCUAAAAUGGCUCUGGCUACAAGCUGUCCAAGAAGGAAGAAGUGCUUAAGCACAUCCGAGAAGUCAAUGCCACCAGAAGAACUUCCUGCUACUGACCACGGAUGAGGAAAAAGACCAAAUGGAGCAAAUACGUAUCCAUCAGCAUGUACUACUCCCUUUUCUGAACAAUCUCCCCUCCACAAGCCAAGACCAACUUUUUGCAAUUCCCUACUCGAAGUAGUAUAAAAUUCAACAGCAGGCCCUCUACCUGUCCCAGCUUCUCCAUGAUAUUCUAUUUCAAUUAAAUCCAUGCUACGAGCAUGAGAAGCCAUCACCAACGAAGCUGAUUGAAGUAUUUGUUCACGAUCUACUUUGUACUUCUUGCUAGCAGGUUCUUUUGAAUUCGGCUCACUCAAAAAAAGCCGAUUUUGUAAUGCAUUACACAAAGUGAUACAAAAGUAUUUCCAUCUUGUGUCGAAAGAGAAUAAGAAAGGAGAGGCUGCCAUCAAAUGAAUGCACCAUGAAGGGGUGACACCUUUUUCGAAUAAGGAAUCUUUCAUUUGCUGCUCCAAUUUGUUAGCCAACAUUAUACUGACAAAUUCAGACUGCGGCAUCAAAAAAUUUGACGUCUUUAUGUCAUCGAAACUUUUUAUUUUCCCUUCAGCAAAUUCAUCUAUCCUUUCUUGGGUAGAAAUUUGAAAGGAAAAUCUGUUAAGUCCUUCCAAUAUUUUCAGAAUAAAAAGUAUAUCAUAUGAAGGGCUCAGUUGUUCUAGCUCACAUGGGAUCCUUCCGAUGACCAUACUAGAGAAAAAAGAAUGCUUUUGCCAUGGAAGUAUUGAUCCAGAAGUAUAAUGGAGCUUUUGGGAAGAAGUGCUACUGGCUUUCCUGGCACUCAAAUAAGUUACUACGUGUAUCUCAUCAAAGAAGGAUGAAUUCACAAACAAAUCACCCUCUGCAUCAGUCUUUUCUCGAAGUAUAGAUUCGAAAAGGGUUAAAGACCGGUUUAGCCUUUUAUGCUUAUAGUAAAAUCUCAAUUCGGAUGUUUCUGCACAAAGAGGGCAGAUAUGCAUAAAAAAUUCUGCAGUAAUAAGAUAUGAUCACUCGAUCUAUUAUAUUGAAUAGAAUGUAAAUACCUUUCGUAAGCUCCCUUGGGGCUGUAGCGUUAGUCUUUGAUCUAGUUGAUUUUUUCAACCCCUGAAAUGAAGAAAUAAAAUAAAAGUUUUGUACAAUCCAAGGCAGUUUUUAGUAAAGAUUUAAGAGCAAACUAUCAGAUUAUGUUUGCUUGUAAUUCUCGAAUAAUCAAGUUGGUAGAAGGUAAGCAUGGCGAGUACACGCCCAAUCAUCAUUCAAUGACAGGAUAAUACAUACUAUAUUUAACUUCAUAAUAUUGCUAUUAGUUACUAAAGUUAAUUAAACUUUCUUUCAAUCAGGCGAUAUACAAGGAAAAGAACAAAUGGGAAAAAAAAAGUGAAAAUUUGGUAAUUGCAUGCAAGGUAACAAACAUGUAGAAAUAACAAAUCAGACAAACCGUUCCUAAUUUAUUUGAAGUUAGAAAGAAGAGCUCUCUUGUUUAAUAAGAAAGAUUAAAUGAUAGACUACGAUGAUGAUCUAUCUCAAUAAAAUGAUACAAUUUCAUUGCUCAGUGCAUCAAUUGUGUCUGAAAAAAGAAAAAUAAUAUCAAUCAAGUUUUCUGCAAUAGGAACCAUCUAACCAUAGGGGGAACAAUUGUUACCUUCAAAAAGUUUGAGGAUAUGUGGGGCCAUAAGAGUGCUUCAAUGGCCUCAAGAGGCGAAUUAAGGUCAAUGGCCAAAACAUCGUCAAAGUUUGCCAAAUUUUUCUCCCUUACCGCCCUCCUAAAUUGCACCUUUAUCUUCAUAAAUUCCGAGUUUCUCAGCGGGAUGGUCACAUGCUUUAGUUCAGAUUGAUAAUUAUCACUUAAAAUUAAAGAAAAAUUGUCGCAACAAGAUGCAUGCAAUGCGUCUUGCAACUUCCGCACCAAAAUGGAAAGAAUAUUCUCCUCUGACCUCUGAUCUGGUAUAAGGAGAGCUAUACAAGCAAAUGCAUCCAAUCUCAUUUCCACCUCAUGUAAAUGCUUCAACAAUUUAUCAGUAUCUUUUAUUUCUCCUUUCAGAAAUCUCCCAUUGGACAAGUAGCAAGCCAAAGACCUAAUUAUACCACUAUCAACAAACUCAAGAUUCGACAUAGCCUUAACUUGGUGCAAUGCAUCACAUAUCUUCUCCCUAGUUUGCCCAUCUUUAGUGAGGGACUUGGUGGCAUUGUAGUUAUUAUUUGAUAUAGAGAAGAAAUCUUUCAAAUUCUGAAGGAUCCUCACAAAACCACCAUUCUUCGAACCGCUUGUUGUGGAGAAAAAAGUGUUUCUGAUACUUUCGGCCAAAGCAAGAACUGCUUCUUUUCCCACCCUGCAUGCUUCUUUGUCUGAUGAUGGGGAUGAAUCAGAACCAAAUGAAUAGCAAUAGCACGAGUUAGCAACAUUGCUUUUAUCUUUGUCCUUUCUGAGUUUAGACUGUUGAGGGUUUCUUUCUCUCAGUAUGAUUGCAUCAAUGAAAUUAACCAAACCCUCUUUGCAGAAAGAUAUUAAGUGAAAAUCAGGGGCCUUUUCUAAAAGGAUCUCAGCAAUCUUCAGAGUGUGGAAAAGUAUCUGGUGAUCUUUAUGUGCCGACAAGGAAGCCAAAAGGCUGAAAAAGUAGAAAAGAUCGUAAAUGUGAAUUAAAAUACUCAUUAAUUAACUAAAAGAAAACAUAGUCAUCCCCAGAAUUAUGAUAUUUGCUCACCUUGAGAUGUUUGUUGUCUUACUCAACUCCACAAGCAGCUCAGGAGUGCUUAAGGAAAAUAUGUUGCAUAACAUACAAAGGAACCCGUAUGAGACAGCUAAUUUUGCAUUAGAACCCACAAACUACACCACAAAAACCAAACCAGUUAGAUGAUAAACACAGCUUAGCAUUUUCCACUUAUGCUUGUAUACUUGUACCGAGUAUCAUACCUGAAUUGAAAGAAAAACGAUGUUCGUUACAAACUGAUGAAAAUGGAUAUGAUUUUCCAAUAUAGUCUUCUUCUUCUGCUGUAACAGUUGAGUCUUUUCUUGAUUACACGUCUCAACCAUAGGUAUUAACUGAUUCACCAAGUUCAGAACAUCAUAUAUCUGCCAUAAGGAAAACAAGCAAGUAUAAGAUUCCAUCUACUAGGUGUAGUGAUCAAUAGGCUAAAAGGCAGACAAUUCCUAGGAUAUAUAGCGGUUUGCACUUUAUUCCAGUUAUUAACUAAAUCCUGCAGAUAAUCACCCAAUUAGCAUUUUAACACAUUAUUUAGUUGGUUAAAGUGCAAUAUUUUCUGAAAAAUCGAGAGGUUAUCUAUAGGUUUUGAUUAUUAAGUGGGGUACAGUUGGAAUCACAAGAUAACUAGAGGCCUUAUCUCCAUUUACCCUGGUUAAUAGCUAUUAAUCGACUUUUCAUACAUGGAAAGGUUUAUAACUUCAGCAAAUUUGGCACAGCAAGCAUACCAGAUCAAGCUCCAGAUUAUGAAAAGAGAGGUUGCGUGAUGUGAGUGCCCCACUAAGCACACUGCCAAUGUUCAAUUCGAAGAGAAUCCUCACUGCAAUGAUGGAGCCCGAAGCAAGAAAUCCAAGUAGCUGGAUCAAAUACUGCAAGCCAUUUUGUACAUUAACUUGUAGGUGUAAUUAAGAAAAGAACUAAAAAGAUAGAUGGUGUUGAAUUUUAAUUCACAGAAUGUAGUUAAUUGCAGUUUUGCCCACUAACUAUAAGUUGGUACAAGAAAACCUACUAACCGUCUUGUAUGCAGUUUUGUUCAGAACGGUUGAUUCAGUGUAAAAAUAUUCAUUCACUAUCUAAUGUUACUAGCAGCAUGUAAGUUUGUUUCUUUUGGUGCAAAAAUUACAAUUGGACCACAAAAUUUUGAUUUGGUUCAGAAAGUGAGGAAAACAGAAUCACACCACAUUAGAUAGUUGGUGAGCGUUUUGCACCAAAUCAAAACUACAAGGGCUAAAUUGCAAUGAAACAUAAGAUAGUGCCUUUUCUUUUUCUUUUUUAUUUUCCUGCACCAUAUUCAAGUUAGCAGUUUGAAUUGGAACUGAGUUAGUGCAUUUUCUUUUUCUACAACAAUUCAAGUUAGCAGUUUGAAUUAGAUCUGUGAAAAGUUAGUGGAUUUUUUAACAUUUUAAAUGUUAAUAAAAAUUUUAAAAAAAAAUACAAGGAUAAGAAACAUACUAGUAAAUUAUCUCUGUCCAGAGACCUCGAAUUGUUGGAGUUCAUCAACUGUACGGAAUGAGCGACCACUCCUAGCAUGCAGAUCUCAUCACACAGCUUUGGAGAAGUAUGAAAGACUUGCCCAAUCACCAACAAGCAAUCAAGAGCACCAUCCACAAUCUUAUAUGAAUAAAAGAACAAAAGAAUAAUUGAUACGGCGCAAGAAAUUUUAUUCAACUGAAAACAUCAAGGAAAGAGUGAUCUUGAUGUUUACCUGCUUUUCUUCCGAUUGCAGAAGGUUGCAUAAGACGGGAACAGCUUCGAUCACAAGGGAAGAGUGUUCCAAGUUGAUCACAGAGAAUACGUUCGACAUAAUUGAAACUACGACCCUCUUCAAUUGUCAUAAAUAAAGAAAUAUUAAUUUAGUAGCAAAUCCACACUGAAAUUAGGGACUGUUUUGCCCAGCUGUGGGAGUCAGUUCUGCUAGGACAAGCAUUGUUAGUUUUCUUAUUAAAACAGAAGCUUGCAGCUUCCGCUUUUGGGUCCACAAAAUUGCAAUUCUGCUUCAAACUUUUCUUUUUCUUGUCUGCUCUACUGAAAGUGUCAGUAGUUGAGAGCAGAAGCAGGUACUUAAUACAAGAAAAUGGUUUUGCAUAAGAUCAAGUUUGUGCAAUAGUAAAAAAAUCCAAAUUAAGGGCUACACAACUAGUCUAGUCUAAUCAUAUGAAAUCAAUAACUUUUUAUUUUUCUUUACAUAAAAUUUCUUAUACUUAUCAAAAUCAAAUACUUAGGAUAGAAUUGGUAUGCUAUACAUUUAUCUUGUAAAAAUCAAAUUGAUUACGAAUAAUUGUGAACUCCCAGUGUCAAUUGCUACAAAAACUACUCCGAACUCUAUCAUAAAUUGUUUCCAAGUGCUUCCUAGAGGAAUUUGAUUGAGAGUGUUACAGUAUUAUUACCUGUGUGGAUAAUGAGAAGAAAUCAAAGUGCUUGAGAACCGCAGGGACAAUGCCGGCGCUUAAGCACUUCUCCGGCCUUUCCAGCGAUAUCUUCUCCAGCGCUCGCAAACACUACAACACAUUGUACCGAUCAAAUAAAUAAUAACCUAAAAUUAGGGCGUGUAAAAGCAGAGGAGCGAGGGUUCGCGCGCGCGAUCCGCACCUGCUCGGCCAGGUCCAUGUACUUGAUGCUCGCCACGUGCGCGCAGAGCGCGGGGACGACGCCGCGGCGGACGAAGGCGCCGGCGGAGUCGGGGCUCGCGUCGCAGACGAGGGUGAUCGCGCGCGCGGCGAGGACAGCGACGGAGGGGUCGACGGCCCCUUCGCCGCCGCCGCCGCGGCCGGAGGCGAGGUCGACGAGGUGGCGGGCGAGGUCGUCGAUGGCGAGGGAGUCGAAGAACUCGUCGGGGACGAUGGCAAAGGCGUCGCAGAGCGCGGAGAGCGCCGCGCCGGCGCUGGCGAAGCCCGCGGCGCCGGGGUCGAGGUUGCGGAGGAUGUCAGCGUAGAAGUCGGCGCCGUCACCGCCCGGGGCGUCCAUGGAGUCGGCGCCGAGAUCCCCUUCGUCGUCGUCGUCGUCGUCGUCCUCGUCGGAGCUCGCGCAAGGGGGAGGGAAGGGAGAGGAGGAAGGGUUUUGGAGAGGUUCCGGAACGAUGAAGCACGAGAGAGAGAGAGAGAGCGGAAAAAGAACAACAAUCAAGUUCGUAAAUCGUAAUGCCGUAUUUAUAAGGGAGGUUAUGGCAGGCGUAUUAUAAUAUAAUAUAAUAAUAAAUAAUAAUAUAAUAAAUAAAUAAUAAUAUAAUAAUAACAAUCUAAGGCCCGGUUUGGCCCAGCUUCCUAAAAGUGAUUUUCAGCAGCCCAAUAGAGUGUUUGGUAACGGUAUUUGAAAAAUCUGAUUCUGCUUUUUAAAAGCUGAAAACUGAUUCUUCAACCCCUAAAAGCAGAAGCUGAAAAAACCUGCUUUUCAAAACAGAUUCCCGCAGAAGCUGUUUUCCCACUUAAAUUUUUUUACAAAAAUACCGAAAUUGCCCUUAAACAUUCAAUACAAUUCUAUCAUAUCCUUUUAUAAUUAAAAUACUCUCUCUCCCAUCACUCUACCAUUACCCUCCCAUUACUCACAGCAACCUACUACUCCCACAAAAAAAAACACUCCUUUCCUCUUCUUCUUCAUCUAAUCACUCUCCUCUCCUCUCUUCCUCUUCGGCGAGUUUCUUCAUCUCUCUCCCCUUUUCCUCUCCGGCGACGCCUUUCCACCGGCGAGUUUUUUCUCCGGCGAACCUCCAAGGUACUCCCCAUUUUUUUUUUUUUCAAGAAGAGUGUUUUUUUUUUCAGAUUUAUCUCCCUCCCUCUCUUGAUUUCUCUCCCUAAUCCGUGCCCGGCACCAGAUCCGGCCCCAGAUCCGGCCCCAGAUUUGCGCCCGGCCCCAGAUCUGGCCCCAGAUCCUCGCCGGCGUGAUCCGGCAAAGACGGAUCCCGCCGGCUUGGCCGGAUCCGCGCCGGCGAGCUUCGGCUUUGCCGGAUCCAGCCUCGGAUCCGCCUUUGAGCCGGAUCCGGGCAUGGAUCACGCCAGCGGGAUUCGGCAAAGUCGGAUCCCGCCGUCUUGGCCGGAUCGGAGCCGACAGGGGAAUCGAAUGCAUGUCUCUACCUUUAGCAGACAUGUUAAUUAUCAUAAAUCUGCAUGAUCUUUAAGUUAAAAAAAGAUCAACAAUGGCAUUAUAGUGUUCUCCACAACAUUAAUAUAUGGAUUUUCUGAAACAAAGCCUUCUAUGUGUUCCACCAUUCUUGCAUCAUGACCUCUAUUUUAGGUGGUUGUGCUUCUACAACUAAUUUCCACAAUUAGAAAACAAAUAGUGCUUAUAAAUUAUUAACAUUGGUAAAGUUCUUUGGUUAGUUGUUGUCCAAUACAUAGUUUAGAAAAUGGGCUUUUACAUUUAUAUCUCUCUGCAAACACAGCUAUUUACAUAUAUAUGUUCCAUUGUAAACUUUGAACUUUCAUAUACUUCUCAAAAAAUGCUCUUUCUUAUAGAAAGAGCCAUAUUUUACAUUGGAGAGUUAUCCAAUUCAUAGGGUAGAUGGUUUAGUAUCUGGAAAGGUUUACCUAGUAGAUGGUAGUUGGUAGUAGAUGGUAGUUUACAUUGGAGAGUUAUCCAAUUUAUAUACUCGAAUUUUCCAGUGUGUUGUUAAAAUAGCAUUCAGAACAAACCAAAAUUCUAGUAGAUGGUAGUUUUAGUAUUUCGAACUUUCUUCAAGUUUGGAACUUGAAGAAGCAUCAAGCAAUUUUGAAUCUAACUCUUGUUCUACUAUCUCUUUGUUACGAAAAUUGAUUAUGCCUUCCUUUCUGGUCACUCCCAAGCACCAUGAAAGAACACUAGUAGUUUACAUGCUAUGAAAAUCACUUUUAGGCCUAUACCUGCAAACACCCAACAAAUUCAAUGGGUACAACUCAACUUUUGAGUACAAUAUGUGUUGGAAGGGAAAUGAAUGCAUGCAUCUAGGAAUUUAUUUUCAGUGAUUAUUUUGUGAAAUUUAUUGUAUAAAUGUAUCAAUUAUUUAGUGACUUUUUAUUUGUAUUUAUCUUUUAAUUCAUAUUUGUUUACUAGAAAUCUGAAAGAUGAAUUCAUCACAAGGAGAACCAUCUACCCAAAAAGAAAAAAAAAAUUAAAGCUACGUGGGAUGCAACGUUGCUUAAAUUUUUUUGCGAAAUAUGUGUUGAAGAGGUUAAUGCCAGGAACCGACCUAAUACUCAUUUGAAUAGAAUUGGAUGGCAAAAUGUGGUUAAUAAAUUUCGAGAGAAAGCAAAUAGAGCUUAUGACAAAAUACAAUUGAAAAAUAAAUGAGAUUCUCUUAGAAGGGAUUGGGUUUUAUGGAUGCAAUUAGUCGGUAAAGAAACAGGAUUAGGAUGGAAUCAUGCAAGGGGUACCAUUGAUGCCAGUCUUGAAUGGUGGGAGGAGAAAUUAAAGGUUAGUAUAAAAUAUAAUUUUUAGCUUAGUCAUACUGUAUGUUUUCUUUAUAAUUCUCAUGAAACAAAAUCCUAGAACUUUAACACUUUCUGGAUGGCAAUGGGUUCAAGAGACCUUACGAACCCCAGGGGAGAGUUAUAGAAUGCUUCGUAUGGAGUCUGAAGUAUUUAAAAGAUUAGCUUCGUUGCUUACUAAUAAUUAUGGUUUACAAUCAACUCGAGCAAUGCAUGCAGAGGAGGCGCUUGCGAUAUUUCUUUUGGUUUGUGGACACAAUGAAACAAAUUGUAAUAUUCAAAACCGUUUCAAGCAUUCAGGUGAAACAAUUAGUAGAAAAUUUAAUGAAGUUCUUGAUAGUUUAGUUCGAUUUUCUGUUGACAAAAUUAAACAGUUGGAUCCUUCAUUUAGUACAAUCCCUCCUCAAAUUCACAACAAUGUUAGGUUCUGGCCUCAUUUUGAAGGAGCUAUUGGUGCAAUUGAUGGAACACUUAUUCGUGCUGUUAUACCUAAAAAAGAUCAAAUUCCAUAUAUUGGUAGAAAGCCCUACCCAAUGCAAAAUAUAAUGGUUGUUUGUGAUUUCAAUAUGGUGUUCACAUUUGCUGUUGCCGGUUGGCCGGGAGCCACGCAUGAUGCAUGAAUUUUCACUACUACUUUGAAUAACUAUGGUCAUAUAUUUCCACAUCCUCCUGAAGGUUAGUUUAGUUUUUUGUUUUUUAAAUAGUAAAUUAUAUUUAUAGUUUUAUAUUAUAAUUAUCUAAUAGUUUUUAUUAUUUUUUGUCUAUGUGUAGGUAAGUACUAUCUUGUAGACGCAGGGUAUCCCAAUAUAAAAGGAUAUUUAGGACCUUAUGCUGGCGGAGAUGUUAGAUAUUAUUUUUCCGAAUUUAGACGGGGGUCUCAACCACGAGGUUAUAAAGCAGUGUUUAAUCAUGCACAUUCAUCCUUGAGGAAUGUUAUUGAACGAUCAUUUGGUGUACUUAAAGCACGGUGGCGUAUAUUACAAAUGAUGCAAGGUUAUCUAGUGCCAACUCAAUCAAAAAUAGUGUCUGCAACUAUGGCACUUCACAACUUUAUUAGGAUGAGUUCAACGCAAGAUGAAGAGUUCAACGCAAGAUGAAGAGUUCAACAAAUGUGAUCAAUAUAUAAAUUAUAUACCAAACAUUGAAGAAGAUGAAAGCAGUACAAGUAGUUCAACACAGACUUAUAGUGGAGUAACAGAUGAUUACAUCAUGACCCAAACUCGAGAUCGUAUUGCUGCAUCAUUGAUGAGUACAUUUUUAUAAAUUGUUAUCCUAAUGGAUAUUUAUCAUUAAGAUGGUUUUGUUAUAUUAAAUAGUUAUUGAUAACUUGAAAUAUUGGCAUGUGAUAUUAGUUAGUUUUAAAAAUAACUAAUGUUAAAUAGUAUUACAAAAUCACUUCAGUAAAAAAAUUUGCCAAACAGCUUUCUAAAAUCACUUCAGCACAAUCACUUUUCUAUCAGACACAGCCAAACGCUCUACAGCUUUUAACAGAAAUCACUUUUCCAAACUAAAAUCACUUCUGCAGAAAUCACUUUUCCAGAAGCUAGGCCAAACGGGCCCUAAGUCGCAUUCGGAGCGGGAAUGAGCCGGUUUGGGCUGAGCCGCACCAAACCCGGUCGGGCCCAAAACUAUUGUUUUCAUCUUGCCAAGCCCGGUUCAACACUCGGCCUUCCCUUAGGCCCUAUUCAGUAACUUUUUAUUCCAUGUAGUUUUUUGAUUUAUUUAAAGAACAUAAUAUGUAGUAGAUGAGGAUUCUAAUCAGAGGCCUGCUAUGGUUCUUCUAAAAGCACAAAGCACUUAGGGCGUGUUUGGUUCGCUUCUUUUUCACCCUGGAAUUAGAAUCGGAAUGGAUAAAUCCGUUUGUGGGUGUUUGGUACGUGGGAGUUCCAUUCCGAUUCCGAUUCCCGAGUGGAAUGGGAAUCCCCCAAUCACCUCUUUUUUCAAUCCGGCCUAGGAGGCCGGAUUGAAAGUUGAAUCCGAACGGAAUGAAUAUUUAUUCGGAUUAAAUUUAUUUUUUCAACUUUUUGAUUAAAAUAUGAGUUAAAAUUUUAAAAUUAAAUAUAUAAUUUUAAAUUUUAAUUUGAACUUAAAUUAAAAAUUAAAAUUUAAUCAAGUAUUUCGAAUCUAACUUAUGAAUUUGAAUUUAAAUUAAAUUUUAAUUUAUAUAAAAUGUUAUUCAAAUUUUAUUUCAAACUUAAAUUAAAUUUAUGGAUUCAAAUUAAAAUUUAAAUUGUAAUUUUAAAUUUGAAUUUGAAUAAAUCAAAAUUUAGUUUCAUAUUUUGAAUUAUCCACUCAACUUCAAAGUUUAAUUUUUUUUUAAAAAAAAUAGAUUUAAAAUUUUGACAUUAUUUCAAAAUUUUGAUGUAAAUUUUUAAUAUUUAAUUUUUAAUUUGAAUUUAAAUUAAUAUAUUAUAAAGAUAAUGUUAGUAUAUUAAUUUGAUUACAUUUUUUAUAUCCACCUGAACCAAACACCGACAAUGGGAAUGAUUUAUUCCGAUUCCGAUUCAGGUGAUGAACCAAACAGAAUUAGGUAAUGAGUCAUUCCGAUUCCGAUUCCAGCUUAUUUUGAUUCCGAUUCCGAUUUCGAUUCCGACUUCGAACCAAACGCGCCCUUAAUGUUUGACAAUUUUCACCCAUUAAAUUUUAUUAUUCAACUAAUUACUCACUCAACCCUAUCAUCCUAACCGUACAUCCCUUAAUUCCAGGGUUGAAAAUCUAUAAUUAUCAAUGACCUAGUACUUUUAAAAAUAUACGAGCUCAACUCUUCCAAUCAAAUAUUUCAAAUGAAUAUAAUGUUCAAAUUUUAAGUUGUUUAUUGAAAUAAUAUAAGUCAUCUGAUUGGUGAAAUAUGUAAUCUUACAAAAUCAUAUAUGUCAAGACAUUUUAUAAUGAAUAAAAAUAAAACUUCAAGCUUUCCAUAGUAUAUGGUGUUGAUGAAAAAACAACUCAAAUUUUGUAGUUUGAGUUUUUUUUUUUAAUAUUUAUUAUUUAAUAUUAUUUAUUAAUUAUUAUUUUUAUUAUCUAUUUACUUAUUUAUUUUAUUCUUUUUCUUGGCACCGAAGAAAUCAAAUGGGAUUUUCUCCUAUUCGGUUUCUUGUGCCAAAUGGAAGAGGAACUCAGGUUGCUGCUGUGCUAGGAAUCGAAUGCGGGACGAGAUAGAUCGGAUCAAGGCGUUGAUCGGAUCAAGUAUUUCCUCGGAACGUAAGUCGGCUCCUAAUGUAACACUCAAGUGCGCCAAUGACGAGUCGAAUGAUUCGGCUAAGAAGGGAUCAACUCAGUCUGGUUCCUUCGCAACUAUUCACAAACUCGACUGAAUGAGCCGAGUGGCUUAUAUUUAUUGAAAAAAGGAUAAAGUAUGGGUACAAGAAUUAUUAAGAAGAUAAACUCUAAUCCUAAUACUACUCUAUCACGCUUUUAACGAUAUCACGCUUUUAACGAUAGGGAAUCAACAAGAAAAUAUGCUGCAACUAAUAAAAAAAUCUAUUGAAACUAACUCUUAGAAAAAUUGUAAAUGCCAAAAAGAAAGAAAUUAAAAUUUGUUAUGUCCUCUUACUCAUGUGAAGGACCCCUUUUACCGGCGUGCUCUUUUUUAUUUAUAGUCCUGCCUGCCAUUAUUGAAUUAAUCCCAAUGUGGAGGUUUAUUCAGCCACGUCCGUAUUUCUUUGGGUCAUACUUCGGGUGAUUUUCUUGUUGAUCAUUAACUCCUUCCUCCAUGUCUUCAACACCAUCCUGCCCAAAUCGCUCUUCUGUUUUGGGCGUGCAGCUUUCAGCUCCAAGUAUACCACGUGUCGCUUCAUGUUUUGCUUCUGUUAAUCUGCUCACGUGACUUGGAUUGCUCUAUUAUGUGACUCGGAUUGCUCCUAAUGAGCAAGAAUCUGGCAUUGAGAUAAAAAGAUAAUCAUCAUCUCGACAUUCUUUAUUCUUCACUUAUUAUUAUCUUCCUGUUAUUUACUAAGUAUUGAAAGAAUCUCCGUCAAUCUCGGUCAUGACUCAUGAUUGUCAUUAUAGGAAGAGGAAUUCCGAUCAUAUAUGUAUCCAAAUACCCAUAACUAUGCUAAAGCAUGUCAAAGUAGUCCAACUACUACACCCUAUCUAGUAGUGAUUAUCAUUAAUGGAUUGAUGUCAUCGUUCAAUCUUGUUUUAGGACCUACACAAGUGUAGUCUAGCUUGUGCCGCCUAAGUACCGGUGGUAGCCCCAACAUUCCCACUCUAGGAAUGAGUCUAUCCCUCUCGACCCCGUAGGCUUCUCGAUACCGCACGAGUGAACAUAAGUCGCGUAGGCUAACUCCGGAGUGCCGGCUUAUAGGGAGCAACCCUCACAAGCAUGUGCGAAUGAGCACAAAUGGCUAGCAAGCAUAAUCAUCAUCUUAAGAACUUGGUCAUCAUGUCUCUCUAACAUAAUAAUAGUCACUAGCAACCCAAUGGUCUAGUUCUAUAUCACAAUGUAAAGUUCCAAUGUUCGCUAGGUCUAGUGCCUCUUUAUGACACUAGAAUAUUACUAUAUCCAAGCAUGUUCCAAAUUCCAUGCCUCUUUAUGGCAUUAUUUACUAGGUUCAUUCACAACCCAAGCUCAAUAUCGCUUUAUGACAUUAGCUCAAAAAUUCACAUAUUAUUCUAGUCUAUUGCCUCUUUAUGGCAUUUUACUUGGCCCUAUGUCCAACAUGAGGAUUAUGUCCAAUAGUCUAUUACACUUAUCGUUUUCAUUAUAUGAAAUAUGAUCUUGAAUCACAUCUAGAAUGCUAAUCACAUGCAUGAGCCCAACAUGAAAACCAUCUACUACAUAGGGGUCCAAAAAUGUAUUGUAUAUACCAUAAGCAUUUCAAGCAUUCUAAAAUUCAUAAAUAUUGCAUCUAACAUGAAUAUGCAUGAUUUUUCAUUUUACAAUACUUGAAUCCACAUGAAUAAGAUUUUCUCAUUUCUUUGGUGAGGUCAAACCCACCUAGAGCUCCACUCGACCCUCCGUUGCUUCGACGAGGGUUCUAUCGACACUCCUAGCACCCUAAAAGUUAAACUAGAGGAAUUACAAAAUCAAAACGAACAACCGGAAAAGCGAUCAAUAAACAUCUCAAGUAUAGGGGUAAGAACUCACCUAUAGUGUGAAAAUACCCUCUUAGAUCCCAAAUAAGAGUUAAAUCCCUUCCAAAGCAAUCUAAACCAAGGUUCUAAACCAAUCAAUAUAGCCCCAAAAGCUUCUAAUAAAAAAAUGACCAAAAUCAACCAUAAACUUCCAUUCUAGGGUUUCAUCUAGCAUAUAGCAUCAAAACUAGAAUCUAGAGGAAAGAAUAAGUUGCUAACCUCUUUGAAGCUCCAAACAAGGAUCAAAGUCCACUAGGUGUGAUGAUCUUCCUUUUAUCAAGCUCCAAGUCCAAGCUUCAAGCCUCUACCAAGGUGGAAAUUUCUUAAGAGGCAAAAAAGAGGAUUUAAACCUCAAAAAACCCAUCAACAUGCAAGAAAAUAAAAGAGGGGAAGGGGAGGAUUCCCUUACCUUCUCCUCCUAAGGUCUGAGCUCAGGGAACAUCCCUAAGGCGUGGGGGACUAAUUUAGAGCUGCUACAAUGUGAAAACACCCCUGAAAAACAGUCAUUUCGCAAUCUGUAAGUGUACCGGCAUACGAAAAAGUGUACCGGUACAAAUCCCCCGAACACACAAACCCGAGCCUCGGGUUGGCAAUCCCGUAUCUGUACCGGUACAACCAUCUAUACCGGUACAAGGCCGUAUCUGUACCGCUACAACAGCCUACAACGGCUAACCCAAGAGCAGUCCAAAUUUUCUCACCGUGGGAUUUUGGCACUAGGUUAAAACCUCAAUCUUCGGGAUGCGAGCCAUAGGUCAGAGCACUGUCAACGAUCCACCAGAAAAUUUGGAAAAACUCGAAACACAGCUCACACACUCGAACCUCGCAAUUUGCAAAGGUCCAGUGUGUUACAAAUAAGCUUUUACCCUAAGAAAUAUAAAAUGCAUACCCAAAGAAAUACAAAAUGUACAAAUAAAAGUUUGAGAGAUAAUUUCAAUCAAACCACAAAAUCUUAUUGCAAUGAAACCCUAGACAUAAAUAAAGCACUGAUGGAAAUCCUAAGGUCUCAUGUGCAUGCUAGAGAGCAAGAGAGCAAGGCAUGGUUGGAAACCAUAAAGUGGCAUACACAUUCCAGAGAGCGAGCAAGUGAGAAAGAGAAAGUGAGCGAGAGAAAGAGAGUGAGCAAGAGAAAGAACGCGAGUGAGCGAAUGAGACAGUGAGAGUGGGCGAGAGAAAGACAAUGAGUGAGCGAAUGAGACAAAGAGAGCGAGCGAGAGAAGGGACUUACCUGAGAAGAGGGUUUUCUCCUGUUCAUGAAGAGGGAAAGACUCUGUUGCUUUCUUCUUUUCUUUUUGGAUGGGGUAGAAAACGGAGAAGUUGACGUCCGUUCGAAUAAAUGUCUUGUUAACUCCGGCUUCUUGUCGCACCAAUCUUGAUGCAAUUGUGCGGUAGAAAAAGUGGGAGUAUUAACUUUCUGAUACUUCUAAAAGUAUCCAAGCUAAACUCUCUCUCUGUCUCUCUCUCUCUAUAUAUAUAUAUAUAGUUUUAUUUCAUCUUAAAUUUUUAUUUUUUAUUUCAUCUUAAAUUUAUAGUUGAAAUUUAACUAUACAAUUUAAAUUUAAGUUUAUAAAUUAAAAUUAAAAUUCGGAUUUAAACCAGAGUAUAAUUUAAUUUUGGAUAUAAAACUUAAAUGAAUAAUUAAAAAUUUUAAUUAAAAGGUGAAUUCAAAUUUCAAUAUUCUUAGUUUAAACAUAUAUCUGAAUUUUGGAUUCGUCAUACUACGAAAAACAUAAAAAAAUAUUUAAUAUAUAUAUUGAUUAUAUAAUUAUUGCCGGCAGCAACUAUUCGAAUUUGAGAUAGGAUGUGACAGUUAUUUUCUAACAAAAUAUGAUAUGAUAGAUGAAUUUAAUUUUUUAAAAAUUUGGAAAAGUAAAUAUAAUUCAAAACAAAAAGUACUUUCUUGAAAUUAUGGUAGUAAACAAACUAAUCCAAAAAGAGACCUACCAAUUAGGUAUUUGGGCUGGGGAGAAGCCCAUGUAUGGAGUCCCGUAGACAAUACAAUCGGCCCGUAUAGCGUCUAGAUCUGGUCCCACAUUGGGCCGGGCUAUAUUUUGAUGGGUCGUUCAAAUAAAUGGCUGUGAAAGUCUGGUCACAACCAGUACGCUUAACUCCCCCUGCAGUAUCGUAUAUUUUGCCGCAAAAUAAUUUUUUUCAUGGAGUUUUCAUCAGAAAAUGGGUGGUGAUGCUUAUGGGCAGUGAGUAUAUAUAUAUAUAUAUAUAUAUAUAUAAUAUAUAUUAAUAUACUCUCAUAUAGAAUUGAGCUAGAAUACUUUAUAACAAGUAUUACCCAUGAUGCUAUUAGGUUUUUAGCCAUUGGAUCUAAUUCUUGAUUACUAAUAGUCUUGGAUCAAACACUAUUCCACCCUACCACUCACCUACCACUAUCAUCUCAACCCUCACAUCUCUCCAUCCAAUAGCUAAAAACUCAAAGCACCACUCACAUAAUACUUUUACAAGUAUUUUGCUCAACUCUCUUAAUAUAUAUCCAUGCUAAAAACUCAAAAGCACCACUCACAUAAUACUUUUACAAGUAUUUUAGCUCAACUCUCUCUCUCUCUAUAUAUAUAUAUAGAAGAGAGAGAGGUUGAGCUAAAAUACUUGUAAAAGUAUUAUGUGAGUGGUUCUUUUGAGUUUUUAGGCCAUUGAUGGGAGAGAUGUAGGGUUGAGAUGAUGUGUGGUAGGUGGUGGUAGGUGGAAUAGUGUUUGAUUCAAGGCUAUUAGUAAUCAAGAAGUAGAUCCAAUGGCUAAAAACCUAAUAGCAUCAUGGGGUAGUACUGUAAAAGUAUUCUUAGCUCAAUUAUAUUAUAAUAGUAAUAUAUUAUAUAUAUAUAUAUAUAUAUAUAUAUAUAUAUAAUAUAUAUAUAGUUAAAAAAUAUAUAAAUAUAAUAUAUUUUAUUAUAUAUAGGCUGAGUGAAUAUCUGAUUUUAGUUAAAUUGGGUUAAUGUUGUUGGCCCAUAAAAACAACCUAAUAGACAAAUAAAAGAGCAAAAUUUCACUAAAUUUAUACAUUUUUUCUUUCUUUUUUUUUCAUAGAGCUAUAAAUUUUCAAUAUAUUUCUCUUUUUCAUUUUUUUGUUUCUCACCCUAAGUGGCAAAGCCGGAAGCCUCAAGUUACCAAGUAACAGCAUAUACCUGCCGUUGCCUACAUUGAUAUUAACUGAUACACUUAAAAAAAUUACAGAAUAUUUUAAAGUAAAAAAUUAUUAUUCAUAAUAAAUUUUAAUUUUACUUAUAUAUAAUUGAAUAGUUUAAUCCAAUAUUUAUUUAUAUAUUUAUUUAUUUUUGACUGCCAUAAAUGAAAAUGAUAUAAUAUGAAGAUUGAAGGCGGAAGAAAAACAUGUGAGGCUGAAAAGAUUAGAUACUCAACUCAUAAAUUUUUUUUCAUAUUAUAAUAAUAUAUUUCAUACAAUUAUUUUGUACUUUUGAACUUUUAGACAUAUUGUUAUAUCAAAUUUAGACAAUGUUCUAUACAAAUUAAACUAUUAAUCGUAUGAUGUUGAGAAUUUCAAGCGGCUCGUUUAGGACUCGAGCUCGCUCGACUCGAAAUUAGGCUCGCUCGAGCUCGGCUUGAAUUAAUUUCAAUCAAAGCAUUUUUUUUUUUUUUUUUUUUUUUUUUUUUUUUUUUUUUUUUUUUUUUUUUUUUUUUUUUUUUUUAUUUUUUUUUUUUUUUUUGAUUUUUUGUUGUUUUUUUUUUUUUUUAUUUUUUUUUUGUUUGAGCUUCAAAUUUGGCUUAAAUUAAUUCAAGCCGAAUUUGGGCCGAGGUAAGCUUGCCUCGAGUCGACUCGUUCCACCGCCUAUGUAGAGGUGUAUAUAUAUAUAUAUAUAUAUAUAGAGAGAGAGAGAGAGAGAGAGAGAGAGAAUUAGGCUACUAUGCUAUUAAUAGCACCAAGUUAUUCGUGCUACCAAGUUUUUGGACAUUGGAUUAAGAGAUGUGUGGUUAGGAUUAUGUGGGCCCCUAGGGUUGAGUGGGUGGUUGGCUCAAUAGUAUGAUCUAACGGGUAAAAAUGAUCAAAAUAGUAUAUCUAACGGCGGAAAACUUAGUAGCACCAAAUGCUUCGUGCUAUUAAUACCAUAGUAGCUGGACUAUAUAUAUAUAUAUAUAGAGUGAGGCUACUAUGCUAUCGGAAGCACGGAGCCUUCCGUGCUUCCAGCUCAUUUUCGAUGUUGCGACUUUCGAAUCGUCGAUCGGCUCCGUUAAACUUGAUCUAGAGUAUUUGAAGUACCUAGAAAAUAAAUUUUAUGAUUUUACGAUAUCAUUGCCUAGUGAACGAAGGGGCUUAAAAUCAACGGCUGAAAAUAAAAAUCUUACAAAAUGUGAUAAUAUGACAUUAAAAUUUUAAAUCAAAGAUAUUGAUCUUGUUUUAUAUAGUAUAAAGAAUUUUCUAUCAAAAUUUCAUGCGAUUUGGAUAUUUCUACACCGUUAAACUUGCAAACGGCUCACUACGAUCAUUGAAAUUUGUUGAUUUUGAGCCCAUUCGAUCACUAGGCAAAUGAUAUCGAAAAAUAAUAAAAUUUAUUUUCUAGAUACUUCAAAUAUUUUAGAUCAAAUUUAACGGAGCCGAUCGACAAUUCAAAAGUCGCAACAUCGAAAACGAACUGAAAGCACGGAAGGCUCCGUGCUUCCGAUAGCAUAGUAGCCUCACUCUCUCUAUAUAUUUAUAUAUAUAAUUGAGCUAGAAUACUUUUACAAGUAUUACCCCCAUGAUGCUAUUAGGUUUUUAGCCAUUGGAUCUACUUCUUGAUUACUAAUAGNNNNNNNNNNNNNNNNNNNNNNNNNNNNNNNNNNNNNNNNNNNNNNNNNNNNNNNNNNNNNNNNNNNNNNNNNNNNNNNNNNNNNNNNNNNNNNNNNNNNAGAGAGAGAGAGAGAGAGAGAGAGAGAGCGCUAGGCUCCUAUGCUUUCGAAAGUACGAAAGCCUCCGUACUUAUAAGUUGUUUUCCAUAAUGGGACAUCCGAUUCGGCGAUCAGUUCCAUUAGAAAUGAUCUACGCUAUUAGAACUACCUAGAAACCAAAUUUCAUAAUUUUUUGACUUCAUUUGUAUAGUAAACGAGUAGCCUUAAAAUGAACGGCUGAAAAUAAAAAUCUCAUAAAAAAUAAUGAUAAAAAACUCAAAUUUCAAAUCGGAAGUAUUGGACUUGCUAUUGAUGUUAAGUAGAAUUUUUUAUUAAAUUUUCAUCUAAUUUGGAUACUUCUACACCGUUGAACUUAAAAACGUGUCACAUCGGCCGUUAAAAUAGUCAUUUUUAAGACCUUUUGAUCGCUUAGUAAAUGAUGUCAAAAAAUUAUAAAAUUUGGUUUCUAAAUAGUUCCAAUAGGGUAAAUUAUACUUAACGGAACCGAUCGCCGAAUCGGAUUUCCUAUCAUCGAAAACAACUUACAAGCACGGAGGUCGCCGUACUUUCGAAAGUACAGGAGACUUACUCUCUAUAUAUAUACUAGUAGAGUGCACGUGCAAUGCACGUCACAUAUUUAAAAAAAUAAAAAAUAUUUUUUUCAAAAUAAUUAAGAUAAGACAUGAUUGAUAUGUAAUGUAUAAUUUUUAAAUAAAUUAUUAAUGAAUAUUUAUAAUUUAAUAAUUUUAUUAUAUUUGCAUAAGAUAGUAAAAAAAAAUUAUUUCCAAUUGAAUAUUUAGAUAAAUUAAAUUUUAGAUCUCGGCAUCUGGCUAUAAAAAAUUUUCUUUUAUAUUACUUAUAAAAGAGCCACUUUUUUAGGACAAAAAAUGAUAUUUAUACCUGAAAUUCCUUUAAUUUUAUAAAUCAUGCUAAAAAUGAUUUAAGUCGAGCAAACUUUUUAUAUAAAAAAUAAUUUAGGCUAUAUCAUUCAUACUAUUUUAUUUUGCAUUCAAAAACUUUUAUUUUGCAUUCAAACGUGGAAUCAAGUGCUUCUUAAAACUUAGAAAAGUCUGUGCCAAGAUUAACCGGCGUCGAUCGAUGAAUCAUGAUCAUAAUCGAUAUGAACCCAAUUAUGAAAGUUAGGGACAUAAUAGUUAAAAAAAAAAGAUUAGGGACUAUAAACUGAACAAAAAAAAAAAGAGUAAAGUUUAGGAACUGUUGGUCUGAUUAAUCCUAAAGUAAUUAAGUCCUUAAAAUAAAAUUUUUCGAUAGUAUCGAAUUUGAAGUUUAUCUUAAUAUGAUCAUACAAUAAAAAUAUUUGAAUAAGGGCGAUGAAAUAUAUAACCCAAUGGAGAAUUUUGUGCAAGAAUAAAAAUUGAUUUAAAUAUAUAAUUAAUAAAUUUAAGUCUACAGGUUGCUACAAUAUUUCACAUGAAAAAAAUUUCAAAAACUUACUAAAAUCUAAUUUUUAUAUACGUAUUUGAGUACAAUUAAAUUCAAAUAGAUUUUAAGGGUGUGCUAGGUUCGUCGGAAAAGUGUAAAAAACUAUUUUUCCAACAAAAAUUUUUUAAAUUCAAAAAAUUAUUUUCAUAAUUUUUAUUUUUCAAAUAAAAAAACAGAAAACUGAAAAAAGGAGACUCUUUUAAUGAAAUCUGAGAAAAAAUUUUUAGAAAAAUUAUUUUUUAAAAAAUCUAAACGGACGAAAAUAUUAUUUUUAAUUAGAAAGUUAUUUUUUAAAAUGUUUUCUGGAAAAUCAGACCCCUCCUUAAUGUAGGUGUUUUCUAAUGUUGGAUUUAAUAUUUUAUUACAUCCAUAAGGACCAGAGUAACAACCUAAUCCCAACAAAUCAAUAGAUAUAUUAAAAUUUGAGUUUUCAUGAGAGGGUUACGUGUUGUGUACUUCAUUUCUCACGAUUCGUUUGUCCGCCUCGCCUCCUUCCCCCUCUAGAUCGUCUCAAAUCUGCCGAGUGCUGUGGCAUAUACCAUGUCGCACACCUAACUUCUGCAUAUCCCGCGGGGCGUGGAGGGUUAUCGCACUGUACUAUAACGUUCUUCCCCUCCGUAAGAACACCUACUUUACCCAAUUAUUAUUAUUUUUCAAGUACAAGUGUACAACAUAAUGACUAGGUAUUACUACUUGGAAAGAACUAAACUUUAGUGAGGUGGGGCGUAACACAAUUUUAUUGGCGUAUUGAAGUACUUAAAUGGCACUUUAAAUUGUGUUCAUAAAGCUGGUUCUUCGCACGGCUCUGUUUAUUUCGCCAAAGAUAAAAUUUAGAUUAAAGUAAAUUUUUGGAUGAACUUAAGUUUAAGUAAAAAGAAAAAUUCUUCUGUUGUUUCUUUAUAUAUUUGUGUUAGUGAAGUUCUUUCAAUUUGAUUAUUUGUUUGGCAUAAAAUGAAUAACGUAAAAAAAGGAUGCGUGAGAGAUAAAUUAAUAUUUCGUUUAUUUUUUUUUUUACUUAUAAUUGACUUUAGAAUGGACUUUAGUAUGAGGUGGGGGCGAAAUCAAUUAUACUAUUUUGGAGAGUUUAAGUUUCAACCAGAGUAAAGAUACGGUGAACCAAACAACGGAAUUAUACAUUUUUAAAAAAAUCACUUUAUUUCUCUGCAUUUUUAGUGAAACAAAUACCCUCAAGAUUUGUAGCAAUACUUAUUUGUAAAUCCAAGUGCGUUACAUGUAACUUUUGAAAUAGAUUCUUCAAAAAUCAAUGACCAGAUUUUGCUUAGUAAAAAUAAAUUUGGUUGAAGUAAGUUUGUAAGUUUUCACAGCAAGCUCUAAUUUGAAAUUUUCAAUUUUUCUAUGUUAAGAAUCUAACAAAUUUUAACGACAAAAACAGUUGCUGCUUUUUUAAAAGAAAAACUUCAUACAAUAACUAUUUCUGCUAUCUUGUUAAAACAAAACACGGAAAAUAAAUCCAAAAAAAAUUAGUGCAAAAAUAUAUAUGUAUAAAAAUUAUAUAAUUCGGUCACUGAUUUAUAUCCAAAAUUUUAUUGUAAUAUUGAAGGUAGAGUAUAAAUUUCCGAAAAACGCGUUGGUGUGGUGGGACCCAAUGCUCGGCUCUUUAUCACGCAACACCCACAAUACACGGUAGCUGCGUGCCUGCCUUUGGUUUCGGCAUAAAUAAAAACGGUCUAUUUCAGAGAUAGAUGUAAGUUCAGAUAUAGAUAAAAAUUAAACAAAUUUUGCAUUUGGAUGAAAAUUGAAUUGUUUCUAAGAAUAAGAUAAAUAGUGUUUGAAUGGUUAGAUUAGAACAAGAGGAAUAAGAAUUAUAAUUUUAAAUUAAAAUUAUUUUAUCUAAUUAAUUAACAUCAAAAUAUUACUUAAAAAUAAUUUAAUAAAUUAAUAAAUUUAUUAGCUAUAAAUAUUGUAUAAGAUAAUAAAAAUAUAUUAAUUAAGUAAUUAAUUAAUUAUAAAAAAUAAUUUAACUUUUUACUUAGUUAGUAAAUUAUUUUAGCUAGAUAACAAGUAAAAUAAUUAAUUAGAUUAAUAAAAAUAUUAAUGGUUAAUCAAUAAAUAAAUAUUAGUUUAUGAAUAAAUACACUAAAUUAUUAAUAAUUAAUUAUAAAUGAUAAAUUAAUUAAUUAUUUUAUUAUUUAAAUAAUAAAUAAUAAUUUAAAUAUAUUAAUUAGAUUAAUUACUAAUUUAAUUCCAUAAUUAAAAUUAAAUUAGACUUUAAUUAAUCUUAUUUUCAGCUGGGAACAAAGCUUGUUCCCAGAAAAAGGGUGGAACAGCAGUUCCAAACUUAUACCAGCUUAUUCCAGAAAUAUGAGAACUACUGUUCUCAGAUAGCAAACACGACGGUUGGGAAUAAAGGGGGGGAAUAAGAGCUUAUUUGCUUUUUGUUCCCGAACCAAACACUGUCCUUGGGUUUACCUUAAAAUGAAAAUUAAAAAAAAAACAUCUUGGGUUGAAUUAAUUAAUUCUGUUUUCUCGUUUUAAUUAGAGCACCGGUGAGUUAGGAACUCAUGUUAGAACUGACUCGUAUUUGUUCAUUUAUUUAAUGAGUCGAACACGAGUUAGCUCAUUAAAAUAUCGAGCUAAAAAAUUCAGUUCGUAUUCGACUUAUUUAUUACUAGCCGAGUAUCAUACACUAUAUAUAAAGCAUAGCUUCCAAUUUAAAGUAUAAUUAGACUGGUAGUUUAAUUGAAUUUCUAGUUACACUCUAUAUAAAUUUAAAUCUCCUCUUAUUCUAAGUAAAUUAGAAUUUGACUUACAAAUUUAAACAAAAAAUCUAACAUAUCUUUAGAAGCUCUAACUAGCUUGGUACUUAAGAAAAAGCCAAAGAAUAUUCCCACUUUUGCUGUAUUUGUGGUCCCUCUUUACAUUUUGGCUUUAUGCCUCUAUUGUUUGCUCAAAUUAAGUUUCCCUUAACUUUAUGCCCAUAGUAUUUGUUCUUUACUUUUGAUUUUUUAUAUAGAGUUUUAUCUUUAUCCCUAGAAUGAAUCUCUGUUUCAGGUCUUUCAACCAAUCAAUACGACCUCAUAGAUGAGAUUUUGCUAAAACUCGAUUGAUUUCUUGAAAACUUGCUUCUGAUACAAAACUUUAAGUAUUCAGAGACGCCCUAUUUAUAACUUCUAAAUCAUAACAUUAAAUUGUUUCCCUAGUGAGAAAUACUUUUGACCCAUUAUGCAGUACCUCCUCCAACACUCUAUCCACAAAAAUCAACUUCAACUUAUUAUUAGAANNNNNNNNNNNNNNNNNNNNNNNNNNNNNNNNNNNNNNNNNNNNNNNNNNNNNNNNNNNNNNNNNNNNNNNNNNNNNNNNNNNNNNNNNNNNNNNNNNNNNNNNNNNNNNNNNNNNNNNNNNNNNNNNNNNNNNNNNNNNNNNNNNNNNNNNNNNNNNNNNNNNNNNNNNNNNNNNNNNNNNNNNNNNNNNNNNNNNNNNNNNNNNNNNNNNNNNNNNNNNNNNNNNNNNNNNNNNNNNNNNNNNNNNNNNNNNNNNNNNNNNNNNNNNNNNNNNNNNNNNNNNNNNNNNNNNNNNNNNNNNNNNNNNNNNNNNNNNNNNNNNNNNNNNNNNNNNNNNNNNNNNNNNNNNNNNNNNNNNNNNNNNNNNNNNNNNNNNNNNNNNNNNNNNNNNNNNNNNNNNNNNNNNNNNNNNNNNNNNNNNNNNNNNNNNNNNNNNNNNNNNNNNNNNNNNNNNNNNNNNNNNNNNNNNNNNNNNNNNNNNNNNNNNNNNNNNNNNNNNNNNNNNNNNNNNNNNNNNNNNNNNNNNNNNNNNNNNNNNNNNNNNNNNNNNNNNNNNNNNNNNNNNNNNNNNNNNNNNNNNNNNNNNNNNNNNNNNNNNNNNNNNNNNNNNNNNNNNNNNNNNNNNNNNNNNNNNNNNNNNNNNNNNNNNNNNNNNNNNNNNNNNNNNNNNNNNNNNNNNNNNNNNNNNNNNNNNNNNNNNNNNNNNNNNNNNNNNNNNNNNNNNNNNNNNNNNNNNNNNNNNNNNNNNNNNNNNNNNNNNNNNNNNNNNNNNNNNNNNNNNNNNNNNNNNNNNNNNNNNNNNNNNNNNNNNNNNNNNNNNNNNNNNNNNNNNNNNNNNNNNNNNNNNNNNNNNNNNNNNNNNNNNNNAGCGUAGGCAGUCCGGGCUCCCACCUCCUAUUGGUCACCCCGGCUGCCCCUUUUGUUUAGCCUUCCCCGGGUGUGAUCUACCGUCCUUUUCCAACCCCUACCUUUAACUUUCGGCUUCAAGCUAUCCGGGAUCUCUCAAUCAUGGUUGCGGGUCGGGUUCUUACCGCACUCGUCAGAAGUGUGAGGAGAGUGACGGAUCAGGUGGUUGGCUGCCCGGGCCCUUCGUUUUUCUUGGUCCCCCCGGGUUCUUGGCUUUUCUAGGUCGUAUUCUCUAUUUCUCUCCGGGGGUGGCUUUGGGCUGGUUACCGGGUCUAGGUACACCCGGACCAUCCGGGGAGGAGAGUCGUACGUCUGUUAGGGGGCUCAGCUCGGGUUUUGGCCUUGGGCAACUGAGGUUCCUAUUCUGGCUCACCCAGGUGACGAACUCCUCUGUUAGCCAGCCGGGCACCGAGCUCCCCCUACUCGUUUAGAACCUUAAUUUCGACGGCGUGAAGAGGGUCCACUUCUAUAAUAACGCCAUUCGGAAGAACCGAAAAGGAAAAACGAGGCCCAAGGUUACGUUUUCGGAGCUUCGUACUUUUUUUAGAAAAGGACAACCGAGGCUUAUUUUUGGUGGACGGCGUUACUACGAUGCCGGGGGGAGGUGCAGUCCAGACUGUAAAUUACGUUGCAGAUGAAGUCUCCUUAAGCUUAAGGGCAGGCAACGUGGGGCGGAAGGCCGCUAGCGGCCUGGUAAGCACCAGUUUAGGCGGAGUUCGACUAGGAAGUACCAGCUAAAGAGGAGCUCGGCUGGGAAGCUCCGGCUUAGGAGGAGUUCGACGGCCAACCUCAGCCGGCCCCAGCCCCCCUUUAAGGCAGCAUCUCCUGUUAGUCCUCUGCCUGGUCGGGAAGCGGACAGGGCCUAAAGCCUGCUUAAGGUUCUACGUAGCCACGAUCUUCUCGGCGGCCGACUACUAGCAGCAGGAGAACGCCUAGGUCGACUCGCCGCUACUCCGGGUCCCAGAGAGCUGUCCCCCAGCACGACUAGGCAGGAGAGUAAGCCACCCAACGGACCCUGCUGCCGCAGUGCCGCCGGGGUAGAGAGCUCGACCUAUUCGUGGCUUUCGCUCUUCAGGGGGUGGCACUAAAGGUUCAAAAGGCCAUACAGCCUCUCCACCAAUUGCCUCUGCUCCGUGGCCAUAGGACAUUCUAGGUGGUACGCUUAGCUCAUCAGUAGGCCGGCAUUCUUUGCCGGCUUCGGUGGCUGGUCGCGGCGGUGGCAUGCUCUUCUGGUUGUGAGCAUUCCAUUCGAAUGCUCAGCCUAGGUGUGCAACAUCCAAUCGCUACGGGAAGCUUGUGGUAUUAUUCCUAAGGUCCAUAUUGUGACCUCGGACUCUAGUAGGUCGCUAUCUUAGAGUGCUGCCUAUUCAACCAGGCGGCCGUGGGUGAGGCCGUCCUUUUAGUCUUUUAGUGCAACCGAUAUGAACCGCUGCACUUUUAGUCUGCCCUUGGGUGGCUUCGCCGAGCGGUCGGCCAAUCGAUAGCAGAGGACACCUUUCACUGGGUUUAAGAAUCCGCCCUCAUGCAGCUGGUCCUACCGCAACGCUGUCACUAAAACAGACCACAUCUUCAGCAGACAAACACCCUGUUUGCGCGACUCUAUCCUACCAGACCGGGCGUAGCGGGACAUUUGGCGGUAGCCGUUGGCCAGGUACGUUCUAGAACGUUGCACCGGACAGAACUUCGUGGCGUGUGUGGCCUCCCCGGGAGCCGUUGACCUGCGGGUCACUAACCAUGGGUCUGUGGACAUCGUGGAGGGGGACUUCCUUCAGAAUGGUCCCUUACGCUUCCACCCCUACCCUUACCGUGAGGCAACCGCCGCUCCCAUGCCGCAGUCACACCCUUAUCCCCACUCCUCACGGAGGAACAUUCAGAAGAAAUAUGGUCUUCACUUCUCACCAAACAGGACGGGGAGCGGGCUCUGUAGGGAGAAGGACAGCAGUAAUCAGCUGCACAGCGACCUAGCACAACUCCCCCGCUUUAGGUGUCCCACUUUCUCUCAUUGGAAUCAAUUUCGAUCGGGUGGGAGUAGUCGGGUGUACUGGAAGAACCUUCUCCGUCUCCGUCUCAUUUACAGGAGUAAUUGAGGUACGAGAUAUCUUCUCCGUCUCAUCCACAGGUGUAAUUGAGCUUCGAGGAGCCUGCUGCAACAAGCCACUCCGGACGGAGCUUCCGAUUUUCGGCGCUCAAGCCAACUACCCGUCCACCUGCUGCAGCUGCCUCGGACGAAGAGCGCACGACCGCAGAAGGAAACGGUUUCUAAUCAUCCUCGACCCAGAAGAAAUUAGAAGAGACAGAAAAAGAGGAAAUCGUGUAGUGGUUGAGAGAGAAAAGGAAAAGGGAAUAGGAAAGCUUGAUAGAGAAAAGGCCUUCGUCCUAAAGGAAAGAAGAAGAGACAGAAGAAGAAGAGACAGAAGAAGAGACAGAAGAGACAGAAGAAGAGGUAGACAGAAGAGAAGUGCCAAGUUCAAAUAGACUAUGUUGAUAACGAAGAUUAUUAUUCAACUUCAACUAAAAACACCUAUCUCACAACCUCCUCCAUGACGUAUUACCCAGUUUUCAUAAAGAGUGAUCCCUUUGUUAAAUUACAAUACUAAAUCUUCAAUAUUUAUCCCGCAGAGACUUAUGAAUUUCAAAACAUAGUCUUCGUUCAAAAGUUCUUUAGUUAGCUCAAAAUCGUUUUAGAGUAGAUACUCCAGCAUAACUAACCAACUUUCUGGACUUUGUCUCUAAGUAAGAUCCCUAUUUCUAUUUUGAGAUAUAUUUUUUAGUUUUCAUUUCUUGUUUAUGAUACCCGUAUUUCAAUUCCCUUUGAAUUAAACUCGUUUGUUAUCUCCGUAUUUCGGUUUUACAUUUCUCCCUGGUGUUUAUGUCGUUUUCACCCUUAUAAGAAACCGAAAAAGAAUUCAUGGUUCGAUCAAUCUCGAAGAUUUCUAUACAAUCUAAAAAACAAAUUUAAACAUUCAGUUUAAGAUUAAAUGAAUCUUAUUCUCCUCUAAAUUUAAAUAUAUCUCACAUUGAUCUUUAAGUUAAUUUGAUGGUCAGAUUAAUAUGAAAUUUAACCUUCGAUACGAAAUAUAUAUCACAUACUAUGAGCCGAUCAUUAUUUAUUCAGCUUAUGCUUGACUUAAAAAAUCGAGCUAUAAAAUUACUCGAUUGAGCACAAGCUGAGUAAUUUAUUUACUUGUUUAUGCUCAGUCAAGAUUGUACUCAAGGAUUGAGUGGCCACGAGAUUAAUUUUGCUCUUUUGUCUUAAUUAAUUAAGUUGGGUUCUACAAAAAAAAAAAGUCUCUCGUGCCUACCUUUCGGUCGGUCUUCUGCGACGGUUCACAAGGGUCUAUCUUCAUCAGCAAUGCAGCUGGCCUUGGGUCAGUCGUUCGAGAUUGUUCACAAGGGCCAACCCUCAUCAGCUCUUCUACUUGCCUCGAGUCGGCUUCUCGUGGCUGUCAGCAGGGGCCCACCCCUUGCGGCAACGUGUCGACGGUCGGAAGGCUUGUCCUGGAGCCCGACGAGAAGAUUCUCGACACUAGCUUUCGGCCGGCCUUCAGGGUAGGUUCACAGGGGUCCCUCUCCUUCAGCUCUUUUGGGUCGACAGUUCGCGCUUCUCCACAGGGAUCAACCUUCAUCUGCUCGACUGCUAGUCUCGGGCCGGCUUUUCGUGGCGGUCCGCAGGGGCCCUCCCUUAGCAGCAACACGUCGUUCAGCUGUCCGUCGCUCGUGCCUGGUGCCGGGGGCAAUUUACCCACCACCCCCGCCACUGCCCCUCUGUCCGAUCUGGAGGAGGUAGUUCUGUGUGAUUCGACAGGGUCGUCCAGAUCCAGUGCGAGGCUGAUUUCUGCACGGAAGGUCUCGGCGCUCGAGCGGGCAAAACUUCGGAAAGCGUUCCUCCUUGAAGGAGAGACUACUGGUUCGACGUCCUUAGCUCGCAAAUGGAACACUAGAAAGAUCUUGAAGAAAAGUGCUCUUUGUGGAGUGAAGCUCUCGGGGGCCGAAGCCGAGGAGCUACAUAAGUUCAUGCUGUGUAGUUGACCCACAGCGUCUGUCUGAUGAGUUUGGGCCGCCUUUUGUGUGUGUGUCAUUUUCCCUUAUGUUUAAUAUUAUUACCUGGAAUGUCCGCGGUCUAAACGACCUUUGUAAGCGUCGUUGUGUCAGGUCUACUAUAUCUAAAUACUGUCGGGCGGUUGUCUGCAUCCAAGAAUCUAAAGUCGAUUCUGUCUCUCGAUCGUUUCUUCGCUCUUGUUGUGGUUCGAAUUUCGACAGAUGCCACUUUAUUCCGGCAAUCGGUGCUUCGGGAGGAUUAAUCACUUGUUGGAAUUCCAAAAUCUUUGUUUGUACAGAAGCACUGAUGCGAGUUCACUCGCUCACCCUCAACUUGAAACAUGCUACCAGCGGAAAGAGCUUUUACCUUUCGAACGUGUAUGGACCGCCGACAUGGGAUGGGAAAGAAGAGUUCUGCUCUGAACUCCUAUCCCUCAGUACCAUCUGCUCAAACAGUAAUUGGGCUAUUUGUGGGGACUUCAACUUUACUAGAAAUCAGCUAGAACGCAUCGGCAACCCGUGGAGCACAAGAGCGAUGUCCAUGUUCUCCGAUCUCAUCUCGAAUCUAGAAGUCAUCGACCUACCCAUCUCCAACCAAAAUUUCACUUGGUCGAACAUGCAACGAUCGCCGACACUGGCCAAACUAGACAGAUUUCUAAUCACCACGGAGUGGGACCAAACUUUCCCACACUGUACGGUAUCUGCGCUACCCAGAAUUACAUCUGACCAUACACCAUUAAUUCUCACUUCAGGGAGCAAGCACACUUUGCGGAGAUUUCGGUUCGAGAAAGUAUGGCUCUCUAGGGAGGACUUCUCAAAUAACGUUCCAAUCUGGUGGAAUGAAGUUACCAGUGAGAGAUCAGCAAUCCUCACUUUAACAGCUAAACUAAGGCAUUGUAGAAACAGGAUGAAAGAAUGGAGUAAGACGAAAUUUCAUAGCAUAUCCAACGCGAUUAGAAGGUUACAGGAGGAUAUACGAUGCAUAGAUCUUUUAGAGGAAGAAAAUACACUGCCUCAGGAAAUGCGGGAUCAACGGCUCGACCUCAAAGCACAACUCCAGCUCAUCCUUAAGGAGGAAGAAAUUCUUUGGAAAACGAGAGCGAAGCAGCACUGGCUUAAAGAAGGAGAUAGUAAUACAAGAUUUUUUCACGCAGUGGCCAACAGUCGAAAACGUACCAAUGAGAUACAAUUUAUUGUAGACGACAAUGGAAGACAGACCAACAAUGAAGCUCAAAAGAAAUCAUAUUUUUUUCACUCCUUCAAACGUCUGUUUGGGAACGUGGAAGAUGACCCAGCUUCCUUUGGCGAUUGGGCUGACCUGUACCGAGCGGAUUCCCUUGCUGAUCCGGAUUCCCUCACGAGCCCGUUUACUAUAGACGAGGUUAAAAAGGCUACCUUUCAACUGGGUAGUGAAAAGGCACCCGGCCCCGACGGUUUCCCACUCAUUUUUUUCCAAUAUUUUUGGGAGACGGUCAAGGAAAACAUUUUUAGUAUCUUCUUAGAGCUUCAGGAGAACAAUCUCUCCACGGCCCCAACAGACUACGCCUACGUCUGUUUAAUCCCCAAAAAGGAAGGAGCAUGUCAGGUUAAUGACUUCCGACCGAUAUGCCUAAUAAACGGAAUUCAAAAGAUCAUCUCUAAAGUGCUCGCGAAUAGAAUUGCCGGCAUUUUACCAACAAUCAUUUCUUCGUCACAAUCAGCUUUCCUGAAAGAUCGACUAUUACCCGACUCUUUUGUUACGGCAAGUGAACUACUCAAUUGGUGCGCAAAAUCCUUUAAGAAGUGUGUCAGUAUUAAAGUGGAUUUUGAGAAAGCUUACGACAAAGUGAGAUGGAGUUUCCUGCAAAGUAUACUACGGUGGCUCGGGUUCAGUGAUAAAUGGUGGAACUGGAUUGAACAAUGCAUCUGCAAUGCUAAAAUCGCCAUUUUAGUAAAUGACGAGCCAUCAGGAUGGAUAAAAACGAGGAGGGGGUUGAGGCAGGGGGACCCGCUUUCCCCUUACCUAUUCUUAUUGGUCGCCGACUGCUUGGCUAGGAUGACAGAAGCAGCUAAAGGAAAUAACUUGUUGCAGGGAAUUGGACCAACCGUUGAUUGUCAUACAGUGAUUCUUCAAUAUGCGGAUGAUACAUUAUUCUUCUCCGAGCCCAAAAAGUCCAAUAUGCGUAACUUACUAUUCCUAUGGAAGAUAUUUGAAUGGGCCUCUGGCCUUAAGAUAAAUACGAACAAGACGGAACUUUACUAUGUGGGAACCACCGUAAACAGAGCCAAGAGACUCGCAGAUAUUUUGGGGUGCCGAGUAGGUAAUCUACCGUUUCGCUACUUGGGCUUGCCGCUACAUAUCAAACCCCUUCGAAAGGAAGAUUGGGCUCCGAUCGUUAACCGUUUAGAGAUGCGCAUCGAUGGAUGGAAGGCAAAACUACUCUCACAAGGAGGCAGAUUAAUCUUAGUCAACUCGGUACUUUCGAACCUCCCGUUAUUCUACUUCGCAAUCUUCAAAGUGCCACAAUGGGUUCUGAACCGCAUUGAAGCUCUUAGAAGAUCCUUCUUUUGGAAAGGGUGCUCCAAAAUUUCUGGUGGCUCAUGCCUCGUUGGUUGGAAAACAAUAUGUAAAAGCAAAAGAGAAGGGGGCCUGGGGAUCAAAGAUAUGGGAGCAAUGAAUAAGGCACUGUUAACCAAAUGGUGGUGGCGGUAUUUCAAUGAGAGACACCUGUUAUGGGGGAGACUGAUCAAAGCCUUGUAUUACACUAGAAGAAGGCCAUUACACGAGGGAAGAUCCUUCAGACCUUAUUCCCAAUGGUGGAGAAGCGUGAUGAGCUGCCGAGACGUGUUCAAGUGUGGAGUCUCGUAUGUGCUUGGCGAUGGAAAAAACAUCAGGUGGUGGACGGAUAUUUGGAUUGAAGAAACCCCUCUUAGUACCCGAUUUUCUGGAUUGUUUUGCAGGAUAGCGAAUCAGGACGCCACAGUCGCACAAUGCUGGAAUGAUAGAGGGUGGAGAUGGCGUUUCAUAACCAGAGGUCUCACUACUAAUACCACUCCCCUGAACCGCCAAAGUUUAGCGCUGCUCAAAAACCUGCUCAUUCAGUAUUGCCCAUUGGCUAGAGAGGAUAAGCUAUUGUGGAGAUGGACUGCUGAUCAAAUUUUUACCGUUAAAUCCCUUUAUGAUUUCAUCACCAACGCAGGUCAGAUUGAUCCUCUGUACGAUCAUCUUUGGGGGUUAAAAAUUCCGCUCAAGCAAAAAAUUUUCAUUUGGAUCCUAUUGCAUAAGAGAUUACUUACAACGGAUAGACUGAUUCGCCGAGGGAGUCCUGUGGAUCAGCAUUGCAUGUUCUGUGUGUUACUAUCUGAAUCUUGCGACCACUUGUUUAGUGAAUGUAUCUUCGUCAGAUACCUCCAAAUUGAGGUCGGAGUUUCAGUGGCGGCCGAUUCGGACGCCGGGGAUGUUCGUCGUUUAUGGACACGGAUCUCAAACAACCCCAACGCCCUAAUGAGAUCGAAAAAUCUUACCCAAUUGGCGGCAAUCUGAUGGGUCAUUUGGACGGAGCGAAACAAGAUCAUCUUCCGCGACGGGUCUCCCAACGCCUACCGGGCUCUUGAACGUGUCAUGGCCCUGAUCACAAAUUGGAACAAAGUCCUCUGAAGCCGCGAUACAACGCGCAGUUCUUUUCCUUCAGUAUUUACCCAUAUCUAUUUAGUUUCCCUUCGUUUGCACUCUCUUACUUUUCCCCUUUUACGGACUUGCUGUUUUCGGUUCUUUUUGGUUUCUCCUUCUUUUGCCGGCUCGGUUAGGAGGCCUAGCUGCUUCCAUCUUGUUCGCCUAAUUCAUUUUGCUUAAUGAAUGAAGCAGGUAGCUUGCUACCUAAUACUAAAAAAAAAAAAAAAAAAAAAAGAUUAUCAAAUGUUUCAAAUCUAUAAGAUUGACUUAAGAAAAUAAAGUAAUCAAACUAUCAAACGAAUCUGAACAUACUAAAUACAUGAAAGGUUUCGUCUAACACAAAGAUAAAGUAAAUAAUAAUCCAAAGAGAGCACAUUGAAACAUUUAGAUAAUGUCUUUAAGUUAGACAAACUAAAGGAACCACACGAAUAUAGAUGAUUGACUCAUAUUGGUCAAAUCAAAGGGUCCAGGACCUUCCUUUGAUCUUCUAGAGGUGUUCACCACUAUUACACUGUAAUACCAAAGGGACACAAAGCCUAAACCACUAUAUAGAUAUAUACACAGAUAGAUAUACAGAGAGAUAGAGAGAAAAAACAAACCAGGCUUUAGGGAAAGUCAUGGCGCAUCAACGCAUUCAACCUUUUGCUGUAUAUAAUCAACACCACCUCUCAUCACGGAUGUUCCCCUUGUCUUUUUGUAAAGUGUACCAAGAUCUUUAACAACACUAUACCCAGAAAAUGAGAGUUUUACAAGGAGAAAAUUAAUCAUUCACAUGGAAGUGAUUUAACGAAGAAAGAAAGAGUAAACUUCAAUUAGCGGGCUGUGGUUCAAACGAAAUUCUAAAAUAAAUUAUUAAACAAAAUAAUAAAGUAAUAUUUUUUACAAAACAACAUUAAUGUGAUGCAGCAGUUUACAAUUUUAUAAUUAAUAUGCACUUAAUUUACUCUUUUAUGGUUUGCAAAAUUUGCCAUGCAUGUUAUCUUUUUGUUUGACACUUCCUACAUACUCAUGGUAAAACAAACAAAAAAAAAGAAUUGUAGAGUAGAUAAGUAUAACAUUUUAAACCAUAUAUAAAAUAAUAAAGUAAAAAUAAAAUAAACUAUUUAUAGGACAGUAAAUUGAAGUUUAUUCAAAAAUUUAUCGUUUAAACUGGUAUCAUAAUAUGCCAAGUAUCUAAAGCUAAUGACUAAGUUUUGAAAGAUGGUAGAUGGGUUUUUGGGCAUGCAUGCAUGCAUGCGCGCACGGAAAAGAAUAGGUUAGGAAGUGGCGGUGCUGUUUCCUGUUUAGGGUGGGAAGAUAUAUAUAUAGUUUGAAUUGGCUUUUGAGGAUCGAUGACUUAAUUUGUUCCUUGUAUUUUUCGUGUCCUUUUGUACUGUCUCUGUGGUAAUUAAGAUGGUGAGAGAAUAUCUCCAGGAAUAUCUCCACGCGAAGGAGCCACCACCAGGGUGUUGUAGCUAGUGUGUGCAUGUUGCGUCAGUGCGUUGAACUAUUUGUUGAUUGAUGCAGAGGAAUGUAACUAAACCAUGCACGCAUGAUGGACUUAUUAGAGAACACCUUAAUUUCUUCUAACGAAUUAAUUAUAUAGUAACCCACUAAUUAACCCUCCCCAGAAGCAGUGCCAGAGAAUUAAACCAAAAGCUUAAUUUCCUCUGCACGUAGCAGCAAGUACGUGCGUGCGUUCUAUUGUGAAAAAUGACCCAUCUUGCACCUGUGGUAUUCGGUGUUGGAUUUGAGAGAGAUUGAGGCCAUCGAGCACGAUAGAUUCAAGAGUUGUUGGGAACGAUUGAAUUGGGUUCGAACACUUCGAGCAUCCGAAACCGACCUAACAGCAAUAUUUGUCAACGGGAAACUGUAGCCACAAACUGUAUUCGACGAAGAAGGAUCGAUUUUGUAGUGAAAGUGUGAAACGCAUACUAAUUAAUGCUUAUAAACAAAAAGGUCGUCAGCUCAGGGAAAAAAAAUAUAUAUAGAAAUAUAGUUUUUCUAAUUUCUUAUGGAAUUGUACAAAAUAUAUCGUGCCGACUAAUGUAAUUUACAGAAACAGGAUAUGUUUUUUAUCAUAUUAUCUCACCGCACAUAACACAUUUCUAUUUUACCUCUAUCCAUAUAAAAUGUGAAUUUUUAUUUAUCCUAAUAAGAUAAAAAUAAGAAUAAAUUAUAUAUUUUUUAUUAGUUAUAAAACGCAUCUCCCCAUAUCUUAACAAAUAUUAUUAUCUUUAUCUUUAUGUGAAAAUCAGAAUAUUUAUUUUUAUCUUUAUCUUUAUGUAAAAAUCAGAAUAUUUAUUUUUAUCUUUAUCUUUAUGUAAAAAUCAGAAUAUUUUAAAGAAUCCAAUAAAAUCCUGAUAAUUUAUAAUUAUGAACUCCUUUCUCUCCGACUUUGUACAUAAAAAAAUAAAUAAAUAAAUAAAUAAAUAAAGAUUUCUUCCCACGGAUUUCCAUCUACAUGAUGAUCAAGGAUAGAGAUUCCGACAGGAUCUUCGAUCGAAGAUCCAAAUUCGAUCCAAAAGGUCAUUGCAGACCUAGAAGGCUCUAAGACAAGUAUGACGAUCCGACAAGCUUCUGCUAAAAUUACAAUACGUAUGAGGUUUUACAAUAGUUGUAUUUUGUCUAUUUCUUUUUUGCCAGAGCAAAACACUAUACAAUUAUAUGAAGCUGAUUAUUUACAUACGCCACAUUGCCAGACGCAUCUCUUACCAACAAAAGAGAAACAAGAGAAUUGUUGAAGCUAUGAAAUAGAAUAAGCAGCAUCGACCCAAUUAGACGAUAUACAUUUUUUACACUAGCUUUCGAUUCUCUAAUGUCGAUCCUUGAUCUAUCUAUAAAUGAAUGGUCUGACAUAUAAAUACCUUGUCCUUCUAACAUGUGCAGUUGCAUAGGAUCUACGCCGAGCUGAUGCUCACACCGGCAUAAUCUUCGCUUUUGAAUCUUCACCUCGUCAAAUGGAUUACUCUCAUUGAAUCUCCAAUAUUCAGUACAUAUCCCCAUUCAUUUGUCUGUAUUUAUAUUCGCGUGCUUAAAGAAUAACAUACAAUACGAAACCCUGCCCACCCAAAGAAAGGAAGGAAAAAAAAAAGUUCAAUAGGAAUCUCUCCGAUCUUACGAUAUUACUAAGUUCAGUGGAUGGGGAUGUGGGCUCAUUGUACAUGUUUACGACUAGGGGAAAAGCGCAGGGCUAAGGUUACAAUAUACUAUACACCACAAGAUAUAGAGAGAGACAAUGUUGCUACAAUGAGGAGGCAAGAGGUGCAAGGUUACAAUGAAGAGACAAUGUUGCUACAAUGAGGGCUAAGGUUACAAUAUACUAUACAUUACCAGCCAUACACAGGAUUCUGUACCUGAGGAGGCAAGAGGUGCAAAUCCCUACAAUGUUGCUUAUCAUAAUCACGUGUACCGGGUAUUGCUCCUGUAGACAACCUUAGAAUUUCAUUGCCUGUUAGACAGUAAUGAGCAAAUGCCAACCCUCCAUCCACCAUAUCAUUCAAAUUUGGCAAGGAAACCGACUUUUUCAUCUUACUGAUUGUUUUACUACUUUCUCCAUGCUCAUUGCUCUCAUUACUCAAAACCUUGUUGAGUUCCGAAUACUCCAUGAAUCUUUGGGUUGCAGCCUCCCAUGAUAAGUUAUAUCUCUCCUCAGGGGUGAGGGGUUGAGGCUCACUGGCCAUCGCCUCUUUAACUCUGGCAACAAAAUCUUCCGAUGUUUUGUACGUCAAGCAGUUCGGGAAAUCCCGGAAGAAAUCAUUUGACGGGUGGUCGGCACAGAUAACGAACUUCCCCAUUGCAAGAGCCUCUGCUGUUGCAGUGCAUAGGACAUCGCUAACACUUGGAUUGAUGAAAACCUUGUACCUGAGAAGACAAGGAAAGAUCACAUAAGUGCAUUCCACAUUCCACAAUCAAUAUAGAAGUCAGAACAAAACAAUGAGGCCUAAUGAAGGGGUCUUUUUCUUUUCAAACACAUAUAAUAAUAUAUGCAAAACUGCAAUAGGCACAAAUGCUUGUCUACUCUAAAUGCAGCCCCUCUGCUGAUGUAUAGGCAUAAACAAUUUUUCCAUUUAGCCCAGGCAGGGGCUUGAUCACUGAUAAGGUUUCGGUUCUGAGGUACAUGCAUGCAAACCCAACUUUGCAGAUCUAAUUUAUGCAAUUUUUCACAUAUUUUCAAGGAUAUGUAAGAAACAAAAAGAUCCCUUGUAAGUUUUUAGUUUUCAUGAAAUACUUACCCAUGAAGUGAAUCAUCUGCAUGGUCCCUUCCUCUUAGGAAGUUAAGAUUAAGGUCCAACUUCUUAGCUGCUGAUUGAACUUCAUAUGAAUCCUCACCGUUUCCAAAGACAUCCAACUUGAAGCCUUCCAAGUCACUCUUGUGUUUAGCUAACAAAUCUAUCAGUUCUCUGUAACCUUUGGCCCACACCAUCUUCCCCAGGAAGUAUGCCCCUUUGGAGAAUGCAUGUUGCCCUCGCUCCCUUUCAGCUGCCAUUCUCACUCCAACCUCAAGAAAUCUGGGAUUCACACCAUGCACAUUGCAAAUGACGGACUUCGGUAGAUCCUGAGUUGCUGCAGAAAGACGCAAUACCUGCAGGACAGCCCAUCAUUAACUAGUUAAAGAUACAGGAUAUCGAUCAAAGGUUGGCCUAGCGAUUGGAACUGCUCUGUUCCAAGAAGCAGCAACCAGGUGUUUGGAAUAAAAAUUUUGAAGCUUUUGCUGGGAAUGAGAGCUGAAACAAGCAUAAGGCCGGCAAACCAGAAACUUCAGUUUGAAGUUUCUGCUUCUUCUGCACCAGGAAGCUGUUGACGAGAAUUUAAGCUACAAGCUACUAUUUUUUCGAACAGCUGCACUCAAAAGGCAUUCAGAAGUUCCAGCCAGGCCAAUCAGACCCUCAGGUCAACAAAAGAUCCACAAGCAAAUGAUUCACCAGGAAAUGCCACCUUCCCAACAAAGAAGAACAUACGGACUUCUUUACAAGCCACGUGACUAUAUUAAAUUACGAAAGCAGAAGGUUCAAAUUUGAUACCUUAUGGCAGUAUGCACGGGCGACCAAAUUGUUGAUAUGUUUGACAAAAAAAGCUUGUAUAGCACCAUUCUUCUCCCGCUUGAUGUACUCCAAGUAAUUCGUAUGAACAACACCUACCACGUGAUCAAACUUGUCGGUCCACCGCUUUCCAUGGUGGUACCAGUUUAGGUGCUCUGGUUCCUCCAAUAUGGCAAUGUCAGCUUCCUUCGAGGAGAUGAACUGUGAAGUGUCACCAGCAGGAAUAAUGCUUCGCCGUUCUUUUGAGAACUAUCAUUCAAGAGAGUAAAUAAGAAACUGUUAAAGCAUAUUGAAGACUAAUAAGAAUUAUAAAAUGGAUCAUAAUGCACUAAAUAAAUGACUACCUUUCCAGGAUAAAAAGAGAUCUUGAAAUCUGCCUUAAAGCCGAUUCUUUCCUCCAGCCAAUUCCGUAUAUAGGCCUCCUGCUCCCCUGGAGAGCUGAAAGCCAUGUUGUUGGGAUAAACCAGUUGUUGGUCUGACUUACAAAGCCAAGGGACCACCAACGUUACGUCCUGCUUAGCUGAUUUAGCCAAAUAUGCAGCUCGAAAAAGUGGAUUUACAGCAGUUCCAGUCAUCCAGGGAAGACUAGCAGUUGUAAAAAUUGCAACAUGGCGCUUAUGAUCUGUCCUAUCAUGCUUUACAGCAUUACUCCAAAGCCCUCCCUCAUCACAGUGAUGGCCAGUACUUUGCAGCACACUAGCUAUUCGUAGGUCAAGUUCGUCGCUUAUAGUCUCAUUUCCACAUAAGGAUGUUCCAUUUUGACUAACAGGAUUAUAUAGAAGGUGGUCUUUGUGUUUACUGCAUAGGGCCUCCACUAUUUUGUCGCAAAUGUCUACACCCAGAAGAUAUGUUUCUAGGUAAAAGAUGUGGUAUCUUUAAAAGUCAAAAAAAAAAAAAAACAAAAAAAACAAAAGAGAAUGCUAGGUCUGAAGAAAUAUUAUUAAAAAAAAUAAAAUUUUAAAAAAACACACAAUGAUAUGCAUAAACAUCCUGUAUAUUAACAAGUCACAAGUUAGACUGAGUAAACAAAGUUUUGGUUUCAUACCUCUUUUGAUGCCAAACUGAUCAAACAAUGGUCCAGAUUGUUUAACAAGAUAUGCCAAAAGCUCAGGUAUAUCCAAAGGCGGAACUUCCUGUAUGAAUCAACAAAAUGCAUUUGCUCUUGAAUCAUUAUCGAAUAAAAGUAGUACAUUAUUAAAUGAAAGUAUCAAAAUGAAGAUAAUAAUGUGACAAACCUUGGAUUGUUCAGGCUCUUUGCACAUUGACUUCUGCAAAGAAACCAAAAACAGAUAUAAGUAUGGCGACUCUGAGUUAAGAUAUAUAUAUAUAUAUAUAUAUAUAUAUAUAUAUAUAUAUAUAUAUAUAUGCAAGAAGAGAAACACGGGAUAAGAAUAAAGUUAAACAUAUGAGGAUGUAUAAAUUAAUCCAUGCAUUUACUCUGCAUGUGGGGUUGAUAAAACAAUAGAUUGUGUUAUCAUUAACUGCAAGUAGAAAAAUAAUGGUGAUACACAUAAACAUAUCAUACCUAGACAAACAAAAAUACAAGUAUUCCACUAAUACUUGGAUGAGCAAUUUAGCAAACUAAAAACACAAAACUAAACCUCAGGAGAAGUAACUUUGAGAGUCAAUAUCAAUUUGCUAGUAUGUGGGCAUGUUCUUGAAAUAAGAAGAAUAAAAUAGUCAAAGGACAAUCAAACAAAAAAAUCUCAGAAAAAUAGAAAAGCUAGAGCUAUUUAAGAGAACAUAGUUUAAGUCCUGAAUGAGCAAGGGAGUAAAACGUUCUGACAUGUAAUUGUAUGUUUCCCUGCAGUUAGUCCAUUUGCGUUAUUUGCGGAAAUGACACAUCUAAAGAAGGGACCAAAUAGUCACAAACUAUCAUUCUUAGAGCAUGAUGACCAGCACAGACUGAAGCUACGGAAUGUCGUUACCCUAUGGACUGUUUGCCAUGAAAAAUCUUGAAAUAAAGUUCAAGAAUUGAUGUCCAAAGUUCAAAGAUUGAUGAUUAAAGAAAAAUUUCUAAAGAAUACAGGACUACUAGUCCCUGCCGAACAAUGCAUCCAGACUUAAUUUAAUUGGAAUUAUGGGAAUACGAUAAGUGAUGUCCAUGAGUAGCUGAUAUCCUAUUCUACUGAUCAAUUGUUUUGCAAUAGAAUACAAAUGCCAAUCUCAUCACGGAAUAAUCUUUGUAUGCUACAAGCUUGAUAAUUCUAUCUAUCGCUGUAAAAAUCAUCCAUCAUAUUUAUCCUUAAUUAAUUUCACAAUGAACAACAUAGAAGCCCCGAAAUAAAAUAUUUAACAUACUGUACGUACUAAGAAUCUAGCCAUGAAAACCCUAGAGCGACAUAAAGAAAACAAAGAGGAUAGAGGAAGGGGCAUUACCAAGCUCAUUUUAAUUUUCUCAACAAAUUCGUUGCUCUUGAAAUUCCCAAAGAUCUCAUUCGGCUGGCUCUUCCUCUCGAACUCCUUUAACCCAGUCUUUAACAUACGGAUCGGCUCCCACUCCUUGCCCUCCUCUUCCUCCUCCCGCUCUCGAUCCUUCCACAGAACCUUCCUCUGCCCCCGAAACCUUUCCUUCCCCAAAUCCAGCGCGCCUCCCACCUCAUCCACCUCCGCCACAAUCGCUUUCUUUAUGGCCGAGAGAUCGACCCGUAUCGUCGAUUUGGGGCUCCACCUCUCGAGCACCUUCCGGCUGAAAUCCGGCGACGAGUACGCGCGCCGUAUUUCGGAGAGCUUCGGCUGGAUCCGCUUCACGAACUCGAGCUCGACGAUCGACCCCUCCGCCGCGGGGCGCGCCGGGGCCGAGAACGCCGACGCCGAGUGGAGGAAGUUCUCGAGCUCGCGGUCGGCGAGGUUCUUCAAGGAGUCGGCGCGGGCCCGCAUCAGGCGGAGGUCGGCGUCGGCGGAGUCGCGGACGUCGCGCCACCCCUUGGAGAAGAAGGAGAAGGCCUUCUCCGCCGUGCCGGAGCUCGCCGCCGAGGGCCUCGUGUCCAUGCCGAGGUUGAUCAUGGCUAAUCUAGGGUUAGGGUACUCGGUUUUCUUCUCCGUGUUCUCGCGCUCUCUAUUAGGGGAUGCGAUCGUGUGGAGCGCGCAAGAGAGAAUACACCACGGAAGCGACGAGGGGAAAGAGGAGAGGAGGAGAAGCAGCGAGGUCCAUUUUUAUCGUGAAACUGUACAGGGUCCACGAGGAGAUUUUAGCAGGGCGGGGUUUGCUGACGUGGCGGAGACGGAACGCGAGAUGAUGACGUGGCCAGUUGUGGUUGGUGGGUGUAUGAUGAACAGGUGAUCUUUUUUUUGUAGAAUAUUCUCGAAGGGCGGGGGGGAAUAUCCUGCGGUCGAGGGACGUUCGACGGCCCGAGUCCGUGGAGGUGAUUGGUGCGUGUUUGUUGAUCCGAACUAGACCGGUUCUACAUUCAAAAUCCAUUUAUAUGUUCUUUAAAUUUUAAAUAUGAAAAAUUCGUACAAUUUUCUUUUAAAAACAAAUCGCCCGAUUGAUCCAAAUUUUGGCUAAUUGUUUUUACGGCUAAAUUAUAUUAAAGUCAUUAGAAAUCAUAUGCGGCGUGUCCAAAUUAAUUCACCUGUUUUAAAGUAUUACCAAAAUAUUGGUGAUACUUUCUGAACUGUCUAAAAGAUUCUUCCAACACAAUUAACUAUCUAUAAAUAAAGUUUGAAAAAUCAAUUCACUAAUUAAUCGGUCGAGACUAAUCCAUUAAUUGUACUUAAUAAGUAUGUUUACUUAUUAAGGCACGAGAAACAUAUUUAAGUGCUGCAGCAACAAUCGACCAUCUCUUGCGUAAGUGGCAAAAGACUUGGUUGUUGAUAUCCGAUGUUCUAAAUUCGAAUCCUAAUUGAUUCAUAUUUUCAUCUAAANUUCUUUACUUUUAUUUAUUUUAUUUUUAUUACUUUACUUAUUUACUAUAUUAAGGAACUAUUUGAUUAGAUAUAAUUAUAAAUACAGUGUAGUUAGAAAUACAUAUAGUUAAAAAUACAGCAAUUACAACUACAUACAUUCUAUACAGAGGAGUGUGGAGAGGGUUGCCGUAUGCUUAUGGGUUCCGGAUUCAUCAUUCAUGUAUGGUAUAUAAAUGAAAUUUUAAUUUUAUUAUAUAGACUAUUAAAAAAUAGGAUUGGUCCAUGUGAUAAAAUUUUAUACUUAAUAUAAGCAAAAAUAAAAAAGAAAAGGUGUUGAGAGAAAAAAAAAAUUAAAAAAAAAAGGUGCAGGGUGUGAGAGAAAAAAAAAAAGGUGGGCCUAUAUGUAUAUAUAGUGUAGAGCUACUAUACUAUCGGAAGUAUAGAGGAUCUAAUGUUUCCAACUUUUUGAUCAUUGGAUCAAAAAUUAUACGGUUGAGAUGAUUGCGGCUCUCUCAGGAUUGAGUAGUACCCCUAGGGUUGAGUGGUCCCUACAGGGUAAUAGCAUUAAUCCAAGGUUAAAAAUGAUCAAAGGUAUUGAUCUAAGGGCCAAAAAAUUGAAAGUACCAGAUCCUCUAAGCUUCCGAUAGCAUAGUAGCUCUACUAUAUAUAUAUAUAGAGAGAGAGAGAGCACUAGGCUCCUAUGCUUUCGAAAGUACAGAAGUGUCCGUACUUGUAAGUUGUUUUCAAUAAUGGUACAUCCGAUUCGGCGAUCAGUUCCGUUAGAUAUGAUCUACGCUAUUAGAACUACCUAGAAACUAAAUUUCAUAAUUUUUUGACUUCGUUUGUCUAAUAAACGAGUAGCCUCAAAAUGAACGGCUGAAAAUAAAAAUCUCAUAAAAAACAGUGAUUAUAGCGAAUUAUUUACAAAGAUUUAUUUGUUAUAUCAAAUUAAGGUGCCGUCUGAUUUAAAGUUUAUAAUAUUUAAAAGAUAUCACAUAUUUUAUAUUUAGAAUAACAAGUCUGUUACUAAUUUAUCAAGUCACUUAGAUUGAAAAGUUGUUAAACACUAGUAUAUAUUUAUUAAUGAAAAUAAUAAUUCCACUGCUUCACUAACAAGUUUUACAACUACCCAAUUUGAGCUAUUAAUAAUAAUUUGAAUAUUUUUAAUAGAAAAUAUAGAAGAAUAUCGAAAUAUUACAAACUGUGAACCAAACGAGACAUGAGAGUAAACUUCAAUUUCUCUACCGGUGCCUCUAAUUUAUUUUUUAUCUUAUCAUUUUAUAGUUCAAAAAAUUAUACUUAACUAUUUUAAAAGUUAACUGAUUUUUAUUUUAUCAUCAUGUAAUUUAAAAAAUUAUACGUAAUAUUUGAUGAACUAGGAUUUAAUUGGAUGGGUGGAUAUGUGGAAAAUUUGGGGACCGAAAAAAAAAAAAAAAAAAAAAAUUCAUUCCAAUGGAUCUAAUCAGAUCAGUAUGUGUCAAAUCUAGGACAAGAAAAAGAAAGAAAAUAUAAUCGUUCGAUGCAUUAGAUUGUGUUUACGUAUUCGUAUUUGUAUAAAAUCAAUAGAAGCAACGACGAUCCUUUACCUGGAUUUUAAUGAAAAGAAUACUUCGAAUAUGUUAGAAAUCCCUAGACAUCUUUUACCCAAAAAAUUUUUUCGGUUUUGAUAAUAACUAUGUUAUAUUUGAUAUUAUUUUUUUGAUAAUAUUUCAUUAUCUUAUUUCAUUNAAUGAAUACUAACUUGAUACAUUUAAACCACAGGGUAAUAAAGUGAAAAAAUGUGAAACCAUAGGAACGGUAUUUGAAAUUUAUCCUUUUUAGAAAGAGCAUCUAUCCACAUAGCAUAUAAGGUUGCAAUUUAUUAUUGCGUAAAAUAAAUUCAACAUACUAUCUAUAAUAAUAAUAGAUUCAAAAGAUUAAUCAGUUAAGUUGGGUUGAACUUAAAAAGUUAAAUAGGACUGCGAUUCACAAUAGACCUAAUGACAAAAGACAUAAUAAUAAAUCUAACGUUUAGAUAAUUUGAGUCAUAUCGAAAUUUUUAAAUGCGGUAGUUGAGUCCUUUAAGUAAGAUUAGCGCUCUUUAUAUGAUAGCAUAAGUCAGAGCCUUUUCUUUAGUACAGUGGCAAGUCCAAUUAUCAAUACGUAAGACAUGACGUAUAAUUAAUUAAAAGAAUUUUUAGUUAUUAUGGAUGGAGAUAAAAUUAGGAGAGAGAUUUGGGCAAAAUUUUUAAUCUUUAUCUAAUUUUAUUUAAAAAGUUAUUGCUAAAAAUAAUUAAAUUUUUUUAUAAAUUUGUACGAACUAGAUUUUUUUUUUCUAAAAUUAAUUUAUUUUUUAAAAAAUAAUUAUUUCUAGUUAACAACUAGUAGAAAUAAGAAAAUAGAUUUCGGUUCCCAGAUUGAUGCGAAGGCUUCUGAUUAACUUGCACAUGUGAUUCAAAAAUAUCACACAGAUUGUCUUUUUUUUUUUUUAUAUCGCACAGAUUGUCUCUUUUUUUUUUUAGAGAGAAAGGUAGCAUGCUAUCCGCUUCGUUUAUUUUAUUUAGAAAUAAACUUAGCUGAAAAUGUGAAUCAACUAGGAUUCGAACUUGAGUCUCGGAUACCAACUACCAAGCUCUUUGCCACUUGCUUUAGGAACGGUCGGUAUAUCGCACAGAUUGUCAAUAUAUUAAUAAUAUAUAAAACUAGUAUUGUCAAAACCUGUAGCAAUGCUCAAUACAUAAAUAUUGCCUCGGCAAGGUGUGUCCUUAAAAUUGACAAACCUUAUUAAAUAUUUGAAGUUGAAUAUCGUGAAAUUAAAAUUUGAUUUAACAAAUGUGAGUUAUAAUAUAUAAAGAGUCCGUAGAACAAAAAUAAAUAAAUAUAUAAUCAUUAAAAUACGAUAUUGGCGUCCAAAAUUUGUGAUUUUUAACAUGGUGGACUUUUAUAUGUUACGGAACAAACUAACUCAAUUAGAUUCUAAUAAUGAGAUCUGUAUUAUGUAGAGCUCAAAUGCUUUAAUUGGAUGUUUGGUACAAUUCACAAUAUAUAUAGGGAUAACUUCAAAAAACCCCCCCCUGUGGUUUUCAACUUUCUCACUUUAGUACCCUAUGGUUUAAAAUGUAUCAAUUUGCCCUCCUGUAGUUUCGUUUUUCUUUUUUUUUUAUCAAUUUUAUUAUUUUUUUCCUCAAAUCAAUGACAAAAUUAAAAUUAAAGGGUACUAAAGUAAAUAUUCGGUAAAUCUAGAUAGAUAUCUGAUAUUUUUUUGCAUAUAAUUUAACGAAAUAUUAAGAAAAAAGCUAUAAAAAAGGUAAAAACAAAACCACAGGGGGGGCAAAUUGAUACACUUUAAAGUAUAGGGUACUAAAAUGAGAAAGUUGGAAACCACGGGUGGUUUUUUGAAGUUUUCUCAUAUAUAUAUAUAUGAGCUACUAUGCUUUCGAAAGUAUAAGAGAAUUGGUGCUUCCGACUUCUUUUAUCUUUGAUUAAGGAUUGUACGAUUGGAAUGAUAAUAGUUUCCUAAGGAUCGAGUUGUUUCCUUAGAGUUGAGUGGUUUCCAGAGGAUAUAUAAUAAUAUUAAUCCAAAUAUUAGAAAUGGUCAAGGGGGUUGAUCCAAGGGUCAAAAAGUCAGAAGCACAACUCCUUUAUACUUCCGAAAGUAUAAUAGUUCUACUAUUAUAUAUAUAGAGUCUGGUUGGGAUACUAUCGAUGGCACCAAGCGUUUGGUGCUAUCGAGUUUUCCGCCGUUAAAUUUAACCCAUCGACUAUUUUCACCCGUUAAAUUAUACUAUUAAACCAAUAACUUACUCAACCUUAGAGAGCCCAUAUCAUCAUAACCAUACUUUUUUUCAUGCAAUGGCUAAAAACCUAAUAGUACCAAUAACUUGGUGCUAUUGAUAGUAUAACAACCUAGUUCUAUAUAUAUAUAUAUAUAUAUAUAUAUAUAUAUAUAUAUAUAUAUAUAUAUAUAUAUAUUAUAUAUAUAUAUAUAUACACACACACACACAAACACACACGGAGUCCGGCUACUAUACUAUCAGUAGUACCAAAUUCUUAGUACUAUCGAGUUUUCUGCCGUUAGAUCUACUCUUUGAUUAUUUUUAUCCGUUAAAUUAUACUAUUCAACGAACCACCCACUUAGUUCUAGAGGAUCACUAUCAUCCCAACCGCAUGUUCUUUCGUCCAACGGUCGAAAAUUCAAUAUUAUCAAGUGAUCAAUUUUACCAAGCUGUGGUUGGACUUUUGAAAUCGGAUUACAUUUUUCUUAAUAUAAAUAAGAUUCCUAGAAGUUUCCCAAAAAAGUAAUAAUAAUAAAAAAAAUACUCUAGGUCAAAAGGAGCUUCCCACUUCGUAUGAAAUUGCACUGAAAAAUGACAAUUGUUUUAAUAAUUUAGUGAUAUAAUUGUUCACAGUGUGACAUAUUUCCCCCUUGAAUAAAAGAGGGUAUUUUUCAAAUAAUAAUAGAAACAUAAGGAAGUGGUAUUACUCCCAUGAAUCUCAUGUGCAACAUAGAUUUUCCAAGUAAAGAGGAAUUGAAGAGAUGCAUUAUUAAUGUUUGAGGAGAAUAAGUAUACUUUGAAAAGAACCAACUUCAAGAGUAGGUCAAGUUGUUGAUUAUUUCCUCUCCCCUCUUCCUCUCUUCAACUUUUUUGACAAGCUUUUCAAUGUCAAAUAAAGCCAUCAACCAAGCAAGUGCACAAGAAGCUCACUUCAACAAUUUGAAAGUCAACUGAUUGUUUUUUAUAAUAAAUAAUAAUAAUAAUAAUAAUGAUAAUAUAUAAUAAUUUAUUAUUAUACUAUUCAGAGUAUAUGGAUAGUAUUUACUAUUUAAUUUUUUUUAUUUUUGAAUUAUUAUUAUUUCACCUACUUCAACGACAUUCUAAAUAUUUAAUGAUAAAAAAAUUGAUAGUAAACAUUAUUCUCAUAUUAUGAAUAGUAUUUUAACUUAAUUCAAAUCAGUCUUUUAUAUAUAAUAUAUAUUAGCGAUAGUAUAUGAAUAAUAUUUAUUAUAUUUCAAUUUUUUAACUAUUGUAUUAAUACUAUUCCACCGAAUUCCACUAAACCCUAGGCAUAAAUGUAUCAUCGAAAUAAUAAUUUCAUUGCAAUUCACUACAAAAACCACAUUUCCACUGUAUUGGUUAAAUACUCAUUAGUCACGUACGUGAUCCAACAUAGGUUAAAUUUCCAGUAAAAUGAUCAUCUUAUUCUGGACAAAAAACAACUAGAUAGUUAAUUAUUCUAAUGAACAUAUCAAGAUUGUAAACAUAUAGAGACUAUUCGUAAAUUUUAAUGCAUUUUACGAAAGAAAACAUUAUAAAACUUGGUAGGGUACCUUACAAAUAAUUCUUAUUACUUAGGGCAUUAAAAGCACCACAUUAUUUUUCAUCUCAAAUCUUUAUGUACAAGCUCAAAGUCCAUCAAUUUUGAUUGUUAUAUAUUUAGCAAACACCCUUUGUUUUCCCGCUUAGCAAAGGCACACUCUUUUGAAUCCCUCCUACCUCUUGCUUCACAACCUUAACCAUUGGCUCAUCCCCCGCAUUCUCGCCAGGUCCAAAUUCGAUCGUGUACCGUAUCAUGGGCACCGGCGCCCUGAUCAUCGAAUCGAGCUCCUUUAAUGCCAUUUUGACGUGCAAGAGGAACUUCUCGGCCAAAGUUCGGCCGAAAUCCUCACGAAUGACCACCCGAAGGACCGUCGUGUUUUCCAGAUCGGGCGGCAAAGUGUAAGCAGGGACGAUCCAGCCAAACCUCCGCAGGAGGUUAGAGAACUUGUAGGCCAGAGUUUUGUCUCUCUCUUUGAAUGAGAAUGCCACUAGUGGCACUCCUUGUUCCUUCGAGAUUAUGUCGAAGUGGCGCGCCCGUCGCGUCGAGCCCUUCUCGGAGGAUCUUAGCACUCUCCAUGCAGUUAUUCAUCACAUUCCUAUAACCCUGGAGGAGUCACAACAUUCAUUUGUACUCUCUAAUUUAAAUCAAAAACUUUCAUUUAUUAUUGGUAUUGUUUGUAGCCAUGUGGUGUGUCCACAUUGGCGGGUUUUAAUUUAACCCGAUCCACUUAGAAUGUGGAUUAGGGCUUAUCCUAAUAGGUUUAGGAUAAUAAUAAAUUAUAUGUUUCUUAUCAGUUAAGAAAUAUAUCUACUAGAGGAUAUCUAUCAUAUCCUAGUUCUUAUCCUAAUCUCUUUGUGAGAUUCAGGAUAUUUAGGGGUUCCGUUAUUCUAUAUAUACGUCCCCUUGUUUCUCCCAUCUGAGACGAUUGAUAUUCGAAUUAAUUCAAUAUUCCAUUAUUCUCUCUUUUCUUCCUCUCUGGGAUCUCCAACUACGUUCCCGGGGUUUUGGAGUGUGGACAUAGAAGAGGACUCUGGUAGCCCUCUUCGAUCGGCAUCCGUCGCAUCAAAUCCGCAUCCGAUCCGUGGCGUAAGGCGUACGCGAAGGAAAAGGCGAGAAACGUGGGAGAUCCAGAAGCAUCGAGACAAGGACGAUCCAAGAAGGCUUGUAAAACAAGUAAUUCGAUCCGAUUCGGGCUCCCGGAUAAGUUGGCUAUCCGGUUUGUAAGUUUCCGCUGCCUAUUAUUUCCAACAAUUUAUAUGUAGUUUAAAGUAUAAUGUACACAAAUUUAAACAAUCUAAGAGAUUUUGGGAUUUUUGUCCAAAAAUUUUGUCUAAUAAACAUUGUAGCCAUACAUACAUAAAAGGAUCAUUGUUUUGUUCAAAUUAUAGAAAGAAUAUGUACAUCGAAACCUAACCGUAGGAACUGAUAAUAUUGAGCGGUUAUUUGACUAGAACCUGCACCCAAAAUGAGAAUUUAUUAGAAAUUCUUCGACAAAGAUUCGAAUACAAUCAUACAAGUAUGCAUAAAAAGUGCAUUGCCACUACACAAAUAUAAACUAAUUUGUACAAACAUUCGCGCAAUUUCCAAUUUAAAAGUGUACAAAAAAAGUAUAAUGCUUUUGUAAUUUACUGCUACGUAGUCAGAAUGCUUUGCACUCUUUGUAGUUUUAGUUUUAUUUUAACGUAAGAACGUGCCAGUACGAGGCGAUAUAAUAGUAAAGCGUAAAUCGCAGAAUUAAAAAGUGUUAUAUUUUGAUUAUAUGUAACUUAUAAAGUAUAGCAUGGUACGGUCCUUAUUCGAUGCAAAUCUUUUCGAAAAAGUUAAAGAAAAUCAAAUCAGAAGUACAAAAUAUCAUACUGCAAAUAAAUAAUAGUAAACUGCUGAUGCACUAUAUAUAUAUAGAGUCCGGCUACUAUNUUACUUGUGUAGCAAUUUUGUAUUUUAUAUAUAUAUAUAUAUAUAUAUAUAUAUAUAUAUAUGAGUAGAGCUAGAAUACUUGUAAAAGUAGCAUGGGAGUGAUACUUGUGUGUUUUUAGCCCUUGGAUGGAGAGAUGUGAGGUUGAGAUGAUGGUGGUAGGCGGUGGUAGGUGGUGGUAGGUGGAAUAGUGUUUGAUCUAAAGGCUAUUAGUAAUCAAAAAGUAGAUCCAAUAGUUAAAAACACACAAGUAUCACUUGAGUGAUACUUGUAAAAGUAUUCUAGCCCUACUCUAUAUAUAUAUAUAUAUACUUUUGAGGUAGCAUACAGUUUUUAAAUUAAUUGCACCACUUAUUCCCACUCUCUUUUUCGUUGAAUCCGAUACUUAAUCUUCUAGUAGAAUUAUUAUGCCAUUGGUCCCUACUCUUUAUUUGUCUUUUCACUUUGAUUUUGAAUCUCUUUUUCUGUGUGCGCAUUCUAUCGCGUCAAAUCCAGUUUAAUCACCUUCAAUGAUGUUCUCCGUACUUAAGACCAUCUUAAUCUCGCAUGCGACACUUAUAUUUAAAAUAUCUAACCAUUUUGGCAUUCAAUCAUGUGUGACAUUGAUAUCUAAUGCUCUAUUUAGAAUUGCAGAAAAAUAGUGUUACAUACGAUGAAAAAAUUUGAUAAAAAAUAUUAUAUUUGUUUCCGAACAGUAGAUAACAUUUUAUACUAUUUUAUUGCAAAACGUAAAAGUAAAUUUCAAUAUGCUUCCGUUCUAAUUCUGUUUAGUCUAUUAGUAUUAGAGAUGCUUCAAUACCAAACGGAUUCAAAAAAUAAUGAAAUUAAUGUAUGAUUUGAUCCGGCGUGACAUACCCUAUCAAAAUAACUUUAAAAAAUUUGAAUAGUUGGAUCGAGCUGAAACAAAAUAUAGAGGUAUGGAACCUAAAAAUACGAAAAAAAAAAAAAAAAACAAUAAUCAAACAGAAAAAUGAAAUGGUGAUAAUUGGGAGACCAAUAGUGUAAUUAAUAAUUAAUGUGUUUUAUUUUUUAACGAAGUGGAACCGUUUUUCCGCCGAUCCCGUAGGCCCGAGCUUCCUCCGCUCACCACGCCGCGGAGCUACUCCACGUGUCACCCAUCAACGCCUCCACGUGUCCACUUUCACCGGAUCUUUUUUUUUUAAUUUCUAUUUUUAUUUUUAUUUACCGUGGAAUGAAAACCUCUCCUCUUUCUUAAAAAGGCUAAAACCCUAUUUUCUAAUUCUUUUCAUAUACGCACCAAUCAAAUCAAAUCAAAUCAAAUCAAAUCGAAUCAGCGAGAUGGUGGUGACGACGACGACGACGGAUACCGCGGAGUCGUUGCACUCCACCUUCGCCUCCCGUUACGUGCGCGCACUGCUUCCCAGGUUCGAUUUUUUUUUUUUGUCUGCAAAAAUUUAAGUACCGUGACACAAAAUCAUAUAUAAUAAUAUUAUAUAUUAUUAUUGCUAUGAUAAUUCUAAAGUAAUAAUAAUUAGGUAUAAGAUUCCGGAGAGGGUGAUACCGAAGGAUGCGGCGUACCAGAUAAUCAACGACGAGCUGAUGCUGGACGGGAACCCGCGGCUGAACCUGGCGUCGUUCGUGACGACGUGGAUGGAGCCCGAGUGCGACCGCCUCGUCAUGGCCGCCCUCAACAAGAACUACGUCGACAUGGACGAGUACCCCGUCACUACCGAGCUCCAGGUUCAAAACGAAUAUGAAUAUUACGUAUAGAAACAAACAGACACUCUCAAUAAUAUAGUAAAGGAUUAAUUUUAUACAGAUCCUUGCAAACAUAAUAAAUGACAAGUAAAUUUCUAUAAAGUUUAAUUUUUAUAUAUUGUUCNCUCCUUCGAUAUCGAGCUCGUUCCCAGCUCGUACCUGUACUACUCUUCCAAAAUUAUCUCUCUUUUCUUACAACAAUAAUCUCCUAACGUAGGCGCAGAACUAUUUUAAUCUUAAACUCGCUCAACUCUUUUAACCUGUUAAGUCUAAUCAUCAUUCAAAAUAUUAUAGUUUGAUUCAGAGGUUUAAUUCUACCAUACAUUACCGAUCGUCCCUAGAGUAAGUGGCAAAGGGCUCGGUGGUUGGUACCCGAGACCUAAGUUUGAAUCAUAAUUGAUUCACAUUUCUAGCCAAGUUUAUUUCUAAAUGAAAUAAACGAAACAGGUAGCGUGCUACUUAUCUCUCAAAAAAAAAAAAAAAAAUCUACCAUACAUUAUAUAUAUAACUAUUUCAAAUCCUAAGAAUGUAUUAGAAUCAAAAUAACAACAUCAUAGCAACAUCAUAGCACGUAAGUGAUACAGACAAAAUUGUAAGAACAAAUGUAAUAGAAGGCCCUCAUAACUUCAAAAGUUUACGAAAAAAAAGCAAUUAUAAAANUCUCUGCGGACUACAACAAAAACUCGAUUUUUUCCCCAAAAAAAUUUUACGAACAACCAAACAUGGAGAAAAAAAUUUUCAACUGAAAUUUUUUUUUAGAGGGGUUUAACAUAGAUCCAAACACUCGUGAGUUCGGCGGCAAGAACCGCGAAGGAGGAGGACGACGAAGACGACAUGGACGAGUUGGCGACGAGAGCGGCGACGACGCUACUCGUGAGUCCGCCACCGCCUUUUUUUGGGUGAAUCGUUCGGGAAUCGCGAAUAAUUCGCGAAUAAUUAUUUUUGAUAAAAAAAUGCAUCUUUUUUUGAAUUUUUCGAAAAAAUACGGAUACGGGCGUUUAAUUCGGUUAUUCAAAAAUUUGCAAACAAUUUGCAAAUUAUAUGCGAAUUAACUAACAAUGGGUGUCAGCCGUAGACCCCACCAUUAGAAAUAGUUCUUUUUUUUUUUUGCAAAGAUAGGUAGCAUGCUGGAAAUGUGAAUCAACUAGAAUUCAAAUUUAGAAGAUCGCGAAUACCAACCACCAAGUCUUACGAAAAUAUGUGUUUAGUGGCAGUGGGUGACUCGUAGCGCGAGUUGGUUUGUUCCGGGAUAGUUCGUGGGUCCCGGCGGAGUCCCGAUGCGGUUUUCGGGACUUCCGGCGUGUUCGGCAAUCGGUUUUGGGAAACCGAUUUCCUUAGAUUCGUUGGUGGGGAUUGUAAGUUAGCAUUUUGUGUUCAUGGGUUGGAUUCUAACUCGGUGGGCCCUUCGUAGGUCCGGUUGUUUCGUCUCCGCGGUCAAGGGUCCAGUGCCAGAUACGUAUAGGUAGGUACUUCGAUCCGAAGUCGGUACAGUGGUGCACGCUGGGUGAUAUCUUCUUAGCCUUACUUUCUCGUUAUUACUCCACAUGCAUAUAUUAUAUGUUGAGCCUAGCACCUAUACCAUAUUUCCUUAUUGCUCUACUUAGUUGUUUUACAUAUCCUGUUUCAUGUUUAGAGUAGAACAUUUGCGUGAUUAUUUGUGAUAUCUGUGACCUGGUUGGUCGGUUCCAGUAUCCCGUAUCUGUGACCCAUUGGUUCGGUUUAUUGCAAUGCUAUCGUGACCUAUUUGGUCGGUUGGACUAUUUGAUGACCUAUACGGUCGGUACGCCUUGAGGGGCAGGAUUGUCGGUAGUUGCCGACGGUUGGUUAUUGAGCAUAUCAGUAUUGAUCGCUCGAGACUCGUACGCAUUUCACGAACACCAGCUGUUUGAUCCACCGCAAGAGGGUGUUCUUUUUCGGAAAAGUGGUUCGAUGUGCCAACCCGUGAGCCCAGCUGUCAUGCCGUGGACUUCAGCGGAAGCUUACCAGUUACGUGCACAGACCCACCGUGUACACCACAACCUAAAGUGUACACUAGGCGUCUACAGUCAGCAUAGAAAAAGCAUAAUAUCUUAACCAGGUAAUCAAAGAAAAACUUAAAAGUUCAAAAACUUAUACUACACAUAACCUUAUUACAACUGAAUAGAACAAGUACAAUCUACAUAACCCAAUAUACAUCACUAAACUAAACUGCAUAAACUUGUAGAGGUUUGUCUAUUUAAAAUCGAGAAGGCUCUAGCUAGCCGCUGACCCCUCGCCGGGAACCCUAGCCUUUCCCACUGCGGAAGACUUUGCAUAAAAAUAAUCAACAAAAGGGCGUGAGAACUAUUAAACAAUAGUUCCUAGUAGGUAAGCUGCCGAGAGUGGUGAAGUAUACCACUAGGUCAACUGAGGCAUGUAUAAACAACAAUAAGUAAGUACAGUAAAUGCAACAAGUAAAUGAAGUAAAACAACUAUAGUAUGCCUCGCAAGAUAUGUUUUCUAACUUGUCUUAUGUACUAGUUUAUUAUAACAAGUUCUAUAAUACAUGCUAAUUAACAAUUUAAUUAGCUAUAUGUCAGGCUGUAUGCAAAAUAUCAUCAUUAUAAUUUAGCUAGCUAAUAUCAUAUAGCUAUUUCCCUAUCCUAUCAAGAGUGUAAACAUUCAGGAACUGUCACUAAACUAUUGACCAACAGGGAUGUCAAUCUUCUAGUAUGCUCAUUACUAGGUAUACUCAACUGAUGAUAUAAAAUAUCUUUACUACUAUGUCCAUCUAAGGUUAAAGUUCUUAACAUUAACCCAAUUAACAAGAGACUUACAAAUGGUAAAGUCCCAGCUCGUGUCGUGCCUAAUGGCCCGUGGAAGUCAACACUACCCACAACAAUCUACUUCGGAGCUCAGUCUCAGACGGAAGCAAGCAAUCUUUCGCUAGGCUAACUCCGGAGUACCGGCUUGUGGGGUGCGACCCUCACAAGCAUGUGUGAAUGAGCACAUCGGCAAGCAAGCAUAAUCCAUAGCAUAGAUAUCAUAAGUUCAUCAUAUCUCUAACAUGGAAUCUUAACUCGACACCAGGUCGACAAAUAAUACUAAGUCAUAGUCCACUAUCAACUACUUGGUGAUAUGUUUCUAGUAAUAGAUAGUAUGACUCAAAUAAGUACAUACUUUACAUCAUAUUGAUGAUUCUAACGGGCUAUACCCUCAUAUUCACAUAUAGUUCUCUCACUACUCUCUAUACAUAAGAAAAGUGGUUUACUGAGGUCAUAUUCAAUGGCUCCUUCUAGUAUUCAUAUGACUCAUGGCACAUAUUCUAUAGUUUUACAAAAACCUCCACUAUCUGGAGUAAACAAGUAUCAUGCAAGUAAUUUUUCUUGACUAUACAAGUAUGACAUCAUAUCCAAUUCUAGUUAUUUAACUAGAUUGUAUUCAAUAGUAUAACAUUCAUGUUAUAACAUAAUGCCCAGUUCUAGUUACUUAACUAGAUCAUAUAUAAGAACAUGAAGUUCAUGCUUUUUCUACCAUGUAAAAACGAUACUCAGCUUGUUAACGCAAUUAGGCGACGCAUCACAUAAGGUACUCUAUAUACAUGGUUUCUACACAAUUCAUUUCAUAAUCUAGAAUUAUAGCCUUGUUAAACAGAAUAUGCACAAAAGUCCUGUCAUCUUGUCUACAACAUGGGAUUGCAUAGUUUAGCUCGAUGGUUGAGAAUAAUAUUAUCCUAUUGACUUAGUUGUUCAUCUAAACUAAAUGUCAUCAUCAUAACCUUACCUCCAUUUAUCAUUGCAUGAUGUGAUAUUUCACUUGUCUAUACAAGUAUGCUACUAUCAUAUAAUGCAUGCUAAGCAAACAGGCGAUCUAUACAUAAUAAGCAAAUUCCAUAAUUUCAUCUCUACCAUAUAGAGGUUUCCUUUAAUCCAACAUACUAUGCUUGUUAUACAUGCAACAAGACAUCCAAACAUAGAUUCACAGGAAUAUGCAAGAAUUUUCAAUUCCAUAAUGUCAAAGAAGACAUGGAGGGAAUUCACCCAUUUCGGUAAGGUCAAACCCACCAAGUACUCGACGACUCUCGUCGACCCCAUGAGCGAGGACAAUGCGCAGCCUCCAAGCACCCUGACAAUCAAUCCAAAAUCAGCUAAGGGCUGAAUUUGUAUUUCUACAUCAAGGUUCACAUAAACAUCCAUAUAAUUAUCUUACCUAGGUAAUUCUUACCUAGUAUAGUGUUACGGUUGGAAUCUCAACCUUGAUUAAGGUUGGAACACCAAAUUCAACCUUAGAAAGCUCCCAAAUCUCAGCUAAACAAGAUCAACUGGUCCGCUGUGAACAUGCUGUCUAGUAUAAAAACUGCUUUAAAUUUAGAAUCAUCUCAUUCAACUAAGGAACUACUAGGUAAUAUACCCUUUCACAGCGUCAACUUAGCUUUUCCCCUAGUUUCGAAUUGAAGAACCACAACAAAACCUCUUCUACAACUGCUGGUACCUUCUCCCAAACUAACUGUAACAAAAGGGACCAAAAACAACUCAAAUCCACUACUGGUAUCAACUAGAGAGAAGAAUAGUAUCACUCACGUUACCAAGACUUCAAUUCAGCUACCUGCUGCUAGGGUUGGGGAAAACUUAGUAAAAUACCAUCUCCCACGUUCCAAGAGCUAACCCUCAAGUCUCUAACCCAGCCAACACAAGAGAGGGGAAGAAAAAUGAGCUCAAAUCACCAAAUCUCACUUUAAACACCUCACCCUAGAGAGAGUAAGAGAGGUAUUCAAAUCUGUUUCUCUCAGCUCAAGCAACUUUAGAAUAGCUGCAGGGGUUGUGCAGGGGGAUUAGAGAUAAGCUUGGGAAGUAAAAUGACCAAAACAGCCCUAAUGUCACGCAGUUGCUGUGCUGGGUACUGGUACCCAUGCGUUCUGGUACCGGUACUCAAUACAGAAUGUUGAAUUUCGCCGUUUCGAUGCACUUUUGCUCUUCCGGCUACUUCGUCACUUCAGUAACUUGCCGAAAACCUCCCAAUAACCCUUCAAAAGAUGUGGAAUAGUUUCAAUUACUAUUCUAACACUCGAACUUUGCAAUUUGCUAAAGUUCAGUGUACUACACUAGCGGCCUAGGCUAGGUCAAAUGCAGGUAGAGUGGCAGUGGGUACAGGCUUGAGGUUUGCGGUGUGGACCAACAGAGCAUUGGUUUCAGAUUGGGUAUUUUUGGACUUGUCGUCCGUCCGGUUGAUGCACACAUACAAUAACAGUAUUGCUAUUGUAUUUCACUUACCCAUAUUUUUGUUUAUCCUCCUUGACUGGUGAGCACCCCUCGCCCUCGUCGGCUUGCGGUACCUACUGAGAGGGGAGACAUGUUUAUAUGUUCUCACCCCCGACCCCCAUUAUAGGUGACGUUGCAGGUCCUAGUGGGACGGUUCGUGAGGAGCGAGUCUAGCGACCGAUAGUAUCACCGUCCCGUUGUUGGUUAAUUAUCAAAUUUAGCUCUUUAAAUAAAUGACUUAAACAGUUAAUUGGUUCAGUUACUUAUCACCUUUGAAUUCAUAUGGUUUUAUGAAUGUAAUAAUGAAUUUGGGAUUUAUGUGAAAUGGAAAUAGUUUUCUACCCCUCAUGGUAGCGAAUUUUUAAAGAAAAAAGGGUUUCCGUGUGGGAAACUAUUUUUAAAAGAUUUUUUUGGUUUUCACGGUUUAGUAUUUUAAAAUGAGUUUCCGGGUAGAAAAUAUUUUAAAUUGAUAAAAUAUGAAUUGAUGAAUAUUUGUGAUGAAAUAAAUAUGGUUAUGAACGGUNGGAAAUAGUUUUCUACCCCUCAUGGUAGCGAAUUUUUAAAGAAAAAAGGGUUUCCGUGUGGGAAACUAUUUUUAAAAGAUUUUUUUGGUUUUCACGGUUUAGUAUUUUAAAAUGAGUUUCCGGGUAGAAAAUAUUUUAAAUUGAUAAAAUAUGAAUUGAUGAAUAUUUGUGAUGAAAUAAAUAUGGUUAUGAACGGUGUAUGAUUAUCUGUGGAUGUUCAUAUGUGUGGUUGUAUUUGGUAUAGUAAAAUGUAUCAUGUACUUUUACGAUGCUGUGCAAAUACAGGGGAGAUUCUGUCCAAGUGAACAGUGGACUUCCUGUAUUUGUGGCGGAUAUGGCAUACCCUAGGGGUCAAUAUUUUUUUUAAAAAAAAAUUGGGCACUUCUGCAUGGAAUUUUAAAUCCAAAGGGACCCCGGGAUGUGACAUCAUCUCAGGUUCCUCUUUCUCUUUGGUUUAAUUGUGGGCUUGGUGGAGGCCGUAGCUCGAGCUCGAGAAAUUUUCGACGUCGAUUUGGAAGGUCGUUCCAGUGUGCGUGCAUCGCGGUUGCGUCGUUGGAGGCCGAGCGAGCGCGUGUUUUCCUCUCCUUUCGACUUCUCGCCGUUGUUGGACGAGCGUUUUGAGGUGGUUUGAAGUUUACCGAAAUCGUCGCAAUACCUUCUAAGUUUUAGCAUCAUCGACAUGUAUCGUUUGUGUAUUUCCUUGCUAGUACUCGAAUUCAUGGAUUAAGUGUUUAAAUCUGAAUUUGGAGUUAAGCUAGUUAUAUCAUUUUACAUGUUGGACUUGGAAUUGACUGAGGAGAAAACUAUAGAUCCUACACUGUCAUUUUCUAAAAAUUUUCAGAUUUAGCUUUAGGAGCUAUGGUUUGUUUCUAUCAUUGCUGUUUGUAUGCAAUAGUUACCCAGAUUAGUAUAGGGUGAGUUUAUGCUCGUGCUGGAAUGCCGAGCUUGUUUUACAGUAGUGUGUAGACUAUUUCGUAAUAUCCGGUGCUGUUGGGAUUGACAUUGGACCCAGAUUUCUGUAGCACCGCUGUUAGUGCGAGGUGGAUGCUCGGAUGAGUAUAGGUUGAGUUUACGCUCGUGCUCAGGAGCCGAGUUUAUUUUACAGUAGUGCGUAGACUGUUCCAGACUGUCGGAUGCUAUCACGGUUGACAGUGGACCCAGAUUUCUAUAUUUGUAUCAUAUUGUGCCGAGGGCACGUGAGUUUUGGUUAUUACAUCAGUUAAACCCAUUUUCUUUGAUUAUAGCCUGUGAGAGCCUGAUUGAGCUCGACAGAGACACGCUUACAUAUUCAGUUGGGUAGCGCCCACGAGUGCCACUUCGGAGUUGUGCUUUGUGCAUUUGCGUAGAUGUCGUAGUGUCCAAUGUGGACUUGCUCUUCACCAAUUACCCAGCAUGUUGGUCGUUGGUGUAGCUUCGACAGGCAGGACGGGUGCGUUCACAGUACCUAGUGAGAGUUGGUUAGAGGUUGCAUCAUUCUUAUAUCUACAAAAUAGUGUUUAGUGAUAGUAUAGUGGCAUGUAGCUUUAGAGUUUUUUCAGCUUCCUUUACUAUCCUUGUGCAUAUUUUUCUGUAGAAUUAGUGGGUGGGUUGUUGAGGUUGGUAGCGGUACCCACUGAGCACUACUUCUUCUUGCAGUAGUUCUCACACCCAGUUGUUGACCCUUUUUUGCAGAGCCUUCGUCCGUGGCUGCUGCUGUUGUUGUUUUGAAUCGUGGAAAGGGAGUUGUGAGCUAGAUUCCUUCCAGUCUUGCCGCAGUGCUAAGGAGUACCUCCUACAGAUAGUUUUGGAUUUUUUUUGUACAUAUAGUCUUAUUGUCUGGAUACUUGCUGGAGUGAGUGGUGUAGUAGACAUUUUGUAUGUACUGGAACCCUUGAGGUUAUAUAUUACUUUUCUAUUUAGCAGCUCUUUACCUUGUGGUUGUAGCUUCGAUUUGUUUACUAGUACAGCUAUCGCUUCGUAUACAGAAAAAAUUCCUAUUUAUACAGUGGGUCUGUUGCUGUGCCCAGAAAAAUAUGUAAUCCGGGGCGUGACAUUACAAAUUAUAAAUUUUAAAAAUUUAAAUUUUUAAAAUUUAACUAUUUAAUUAGAUAAAUAAUAAUAAAUUAUAAAUAGAUUAUUAUUUAAAUAUUUAUUAAUUUAAUAACUUAAAUAAGUAAUUAGUCAAUUAUUAAAAAAUUUAAUUAUAUUAAUUAAUUAUAAUUUAUAAUUAUUUAUAACUUAAUUAUUAGAGGAAUAAACUAGAGAAUAGUUUGUUACACCUAAUAGAUAGAAUUACUAUUCUCCUCUCUUAACGGGUUAUUCCGGAAUAGCCCGUUAACGCGGGAAUAAAUUAACAUGCUAAGUUUGCUUGGUGUUUGGCAAGAAUAGUAGGAUAAAAGGGGUUAUUCCCCUUUUAUCAUAUGUAACAUAUCGAAAUCCGGAAGAAAUUAUCGAACCUUAGCCAAAUUGGUUAAAGUUGUCGAAAGAAAAAGUUGGACAAGUUCCAAUUAGCAUUCCAACAAUAUUGGAAGGGCUAAAAUUGAGUUUAAGAGGUAUUAGAAAGGUUUUAGCAUUGAACGGCGCGAAACAGAAUCGAAAACGGUGCGAAAUUGUAUUCUGGAGCAAAGUGUACCGGUACAACUAGCGAGUUGUCAUCGGUACAGCAUUGCAGGCCGAGAAGGAAAAGCUCCCGGGUUUGAGAUAUUUUGCCUGUGUUACCGUUGACACCCCUGGUGUGUACCGGUACGCUUUGGUAAAACCUGUAAGAAUUGCUCUCGGGUUUCCCUCUGCGUAAUCGUGUUACCGGUGACACCUUAAAGUGUACUGGUACACUUUGGGUCUGACAGCAAAAUGAAAACGUACUGCUGCAAAUACAAGUGUUUGGAGAGCUUUUUGGCUAUUGUUACAACAUGUAAUAUACCCCCAACACCCCUCCUACCUGUUCUAAACAGCAACCACUCUCUCCCUCUCUCAUUUCCCUCUUUCUCUCUCUAGAAAACUCUCCAAUGAGUAAGGAGAGGAAGGAGAAGAAGGAUUUUUGAAAAAGUUUUGGUGGAUUUGAAGGCUUUAGAAGCUCUUCUACAAGGAGGACUUGGGGAUAGCUUGUGGCUAAGGUGAGUUUAUGCAUGAACUCCUUUAGGGUUAGGAUUCUUACCUUAAGUUUUGGAGUUUUGAUCCUCUAAUAACCCUAUAAACGUCGAACGAACCUUGAAAUCCAUGAAAAUCAUGAUUUUCUCAAGGUCCUUCCAUGGUGAACAUCUAGGGUUUAAAGUAGAUGCCCUAGGAUUGGUUCGAGUGGCUUGGAAAUGGUAUUAGAAAGCUUCAUGGGUGGUUCUAAGCUUAAUUUUGCUUAGUUAUAAGAUCAAUCCUAAGAAAUUUUGCAAAUGGCAACAUUAGGGCACCCAAUUUGGAGCUUUUGCCUCCGAAUGUUUUUAAGGCAAAUUGACCUUGUAAAAACCUAAUUAGGGGUAUUCCCGACGCAUGGGACAACUCCGUUUGACGUUACGAAAAGAUUUAGAUGGAGUUAUUGAGAAAAAGCCUAAUUUGGCUUCGUUUUGCCACAGGCGAGAAAGUAAGGCUUCAAAAAUUUCAGGAAAUUCAUUGUAGCAUCCCUACAACCAUCUAAGGUGGGUGGUGCAUUCCAAGGACCUCGAAAUUUCUUUUAUAUCUAAAGUGUCACAUUGAGCAUAUGUAUGUAUUUGAGCAUAUUGCAUAGUAGGGUAAUUGUAAGCUUCCUUUGCAUGUUGUGAGUUCAAAUGCAUGUGAAAUACUUGUAAGAAUGUGAGAAUUCUAUUUACCCUAUGUAUGCAUGAGAAAUGACAAGAACUUAGUAGCUUUAGAGAACAAAAGUGACAUGUUGACAUAAUUAUAGAGAAUGGCAUCAACGAAUCGAGAUAUGCUAGAGUUGACACUUAGAAAACAAGUGUGGCAUCAAUGAAUGAGUACAAGAACUAGUAGUGUAUAUGACACUAGUAAAGGUUAAAGAAUGCAAGUAAAUAGAGGUAGCGACAUUAUGACAUAACAACCUUAGAGUUAAGGGUCAAAUGUGCAUUGUUUCCUUAUAGUUAAGGAAUGGAUUUGACUUGACAUCCUUAUAGAUAAGGAUAGGAUCAUACUCACCUGUAAGUCCUUGCUCGAGGGUGGUAGCUUCCCCUCGGGCGAUGUGCUCCAGAGUUGUCAUUACCGGGUCGUAGCGAGUAUCUCCCCAGAGGACGGUCCCAUCGAGUUGUAGUGGGUAUCUCCCCGAUAUUAGGAAUUUGGUUGGUGAGUCAUUGAGGGCGAAACCUAAGGGUUAGCCAAGAAAUUGGGUAAUGAGAUUGUGACCUUGCAUUCAACAUGAGCAUACAAUUGAGCAUCGCAUUUAUUAUUGUUCAGGCAUAUUAGCUGCAUUUGUAUAGUUUGGUUACUAUCUAUAUCUCUUUUCUUCUAUUAUGCCUGAUUUAGACCUAGUGGGAAAGUCGGCGUGGUUGGUUGCCGAACCCACUGGAAACUUCGUUGUAGUUCUCACACCCCAUUUUCCACAGAGCCCGGACCGAGUGAGCCGACGGAUGAUCGCCGUAAGGGCAUCGCGCCCUAGAUAGAGACCACCCGAGACGGUUUCUCAUUUUGGUUUAGUUGCAUACCCUUUAGUUGCCAUNUUAGACCUAGUGGGAAAGUCGGCGUGGUUGGUUGCCGAACCCACUGGAAACUUCGUUGUAGUUCUCACACCCCAUUUUCCACAGAGCCCGGACCGAGUGAGCCGACGGAUGAUCGCCGUAAGGGCAUCGCGCCCUAGAUAGAGACCACCCGAGACGGUUUCUCAUUUUGGUUUAGUUGCAUACCCUUUAGUUGCCAUCUUUUGUAUUUUGAUGAUUUUAGGAUUAUGAACUUGUUAAAUGAAUGAUGUAAAAAGGGGAUUAUGUUUCAAUGCAAACUUUAUAUUUUGAGAUAUCAUGUGAUGUAAAAGAGAAGAAAUGAUGCAAAAAUAUAAGCGAUUUUCCUAAGUGUAGUUUACUACUUUUACUAUUGGCUAUUGUUUGCCCUCGUGCAAGCCAUUGUGUAUGCUUCCGCUUAUGCAAAUUUUAUACUCUAUCUAUACCUGUUGUUGAGCCUUGGGCAGAUGGGGGAGGCUCUGUCCGUUCGGCGUCUGUUUGACGCUGUCGAACCGGCCAAAAGGAUCGGGCUCGGGGCGUGACAUCCCACAACCAAACGGGGCCGAUCUCUUGAUCUCCUUCCUCUCUCUGAUCCUCCUCUGACUCUGAUCUUCCUCGUCCUCUACUGCUGGUAGUAAUUACAACAAAUAAUCGAUGAUGUAGAUGAAAUUGAUACGAGAAUUAAUUAUUAAUUAAUGUAUGAUGAUUUGGGAGGAGGGGCGGAUCGUCUCGAUCCACCCAUUAAUGCCGUUGGCGAGAGCAACGGCCGUCGGGCCAUCUGUGGCUCCUCUGCUAUGCUAUUCUUCCGCACUCUCUGCUCCGGACCAAAUAUUUUGCCUUCCCUGCACUCCCCCCCCCCCAAAAAGAGAAUAAAAUAAGUCCAAAAUAUUUGAAUUUGAAUCAUAGAACUUAUGAAAUAUUGGAUGUAGUCCAUAAGAUACACUAAUACGCCCGGUGUAGGCUACUACUUGAUCAUUUGACUGAGAGAGAUAAUUACUUGUUACUUAAAAAAUUUGUGUAGAGACUACCAUUUUUCUAUAUUUAAUACUUGUAUUUGAGAUCUUGAUGUAUCUACUCAUGGUUUUUGUUAGUUAAUUAGAUCUUUUAUAUUCUACUUGUAAUUAGAAUUUAGUUGUUGUAUGCUCUGAUAUCAUACUAGCAGUUUAUCUUUCUUGCUUAAUUAUAUUAUGGUUGUAGACGCCUUGUAUGUUAUUAGCAUAUGGCGGGUCUGAACACGCACCAAGCAGGCUUCCGCUGGGUCCCGGGGAGUGACAAUUACUACCAGUAGUAGAUGACGAGGAGGAUCAGAGUCAGAGGAGGAUUAGAGAGAGGAAGGAGAUCAGAAGAUCAGUAACAAGUAAUUAUUUCUCUCAGUCAGAUGAUCAAGUAGUAGCCUAUACCGGGAGUAUUAGUGUAUCUUAUGGACUAAAUCCAAUAUUUCAUAAGUUCUAUAAAUCAAAUUCAAAUAUUUUGAAUUUAUUUUAUUCUUUUUUUUGGGGGAGGUGGGGGAAGUGCAGGGAAGGCAAAAUAUUUGAUCUAGAGCGGAGAGUGCUGAAGAAUAGCAGAGCAAAGGAGCCAUAGAUGGCCCGACGGCUGUUGCUCUCGCCAACGGCUUUAAUGGGUAGAUCGAGACGAUCCGACCCUCCUCCCAAAUCAUCAUACAUUAAUUAAUAAUUAAUUCCUGUAUCAAUUUCAUCAGCAUCAUUGAUCAUUUGUUGUAAUUACUACCAGUAGUAGAGAACGAGGAGGAUCAGAGAGAGGAAGGAGAUCAGAAGAUAAUGUUAUAAAAUUUUUUAAGUAACUAGUAGUUAUUUCUUUCAGUCAGAUGAUCAAGUAGUAGACUACACCAGGCGUAUUAGUGUAUUUUAUGGACUACAUCCAAUAUUUCAUAAGUUCUAUAAUUCAAAUUCAAAUAUUUUGGAUUUUUUUUGGGGGGGGGGGGCGGUGGGUCAAAGUNGGAAGGAGAUCAGAAGAUAAUGUUAUAAAAUUUUUUAAGUAACUAGUAGUUAUUUCUUUCAGUCAGAUGAUCAAGUAGUAGACUACACCAGGCGUAUUAGUGUAUUUUAUGGACUACAUCCAAUAUUUCAUAAGUUCUAUAAUGAGAAGGCAAAAUAUUUGGUUCGAAGUAGAAAGUGUGGAAGAAUAGCAGAGCAGAGGAGCCACAGAUGGCCCGACGGCCGUUGCUCUCGCGGCCUUAAUGGGUGGAUCGAGACGAUCCGACCCUCCUAGCUCCCAAAUCAUCAUACAUCUAUUAUCUAUCUUCUAUCUUCUAUUAACUAUUACUAGUGAAGGACCCACGCAUUGCGGUGGGACGACUUCGUAGAAAUAAAUAAAUAAAUUUAAAAUAACAAAAUAAAAAGUCAAAGAAUUAUAUAAAAUAAAUAACUGAAAAAUAAGUAACUAAUUAAAGAUUGAGGAAUUCUCUAAAUUAGCACUUGAACCGAACUGAAUCAAUGAUCUGCCUAUAUAAUUUUGUUUUGUGUAUGAAAACCGAACCAAUUAAAUCUGAAAACCGAACCAAUUAAAUCUGAACCGAAGAGCUGUUGUCUCUAAAAAUCUGUACCGAACCAAUUAACUGACUCUCUCUAAACCGAACCGAACCGAACCAAACCAUUCACUAUCUAAACUUCUCAAACCGAACCAAUAAACUUCUCAAACCGAACCAAUACACGCUUGCUUCUUCUCCGCUCGAAACCAUAAGUCGCUUGCUUCUUUUCCGCUCGAAACCGUAAGUCGCUCCGCCUCCUCACGACCUUGAUUCUUUUCAUGUUCUUCUCAUGUCCGUUACAGUAAAUCACUUCCCCUCCGUGCGACCUUGCUUCUUCUCCUGUCCGUUACAUUAAAUCAUUUCUUCUCCUCUCAAUGCCGCAGCAUCCAUCCCCUAUUUUCGUUUCAGACGGGAUCGACGGGAUCGUGCUCAUAAAAUUUACCAUCGUUUUAGAUGGAUACUCUCCUCUACCCUGGCCGAUUUUUGCCUAUAAAAUCUGUCCAUGCCUCGCAUCGAAACCAGCGUCUUAUGCUAUUAUCCCGAAAUUUGAACGGUAAGAAAUUAGAAAUUUAGAUAUUCAGUUCAAAUCUUUCUUUUUCUUAUAUAAUAUGAUAAUAAUAAUAAUUUUAUUGUUUUAUCCUCAAGAAUCGACGCUCCUAUUUAUAAUAUCUGGACGUUUCCUUCUUGGUAGGCUUUUGUGUUCAUAUCAAAUCUUUCUUUCUAAUAUAAUAUAACUUUAAUUGAUAUUAUUGUCUUUUUAACUUUCGGUGAAAUUUUAAUUAAAAAAAAGGAUAAACUUCAAAUACCACCCUUGUGGUUUCGCACUUUCUUACUUUAGUACCCUGUGGUUUAAAGUGUAUCAAGUUAGUGUCAUGUGGUUUCAUUUUUAUCUUUUCGUCAGUUUUUCUGUUAAUAUUUCGUUAAAUUAUUAUAUACAAAAAACUUCAAUACCCCAUCUAGAUUUAUUGAAUAUUCACUUUAGUAUCCUUUAGUUUUAACUAUGUCACUGAUUUAACGAAAAAAUUAGUGAAAUCAAUAAUCAAAAGAUAAAAAUGAAACCACAUGGCAGUAAAUUGAUACACUUUAAACCACAGGGUACUAAAACAAAAAAGUGUGAAACCACAUACCUCAUGGUUUAAAUCAUAAUACAUUAAAAAUUUGAGGAUUAAAUUGUUAUUCGUUUUAUAGUUUUAAGGAUGAAAGUGUAAAUCCAAUCUUUCAAAAACUUUUUUUAUCCAUUUUUUUAUAUAUUUUAAAUUUUUAUAGUACAAAAUAAAAAAUUAGAUUAGACUUAGAAAAAUUAUAAAUUUUCUUCUAUGUACAUGAACAAAGGAAAAAAAAUUGAAGUUAGAGGGGAAAAAACAACCUCUCUCCUCUCUCCCCCGCUAGGUCCCCGCUGGGUCCCACCUUGUCCCAGAUUGGAUUUAAAAAAAAUAAAUGAGGGAACAAUUGAGAUGAGAGAAAAAAAAACUUCCUCUUCACACCCUCCCCUGGCUAGGCCAAAAAUUAUAUAAAAAAAUAACUAAAAAAUGAACAAUUAUUAUGUAACACACUGGACCUUUGCAAAUUACGAGGUUCGAGUGUUUGGCCUGUGUUUCGAGCAUUUCUAGAUUUUCUGGACGUUCGUUGACCUUGUUCCGACCUAUGGCUCGUACCCCGAGAAAUGAAGUUUCUAUAGUAGAGCUAAGGCCGCCAAAGAGGAGAACUUAGGCUGCUCUCGGGUUGCCUCUGCACACUGUUGUACCGGUACAAAUACGGUUCUGUACCGGAACACAUUGUGUACCGGUACAGAUAUGGCUCUGUACCGGUACAAAUAUGGAAAAUAGCAAACCCGAGGCUCGGGUUGGGCUGUAUGGCAGGGGUUGUAUCGGUACACUUUCCCGUGUAUCGGUACACUUUGCCCAGAAUGUUGAUUUCGUAGAUGAGGCUUUUUGCAAUUGUUGCAACUCUAUUUAUACCCACCCCAGCCCCUUUGAGAGCUCCUUUGAGCCCUAGAACGUGGAAAGGAGAGGUAAGAACUCCUCUCUUGAUUUUUUUUCCCUUUUUUCUUGCAUUUUAGCCCUUCUUGAUCUUCUCUCUUUGCUUCCCUUUGUUCCUUGUGGGGAUUUCCACCUUGGAGAAGCAUUGGAUUGAAGAUUGGAGCUUGUGGGAAGGAAGAUCUUCAACCCUAGCCUACUUGGAGGGUUGAUUUGGAGCUCUUGUGAGGUUAGUAAGCUUAAAUCCCCCUUUUGAUCUAUGUUUAUUGGUUUUUGUUGUUGGAAACCCUAGAAUUGAGAAUUAGGGUUAGAAUUGGGGAUUUUGGUUUAGAUGCUUUUAGAACCAUAUUGAAUGGUUUAGAACCUUUGUAUAGGUUUGAUUAGAAGGCCUCUACCUCCCAUUUGGAGAUCGAGAGGGCUUUCUUCGCAUUCGGUGAGUUUUCUCACCCUUUUCUUGAGUUGCUUAAUGUUUGAGCAAUAGGUUGUUCGUUUCGAUUUUAUAACUCUCCUUUUUAUACCUUUAGGGUGCUAGGAGACUAGUGGGCACCUUCGUCAGUUUAAACGAAGGGUUGCGAGAGGUCACGGUGGGUUUGGCUUCUUUGAAAGAGGAGAAAAUCUCUCCUAAGUGGUUAAAUAUUUUCGUAUCAUCGAAGUGCAUUCAUAUUCAUGCUAGAUAGUAUUUUUAUGAAUUUUAGAAUACUUAAAAUGCAUGUGUUAUGUAUCAUGAAUUUUCAUCUCUAUGUAGUAGAGCCUAUGUGUAGUAAACAUGCAUGUGAGAAGUAUUCUCUUUUGUGGAUCGGAACCAUGUCUCAUGUGAUGAAUAUGACUAGAAUUAUGCAUUCUUGAACAGUAAACUCAUAUUUGUACUUAGUGAAUAAAAGUGUCAUAAAGGGGCACUCGGACUGGUAAACAGUUAAACUGCAACCUAGUGACAUAGUGAUAGGCCAUUGAGAUAUCGACUAUAUUCCAUGUUUUACACGUGAUGACAUAGUGAUAGGCCAUAGUGACACUUACUAUAUUCUAUGUUUUAGACAUGAUGACUUGAGACUUGAGACAGACUGUUACGCUUGCUUGCCAUUGUGCUCAUUCGCAUAUGCUUGUGAGGGUCGCUCUCUACAAGCCAGCACUUCGGAGAUAGCCAUCGCGAUAUAUACUCGCCGUGCGGGAUUGGGCGCCGAAAUGGGAAGCCGUGGGUGAGGCUCAUUCCUAGAGUGGGGAUGUUGACUAUAAUGGGGCCAUUAGGCACGGCGCAGGCCGGACUGCCCACGGGUAGGUCCUACAUGAUUGGUACCUUGGUGCCUUAGUAUACUGAGAGGACAUUCACUAGAAUAGUAAACAAUGCCAACUUACUAUUUACCUGUGGACAUAGUAGCAGUUUUACUUAUGCAUAUACAUGUUACAGUAGCUUUCUUACUUAGGCAAAUUCAUGCUAAGUAGAGAUAUCAUGUUGUAGUAAGUUUUAUGUUUAUUUGCUUACCCUUCAUAUUGGUCAUAUUUGUACUUACCCCUUCUUAGCUUUUGGGCCUAGUGGUGCAUUUCACCGAAGUCAGUAAUUGCCUACUGGGAACUAUUAUUUAAUAGUUCUCACGCCUCCUGUUUUAUGUUUUCUUUCAGAGCCCUCUACACCGGUGGAGGCACAGGACCGCGGUAAGGGGAUCGCUUGCUAGAUAGCGAGGAGUUCUUUUGCUUUAGGUGGUUUGUUCUCUCCUUUUGUGUUGUUUGAGAGAAAGUGAUAGUUGUAUCCAUAUAUAGAGACCACCUAUGUUAUACUUUUAGCACUUAUUUUUUUUGGGAUAUCCUUUGUACUACUUUAUGGUUCUAUUUAGUAGAUUUUAGCUUUCUUUUAUGCUUCUAUAUCUUAGACUCUAGAUGUUGUAUACUCUGAUACUUCUAGAUGUUCUUCCAUUCUUGCUUUAUUUAUCGUUUUGUAUUAGACGCCUUAUAUGUUGUAUACGUAUGACGGGUCUGGACACGUACCGGGCGGGAUUCUGCUGGAUCCCGGGGCGUGACAUAUUACUGUAAUAAAAAUAUAAAAAUAAAUUAUAAGAAAGAUUAAAAAAAAGGUCAAAAAUCAUAUUAAUAAGAAAUUAUAUAUAAUUAUAUUUAUAAUUAUAUAUAUUAUAAUUAUUAUUAUAAUUAUAUAUAAUUUUUAAAAAAAAUGAUUUAUUAUUCUUAGAUUUUUGCCUCUAUUCUUCUUUUAUCUAUCUUAUCAUUUUAUUCUUAUUUUUUUUUUACUUUUUUUAUAUUUUAUUUGUAAAUUUCCUUCCUUACUUUUUAUAUAUUUUUAAUAAUUCUUUUAUUCAGCUUAAUUAAAAUUUAUAUUUAAUACAAAUAAUUUAACUUAUUUAAAAAUUAUUUAUAUAUUUUUAAUUUUUAUAAAAAUUUAAAAAAUUAUAAUUUUUUUUAAUCAUAUAUUAAGAGAAUAAAUAUGUAAAAAAAUUAAGGCCAAUUUGCAUAAAAAAUUCACUUAUUUUGGGUUUUUGCAAAACCGGGCCACCUUUUUCGUUUUUGCAAAUUCGGUCCGCUUUUUCAGCAAACUGACCAAAAUACCCUUAUUACUUUUUCUCUUUCCUCUUUCUCUCUCCUCUUCGUUCUCUCGUUCUUUUUUUUUUUUUUAGCCGACAAAAAAAAAGCGACGGACGAGCAACGCCCAAAGCGGGCUCUUCUUCUUCUUCCUUCCUGCAGGAACGAAUUUUUUUUCUCUUUUUCUUUCUUCUUCUUCUCGCUCUGCUGGAGCUUUUUUUUUUUUUUUUUUUUUUUUUUUUUUUUUUUUUUUUUUUUUCCCUCCUUCUUCCUCUUCUUCGUUCGUCUUUUUUCUUAACCUGUAAGAGCACGGGGCGGCACAAGCGACUUCCGGCUCGGCCACGGAGCCCGACGCUCGAGCCGACGCCCCGUAGCCCGCGGGAAGCUCUAUUUCCUCGUCGAACUCUCCCCACGCGACCUCGAGCACGACACGACACGCCGCGAGGUCGCGCACCGGCGCCGGCGCCGGCGCCGCGCGUGUCCUACUAGGUUGCCCGAGGAAGGCCGCGCAAGUCGGACUACGAGCCGACCGCUCGCACCGACGCCCUGCAGCCGGGGAGCCUACUUCCUCCCCGCGCCGACCCUUGAGCCCCACCACUCCAGCGCGAUUUCACUAUUACAGCAUUAAAUGUGAACUAGCACCAUUAAUGUGUAAUUACACCAUUAAUGGUGUAACCAUUACACGGCAUAAUGGUGUAGUUUCACCAUUAAUGGGUAAUGGUGAAAUGCCGCGGCGGCGAUGGCGCCCGCCGGAUGCCGAGCUUCGCCGCGGAGCUCGGGGCGCGCCGCGCCCGCGCACGGGGCUGGUGCACGGCGGGGCGGCCUGCGGCGUCGGGUCGAGCGAGGCGGCGGGGGAGGUCGGGUCGCCGAGCUCGAGGUCGGCCGGUGACGCCAACAGCCUCCCUCUCCUCGCCGUCCGCCAAUAGCGGAGGAGCGCACGUCGCGAUCCGGCAGUCGCGGCGGGCGCUCGGCUUCCCGGUUGCUGAGUCUCUUCGUAUGGUGUUAAUGGUGGGCACCUUACACCAUUAAUGGUGAAUCACACAUUAAUGUGUAACCAUUACACAUUAAUGGUGUAAUUUUCACCAUUAAUGGUGUAGAUGUGAAUCUGGGCGCGGCGGUGGUCGGGCUCGGGGGGCGCGGGGGAGGAAGUAGAGCUGCCCGGUUGAGCAGGGCUGUCGGGGUCGAGCGUCGGGCUCGUAGUCUCACGCGCUGGCCUCCUCGGAACUAGUAGGAACGCGGCGGCUUGCCGGGCCGACGCGCGCCGGUGCCGGUUGCCGCCCGUCGUGGCGGCGGUCGGCCGGUCGGCGCGGGGGAGGUCGACAGGAGGAAGUAGACUUUCCCCAGGCUUGAGGCGGGUGCGUCGGGGGUCGACGCGGUCGGGCUCCGUGGCGAGGCGAAAGUCGCCGUGCGCGCCCACUGCAUCUUAUAGCGAAGAAAAAGAAGAAGAAGAAGAAGAAGAAGAAGAGGGAACAAAAAAAAUAAAAGCUCGCAGCAGGAGGAAGAAGAAGAAGAAAAGAAAAAGAGAAAAAAAAUUGCUCCUGAAGACAGAAGAAGAAGAGCCCGCCUGGUGGUGCUCCGAGCGGUCGCUUUUUUUUCGGCGAAAAAAAAAAAAGACGAGAGAACGAAGAGGAAGACAGAUAGAUAAGAGGAAAGAGAAAAAGUAAUAAGGGUAUUUGGUCAUUUGCUAAAAGCGGACCGAAUUUGCAAAAAGAAAAAGGUGGCCGGUUUUUGCAAAAACCAAAAUAACUGAAUUUUUUAUGACAAAUUGGCCAAAAAUUAAAGAAAAAACAUUAAAGGGAGAAAAAGAGACAAAAAAAAAAAAAAAAAUCCCUCCGCCUCUCCUCGUACUCUCCCUCGGCUGGGCCCCACCCUUCUGCUCUCACUCUCUCUCUGCCUCUCCCGUCGCCUCUCCUCGCCCGCAUCCUCUCCCCGCCGCCACGCGGGCGCCCCGCCGCGCGCGCAACCGCCUUUUCGCCUCCUCCUCUCCCGCGCGCGCCGCUCGUCGCGUGCACACGCGCCCGGCCCGCGCGCGCCCGCUCUGCCGCUCCCCCUCGCGCCGCGCCCCGCGCUCGCGCUCGCCCCCGCCCGCGCCACGAGGCGCCCCCUCCCCGCUGCGCGCUUCCUCUCCUCUCACCGUUUCGUACGAUACGCCGUUCCCUCUACCCUUUCCACCCCAUCGUCUGUCUCUCUUCCUUCUCCGCCACAUACGAUGGAUCCGAUGAGAUGGAUCCAAAUCUCAUCAAAUCUGCCCUCUCCUCUCACCGUUUUGUACGGUCCGUCGUUUCCUCUCCCUUUUCCACGGCAUCGUCCCUCUCCCUUCUUUACCGCAUAUGAUGGAUCCGAUGAGAUGGAUCCGAAUCUCAUCAAAUCCGCCGCUCUGCCUACGAUUCAUCUUGCCUACUAUUAAUUUUUUUUCCUUAUAGAAUAUGCUAUUGUCUUUCUUUUCAGGAAUCCGAAAGCUUUUAGAUGAGACGUGCAGUGGCAAAAUGGUCAACGAAUGGGUUUUUUAGGUAUCUCUUCAUCUCAUACUUAAUUUGUGGAUUUGCAUAUUAUACAUUUGAUGUAGUGAUGAAUCUUGUUGGUUGUUUGGCUAUAUAAUUUUCUGAAAUGUUUAGAUGGUUAUUUUCGAAAACUUUUUAAUUCAUAAAAAUUUUGUAGCUUUUUAAUUGAUAAAAAUUUUGUUAGCUGAACAAAUUAUCAUUCUUUUAAGUCAUAUUUCAUUCUUUUCAAUGUUUGGUUAAUCAAAGUUAUGAUUAUGACGAUUGAAGGUGCUCAACCGUAUUAUUGUGGAAGGACGAAAGUAUGGGAUUGAAUUGAUUCUUAGCUUAGUCAAUAAUCUAAAACAUUACAGUGGGAAGAUGCAAUAUAUUAAAUAUGCGUGAGACAAAAGCAUAGGAUUGAGCUCCUCAAAUGAUUCUUUCUUCUUUGAUCUAUCGAUUUGGAGAUAUUCAAGAUUUAUUAGAGGGUAAUAUCAGCCCGCUGAUAAAUAUGUACUAAAAACAGUUUAUUGCUAAGUUGCAAUCGAAUUUAUUUGGGAUUCUCUGAGAAAUGAACUUUAAAUAUAAAAAUAUAAUGAUAUUUGAUCCAAUAUCAGAUACUUCUUAGACGAUGCUAACAAAGAAAAACCACUUGGCUAGAACUGAUAGAGAUAAUCCCAUCAUCUUUACAUGGGAAUCAAUGAAUGAACCUCAUUGUAUAUCAGAUGCAUUUGGUGACACCUUUCAAGUAAGUGCUCUCAAUUUGUUUUUCUUUUUUUAGAAAAAUAAGUGUCCUUAAUUUCAUAUCUCAUUGAUGUGUCAUAAAAUAUCAUGUCACCUUGUAAUAGAAGCGCAAUAGAUAAUAAUAGUACAUUGUGAGUUUCAAUUGAUAUUUUUUGCUCUAAAGAAUUGUAGGAUUGGAUUGAAGAAAUGGCAGAAUAUGUGAAGUUGUGGGAAUAUAUUGACAAGGGUAUUUAUGCAAAGAAAGGAAAAUAGAAAAAAAAAAAAAAAAACUGUCCAAACUGGUUUAUUUCAGUAGUGCCUACGUAGUAUUUGAUAGAAUAACUAGAAAAGCUAGGAGGAGGAGGCUAUAUUACACUCCUGGUCCUCAAACUAUAAGUUGCACAACACUUUGGUCUUCAAACUUAAGUACAUGAUGAUGGUAGUAUUGAGACCGUUUUACAUCUACUUGUAAAUUCAUGAAGAAGAUGGAUAAUGUAAAAUUACCAAUAAUGUAAAAUUAUCAAUUUGUAGAUACUAAUGUUCAUUGCAUAUUAAAAUAAUGAGAGAAUGCUGUGAACCAUGAAAAUUGUGUAAGAUUGUAGACUUAUCGCGUAUCUCUAAAAUAACAACUGUACACUGAAGGAAAAUAUCGUGGAUUUAAAAAUAUUCACACUAUAUGAAGUCUAAAGUUUAAUCAGAGUGGAAUUAAAUGUUUUAUACCCAGUUUUUCAGUUUUUAGGCAGAGAGAUUUUCUGAAUUCUAUGAAGUAUGCAAAGGUAUUCAUAUCGGACGACAAGAAAUAUUGUUGAAAAUUGAAUACGUUCGACUUUGAAGCUAUGACUUUAUUUCUAUUUAUGCUAUCAUCAUCAUCAUCAUUAGUGGUAGUAGUUAUUAUUGUCGUUAUUGACUUGGUGCUGGUUAUUGUGCUCCUCCUCUAAAGAUGACAUCAUAAAUUUUUAAUUUAUUUUAAAAAAAUGCAGCCCCCAAAAUCAUUUCUUAUGGCUAUAAUUUGAAAUUAGAUCUUUGAUAGUUCGUAAAAAUUAGGUUUGAAAAUUAGAUCUUUUAUUGACAUGAAGAAGUAAAUGAAUAGAAUUCCUCAAUUGGGCAUUUUUCCGAAAUGCUUAGGUGGUUAUUUUCGAAAGCUUUUUAAUUCAUAAAAUUUUUGUAGCUUUCUAAUUCAUAAAAAUUUUGUUACCUAAACAAAUUAUCAUGCUAUUAAAUCAUAUUUCCUUCUUUUUAAUGUUUGGUUAAUCAAAGUAAUAAUUAUGAUGAUUGAAGGUGCUCGAUUGUGUUAUUGUGUAUAUAUAUAUAUUACAUGACAUAUCAGUUCAUUUUUAUUCCUAGAAUCAUCUACCUUUUUUGUAAGAUGCAUGCCAUUGUUGCAGCCUCUAUGGACCUCUAAUUAUCAUGCGAAAAUGAUGAACUCAAUUUAUAAUCUUAUACAAGAAAGCAAAAUAUUGAAUUUUUGGCCACUAUCAUUUAUUCCGCUUUAUUAUUUUCACACUGUUGUGAUUUAUUUAGAGUUCUGAAGUAACAGCAUGUAAUUCUCAAUUUUCUUUAAUUGCACUUCAAUUUGUAAAGCACCGUCAAAGCAUGAAGAUGAUGACUUUCAGGAGUAAAUUGUGGUUUUUGGGUAAAGUGUUCCUUCAAUACGGGAUUAUUAGAAGUGUUUUAGAGUUUCAAGAAUGCCGCUCUUUUUUUUUGGGGACAAUUUUUGUUGUCAUAAAUGUCAGAUAGUGAUUUUAUUUCUUUUUGGUGCAUCCAAAUUAGCGAUUGAUGAAAUUUUGUGCAAUUUUUUCCGUUGAAAAGAAUUUGCAUGAGACCAAACUCAUUUACUAAGGUUGAUUAGACAAACUAAUUCACAUUUCUGAUAUUUUUUUCUCAAGAUUAUGGUUGGUUCAUCAAAAGAUUACUUUGAACCAUCAAGUCCCCUACUUUGUUCUUUUCAACAGCUCCCAUUAGCAAAGCCGAAGCCAAUGAUGGUAAGAGUAGUUUGACAUUAAUCUUUCUAAGUCGUUUGAUAAAUUUGAAUACUUCCACACUUUAUUCCUAAUGUCGAUUGAUAAGAAUAUAGCUUAUUUUGUAUGAUAUAGUGUCGCCAUUUUUUGCAAAAUUUUCAACAGAUAUCACAAUUUGACUGCACAUAUUUUGAGCAAAAACACAUUACAUCCCUAUUCCCUCCGAAAGUUGAUCAUGUUUUAGGAGGCCUUAAACCAUUCUUUCUUUCUUUUUUUUUUACUUUAAUUUUCUUUUAAUUGACACCUCUGUAGCUUCCAAUUAUCUUAUUUAUUUAUUUUUAUUGUUAAUUAAUUUAAAAUAUUUUGUUAAAUUUUAUGGUCAAUUAGUUAUAAACCCCAAUAGCCUGCCGCAUCUUUGCCUUCCUCUGCUCUCUACCAACCUUUGUAAGUUCUACUCCAUCUCUGUCUAUUGUUGUGCACUUCGUUUAUUUGUAUAUAUCUAAAAAGUAGUCCUAUACUUUGGUUGAUUAUGGAAAUUAAUCUGUUAUGUAGUUUCUUUUUUUAUCGCGUAUAGUUAUAAUAAAUACUAUUCAAAAUUUUAAUUUGGAAUUCUUUAUUGACACAACAUUAAUUUUUCAGACUGAUACAUAUAAUAGUGAUCUACAGUGCAAUGCUCCAAUGUAAAGCCUUUUAUAUUCGUUAUCAAUUCUCAUGUGGCUUUCAUCUUUUAAGAGAUAGCUCUGUAUGUUAAUUUUUGUCAUCCAAUUCCUAUGCUUUAGAAUGCUCCCACCAUUUAUUUGUAUACAUUCAUGUUUUCCCAUGCAAAUUCUAUGCAUAAGAAGGUCGAGUUAAGUUCUUUGAUCUUGCUUAGAGUUUGAUACAUAUAUGUAUAUGCAUACUAUGAAACCUUUGGAAGAAGAGUAUGCAAAAGCUAUCAAAUUAACGCGCAAAAUGUCAAAGUACCAAAAAAGUACAAAGAUGCAAAAAAUAAUCCACAAAGACACAUAGGAAGAAGCCAAAAUGGACUGCAGUUUGAGUAGUUUCUUCCCUUUCUUUGAGUUGGCAUGCUGUCGGUUUUCAAAUUCUUACUUUGAUUGCCGUUAAAAAUUCUUUGUUUCUAUCUAUUCCGUUAGGUUUUCUUCCUACUUUUUGAAGUUUGAAUUAUGUUGGUGUGCACUUUUUUCAAGUCUCUUUGGUUUGUAAUGGGCCUCAUUAUUUCUCCAACUAAUUAGUUUUUUUUUUAACCUUUGAACUUCAUUUCUCAAUUAUUUACACUGAAGUGCUCAAGCUAUUAAUUUGACACAAGUGCAAUUAUAACUAUGUAGGUUCCAACCGUGUCUAGAUGUUCAUCGAGUUGGUAGUUCAUCCACUAUGUAACCUUGCGCUACAUUCAUCAUAUGCUGUUUUUGAAGUCUAAAUUAUAUUUGUUCACUUAGGCAAGAAGUUUUCUGGAAGGCAUCAAAAAUUUAUUCAAGAAUAUGUGAUUUUCAAAGAGGCCUUCAAUGUUUGAGAGCUCCCUGAGGAAGGAUUAGCAACAUUUUGGGUUGCUGAUUUUCAAUUCUUUUUUAAAGUGUAUAAAAUAGUGAGCUUUUCAUUUCUUUAUGAUGUUAUUGAAGCGUUCUAAUUGAGACAAAAAAAUUACUUAAAAUUUGAUGCCUUUUGAUAGAGGGUCCUCUUCUCAUACUAAUAAUUGGUUUAUCAAUACAAAAUACUAAUGAAAAUUUUCUGUUAGCAAAUUUAAAUCCAAUUUUGACAAUGUGCUACACUGAGGAAAGGUCUGAAUGAGUUCACGUAGAAAAUAUUUGCUUAGAUGCAGUUUCAAGUAAGAAUAUUUGUUGAAUAUUACAAAAUGAUUUUAGAGACGGUUUAAGAUCACCUUUCUUUACUUUUUAUUUGGGUAACAUAGUUCCUUUUUCCUUUUUAUUAUAUAGGUUUGUUUAUGAUCAUAAGAUGCUUUAAAUAUAUAGUUUUAUAUGUAAUUGCUGGUAAUGCUUAAAACCUUUUAGAUGUCAUUUAGACUUGGCAUCUUCCCAGUUGAUUAGACCAUGUAAUUCAAUAACUUAUAUUGAGUUUCUUGAUAGUCAUAUAUUUUGCUUAAUUAGACAAUGUAAUAUAGUGAAUACAAUUUUGAGUGCACUAUGCAAGGAAACAGGAAAAAAAUGAGAAGUUUAUAGUAUUUUAAUUACAAGUAAUUUUGUUAAGAAUCUAGCUGCUCUGCUAGGUAUAUUCUUGGGAAAGAGGAGAGCAUGGAAGGCUCAGAUUUGGUGAUGAUAAUAGUAAAAUGGUUCCUCAAAAAGUUCAGCUCUUAGUUGGAGAAACCAAAUAGAGGAUUACAAAAGUGAAAUGAUUCUUUAUAUAGGAAAAUAGAGAGAUUGUAUGAAAGUCUCUUAAAUUUUUCUUUGUUGAGUUAUCUAAGAAAAGUUGGACUAACUAAUUUAAACAUCUACAGGACACUCAUUCCAGCGUAUGCAGAAUAUUUUCUUUAGAUAUUAUGUUUAUCUAGCAAGCUGUUGAACAAGCUCAACUUAUGUCGGUUUGGUUAUCAACAUUGAACUAUGUGUGCCAAGCUCUUUGACUAGGAUUUUCAUGUCUGUUAGCUUUUUUUGAGGUUGAUGAGAGUAAUAGUUGAAAUUCUUCCAUUUUUUCGUUGGUAAUUUGCACUUUUGUGAAAUUUUCUUCAAAUUUGAUGAAUUUUUUAUAUAAAUUAAAUUUUUUUUUUGCCUAAAUCUAAAGAAAACCUUAACAAAUUUAUGUAGCUUAUACUAUCAUUUUCAUCAACUGCUAUAUAAUUUCAUUUUUUCUAUAGAAUCAAUCCGCUGCAACGCGCGGGUACCUUCACUAGUUAAUAAUUAAUUCCCGUAUCAAUUUCAUCAGCAUCGAUCAUUUGUCGUAAUUACUACCCGUAGUAGAGGACGAGGAGGAGGAUCAGAGGAGGAGGAUCAGACUCAGAGGAUCAGAGAGGAUUGAGGAGGCGUAGGGGAUGGCGAGGUCGAGCGCGGACGACGUGGAGUUGCGGCGGGCGUGCGAGGCGGCGAUCGACGGGGGCGGGGGGAAGCAGAAGGUGGUUCUGUGCAUCCGCGUCGCCAAGAGCCGCGGCGUCUGGGGCAAGGCCGGCAAGCUCGGCCGCCAGCAGAUGGCCAAGCCCAGAGUCCUUGCCCUCACCAGUAUGCAUCUCUCUCUCUCUCUGUAACCUCUCUCUCUCUCUCUUGCUGCAUAUACAUUCCAAUCUCAUAGCUAAGCUAGGCUACACUGUCCUUUCAAUCUCUCUCUCUCUCUCUGUGGGUGAUCAUCAUAAUCUCUUGACAAAAUACAACGACGACAUCCUCAAGUGUUCGAUGUCAAAGAAUUCUAGUUGCUGCUGUAACUCAUUAAAAAACUACAAUUUGAGCGCUUAUGCAUCAAAGCUUUCUCGUCAUAAAUGCUGCUCUUUCCGGGCUCAAUUGAUUAGUUUAGUUGAACCAGUAGCUCGAAUACAAGUCAUUAAUGUGCAUUUUCAAAUGUUCUUUAUGCGGCAUCUAGUGUGACAGCAAGUAACUCAUGCAGCCAAAUCAAAAGGCCAGCGGACUAAAGCUUUCCUUCGAGUUCUGAAAUAUUCUACUGGAGGAAUUCUUGAGGUAACUAAAUGCUUAAAUGCCAUCUUCAUGACGUAUUACUAUGCACGUAGAUCAUUUUCACUUUGAUUUUGCUAUUCAUGUUACAUGCUUAAACCUCAUCAUGCAAGCGGUACACUUUUAAUAUCUUUUAACUCUUUUGCGUCUUUAUGAGACCUUCCAGGACUCUCCAUAUGGUGAUUACUGUUCGCCCUUACCCAAUUGUGCGGUACUGUGCAAUAAGAAAGCUCCUUAGAUGAAAUGAAAUGAAAGUGGUCUUUGUGGGUUUCGACAUGUUGAUGCUUUUAUAAUCUUUGUGAUUUACAUUUUGCCAAUUGCUAAUGUAGACAAUAACCAAAAGGUCUUAACGAGUUCCUGAAGGUGUUUCUUAUUCGCUUGUUUUGUAUUGUAGCCGGCGAAGAUUUACAAACUGAAGCAUCUUUCAAAAGUGGAGGUUAUUCAAAAUGAUCCCAGUGGUUGUACCUUUAUGCUGGUACGCUCUUUUAUCUUACUCUACUUGUUUGUUUCCAACUUGUCAAAAUGUUUCGUUUUGAUUUCGCAUAAGAAGAGAACAACAGAAUCUAUUAUAUUUUUCCUACAUGCUAUUCUGUUUUUGAUCCUUAAGCAGAUCAUUUUGUUUCUUUUAGGGAUUUGAUAACCUUCGAAUGCAAAGUGUUGCACCUCCUCAAUGGACGAUGCGCAACAAAGAUGACAGGUAAUAGUAGGGAAUGCUCGGAGGUCAUUACUGAAGAUUUCACAUGUGUUCUUACUAACAAUAUGGUUUUUGGUUUCACUUACCAUUGUCUACUUGUAGGAACCGGAUUCUUAUGUGCAUUUUAAACAUGUGCAAGGAGAUAUUAGGUGGUAUCCCUAAAGUUGUUGGUAUAGACAUUGUCGAGAUGGCUCUAUGGGCAAAGGUGCAUUUAAAAGGAAAUUCUUUUUCUGCAGUCACUCACAAUUUUUGGCUGUAUCCCUUACAAAUAUUUUGCAAAAGGGGCUACAAAGUUGGGGUUCGACCCAAAUUUAGAGUUAAUAUUGGACUAGGUAAGAAAUUAUAAUUGAUGUUCCAUGGAACAAGUACUACACUAAUAAAGGACUUACCUGAUAAGAAUACAUUGAGAAGACAGAGCUAUUACAGUUCAGAAGGUUGACAAGGCCAGAGUGAGUUGUUAUAUUGUGGGCAUCAAAGGAUAGUAUUUAUCGCACCUCAUCAAGAGUUUAGACCUAAGAUAUUGAUGGCUAAUUUCACCUAAGGGCAGAGUAUUGCUAGGGUAACCAAAUAUAGUGAACUUCAGUGUCCACAUUAAGAUCCAUAUUUUAGGGCCUUCAUUCCGCUUAAUUAUGACCAUACUACCUAGUUUCAUGCUAGUUUGAACUUUAUGUCCUUUUAUCUCUAUACUUCCUAUAUUUUCUAUAAUCACAUGCUACACAUCCUUUGCAAUCUACCCGUUAGAUAAUGUCCAAAAAGGAAAAGUGCAAGCUUCUAAUGAUGAGGUAAAACCCCAAGAUGAAAUAGAUUACCAUGUUGAGGGCUUUAUCCCACAUAGUCAUACAAACUAAACUAGUUUCAUUAGUUGAUUUUUGAGGUGAUGGAUUGAUUAUAUUGAUCCACUUAACAAACUAUAUAUAGCCAUAAUAGUAGAUUCUAAAGAGUAAGGAUUAAAUUGGUCCAAUGGUGUCUGACCCAAAUCUCAUGGCUUAAAUUAUAUAGCUAACACUCAUUAGUAUCUUAAUAGUGAAACUAACUUAAAUGUUUCUUAAUCUCGUUUAGGAAAAUACUCCCGCAAAAACUAGUCAAGUGGCAACUAAAGAUGGACCAGCAACAUCUGUUAUGACAGAGAAUGACUCACAAAUUACUGUCGAAAGAGAUCUUGUUUCACAAGCUGAAGAAGAGGACAUGGAGGCCCUUCUUGGCACGUAUGCUAGUUUCCUAACUUCAAGUUUUAUGUUUUGUUCUAUCUGUGAAAUUCUCAUUUAAACUGGUAUAAUAAUGUGCACACUUCAUUCUAUCGUUGAAUUGCUAGUGUUUGAGGUGAAUGGAUAUGUAUUCACAAUUUCACAUAAUAACUUAGCGAUUUAUUAAAAUUUUUAUGUUACUUUAUUGUAGCACGAAAUGGGUUGUGAUACCAUUUCCAUUCUGCAAUUUAACGAAGUUUUAGUUCUAUUGCUCUUCUGGUUUCUAUUUUGCUUGACAAUUUUCAACUGAAAAAUAUUGGUUGGCACCAAGCUGAGACAUUUUUUUAUGUUUGUUAUCCACAUACGUACUAUGUCACCAAGUAUUUCUGUAAUUUUCUUUCUCUUUGUAUUCCCUCACAUAGAAAUAUAUAAUCUUAAAGAUAGUUCAUUCUUGGAACUAUCAAGGCUAUUGAUAAUAUCAAUACAAGUCAUAUAAUAAAUGUUACAUAUAAAAUUUGCAUUGUCUCAGGGCUGCAUGUUGCUAUAUCUGAACUCGCAAUGCAUAAUAUCUACUAUAUAAAGCAUUAUUAAAUUCAAAAUAUUUAAACCUUUAUCUGCAUCAAAAGAUAGAUGAAACAAGGAUAAAGGUGAAGAUACCUUGCCCAUACUUUCAUAUUCAUCUACUUUUUCUUUUUGGUUUGUUCAUUAAUAUAUGUAAUUUUUAAUAACUUAAAUGCAGUACUAAUUUGUAUACUCUGUAGGUAUGUUAUGGGCAUUGGUGAAGCAGAGGCAUUUUCAAAAAGAUUGAAGCGGGAGCUUCUAGCUCUGGAAGCUGCAAAUGUCCAUGCCCUUUUGGAAAGCGAGCCUAUAGUAGAAGAGGUUCUUUUUACCUAGUCUUCGCUUCAUACAAGAUGUUAAACAUGAUGAUGAUCAAUAUAUGAUAAAUUAUAAUUUCAUAGAUUUUUUUAAGAAAUUAUUCAGAAUUUCUGGCAUAUAGAAAAUGCAAUUAAUGGCAGUAAAUAUCAAGAAGGAAUAAAGUGACCCAAAUAGCUAGUAACGGUGAAGUUCUAUUUUUAUGCACUGUUGCAGUUUCCUAUUUUGUUUCGAUUGUUUGCUUUUCUUCUUUUAUAGAAUACAAAUUAUUGAUCAACUAACAUCGUGAAGUAGCAAGUCUAACACCUAAAAACUGAAUCCCAGGAAAAUAGUGAGGUAGUGCAUUAUCACUUUAUACGCAAUCUAGGCUAAUCAAGAGGAAACAAUCUCCAGAAAGUACGUCUUAGUCUCCACAAGGGGCCAUGUGAGAGUAAAACUCCAUAACAUUUCACAACACAUGCCUGUCAUGAGAUUUUAUCUGCUAAUUUCUAAUAGUUACAAUUUUGUUCUGGUUUAUAACUUUGCUGCAACCCUUUGAGGUGCUUCAUUGGACCCUAACCUUAUUUCUAUAUUAUAAUUCAGCUUUUUUUAAAAAUAAAUAUUGAGCUGCUGAAAAAUCAAAUCAGCUCCAAAAGUGUCUAUGCCAGCUGAAUAGAUAAUAAUAUCAAUGUACUUGCCUUCUCUUUAAAAUUAUACAGUAAUUGCAUACUCGUAAUAAUUGCAAAUUCCAAACUAUGCAGGUACUUCAGGGUCUAGAAGCAGCUAGUAUAUGUGUGGAAGAUAUGGAUGAGUGGCUUGGUAUUUUCAAUGUGAAGCUUAGACAUAUGAGAGAAGACAUUGAAUCGGUAUGGUAUUCACAGCCUACUGAUACUACAUAGCAAAUUUCGCCAUUAAGAGCAUAUUUAAUCUUCAUCUGUCAAGGUGAUGUAAAGAUUUAAAAAGUAUUUUCACAGCACAAUCAUGCGAGAAGCCAACACAAUAUUUUAUAUUUUUUUCCUGCACAGUUUGCACACUUUAUCCUUUCUACUUUCCAUUAUUUCCAAACCAAGAAAUCUUUACAUAUUUAUGCGAUAUCUGAAAUUUAAAGCCUCAAUUGUCAUCACUCACAAUAUCUGAUACUUAGUUUGUCGCAGAUAGAAUCUCGUAACAAUAAGUUGGAGUUGCAAUCGGUAAGUAACAAAGUGCUUAUUGAGGAGCUCGAUAAGUUACUUGAGCGCUUACAAAUACCUUCAGAGGUGCGCUUGCCGCUCAUUUAAUGUCAUAUACCUUCCUCUUAUGAUGGUAUUUUGAUUGAAUUUUCUUAAUAAUUAUUUUCCAAUUGUUGAUACCAUUGAGUUGAUGAUAGUUCGAAGCAGCUCUAACUGGAGGUUCAUUUGAUGAGGCAAAUAUGAUUAAGAACAUUGAAGCCUGUGAGUGGUUAACUGGUGCGAUAAAGAAUAUUGAAGUGCCAAAUUUGGAGCCAUGCUAUGCAAAAUUACGAGCUGUAUGCCUUUUCCUUUUGCUUGGAUAAUAAUUUCUCUGUGCAUAAGUAGCAUCAAAUUUGACAAAUUUACUGGGUUGACAGAAGCUAUAAAAUCUAAUUUCUUGAUGACUGUAUAAUAAAUAAUACCAACCUUAGGAUACAGAGGAUCUGGAUAAAGCCUAUAAUCAUAUAUGAUCUAUAUAUUAUGUGGCAAAGAACUAAUAUAUAUUGGCAGUAAUUUCAUUGCACUUCGUUCUUGUCCUUUUGUUUACUGUUAACAUGAAAUCUAAUAUAACAGUAGAGUAAAGAUCAUUAGUUUCUGCAACUUCUGAGUUUCCUAGUGGAAUCUUAAUGAACCAUUCAUUUGUCGCACUGCAUUUACAUAUUACAUUUUACCUUAGGUCAUUCGUUGCUGUUGCUUUGCAUCUGGAGUUUGAAUGAACUUAUUAUUAAUAUCUUUACAGGUCAAGGAAAAACGUGCCGAAUUUGUGUUGCUGAAGUGUACAUUUGUUCGGCGGGCAUCAGAAUUUCUAAGAAAUUACUUUCCUAGUUUAAUUGAUUUUAUGAUAAAUGACAAGAGUUAUUUUUCUCAGGUAAUGACAUAGUUUCAUUAUCUGCUAAUCAUUGCAAACAAGUAGUUUCAGGAUUUUUACCUAAUUAUGCUUUUCAGCGAGGACAGCUGAAGAGGCCUGACCAUGCUGAUCUUAGAUACAAGUGCAGGAUAUAUGCACGACUUCUGCAGCACAUAAAGGUCCUUUUUUUUUUGAGAAAGUCAAGGAGUGAGCAUUAGCUUUAAGUCGUAGUGCUUUUUCAUGAUUCUGACUUGCAAAUCUUUCAGUCUCUGGACAAGAAUUGUCUGGGACCACUGAGGAAAGCGUACUGCCAUUCUCUUAACCUGCUACUCCGUCGAGAGGUCAGGAGUGAAAUUGUACUUUAAAAUUUGACCAGUAUAUAUAUUUUUCCUUUGAAUUUCUAAUUAUUUCUGCUUAAAUAAGAACAUGAUAAUAUAUGCUGUUGACCAAUAAUGACGAUUUCUACAAGAGUAGAUUAACUAUCUUGCAGAAUUGCACAAAUGUGCAUUCAUUGACAUCAAUAUUAUGAUUUAUUCAGACUGGGAAUUACUUCUUAGGUCAUUAAUUUAUUCUUAAAGAAAAUUGAGCGAAUCUGGGAUUCGGUUGUGCUUCUUAGCUUUGCAAUUUGCUGUCUAUAUUCAUUCAAGAAAACCAUCCUAAGGAACUUUCUUUUUUUGGUAAAAAAAAAAAAUAGGAUUGAAAAUAUUUUGUCCCCGAGGAUGAAGUGGCCAUUUUGAAUCAGCCCCCUCUACUAUAUUUCGAUUGUCACUUCUUCGGCAUUUUUUGUUUUGAUUCAAGGCAUUCUGUCAACUGAAAUUGGGAAUGCUGUUAAACAUAAUGGCACACUUUAAAGAUAGCGGGAUAGUUGGUUCUAUUUGUUUAAGAGGAUGGCUUUGAUUAUGUAAUAGCAGUAAUGAAAUAAAUUAUGAAUUUGUGCUAUAUCUAUUUACUUUAUUUGGGCUUUGUGUUUCACAGGCCCGUGAAUUUUCUAAUGAACUUCGUGCUAGUACAAAGGUAUCAAAGAGUUCUACUGUUUGGCUUGAGGGCCCUCCAGGUUCAAGUCAGACAACUAAUAGUGCUGAUAGUUCUUCAGCUUCUGAAGCAUACUCAAGGAUGCUCACAGUAUUUAUUCCUCUUCUCGUAGAUGAGGUAAUAUUAUUUUAUUCUUCCAUAUGUUUCAUCUAACACAGGCAUGCCUUGGAACAGAAAUAUUUUAACUGUUAUUUUCAUUGUAGAGCUCUUUCUUUGCACACUUCAUGUGUUUUGAAGUGUCUGCACUUGCUCCAUCUGAGUCCUUUGGCAGUAACAAAUUUGGAUCUGAUGGCACAGAAACAAAUCUAGCUGCUCACACUGGAAGUGAUGUCAAGCACAGUAAUAUUCUUGCCUAUGUUGUUAAGAUAAAUUUUAAUACUAUGCCUUUUCUUCUGCAUUAUGUGUACAAAUUUGAAGUAAUAUCAAAUUCUUGUGAUUCUCCCUGCAGAGAAUAAUUCAAAUGAAUUGGAAAUUCUAAAUGAAUGUCUUCGAGAGUUGCUUGACGGAAUCCAGGUUAGUUUUCUGUAGUUGUAAGAAAUUUUCUUAUGCAUUACAGCUGACUCUGAAUUUGAAUCAUGUCAUACCAUAAAUGCGUAAUGUGCUUGCUGGCGAAAUCUUUACUAAUUUUGUUGCUUUUAUUCUUCACAUUUCUAAGUCUGCAGUGUAUAUGCUAUUAAGCUUUUUCAUAUGAAAGCAUUAUGCCUAAAUGUAGGAGGCUGUUGAUCUUAUUAACAGUAAAGCUUUUUCAUAUGAAAGCUUUAUGCCUAAACUAUAAAUGCCGUUAUCCUUACAUAAUGCAAGUAUAAUAGUGAGCUGUUUUGCCAGACAUUUGAAAGAGGUACUGAUUAGUUAGAAACUCCAAUUCUGCAAUAUUACUAUAUUCAGCUAGACUAUGAGAUGAUUCUUUAUGUCAUUUUCCAACGUCAAGUUAUGUGCUAUAUAUAUAUUUUUCAUGACAAACUUUAGAACAGCAACAUUAGGCUCAUUGUGGGACUUCACUUAUUUACUUAUUAUUCUAACUUACUAUCUCAGGAAGACUUCUAUUCUGUGGUAGAUUGGGCAUGCAAAAUUGAUUCGCUUUGUUGCAUAUCGAUGCACGGUAUCACAGACCGCUAUCUUUCUACUCAAAAAGCUGAUGUAGCAGGAUUUGUUCGUGUGUUGCUUGAUGACCUAGAGACCAGAGUUUCCAUGCUCUUCAGCAGGGUUUGUUUAUAUGCAAUAUGAUUUUUUGGUUGUCCUAGACACUUUGGAAUUGCAUGCAACAGACAUCUGACUAACUUUUGUUUCCUUUUUUCCUUUUUCAUCUAGUUUGUUGAUGAUGCUUGUUAUCAGAUUGAGAAAUAUGAAAAGAAUGUGCGACAAAUGGGAGUUCUACCAUAUAUACCAAGGUUUGCAACACUUCUUCCUUGAAACCGUCGAUGCGUGUUUUCUUGUACGGUUGAUUUUUUUUCAACACCAGUUCUCUUCUGCUAUUAUAAUCUGUAAUAUAAACAGAUCAUAGUUUGAUAUUUGAAACCAAGUAUUUUAUUCAAUAUCAUCACAAAUUUGGGGCUGUUUGGUUGGAUGUAAUUUUAAAUAUCGUACAACUAAAGAUGCAUAUAGUUAAAAAUGCAGCAGUUACAACUAUAUGUAUUUUGUUUGGUUGGAUGUAAUAGAAAAUACUGCAACAUAAAUAGUUUGUUAGAUGCAUGCAGUUAGAAACUAUAUUUAUAAAUUUUGUCACUUUGUAUAUGGGUUGGGUAAGAUUACCAUCAAGGCAUCAAUACAGAAGAAAAAAAAUAUUUUUUUUGUUAUAUAACUUGUAAAUCAAUGCAGUUAAAAUAACAGAGACAAUAGAAUAGAGGCAUAAGAUAUUAAACAAAGUAGGAAUUUAGGUUGUAGAACAUUAAAUGGUAAAAUCAAACAUGGAGAAAAGAGGGAGUUCUAUUGCAUAAUUGAUUAUCAGAUCAGAUGUAAUGCAAUUUUGAUUUUAACAGCUAUUUUUGGUAUUUUGUUUUGUUCUCUAGAAAGUAAGAUAUGUUAAGUUUACAUAAGCUCUUCCCACUUUGAGAUAUUUUUCCUUAAUAUUCCGUCUAGUUUAUAAAAAUGUACUAAGGCCGUAUUGUUCCCUUGGUUAGCUUUAAUUUACAAUGCUCUAGCAUAAAUCUGCAAUCUAUUAUUCUUCGUAGAUUUGCUACGCUGGCAACACGUAUGGAACAGUAUAUACAAGGGCAAUCUAGGGAUUUGGUCGAUCAAGCAUAUACAAAAAUUGUGAGUUCCACUCUACCCAGUUGGACACACCACUUGAUACCAGUAAUACCUGGCCCUUUCCUUCUUUUUUUUUUGAAAAUAAACUUGCGACAAUUGUACGCUUUUUUUUUUUUUUUUUUUGUACUUUAACAUUAUUUCAGAAUACCAGGUCUGCAAGUUUAAAUAAUGGGCAUCUAACCUAGCAUCUCCUCCUUAUUGGUGGCUUAAGUUAUAUAUCUGAUGUUUUAUUGAACGUUCUCUCAAAUUUACUAAAUGAUAAUUUGUAAAAUUUGAAAUAGGUCAGCAUAAUGUUCGUUACCUUGGAGAGGGUUGCACAAGUGGAGCCAAAGUAUGCCGAUAUCGUGCUAUUGGAGAAUUAUGCAGCUUUUCAGCACAGGUUGUGAAAAACUGACCUUCACUGACAGAUUAUUCAUUAUUCAUGUAAUCUGAAGAAACAAGUCUGCUCUCCUGAUACAUAUGUUCUUUUUUCUUCAGUCUCUAUGAUUUAGCUAAUGUUGUGCCAACACUUGCUAAGUUCUACCAUCAAGCAAGUGAAUCCUAUGAACAAGCUUGCUUGCGCCAUAUUAAUAUGGUCAUCUACAUUGUAAGGACUUCUUUAUCUCUAUCCAUAUAUUUCUUCCCCUAAUCUGGUAGCUAUUCUUUCAUGAGAUGCACAUACUUCUUCCCCUAAUCAGGGAAUUAUUCUUUCAUGAGAUGCACUAUUUAUAUUGAGGAAAGGUGCUCUUUACUAAGUAACGAACAAGACAAAACAAAAACACUUCUAUAAACCAUAUAUAGGCUAGGAUCUUGUCCGGAGUACUGACGCUCCUACAGCAUAUCCCUCCCCAGCAAAUCAUUUUUUUCUGUCAUCUCAAACUUCUUUUUUUUGUCAACUUAAGGCAUAAGAAGAUAUAUAUAUGUGUGUGUGUGUGUGUGUGUGUGUGUGUGUGUGUCUCAUCUCCAGAUUUAUAAUUGAAUUUUGCUUUUGCAGCCAACUCAUAUUGUCUUACAUGUAUCCAGAAAGAAAAGAGUUUUUUCCUUAUAUGCAUCCAUAUCUUCUAGUUCCCAAGGAAUGGUUUGUUCCUAGUGAUCAUUUCAUAUGAAGCAAUGCGUUAGUCAAUGAUUUGGAUCAAUCGCAACGAAUCUCCAGCAUCUAGAAAGCUUAUGAGUAUCAGUUCUUGUGUCAGAAUUUUGGAGAUGCUUUUGUGUUAGUAUUUUUUAUUUAUGUAGUGGUUUGACUCAAACCUGCUAUCUUGAUAUGGCAAGCCCGCUGAGGACAUCAUACAUAAAUAUGUUUUUAUGUGCUAAUGUGUGGUGGUUGAAUGGGUAUAUCAGCAUAUGCAUGUGUGGAUGUGUAUAUGUGCACUCGCAUGCUCAUGCAUGUGUGCAUGUGUGCCAAGAUGUUUUCUUAUAACCAUGUUACUUAUUGCAGCACUUUGAGAAAUUAUUCCAGUUCGCAAGAAGAAUUGAGGAAUUGAUGUUCACAAUUGCUCCUGAGGAGGUAAGACAAUCUUGAAUAGGGCCUACAACUUGCUAAUGCAUCUUUUCUUGUAGUUUACAAUAUGGUGUUCAAUUUUAACAGCUCUUGCUUCAUUAUCUAAUGAUGUUACUUCCCCUAUGACCUGCUCCGUCCACUAGUCAUCUGUCUGUGCUAUCAUGCUUGACUAAAUGUUGGAGACAAAAGCUCAAACUGCAUCUAGUUGUACUUAAUUUUAUACCUAAUCUUUUCUAAUAUUAAAAUUUGCAGAUCCCAUUCCAAAUUGGAAUGUCAAAGAUGGAACUUCGAAAGACACUAAAAUCCAGCUUAUCAGGAGUAAGUUGCAAUAUUUAUUUUAGUCUCAUCUUUCUGUCUUAAGUGCACUUCUAAUUAUUUGGCUGUCAUUUUGAGAUGGUGAGAAUAUUAUCUUCAUUUUUUAUGUCUUUGCUGCACUUAUGGCCAUUUAUUAUUAUUAUUUUUUUUACAGCUUGACAAGACCGUAAGUGCAAUGUAUAGGAAACUACAGAAGAAUUUAACUGCAGAAGAGUUGUUGCCUUCAUUGUGGGAAAAAUGCAAGGUCUGUUUUAUCAUUUGCUCUGAUCAAAACAUGCCAAGAGAAUUAGAGAAUAUCUUAUUCGACUACAUGAACCAAAUAUAUAUAUAUACAUACUACUAAAGAGACGGCUGGUGGACUCAUUCGCUGGCCCUCUUCGAUAUCUAUCUGUCUUUCGAUUCAUCUAUGUUUAUGCCUUUUUUUACAGAUACGUCAAAUAUUCUUAAAGAAUUAGUUGAAAAAAGCAUAAAAAAAAAUCUGAUUUGAAUCAUUUCAUCCAUUGAUUUAAAACUAGGAAGCUAAAAAUCCAAUUCCUUUUGUCAAACACCUGGGGAGAAAACAUCUUCCAUAAAGUAAACUCAUUGUAAACACCCCUGGGAUACAAGAAAAGAGAGUAGAGGGAGGAAUGGCUUAACUGCCCCUUAAGCCAUUCUGACUACUACCUCUCUUAAUCCAUAGGGUAUAGAAUUCAAUAUAUAAUAAUAAAUUGAAUUCGAGACACACACACACACACACACAUAUAUUAAGAAAGAGAGAGUGGGAGUUCUUUUCUCUGUUUGAUUUUUUUUUUUUAAAAAAAGAGGGGCAAAACGGGUGCUUUUUUAAUUUAUUACUCCUUUCAACUCAAUUUAUUGUAUUAUAGGUAAUGUUUCCACAGAGACGCAGUUAUCAUUUUCUAUGGUGUGUUGGCAGCACUAGAAUAAUGUGUUGAUUUAAUAGUUUCAGCACAUUGAAUUAUUUUCUCAAUUUCGUUUUGUUUAUAUGAACCUGUUUUGUUCUUGCUGCCUUGUUGUGUGUCUGCACUUUGCCGCACUAUUUCUGCUCUUACCAUGUUUUAAAUAAAUAUCAUUGGUAAUUUCCCCAAAAAACAAAAUCAACUGAUUCAGAUAUUGAUAAGAUUGCUGCAAAUUACGAAUAAAUUUGGUGGUAAAAUAUUUGAAUUUGUUCCAAUUUGGGUCCCGCAGAAAGAGUUUUUGGACAAAUAUGGAAGUUUUCUUAAACUGGUAGCAAAAAUAUAUCCAAAUGAGACCGUCUCCUCGGUGGCCGAGAUGAGAGAACUCCUUAGUACAAUGUAGGAGAUUGCUCCAGGUUUUUCAUCAUCCUCAAGGUUGGAUAAGCUUAAUUUGUUUUUCAUUGAUUGGUGUAAGUUCCUUUCUGCUUUGCUUUCUAGUUGAUAUACUUGGUUUUGAACAGCCUUACAUCCAAUCGUCUCGUCUGAACUGAUGCAGGUAUAUUACUUUGGAAGAAGCUAAUGCAGUACCUGCAGGUAGCACUUGGAAUUCUUUAAUUCUUUUAAUUCUUUCUUUCUUUCUUUUCAGUUCUUGUUUUUUCCCUAAAUGAGGUUCUCAUUGAGGUGCAUGCAAUCCAGUCAAUUUGGUUGGCAGGAACUGUCUAUCCUUUGUAUUAUCUCAUUAGAUUUUUGAAGCAGAUGACUGAGACGAACAGAUUCUUUAGUUCAUAAAGUUAAAAAAAAUAUAUUCAGUGGCGACGGAUAUGAAACUACAAUUAGCUUUCGGCCUGUUUUGCCUUCAGUUUUUCUAGCGGUCUUGCUCAACAAUUUUAAAUAUCGGUUGCAAUCAAUAAAAAAUUAAUAUAACAAUUAAAAUAUUAGUAGAUAAUAUUAAAGUAAUAAAAAAAUAUUAACAUAAAAUGAAAAGAUACUAAAUAUUUUAAGAUUUAUCUCUUAGAGAAAAGAGAAUUAAAAGUUUAUUUUGUUAUGUUACUUAUUUUACGUAAGAAAAAAUAGGAAUCAAAAAAAAAUUCCCAAAAAGUUGAUUUAUCGAGGUACCAAAAUUCAAAAUAAAAAGCAUUUAAAAAUUAAGAACUUUGAAUAAAAAUAUCUUGAGAGUGACUCAAAAAAUUCGAGAGACUUUGAAUAAAAAUAUCUUGAGAGUGACUCAAAAAAUUCGAGAGAGAGUAUACUCUUAUUAGUACGAGUGAAGACCCGCGCUUCGCAGCGGAAAAUAUAAGAAAAAAAAUCAAAAUAAAUAAUUAAAUAUUUAAAUUUUAAAAUAUUUUAUUAUUCAAAAUUUAAAUUUAAAUUUAGAAUAUAAAAUGUUGAAGUUUAAAAUUUAAAUUUUAAUAUAUCAAAUUGAAAUUUCAAUAUUUAGAAUUUAAUAUUUGGAUUUUUAAAAUUCAAUGUAUAAUUAUAUAUAUAUAAUUCUCUCUCUCUCUUAUAUAUAAAUAUUUAUUAUAUUAUAUUUUUUUAUAAUUCUCUCUACCCCGCCCCCUCUCUUCUCUCUAUAAUUAUAAGUUAAUUUAUAUAUAUUCAAAUUUUAAUUGUUGCAUUUUAAAUUUAAAUUUUUUAUUUUUUUGUAUGUGAAAUCACAAUACUAAAAAAAAUUGGAAAGGGAAAAAAAAAAAAAAAGAAGAGAAAGAGAAUAUUAAUUCUAUCUCUCUCUCUAAAUAUAUAUAUAUAUAUAUAUAUAUAUAUAUAUAAAUUAAUAAUUGGGGGAUUUCGUCGAACACCUUGCGGGCAGCGACGGGAAGGCGGCAUCGCGCGUAGAGGGAGAUGAGGUGGUUGCAGAAGGGGGGAGACCCAGGGCGGGAACGCGCAGUCGCGCCGUUGGAUCCUCCGAUACAUGAGCGGGAUGUUGGCGUCGUCGAAGGGGAGCUGUCCCGCGAGGAGCACGAAGAGGAUGACCCCGCACGACCACGCUUCGGCGCGCGCCCCAUCGUACCCGUAGCAUUAGAAGUGAAACCCAGAAAUUUACCAUAUGCUUGAAAAAGCCUAGAAGUGUACGAUUCACUUCAUUUUACAAUUUGAUACUCAGAUAAAUAAUCCAGGGGACUAACACAAAUAAGGGGGAAUAAAAACUCAUUUUCAAGUUAACUUCUUUCGCUGCACACUAAUAAAUGCUACAAACACAGUCCAAAUCUCACAUAAUUUAUCUUGAAAAAGCAACUCCGUUUUCACAAAAUAAGCACUGAUUACUAUCUUGCAUCCAAAGCGCAUCUCAAAAGAAAUAUAUAUAUAUAUAUAUAUAAAAAAUGAAGCUGAGAGAGACGUAGAAAAAAUAAAUGUUCGUACAAUUAAAACAAACUAAUCCUAUGGGCCCUUCCAAUAAAUAAAUGAAAUUAAAGCUCCUAUGGCAUCUAACACACCCAAGAGAAAGUCUCAGAGCCAUUAAUAAACAGUACCGCGUAGGCUGGGGCCCCGCACGCCAUACGUAGGCGCCCGUCGCGGCCGCGCUGCUCCGCGAGGGCUGCGAGCCCGAAGUCGGAGAGCUUGAGCGCGCCGUCGCAGGCGAGGAUUAGUUUAAAAAAUUAUUAAUAAUUAUUAAUAAUUAUAAUUAUAUAUUAUUAAUAUAUAAUUAAUAUAUAAUUAUUAAUAAUUAUAUAUUAUAUAACUUCCGGCUACUAUACUAUCGAUAGUAUCAAACGCUUAGUGCUAUUUUUUUCACCGUAAGAUCUAUCCCUUUGACCACUUUCGUCCAUUAGAUCAUACUAUUCAGCCAACCACCUGCUCAAUCCUAGAGGAUCACUAUCAUCCUAACCGCACAUAUCUUCAUUCAAGAGCCGAAUAACUGAUAGCACCAAAAACUUNGAGGGCGGCGAGCCCGAAGUCGGAGAGCUUGAGCGCGCCGUCGCAGGCGAGGAUUAGUUUAAAAAAUUAUUAAUAAUUAUUAAUAAUUAUAAUUAUAUAUUAUUAAUAUAUAAUUAAUAUAUAAUUAUUAAUAAUUAUAUAUUAUAUAACAUUAUUGAUAAAUUUAAUUAAUUAAUUAAAUUUAUAGAGUUUAGAAAUUAAAAAUUUUAAACUUUAAAAUUUAAAAAUUGGAAAAAUAUGGUAUGCUAACAAUUAAAUUUCAAAUUUAAAUAUAAAAAUAUAAAAUUCAGAAAUUAAAAUUUUAAAAUCUCUCUCUCCUUCUCUCUCCCUUUCUCUCCCAGUCUCCCUCUCUGUCUUUCUCCACCUGGCUCUCUCUCUCUCUGCGGAUUUUUUUAUAAAACAACCCUCUAAAAUUUUAAAAUUUGUGAAAUAACCCACUCAAAAUUUUAUUUGUAAAACUAACCCUCUUUUCGCCACGUCGGCGCCACGUCAGAAUUUCUUUUAAAGGCGGUGAAUCGUUCACCGCGUUCUCCUAUUUCUUUUAAAGACGGUGAAUCAUUCACCGCGUUCUCCCAUUUCUUUUAAAGGCGGUAAAUCAUUCACCGUUUUCUCGCAUAACUUAUUUACCGUUAUGUUCUAUAUUCCAUAUAUAAUCCUAACAACCAUAUAAAAAUUCUAACAAAUUACAUAUAAUCUUAACUGCCUUUAUAUGAAGUUAUAUGGAUAAAUUAUUAAGAUUUAAAAGUUGUUAAGAUUAUAUGGGAUAUAGAAAGAAACAGUAAAUUAACAACCAUAUAAAAAUUCUAACAAAUUACAUAUANUCUACUCUCUCUCUCGUCUGUCUCUCUCUCUCCCUCUCUCUCUCGUCUGUCUCUCUCUCUCUCUCCCUCUCUCUCUCGUCUGUCUCUCUCUCUCUCUCCCUCUCUCUCUCGUCUGUCUCUCUCUCUCUCUCCCUCUCUCUCUCGUCUGUCUCUCUCUCUCUCUCCCUCUCUCUCUCGUCUGUCUCUCUCUCUCUCUCCCUCUCUCUCUCCUCUGUCUCUCUCUCCCUCUCUCUCUCGUCUGUGUCUCUCUCUCCCUCUCUCUCUAUCUCUCUCGUCUAUCUCUCUCUCUCUCUCUCCAUCUCUCUCUCCCCCCUGUGCCCCCGGAGUUCCCGGGCGCGCAUCUCUCUCUCCCCCCUGUGCCGCCCGGGCCCCAUGGGCUGGGCGCGGGGGGCGCGCGCCCCCGCGCGCCCUCUCUCUCUCUCUCUUUCUCUCUCUCUCUCUCCCCCCUGUGUCCCCCCUGGUUCCUCGGGCGCGCGCGCCCUCUCUCUCAGAGAGAGAGAGGGCGGUGGAGAAAUGGAGAGGGAGUGGGGGAAGAGAGAGGGAGAGGGUGGUGCUGGGGGGGAGAGAGGAGACGAGAGAGGGAGAGAGAGGGGGGGAGAGAAGGGGAGAAAAGGAGGGGGGGGGGCGAGAGAGAGAGAGAAACGGGGAGAGGGGUCACGCCCGCUCGCCGUCGCCCCCUCCUUCGCGCCCGCCCGCCGUCGCCCUCCGUCCCCGCGCCCUCGCCCGCCCGACGUCGCCCUCCGCCUCCUCGCCCGCUCCCGCGCCCCGAGGCGCACGACGCGCUCCAUGGCCGCUACGCCCCCGAGAGCGUGGGCUUGCACGACGCCUACGACCUCCACUACCGCUGCGCGAGGUUCUAGAUGGACCAGUGCACAGCGCUCCUCCGGCUCCGCGCUCGCUGCCGCGCCCCGCGCCCGCCGUCGCCCGUGCGGCGCCCGUGCGGCACCCCCACCCGCGGCCGCGGCCGCGCCCACACCCGAGUUCGCGACCGCGGCGCCCCGCUCCCGCCCGCGGAGCGAGGGGUCGAGAGAGAAAGAGAAAGAGAGAGGGGGAGAGAGAGUGAGAGAGAGGGGGUGCACGAACUGGGCGCGGGCCACCCAGGCGCGCGGGGCGCGGUACGUGCGCUGGGAGAGAGAAGGGGAGAAAAGAAGAGAAGGGAGGGUGGGGGGGCCCGAGAGAGGGAGAGAGAGGGAGGGGGGGCAGAGAGAGGGGGAGAAAAGGAGAGGGAUGGGGGCCAGAGAGAGAGGGGUCGCGCUCGCGGCCGCGCCACCGCCCGAGGCUGCGAUUGCGCCCGCGCCCGGCUCCCGGAGGGACGCCCGCGCCGUGUCCCGCGCCCGCGGCCGCGCCCCACCGUCCGUCCUGCCCGAGCUCCCCCGCCCGUGCCCGCGCCCCGCGUCCAUCCGGGCCCGCGCGCCCCGUCCCGCGACGAGCCCCCACGCCCCUCGACCGACGCGCCCACGCGCCCCGCCCCGCGCCGCGCCCGUACGCCCCGCGCCCGGGCCGCGCUCGUGGCCCAACCCUCCCCCCCGCGCAACCCCUCUCCCCGACUCCUUCUCUUCCCUUCUCUCUCUCUCUUUCUCUUUGCGACCCUCUCUCUUUCUCUCUCUAUCUCUCUCUCUCGUCUCUCUCUCUCGGUCCACCUCUUUCUGUCUCUCCCUCUGACCCUCUCUUUCUCUCUCUUUUCCUCUCUCUCUAAAAUUUUAAAAUUAAAGACUUAAAAUAUAAAAAUAUAAAUUUAAACUUUAAAUUGACAAUCGUAUGUUAUAAAAAAGGUUAAAAAUUUAAAAUUUCAAAUUUUAAAAAUUACAAUAUAUUAUAUAUUAAUAAUUAUUAAUAUAUAAUUAAUAUAUAAUUAUUAUAUAUUAAUAUUAAUAAUUAUUAAUAAUUAUUAAAAAAUUUGAUUAGGAGCGGACGCUGCCGCGCGAGUUCGAGAGGCUGAAGCCCGAGCGUCGGGAGCGCCUCGUCGCGCCGGCGCUGCCCGCGGAUGCAUACCGCACGCCCCGGGGUCGGAUGCGCCAUGACAAAUAAUUACCGAGACUCUGAAAGAGAACCCACACAAUCUACGGUAUCCUCGAAAUUAAAGUAAAUAAAUAACCUUCCCGGGUAUCCUAAUCAAACAAAAUUAACAUGCUUGUAAAUAAAAAAGAUGCCGUAAAGUAGGAGAGAGAUUCGAAGUAAAAAAAAAAAAAAAAAGAAAACUCUACGAGAAACCUACGUUCUAUCAUUAAUCACGAGUAAAACACUUUUGCCUCAACGAAAAGGUUCUAUUUAAUACACUCUAAACCUGACACAAACAUCGUAAAUAAUCACACGUCGCUUUCUUCAAUUGAACUUUUACUCAAAAAUAAGGGGGAAUAAACACAAUCAGGGGACCUAAUAAAUAGACUCAUAGUUUAACAUUUUACUUCACUUAGCAUGUGAAGAUCCGAAAAAGUUCGUAUACCAUUUAAAGACCCAAAGUGAAGAUUACGAUGCCCAUGCUACCCCGCGCGCGGCUUCGCACCAGCACGCCCCAGUAGGAGAAGCACGAGGAGCGCCCUGUCGAGGGGAAGCUGCUGCGGUUGUAGGGCGAGUACAUAGCCUCCUAGGUUGCCGCGCUGACGCGCAAGGGCGGGACCCAGAGGGGGGAAGACGUUGGUGGAGUAGAGGGAGAUGCGCGCUACGGCGGAAGGGCAGCGACGGGCGUUCCACAAGCUGCUUUAGGGGGUUAAUAUUUAAAUAUAUAUAUAUAUAUAUAUAUAUAUAUAUAUAUAUAUCUCUCUCUCUUUCUCUCUUCCUCGCGAGCGCGGAAGCCCCCGCGAAACGCGGGGAGGGCGCCGUACAUACUCAACUUUCAUUAUUUGUAUUGAUAGAACACUUAAAUUAUUUUCGAUAAUGGAGUUUUCGAAUCGAUGAUUCAUACUGUUAAAUAUAACCUAAAAUAUUUGAAAUUUAAAAAAAAUAAAUUUUGUAAUUUUUGAAAUAAUAAUAAGUCCAUCAAAUAGGCAUAAAAUGAACAAUCAAAAUUUAGUUUAAGAUGGAAGUUAUAGAUCACUAUCUAUAUAGUGAAUAAAAUUUUUUUAUUAAAAGGUCAACCAAUUUCGUUUUUUAUACUGUUAAACUGGUGAGCAUUCUAUACCGAUUGUGAAAAAUUAUCGAUUUAAAGAUUGGUUGAUCGUAAAGUAAAUGAUGUAAAAGAAAAUCUAAAAUUUAGUUUUUAGAAGUUUCAAAUGCUCUAAAUCAUGUUUAGCUGUAUAGAUCGUCAAUUCGAAAAUUUUAUCAUCGAAAAUGACUUAUGCAUACAAUAUCAAUUGUAUUCAUAAAAGUAUAAUAGCAGUUCUCUCUCUCUCUCUCUCUCUCUCUUUCUCUCUCUGUAUAGAGAGUCCGGUUACUAUGCUAUUAAUAGCACGAAGCACUUGGUACUACCAAAUUUUCCGCCGUUAGAUCGAUCCUUUUAAUCAUUUUCACCUGUUAGAUCAUACUAUUCAACCAACCAUUCACUCAACCCUAGAAGGCUCACAUCAUCCUAACCGCACAUCUCUUAAUCCAAUGGCCAAGAACUUGGUAGCACCAAUGACUUCGUGCUAUUAAUAGCAUAGUAGCCUAGUUACUCUCUCUCUCUCUCUCUCUCUCUCUCUCUAUAUAUAUAUAUAUAUAUAUAUAUGAGUUGAGCUAUGAUACUUUUACAAGUAUCACCAUCAUGGUACUAUUAGGUUUUAAGCCAUUGGAUCUACUUUUUGAUUAUUAAUAGCCCUUGGAUUAAACACUAUUCCACCUACCACCACCUACUACUAUCAUCUCAACAUCACAUCUCUCCAUCCAAGGGCUAAAAACACACAAGUAUCACCCCCAUGAUACUUUUAAAAGUAUUCUAGCCCUACUCUAUAUAUAUAUAUAUAUAGAGAGAGAGAGAGAGAGAGAGAGAGAGUGAGGCUACUAUGCUUCUGGAAGGCUUCCAGGUCGUUUUCGAUGUUGCGAUUUUUGAAUCGUCGAUCGGCUCCAUUAAACUUGAUAAUAUUUGAAGUAUCUAGAAAAUAAAUUUUGUAAUUUUUCGAUAUCAUUUGCCUAGUGAACGAAGGGGCUCAAAAUCAACGGCUGACAAUAAAAAUCUUACAAAACGUGAUAAUAUGACAUUAAAACUUUAGAUUAAAGAUAUUGAUCUUAUUUUAUAUAGUAUAAAAAACUUACUAUCAAAAUUUUACGUGAUUUGGAUAUUUCUACACUGUUAAACUUGCAAACGGCUCACUACGGCCAUUAAAAUUAUUUAAUUUUGAGCCAUUUCGAUCACUAGGCAAAUGAUAUCGAAAAAUUACAAAAUUUAUUUUCUAGGUACUUCAAAUACUCUAGAUCAAGUUUAACGGAGCCGAUCGACGAUUUGAAAGUCGAAACAUCGAAAACGAUCUGGAAGCACGGAAGGCUCCGUACUUCAAGAAGCAUAGAAGCCUCACUCUCUCUCUCUCUCUCUCUCUCUCUCUCUCUCUCUAUAUAUAUAUAUAUAUAUAUAUAUAUAUAUAUAUAUAUAUCUAACUAUAACUCUAUAUGAAUCCCUAAUAAAAUUGAUGACAUGGCAAGCCCUCCUUUUUUUUAAUUUUUUAUAUUUUUUAUAUUUUUUAAUGGUGAUUCAUUAUUCUUUAUUCUUACAUUUAAUGUUCUUAAUAGUUAUAACUCCAUUAAUACUCACCUCUUAAUUACUCUUUAAUUUUAUUUAUAUCUCCUUUAAAUUUUUUAAUAGUGAAAUAUUUAAGACAUUAAUUAUAAAGGAAAAAAACUGUCUAAUUAUUGCCCAAGAAUAAUUACUUCAGUUUUAUAUGUUUAUAUUUUUACUAUCUUAUUAUAUUUAAUGUUGCUAAUGAUAGCUAUAUAUUACAUGCAUAUGUUUUUCUUUCCUAAUUAAUUAAAUAAAUACUAUACUUUAGAUAACAAAUUAAUAUGUGGUAGUAAAGAUAGCUUCUCCAAAUCCUAAAUCCUAAAAUCCCAACCUUUCCUCUCCCUCCGCACCCUCCCUUGCCACCGCCCCUCCGAUCGGUGGCGCCUCCUCUCUGCCGGCCCCGCCGCCGUCCACACGGCGGUGGCCAUCUAGAAGGAGACCUCGGAGGAGGAGCGGCUGGAGACCUUCCUUCGCAUGGCGGAUCUCGCUAUUGCCACGUCCGUGCGUGCGCGGUUCGAGCGGAUGAUCCGCGAGGCCCUUGACGAGGUGUGCGCGGCGCUCAAGGCCGUGGACGGGGGCGCCGCGUUCAAGGAGGAUGUGUGAUCGCGCCCAUUUGCAACAAUUUCAAACUCUUAUACGACCCCCACUCCUACCCUCGAUCACUCCUUUCUCGAAAAAAAGUAAGAACUCUAUAAGUUUUUAAUUUUUAUCCGCUGCAUCGCAUGAAUUCCUACACUAUAUACAUUAUUACUAAACUGAAAAUAUAACUAAAAUAUCUCUAUUUCCGAUAUAGGGACAACUCAUUCUUUUUUAUACUAUUCAUGAAAAUUUAGGCAUGGAGUGAGGUUUAAUAUCUAAAUUUUUUUCGACAGCUUUCUUUAUUUAUUUAUUUAUACAGAAUCUACCUGCUACAACGCGCGGGUGCCUUCACUAGUAUAUAUAGAGUAUGGCUACUGUGCUAUUAGGAGUACAAUAGUCCUUGUGCUCCUAAGUUUCUAACUACUCAUCAAGUUUGAUGGGUGGUUAAAAUGAGAGAUGGAGGAGAUAUUGAAGAGAAAUUCAAAGAGAAGGGAAAUUGCGACACCCAAUUUCUCUUUAAUAUCUCCUCCCAUUCUCAUUUUAACCACCUAUCAAACUUGAUGGGUGUUUAGAAACUUAGGAGCACAAAGGCUACUGUGCUCCUAAUAGAAUAGUAGCCGUGCUCUAUAUUUACAUAAAUUGAAAGUAUGAUUUAAUUUUUAAUAAUUAUGCUGAUAUGUGUGAAAUUUAAGGGACCAAUAAAAAAAAGGGAAAAUUUCAAAAACCCCCCCUGUGGUUUCACACUUUUUCAUUUUAGUACCCUGUGGUUUAAAAUGUAUCAAGUUAGUACCCUGUGGUUUCUCACUUUAUCACUUUAGUACCCUGUGGUUUAAAGUGUAUCAAGUUAGUACUCUGUGGUUUUGCACUUUAUCACUUUAGUACCCUGUGGUUUAAAGUGUAUCAAGUUAGUACCCUGUGGUUUUGUACUUUAUCACUUUAGUACCCUAUGGUUUCACACUUUAUCACUUUAGUACCUUAUGGUUUAAAAAACCAUAGAAUACUAAUUUGAUACAAAAUUAAAACCACAGGGUACUAAAGUGAUAAAGUGCAAAACUACAGGGUACUAAUUUGAUACAUUUUAAACCACAUGAUAUUAAAGUGAUAAAGUGAGAAACCACAUGGUACUAACUUGAUACAUUUUAAACCACAUGGUACUAAAGUGAUAAAAAUUGAAACCACAUGGGGGAUUUUUGAAGUUUUCCCAUAUAUAUAUAUAUAUAUGGAUGUGUAUAUAAACAGUAUUAUAGAAAAUUUGAAUUUUUGAAGAAAGUUGGAAAGAAAUUAUUAUCUGCACUUGGUGUAUCUAUAGACAUCUUGCAUCGUACUAAUUUUUUAUGACUAAUUUCUUAGACUAUAGCAUGAUCAUCUAAAGGUUCUACAUGCAAAAAAUGUAUAAAAAUUCUAAAAUUUGUUACGAGGAAAUCAAAUAAUCUUAAAAAUAAAAAAUUUAGAAACAAACAUAAUUCAAUUAAUAAACAAUGACUUGGAACCGUGCACAAAUUUAAUUUAAAAGAUAUUAAAUUUUGAUGCUAAAACCAAACUCCUAUAUUUAUAUAGAAAAAAAAGAUGGUGGUUUGCGAAUUCCUACGAUUUAAAGACCACAAGAAUUAUAAAUUUCUUCCCCAUUAAAUUUUUUUUUUUUUUUUUGAGAGAAAGGUCGCAUGCUACCUGUUUCGUUUAUUUCAUUUAGAAAUAAAAUUAGUUGGAAAUGCUUCCCCAUUAAAUUUCUAAUGCAAAUUUAUGAAUGGACUUAUACACCGGGUCUAGGCAAAAGUAUCUCCAAUCUCCCGCCAUUUUCCAUUUCCCCAAUUCCUCCGCUCCUAUAAAACGCACUCCUCGAUAGCGUGCUCCCUCUUCGCGAUGCUUCUCCACUCCCUCCUCCUUAGAACCCUAACCCUAGCCCCUUUCAUCGUCCCCGAUCCUCUCCCCUCUCCUUGAGACCCAUCCGCCUCCACCGCCUCCGCGAUCUCUGCCGGGAAGCGCGAGCUCUCGGCGGCGGCUAUGGCGAUGGCGGCGGCGAUGGCGAUGGCGGCAGCGGCGGCGCUGAGCCGCGCCACUACGAUGGUGAUCGUCGCGGCGUGGUACGCCUCCAACGUCGGGAUACUCCUCCUCAACAAGUACCUCCUCAGCAACUACGGCUUCAGGUACCCGAUCUUCCUCACCCUGUGCCACAUGGCCGCGUGCUCCAUCCUCAGCUACGCCUCGGUCGCGUGGGUGGGGAUCCCGCCGCUCCAGCGCCUGCGGACGCGCGCCAGAGCCGCGAGGAUCGCCGCGCUCGGCCUCGUCUUCUGUGUCUCCGUCGUCGGCGGCAACGUCUCGCUCCGCUACAUCCCUGUCUCCUUCAACCAGGCCGUGGGCGCCACCACGCCCUUCUUCACCGCCGUCCUCUCCUACAUCUUCACCAGAAGGCGCGAGACGUGGUACACAUAUGCCGCGCUCGUCCCUGUCGUAGCUGGCGUUGUCAUCGCGAGCUGGGUUAGUGCUCUUUGAUCGCCUGAAUUUAUUAGAUUAUUUUAGUUACGUUUUACUAAUUUAGUUGGUUAGACAAAUGCUUACUUAGUGAUCUGUUCAGUAAUCGCUUUUAUGCACGCUAAUUAUAUUGUAAUAUGUUUAGAUGAAUUUAGCUAUUCUGUAUAAAUGUUAAAAUAGCAAAGAAAUGCGAAUUCCUGGAGUGCUGGGUGGUAUGUUAGGGGUCAGCUAUGCCAUUCAAGUGACUAUGCAUUAGGUGGGUGUCGAUCGAAGUUCUUAGAUGCAUCAAGAUAUUCUUUGUAACUAAGGUUGAGACAAGUGUUAGAUGCAUGAAUAGAUCUUUUUUUUUCUUUUGGUUGCUCACUGAUAUUGUAUUGUCUUGUGUUCCUCUAAUGAUGUCAGAAAUUUAAUCUGCCAUGUAACCUAAUUUAGUGCAGAAGUGUGGUGGGAAUAGAUUGUUUUACAAGUAAUGGAUCCAGAGGAAAUUGAGGUCUGCAUUUUGGAAAUAUUUAGUAGGAUUCACUGGAUUUGACUAUGAUAUAUUGAGAGUGUGGAAAUCAUUCAAGUGAAAUUAAAUGACUAAGACUUAUUAAUGUGGCCUUUCUUGUAAUUUCCAGUUGGGGCUCCCAAGGAUUUCAGGCUUUAAAUAACAAACUCCUGUUAAUAGUUUAUCCUCUUAUUUGGGCACUUUCUAGUGUAAACACGUUAUUUUUUUUUCCCCCUUUCUAAUGUAAGCACUUUCCUUUUCUUUUUUUUUCCCUUCCUGUGUGAGUAGUCUGUCUAUCCUCUUUUUUACCUCAGUUUGCAAUGUUCUAAGCUAUCUAAUUGUAACCUAGUUUUCUAGAACUACUGAAGUUAAGUUUUAGGUGCUGGAUUUUCCUAUGAAUAGAGCGAAACAUGUGGAUAUGACAAAAGAAGCAAUACCAACUGCCCCAAUUGAUCAAAAUAUUUCCAACUUCAUGUUGUUAGAUGAGAUUCCGGUAUUGAUAUGCAGAACCAGUUUGUUGGAUGCCUUUGUGCUUCUUAGGAAGGGUCCAACUAAUCAGGAUUGGUUCUAACUGUGUUUGUGUGGAUAGCUAGCAUUAUUUUCAUUUUUUUUUUUUUUAUUGCAACAAUCAGAUGGGGUCAAUUUACAUUGGUUGCAUAUCCCUUUUGCUUUUUACUUUCCAUUUCUCUGGAUUUUCAUAAUUAAACUUUAUGCUGUCAAGCUAACAUAGACUAUGGUGUAAUUGCGAGGUGAUCUUUAUAUGAAUACCCUUGCAUCGCAGGCCUAUAUAUUUUAACAUCCUUGCCUUUUGUGUUGCUAAUUGGCUGCAUAAUAGUUGUAAUUAUUAUACUAAGUUGAUAUGUAUGUUGCAAUGACACUGCUGCUUUCUUCUUGUAAGUUGAUGCAUGACUAGCCUUUUUGUAAUUUCUAUUUAUCUGUGGCAUAUGUAUCUUAGGGUGUGCUUGUUGGGAGAGAAAAACCUAGAUGAUAAGUUUUUGAUCCAAAAGAGCGGAUGAUAAUGGAGAAUAAAGUCAUUUUUGCAACUGCUUUGCACACAUCGGAGCAAUCAUAAUUGUUUCAGCGAGAAAUGUAAUGACGAGAAGGAUAGUUGGGGAUAAAGCAAGGAAAGUACUAUUCAUGGUUCCAUUAGAUUAGUAUUCGUGUCUUCCUAGAAUAUUUCAGUUUGAUCAGAGCAACUAUUCCCCUAUUCUUUUGUUUGUGCAGCAUAGUGAGGAUAACUUUUGUUAUUCCCUGUUGUUGCCAUGAAACAGUGCCUUAGUUUUCUUCUGUGGUAUUUCCAUAUUUAAUAUGUUUAUUCUUGCUCAUUAGUGAAAAUGACUCUGCAUAAUGACUAUUUAUUGUUCAAUUACAUUGGGAGACUCAAGCUUCCAGAAAAAGAAAACGACUCCGCAUAAUGACUAUAUAUUGUUCAAUUAUUUAGGGAGAGCCAAGCUUCCAUUUUUUUGGUUUCGUCAUGUGCGUAGCAGCAACUUCUGCACGGGCUCUUAAGACGGUGUUGCAAGAGAUUAUACUGUCUUCAGAGCGGUAAUGGAUGUAUUUCCACACAACAUGUAGUACAGUUGUUCUACUUUGUGAAACUUCGUACUUCAUAUUUUCUUCCAACUGUCUUGAAAUUAAUUGACUUUUUUUUUUUGCUUUUCCUUAAGUGGAGAACUGAGUUUUAUAUCCUUUAUGUACUGGUUUAUGUCUAGGGAGAAACUUGACUCUAUGAAUCUCCUCCUCUACAUGGCUCCAGUUGCUGUAAUCCUCUUGCUUCCUGCCUCAACUAUAAUUGAGGAAAAUGUGGUCAGCAUCACGAUAGCACUUGCUAGAGAAGAUUUCAAAAUUAUUUGGUACCUUCUCUUCAAUUCUUGCUUGGCAUUCAUAGUGAACUUGACCAAUUUCUUGGUUACCAAACAUACCAGCGCAUUGACUGUUCAGGUAUGAUAAGAAAUUCUAGAAUUUCCUAUUAUGUAUUCUGUUUUACAUUUUCUGAUCUAACUUUGUAGUUGGAUGGGUUAUGUUCUGUGCUUAAAAUAUGCACUUGACUAUCUGUUUGUUUACUUACUAGCAAGGAGUACCUUCUAUCUGAUAUCCCCUUCUGCAUGAGUAAGCCUGUGUUAGUAGUUCGUCUUAGAUUUCAUAAUUUAGCUGAAGAAUUAAGAUAAAAUAGAUCCUAAUCUGAUACACAUAAAUGAAAACGUGGUAUUAUUAUGCCUCAAUUAAGACAAUAAUAAACUUUGAUUUUUAAGUUUAUUUUUCCUUUACCCUUUAUGUAGUUAUUUGUCAACUCUGGUUCAAUGUUGUUAUAUAAAUGCUGAUAGGUUAUGUUGCCUUUUCGCUUAACUCUGGUGUGCUGAAUGGUUCUCAACUUUUCUUCUCCCGAAACUAUUAAGAUAAUAGCAUAUUCUUGCCAAACUAGUGGGAUUCCCAGUGGUAAGGCAUUAGUAGGAGAAAGGUUGAUGGCACAGUUCCAAGUACCAGCGGGGGUACACGCGGGUUCGGGUGUAGUGGGCUAAGAUCCCAGUUAUCUAAAUGUAUAUUCUUCUCAUGAUGCAAAAGCAUAAUUUAUAUUUGUUUUAACAAAUAUUAAGUAAACACAAUGUAUCAUUCCAUGGUUUUUCAAAAAUUAUGUCGCUGUUGUUUUAUUAUUCUUGGCCUUUUGAAAGUGGUUUAUUUUCAUAGUGUUUCUUUGCAAAGGUGUUAGCAAGAUUUUUUUUUGGAUAUAUCUCCCAUAUUAUCUUAACUUGCGAUAACUGCUAUUGUGUGAAAGAUGCUCAUAUGCGGCAAACAUGGAUAAAAAUUAUGGCCUCUGUUACUUUCUCUGAAUAUUUAUCCGAUUUGUCAUUUAUGCAUGUCUUUUGUUGGUAUUGAAACCAAGUAUGUGAAGGAUUCAUAGAACUAUUGCUUAGGUGGCAAAAACCCUACCUUCAUUCUAAUUAUUUCUUCUUUUUAACAUUUCUAUUCCUGCAACUCUUCUACACCCAAACUGCUACAUAUCUAAUAAGAUCAACUUCUCAAAUCCAACAAUUUUUUCUGUAUGUUCAUUCUUUUUUGUUUUUCAGGUUCUUGGAAAUGCUAAAGGUGCUGUCGCGGUGGUCGUCUCGAUCCUUAUUUUCAGGAAUCCUGUAUCCGCGACAGGAAUACUAGGCUAUACUCUCGCCGUCAUCGGCAUCUUCCUCUAUAGCAAAGCUAAGAAACGCAAAGACUGAGAUACUACACAUUGGAAUAUUGAAAAGGGAAAAUAAAAAGGAAAAAAAAAGAAACAGAAAACAGAGUAAAUAAACUGCCUUUUUACCUUACCAGUUUGGCAGGUCUUUGGUCAAAGCUGGAUUCGCUGUGCACCCUUUUUUUUCUUUCCGAUUGAACAGCACAUUGUUUGGGCCGGCGAGGAACAAAAAUUCUACAGAAAUCGACAGUAUACGUAUAGUGACAUUCUAACCUUCAGCUAUUACCAUACUAUUCGGUAUAGAGAAUUAGGUAUUACUCUAUUCUGUUUUACGGUUCCAUUUGGUGAUGAAUGUUCUUCGGUAUUUUCUUGUACAUGUAAUUCUUUGAAUUUCUUUACCCUCCUAUGAUUCUUCUCAAUUGUGUAUAACUUCCUUAUCAAUAUGUGCACACUGCAAUAAAUAUGGAUUCUUCUAUUAAUGAGUCCAAUACAUUUGAAUUGUCGGUAAGGUCCACAAAAUUUAGUUGGGCAUCGUUCCAGUUAUUUUGAUUUUAUACAAUUUAUUACAUGGAUACAUCAGCUGGUGGACUUUUCUAUUCUUGUUAUUGUUUGUCAGUUUCUGAUGCGCUGUAGCCAAAUAUAGAUGAUACCUUCAAAAUAUAAGAACAGAAAACAAAAAAAAGUGGUAUAGUUAUGUAGAGUGAGGCUAUUAUGCUAUCGGAAGUAUGGAGCCUUUCGUGUUUCCAGUUUUUUUUCGAUGUUGCAACUUUCGAAUUGUCGAUUGGUUCCAUUAAAUUUGAUCUAGAGUAUUUGGAGUACCUAAAAAAUAAAUUUUAUUAUUUUUCGAUAUUAUUUGCCUAGUGAUCAAAAGGGCUCAAAAUCAAUAAAUUUCAAUGGCCGUAGUGAAUCGUUUGCAAGUUUAACGGUGUAAAAAUAUCCAAAUCAUGUGAAAUUUUGAUAGAAAAUUCUUUAUACUAUAUAAAAUAAGAUCAAUAUCUUUGAUUUAAAAUUUUAAUGUCAUAUUAUUACAUUUUGUAAGAUUUUUAUUUUCAGCCGUUGAUUUUGAGCCUCUUCGUUCACUAGGCAAAUGAUAUCAUAAAAUCAUAAAAUUUAUUUUCUAGGUACUUCAAAUACUUUAGAUCAAGUUUAACGGAGCCGAUCGACGAUUUGAAAGUCGCAACAUCGAAAACGAGUUGGAAGCACGGAAGGCUCCGUGCUUCCGAUAGUAUAGUAGCCUCACUCUAGUUAUGUAUAUU